UUCAUUUAAAUUGUUAAUCAAGAAGUUGUCUUUAGAUCCCAUUUUUAAGAGGACACUACGAUCUCUUGCUGUCAGCAGUAGUUUGCAUCCUUUAUGAUCUUCUCCAAAAGGAAUUCCCACUGUCUCCAAAUCAAGGUGUUUCCAGAUGUUAUCUAAAACCACAAGGAUCUUCUUCUGAUUUCUCAAUCGCUCAAAUAGUCUACUUGCUCUUCUAGAUUCAACUUCCUCGUGCAACUCCAGGCCCAACUUCUCGGCAAUUUCCUGUUGAAUCUUUUUUAUGUCUGGAGUUUGCGAAACCUCUGAAAAGACCACCAUAUCAAAGAGCUUGUCUUCCAUAGCUUGCCUGGCGACCUUCUUCACCAGUGUCGUCUUUCCAAUGCCGCCCAUGCCGUACACCCCAACGACACUAACAUUAACAUCGAUCAAUGCUUUUUUUAUAGCCUCCAAAGAAGAAAGUCUUGACUCGAAGGCCUCGUAGCCUUUGUGAGACUUGAGCCAUAUCUCCUCCGGAAUGGUACGGUAGGAAAUUCUAUCAUCAAAUCUUGCAGCUUCUUCUCGGAUUUUGACGAGUGCCUUCACCUCUGCCUCUGCUUUCUUGCUAAGCUGAUAGCGAGUAAUCCAAUUAGGAAACAGCCCCAUGAGACAUCGUUCAUUUGCUUUCUCUUCGUCUUGAAUGAAUUUGGCUGCCUGCUCAAUGCUCUUGUUCGCAUUAACCAGCCAUUUCUCAACCUUCUCUUCAAUCUUUUCACUUUUUCUUUCAGCCUCAGAAACUCUGCGCUGAAUGCUUUCUCUUUCAUCCUUGAGCCUAUCGAGUUCUGCCUUGAGAUUCUCAAAGUUGGCAUCGGAGUUAUACCAGUAACUAAAUUCGCGUUGUGCGUGAGGAGACAAGCAGUUUACAACUGGAACAAUGCUUUUCAAAAUGUCCAUUUGUUUUUUUUUUUUGGGGGGGUGGGGGGUGAGUGAACGAAAUAGAAAUAGAACAGGGUCAACGACCGCGCAAUUAAUAAUCAAGUAGAAGCAAAACAAGGCAAAAUGGAGAAAAGAAAUUAUAUUUGUACAAAACAAGGGGAAAAUCAGUGUAACAGAAGAGAAUCAAAGUGUUUUUGAGAUCAGAAAAUUGAAUCAAGAAAAGGGUUGCUUGAUCCAAUGAAAAUGCAAAGAGGGAACAAACAUAAAUAAGAAAACGGCUAGCAGGAGCAGUGACCACGAUAAACAGAAGCAAAGUGUGUAUGAGAUCAAAAGAAGAAAAUCAGGAGAGGUUUUCUUGACUGAGAAUUGAAGGCAAAGAGUAGGAGCUGACGAAUACGGGGAUCAAGAGGGAAAAACUGCUUAAUAACAUUACGAUUGUCAUAAAACAUGUGAUCCUCAUCCAAUAUCCAUUAUUUGUGAUCCUUAAUCAAUAAAAUAUCUAACAAUAUCGAACAGUCGAUAUCCAACACAUGCACGAAGAUUCCAAGAAGUUGCGUGGCUGCCGACUUUUAAAUGCUAAGCCUGAUUGUGUCGAUGAUACACAAAAGAGAGCAGUCGGGGUAAUUGCCAAAACUUAGAACUAAACAGUAGCUUAGUCAGAAAAUCAAACGCCAGUACCGGUAAAAUGACCGAUAAAAAUAUAAAGAAAUAAAACUUUUAAAGUUUUACUUCAUUGCUUUUUUAAUGUUAUUACUAUUUCUCCUAGCACUUCUAAAGAAACCAAAGCUUUAAAAGAAAUCGGCCAAAGAAAUAAAGUUUUACUUCAUUGCAUUUUUAAUCUUAUUACUAUUUCUCCUUGCUCUUCUAAAGAAACCAAAGCUUUAAAAGAAUCAGCCAAAUCACCAAGAUUGAAGAGUAAAUCUAUUGUUUUAGAUUUUUAUUUUUAUUUUUUUAGAUAAUAGAUAUUAUUUUGAUGAAUUUUUUAAUAUUGGAAUAAUGUUAGGAAUUCCAAUAGAUGAAUUCUAACUUGACACCCAAUUGUUAUGUGUCAUUUUUUUAUUGGAUAAUGAAUUUCAUAACUAGUAAAAUUAAUAUUUUGAUCAUCUAAUAAAUAACUACUAUAUCAGUUGGGACUCAAUCAUUGGGAUGCUUAACAUUGCUCUUAGUAUUGUAUUGGACAUCUUAGUUAAAUCAGAUUAAAAAUCAAAUUAGAUUUUAGGCUUUAUUCAACAUCUCCUUUUCUUUAUUUUUUUUUCUUUUUUAGGUCUAUUUGAAGUGAACGAAUUAAAAAUACGACAAGGUCAACGAUUGGGCAAUUGAUAGUCAAGUAGAAGCAAAUGAAGGCUAAAUGGGAAAGAGAAAUUAUAUUUGUACAAAACACGGAGAAAAUCAGUGUAACAGAAGAGAAUCAAAGUGCUUUUGAGAUCAGAAAUUGAAACAAGAAAAGGGUCGCUUGAUCCAAUGAAAAUGCAAAGAGCUGAUGGCAAAAGGGAACAAAGUUAAAUAAGAAAACAGCUACCACUAGCAGCGACCACAAUAAACGAGAAAUUGGAGAUGGAUCUACAAUAUUUCUGCCUUUCUUUAUGCUUUAACAAAUAUUGCUCUAUCGAAAAAAAUAUUGUGGGUUUUUAUUAUUGGAGUCACAAAAGACCAACACAAUAUAGCAAGUGACUAGGAAUAAGAAUAUAUAACUCUCUCUCUAUUUCUCACUCUAGCUUUUAAUUGUCACUCAAAACCCAGACAGCGUAAGGAAAUAAGAGAUGACAGCGUCUGGUUGUCAUACGUGCCUUUUGGUUUCUGGAUGACAUGGCGUACACUUCUUUUGCAAACCAACACGACAUGUCGUACUCUUUGUUUUGAGAUCAUAUUUCAAACUCUUGAUGUUACGAAUGAAAGAUAAACUACAAUCAUCAAAAUAUUUAGUGUUUGUUUGGUAAUGUAAAGUCAUAGUUGUUGUGAAUUGAAAUUAUUUCUGUAAAAUAAAAGGAUUUGGGUCAUUGUUCGUUAUUUUUUGGCAAUAUUGCCUGGCUGUGACUAUUUAUUAAAUAUUAAAAAAAUAAAUUUAUAUUUAUUAAGUAUCAAAAAUAAAUAAACAACAAAAAUAAACGGAAAAAUUAUACAUUACGUAAAAUAAUAAGGACAAUAUCAAUAUUUCACACUCUAUAAUUGAGUGAUGUGUUAUCCAAUUGCAACACAUUUGUCCCAAACGGAGUCUUAAAUAUCAAAGUUAUUGCGAUGAUGACUUAUAAUCACCAAACUUGACAUACGGGUAAUCAUGCAUUAUAAGGUGUUGAUUUCUUACUAUCGGAACCUUAUAUUUCAUUUACAAAUAAAUAAAUGAUGUGACUUAACUGGUGGCGGGUCCUUUGUGCCAUUUGCGCAUUCCACUGAAUAGUUGAUUGUAGCAGAAACAUUCCUGGAGUUGCCAUUUGCCAAUGCUACUGACAUUUUCAAACUCGGAAAACCCUCCAAUCAAUCUUUUAGUGGUAGGCUUGGUAGCUUGGCUUGAUUAUGACAUAUGAUUAUUUGAUAAUAAAGUUAGAGGAUGUAUUAAUAUAAAAAUUAUUUAUCGGUGUUGAAAUUAUCUCAUUAAUAAUAGUAUGAAAAGUUAAUUCUUAAGAAAUACAUAAUAGUAGUUAAUUGGUGUAAUAUUAUUGAGAUUCUGGAAAUAAUUUUAUAUCAUAACUUUGUAGGUGUAUAAAUAUUACUCAUUAAAUUAAUAUAAUUAUUUUAAAAAAAUCAGUUGGAAAAAAUAAAUUAUAUUAUUUUUACUUCAAAUAAUCUUUAAAUUAACUCAAAAUAUAAUCAAGCUCAGAAUUAAAAAUUUAAACUAAUGCUACUAUAUCAGAGGAUUUUCUUUUUUUCUCCACUGAAUAGUUGAUUGUCGCAGAAACAUUCCUGGAGUUGCCAUUUGCCAAUGCUACUGACAUUUUCAAACUCGGAAAACCCACCCUCCAAUCAAUCUUUUAGUGGUAGGCUUGGUAGCUUGGCUUGAUUAUGACAUAUGAUUAUUUGAUAAUAAAGUUAGAGGAUGUAUUAAUAUAAAAAUUAUUUAUCGGUGUUGAAAUUAUCUCAUUAAUAAUAGUAUGAAAAGUUAAUUAUUAAGAAAUACAUAAUAGUAGUUAAUUGGUGUAAUAUUAUUGAGAUUCUGGAAAUAAUUUUAUAUCAUAACUUUGUAGGUGUAUAAUUACUCAUUAAAUUAAUAUAAUUAUUUAAAAAAAUUCAGUUGGAAAAAAUAAAUUAUAUUAUUUUUACUUCAAAUAAUCUUUAAAUUAACUCAAAAUAUAAUCAAGCUCAGAAUUAAAAAUUUAAACUAAUGCUACUAUAUCAGAGGAUUUUCUUUUUUUCUCCGAAGUUUCACUAGGAAAUUAUUGAUGUAUAGCUUUGUUGAGAAUUGAGAUCAUUUCAGUUCAGAAGACAAAUAAUUGAAAGACUAAACUAAAUAGACCGGCGAACAAAUUUGUACAUGAAAGUUAAAAAAUUAAGGUCAUGAGUUGGUAUUGCGGUUCUGUCUUGAGCAACUUUGCUGUCAUUGUUUAUUAUUUUUUGGUAAUAUUGCCUGGCGGUGACUGUUUAGUAAAUAUUAAGAAAUAAAUUUAUAUUUAUUAAGUAUAAAAAAUAAAUAAACAAACAAAAACACAAGGAAAAAUUUAUACUUUACGUAAAAUAAUAAGGACAAUAUCAAUACUUCACACUAUAAUUGAGUGAUGUGUGGCAUCUUAAUUGCCCAACUGCCACACAUUGGUUCCAAACGGAGACUUAAAUAUCAGAAAAAUUCCAAGUUAUUGCGAUGAUGACUUACAAUUGCCAAACUUGACAUAUGGGUAAUCAUGCAUUUCUUAUGAUCAUAACCUUAUUUUUCAUUCACAAAUAAAUAAAUGAUGUGACUUAACGGUUGACGGGGUCCUUUGUGCCAUUUUGGCAUUUCACUGAAUGGUUGAUUGUCGCAGGAAGAUUCCUGAAAGUUGCCAUUUUCCAAUGCUACUAACAUUUUCAAACUUGGAAAACCCUUUAAUCAAUCUCUUAGUAGUAGGCUGUGGUAGCUUGGUUUGAUUAUGAUUUAUAAUCAUUUGAUAAUAAAGCUAGAGGAUGUAUUAAGAUAAAAUUUAUUUAUUGGUGUUGAAGUUAAUUAUCUCAUUAAUAAUAGUAUAAAAGGUUAAUUAUUAAGAAACACAUAGCUGUAGUUAAUUGGUGUCAUAUUAUUGGAAUUCUGGGAUAUAAUUUUAUAUAAUAACUUUGUGAGUAUAUAAUUACUCAUUAAAUUAACAAACUUAUUUUAAAAUAUUUAGUUGGAAAAAAUAAAUUACAUUCUUUUUAUUUCAAAUAAUCUAUAAAUUAACUCAAAACAUAAUCAAGUUGAGAAUUAAAAUAAUGCUACUGUAUGAGAGGAUUUUUAUUUUUUCCCGAAGUUUCACUCGGAAAUUAUUGUUAUAUAGCUUUAUAUGCGAUCAUCCUCAGUUCAAACGACAAAUAAAUGAAAGACUAAGCUAAAUAGACCAGCCAACAACUUUGUAAAAUAGAGUUCGAAAAUUAAAUUAAGGUCAUGGUAGUGUUAUGUCUUGAAAAGUACAACGUAGUACUAAAAUAAAAACUAUUAGUCUUUGGUAAGAUAAUGACAUUUAAAUAAUAAUUUUCACAAAAAUACAAAGAAUAUUUAUAAAGUACUUCUAUAGUGAGGAGGCCCUCACUUUGUGAAAGUGAAAAUGUCGAUAAUAUACAAAAGCCAUAUAUUUUAACACAUUAAAAAUUGUAUUUUUUAUCUAUUGGUGUAUUAAAAUAUGUGUUACUUAGUUUGUUAGUGAUAUCAUCACUUUGUUAAAAUGAGGAUAUCGUCGCUAGAGAAUCAUUAUAUAUACAUAUCUAUAAAGUGCUUCUCUCCAAGACCUAGACUUUAUUAGAAUUUAAGAAAGCAAAUAUAUUUUAAAUGGUAUAAUAGUGUAAUAACAUCACACUAUUAUAUCAUAUAGAGUAAAAGUUUUUCGAACUUUAAUAAAGUUCAAGAUUAUAGAAUGAAUGAUUUAUAUAUAUAUAUUAUACAUUUUUUAUCAUAAAGUGGAGGACAAAAUUAACAUAUUUUUCAAAUUAUAAUAAGUAUUUAUCAAUAAUUUAACAUCAUAAUUUCUCCUAACUAGUAUAGUAAAUACAACCUAGGAGGUACAUUCAAAGCAUUUCAUAGGUUAGUUGUUCGCUCCAAAUUCAAUCACAGACAAGGAGCCUUUUUUGAGAAUAUUAAGCAUCAUCUUCAAAUGAAUUUUCAUGGCAAAGGUUUCAGGUCCAAAUUGUUGUUCCAGAUUAGUCCAAAGCUCAUGUGAGGUUUGAGAGUUUACCACAAGACUAAGGAUCUCGAUACUGAUGGAUGACAUUAACCAGCUCAACAACAAUUGAUCCUUUCUCUUCCAUGAAGUGAAUGCUAGAUUGAUCUGUGCUUUAGCUGUUGAAUCUUCAAUUUCAGUAAAAAGAAACUGAUUAGGACAUAGUUUUGAUCCAUCAAGUAGAUCUUCUAGUCCAUUGGCACGGACUUAAGACAAGAUUUGUAAUUUUCAGAUCAUUUAAUUCGACCGAUCCAGUUUGAUUGGUGAAGUGAAAGUAAACGAGGAAACAAAGAAGUUUGUAUUCUGAUUUGAGCUUGACGAAGCCAUUAGAAUUGAUAACUCAGGCUCUGAUACCAAGUUAAAGAUUCUAAUAUGUUUGGUAAGUAAGAAAAUGAGAGAAAAUGAAAGAAAGAACAGAGAUCAUCUAAGAGCUGGAUUUGAUGAAUAAACUUGAAUCAUACAUUCUUUAGCUGAUUACAAAUGUAUUUAUGCAAAAUUCCUGAACAUUUCAGAUUGUAUAUGCUUGACCUAAGCACCUGAGAGUUGAGCAGUGUGGACUGACAAACUGAUCACAAAAUAAGUAACUUAUGCCAGCUCAGCUAACACGUCAGUAACUCUAACUAUCUUGCUUAACAAACUGAAACAAUAACUAACCAUUUUAACUAUCUUAACAAUGCCAAUAAUUUCUUCAUUUGCGUAUUUCUUGAAUCAUAAUCAAAUGGGUAAAUUUUUCAACUAUUCUUUUAGAUAUUUUCACUUUGGGCUAUAAGGCCGGGGAAGUACGGGGGUCUGAGUUACUCAACUGAAAAUGUCGGCCAAGUUCUUGCCAUCUCAGGUGCAAAACUGAUACUUGUGUUCCCCAUUUAUACUUAUUACGAAACUGAUACUCGUUCCUCUUAACUUGUUUUCUCAUGCAUCAACUGUUGAGAAAAUGUGCUCUUUAAAAGCAUAUGUGUUUAUUUAAUUGUAAUGAAAAAAUGUGCUCUUUAAAACCAUAUGUGUUUAUUUAAUUGUAAUAAAUAUUUUUUCUGAUUAAUAAAAUAUAUGAGGUAUUUUAUUCAAGUAUAUUAAUUGCAUUGAUAUUUUGAGUAAAGUCCAUUUAAUCAUAUUAUAUGUAUUUAUGUGAUCACUAUGUGGAUUCACAAAAGACAUAAAUACAAGUUAUCUUAUGAUUAAAUAAAUUAUGUUCGCAGUUGAUAAAUAAAGUUGGACACUUUAUUUAGGUAUAGACUGUAAUAAAUUCAUUGAAUGAUUUGUCUUAAUCAUGUAUGAAUUUAUUGAUGUAGUGCGAUUACAUUGAAUAGGAUCACAUAUGAGAUUUAAUUAACUUUGUAAUAACUGUCAGACUUAUUAAAUCUCAUAGGCAUUGAUUUUACUGUAAUCUUAAUCUUGAGUUAGUUAUGAUUCCAUUAUUGUAAUUGUUAUUUCAUUUGAGUUACCAAUGGGCAUGACACAUACUUGUAUUCAAGAUUACCAGGUAUCUUGGUGAGAGCAAUUAUGAGUAUUGGAGUUAUAGAUUAACAAUAUAGAAUUUGUACAAUACAUCUCUUGAUGGGUUUUCGGUACUUGAUCAUAGAAUUCUCUGGCCAGAUUGUGUCGACAUAUUUAAUAUGUUGAAAAUGAUCAUUAGAGAAAAACCAGUAAGUAUCAAGGAACAAGAUGUAAUUAAAUUGAUUGGACAGUUGAGAUAUCGAUUUAAUUAAUGAUGUGGUACAAAUGAUUGAGCAGUCAAGAAAUCAUUGUGGUUUGGGACGAAUUAUUAUUCGAACAUACAAUUAGUGUGCGACCAGCAUUGGCCAGCGACAUGCGCUGCAUGCGCAGCGAGCUGCGCAGUCGAGUUUGGUUUGCUUUCGGUGAGGCGGCAGUGGUUAGCUCGGCAUCGGAGAUUGGUGGCAACUUUGAACAGCGGUUGAAGUUUGCGUUGAUGGCGGCUGGAGAAGAAGGGGAGAGAAAUAUAUGGAUUUAAGGCUUUAAUGGUUUUUAUCGUUGAGGUCUCUACGGUUUUACAAUUUUUCUUUCGGUCAGAUAAGGUUUAAUUUUUGCAUUUAAGUCCAACAACAGUUUUGGGCUUAAUGAAUCAUAAUUUUAGGCCCAAUUGAAAUUGGGUUUAAUGGAUUAAAAUGCAUAGAUAAAAUUGAAUAAAUUAAAUUUAUUUUUGGUCCAAACGUUUUAUUUAAAAAAGUUUAUUUAUUUAUUUAUUUCCUUUCAAAAUUAAAAUUGGACCAAUAAUAAAUUUAAAAGCCCAACUUCCUCUAGUCCAUUAACAAAGACAAGCCUAUGGAAGAUGGACAUUGACAAGAAGCCCAAUGAAGAUUAGGCUUAGGGUUAAUGUAUUUUUUUUAAUUUUAGGAAAGCCAUGAAUUCAGAUUAUUUAAUUAUUUUUCUAUAUGUUAUAUUUUGGAUGAUAACAUGCCAUGAUAACACGUCAUAUAGAAUAGGUAGUGCCACUCUAUGCAUAAUGAUACAUGAUGUUCAUUAAUUAUGAAUCUCAUUAUAUUGUUUGAAAAUUGAAUAUGCUUAAUAAUAUUGAAUAUCAUCUAGAUAAUAUUAUAGGAAGCAUGCAAUUAAAAAUAUUAUUUAUGUAUGUUUUAAAAAAAAACCAAUUUUUAAAUAUUGAGUGGGAGAGGGAAAAUUCAAGAUAAUUUUUCCCACGGGCUCCAUUGUUAGUUCAAUAAUAAAAUUAUAUAUAUACCUCGACUUCAUGAUACGGUGAUGCUCCCUUCGAAGGGUAUAUAUAUUAGAUAUUUUAUUUGAUGAACUUCUUCAAAGAUAAAAUUGAAAUAUUUUUCAAUCGAUUGUUCACCCCAACAGUGACUAUUGAUAUGAAAAAUACUUAGAUUGAAACAAUGGUUAUACACUCAACUAAAAUUUGUUAUUAACCUUCCCAACGAAGCUCUGUUAACAAAUUUAGGCCCAAAAGGAUAACAAUAAUUAUUUAUCAUGUCUCUACAUGAAAGUAAAUAAUCCAAUGGAUAAUUGGGUCUAGUAAGUGUAGACAUGACUUCCCCAACGGAUAGCUUGUCAAAGCGGUCCUAGAUUAUCGUUACAAUAAAUAAAAAUGCAGUUAUGGUUUUUUGCAUUUUUGUUAUUUAUUGUGAAUAUUAUAUCAAAUUAUUUAUGCAUGGAUGUUUUAUUUUUCAAAAAAAUGUCUUCCCUGAGCUCACUUACUAUUAUUCUGAGUCAAAACAAACUCACUGGAGAGAACUAUAUAGAUUGGAAAAAAAAAUAUAUUCAUUGUCCUGACUGCUGAAAAUUAUAAAUAUGUCUUAACCCAGCCAUGCCCUCUAGUUCCAGUGGAUGAUGCUCAUAGAAAUUAGAGGAGGCUUUAUGAGAAAUGGCAAAAGGCCAAUGAAAUGGCAAAAUGCUACAUUUUAGCCUCGAUUUCUAAUAUUUUGCAGACCAAACAUCAGAACUUGGAGACUUCCACUGAAAUAAUGGAUAGUCUCCAAGAGAUGUUCGGGCGGAAUACUCGCUCCGCGAGACAAGCAGCGCUGAAAGGCAUUAUGAACUGCAAAAUGGGGAAGGGCACAAGAGUUCGUGAUCAUGUCCUCAAAAUAAUGGACUAUUUGAAUGAGGCUGAGAUUCAGGGAGCACAAAUCGAUGAUAACUCAAAGAUUGACAUGGUGCUAGAAUCUCUGCCAAAAAAAUUUAAGGAGUUUAAGGUUAAUUAUAACAUGAACAAAAGAAACAUGACCUUAACUGAAUUGAUGAACGAACUCCAUUCUGCUGAAGAGAUCUAUUGCACUGAGAAAUCUCUAGGAAGCAUAAAGAUUGCUAACAAGGUUCUUCUUCUAGGCCCAAGCCGAAAGGCAAGGGUAAGAAGAAAGCUGGGAAAAAGAAACCGUCUACCAAGCAAGAUGGCAAGCCGAAAGGCAAAUGCUUCAAGUGUGGACAGAAAGGUCACUGGAACAAGGAUUGCCCUAAGAUUGUGAAAUCAGGAAUGAGAAAUCUUUUUGUAAUUGAGGUCUGUUUAGUUCAGAAUCCUAUUGACACUUGGGUGUUGGAUUCAUGAGCAACUAAUCAUAUUUUUAAUUCACUUUAUUGGUUUUAGGAAACUAGGAAAAUAAGUGAAGGAAGCGUCAAGCUGCAGUUAGGGACAAGACAGUUCGUGACAGUAGUGAAGACUGUAUCUAUUUUAUUAUCUUUUAAUAAUGAGAAUUUAGUUUUGAAUAUUUGUCUUUAUGUUCCAGACAUUAAGUGGAAUUUAAUUUCAAUAGCUUGUUUGUCAAAACAAGGGUACACUGUAAAUUUUGGAUCCUUUGUUUUUAUUUUUUAUAAUAAGAGACUUAUUUGUUCUGGAACAUGGGAAGAUAAUUUAUAUCAUUUAAGUCCUAUGAUCCAUUCUAUGCAUGACACAGUGAUCAAUAAUGAUGAGCAUACACAUUUAUCUAAGAAAAGAAAUAUUUCUUCCAACUAAUGUUACCUCUGGCAUUUGCGCUUGGGUCAUAUAAAGCAAAAUAGGAUACAGAGAAUGAUCAAAGAUGGGCUCUUGGGUCUAUUGGAAAAUGAAUCAUUGCCACUUUGUGAAUCCUGUUUAGAAGGGAAAAUGACCAAAAGACCGUUCUCGGCCAAAGGAGUGCAUGCAAUAGUACCACUUGAAUUGGUACAUACAGAUGUAUGUGGACUAAUCAAUAUACAAGCUUGAGGAGGUUAUGAGUAUUUCAUCACUUUCAUUGAUGAUUACUCAAGAUACGGUUAUGUUUAUCUGAUGCGUCACAAGUCUAAAACUCUUGAGAAAUUCAAAGAGUAUAGGGCUGAGACAGAAAAGCAAUUAGGUAAGAACAUAAAGCAACUUCGAUCUGAUCGAGGUGGUGAAUUUCUUUCUGGAGAUUUCAAAGAGUAUCUGGUAAAAAAUGGGAUUAUAUCUUAGUUAACUGCCCCAAGAACACCACAACAAAAUGGGGUAGCAGAAAAGAGAAAUAAAACUCUUUUAGAUAUGGUGAGAUCUUUACUUAGUUAUUUGUCAUUACCAAUCUCUUUUUGGGGACUAGCACUGGAAACUGCAGUUUACCUCUUGAACUUAGUUCCAUCUAAGUCAGUGCCUAAAACUGCAAUAGAAUUAUGGUAAGGUCACAAACCAAGUUUACGACAUGUCCAUAUUUGGGGAUCACCAACACAUGUGCUGAAACCAAAAGCAGAAAAAAUGGAUUCACGUUUUGAGGUUUGUAUGUUUGUGGGGUAUCUCAAAGGAACAAUAAGAGGUUUAUUUUAUAGUCCUUAAUAUAGAAAAGUGAUUGUGAGCACACAUUUCACUUCCCUCGAGGAAGACUAUAUGAAUAACUUCAAACCUAAGAGUAAGGUAAUACUUGAAGUACUGUCAGGUGAUCAGGUCUUUCAACACCUGUUAUAGAACAAGAAGAAGAACAACAACUAGCUGAUCAACACAGGAUUAUCCCUAAACAACCAUCACUUUUAGAACCUCGUCGUAGUGGGAGGGUAAGUAGGUUACCUGCGAGAUACAUGUUAUUGGGAGAAACUUAUACGACUAUCUCAGAUGAACAUGUACAAGAUCCCACUGGCUACAACGAAGCUCUAAUAAACAGAGAUGUUGAAUUCUGGAAAAAGGCCAUAAAUCAAGAAAUGGAAUCUAUGUAUUCCAAUAAAGUCUGGGAACUUGUAGAGGCACCAAAUGAGGUAAAACCUAUAGGGUGCAAGUGGAUCUAUAAGAGAAAAAGGGGAGUAGACGGAAGGGUGGAAACAUUCAAAGUAAGAUUAGUAGCCAAAGGUUUUACUCAGAAAGAGGGAAUCGAUUAUGAGGAAACAUUUUCUCCGAUUGCUAUGCUUAAAUCCAUUAGGAUUCUACUCCCUAUUGCUGCAGUACUAGAUUAUGAAAUUUGGCAAAUGGAUGUUAAGAUUGCCUUUCUUAACGGGCAUCUUGAAGAAGACAUCUACAUGCAGCAACUAGAUGGAUUCAUACAAAAAGGCCAAGAACACAUGGUAUACAAGUUGCAGAGAUCUAUUUAUGGAUUGAAGCAAGCAUCCCGGUCAUGGAACGCCAGAUUUGAUCAAGCGAUUAAAUCGUUUGGAUUCAUUCAGAACAUUGAUGAACCAUGUGUGUACAAGAAAAUUCAGGAAAAAUCUGUAGCCUUCCUAAUUCUUUAUGUAGAGGAUAUUCUCCUAAUUGGAAACGAUAUAGGAGUAUUGACUACAAUAAAAAGUUGGUUAGCAAAAUAAUUUGAUAUGAAAGACCUGGUAGAGGCAAGUUAUAUUCUUGGUAUCAAGUUACUAUGAGACAGGAAGAUUAAAACUUUAGCCUUGUCUCAAGCGGUCUUUAUCGAUAAAAUAUUGGCUAGAUUUAGCAUGGAAAAUUCCAAGACUGGUUUAUUACCAUUCAGACAUGAAAUUACAUUCUCUAAGGAUCAAUCAGCUAAAACAUAUGAAGAGAUAGAGAAAAUGAGACGAGUUCCGUGUGCAGAAGUUGUGGGAAGUCUCAUGUAUGCCGUGCUUUGCACUAGACCAGACAUCUGUUUUGCGGUAGGGAUGGUUAGCAAAUAUCAAUGUAAUCCUAGACCUGAACACUUGACUGCGGUCAAGCAUAUAAUAAAGUAUCUGAAAAGAACUAAAAAUUAUAUGCUUGUGUAUUCUGGUGAUGAACUCAUUCCAGUGAGUUAUACAGAUUCUGACUUUCUGUUAGAUAAGGAUUUCAGAAAAUCAACUUCUGGCUAUGUGUUUACAUUAGGAAGUGGAGCUAUUAGUUGGAGGAGUGUGAAACAAUCUUGUAUCGCAGACUCCACAACUGAAGCUGAAUAUGUGGCUGCAUCUGAAGCUGUAUGGCUCCACAAGUUCCUAUAAGAUCUUGAGGUGGUACCUGCUGUAACUGCACCCCUUAAACUAUUUUAUGAUAAUAGUGGUGUGGUAGCUCAAUCUAAGGAACCACAAGAAACAAAAACAUAUUGAGAGGAAGUAUCAUCUCAUAAGGGAUAUAGUGCAGAGAGGUGAUGUGGAGGUUACUCAGAUUGCGUCACAGCAAAACUUGGCAGAUCCUUUUACUAAGGCCAUACCUGGGAAACCUUUUAACUUGCACUUAGAAUCCAUGAGCAUGCGUGAGAUGCCAAAUAUGCUUUGAGAGUUAGUGGGAGAUUGUUGGGAAAAUGUGCUCUUUAAAAGCAUAUGUGUUAAUUUAAUUGUAAUAAAUAAUUUUUCUAAUUAAUAAAAUAUAUGAGGUAUUUUAUUCAAGUAUUUUAAUUGCAUUGAUAUUUUGAGUAAAGUCCAUUCAAUCCUAUUAUAUGUAUUUAUGUGAUCACUAUGUGGAUUCACAAAAGACAUAAAUACAAGUUAUCUUAUGAUUAAAUAAAUUAUGUUCGCAGUUGAUAAAUAAAGUUGGGCACUUUAUUUAGGUAUAGACUGUAAUAAAUUCAUUGAAUGAUUUGUCUUAAUCAUGUAUGAAUUUAUUGAUGUAGUGCGACUACAUUGAAUAGGUUUGGGACUACAUUGAUGUAGUCAAGAUUACCAGGUAUCUUGGUGAGAGCAAUUAUGAGUAUUGGAGUUAUAGAUUAACAAUAUAGAAUUUGUACAACACAUCUCUUGAUGGGUUUUCGGUACUUGAUCAUAGAAUUCUCUGGCCAGAUUAUGUCGACAUAUUUAAUAUGUUGAAAAUGAUCAUUAGAGAAAACCAGUAAGUAUCAAGGAAUAAGAUGUAAUUAAAUUGAUUGGACAGUUGAGAUAUCGAUUUAAUUAAUGAUGUGGUACAAAUGAUUGAGCAGUCAAGAAAUCAUUGUGGUUUGGGACGAAUUAUUAUUCGAACAUACAAUUAUGGAGGUUAGUUCCAAUCUUAUAGUGGGGUAGAGUUGGAAUUAAAUGAUUAGGCUUAUUUAACUACAAGCUUAAUUGUUGUAGCCACUAUUGUAUGUUCCAAAAUGAUCCCCGGGUUAGCUCAUUUAAUUGACUGCACCACUACUGGAUUAAUAAGCAAGAUAACUAGCUAUUUGGGUCAAAAGGCUAAAUAUAUCAUUUAGUGGGAGGCUCCAUUUAAUAUGCUUGUGUGUAAGGGACCUUAUGUUAUUUUACAAGGUGGACCCCCUAUAGAAAAAGCAAGUACCGUGGCUUUUGGUUUUUAUUAUUUGGAGCUAAGGAUUUUCACUAAAUGGAAAUAUAAAAAGGCUUAUUUUCUCUAAAGAAAAGAGAUAGAGCCACAUUAUACAGACCAAGAGAAAAAUAAUUUCUCUCUAAUUUUGAGAAAAAAUUUCUCCUGCUAGUUGCUUUUAGUGGUGAUAAAGGUGCCCACACGUUAAGUGCAGAUCAAACUUGAGUUAUAGCCUGGAAGGUUAUUUGAUGGCGGAUCGUGAUCUAAAAGGAGUGGUGGUGACGGAUCGUGAUCUGGGAGCCUAAAUCACUUCAGCGGAAAAAGCAAAAAUUGUUCAUCUUCUCGGAUUGUCAAGGUAUGAUUUUCUAGAUUAUGAAUUCCUAUAUAUUUUAUGAGAUUGGUCCUAAAAGUUUUUUAAAAAAAAUUUAAAAAACUGAUUUUUCCCCAACAUCAACCCCACAAAACUGCUUAUUGAUUGUCCUCAUUUUGAACUUACUAUAGGAUUCACCCUCCUUGUUUUACAACUUACUUUAUACCCUUACGUUGAGAGGAAGAUCAGGCCAAUAAUCAUAACACGCAUUGCAGGGGUAAAAUUUCGAACACACCAUGUGGCAUUUAGACCAUUUGAUAGUUUGUUUCAUACAUAUUUGUUUAUAAAAUACUUUUCUUCAUGGAUUUGGUGACGUAAUUUUCUAUGUAUGUACAGGUUUUAUCGAUACGUCUUUUGACAAGUUACACUUACAUAGCAAUGUUAUCUGUGUUCAGCCUUGCCUUAUUGAUACCUUAUUGAUAAACUGUGCUUCUGUGAUGAAGAAUGUUUUCUCUGUCAGUGGAUAUCCUAAUCAUUGAUCCAUAUACUUAGGUUAUAUUACCCAUUAGGAAGUAUGUAUAAAAAUUAUUUUAUAUCUUCUUUAUUAGAAAUGUUGUAAUUCUUUAUUACUUUUCCUGAAUUAUAACAUCAGAUGUCUAUAAUAACUGGAUUAUUCCUUCUGCAAAACAGAGCAGUGGUAAAUAUUUUUUUUCUUUUGUUUGUUUAGCACAUUUCCAUGAUUUCAGCUUUUUCAAAUUUUGUAUGUGUCAAAGUUUAAAUUUAAUUUGUUGGUUUAUCGUACAAUAACAGGAACAGCAUCAAAGAGGAGCUGCCAAUGGACUUGCUAUGACUGUAGUGUCGCUUACCAAAACUGCCGGUCCAGCUGUAGGAGGUGCUCUGUGAGUGUCCUAUUGAUUUUGUAAAAUUAUAUGUAAAUAAUGUUAUAAUUGUUUUUUCAUUAAUUGGGGUUCUGGCAGAUUUUCUUGGUCACAAAAGCGUCAAGAUGCUGGUUUCCUCCCAGGUAUGAUGAUUUACUGAUGAAAUUUCUGACGAGUUUGUGAAUUACUUUGUCCUAAUUAGCUUAGUUAGCUGCUUAAACUAAAGUGCAGGUAACCAGAUGAUUUUUUUCAUUCUGAAUUUGGUCGAGGCACUAGGAGUAAUAUUGACAUUCAAACCAUUUCUAACUCAACGUGUCCCGUGAGUAGAGAAAAGAUGCAUCUGUUGAAAUAUUCAAAUAUAUGUCAAGCAAAUUAAAGCUUUCAAAAUCUAUCAACAAUUUGAUUAUUUGAUGUGGUUUUCCACUUGCCGUAUUUUGUUUUGCUGUUCUAAAGGCUUAAAUAUGAAAAUGGUGGUUGGCGCUCACACCAAUCGAUUGCUGUUAACAUUGUUCAGUACUUUUCUCUGUCGACAUUUAUACUUGUUCAUUGUCAGAACUACGACAAUUUAUCUUUACAAUGAUGCAAGCUAGAAAGAAUUUUUCAUGUUAAGUAAAAUAUUGAAGCCACAAAGAGUCUGAAUUAAGUACUAAGUUUUCUGCCAUGCUUUCAACGGCAGCACAUUUGUAGCUCUUAUUCCAGGGGCUCCACAGUAGAGAGACCUGAUUUCGACCUUCUUCAGAACUUGGGGAUUCCGUAAUAACAGAGGACAACAGUUAUAUAAGAAUAUUAUUUUGUACAAUUUUCGUAUAACCUGACCAAUGCAAGUAUAAUUUUAUGAUCUUAACUCAUAUCAAAAGACCUUCAAUGAUGUAAAAUUUGCACAUAAAGAUGAGAACCAAACAUUAGAACUUAUGAUGAAACGGAAACAAAAACAUUGAGAUUGAAAAGAUAGAGAAACACAAGCUUUUUAAAAGGAAUAAAUGUUCAUUUAGUCUCUAUAUUUUGACUUAAGAGCGCAUUUAGUUCUUAUAUUUUAAAAAGUGCCUCAACCUCGAGUAGGGCUGGCAAAAAUCCCCACGGCGACGGGUACCCUUGGGGAUUUUCCCUAUUCGGGGAGGGUAUGGGGAUAAUUUCAUACCCAAUUUCUUAUUCAGGGAAGGAACGGGGAAAUUUUUUUACCCAAUUUCUUAUUUGGGGAGGGGACGGGGAUGAGGUGGAAUCCCCAUCCCCUACCCAUUUCCCCAUUUUAAUUUUUUAUUUUAUUUUUAUUUUUUAAAAUUACUAGUAAAUAAAUUAUAAAAUUUGAAUUAUAAAAUUAUAAAUAUUGGUAAAAAUAACAAAUAUCAAAAUAUUUAUAUUAUUAAACUUUUAGGCCUAAUUAACAAAUUAAAGUCCUAAAUUUUUAUUUAGGACAUUAAAAAGACCGGAUAUAUUCUAUUAGCCCAAAAAUUUUGUUUUAAUUUUAAUAUUCAUUAAAUAUUUUAAACUUAAAUCUAUUUAUUUAUUUAUUUUUAGAUGUUAUAAUUGCCCACAGCAAAUCACAAUUUUAAUAUCUAAUCUAAUCUAAUAUUUGCUCUUGAUUUGCUCGGACUUAACUAUUGUGCUGUAAAGGGAAUAGUCCACAUUUAUAAAGUGCCCACGCCACCAUUGAAAAAGUUAAUUUUGAAUCUAAAUUCGAUUUUAUCUGUAACAAUUUUGUAUUAGACUAUUAAUUUAUUCAUGAUAGUUUGUAUCCCUUGCAUGCUGCGUUACUUACUAAUUUAAUGUAUGUGACUUUUGUAAUAGAUAUUAAUGUAAGAUAUAUUUCGAACUUUACUUUUAUUUGAAUUUUUUUUAUUUUAAUAUGAUUAACUCAAAAUCGAAAAUAAAAAAAUGUAUUAGUUAUUCGGGGAUCGGGGAUCCUCUGUUAUUAUUCGGGGAGGGGAUGAGGAUUCUCUCAAGUAAUUCUGACGGGGACGGAGAGGGGAUGAGGACAUACGCAAAAUAUCGGGGAUGGGUACGGGGAGAUUGGUCCCCUCCCCUCCCCUCCCCUCCCCAUUGCCAUCCCUAACCUCAAGACACCCCUACUGUGUUGGAAUAAUAUUUUUGGGAAUAUCAAUGAAAAGAAAAAAAUGGUAAUUCAUCUAGCCAGCCUUAAACAAAAUAAAUAUUAAUAAAAACUUUUAUGUUAUUAUUUUAGUUUUAGGACUAAUUUCGUAAAUUAAAUUUUUUAUGCAUUUAUUAGUAAGAUUGCUUUAAGAAUAUUAAACAUUACUUUAAGAUGGCUGUUAUUAAUUUAUUUAUAAAGAAUUAUUAGCAAGAUUGUUGUAAAAGUACAAAAAAUACUGGUUAUUUCAUAUUGAUAUUUAUUGAUUAAUUUUCCAAUUAACUUUUUUAUAAAUAAAUAAAUUAAUUUAAGAAUAUUAUUGCCAAGAUAUUAUUGUAAAAGUAAAUAAAAUUUAAGGAAAAAUGUAACGUAUUUAAUAUCAAGGUAUAUUGAGGUAUUUUUUAAAAUAUAAAAACUAAACGAGCAUUGAAGUUAAAAUAUAGGUACCAGACGAGCAUUUUCUCUUUUAGAAAGUUUUAUAUUUUAUUAAUGAAAGUCUGAAUAACAAAAUUAAGGUUUUGGACUUCUUUUAAACUAAACUUAAAUAUCACAAAUUUACCAAAAUAAGUAAACCUAACAUAUUACUACAUAAUAACAUUCUCCUAACUGAAAUAAGAUAAAUGUUACUCAAAUUCUAUAUCUAGAAAAAAAAAGAUAAAAAUCCUGAAAACAAUAGGAAAAUAGAUCUUAAACUUGUAAAAUAAUAUGAAAUAAAUAUAAUUUUCAAUCGAACCACGAGACUAAUGCGGUGCUACAGUAUUAGAUUAGAUUCCCCUCGUCGCGAACUUCGAAAUGUAUAUUAUACACCCUAAAUAGAUACUUAUAGCUCAAGUUGUUACCCUAGAGAGAUACUCCACUCAUCCUACGCAACCAUCCGCUGCAUCAAAUUCGUUCCAAAAUUAAGAAUAAACCAGCUGAUGCAUUCCAAAUAAUUUAGAUGAAACGAUAAAAUAAACCUAGAGAUCAAAUAACAUGAAAUGAAAAAGAUAAUUACCUUGGACUGAAGCUCAUACAAAUUCAUUAUUUGACACCUGCAGCAAUUGUUGAAAUAAUAGUUAAUGAAAUAUAAAAUAAGACAAGUACAUAUUAAUGAAACACCACUGUGAAUCGAUAGCUAAGGACGGAGUAAAAUUUAAUUGUAAAUUAGGACAGUAGAGCAAGCAUCCAUAAACAUAACAUGAACGUAAUACAUCAAUUGAAAUAUCAUAGGAUAAAUUAGGACGUCAGAGAAAGAAAUAAGUAAAUAAAUCAGCAAAGGAAACAUGCAUAAACAAAUAAAAAAACAAAGACAAAAUAAGGAAGAGUUUGUGAUAAUUUUCUUCUAUGGUCAUUGAAGUCCAAAAACUAAUAAGGAUCGAGCAAUUGAACGGUUGCAAACUCAAUGGAACCUUAAAAAUGAACAGUGAAGGAAAAUGAAGAAAUCUGCAGGAAAUAAGGCGAUUGAGAGUGAAGAAUUAAUUACCACUGAGUAAAUGCGAAUGAAGAAUGGAGACAGAUCCUUCUUCGCCCCAUUGAAAAGUGAGAUUCAUAGAUUGUAUUGAAAUUGAGAGUUGAGAUCAAGAAGCGAUUCUUCUUCUCCGUAAUUUCCUUUUUCUUUUAAUGUUGUUAUUAUUAUUAUAUCUUUUUUGAUAUCUUUUUUGUUUUAAACGGUAUUGGCAUAUUCUAUUUAUUUAUGUUAAUUUUACAAUACCUCCCUUCAGAUUGCACAAAUUACAUAAAAAAAAAAAAAAGUGCUUUAUGUAUAAAACUUUCAAACAAAUUGGGCCAAAAUCUAACUUUACCAAGUUUAGAGUAAUUUUGGGCUCGACAUUCCAUUUCCGACAAACGAAUUUUCUUUAUCACCAAGGUAUGAUACUUUUCAUAUUUAUCCAACGGCUCGUCAAUGACAAUACCUUUGUAAAAAGUACUUAUUUUGAAUAGUAUAUUGUGGAAAUGUCUGGUCGGUAAUACAACUAUUUCUUAUAGUGUAAAAAUGAUACACUAAGCGUUCACAUUUUGAUGAGUAAAUUAAGGAUUUCAAGAUGAAGUACAUAAUUAGAUUAAUGCUAAGAAACUGAAGUUUGAUCGAUUGAAAAUGAAAAUAAUAAUGAAGGUAAUUAAGAAAAUGAACAAUAUAUGCAGAAGCGGUCCUUAUUAGGACUUCUAGAUUUUCUCUUGGGCUUUCCUUAUUAUUGUUAAAAAAUGAAACGAAGAACUUUGAGUUUAAAAAUCUGGCCCUGAUGCCUGGUAGCCCUCCAACAUAUGAAGCACCAGAUGUUUUGAUGAGAAAAUGACAAGACCAUUUAUCAAAUUUCUUGUGGAUAUAAAUACAUACACAUAGACGAGACCAACCUCCUCAAAUGAGAAUCAGAGUGAUUAAAAGACCUUGCAAUGAGACAAUGAUACACCAUCAAAUGUCAAAAUACAAUAGAAAUUCACGACAUAUAUAUAAUAAAAGACCUCUCAUUGAGUCAUAUAUAUUGAGAAAAAAAAAUGUUAUAAUACAUACACAGAGCUUAGUUAGAAUAAAAUGUCUUUGAACUUGCGAUGAUCAAACAAAGGAAACAGACAGGUUGUAACUCACACUAUCACAAGAAGAUCACGAAGAUGGAAAUGGGAACCCAUCAGAAUGGAAACUUUGAAUAGAGGAAAAAAGAAAAACGACCUUAUUCACAGAAGAAGAGUGACUUAAAUCUUCAUCAGUAUCCAGACAUUUUGCAAUCAUAGAGUAGAGAAAUUUUAACAGGAACAGCAGAGAAAAUAUUAUGAAUAUGCUAUAGACCAAUAUACUUGUUCAUAGCUGACGUUUGAUGGUUUAAGGAUUUGUUCUAGGAAUAAUGGGCUGAUUACUUUCUUUUUAUUUUUUUAUUUUUUAAUCCAAUGAAUGAUAUUCAGCUGUUAAUUAUGUGUUCAUAGGGAAGAACAUUUUCUAAGUACUUUCCUUGCCUUCUAACUUUCCGAAAAGCAAACCCAAUGAACAAACAGAGGACAAACUAAAAUAAAAGAACAGCAAUGAUGACAAUAAAUAAUUGGCAAAGAAAAAAAAGGAAAAAGUAUGCACGUUUUCAAGGAAUUAUAAAAUAUGAAGGCUUUUAAUGAAACUUAAUCAUAAAAAGUAUGCAAGGAAUUAUAAAAUUUUAGAAAACAAGGGGAGCUCUCAAAAAAAAAUGAAAAACUCAAAUUAAACUAGACUAAAAGACAUUCAAUUUUGCAAAAUCUGUCCAUAAAAGUCUGAAAGGAUCAUUAAAAUUGCAUUGCAAAUUUAACAGUAAACCGAGGGACCCAUUCUAAAUAAUUCAGAUGAAAUUGCGAAACAAGACAUGGGAUUAAAUAAAUGAAAUAAAAAUUAAUUACCAGUUGAGACUUUCUUCUAAAAAUUCGCAACUCCAAGUCAUAAGAAGCCUAUGAAAUUAGUCGUACUGCGUAGAGUAUGACGAUGACACCGCCAACAGUUGAAAGUAAAAUUCUUAUUCAUCAAUUUAAACUUACUUUAUAACAAAUAUCUUAUCUAUAUUGUAUUUAAGAAAUCAAAUUUUGUAAAAAUUUAUCAUGGGAGAUAGAGAGUAAUAUGUAUAUACGUACCUUCUCAGCAUGUAAUUGUUGUAUGGUUGUGUUUAGAUCAUUAUUAGCCCAGCGCCGUUGAUCCGCUGUCUCUCCAUAGCAGACGUUUACUCUUAGAGGCGUGAUUGAUUCUCCUGUAGUGAAAAUCUUCAUCUUGGGACAACCAAUCACCCACAAAUUUUGCAAAGAUGGCAAUUUGACGGUGUAAUUGGCAGAGCAGAAACAAUCUCUUCUUUUUCAACUCCAUCUUUGUCAUUUAUUACCACCUCUGUCAUUGCUCUGCAUCCAUAUAUUUCUAUUGCUACGAGUCGCACCAGAGUUUUUGCUGUGGAGGAUGUUACCAUGUGUAACAAUUUCUUGCAACCGAAAGCCACCACAGCUGUUAGGUUCUGAAAAGAUACCGAUGAUGAUGGCAAUAGAAUUAACAGACUUUGACAAUGAUAUGCUUUUAGAAUUUCAAGAUACUGAAAAAUGGGGCCAAGUUUGGAGUCUUGUUUGCACAGCUGCUUCAGAUGAUAGUGCCAGCGCAGCUCUAAUGUUUUUAUCAUUGCCAACUUUCCCGCAUGUUUCUCUAAGCUUCCUUCCUCCGAAAAUACCUCUUCGUGGAAUGAAAAUUGAAACAGUGAGAGCAUUUCAAGAUUGUGAAAUCUCUCAAGUACAUUCCAGAUUGGAAAACAAGCUGAGUUAUCUUCGGCAAUCUCUAGUUGUUUAAGACUGCCAAAAAGGUGUUGUGGGAAAUCGGCCUGCAAAAUCAUCUUCACGUCUUUUCCAUUCAAUGAUAGGUCCUUCAAGUUGGGUAAGAUCUGAUCAUCAUAAAUCAUAAUAACUAAUGAGGUCAAUUGAUGUUCUCUCAAAUGAUUUUGAGUAAUCCAAUCACAAGCAGUGACUUUAUAGUAUCUGUUUUAUAUUAAUUUUACCCCCCAAAAAAAAUUGAAUUAGUGAUAAAAUUCAUUAUAUGAUUUUUUUAUAUGUUAAUUUUAGAGGUAAAAAAGAAAUUAGGGAAAAAGAGUUGAUUUAUAUUUGCAUGAAAAUAUUUUAUUUCACAACAAUAAAUUAUUAAUUUAUUUUGUAAGUCGUUGUAUAAAGAAAAACUAAGGAUUCUUUACCUAAAAAAGUCCAUAUAAUUAUUAAUCUCCCACAUUGAUCCCUUAGUCAUGACUAGCAAAGAUUUUUAUGUAAUAAAAAUUUUCAAUUUAUUAAGUAUCAAUUUAUAAAUGUUUUGUUACAUUUUUCAAAGUCAAAAAUCGUCAAUGAGCUAUUGAAAAAAAUAUCUAGAAUAUGACUUCAUACCUUUUCCAACGGCAAUAAGGGCUGUUGUGCAGGAAUAUCAAGUUGAUUAUUCUCUUUAUUCUGCGAUAAAUCUGCAGCGAAUAUCUUUAAUUUGUCACAACGACACACUGCAAAAUUUUCUAGUGCUGGCCAUUCCGAAGUAUGCAUUCCUGGGUAUAAACAUCUAAGUUUUGGUAGACCUUGGAGAAUCAGAACGGUGAGCUGUGGAAAGACAAAAUAAGGGAUCACUUCAUCUGCUCUGUUUUCAGAAACGAUCUCCUGUAAAUCCUCACAGAAGCGUAUAUCUAAGUGCUGGAGCUGCUUGAGGUUUCCGAUCAUAGACGCUGAAAAUAUGAUUUAAUUAUUUUCCACGUAUGACAUCAAAAGAGAACGCAUGAUAGAAUAAAAUCUGUUAUAUAUAUAUAUAUAUAUAUGAAGAAAAUGUUAGCCUACUGUUGCGGACAGCCCAAUUCGCUAGCCCAAUUGCCCACAAUUUCGGGCUAGAGAGCCAACACAAGGCCAAGAGUGCUAGCUUGGCCCAAUUCCGGAAGGUUCUAGGCAACUCUAGCACAUGUGAACAUGUAAAUAUUCUAGAAUACUUUAUACAAUUCCAGCACAUGUAGAAUUCUCCAUAGAAUUCCAGCACAUGUAAAUAGCUAGGAAAUGGUAGAAUUCUCUAGAAUCUCUAGAGCUUGGCAAGCCUCCCCUAUAAAUAUGGGAUGACAUUAGGCAUUUGUAUCCAACAAGCAUUGUAAGCAACUCAAGCAUUGUAUUAUCUCUUUGUGCAAUACAAGUUUUCUUCUAUUGGCUCAAUUGCUCUCUCUCUCUUCUCUAGUUCGAGAAGCUCUAGGCUUACUUAGCAACAUUCGGCAAAGUUGUCUAAGUGCCGCACGGGUUAGCUGCGCAAAACACUCAUCCCGUGACAAGUGGUAUCAGAGUUAAGGUUUGCACGCACGCAAAUUAGCUCACGAGCAAUGGCCAACCCUUCGAAUCCAGCACAAGAGGGUGUUGUUGGUGUGGAUGUUCCACCGGAACCAAGCCGCGGCCGAGAGGGAGAACGCGCCCAAGGCAAGACUCGCGGCAAGUCCAAGGUCCCAUCCGUGGAUGCGUUGGAGCCUUGUGUGACUACUCUCGAAAUCGCAUUGUCCGCCGCUCAAGAUAGCCUCGAAGGAUUGGAGGAAAGAGUGGAUGGUCUCGAGGGGGAAUACGUCGAGUUCACGGUGGCCACAAAAGCUCUCAUCCAAGAGCAAGCGAACACUCUCAGAGGUGAGUUUCGUUCUUUCCAUGAUGAGUUGCUAAAACUUCGUAGUUUUGUUCAGGACGAACUACGCAAUGUCCGUGCGGAAGUGGAUGAAGUCCGCUCGGAUUGGGCAUGGCACAAGCGCACACUCUCCUCAAGUCCAGCUUCCGCAAACUCGAGUGAUGCGCGCUGCAUUGACGUGCCAAAGCCCGACACUUACGAUGGCACACGCAACGCCACAAUCGUGGACAAUUUUCUCUUUGGGCUUGAUCAAUACUUCGAUGCCAUGGGUGUCCGAGACGAGGCAUCGAAAGUGGGCACUGCACCCACCUAUCUUAGAGGCACUGCACAACUAUGGUGGCGUCACAAGCAUGGCGAGAUGGGCAAGGGCAUUUGCACCAUCGACACUUGGGCCGACUUCAAGCAAGAACUCCGAAAGCAGUUCGCCCCAAGCAAUGCGGAGAAGGAAGCGCGAGCGCGCUUACGUCGCCUCAAGCAAUCGAGUAGCAUUCAGGACUACAUCAACGAGUUCACUACCCUUAUGUUGGAGAUAAGCGACAUGUCCGACAAGGAUUCACUCUUCUACUUCCAAGAUGGCCUCAAGGAUUGGGCCAAGACCGAGCUUGAUAGGCGUGGUGUUCAAACACUUGACGACGCCAUUGCCGUUGCGGAGUCACUCACCGAGUACUCUACCCAAUCCAAGGACAAAAAGGCCAACCAAGGCAAAGGUGGGGGAGAGAGUCGCAAGGACAAGGGCAACAACCGCAAAGAUUGGGGGCAGAAAAAGCCGCCUAGCAACAAGAGCGGGCAAGGAAAAUCGGAGGGCAAGAAGGAAGUGCCAAAGCCGCGAAGCCCAUGCUUCAUAUGCAAUGGUCCUCAUUGGGUACGCGACUGUCCGGAGAAAAGGUCACUCAACGCUCUUGCUGCCCAACUCAAGAGCAACCCCACAAUGUCCGCGGAGGAACCCCAACUCAGCAUGGGUUCUCUCCAACGCCUCGGCGCACUCAAUCGCCAACAGCCCGCACUCGUCAAGAAAGGGCUCAUGUAUGUAAGCGCAAAGGUAAACGGUCAAUCCGUUCACGCGCUGCUAGACACGGGAGCGACGCACAACUUCGUGUCCAUAGACGAGGCCAAGCGCUUAGGCCUCAAGGCCACCAAGGAAGGAGGCACAAUGAAAGCGGUAAACUCACCCGCCAAGCCAAUUGCGGGGAUCGCACAAGGCGUGCACAUCACACUCGGUACGUGGAGCGGAAAGCUUGACUUCUCUAUUGUGCCCAUGGAGACUUCAAGAUGGUCCUCGGCAUGGAAUUCUUCGACCAAGUCCAUGCCUUCCCGCUGCCCGCUACAAACUCCCUAAGUAUCCUCGAUGGGAGCAAAGCAUGCAUGGUACCCACAGAGCGAGGCAAGUCCGAGGAGAAGACACUCUCCGCCAUGCAAUUCAAAAGGGCUUUCAAGAAGGACCCAAGCUUCUUGGUCUCCAUUCGGGAACUAAACGAGGAAGGAAAUAGCGGAACUUCGCCAAGCCAAGUCCCUCCGCGAGUUCAAGCCGUCCUCAAUGAGUACAAGGAUGUGAUGCCUCCAGAACUUCCGAAGAAGCUCCCACCUUGACGAGAGGUAGACCAUGCGAUCGAGCUGGAAUAAGGCGCGAAGCCACCAGCCUUGGAGCCCUAUCGCAUGGCGACCCCCGAAUUAGAGGAGUUGCGGAGACAACUCAAAGACUUGCUGGACGCAGGCUACAUUCGCCCCUCAAAGGCCCCAUUCGGUGCACCGGUCCUCUUCCAAAAGAAAAAGGAUGGAUCGCUACGGAUGUGCAUCGACUAUAGAGCACUCAACAAGAUCACCAUCAAGAACAAGUAUCUGAUUCCCUUGAUCGCGGACUUGUUCGACCAGCUUGGCAAAGCACGGUACUUCACCAAACUUGACUUGCGCUCCGGGUACUACCAAGUGCGCAUUGCCAAGGGAGACGAACCGAAGACAACAUGCACAACAAGGUAUGGGUCUUUCGAAUUCCUUGUAAUGCCUUUUGGCCUUACUAAUGCACCCACCACAUUUUGCACGCUCAUGAACAAGGUACUCCAACCAUUCCUCGAGCGCUUCGUGGUCGUGUACUUGGAUGACAUAGUGGUGUAUAGCACCACGCUCGAGGAUCAUGCCCAACACUUGCGACAAGUCCUCCAAGUACUUCGAGACAAUGAGCUCUUCCUCAAACUAGAGAAGUGCUCGUUUGCCCAACAAGAGGUGGAGUUCCUUGGCCACAAGAUUGCGGGCGGGAAGAUCAUGAUGGAGAAUGCUAAAGUAAAGGCCAUCCUCGAUUGGGAGCCUCCCUCGAAAGUGCCCGAGCUUCGCUCAUUCCUUGGGCUGGUGAACUACUACCGCCGCUUCAUUAAGGGCUAUUAAGCUAAGGCGGCACCCUUGACGGAUAUGCUCAAGAAAAACAGAACGUGGCAUUGGUCCGAAGAGUGCCAACGCGCAUUCGAGGAGUUGAAAAAGGCAAUUUCGGAGGAACCAGUCCUCGCCCUUCCGGACCACACAAAGCCCUUCGAAGUGCAAACGGAUGCCUCGGAUUUCACCAUAGGAGGAGUCCUCAUGCAAGAAGGCCACCCUAUAGCGUUCGAGAGUCGAAACCUAAAUGAUACCGAACGCCGUUACACGAUGCAAGAAAAGGAGAUGACCGCAAUCAUACAUUGCUUACGGGUGUGGCGACAUUACUUGCUUGGCUCGCACUUCACAAUCAUGACGGACAACGUGGCGACAAGCUACUUUCAAACUCAGAAGAAGUUGAGUCCGAAGCAAGCGCGGUGGCAAGAUUUCCUUGCGAAAUUUGAUUAUCGGCUCGAGUACAAACCGGGUAAAGCCAAUGUCGUUGCGGACGCUCUAAGCCGCAAGGCAGAAUUAGCAACACUUAGCAUGAGCCAACUGAAGUCCGACCUUGUCUCACGCAUCAAGGAAGGCCUCCAACAAGAUCAGCUAGCAAAGGAUUUGCUGGAGAAGGUGCUCGAGGGAAAGACAAGGCGAUUUUGGCAAGAAGAAGGCAUCCUCCUCACCAAGGGAGAUCGGCUGUUCGUGCCAAGGUGGGGAAACUUGCGGAAGGAAGUAAUCAAGGAAUGCCACGACUCCAAGUGGGCUGGUCACCCAGGAAUCGAGCGCACCAUCGCACUAGUCCAAGCCUCGUAUUUUUGGCCGCACAUGAGGGACGACAUCGAGGCAUAUGGAUCAUCAACUUCCAGCGGGAUUAUUGGAGCCGCUACCACUAGCAACAAGGCCAUGGGAAAGUGUCUCCAUGGACUUCAUCACAUCGCUGCCUAAGUCCAAAGGUUGCGGAAGCAUCAUGGUCGUUGUCGACCGAUACAGCAAGUACGCCACAUUCAUUGCCGCACCAGUUGAUUGCAAAGCGGACGAGACAACCCGCUUAUUUGUCAAGCACAUUAUGAAGCUUUGGGGAGUUCCGAAGAGCAUUGUGACUGACCGAGACCCUCGGUUCACUGGACGCUUUUGGACGAAGCUCUUCAAGAUGUUGGGGACCGAUCUUAAGUUCUCAAUAAGCUUCCACCCACAAACGGAUGGGCAGACCGAGCGCAUUAAUGGCCUCCUCGAGAUGUACUUGAGGCAUUAUGUGAGCGCUCACCAGCGGGAUUGGGCGAAGCUACUCGACGUCGCCCAAUUUUCUUAUAACUUGCAGCGAAGUGAGGCUACAGGCAAGAGUCCAUUCGAGAUCAUCAUGGGAUUCCAGCCCAUGACCCCCAAUGCCAUAGCCUCGACUUACGGAGGGAAAAGCCCUGCGGCACACAAGCUCGCCCGCGAAUGGCAUGAGGAAGCGGACAUCACGCGAGCCUAUCUCGACAAAGCCGCGAGGAAAAUGAAGAAAUGGGUGGAUACAAGGAGACGGCAUGUUGAGUACAAGGAAGGUGAUCAAGUCAUGAUUAAGCUCCUACCCCAACAAUUCAAGACUUUGCGGAAAGUUCACAAGGGGUUAGUGAGGUGCUACGAGGGACCCUUCCGAGUUGUUCGACGUGUGGGAAACGUCUCGUAUCAACUCCAACUUCCGCCAAGACUCAAGAUCCAUCCGGUCUUCCAUGUGAGCCUUCUCAAGCCAUAUCACGAAGACAUGGGAGAACCAAGUAGCGGAGAAUCGAGGCGCGUGCCAACUGCCGUUGUCACUGCGUUCGACAAAGAUGUGGACUACAUCAUUGCGGACCGCACGGUUUCGAGGAGGGGCGUGCCAGCACAUAGCGAGUACUUGGUGAAGUGGAAAAACCUCCCCGAGAGCGAAGCCACUUGGGAACGUGAAGAUGAUUUGUGGCAAUUCGCUGAGCACAUCCAGAAUUUCAAGCACGAGAGCGCGACGAGGACGCCGCGAGCUUAGGUGGGGGAGGAUGUUGCGGACAGCCCAAUUCGCUAGCCCAAUUGCCCACAAUUUCGGGCUAGAGAGCCAACACAAGGCCAAGAGUGCUAGCUUGGCCCAAUUCCGGAAGGUUCUAGGCAACUCUAGCACAUGUGAACAUGUAAAUAUUCUAGAAUACUUUAUACAAUUCCAGCACAUGUAGAAUUCUCCAUAGAAUUCCAACACAUGUAAAUAGCUAGGAAAUGGUAGAAUUCUCUAGAAUCUCUAGAGCUUGGCAAGCCUCCCCUAUAAAUAUGGGAUGGCAUUAGGCAUUUGUAUCCAACAAGUAUUGUAAGCAACUCAAGCAUUGUAUUCUCUCUUUGUGCAAUACAAGUUUUCUUCUAUUGGCUCAAUUGCUCUCUCUCUCUUCUCUAGUUCGAGAAGCUCUAGGCUUACUUAGCAACAUUCGGCAAAGUUGUCUAAGUGCCGCACGGGUUAGCUGCGCAAAACACUUAUCCCGUGACACUACACACCUUCUCGUUGAAAAGCAGAGUUGAAGUAUCCUCUUGCGAUGAUGGUCUGUUUGGUGAUGCUAAAGGAGUCUUUACUUCACGGCAGAGAUUUAUGAUAUUUUACAAUCAUGUAUUUAGAUUUACUUUAAUUUUAUGUUUAAAGCUUCUACAAUGAAUAGCGUAGCUUGGGCUUUAGUUUCAUUUUCUAAUUAACUUGUUUUAGUUUAUCUUAUAUGCUCGCCAAGUGCUUGUUAUAUUGUCUGAUAAGUUAUAUAACAUUGCUGAUUCUAUAUUAGUAAUGUCAUGUUCCAUUUUCGGAAAUUAUAACACAAAAGUUUUUACAAUGGCUUGCAUCUACAAACUGAAUUGACUUGUAGAGUAAGAGCUUGGAUUAGUGUUAUGUUCUUGAAUAAAUGAAAGUUCAUAUUGUGUAAGAGCAUGUAGAUAUAAAGCAUCACUACCAUUUCUACAAACUGCUUUCAUUCUGUUCAGAUGCUCCUCUUGAACUUUGAAAGGUGCCUCAUUCAAGUCCUAGCUAUAACUACUAGCUCUGAUUGCUUAAGUUCCUGUGCUAGCUGAAACAGAUUUAUUUAAUUAAUUAAUUGUGUAUGUACUAAUUAUAUUGAAAGUAUAUGAAGAAAUUGUUUAACAUGAAUGACUUCUAAAUGACUUAAAAGCCUAAAGGAUAUGUGAAAUAAUGCUCAUUUCACUUGAACGAGCCUAUUAAUACUUGUAUGUCUAUGAUUGUCAAUCUUGCUUAAGUGUUUCAGUUAAGUGGUUUACCUAACAGGGAAAAAAAUUUAAUGGAAAACUUUAGAGUUCUAACAGAAAUAUAGUUGACUGCAGAUAUAGUUAUUUUACGGUACAUAAAUCAUGUUGUCCUAUUCUCAAUGUCCUACGACCUAUUUUAUUUUAUAUGGUCAUUCAUUUUUGCGAUGGUUUUUUGUGCUUAUGAGUAUGGAAAUAGUGGGAUUUAGAGUGGCAAACAAAAAUAUACAUAUAAUCAAGUUUCUUAAUCAUAUAUAUUGGUUUUGGGUAUGAAUGUUUUCCUAUUCUAGUUCUAAGCAAAGUUUCUUCAUUUUGGUCUUCAGAUUUCCAGUAGGUUAAGUUAAGCAACUAUCAUAACUAGCUAGCUAGUUAUUGCCUGCCUUGUCGCCAUUACCGACGCCAUUACAUUGCAUGGCAUAAGGAAUAGUAACUAGGUGAUUAUUGGUGAUUCGUUGAGUUUAUUAUUGGCCAAACAAACAUAUUGGCCUUUACCCACAACUUAGUUUGAUUAGUUAUUAGAUAAUAAAGAGCCUUAAUCUAUGCAUUGCUUUAUUAUUUUUAUUUGGUUUUUCUUUCAACAAUAUUGUUGAUUUCUUAUAAACAGUACUAGUAGUGAAAAAAUGAUGACAACAACAAAAAUAGAAAAUUACAAGACUGCUGAUAAAAUUUCAUUUGCAUGCAUGUCUGACAAAAUUUCCGUGAUUUAAUGUGCUUUCAUGAACGCAAGUCCUAACGUUUCUGUGAUCACAAAAUGAAACUGAAGAUAAAACAGAACAACUACCAAACCUUUCAAGCUUGACGAAGCCAUGAGAAUUGAUAGCUCAGGCUCUGAUACCAAGUAAAAGUUUCUAAUCUGUUUGGUAAGUAAGAAAAUGAGAGAAAAUGAAAGAAAGAACAUAGAUCAUCUAAGAGCUGGAUUUGAUAAGUAAAUAUGAAUCAUCCAUUCAUUAGCUGAUUGCAAAUGUAUUUAUACAAGUGAUGGUUGUCGAAGCCAACAAAAAUAAAUUCCUACUAUAAAUAAAUUGUGUAUAGUGAUUGAGCAGGGUCGUGUCCACAGAGAUCGGUAAUUAUUUAAAUCCUUUUGAAACGUAAAACGUAAAAUGGGGGAAUUGUUGACAAUAAUAAAAAUCAAAUUAAAAUAACAAGAAUACAAAUUAAAGUUGUAAUUCAAAUUGGAGAAAGCUCUGGUUGAAGGAAUUAACUCAGCUUGAUUCGACUACUGAUCAUUGAUUCAAAUAUAGAUUAUUAUUACUUAUGAAUAGACCGGUUAUAGCUACUGAGACCCUCUAAUAGCCAAUCUCUCCUUAACUAGUCGAUAACCAAGGUAUGACCGUUGGUUAUUUCCCUAAUCAAUAGACAACCCUAGAUACGAUCAUAGGAUUUAAUCAAUUGACAACCUGAAAGACCAGAGAGACCCAAAUCCUAAUCAACACAUACGAUGAUUCAUUUAAAUUAGAUUGUUUAUUCUCAUAACACAACUCACUGCUAUGUUAUUCGUCACAAACAUUAAAAGCUUCAUACGAUGAAUCCUUUAAUUAACAAUAGAUUAAGUUGAUAAUUAAAUAGUGGCCAAUUACCUAAUUAACAAACAUAAUCAUGAAAAUAAUUCAGAGAAUAAACAAAUACCCAAAAAGUAAUAAAACAAUUAAAGUAUAAAAUAGAUCUCACAGUAGUGAUGAAUCAAAACUUCAUUAUCCUUCAACCAGAAAAAUAAGUUUAGUUCUUCAUAGAGAGAAGAGAAAAGUUUAGAUCUAGGGUUUCUCUCUUUUUCUCCAAUCCCCAUUUUUCACAAUAGAUUCCUCCCUUAAAUACUCUCUCUCUCUUCUCUUUUAGAAUUCUAUUUAAAAUAAAAUACUAAUAUCUGAAAUAUUAAAUUCGUAAUUACAAAAAUAACCAAAAAUACAAAACACGUUAAACUAAAAACUGCAGGUCCGCAGUUGACAGCACGUGCCCACGCCUUAUCAACAAAGUUCUUCUGACGCUCAUAAUUUCUCCAAGAGAACAAUCAUCCUUAAACAUCAUCUUGUAACUCAAUUUUAUCACCAAUCAAUAGAAUUGCACCUACAAAAGUAAAACACAAGUAAAUCACUAUUAUUAAGUGCAAAACAUCGAUAUUAAGGGAAGUAAACAAUGCAAAACUAGUGCAUAAAUUGCACUCUAACAACAAGGUUCCUGAACAUUUCAGAUUCUAUAUGCUCGAGCUAAGCACCUGAGAGUUGAGCAGUGUGCACUAACAAACUGCUAACAAAAUAACUAACUCAUGCCAGCUCAGCUAACACGUCAGUAACUCUAACUAUCUUGCUUAACAAACUGAAACAAUAACUAACCAUUUUAACUAUCUUAACAAUCCCAAUAAUUUCUCCAUUUGUGUACUUUUUUGAAUCAUAAUCAAAUGGAUAAAUGUUGCAACUAUUUUUUUAGAUAUUUUCACUUUAGGAUGUCAGCCCGAGGAAGUACGGGGGUCUGAGUUAUUCAACUGAAAAUGUCGGCCAAGUUCUUGCCAUCUCAAGUGCAAAACUGAAAAUGUUACUCGUUCUUCUUAACUUGUUUUCUCAUGCAUCAACCCCACAAAACUGCUCAUUGAAGGGGUAAAAUUUUGAACACACCAUGUGGCAUUUAGACCAUUUGAUAGUUUGUUUCAAACAUAUUUGUUUAUAAAAUACUUUUCUUCAUGGAUUUGGUUACGUAAUUGUCUAUGUAUGUACAGGUUUUAUCGAUACCUCUUUUGACAAGUUACAUAGCAAUGUUAUCUGGGUUCAGCCGUGCCUUAUUGAUAAACUGUGCUUCUGUAAUGAAGAAUGUUUUAUCUGUAAGUGGAUAUCCUAAUCGUUGAUCCAUAUCCAUAAGCAAGUAUGUAUAAAAUUAUUUUAUGUCUUUUUUAUUAGAAAUGUUGUAAUUCUUUUUUACUCUUCCUGAAUUAUAACAGCAGGUGUCUAUAAUAACUGGAUUGUUCCUUCUGCAAAACAGAGCAGUGGUAAAUAUUUUUUUCUUUUGUUUGUCUAGUACAUUUCCAUGAUUUCAGCUUUUUCAAAUUUUGUAUGUGUCAAAGUUUAAAUUUAAUUUGUUGGUUUAUGGCAACAACAGGAACAGAAUCAAAGAGGAGCUGCCAAUGGACUGCUAUGACUGUAGAGUCGCUUACCAAAACUGCUGGUUCAGCUGUAGGAGGUGCUAUGUAGGCGUCCUAUUGAUUUUGUAAAAUUAUAUGUAAAUGAUGUCAUAAUUUUUAUUGUCUCCCCCACCCCCUCUCCCCAAAAAAAAAAAUAUUAAAAAAUUAAAAAAUUAAAAACUAAGGCGUGAUUAAAUUGAUCAUUUGUUUGGUAACAACUUGAUUAAUCGGGUUCUGGCAGAUUUUCUUGGUCACAAAAAGCGUCAAGAUGCUGGUUUCCUCCCAGGUAUGAUGAUUUACUAAUGAAAUUUAUCACUAGUAUGUGAAUUACUUGGUGCUAAUUAACUUAAUCAGCUGCUUAAAUUAAAGUGCAGGUAACCUUAUUUUUUUUUCUUUUUACAAUAAUACUCUUGGAAUAAUAUUUCUGGGAAUAUUAAUGAAAAAAUGGUAAUUCAUCCAGCCAGCCUUAAACAAAAUAAAUAUUAAUAAAAACUUUUAUGUUAUUAUUUUAGUUUUAGGACUAAUUUCGUAAAUUAAAUUUUUUUAUGCAUUUAUUAGUAAGAUUGCUUUAAGAAUAUUAAACAUUACUUUAAGUUGGCUGAUAUUAAUUUAUUUAUAAAUAAUAUUAGCAAGAUUGUUGUAAAAGUACAAAAAAUACUAGUUAUUUCAUAUUGAUAUUUAUUGAUUAAUUUGGCAAUUAACUUUUUUAUAAAUAAAUUAAUUAAUUUAAGAAUAUUAUUGCCAAGAAAUUAUUGUAAAAGUAAAUAAAAUUUAAGGAAAAAAUGCAACGUAUUUAAUAUCAAGGUAUAUUGAGGUAUUUUUCAAAAUAUAAAGACUAAACAAGCACUGAAGUUAAAAUACAGAUACCAAAUGAGCAUUUUCUCUCUUAGAAAAUUUUAUAUUUUAUUAAUGAAAGUCUGAAUAACAAAAUUAGGGUUUUGGACUCCUUUUAAACUAAGCCUAAAUAUCACGAAUUUACCAAUAUAGUAAACCUAAAAUAUUACUGCAUAAUAACAUUCUCCUAACUGAAAUAAGAUAAAUGCUACUUAAAUUCUAUAUCUAAAUGAAAAAAAGAUAAAAAUCUUGAAAACAAUAGGAAAAUAGAACUUAAACUUGUAAACUAAUAUGAAAUAAAUAGAAUUCUCAAUCGAACCACGAGGCUACUGUGGUGCUACAGUAUUAGAUUAGAUUUCCCUCAUUGCUAACUUCAAACUGGUAUAUUAUACACCCUAUAUAGGUACUUAUAGCUCAAGUUAUUACCUUAGAGAGAUACCCUACGCAUCCUACACAACCAUCCACUGCAUCAAAGUCGUUCCAAAACAGUAGUUCACAGUUGGUACUGCACAUGAUGCUUGUUUCUCCUUUUGCAUCAACUUUUGUUGUUAACAUUAAUUUCAAUAGCAGCUCGUUAUGUAUGCAACAUUUCAAAAUUAAUCCAAAAAAACAAAAAUUAGUUCAGCUGACUAAAUUUGAAAGCAUGGAUUUGCUGUCGAUUAAAAAUCGUUUUCUAGGGAAAAUUUUUGGAUUGCAAUUCUCAUACAAUACAUAGAAUUAUCAUAAUCUAUAAAUUGUAUUUUUUCUUUUCUACGGUAGUAAGUCAAGAAUCCUUAGUGACAAUUUAAAUUGAAAAAAUAAAAUCAUAAAUAAGAAUUAUUUGAUAAGAAUUAAAAUAAUUGAUAAAUAUUUGAGAGGAACAAUUUUGGAAGACUCGAUCUAAUAGGAGGAGAAUUUGAAUUUUACAACCUUCCGUGAGGAAUCCAAAAUGCACAAUUUGAUGAAAAUUAAAUUUCAAUAGAAAUUGAAUUCCCAUAUAUUAGUGAAAACCAAACAACAGAAAAGUGAAAGGAAUUUGAAUUCAUUUCCUUCCUGUCUCAUCCCUCCAACUAAACACCAUCGAUACCCAAAGGUAUGGGAUUGGGAUUCCAUACUGAUCAGAAUGGGAUUUGUCCAUAUUAUUAGGACCAAUUUUAAAAGCAGUCGGAGUUUAAAAUUGAAAUUAAUCCCAAUUUUUUAUCAAUUUAUGCAUGAAUUUUUGUACGUUUACUUUGGUUUAUUAUUGUUACUUUUAGACAUUUUUAUUGGUUUGAUUUAGGGUCAUUUUGGUAAUCUUGUAAUUUUUAAAAUAGUUACAGUUAGUUAUGCUGUAGAAAUUGAUCAAUCAUGAAGAGAAUCAGCUGAACAUUUAGUAAAAUUUAUUUUUAAAAGUACUUUGUUUUAAAAGCAGUUGUAUGUGUUUCGUAAAUCUUAUUUUUAAACAGGUGCAAGAAUAUAAAUAACUAAAUUGGACAUAAUACUAAAUAAAAUUUAUUUACACAUUUACAAACAUGUAUAUAAAAUAUUUUUAUUAUGUACAUAUAAUUAUUGAUAACUAAAAUAAAUAUUUUAUAUUAUUAAAUUUUAUUCUUUAUUUUGUUAUCUCAAUAUAAUUGGUAAUAAUAAUAAUCUUUUAAAGUUAAUGAUUUUAUUUCUUAAUUAAUAAAGAUAAUUCUGGAUUUUUAUUAUAUAAUGAGGAUAUAUAUAUAUAUAUAUAGAAUUGGAUUAAGUAUAAAAGUGAUUUUCAAAAUCAAAUUUUGAAAAACUAUUCCUUCCAUACUUUUCAAAAUCCACUGUAUGAUGAGAUGAUUUUUCCAAAAAUAAUUACUAAAAAAUUAUAAAACACUAAAAAUUAGGUUUUAGUUUUUAAAAUCACUUUUGAGCUUCCCAAAAACAAUCCUAACGGGCCUUUAUUUGGGUGGUGUUGGAACUUGUAACUUUUGGAUCUUUUAGUUUUUAUUGGUUUGAUACAAGUGUUACACUAAAAAUUGAAUGCAUCUUAAACCCCAAACUUCUUCUUCUUCUUUUUUGAUUGCACAAAAUUAAAAACAAUAGUGAACGCAUUCUUUAAUAAACAAUAAGUAAUUACUAAAAUUGUGUUAAAGAAUUUAGUUGAAACAUAAAUUGAUUUCAAUGUUGUAUAUGCUAAAUUUCUUAAAAAUUUUCUUUCACAGUCUGCGGAAUAGUUUUAUUAGUAUUUUGAAUAAAUAAAAAUAAUUGAUUUAAUUUUUUAAAGAAAUUUAUUAGGUUCAUGUAAAUACGUUUUUGUUAUUUAAAAAGUGUACAAAGUAAAACUUAAUUUUUUAAAUUUAUUAGAUGAAUGGAUAAAAUAAUUGAGUGUUCAUAGUAAAUUUUAAAGUAUAGAUAGUCAGACCCUAAUAUUUUUAAUAAAUGGAAAUUUUUAAAAUAUGUUAAUGAGAAUUAAAAUGAUAAUUAAGGGAGGCAUUCGAGACAUUCAAGAUUGUUAGGAUAGGACAUGAUUGUGAGCGGUUUGAGAUUGGCCCUAAUUUUGAUCACAAAUAUAUAAGCAGGAUGAGUUUAUCCAUACUUACAUUCCAUUUGAUAAUUAAGAUGAGAGUGGAAUUGUCAAAUCCCAAAUUAUCCCGGACCAUUGCCACCAAAGGUACUCUCACUAAUAAUAUCUAAAGAAAAAUCUACAUCUAUUUCAUACUUUUUUUUUUAAACGGAAAGAGCCCUUAUGGGGCUUGAAAUGGUAUCCUAAAUAAUAUUCAGAAUAUCAGGCCAUGACUGGGUUUGUAACAAACAAAUAUUACAUAGUUGGGAUACGUAGUUGCUAGUGUCCCAAUUUAUGUAGUAUCUAUCAUUUAGUGCACAUAUAAAGUGUUUGGGAAAUGAAAUAGGGUGACCAAGAUAAGGUGUUUGCUCAUAUAUUAUCGUGCUCUCCUCAAAGUAAAAAGUGAAAAAAUAGUUGAUAGACUACUAGGAGUUUAUUUGGUCACCUCGACCAGGAUAUUAUUUGAUGAUCUCGAGCACAUCAUCUUGACUAAGAGAUUAUUUGGUCGCCUUGAGUAUAUCACCUCGACCAGGAGAUUAUUUGGUGACCUCGAGUAGAUCAUCUUGACCAGGAGGUUACUAGGAAGCACGACUCAGUCAAAACAAAUCUCACUUAUUUUCUUCGAAAUAUUGGGGACCAUAUUCUUAGUGGGCUGAAAAUUAGUGGUUUUCUUGAGAGUUUAGGUGAGAGGAUAAAAACCGCUAUAAUUUGCUCUAAAAAUCCUGGGAAAGGGGGGGAAAUAGGGAGAUUCUUUUUAUCUCUCUCUCUUUGGGUGACUGAACCCAUGGGAUCUUUUUCUCUCUACCACUGGGAAACUUCUCUUUCUCUCAUGAUUUAUUUUUCUUUAAGAUUGGUUAUUUUUUAUUCUUUUCCCAUAAAUUUACUUAAAAGCUUUUUGUUUAAAGUAUUCAUAAUUAAGCCGCGUGAAUUGUGGUACGGAUUUUUCCAAGUAGACCCAAAUCGCUGACUUGAGCAUCAGAGAAUUUUCUUUAAGAUUGAUUAUUGUUUCCAUAAAUUUGAACCAAGAAGGAUGACGCGAUAAAAUUUGUUUUUAUUGUAUGGUUGAUUUCAUAUCUCAUGCACUCAUUUCUUAAGAUAAUUAGAUUUCAUCUUUUGCAAAUGUGGAAAUAUCAAUUAUGAUCGAUCAAAACAAUCUCAAAACCUUUCAAUGAGACAUAUUUAUAAUACAAUAUUGUGAAAAUUACACCAAAAAUUUAAUUUAUGAUAUAUUAUUGUCCCACCAGCACACAAAAAUGAAUUCGUACAAAUCUAAAAUACUUAGCAAUUUUCAAAUAGAAUUUUAAAUUUAUUUCCAGUUAGAAAACUAUUCGCUGGACUCCGUAUUACUAGCCACCAUGGUAAGCCUAACCGGUUGCCGGCGAAUGGCGUAAAACACCAGCCAUCUUCUUCUUCAUCAUAUUCACCUUUCAUCUUUUGAGUUAAGCCUGUGAUUAUGAGUUUCUUCUCUUACUUAGCUUGUAAUUAUAGAUUUUGAUUCUUUUUAAUUCAUAUUGUAGCCGUUAUUGUCAAUUUUUGUCCCGCCAGCAAUAUUUUUUUAUUCCUACAAGUUGAAAAUGGAUUCAUUUGAAUUACUAUUGAAUUUAGCUUUAAUUUCAAUAUCCAUUCUAAUGUUUUGCUAUUAGAUUUACUUUAAUUUUAUGUUUAAAGCUUCUACAAUGAAUAGCGGAGCUUGGGUUUUAGUGUCAUUUUCUGUAACUUGUUUUAGUUUAUCUUGUACGCUCACCAAGUGCUUGUUAUAUUGUCUGAUAAGUUAUAUACAUUGCUGAUUCUAUAUUAAUAAUGUUAUGUUCUAUUUUCAGAAAUUAUAAUACAAAGUUUUUACAAUGGCGUGCAUCUACAAACUGAAUUGACUUGUAGAAUAAGAGCUUGGAGUAAAUGAAAGUUCAUAUUGUGUAAGAGCAUGUAGAUGUAAAGCGUCAUUACCAUUUCUAUAAAGGACUUUCAUUCUGUUCAGAUGCUCUUCUUGAACAUUGAAAGGUGCCUCGUUCAAGUCCUAGCUAUAACUACUAGCUUUGAUUAAUUAAGUUCCUAUACUAGCUGAAACAGAUUUAUUUAAUUAAUUAAUUGUGUAUGUACUGAUUAUAUUGAAAGUAUAUGAAUUUUUUUUUUUUUUAACAUGAAUGACUUAAAAACCUAAAGAAUAUGUGAAAUAAUGCUCAUUUCACCUGAAUGAGCCUAUUAAUACUUUUAUGUCUAUGAUUGUCAAUAUUGGCUUAAGCAUUUCAGUUAAGUGGUUUACCUAAUAGAGAAAAAAAUUUAAUAGAAAACUUCAGAGUUCUAACAGAAAUAUAGUUCACUAUGCAGAUAUAGUUAUUUUACGGUAUACAAAUCAAGUUGUCCUAAUCUCAAUGUCCUAUGACCGAUUUUAUUUUAUAUAGUCAUUAAUUUUUGCCAUGGUUUUUUGUGUUUAUGAGUUUGAAAUAGUGGGAUUUGGUGUACCUUAUCAUCUUUUGAAAAUUCUCUUUAAGUGUGGCCAACAGAAAUAUACAUAUAAUCAAGUUUCUUAAUCCUGUAUAUUAGUUUUGGGUAUGAAUGUUCCUAUUCUAGUUCUAGGCAAAGCUUCUUUGUUUUGGUCUUCAGAUUUCCAGUAGGUUAAGUUAAUCAACUAUCAUAACUGGCUAGCUAGUUAUUGUCUGCCUUGGCGCCAUUACCCAGGCCAUUAUAUUGCAUAGCAUAAGGAAUAGUGAUUAGGUGAUUAUUAGUGAUUUGUUGAGCUUAUUAUUGACCAAACAAAUGUAUUUGCCUUUGCCCACAACUUAGUUUGAUUAGUUAUUAGACCAUAAAGAGCCUUGAUCUAUUCAUUGGCUUUAUUAUUUUUAUUUGGUUUUUCUUUCAACAAUAUUGUUGAUUUCUUAUAAAAAUAUUCAUUGGUUUUUAAACACCUAAUCAUUGGCUAUAUGAAGCUAAUUAAAACUGAGGCUUUGGAUCAAUUUCUUCUAACAAGAUACAAAUGAGCAAAACCUUUCUCCUCUAAGUAAAUUUUUUUAAUAUCCCUUGAUUUGUAAGGAUCUGGAGGCCUGAAUCCUCUUGAUUUUUUUUAACACUGUCAUUGUUCUUUUUAUUCUGAGAAGGAAAUAAAAGGUUUUAUCUUUCAUACCCGAAUAGUAAGCUGGCCUUGUCUUAACAUGGCCUCCCGAGGACUUGCAAGAUUCAUAGUGCCCCCCACCCCAAAAAAAAAAUCAAAAACACAAAUAGGAAGAUUUUGCAAGAUUCACCACCAGGUUUUUUUUUAAUUUAUUAAUUGUGUGUACGUGCUAGUUAUAUGUUGAAAGAAUAGGAAGAAGUAUUUCAACAUGAAUGACUUAAAACUUAUUGCUCAGUAAAUAUAAUCUGCAUCAGUGCGAAAAUGUAUUUAUCGUUUGUAUUUUUUAUGGUUUUGCUAAAGAAAUGAUAUGUGAAAUAAUGCUACAUUGCAUCAGGAAUAAAUUGAAGAGAUUUAUGAUAUUUAUGUGUUAUUCAAAUUUCAGAUUCAAUUUUAAACUUUUGAUACAUGCAUUGAAAGCUUAGACUUGUUUAAGAAAUUAUUAAUAGACACAUGUUUUAUUAGUUUCAUCUUUGGAUGAUAGUGAGGAUCAUAUGUCUAUUAAUAAUUCUUGAAUUGUCCAGGCUUGGACAGUUUGGGAAUGCAUAGUUCACUCUGGUAGCUAGUAGCUGAAGUUUUUUCCCACGUAAAAAUGGGUUUUUCGGUAGCUGCUCCUCGUGUUCUCUGGGUACGUACUAGGUGAAUGGGUGUCAUGUGUUGUUUUGGCAUAACGCAUAAACACUUAUAUAGCUAUGUCGUGUGCUUGGAGAAUUAUAGGGAGAUGGUGCCGAAAUUUUUAUAAACGUGGAAGAAAACUUUAGGUACUUGAGAUUGAAGAAACUUAUGCAUUCUUGAGUGGGAUAUGUAGGAUUACUUACCUUCUGUAAAUAUGAAGGGAAUGUUGGAUAUAUUGGGGAUAGUGUAGGAGCUGAGUUGGAUGAAUGUAAUUGGUGAUGAUUUUGCUGAGCUGACCUUGGUUUUGAGCUUGUAAUUUUGUUUGUAAAUGGAGUGCUAUCACCAAUGUUGGUUUAUAAAAAUGUUUCAGGACUUGCUGACCUAAUUUUUUGUUUCUAGGUUACAGGCUUUAUAUAUCUGUAAUUGAUAGCCAAGUGAAGUUCUCAGCGCUUGGCGAGGAUAUUUCUUUACAGAAGGUAUUGGAAACUGUUUUUUACAUUAAUUAUCGUUGUUUAUAUACUUUGAUUGUCACAUCUUUUUCUCUGAUUCUUGUGGCUUUGCUUGCUUUCAUAUAUGUAAAUUCUAAUGAAAUUAACCAUAAAAUUGUAAAAUGAUCUUUUUAUUAUAUUGCAAAACUGUGCACACACGAAAAUAUGUUGUUUAGUAGUAGAAAUGAAGAACUAAUUUUUGUAGCGCAUUAAAAGGAGAUAGUCAUGGACAAGUGUUGGGUUGGUUUGCCAAAUAGAUAUCCAAGUCAUAUACUGAUGGCGUUGAAAAAUUUAUAGAUUUUGUAUUUGAGAAUGUUGUUGGUGGUACAAGAAUUUAUUGUCCUUCUUGAUAAGUGUUGUAAUCUAUAUUUCGUUAUAAGGGAAGUGGCUGAUGAUGAUAUGGUUGGAAUGAUACACUGCAUCACGUAAUCAAAUGUUCAAGUUACACGCAGCAUUGUUAUGAACUAUCAGUGGCAACUUGUCUGGGUGGAGUAUUAAAGGUAAAUGAGCAUGUCUUAUUUGCCAACAAAGCACUAGAUCUAAUUGGUUGAUACAGAAUUACAUAGUAGAAAAUUUUGUCACGUGGGUCACCGUCGAUUUUGCCCAACAAAUCAUAGGUUUCGAAAAUAUAGUGUCUUUUGAUAAAACUAGAGAGUAGGGACCAGCACCUUCUCGGUUGUCUGGAACUGAAGUGAAAAAGCAGUUUAAUAUAGUUACUGAGUAUAAGAUUGAAGACUUGAAAAGAGGAGAACGAAUAAAAUGAGAGAAAUGAUAAAAUUACUUGGAAGAAGAACAGCAUUUCUUAAGAUUACUUGGAAGAGAAAUGAUGUGGAAGAUGGCUAUAAAAUAUAAAAGGAAAGGCUUAAAAAGAAAAGCCAUGCCUGUCAAAAACAAAAAACAAUGGCAGCGUCAAAUUUAUAACAAAAAUCAAAACGGUGCGUUUGAGAGUGUAUAAAAUACAUUUAGAGUGGGAGUUGUGUUGUUGCUUGAAGGCAGAAUGUUUGUGAGAUAUUUGUCGACGAAGCCGAAACCAAAGAUGAAGCCCAUCAAAAGUAUUUAUAGUGUAAAAAGUAUAUUGUGGAAAUGUCUGGUCGGUAAUACAACUAUUUCUUAUAGUGUAAAUGAUACACUAAUUUGAAUUUAUAUGCUUUUAUGAUUAUUUUAUUAUCAAGUGGUGAUCAUAUGUGAUGAUAAACUUAGGUAGUACCUUUAUAUUUAUUGCCUUAGUUUUCUAAGCGUUCACAUUUUGAUGAGUAAAUUAAGGAUUUCUAGAUGAAGUACAUAAUUAGAUUAAUGCUAAGGAACUGAAGUUUGAUCAACUGAAAACGAAAAUCAUAAUGAAGGUAAUUAAGAAAAUGAACAAUGCAGAAGCGGUCCUUAUUAGGACUUCUAGAUUUUCUCUUGGGCUUCCUUAUUAUUGUUAAAAAAUGACACGAAUAACUGAGUUUAAAAAUCUGGCCCUGAUGCCUGGUAGCCCUCCAACAUAUGAAGCACUAGAUGUUUUAAUGAGAAAAUGACAAGACCAUUUAUCAAAUUUCUUGUGGAUAUAAAUACAUACACAUAGACGAGACCAACCUCCUCAACUGAGAAUCAGAGUGAUUACAAGACCUUGCAAUGGGACGAUAACACACCAUCAAAUCUCAAAAUACAAUAGAAAUUCAUGACAUAUGUAUAAUAAAAGACCUCUCAUUGAGUCAUAUAUAUUGAGAAUAAAAAUGUUAUAAUACAUACAAAGAGCUUAGCUAGAAUAAAAUGUCUUGGAACUUGCGAUGAUCAAACAAGGGAAACAGACAGGUUGUAACUCACACUAUCACAGAUGUAGCGACACGAUGCAGUGAAUCACAAGAAGAUCACGAAGAUGGAAACGGGAACCCCUCAGAAUGUAAACUUUGAAUAGAGAAAAAAAGAAAAACGACCUUAUUUCAAAUUGUGCACAGAAGAAGAGUGACUUAAAUCUUCAUCAGUAUCCAGGCAUUCUGCAAUCAUAAAGUAGAGAAAUUUUAACAGGAACAACAGAGAAAAUAUUAUGAAUAUGCUAUAGACCAAUAUACUUGUUCAUAUCUAACGUUUGAUGGUCUAAGGAUUUGUUCUAGGAAUAAUGGGAUGAUUACUUUUUUUUUUUUUUUAAUUUUUGUUAAUCCAAUGAAUGAUAUUCAGCUGUUAAUUAUGUGUUCAUAGGGAAGAACAUUUUCUAAGUACUUUCCUUGCCUUCUAACUUUCCGAAAAGCAAACCCAAUGAACAAACAGAGCACAAACUAAAAUAAAAGAACAGCAAUGAUGAGAAUAAAUAACUGGCAAAGAAAUAAUGGAAAAAGUAUGCACGUUUUCAAGGAAUUAUAAAAUACGAAGGCUUUUAAUGAAAUUUUAUCAUAAAAAGUAUGCAAGGAGUUAUAAAAUUUUAGAAGACGAGGGGAGCUCGCAAAAAAAAAAGAAGAAAAAGACUCAAAUUAAACUAGACUAAAAAGACAUUCAAUUAUGCAAAAUCUGUCCAUAAAAGUCUGAAAGGAUCAUUAAAAUUGCAUUGCAAAUUUAACAGUAAACCGAGGGACCCAUUCUAAAUAAUUCAGAUGAAAUUGCGAAACAAGCCAUGGGAUUAAAUAAAUGAAAUAAAAAUUAAUUACCAGUUGAGACUUUCUUCUAAAAAUUCGCAACUCCAAGUCAUAAGAAGACUAUGAAAUUAGUCGUACUGCGUAGAGUAUGACGACGACACCGCCAACAGCUGAAAAUAACAUUCUUAUUCAUCAAUUUAAACUUUUACUUUAUAACAAAUAUCUUAUCGAUAUUUUAUUUAAAAAAAGCAAAUUUUGUAAAAUUUUUCCAUGGGAGAUAGAGAGUAACAUGUAUAUCCGUACCUUCUCAGCAUGUAAUUGUUGUAUGGUCCUGUUAAGAUCAUUAUUAGCCCAACGCCGUUGAUUCGAUGUCGCUCCACACCAGACAUUUACUCUUGGAGGCGUGCUUGAAUCUCCUGUAGUGAAAGUCUUCAUCUUGGGACAACCAAUCACUUCCAGAUAUUCCAAAGAUGGGAAUUCAAAGGUGUAGUUGGCAGAGCAGAAACUUGUGAGACUUUCUAAAUCACGCAGGCCCAACGCCUUCAAUUUGCGGAAAACAAUCUCUUCUUUUUCAACUCCAUCUUUGUCAUUUAUUACCACCUCUGUCAUUGCUCUGCAUCUACAUAUUUCUAUUGCUACGAGUUGCACUAGAGUUUUUGCUGUGGAGGAUGUUACCAAGUGCAUCAAUCCCUUGCAACCGAAAGCUAAAAGUUUUGUUAGGUUCCGAAAAGAUACCGAUGAUGAUGGCAACAGAAUUAACAGACUUUGACAAUUAUAUACUCUUAGAAUUUCAAGAUACUGAAAAAUGGGGCCAUGUUUGGAAUCUUGUUUGCACAGCUGCUUCAGAUGAUAGGGCCGGUACAGCUUUAAUUCUUUUAUCAUUGCCAACUUCCCCACAUGUUUCUCUAAGCAUCCUUCCAUCGAAAAUACGUCUUCGUCGAAUGAAAAAAAAGACAGUGUGAGUAUUUCGAGAUUGUGAAAUCUCUCCAGUACGUUCCAGAUUGGAAAACAAGCUGAGUCAUCUGCAGCAAUAUCUAGUUUUCUAAGACUGCCAAAAAGGUGUUGUGGGAAAUCGGCCUGCAAAAUUAUCUUCAUGUCUUUUCCGCUUAGUGAUAGUUCCGUCAAGUUGGGUAAGAUCUGAUCAUCAUCAAUCAUAAUAACUAAUGAGGUCAAUUGAUGUUCUCUCAAAUGAUUUUGAGUAAUCCAAUCACAUGCAGUGACUUUAUAGUAUUUGUUUUAUAUUAUACUUUACCCAAAAAAAAAUUGAAUUAUUGAUAAAAUUUAUUAAAUGAUUUUUUAUAUGUUAAUUUUAGAGGUAAAAAAGAAAUUAGAGAAAAAAACGAAAUUAUAUUGCACGAUAAUAAAUUACUAAUUUAUUUUGUAAGUUCUUCUAUAGGAAAGACUAAGGAUUCUUUUACAAAUGUUAUACCUAAAAAAGUUCAUAUAAUUAUUAAUCUAUCACAUUAAUCCCUUAGUCUAGACUAGCAAAGAUUAUUGUAUAAUAAAAGUUUUUAAUUUAUUGAGUAUUAAUUUAUCAAUGCUUUGUUAUAUUUUUCAAAGUUAAAAAAAAAAAUGCUAUUGAUAAAAAAUCUAGAAAAUGGCUUCAUACCUUUUCCAACGGCAAUAGGGGCUGUUGUGCAGGAAUACCAAGUUGAUCAUUCUCAUUAUUCGGCGAUAAAUCUGCAGCGAAUAUCUUUAAUUUGUCACAACGAUACACUAAAAGAAUUUCUAGUGCGGGCCAUUCCGAAGUAUGCAUUCCAGGGUACAAACAUCUAAGUUUUGGUAGACGUUGGAGUCUCAGAGUGGUGAGCUGUGGAAAGACAAAAUAGGGGAUCACUUGAUCUGCUCUGUUUUCAGAAAUGAUCUCCCGUAAAUCCUCACAGUGGCGUAUAUCCAGGUGUUGGAGCUGCUUAAGGCUUCCGAUCAUAGACGCUGAAAAUAUGUAUUUUAAUUUGUGACAACGCCACACAAUCAAUCGUGUUAAACUCUGAAAGCGAGGAAACAUGACCGGAAGAUGAUUGUAGUGCCAAAUCUUGUCGACAUUAAUAUCAGUUAUCUCCAAAGCCUCCAAGUUAGGCAACGCAACCUAAAAAAAUAAGAAUUUCUCAUUAGAUCCAAUAUCCAUAUGGGAAGCACUUGUUGAAAUUUUCUUCUUUGAUUACAAAUUAAUGCAAGUCAGAAUCAAUUUCCAACUGACUGCUGAGUUUGAUGCAUUCUAAUUCAUACAACUUUUUAAGAGCUCAAUUAGUGAGCGUGUGAGAUUCUUUUUAUCCUUUUUUCCAUUUUCCUUCAAUUCUUUAAAUGAUUUAAUUAUUUUCCACGUACGACAUCAAAAGAGAACGUUAUAUAUGAAUAAAAUCUGUUAUAUAUGAAGAAAAUGUUAGCCUACGCACCUUCUCGUUGAAAAGCAGAGUUGAAGUAUCCAAAGUGAUUUCGCUGGAGCAAUACGUAGUCGUCGAUUCCUCUUGCGACGCUGGUCUGUUCGGUGAUGCUGAAGGAGUCUUUACUUCACGGCAGAAAUUUGUAACCUCUGGAAGAUUCCCCAGACUCAAAGAUCUUAAUUGAGCAAACUCUAUCUUCUCAAUUGCAUUAUGAUCAACUUCUUCCCCAAUUGAAAAAAUUUCUUUCAUCUUGCUGCAAUUAAUAACUGCAAUUCUCUCAAGUCUUGGAAGGCAUUUUGUAGUGGAGAGCCAAAAGAUAUUGCUUAACUUAUCACAAUUAUAUGCUUCUACGGUUUUGAGUUUGUUGAAAGACUCUACUUUGAGCCGAUCAAUACAUAUCCUCUCCAUGUUGAUCAAAUUGUGAAGGAUAAGUGACUCCAAAAGAGGAAAGGCACCACAAGCGACCAUCGCCCUUGAAUCGACGAUACAAAAGAAGUCAGGAUUAUUUUGAACGCAGAGGACCUUCAAUUGUGAAAAGCCCUCCGUGUCCAAAUUGAAAAGAACAUUCUCGAUGCCUUGCAGCUUGUCCAACCAUAAGCAUUCAACGUUAUUGAUGCCCUGCAAUUUCAAGGAGCAAAUGUCCAUAAAAUCAAGCUUGAGCUUCAAUGCUCUGGAAAUCUUACGAUCUCUGUCGAUCAAAAAGUGCUGCCGACUUUUAAACCAAUUUUGUCCAGCAAUCAUGGGAUGCAUGAAUGACCCAUUUCCAAUAGAUAUUUUGAACCUUUCGAGCUCUCUGGCCAAAAAGCUUUUUGGUAACAUACUCUCAUUUUUAACAUCAAUUUCUAGAGUGGUUAGCCGACGUAAAUGCAUCAAUUCGUCAAGGCUAGCAUUACUUCUUUUGCUGUUGGCUAUUUCAACCUCCCAUUCAAUGGAGCAAUUAUACAUAUACAAUUCUUCUAAUCGGAUUAAGCUUGAUAUGACAUUUGGAGCAAUAACUUUUAGAUGGAAACAGUCUGUUAAAUCUAACAGCCUUAGCUUAGUCAGUUGACCCAGUGCUUUAGGCAUAUCAGAUUGCAAAAAGCUGAGGAUUUCUAGAUUUUCCAACUUUCCAAUAAUAGCUAUGUCUAUGCCUCCCAAAAUGCUUUGAUUAAGACAGAGUGUCUGAAGAUUUACUAGAAGACCAAUUGAAGAUGGCAAUGACAAUAACCGCAUUCUAGUCAAAUCCAAAACCCGAAGCUUUUUCGUCCUUUUGAAGAAGUUCUCAGGAAUAUUAGGCACAGCAAAAGAGUUCUUGGGAGACAUGACUAGAAGUUCAAGUUGUAGAGAUUCGGACCCUUCAGGAAUGUCAUUAAUAGUACUAUCUUUUAAAGAAAUUGCAAGAUAUUUUUUUAAUUCAUCUGCAUUUGGCCAUUUCCAAUCAUCCUCAUUUCUCACCACAAAUCCAAUUUUGUCACGACAUGCAAUUGAAAUGGCAACAUCGCGAACAACGUCGUGCAUUGAAAAGUAUUUACUGCCACCAUCCUCAAGCAACAAACAAGAGUCUCUUAGUUGAUGGACCCAUGCAUGUAAUUUGUUAUGUGCAUCUUCUAGCUUAUGGACACUUUUAAAUGCACCCAAGCCCAUGCUAUAUUUGAACAAGUCCAUAAUAUAAGUUGGUGUAAUUAGACUACACAGUAAAAAAGUUUUCUUGAGUUGCUCACCUCUUAAGUACUUGUAACUCAGCUCAAUUGUUGAGUAUGCCUCUGCUGGUACUCCUUCGUCGAAGCUCGCCUCUGAAGGCGUUCGGAGUUCUUGCAAGGCAUUCUUCCACACAGGCAGCUCUUUUUUUCUCAGUGCCUUUGCUACUGUGGUUAGGGCAAUAGGCAAACCUCCGCAUGCCUUGGCUACACUUGUUGCUGUAGAUUCUAACUCACGAUUUUCAACAUAAUCACCAGCCAUUAUCUUGAACAAUCUCCACGCUUCUUAUUCAUUUAAAAUGCCAAUCGAGAAGUUUUUUUCAGAUUCCAUCCUUAACAGCACAUCAAGAUCUCUUGUUGUGAAUAAUAAUUUGCAUCCUCUGUGCUCAACUCCAAAAGGAAUUCCAAUAGUCCCCAAAUCAAGAGGUUUCCAGAUGUUAUCCAGAAUCACAAGGAUCUUCUUCUCAUUCUUCACUCUUUCAUAUAGUCUACUAGCUCUUCUAGACUCAGGUUCCUCGGACAACUGUAGGCCUAACGUUUCCGCAAUUUCCUCUUGGAUCUUUUUUAUGUCUGGACUUUGGGUAACCUCCGAAAAAGCCACCAUAUCGUAAAGCUUGUCUUCAAUGGCUCGCCUUGCAAACUCCUUCACCAGUGUCGUCUUUCCAAUGCCGGCCAUGCCGUAGACCCAAAUGAUGCUGACAUCAACAUCGAUCAAUGCAUUUUGUAUGGCCUUCAAAGCAGAAAGUCUUGAUUCGAAGGCCUCGUAGCCUUUGUGAGACUUGAGCCAUAUAUCCUCCGGAACGGUACGGUAGGAAAUUCUAUCAUCAAAUCUCCCAGCUUCUUCUCGGAGUUUAAAAAGGGCCUCCUUCUCUGUUUCUGCUUUCUUUCCAUGCUGAUAGCGAGUAAUCCAAUUAGGAAACAGCCCCAUGAGACAUCGUUCAUUUGCUUUCUCUUCGUCUAGAAUGAAUUUGGCUGCCUGCUCAAUGCUCUUGUUCGCAUUAACCAGCCAUUUCUCAACCUUCUCUUCAAUCUUUUCACUUUUUCUUUCAGCCUCAGAAACUCUGCGCUGAAUGCUUUCUCUUUCAUCCUUGAGCCCAUCGAGUUCUGCCUUGAGAUUCUCAAAGUUGGCAGCGGAGUUAUACCAAUAACUAAAUUCGCGUUGUGCGUGAGGAGACAAGCAGUUUACAACUCCUGGAACAAUGCUUUUCAAAAUGUCCAUUUUUUUUUUGGGUUGGGGGGGGGGGGGGGAGGGAACGAAAUAGAAAUAGAACAGAGUCAACGGCCGCGCAAUUGAUAAUCAAGUAGAAGCAAAACAAGGCAAAAUUGAAAAAAGGGAAAAUCAGUGUAACAGAAGAGAAUCAAAGUGUUUUUGAGAUCAGAAAAUUGAAUCAAGAAAAGGGUUGCUUGAUCCAAUGAAAAUGCAAAGAGCUGAUGGAAAAAGGGAACAAAGAUAAAUAAGAAAACGGCUAGCACGAGCAGUGACCACGAUAAACAGAAGCAAAGUGUGUAUGAGAUCAAAAGACGAAAAUCAGGAGAGGUUUUCUUGAUUGAGAAUUGAAGGCAAAGAGUAGGAGCUGACGAAUACGGGGAUCAAGAGGGAAAAACUGCUUGCUCAUAAAACUACUUUCAAGCGAAUCUGAUAAAAUUAUUUCAAUACUCGUGGGCGACUCCCUUUUAAACCGCAGAAGGAAAAAAAAAAAAAAAAGUUCUGAUUUUCAAUAUAUUAAUUUUUAUCCUAAUUUAUGUUGAGACUCGUAAUCUCGUCUCAAUGAUUAAUUAGUAGAUAAUCUUUCUAACAAAUAUGUGUUGAAUAGAUAUAUUUCUUGACUAUUAGUAGGUUAAAUAUAUUUUAGCAUAGGAAUGAAAGUACAAGUUGUGUCAUAUUAGAAUAAAAAUUUGACCUAAAAAUAUUGUUCUACGACCUUUUAAUUAUUUGUCAGCAAAUAAUUAAGUCAUAUAAAAAAAUUAAUAAUCUGAAUUAGUCUUUAAGUAUUAUAAAUAUUUUUAGAUUUUAAUUAUAAUAUCAUUAUUUAAAAAUAAUUGCUUGACUUACAUUAGUAACAUUACGAUUGUCAUAAAACAUGUGAUCCUCAUCCAAUAUCCAUUAUUUGUGAUCCUUAAUCAAUAAAAUAUCUAACAAUAUCUUCACCUAAAGUUUGAGACAUGUGAUCCUUAUUCCACUGCGUCAAAACAAGGAGAAAAUCAGUGUAACUGAAGAGAAUCAAAGUGCUUUUGAGAUCAGAAAUUGAAGCAAGAAAAGGGUCGCUUGAUCCAAUGAAAAUGCUAAGAGCUGAUGGCAAAAGGGAACAAAGUUAAAUAAGAAAACAGCUAGUGCUAGCAGCGACCACAAUACACAGAAAAUUUGAGAUGGAUUUACAAUAUUUCUGCCUUUCUUUAUGCUUUAACAAAUAUUGCUCUAUCAAAAAAAAUAUUUAGAAUUUUAUUAUUGGAGUCACAAAAGACCUACACAAUAUAGCAAGUGACUAGGAAUAAAUAAGAAUAUAUAACUCUCUCUCUAAUUCUCACUCUAGCUUUUAAUUGUCACUCAAAACCCAGAAUUCAUCCUUAAAGUGUAAGCAAAUCAGAGAUGACAGCGUCUGGUUGUCAUACGUGCCUUUUAGUUUUCGGAUGACAUGGCGUACACUUCUUCUGUAAACCGAACAUGACAUGUCGUACUCUUUGUUUUGAGAUCAUAUUUCAAACUCUUCAUGCUAUGAAUGAAAGAUAAACUACAAUCAUCAAAAUAUUUAGUGUUUAUUUUGUAAUGUAACGUCAUAGUUGUUGUGAAUUGAAAUUAUUUCUGUAAAAUAAAAGGAUUUGGGUCAUCGUUCGUUAUUUUCUAGCAAUAUUGUCUGGUCGUGACUAUUUGUUAAAUAUUAAAAAAAUAAAUUUAUAUUUAUUAAGUAUAAAAAAUAAAUAAACAAACAAAAAUAAAAGGAAAAGUUUAUACAUUACAUAAAAUAAUAAGAACAAUAUCAAUAUUUCACACUCUAUAAUUGAGUGAUGUGUUGUCCAACUGCCACACAUUGGUCCCAAACGGAGACUUAAAUAUUAAAGUCCAAAGUUAUUGUGAUGAUGACUUAUAAUCGCCAAACUUGACAUACGGGUAAUCAUGCAUUAUAAGGUGCUGAUUUCUUCCAAUCGAAACCUUAUUUUUCAUUUACAAAUAAAUAAAUGACGUGACUUAACGAGUGGUGGGGUCCUUUGUGCCAUUUGUGUAUUUCACUGAAUAGUUGAUUCAACUAUUCUGAUCGGAAGAUUCUUGGAAGUUGCCAUUUGCCAAUGCUACUAACAUUUUCAAACUUGGAAAACCCUUCAGUCAAUCUUUUAGUGGUAGGCUCUGGUAGCUUGGUUUGAUUAUGACAUAUGAUUAUUUGAUAAUAAAGUUAGAGGAUGUAUUAAUAUAAAAUUUGUUUAUUGGUGUUGAAGUUAAUUAUCUCAUUAAUAAUAGUAUAAAAUGUUAAUUACUAAGAAACACAUAGCAGUAUUCUGGGAUAUAAUUUUAUAUCAUAACUUUGUAAGUGUAUAAUUACUCAUUAAAUUAACAAAAUUAUUUUAAAAUAUUUAGUUAGAAAAAAUAUAUUAUAUUCUUUUUAUUUCAAAUAAUCUAUAAGUUAACUCAAAACAUAAUCAAGCUGAGAAUUAAAAUAAUGCUACUGUAUGAGAGGAUUUUUAUUUUUUCCCGAAGUUUCACAAGGAAAUUAUUGAUAGAUAGCUUUAUUCGGAUCAUCUCAGUUCAAACGACAAAUAAUUGAAAGACUAAGCUAAAUAGACCAGCCAACAACUUUGUACAAGAGAGUUCAAAAAUUAAAGUCAUGGUAUUAAAGUGUUCUAUCUUGAAAAGUACAGCGUAGUAAUAAAAUAAAAACUAAUAGUCUUUGGUAAGAUAUGACAUUUAAAUAAUAAUUUUCACAAAAAUACAAAGAAUAUUUAUAAAGUACUUCUAUAAUGAGGAGACCCUCACUUUGUUAAAGUGAAAAUAUCAAUAAUAUACAAAAGACAUAUAUUUUAACACAUUAAAAAUUGUAUUUUUUUUUAUCUAUUGGUGUAUUGAAAUGUGUGUUAUUUAGUUUGUUAAUAAUAUCAUCACUUUGUUAAAAUAAUGAUAUCAGAACCAUUAUAUAUACAUAUAUAUAAAGUGCUUCUCUCCAAAAUCUAGACUUUAUUAAAAUUUAAGAAAGCAAAUAUAUUUUGUAUGGUAUAAUAGUGUAAUAACAUCACCCGAGUAUAUCAUAUAGAGUAAUAGUUUUUGGACUUUAAUAAAGGUCAAGAUUAUAGAAUGAAUGAUUUAUAUAUAUUUUAAAUUUUUUAUCAUAAAGUGGAGGACAAAGUAACAUAUUUUUCAAAUUAUAAUAAUUAUUUAUCAAAUAAUUUAACAUCGUAAUUUCUCCUAACUAGUAUAGUAAAUACGACCUAGGAGGUACAUUCAAAGCAUUUCAUAAGUUAAUUGUUAAUAAUAAAUGAUACAUGCAGCUCCAACUAUUAUUGUACGGUGAGUAAUUUCAAUAGAUUUUUUAUGGCUUAAUAAUAAUGAACAUUGAAUGUCAAAAUAUUAAUGGCCAAACAGACCAGCUGCCAACGACUUAUUCCAAUGUGAAUAGUUCACAGUGGGUACUGCACAUGAUACUUGUUUCUCCUUUUGCAUCUACUUUUGUUGUUAACAUUAAUUUCAAUAGCAGCUCGUUAUGUACGCAACAUUUCAAAGUUAAUCCAAAAAAAAAAAAACAAAAAUUAGUUCAGCUGACUAAAUUUGAAAGCAUGGAUUUGCCGUCGAUUAAAAAUCGUUUUGUAGGGAAAAGUUUUGGAUUGCAAUUUUCAUACAAUACAUAGAAUUAUCAUAAUCUAUAAAUUAUUUUUUUGCUUUUCUGUGGUAGUAAGUCCGACUCCUUAGUGACAAUUUAAAUUGAAAAAAUAAAAUCAUAAAUUAGAAUUAUUUGAUAAGAAUUAAAAUAAUUGAUAAAAAUUUGAGAGGAACAAUUUUGGAAGAUUCGAUUUCUAAUAGAAAGGGUGAAUUUUACAGCCUUUGGUGAGGACUCCAAAAUGCACAAUUUGAUGAAAAUUAAAUUUCAAUAGAAAUUGAAUUCCCAUUUAUUAGUGAAAACCAAACAACAGAAAAGUGAAAGGAAUUUGAAUUCAUUUCCUUCCUCUCCUCCCUCCAACUAAACACCAUCGAAAUCCAAAGGUAUGGAUUGGGAUUCCAUAUUGAUUAGAAUGGGAUUUGUCCAUAUUAUUAGGACCAAUUUUAAAAGCAGUCGGAGUUUCGAAGUUUAAGAUUGAAAUUAAUCACAAUUGUUGAUUUGGGACUAGAUAAGAAUUUAUCUUAGAACUCCAAUUCUCCAAAAAAAGUACGCUAGCUUCGCCACUGCACUAGGGACAUAUUAAUCAGGUGGCUUAUAUUACAACCAGAGGAUUUAAAUUUGAUUUAAGAUAUGUGGGGUCUGCUUUUGGAUUUAGAAAAUUUGCUCAUUAAGAGUUGAACCCAAGUGACCUACCGUUAGAUUAGAUUAAUAGUGAUUUCUUGUAGUAAAUAUUUGUGAAUUUGAAAUAUGUGAAUUCUAUCCUGGUGAUACAAAACAAGCUUCUUGUACACGAGAACUAUUUAUUUUUAUGAUUUGGAAACCAAUCUAUAAAGAUGAAUUAAGUUGGCAUAAUGGUACAAAGCAACUUUAAUUUUUCAAUAAAUUCAAAAGUUGGCAAGUUGGUUAUGAUUAUUAUCUUUUCUUUUUUACUAUUUAAACUACAAUUAAUUGAAUCCAAAGACUAAAGGGUUGGAUCGAGAAGAAACUAAUUUUAAGUAGACAUUCCGGCGAAAAUCACUCCCAUGAUCGAGACACUCAUGCAAUCAAUGCAAAAAUGGACACAAAAAUUGUCUACUUAAGUUUGGUGGAAUGAUUUUAAAAAUAGUUUUAUUUGUUUCACACUCGAAUUUGUAUUUUGAAAAAGAGUGGGAGUUAAAAAUUGAUUUACACUUUAUCAAUUACUCUAUUUUAAAAAGAAAUAAAUAUUAAAAAAAUAAAAACAUUAAUUUCUUGUUUGUUUGUACUUACCAUUGUAGGAUAAAUAAAGUGGUUGACAAAAAUUAUAUAUCUUAAAAAUAAAUUCUAGAUUUAUAACUAAUGUAUAAUGAUUUCAAUUCACAUGUUUCAAUCCCAAAUAAAUUCUCCUUUGGUUAUUUGAAUCUUAGCGCGGUAAGAUUUCAUUCUCUUAUAUGCAUUUGUGUAAACUUCUCCCUUUACCUUUAUCAUUUUAUCAACUUUAUUGAUUGCCAAUCAACUUUAGGGUUUAGGCAUGAAUCACACAAGGGAAUGAUAUUGUGGCAAUUUUUUCCCCCUUCUUUUUUCUUUUUGAAAAAAAAAAUUAUUUAUAGCUUUGCUUUGAUGGUAGAAGACUAGAAGACCAAUUAAUUUCUUUUUGUUGCGUGGUGAUAAUAAUGAUGGAAAUUGCUAUGUGCGCGUUGGUGAUUGCAUUGCUAGUCACAUAUUGCUUCCCAUCAUGGAGACAAAGGGGACCCCUCUAUCAAAGCUAGCUGUUGAAAUAUCAUACCCAAAAUCACAUGAAUUCAAAGGUUGAAUGGGAAAACGAUCUUGCUUCUUUGUAUGUUUUAUUUUAUUUAAAGACUUAUUGUUUCCCAUAAGAGAUAAGCUUGGAUCUAUCUUUCCUUUUAAUCAUUUUAGCCUCCAACUCCCAUCUUUUUCAAAAGUUUCGUUUAGCCCAUUUUGAAUGGCAAGGUAAGCUUCAAUUAACGCAACAAGUUCCAGUGAUUCCCGUCAAUAUUCGAUUGCAUGUAUGUAGCUUUGAGUGCUCAAAUUUAUUUUAUUUAUUAGUUGUUAUCACUUAUCAUUUUCUUUUUAAUAAUGAGAUUUGGGCAUUUUCUUUUUAAUAAUGAGAUUCGGGUCCCUGGAUGGUGAUUAGCCAACAGUCUAGUUAUGAGAAAUUAAUGUCUUAAUUACAAUGACAAAAAAGGCAAGUGGGGAUCUCAUUUGCCAUUAGGUAACACAACAUCUUCAGCAUUGGAGCUUUUCUUCCUUUCUCUCCUUCUUUCUUUCUUUCUCAAAAUAAUUGAAAAUCUAAUGCAAUACAAUUAAAUUGAUCAACGAUCUAAUUUAAUCAAUACAUUAUAUUAAGAUAUUUAAAAUAAAAUCGGUUCAAAUGGAAUGAGAAGUUCUACUAAAAAAAUAACAACAUUUAUUCCUUAUUAUUAUUAUUCGAAUUCAAAUAACCUUGGAUUCCAAACGCAUUCAAGACUAGCCAGGCUGCAUAUCCAAGAAGAAAACAAAAUCAAAACUUUAGCCACAAACAUAUACGUGUGUGUGUAUGUGUGUGUGUGUAUAUGUGUGUGUGUGUGUGUGUCUGUGUAUAUAUAGAGAGAGAGAGAGAGUUCUUUCACUAGGUUCAUUUGCGUGAAACUUUUUGAUCAUUUAGGUUUAAGACUAUAUCAUAUAUCCUAUUGCACGAACAUUGAUUAAGAUGAAUGAGUCAAACCCACUAAGCUUGCAACAAAAUCUUUUCAUAGUUACUAGAGAAUAUUUAUAUUUUUUUCAAAUAUUAAUAAAAUUAUUGAAUUGCUUUAUUUAUAGUACGUAUACAAUUAAUAGUGUAUGGAUUUUUUUUUAUCUAUUGGUGUAUUGAAAUAUGUGUUAUUUAGUUUGUUAGUGAUAUAAUCACUUUGUUAAAAUGAGAAUGUCGUUACUAGAGAAUCAUUAUAUAUACAGGGUCCAGCUACAAUACCCAUGGGGUUUGGUACCCCAUUUUUUGUCUUUUUCAAAUCUACCGUUGGAUUUAACGUAAGAAUUGCAGAAUGGCUGAGAUGUAAUUUUUGGGUUAUUAACAACAAAGACCCUUAUUGUUCAUGGAAAAUAAAAAAAAUCAAAAGUUUUGAAAUUAUGACGUAUAAGUCCAUAAUAUUCUCUUUUUUUCUUUUUAACUAUUGAACUCGGUUUCUAAUUAAAUGAAUUUUUCUUACAUUUAUUAAUAUCUAUUUAAAUUAAUAUAUUUUUAAUUAAUAAAUUAACUACUUUAUUAUAUAGUUAAACUAUGUAUAUUAUUUACUAACCAUAAUUAACGAUAAGUAUAAAUAUGAUCUUUUUUUUUUUUUAACAUAAUGGCAACCAAUUUCCUCUCACCUAUGUGAACAAGGUUCAAAACCCAUAAUUUUUUUUUUAACACAAGAGAUUUUAUUAUCUCAAGUAGAUGAAAUAUACAAAAUACAAAAAUAAAUUUAAUUUCAUAUUCUAUAUAGUUAAUUUUUUUUGUAACAUAAUAUUUAUUAAACAUACUAUCAAUUAUUUAAUUAACUAGCAAAAAUAUGUUAAUUUACUAAUAAUAAUCAAAUGUUAGUUUAUGAACUUGUAAAAUCUUUUUUUUUAACAAUGAGUUUUUGUCCUUAAAAUAAAAAAUAACAAUUUAAUUGCACACUUAAAUAAAUUAGUAUUUGUUAAAAAUAGUAAUUUAAUUGCACACUUAAAUAAAUUGGUAUUUGUUACUCCACCCCAAUUAUUUAAAUAGUCAUUAACUUAUCUGAGAGAAGGGUAAAAAAAUUCUAAACAAUUACUCUAUUUGAAAAUAAUUUAAAUAUUUCUUUAGAAAAAUAAACUAAAAAUAAGUAUUUUCUAUUCUUUCUUCUUUCUUGCUAACAUCAAUCAUGGAUAACAAUAGAGAUGGCAAUUCAACACAUAUCUAUCAAUUAAAAUAGAAGUCAAUUAAUAUAAUUAAUUGAAUAAUUAAUUUGUGUCAUGAAUGAGUUAUCGUAUUAGGAGUUAUAAAACCAAACCCAAUAGAAUUAUUAAUCGAGUUAACAGCUAGAAAGAGCAAACAAAUCCAUUCAAGUUGGAUGUCUAAGUAUUUGAACCAAAUAGAUUAGAUAAUAUCCAUCUAAAAUACUCCAAAUUUGAUUUAUUCAAUAUCCAUCUAUGAACUUGAAUAUUAGUGAUAUUUAAGUGUAUGUGACUGAAAUUGAGUAUUAUAUUUAAUAUUUAAGUUUUGUAAGUCAAAUGAAAAAUCAAAAUAAUAUUGCUAAAAAUUAUUGCACCAUCAAUGACAACAAUGACGAUAUCAUCACUAAGAAAUAGAAAUGAGUGAACAGAGAAACAAAAACUAUCAACGUAAUCAAAACUCUCUGAUCAAUGUAAUGGUGGCAAUGUUGCCAGAUAAAUAGAUAUGCCGGCAAUAGAUGAGCAUUCCAAUGCAAACAACUAGAACAAGACCCUAUGAUUAGAUGACGUUUUAACGUAGAGUGGAAGCGAUACUAAAUUUCGUUCUAGUAUACGUCUUGAAAACUCAAGAAAGAGACUCUCACCAAAGAGAAGAUAUUUCAAUUGAGAAAAAACUAAAUAUUAUUAAUGAGAAGCUUGUGUCUGUUAUCAUAAAUUAAGAAUAACAAGCCUAUAUAUAUAAUAGUAGCUAACUUAAUCCUUAUCUUUCUCAAAUAAGAGAAAUAAUCUAAAAUCCUAAUUAAAUUAUAAUUACAAAUAUGACUCAAGUAAGCUUAAUAAAAUAAGAUAAAUCCUAAUAAAAUAUUAAAUUCUAAAUUGACCCAAAUAUUAUAAUUCCUAGUAAAUUCUAAUUUAUUUAUUUAUUUAUUUAUUUAUAAGUUUGUUUGGUUUUUGGGUUUUUUUUUUAAAGAACAGAAAAUUAUAGGUAAUAGUGUAAGUAUAGAAAAGUAAAGAGGCAAAAUUAAAAAUAGGCAAAAGUUGGUGUUGCCGUCGACGGUGGUCGAAAAAUUGGCCUAGGAUAGGUGGAUUUGGAAGAUUUGAUGGUGCUGAGUGUGAUGUUGGUGGUGGUUUGUCUCAAAUAGUUGUGAGUUGACCGAAAAGUUGAGCUAAAGUAGUGGGUGGAGGUUGGUUUCGGUUUCCGGCGAUCCGGCCGGGGGUUGGCAGCGUGAGUGGGUUGAAAAGAAAGAGCUAAUGAUGGUGGACGAAUGAGUGGUGGUGGAGGCUGUGAAUCGCGGCUGAUUGUAGCGAAUGGAGAGGCGGAUUUUCGUGGUGGUUCAGCGGCUGUUUUGGCUAGUUUCCCGUGGCUACGGUGACGAGAUGGUGGUGUUAUGGGUUGGGUUAUGAUUGGCGGCGUGUAGGCUUUCGGAUGGGAGAGAGGAUCGACCGAAAAGAAGAGAAACUGGUGGCGGCAGUAGCCGUGUGUGGCAGAUGUAAUGGCGGCUUCGGGUUUUGCUAGUUUUUUUUUUAACUUGAUGGAACUAAUGUACGGAGUUGGUGGUCAGGAAUGCUCUGCCUGCUACCAAAAAAAGCUCUAAUAUCAUUUGUCUUGAAAAUUAAAAAAAAAAUCCCACUAAGGAUUAAUAUCUUAAUUGUGAAAAUAUUGAAUAUUAUUAAUGAGAAGCUUGUGUCUGUUAUCAUAAAUUAAAAAUAACAAACUUACAUAUAUAAUAGUAGCUAAUUUAAUCUUAAUCUUUCUCAAAUAAGAGAAAUAAUUUAAAAUCCUAAUUAGAUUAGAAUUACAAAUAUAACUCAAGUAAGCUUAAUAAAAUAAGAUAAAUCUUAAUAAAAUAUUAAAUUUUAAAUUGACCCAAAUAUUAUAAUUUCUAGUAAAUUUUAAUUUAUUUUAUUUAAUAUGCUUCCUACAUCACGUUUUAAGGUUCAUUGCCUUUAACAACCAAUUUGAGGGUCUCUAAACUAAAAAAAAAAAAAAAAAAGGUGGUAGUAUAAUGUAACUCCUUGUGUUUUGAUGGUAUAGUUAUUGUUGCACCUAUUUUAGAAGGAGCAUGUAACUUUACAUAUCACCAUUUGCUAGCAUUGAGACUAUCUUUAUGUAAAUCAUUCAAUUUCAAGUCUAAUGGAAUCCUUCAUGUUCCAUUUCGGUUAAUAAUGUCAUUGCACAUGAAGAAACAAUAGUCACUAGUGAUUGUCUAUAUUUUUUAAUGCAAAAUAUCUUUUUGUAAUUAAUUAAAAAAUAAGAAUAAUUUUUUAUUAUUAUUAUGUUUCUAUAUGGAAAAUAAUUUUAAUUACCUUUUAAUUAAAAUGGGUGAGAAAAAUGAUGUCAUUGAUGGUGCAAAAUGGAUGAGAAAAAUGAUGUUAUGUAGGUGUAGGACUAAUGCGUAAAACUUUAAAAUUUUUUAACAUUUUUAUUUUUACAACAAAUAGCAGGACACUAUUAUAAUUAACCUUAAUAAAGACAAAAGAGAGGGGUACCAAACGUAUGUUGCAACAUAGCUUUGCCCAUAUAUACAUAUAUAAAGUGCUUCUAUCCAAGACCUAGACUUUAUUAAAAUUUAAGAAAGCAAAUAUAUUUUAUAUGGUAUAAUAGUGUAAUAACAUCACACUAUUAUAUCAUAUAGACUAAUAGUUUUUUGAACUUUAAUAAAGUUCAAGAUUAUAGAAUGAAUGAUUUAUAUAAAUUAUAAUUUUUUAUCAUAAAUGGAGGAGAAAAUUAACAUAUUUUCAAAUUAUAAUAAAUAUUUAUCAAAUAAUUUAACAUUGCAAUUUCUCCUAACUAGUAUAGUAAAUAAUACGACCUAGGAGGUACAUUCAAAGAUUUUCAUAAGUUAGUUGUUAAUAAUAAAUGAUAUAUGCAGCUCCAAUUAAUCAUCAUUGUACGGUGAGUAAUUUCCAGUUAUAAAUAGAUAUUACUCCCUUCCCAGCAAUUUUUGAUGGCUUAAUUUUGUGGGAUCAAAAUCAACAUUGAAUGUCAAAAUGUUAAUGGCCAAACAGACCAGCUGCCAACAACUUAUUCCAAUGUGAGUAGUUCACAGUGGGUACUGCACAUGAUGCUUGUUUCUCCUUUUGCAUCUAUUUUUGUUGUUAACAUUAAUUUCAAUAGCAGCUCGUUAAUGCCAAUUGUUGAUUUGGGACUAGAUAAGAAUUUAUCUUGGAACUCCAAUUCUCUGAAUUAUUUUAGUUGACAAUAUGUUUAACAUUAUUUUUUUUAACAUUAUUAAUUGCAUAUUAUUUAAUUAUCAAUAUAUAAUAUUCUUUAAUUUUUUAAUUUUAUAGGAUUAGACACAAAAUUGAUUAUACCUUUUGAAAUUUAAGGGUUAUGUCAAUUGAAUAGAAAACUUGGAGUUAAACUUUUGGAUGUUUUUGUUGAUUAUCAAUUUAUGCAUGAAUUUUUGUACGUUUACUUUGGUUUAUUAUUAUUACUUUUAAAUAUUUUUAUUGGUUUGAUUUAGGGUCAGUUUAAUAAUCCUGUAGCUUUUAAAAUAAUUAGAGUUAGCUAUGCUGUAGAAAUUGAUCAAUCGUUAAGAGAAUCAGCUGAACAUUUAGUAAAAUUUAUUUUUAAAAGUACUUUUAGUUUUAAAAGCGUCGUAUGUGUUUCGUAAAUCUUAUUGUUAAACUAGUGCAAAAAUGUAAAUGACUAAAUUGGACAUAAUGCUAAAUAAAAUUUAUUUACACAUUUAUAAACACGUAUAUAAAAUAUUUUUAUUACGUACAUAUAAUUAUUGAUAACUAAAAUAAAUAUUUUAUAUUAUUAAAUUUUAUUCUUUAAUUUGUUAUCUCAAUAUAAUUGGUAAUAGUAAUAACCUCUUUAAAGUUAAUCAUUUUAUUUCUUAAUUAAUAAAGAUAAUUUUGAAUUUUGAUUAUAUAAUGAGGAUAUGUAUAUAAAUAUAUAGAAUUUGAUUAAAUAUAAAAGUGAUUCUCAAAAUCAGAUUUUGAAAAAUUAUUCAUUCCAUACUUUUUCAAAAUCUACUAUACAAUGAGAUGAUUUUGCCAAAAGUAAUUACUAAAAAAAUUUAUAAAACACUAAAAAUUAAUUUUUAAUUUUUAAAAUCACUUUUGAACUUCCCAAAAAUAAUCCUAACGGACCNNNNNNNNNNNNNNNNNNNNNNNNNNNNNNNNNNNNNNNNNNNNNNNNNNNNNNNNNNNNNNNNNNNNNNNNNNNNNNNNNNNNNNNNNNNNNNNNNNNNGUGGUGUUAGAACUUGUGACUUUUGGAUCUUUUAGUUUUUAUUGGUUGAUACAAUUGUUACCUAAAAAUUAAAUGUAUCUUAAACCCAAACUUCUUCUUCUUUUUUUUGACUAACAAAAUUAAAAAACAAUAGUGAACACAUUCUUUAAUAAACAAUAAGUAAUAACUAAAAUCGUGUUAAAUUUCUUAAAAAUUUUCUUUCACGGUCUGCUAAAUAUUUUUAUUAGUAUUUUGAAUAAAUAAAAAUAAUUGAUUUAAUUUUUUUAAAGAAACUUAUUAGGUUCAUGUAAAGAUGUUUUUGUUAUUUUAAAAAGUGUAGAAAGUACUCCUAAAAAAAAAGUGUAGAAAGUAAAACUUAAUUUUUUAAAUUUAUUAGCUUACUGCAUAAAUAAUUGAGUGUUCAUAAUGAUUUUUAAAGUAUAGAUAGUCGGACCCUAAUAUUUUUAAUAUGGAAAUUUUGCUAAUAUGUUAAUGAGAAUUAAAAAGAUAAUUAAGGGAGGCAAUUGAGACAUUCAGGAUAGUUAGGAUGGGACAUGAUUGUGAGUGGUUUGAUAUUAGUCCUAAUUUUGAUCACAAAUAUAUAAACAUGACGAGUUUAUCUCUACUUACAUUCCAUUUGAUAAUUAAGAUGAGAGUGGAAUCGUCAAAUCCCAAAUCAUCCCGGACCAUUGCCAUCAAAGGUACUCUCACUAAUAAUAUCUAAAGAAAAAUGUACAUGUAUUUCAUUUUUUUUUUAAACGGAAAGAGCCCUCAUGGGGCUUGAAAUGUUAUCCUAAAUAGUAUUCAAAAUAUCAAGCCAUGAUUGGGUUUGUGACAAACAAAUAUUACAUAGUUAGGAUACGUAGUUACUAGUGUCCCCAUUUAUGUAGUAUCUAUCAUUUAAUGCACAUAUAAAGUAUUAAUCAGCUUAAUUAAUUUAUAAAAUCUAAAUCUAAUUAAUAAGUGACACAUAAAAGCCAAGUGCAAUAUAUGCAAGUCAUGUUUGUCGAUCAUUACAAAACUAGCUCUUGAAAACAAGCAAGAAAGCUUAAUUAAGAACUUAAAACAAAAAGAAAUUUAGAUUGAGAACAGUCAAGCCUUAUUUUUUUCAAGGAUGGAGCUUAUAAAUCUUCAAGUACCAACAUAUGCUUGGCCCAAUUGUUGUUAUUAAAAAUUCAAUAUAUAUAUAUAUAAGUAUGACAUAGCAAAAAUUUGAUGGUACAUAUGUCGGAAUAUACUAGUUCAUGGAUGCAUUUGAUUAUUGUUUCCAUAAAUUUGAACCAGGAAGGAUAACACGAUAAAAUUUGAUUUUAUGGUAUGGUUGAUUUCAUAUCUCAUGCACUCAUUUCUUAAGAUAAUCAAAUUUUCUCUGGCAUCUUUUGCAACUGUGGAAAUAUCAAUUAUGAUCAAUCAAAACGAUUUCAAAACCUCUCAACGAGACAUAUUUAUAAUACAAUGUUGUGAAAAUUACACCAAAUUUUAAUUUAUUAUAUAUUAUUAUCCAACGAGCACACAAAAAUGAAUUCGUACAAAUAGAGUUUACCAUGUACUACAAGAAACUAGGGUAUAAGUGACCCCUAAUGUGAAUGCAAAAGAAGCCAUUAUGUAUAUCACUAACUUCUAGGCUCUAGCUUUGUACCCCGACUUGCUUUUGUUACCCUUUAUGUGACGGCCACACCGCUAUCACAUAUGUUAGUUACUACCCGCGUGACGGUAAAGAGCCGUUCGGUAUAUUACUAUUUUAUAAUUUUAAAUUUAAAACUAUUUGCUGGACUCCGUGUUACUAGCCACCAUCGUAAGCCUAACUGGUUGCCGGCGAACUGCGUAAAACACUGGCCAUCUUCUUCUUCAUCGUCUUCUCCCUUCAUCUUUUGAGGUAAGCUUGUGAUUAUGAGUUUCUUCUCUUACUUAGCUUGUAAUUAUAGACUUUGAUUUUUUUUUUAAUUCGCAUUGUAGCCAUUAUUGUCAAUUUUUGUCCCGCGAGCAAUAUAUUUUUAUUGCUUCAAGUUGAAGCCCCUGUUUUCUUGUUCCAUUGGUGAGUUUGCUCACUCAAAUUAAUUUUGUUCUGCGGAAUUUGCAACGUUCAAAUGGAUUCGUUUGAAUUACUAUUGAAUUUAGCUUUAAUUUCAACAUCCAUUCUAAUGUUUUGCUAUUAGAUUUACUUUAAUUUUAUGUUUAAAGCUUCUACAGUGAAUAGCGGAGCUUGGGUUUUAGUUUCAUUUUCUAGAUAACUUGUUUUAGUUUAUCUUGUAUACUCACCAAGUGCUUGUUAUAUUGUCUGAUAAGUUAUAUACAUUGCUGAUUCUAUAUUAAUAAUGUUAUGUUCUAUUUUCAGAAAUUAUAAUACAAAAGCUUUUACAAUGGCGUGCAUCUACAAACUGGAUUGACUCGUAGAAUAAGAGCUUGGAGUAGUGUUAUGUUCUUGAAUAAAUGAAAGUUCAUAUUGUGUAAGAGCAUGUAGAUGUAAAGCAUCAUUAUCAUUUCUACAAAGUGCUUUCAUUCUCUUCAGAUGCUCUUCUUGAACUUUGAAAGGUGCCUCGUUCAAGUCCUAGCUAUAACUGCUAGCUUUGAUUAAUUAAGUUCCUAUACUAGCUGAAACAGAUUUAUUUAAUUAAUUAAUUGUGUAUAUACUAAUUAUAUUGAAAGUAUAUGAAACUUUUUUUUUUUCACAUGAAUGACUUCUAAAUGACUUAAAAACCUAAAGGAUGUGUGAAAUAAUGCUCAUUUCACUUGAAUGAGCCUAUUAAUACUUUUAUGUCUAUGAUGUCAAAAUUGGCUUAAGCAUUUCAGUUAAGUGGUUUACCUAGCAGAGAAAAAAAUUUUAAUAGAGAAACUUCAGAGUUCUAACAGAAAUAUAGUUCGCUAUGCAGAUAUAGUUAUNNNNNNNNNNNNNNNNNNNNNNNNNNNNNNNNNNNNNNNNNNNNNNNNNNNNNNNNNNNNNNNNNNNNNNNNNNNNNNNNNNNNNNNNNNNNNNNNNNNNNNNNNNNNNNNNNNNNNNNNNNNNNNNNNNNNNNNNNNNNNNNNNNNNNNNNNNNNNNNNNNNNNNNNNNNNNNNNNNNNNNNNNNNNNNNNNNNNNNNNNNNNNNNNNNNNNNNNNNNNNNNNNNNNNNNNNNNNNNNNNNNNNNNNNNNNNNNNNNNNNNNNNNNNNNNNNNNNNNNNNNNNNNNNNNNNNNNNNNNNNNNNNNNNNNNNNNNNNNNNNNNNNNNNNNNNNNNNNNNNNNNNNNNNNNNNNNNNNNNNNNNNNNNNNNNNNNNNNNNNNNNNNNNNNNNNNNNNNNNNNNNNNNNNNNNNNNNNNNNNNNNNNNNNNNNNNNNNNNNNNNNNNNNNNNNNNNNNNNNNNNNNNNNNNNNNNNNNNNNNNNNNNNNNNNNNNNNNNNNNNNNNNNNNNNNNNNNNNNNNNNNNNNNNNNNNNNNNNNNNNNNNNNNNNNNNNNNNNNNNNNNNNNNNNNNNNNNNNNNNNNNNNNNNNNNNNNNNNNNNNNNNNNNNNNNNNNNNNNNNNNNNNNNNNNNNNNNNNNNNNNNNNNNNNNNNNNNNNNNNNNNNNNNNNNNNNNNNNNNNNNNNNNNNNNNNNNNNNNNNNNNNNNNNNNNNNNNNNNNNNNNNNNNNNNNNNNNNNNNNNNNNNNNNNNNNNNNNNNNNNNNNNNNNNNNNNNNNNNNNNNNNNNNNNNNNNNNNNNNNNNNNNNNNNNNNNNNNNNNNNNNNNNNNNNNNNNNNNNNNNNNNNNNNNNNNNNNNNNNNNNNNNNNNNNNNNNNNNNNNNNNNNNNNNNNNNNNNNNNNNNNNNNNNNNNNNNNNNNNNNNNNNNNNNNNNNNNNNNNNNNNNNNNNNNNNNNNNNNNNNNNNNNNNNNNNNNNNNNNNNNNNNNNNNNNNNNNNNNNNNNNNNNNNNNNNNNNNNNNNNNNNNNNNNNNNNNNNNNNNNNNNNNNNNNNNNNNNNNNNNNNNNNNNNNNNNNNNNNNNNNNNNNNNNNNNNNNNNNNNNNNNNNNNNNNNNNNNNNNNNNNNNNNNNNNNNNNNNNNNNNNNNNNNNNGUUAUUCAAAUUUCAGAUUCAAUUUUAAACUUUUGAUAUGUGCAUUGAAAGCUUAGACUUGUUUAAGAAAUUAUUAAUAGACACAUGUUUUAUUAGUGUCAUCUUUGGAUGAUAGUGAGGAUCAUGUGUCUAUUAAUAAUUCUUGAAUUGUCCAGGCUUGGACAGUUUUGGAAUGCAUAGUUCUCUCUGGUAGCUAGUGGCUGAAGUUUUUGUCCCACGUAAAAAUGGGUUUUUCGGUAGCUGCUCCUCGUGUUCUCUGAGUACGUACUAGGUGAAUGGGUGUCAUGUGUUUGUUUUGGCAAAACACAUAAACACUUAUAUAGGUAUGUCUAGUGCUUGGAGAGCUAUCAUUUCAUAAGAGAGUGUAUUGCAAGAAAAGAAGUGCAAAUCAAGUAUGUAAAAUCACAAGAUCAAGCAGCUGAUAGCUUCACUAAGCCACUCAAGCAAGAAGACUUUGUAAGAUUCAGAAGUUUGCUUGGUGUCACAGGAUCAAGUUUAAGGGGAGAUGUUGGAUCAUAAACUUGAUCCAAGAUGAAUAAAUCAAGCCCAACUCAUGGAAGGUUCCAUGAGUAUGUAUGGUUGGUGAGGUUUGAAUUAUUUGUGUUAGGUGUGUUAGGUGUGGUUGGUGAAGUAGGUGAGUGGUAGGUUUUAAUGGAUGGUGAGAAUUUGUUUAUUAGUUGAAUAAAUGAAUGGUUGUGAUUAGUUUUUUUCAUGUAUAAAUACCCCCUCUCCCCUUUGGUUUAAACAUCAAGUGAAGUAGCAAAAUCUCUAAGGUGUAGAGAGUGAAAAAUAAGAGUUGUAAUUGGUGAGGAGUGUUGUUGAAGAAAUAAAAUAGUGUGUUUUAUGUGAGUUUUAUUUAUUAAUUCUCCAACAUGUAAUUGGUGAUGAUUUUGCUGAGCUGACCUUGGUUUUGAGCUUGUAAUUUUGUUUGUAAAUGGAGUGCUUUCUCCAAUGUUGGUUUAUAAAAAUGUUUCAGGACUUGCCGACCUAAUUUUUGUUUCUGCUAGGUUACAGGCUUUAUAUAGCUGUAAUUGAUAGCCAAGUGAAGUUCUCAGCACUUGGCGAGGAUAUUUCUUUACAGAAGUAUUGGAAACUAUUUUUUACAUUAAUUAUUGUUGUCUAUAUACUUUGAUUUUCACAUCUUUUUCUCUGAUUCUUGUGGCUUUGCUUGCUUUCAUAUAUGUAAAUUCUAAUGAAAUUAACCAUAAAAUUGUAAAAUGAUCUUUUUAUCAUAUUGCAAAACUGUGCACACACGAAAAUAUUCUUGUUUAGUAGUACAAAUGAAAAACUAAAAUGAUUUAUUUAACUAAUAUUUGAGCGCAUUAAAAGGAGAUAGUCAUGGACAAGUGUUGGGUUGGUUUGCCAAAUAGAUAUCCAAGUCAUAUACUGAUGGGGUUGAAAAAUUUAUAAAUUUUGCAUUUUAGAAUGUUGUUGCUGGUACAAGAAUUUAUUGUCCUUUUAAGAAGUGUUAUAAUCUAUAUUUCGUUAUGAGGGAAGUGGCUGAUGAUGAUAUGGUUGGAAUGAUACACUGCAUCACAUAAUCAAAUGUUCAAGUUACACUCAACAUUGUUAUGGACUAUCAGUGACAUGAGUGAACUAGACUGAGAAUACCUUCAGUUAUUGAGCUAAGAAGCCAGCUGAGUAAUGUUUGAUCUUGAGAUCUCCAAAUUGUGUAUUCAGGAUUCUCGAUCUGUUGAGAAGAUCCAGCAGCUCCAGCAGUUGUUGCAGCAAAGCUUGAUGAUGCUAUAAAUCGAUUUGGUGCAAUCUUUUCUCCAUUAAUGUAUCCUUCAAGUCGAUUUCCUCUAAUGGAGGCCAGGACUUGAUUUUUCCAAAGCAUGUAGUUAGAUCUAUCUAAUUUGAUUGGUGUGAUGAAAGAAAAAGUUGUUUGAUUUGCAGCUACUGUAUUUUGAUUGUUUGUGAUUGCCAUGAUUGGCUCUGAUACCAUGAAGAAAUUGUAAAAAUGAAUAAAUGCUGUUGUUUGGCAGCUGAGAAAAUACAGAGGAAAAUUUUAUUUCAUUAAUGAAACUGAUAUUUUGUACAUAACAACAAUCACGAACAUGUAGCUAUUUAUACAUGCUUAUGUUCACUAACUAGUUGCUCACUAACUAAUUAUUAAUCACAAGCUCACUCAGCUAAUUAAUAACCAAACACAGAGUGUGCAUUGUGAAGUUAGUUAGGCUGGUAACUGCUGCUGACGUGGAUCUUCUGACGUGGCACUAAUGACAGCUGGUAACUUGACAUGCUGAUUCUUCUUCUUCACUUCUGCAUAAUGACAUAUCUUCACACCAGUCAAGAAGUUAUUUUCAGAUCCCAUACUUAACAAGACAUUACAAUCCCUUGCUGUUAAUAAUAAUUUGCAUCCUCUAUGAUCAUCGCCAAAAGGAAUUCCAACAGUCUCUAAAUCAAGAUAUUUCCAGAUGUUAUCCAGAAUCACAAGGAUCAUCUUCUCUUUCUUCAAUCGUUCAUAAAGUCUACUAGCUCUUCUAGAUUCAGCCUCCUCGGAAAACUCCAGACCUAGUUUCUCUGCAAUUUCCCCAUGAAUCUUUUUUAUGUCUGGAGUUUGGGAUACCUCUGAAAAAACCACCUGAUCAAAGAGUUUCUCUUCACUGGCUUGCCUUGCAAACUCCUUCACCAGUGUUGUCUUUCCAAUGCCGCCCAUGCCGUAUACCCCAACGAUGUUGACAUUGACAUCAGUCAAUGCAUCUUGUAUAGACUUCAGAGUAGAAAGUCUUGAUUUAAAGGCCUCGUAACCUUUGUUAGACUUUAGCCAUACCUCCUCCGCAAUGGUACGGUAGAAAAUUCUAUCAUCAAAUCUCCUAGCUUCUGAUGAGAUAUAAUUAGUAAUCUAGUAAAUUGAGCAAGAAGUUUGAAGGGUUAUUUGGUUUGUUUUUCAACGUGAAGUAAAGGGUAAAAUUGAUGUUUGCAAUGUGGCUUUGGAAAUGUAAAGCAUGAUUAAUGUAAUCUCCAGAGUUGUCUAUAAUGCAUAUAAAUAUAGAACUCUGGUUGUAUGAAAAGGAAGAGAGAAACGAAAAAAUGAAUUAAGCAAUAAAGUUUCAGAAAUUUCCAGCAAAAUACUCUGUUCUUAAAUAAAAAAAUUUCUGCACUUCCGCUUGCACCCAACAAAUUUGGUAUCAGAGCUUUUCAAAACACCCUCAAAAUGACAUCAAAUACCCUACCCACAUUAUUUUCAUAUGCUCCCAGUCAAGUUCCAAUAUUUGAAGGGGUACAUUAUGAAUAUUGGAGUAAUCAAAUAGAAACCUUUUUCCUCUCUCAAAAUUUAUGGGAUGUUGUUGAAGAUGGAUAUGCUGAACCACCAGAAUUUGCAAGUUCUUCAGAUUGGACUCCAGCACAUCAACAGCAGUACAAAGAAAACAUACAGAGAAAUGCCACGACACUUCGAUAUAUCUAGUAAGGUGUUAGUAAGUCAAUUUUCCCAGAAUAUUUGGUGUCAAAAAGGCCAAAAAUGCUUGGGAAAUCCUAAAACAAGAAUUUCAAGGUUCCGAAAAGGCAGUCACCAUCAAGUUACAAACUUUGUGGAAAGAGUUCAAUAAUUUAUCAAUGAAAGACAGUGAAGGAGUUCAAGAUUUUUGCAGUAGAGUUACUGAGAUUGUGAACCAGAUUAAAGGUUGCGGGGACUCCAUUGAAGACAAGAAGGUGAAUGAAAAGGUGCUGAGAUGUCUUCCUCCAAAUUUUGAUCAUGUAGCAGCAGCCAUUAAAGAAUCAAGGGAUUUGUCCAGGAUGACUUUUUCAGAUUUGUCAGGAUCAUUACGGUCUCAUGAGCAAAGAAUCAAUCGACCUUCAAGUCAGCCUACAGAGCAAGCUUUUCAGUCAAAGAUUAAUAAUUUAGAUCAGAAUAAAAGCAGCAAGAAAGACCAGAAGAACGGAGGCUCGUCUCAAAGAAACGGACAGCGUGGCAAAGGGAAAAGAGAAUAGAACGACAACCGCAACAAGUGGAAAAAUGACAGAGGGAAUUCACAGCAAAAUUCAGAUUCUCGGUGCAUCAUUUGUAAUUGGUCUAAUCAUGAAUUAAAAGAUUGUCGUUAUAAAUGCACAAGGUGUCGCAUUCCUAACCAUUCUCAAAGGGAUUGUUGGUAUCAAAAUAAAAAAGGCAAAAAUGAGGCAAAUUUUACAAAAGAAGGUGAUGGAGAUUACUUGUUUUAUUCAAGUAAAGGUACUGAACGUGAAUCAUAUAAUUUUUGGUACUUGGAUAGCGGCUGCAGCAACCACAUGACUAGAGAACGUGACAUUUUCAUCAGCCUUGACUAAAGUUUUAAUUCGCAAGUGAAGCUUGGAGAUGGAAAGAUGCAGAAAGCUGUGGGAAAAGGCACUAUUGCUGUCCAUACAAAGGGAGGUAACAAAAAGCUCAUUUCUGACGUUCUUUAUGUUCCAAAUUUAACUCAAAACCUCUUGAGUGUGGGACAGCUAAUUCAAAAGGGUUUUUCAAUUUAUUUUGAUGAUGAAAAAUGCAAAAUUAUUGAUAAAACUAAUAAUCACACAGUGGCCGUUGUUGAAAUGUCAAAGAACAAAGUUUUUCCUCUUGUUAUGCCACUUGAUGAGAAUGUUGCUCUCAAAACUGAAAAUUCAGAUUUGUCAACUUUAUGGCAUCUCAGAUAUGGCCAUUUAAACUAUAAAGGGCUGAAUUUGCUCAAGCAAAAGAACAUGGUGAUUGGCCUACCUGAUGUUGGAAGAUAUGAAAAAGUUUGCGAGGGCUGUAUUUAUGGAAAAAUGCAUAGACUUCCAUUUCCUAAAAAUUCAUGGAGAGCCAAAGCUCCGUUGGAGUUGGUGCAUGCUGAUAUUUGUGGUCCUACAAGGACUUUCUCUCUCAAUAACAGGAGAUAUUUCAUUCUUUUUGUUGUUGACUAUACAAGGAUGAUGUGGAUUUAUUUUUUGAAUGAAAAAUCAGAAGCUUUCUCAACUUUUCUUCAGUUUAAAGCUCUUGCAGAAAGGCAAAGUGGAUGCAAAAUGAAGACCUUGAGAACUGAUCGUGGUGGUAAAUUUAUCUACACUCCAUUCAUGAAUUAUUGCGGGGAUAAUGGAAUUCAAAGACAACUUACUGUCAGCCGAAGUCCACAACAAAACGGAGUCGCAGAACGGAAGAACCGUACCAUUGUAGAGAUGGCAAGAAGCAUGUUAAAAGGCAAAGGCAUUCCUAACAACUUAUGGGCAGAAGCAUGUCAUACAGCUGUGUACAUCCUCAACAGGUCUNNNNNNNNNNNNNNNNNNNNNNNNNNNNNNNNNNNNNNNNNNNNNNNNNNNNNNNNNNNNNNNNNNNNNNNNNNNNNNNNNNNNNNNNNNNNNNNNNNNNNNNNNNNNNNNNNNNNNNNNNNNNNNNNNNNNNNNNNNNNNNNNNNNNNNNNNNNNNNNNNNNAUAGUGAUGAGUCUAAAGGGUAUCGGUUGUUGAAUCCUACAACAAAUAAGCUUGUUAUCUCAAGAGAUGUUGUAUUUGAUGAGGCAUCAGCUUGGCAGUGGGAAAACGAUCAAUCUCAAGCAUCUAGCUUUUUUGAAGCUCCUGUAUCUCCACCAAAUUCUUCACAGCAAAAUAAUUUGGAACCAAAUUCUCCAAAUUCAGCAGCAGAAAGUUCUUCGGAUGAUGAAAGCCCUCCAAGGAAGAUAAAGUCAAUGAGAGAAAUUUAUGAGUCAUGUGAACUUGCUUUAUUUUCUUGUGAGCCUCAAGACUUUGAGGAGGCCUCAAGAAAUGAAGAUUGGAUCAAAGCAAUGAACGAGGAAAUGGCCACCAUUGUGAAAAAUAAAACUUGGGAGAUGGUUAAUUUGCCAAAUGGAAAAGAAACAAUUGGGCUGAAAUGGAUCUUCAAAAUCAAGUACAAUGAAGAUGGUUCAGUUCAAAAAUAUAAGGCGCGGCUCGUUGCCAAAGGAUACUCUCAGCUGCCUGGAGUUGAUUUUACAGAAACAUUUGCUCCCGUAGCUCGAAUGGAGACUAUUCGAACUGUUCUUGCCUUGGCAGCCCAAAUGGAAUUAAAUGUGUUUCAGCUAGAUGUAAAAUCGGCAUUUCUAAAUGGUGAAAUUGAAGACGAGGUUUAUGUUGAGCAGCCUAAAGGAGACUAAACGCAACNNNNNNNNNNNNNNNNNNNNNNNNNNNNNNNNNNNNNNNNNNNNNNNNNNNNNNNNNNNNNNNNNNNNNNNNNNNNNNNNNNNNNNNNNNNNNNNNNNNNNNNNNNNNNNNNNNNNNNNNNNNNNNNNNNNNNNNNNNNNNNNNNNNNNNNNNNNNNNNNNNNNNNNNNNNNNNNNNNNNNNNNNNNNNNNNNNNNNNNNNNNNNNNNNNNNNNNNNNNNNNNNNNNNNNNNNNNNNNNNNNNNNNNNNNNNNNNNNNNNNNNNNNNNNNNNNNNNNNNNNNNNNNNNNNNNNNNNNNNNNNNNNNNNNNNNNNNNNNNNNNNNNNNNNNNNNNNNNNNNNNNNNNNNNNNNNNNNNNNNNNNNNNNNNNNNNNNNNNNNNNNNNNNNNNNNNNNNNNNNNNNNNNNNNNNNNNNNNNNNNNNNNNNNNNNNNNNNNNNNNNNNNNNNNNNNNNNNNNNNNNNNNNNNNNNNNNNNNNNNNNNNNNNNNNNNNNNNNNNNNNNNNNNNNNNNNNNNNNNNNNNNNNNNNNNNNNNNNNNNNNNNNNNNNNNNNNNNNNNNNNNNNNNNNNNNNNNNNNNNNNNNNNNNNNNNNNNNNNNNNNNNNNNNNNNNNNNNNNNNNNNNNNNNNNNNNNNNNNNNNNNNNNNNNNNNNNNNNNNNNNNNNNNNNNNNNNNNNNNNNNNNNNNNNNNNNNNNNNNNNNNNNNNNNNNNNNNNNNNNNNNNNNNNNNNNNNNNNNNNNNNNNNNNNNNNNNNNNNNNNNNNNNNNNNNNNNNNNNNNNNNNNNNNNNNNNNNNNNNNNNNNNNNNNNNNNNNNNNNNNNNNNNNNNNNNNNNNNNNNNNNNNNNNNNNNNNNNNNNNNNNNNNNNNNNNNNNNNNNNNNNNNNNNNNNNNNNNNNNNNNNNNNNNNNNNNNNNNNNNNNNNNNNNNNNNNNNNNNNNNNNNNNNNNNNNNNNNNNNNNNNNNNNNNNNNNNNNNNNNNNNNNNNNNNNNNNNNNNNNNNNNNNNNNNNNNNNNNNNNNNNNNNNNNNNNNNNNNNNNNNNNNNNNNNNNNNNNNNNNNNNNNNNNNNNNNNNNNNNNNNNNNNNNNNNNNNNNNNNNNNNNNNNNNNNNNNNNNNNNNNNNNNNNNNNNNNNNNNNNNNNNNNNNNNNNNNNNNNNNNNNNNNNNNNNNNNNNNNNNNNNNNNNNNNNNNNNNNNNNNNNNNNNNNNNNNNNNNNNNNNNNNNNNNNNNNNNNNNNNNNNNNNNNNNNNNNNNNNNNNNNNNNNNNNNNNNNNNNNNNNNNNNNNNNNNNNNNNNNNNNNNNNNNNNNNNNNNNNNNNNNNNNNNNNNNNNNNNNNNNNNNNNNNNNNNNNNNNNNNNNNNNNNNNNNNNNNNNNNNNNNNNNNNNNNNNNNNNNNNNNNNNNNNNNNNNNNNNNNNNNNNNNNNNNNNNNNNNNNNNNNNNNNNNNNNNNNNNNNNNNNNNNNNNNNNNNNNNNNNNNNNNNNNNNNNNNNNNNNNNNNNNNNNNNNNNNNNNNNNNNNNNNNNNNNNNNNNNNNNNNNNNNNNNNNNNNNNNNNNNNNNNNNNNNNNNNNNNNNNNNNNNNNNNNNNNNNNNNNNNNNNNNNNNNNNNNNNNNNNNNNNNNNNNNNNNNNNNNNNNNNNNNNNNNNNNNNNNNNNNNNNNNNNNNNNNNNNNNNNNNNNNNNNNNNNNNNNNNNNNNNNNNNNNNNNNNNNNNNNNNNNNNNNNNNNNNNNNNNNNNNNNNNNNNNNNNNNNNNNNNNNNNNNNNNNNNNNNNNNNNNNNNNNNNNNNNNNNNNNNNNNNNNNNNNNNNNNNNNNNNNNNNNNNNNNNNNNNNNNNNNNNNNNNNNNNNNNNNNNNNNNNNNNNNNNNNNNNNNNNNNNNNNNNNNNNNNNNNNNNNNNNNNNNNNNNNNNNNNNNNNNNNNNNNNNNNNNNNNNNNNNNNNNNNNNNNNNNNNNNNNNNNNNNNNNNNNNNNNNNNNNNNNNNNNNNNNNNNNNNNNNNNNNNNNNNNNNNNNNNNNNNNNNNNNNNNNNNNNNNNNNNNNNNNNNNNNNNNNNNNNNNNNNNNNNNNNNNNNNNNNNNNNNNNNNNNNNNNNNNNNNNNNNNNNNNNNNNNNNNNNNNNNNNNNNNNNNNNNNNNNNNNNNNNNNNNNNNNNNNNNNNNNNNNNNNNNNNNNNNNNNNNNNNNNNNNNNNNNNNNNNNNNNNNNNNNNNNNNNNNNNNNNNNNNNNNNNNNNNNNNNNNNNNNNNNNNNNNNNNNNNNNNNNNNNNNNNNNNNNNNNNNNNNNNNNNNNNNNNNNNNNNNNNNNNNNNNNNNNNNNNNNNNNNNNNNNNNNNNNNNNNNNNNNNNNNNNNNNNNNNNNNNNNNNNNNNNNNNNNNNNNNNNNNNNNNNNNNNNNNNNNNNNNNNNNNNNNNNNNNNNNNNNNNNNNNNNNNNNNNNNNNNNNNNNNNNNNNNNNNNNNNNNNNNNNNNNNNNNNNNNNNNNNNNNNNNNNNNNNNNNNNNNNNNNNNNNNNNNNNNNNNNNNNNNNNNNNNNNNNNNNNNNNNNNNNNNNNNNNNNNNNNNNNNNNNNNNNNNNNNNNNNNNNNNNNNNNNNNNNNNNNNNNNNNNNNNNNNNNNNNNNNNNNNNNNNNNNNNNNNNNNNNNNNNNNNNNNNNNNNNNNNNNNNNNNNNNNNNNNNNNNNNNNNNNNNNNNNNNNNNNNNNNNNNNNNNNNNNNNNNNNNNNNNNNNNNNNNNNNNNNNNNNNNNNNNNNNNNNNNNNNNNNNNNNNNNNNNNNNNNNNNNNNNNNNNNNNNNNNNNNNNNNNNNNNNNNNNNNNNNNNNNNNNNNNNNNNNNNNNNNNNNNNNNNNNNNNNNNNNNNNNNNNNNNNNNNNNNNNNNNNNNNNNNNNNNNNNNNNNNNNNNNNNNNNNNNNNNNNNNNNNNNNNNNNNNNNNNNNNNNNNNNNNNNNNNNNNNNNNNNNNNNNNNNNNNNNNNNNNNNNNNNNNNNNNNNNNNNNNNNNNNNNNNNNNNNNNNNNNNNNNNNNNNNNNNNNNNNNNNNNNNNNNNNNNNNNNNNNNNNNNNNNNNNNNNNNNNNNNNNNNNNNNNNNNNNNNNNNNNNNNNNNNNNNNNNNNNNNNNNNNNNNNNNNNNNNNNNNNNNNNNNNNNNNNNNNNNNNNNNNNNNNNNNNNNNNNNNNNNNNNNNNNNNNNNNNNNNNNNNNNNNNNNNNNNNNNNNNNNNNNNNNNNNNNNNNNNNNNNNNNNNNNNNNNNNNNNNNNNNNNNNNNNNNNNNNNNNNNNNNNNNNNNNNNNNNNNNNNNNNNNNNNNNNNNNNNNNNNNNNNNNNNNNNNNNNNNNNNNNNNNNNNNNNNNNNNNNNNNNNNNNNNNNNNNNNNNNNNNNNNNNNNNNNNNNNNNNNNNNNNNNNNNNNNNNNNNNNNNNNNNNNNNNNNNNNNNNNNNNNNNNNNNNNNNNNNNNNNNNNNNNNNNNNNNNNNNNNNNNNNNNNNNNNNNNNNNNNNNNNNNNNNNNNNNNNNNNNNNNNNNNNNNNNNNNNNNNNNNNNNNNNNNNNNNNNNNNNNNNNNNNNNNNNNNNNNNNNNNNNNNNNNNNNNNNNNNNNNNNNNNNNNNNNNNNNNNNNNNNNNNNNNNNNNNNNNNNNNNNNNNNNNNNNNNNNNNNNNNNNNNNNNNNNNNNNNNNNNNNNNNNNNNNNNNNNNNNNNNNNNNNNNNNNNNNNNNNNNNNNNNNNNNNNNNNNNNNNNNNNNNNNNNNNNNNNNNNNNNNNNNNNNNNNNNNNNNNNNNNNNNNNNNNNNNNNNNNNNNNNNNNNNNNNNNNNNNNNNNNNNNNNNNNNNNNNNNNNNNNNNNNNNNNNNNNNNNNNNNNNNNNNNNNNNNNNNNNNNNNNNNNNNNNNNNNNNNNNNNNNNNNNNNNNNNNNNNNNNNNNNNNNNNNNNNNNNNNNNNNNNNNNNNNNNNNNNNNNNNNNNNNNNNNNNNNNNNNNNNNNNNNNNNNNNNNNNNNNNNNNNNNNNNNNNNNNNNNNNNNNNNNNNNNNNNNNNNNNNNNNNNNNNNNNNNNNNNNNNNNNNNNNNNNNNNNNNNNNNNNNNNNNNNNNNNNNNNNNNNNNNNNNNNNNCUCAAGGAUUUGCAGUUCAAUCAAGAUGCUGCAACAACAAUUUAUUGUGACAACAUGUCAGCCAUUGCUCUAACAAAGAACCCCGUAUUUCAUGCUAAAUCUAAGCACAUUGAGCUGCGUUAUCACUACAUCCGUGACUUAGUAAGCAAAGGAGAAGUUAAUAUGGAGUUUAUCAACACUAAUGAGCAGCCAGCAGAUUUUGUCACGUGGGUCACCGUCGAUUUUUACCAACAAAUCAUAGGUUUCGAAAAUAUAGUGUCUUUUGAUAAAACUAGAGAGUAGGGACAAGCACCUUCUCGGUUGUCUGGAACUGAAGUGAAAAAGCAGUUUAAUAUAGUUACUGAGUAUAAGAUUGAAGACUUGAAAAGAGGAGAACGAAUAAAAUGAGAGAAAUGAUAAGAUUACCUGGAAGAAGAACAGCAUUUUUUAUGAACUAACGUAUUGGUUUUUGAUAUCAUGAUCUUGAUAUCAUGCACUGUUUUGAUUUUUGUUAUGAACUCAGAUCAAAAGUUUAAUGUGAUCAAAAUUUCUUAAAAAUAGUGACAACGACUCCUCCUAAUAACAUUGAAGAUGGCUAUAAAAGAUAAAAGGAAAGGAUUAAAAAGAAAAGCUACGCCUGUUUCAAAAAAAAAAAUGGCGGCAUCAAGUUUAUAACAAAAAUCAAAACGGUGCGUUUGAAAGUGUAUAAAAUACAUUUAGAGCGGGAGUUGCGUUGUUUCUUGAAGGCAGAAUGUUUGUGAGAUUUUUGUCGACGAAGCCAAAACCAAAGAUGAAGCCCAUAGAGCUCAAAACUCCACCGGAGCAAAUUCAGACAAUUACGAGGGUUAUAUUUGACAUGGUCAAGGAAGACGGUCCUCUCACCGUCGCCGAUUCUUGGGAACGCGUCAAGGUGUGUGUAUCUGUUAAAUUGAAUUUCAACCGUUUGGUCUGUAAUUAUAAUUAAUCCUAUCGAUCUGACAGUGAUGAUUGAUCAUAAUACUAGUAGUUGUUUUACAUUUUCUACAAGCUGGAGUGAGUGGAUUGACGGGCAAAAGCCACNNNNNNNNNNNNNNNNNNNNNNNNNNNNNNNNNNNNNNNNNNNNNNNNNNNNNNNNNNNNNNNNNNNNNNNNNNNNNNNNNNNNNNNNNNNNNNNNNNNNNNNNNNNNNNNNNNNNNNNNNNNNNNNNNNNNNNNNNNNNNNNNNNNNNNNNNNNNNNNNNNNNNNNNNNNNNNNNNNNNNNNNNNNNNNNNNNNNNNNNNNNNNNNNNNNNNNNNNNNNNNNNNNNNNNNNNNNNNNNNNNNNNNNNNNNNNNNNNNNNNNNNNNNNNNNNNNNNNNNNNNNNNNNNNNNNNNNNNNNNNNNNNNNNNNNNNNNNNNNNNNNNNNNNNNNNNNNNNNNNNNNNNNNNNNNNNNNNNNNNNNNNNNNNNNNNNNNNNNNNNNNNNNNNNNNNNNNNNNNNNNNNNNNNNNNNNNNNNNNNNNNNNNNNNNNNNNNNNNNNNNNNNNNNNNNNNNNNNNNNNNNNNNNNNNNNNNNNNNNNNNNNNNNNNNNNNNNNNNNNNNNNNNNNNNNNNNNNNNNNNNNNNNNNNNNNNNNNNNNNNNNNNNNNNNNNNNNNNNNNNNNNNNNNNNNNNNNNNNNNNNNNNNNNNNNNNNNNNNNNNNNNNNNNNNNNNNNNNNNNNNNNNNNNNNNNNNNNNNNNNNNNNNNNNNNNNNNNNNNNNNNNNNNNNNNNNNNNNNNNNNNNNNNNNNNNNNNNNNNNNNNNNNNNNNNNNNNNNNNNNNNNNNNNNNNNNNNNNNNNNNNNNNNNNNNNNNNNNNNNNNNNNNNNNNNNNNNNNNNNNNNNNNNNNNNNNNNNNNNNNNNNNNNNNNNNNNNNNNNNNNNNNNNNNNNNNNNNNNNNNNNNNNNNNNNNCAAGCCACAUGAAGAUUGUGUAGAGAUGGAUGAGGGAGAGACAAAAGCUCAGGCUCGUCUGCAACCAUGUGGGCCCUCAUUAGCAACUCCUGUACACAGCUUGGCUUACCAAGCCCAACAACUUGAAGCAGGCAAAGUCAGGGAAUGACCAUUCCCCUUCACAACCCUAGCUGCCUUAACCUUGUAUCUCUGAUAUUUAGUUAAAGAGUAAGAAGAUUGCUCCUCUGUCAAUUACCUUUAAGAGAGACUUUCUUUCUCAUUCAUUGAUGCUUGCUUGUGAACGCAAGGGUUUUAGUUACACUUUCAACGCUGUCAAUGUAGUGACACGAUGAAGAUGAAGUAAAGCAGUAGUAGAAUAAUGAAGUUGGAAGCCCCACAGCAUGAAAACUUUUAAACAGUAACACAUCUUUUAUUCCAGAGGCUGCACACGAGUGACCUGAAUCUUCUUCAGAACUUUCAAAUUUUAUUAAGCAAAGCUUUCAAAAUUUCUCAACAAAAUGAUUAUUUGGUGUGGUUGCGGCAUUUUGAGUAACUGCGAUUUGUUCUCAAGUACAAAAUCCUUGCCUUCCUAAGUUAGAAAAGAUAGAUGUGAAGCAAACCAAAUGAAAUAAAUGGGUAAACAGAACAAACAGGGCGAAAAUUAAAAAUGAUGGCAAUUAACAAAUUAAUAGCAACGUUACAUUUGACUCUUUAGCCCUUUGUUCCUUCUCUUAGCAUUCUUCAAAGUUUUUGAAAAUUGGAAGUGAAGCAAACAAAAUAAAAUAAAUUUAGACAACACAUGCCCUGUAUUCAGCAUCAUAUAUAUCUCGAAGACUAGAAUUUCAAACAGUACUAGUAGUAAAAAAAUGACGACAACAACAAAAAUAGAAAAUUACAAGACUGCUGAUAAAAUUUCAUUUGCAUGCAUGUCUGACAAAAUUUCCGUGAUUUAAUGUGCCUUCAUGCACGCAAAUCCUAACGUUUCUGUGAUCACAAAAUGAAACUGGAGAUAAAUCAGAACACCUACCAAACCUUUGGCUGAAAAUUCAGAAGAAUUUAUAUUCAAGAUGUCAAAGUAAACUGGAAAUUUAUGGCACAUAUUACAAGAAGCAGUACACACCAAUGGUAAAUUGAUUCAUCGUCUUUGAACUUAAGAUAGUCAAAUGAAAGAAACACAACGGAGGGUUAAUGCAAUACAGUAAAGUGAAAACCCUCAGCAUGUAAACUUAACUUCAAAGAACGGAGCACAAGUUUCACAGAAAAGUAGCUCUUAUUCCUGAUGCUGCAAACACAGAGGAGUGUUCUCAAUCUUCUUCAUAACUUGGGAAUUCUGCAAUUAUAGAGCACGACAUUGAGCACGAACUAAAAAAAAAAAUUAUUUUCUACAAUUUUCAUAUAACCUGACUAACCAAUAUUAAUUUUGUGGUAAUGUAUUGGGUCAUUAAUUCAUAUGUUUUUACAAUCAUCACUUUAGAAAAAAACUAAUUUCUCAAUGUGAAAUGGCCCAUUGAAAGUAUUCUCAUUUAAAAACUAAAUUUGACGGACCCCUCGAUUAAAGCAGGGAAAAAAAAAAAAGAGAUCUGAGGCUUUCCACAUGAAAAUGUUGUUUGUCACUUUGAAUGAUAUUUUGAAGGGAUUUCAUUCUAAAAAUAAAAUACCUGGGACCUCAUUCUUCAAAAUUGACAACUCGCCAGGUAUUAAAAGCGUAUGAGAUCAGUACUGCGACGAGUAAGAAGACGACCCCUCUAACAGCUGAAAACAAAAUUCGCAUUCAUCAAUUUAAAUUAAAAUUCAUAUUAUGAAACUAAAACUAAUGAUUAAUGAAUUUUCGAGGAAUUUAAUAAGAUUCUCAGAUAUAAACGUGAUAACAAAUUCACUCAUCAAUAACAAAUAUUCUAACAGUUGUCCGUACCUUUUCUUGAUGUAAUUGUUGUAUGAUUGCGUUAAGGUCAUUAUUAGACCAACGCAGGUUGUCCUCUCUCUGUCCGUACCGGAAGUUUACUCUGACAGGCGUGCUUAAUUCUCUUUUGGUGAAAAUCUUCAUCUUGGGACAACCAAUCACAGCAAGAUCUUCCAAAGAUGGGAAUUUGAAGGUGUAAUUGACAGAGGAGAAGCUUGUGAGACUAUCUAAAUCAAAGAGGGACAACGUAGUCAGUUUGCUGAAAACAAUCUCUUCUUUUAAAUUUGCUGUUUCAUCUUCGUCACUUAUUACGACUUCUGUGAUUGCUCUGCAUCCAAAUACACCCAAUGAUACGAGUCGGUCUAGACUUUUUGCUGUGGAGGAUGUUAGUAAGUUCAUCAAUUUCUUGCAAGCAAAAGCUUGCAGGCGUGUGAGAUUCCGAAAAGAUACCGAUGAUGAUGGCAAUGUUGGAACAUUUUCAAAAUAAAUGUGUCUUAUGGUAAAGACAUGUCCUAUUAAUUGUGCCUUAUAGAAAAUGUACCUUUCACUAAAGACAUGUCUAAUUAAAUGAUGUCUUGUUGUAAGGACAUGUCCAUUUAAUUGUGUCUUGUAGAAAAUGUAUCUUUUUACUAAAUGAUGUAACUUUUCAUGACAACAUUUCACUUAGAGAUGCAUCAUUUCAUGGUGACAUUUCAUUUGAAAUUGUGAUGAUUCAAUUUGGACCAUUGAUUAAAAUCAAAUCUAGAUCCAAUGGCCAUGAAUGAAGGGGUAUCAUGAAAGAUGACAACCCAAAUGAGGGGGCACAAGUAUAUCUAUAAAUAGGGAUCAUGUUUAAGCCAUUUAGACAUGAAAUAAAUGAUCCUACACCACUCUUUUCUUAGCAUUCUUUUCUAGUACGAAUUUCAACACAAAACACCCAUUUCUUUUGUGCAUUCACAUUCCAAUAUAUUGUUUUCUGCAGGAACAAUAUAUUGUUUCUUGGCAGGCUUGCAACAUUCAAGAGUAUUCUGGUUUGCUUUCGUCGAUGCACAGCGCAAGCAAACAAACAAGUGCUUCAUUGUAUCCUGGAGGCGUAUUUGCUUAACCUAUGUGCAUCACUCAAUUGGUGGGGGCAAAUAACGUCUUAAGGAAAGCGACAUUUGUAACGUGCCUUGAAGCACACAAAAUUUCUGCAGUUUCUUCCUAUAUACAGAGUUAGUUGUAAACACAUUACUUUACAUAAUAAAGUUCCACCAUUAUUGUUGUAUUUUUCUACAUUUGCCAUUCCCCAAAAAUUUUACCACCAACAAUCUUAAGACGUUAUUUCUACAACAAUGGCACCAAGUUCAUCUCUUCGACAAUUCACAGUAGAUUUUGUCAAAUUGGAGCGGUUCGAUGGUGGCAACUUUAUUCGUUGGCAGAAAAAGUUGCAUUUCUUGUUGACAAGCAUCAAUGUGGUCUAUGUUCUCACAACACCAAAGCCUCAAGAACGUGAGAAUGAGACAUUAGCGGAAACCAGAGUGCAACAUAAGUGGGAGCAAGAUGACUACGUGUGUAAGGGACACAUUUGCAAUGCCAUGUCUGAUACUUUGUUUGAUCAAUAUCACAACAAACCUACAGCAAAAGAGAUAUGGGACUCAUUAGAGGCUAAGUACAUGAUGGAAGAUGCCACAAGUAAGAAAUUAUUGGCUUCUAAAUUUUUUAAUUAUAGAAUGGUUGAUAAUAGAAUUGUGGUUGAACAACAUAAUGAGAUUUUGCAUAUUCUUGAUCAAUUCAACCAACAUAACAUGAAAAUGGAUGAGUCUAUUAUUGUCUCUUCAAUUAUUGAUAAACUUCCUCCCUCUUGGAAAGACUAUAAGAAAAGUCUUAAACAUAACAAAGAGGAAAUUAGUCUGGAUGGCUUAGGCCAAAGUCUUCGCAUUGAAGAGGAACUCAAGCUUAAUAGUUUUGAGGAUCAGACUACUACGUCCUCUAAAAUUAAUGUCGUAGAGGAAGGGAAGGAGUUUAAACAUUCUAAUCACCCUAAGAAUAAUCAAAAGAGAAAGUUUGAUUCCAAAGAGAAUCAAAACAAUAAGAAGAAAAAGAAGGGUACAUGCCACCACUGCGGAAAACCUGGCCACUUCAAAAGAGAUUGUCGACUUCUGAAGAAACAAAAGAAAGUUUCGAACACAAAUUUUGUGGCCAUGAUAUCUGAGAUUAAUGUUCUUGAAGAUGAUAAUGCAUGGUGGAUAGAUUCAGGUGCAACCAAGCAUGUAUGCAAGGAUCGUAGCCUUUUCAAAUCUUAUAAAGCAAUGGAUGAUGGAAGUGUUCUUUACAUGGGAAAUUCCUCCACUGCAAUAGUUAAAGGAAAAGGCAAUGUGCAACUAGAGUUUACUUCUGGAAAAACUUUAACUCUUAUUGAUGUUUAUCAUGUUCCUGAAGUUAGGAAAAACCUUGUAUCUGGUAGCCUUCUUAAUAAGUUUGGCUUCAAACUUGUUUUUGAGUCAAACCAAUUUAUAUUAUCUAAGGGUGGUACCUUUGUUGGGAAAGGAUACAUGUAUGAAGGAAUGUUUAAACUCAAUAUCAAUAAUAUGAAUGUUUCUUCUGCUUAUAUGGUUGAUUCAUUAUCUUUGUGGCAUAAUCGUUUAGGACAUGUGAAUAUUAGAAGAUUGCAUGAUAUGGCUAAUUUAGAGUUAAUUCCUAAGCAUGAAAAUGAUAUGCAUGAAAAAUGUAAAGUAUGUGCACAGACUAAAAUCACAAGAUCUCCUUUUCCAAAAAUUGAAAAAACAUCUUCUUUAUUGCAUUUAAUUCAUAGCGAUGUGUGUGAUAUGCAUAGUAAUCCUUCUAAAUGUGGUAAAAAAUAUUUUGUAACAUUUAUUGAUGAUUUUUCAAAAUAUUGCUAUGUGUAUUUAUUACAUUCUAAAGAUCAAGUGUUAGAAAAAUUUAAAACUUAUAAAAAUGAAGUUGAGAAUUUUUGUGACACUAAAAUUAAAUGCCUUAGAAGUGAUAAAGGAGGUGAAUAUGCUUUUUCUGAAUUUUGUGAAUCUGUUGGCAUUGUACAUGAAACUAGCACUGCAUGUACUCCACAACAAAAUGGCGUAGCUGAAAGGAAAAAUAGGACAUUAAUAGAAAUGGUUAAUGCUAUGCUUUUUAAUGCUGGGCUUGGUAAAGGUUUUUGGGGUGAAGCUAUUUUAACUGCAUGUCAUAUCUUAAAUAGAGUGCCUAAUAAGAAAACAAAGGUGACCCCAUAUGAAUUAUGGAAAAAGAGAAAGCCUAAUCUUUCUUAUCUAAGAGUUUGGGGUUGUCGAGCCAUUGUAAGACUACCAAAACCUAAGAUAAAGAAAUUAGGAGAAAGGGGCAUUGAAUGCAUAUUCUUGGGAUAUGCUGAGCAUAGUAAAGCUUAUAGGUUUCUUGUAACAGAACCUAAUAGCUUUGUUGAGAUCAAUACUAUAGUGGAAUCUAGAGAUGCAAUAUUAUAUGAAAAUAGAUUUUCCACUAUACCAAAAAGUAUUGAUUCUCAAGAGAAUGAUAAACAAAUAGAAAUUGGUCAAAAGCGUGAUGCUAAUAAUGAGCAAAAUCAUUUGAGAAGAAGUAAAAGAAUAAGGACUAUAAAAUCUUUUCCAGAUUUUAUAGUCUAUUUAGUUGAAGGGACAAGAGACUCACAAUCAAAACAGACCAUGAUCGUAUCUACUAUAGAGUCUGAUCCCCUCACCUAUGAAGAUGCAAUGAAGUCUCAAGAUGCUGCUUUUUGGAAAGAGGCCAUUAAUGAUGAAAUGGACUCUAUUGUGGGUAAUAAGACUUGGAAAUUAGUUGAUUUACCACCUGGCUCUAAUCCUAUAGGUUGUAAAUGGAUUUUCAAAAAGAAGAAGAAAGUUGAUGGAACAAUUGAAAGAUUUAAAGCAAGACUAGUAGCAAAAGGCUUUACACAAAAAGAAGGCCUUGAUUAUUUUGAUACUUAUGCACCUGUUGCAAGAAUUGCUACUAUUAGAGUCUUGAUUGCUUUGGCUUCAAUUUAUCAAUUUGAAAUCCAUCAAAUGGAUGUAAAAACAGCUUUCUUAAAUGGAGAAUUAGAUGAGGAAAUUUACAUGAAACAACCAGAAGGGUUUGUUAUGCCAGGACAAGAACAUAAAGUUUGUAAACUAGUCAAGUCUUUAUAUGGUCUUAAACAAGCUCCAAAGCAGUGGCACGAAAAGUUUGACAAAGUGAUUGUCUCAAAUGGAUUUAAUAUUCAUGAAUCUGAUAAAUGUGUCUAUAGCAGAUUCAAUGGAAAUAAAGGUGUGAUUAUUUGUUUAUAUGUAGAUGACAUGUUAAUUUUUGGUAUUGAUAGUGAGAGCAUUGAACUCACUAAAUUAUUAUUGUCAUCUAAUUUUGAUAUGAAAGACAUGAGACUUGCUGAUGUGAUUUUGGGGAUUAAAAUUAUAAAAAAUGAGAAUGGCCUAGUAUUGACCCAAUCACAUUAUAUUGAGAAAAUUUUAAAGAAAUUUAAUUAUUAUGAUUGUAAGUCUGUGUCAACACCUUUUGAUUCAAACAUAAGACUGUAUCCUAACACUGGCAUAUCAGUAUCUCAAUUAGAAUAUGCACGUAUUAUUGGGUGUUUUAUGUAUGCGAUGACUUGUACUAGGCCUGAUAUUGCUUUCGCUAUUGGAAAGCUCAGUAGAUAUACUAGUAAUCCAAGCCAAGCACACUGGCAAGCAGUGUACAAAAUUCUAAAAUAUUUAAAACAUACAAUGGAUUAUGGUAUAUACUACACUGGAUAUCCUUCAGUUUUGGAAGGAUUUUCAGAUGCUAGUUGGAUUACUGAUCGAGAUGAUCAUACAUCCACAAGUGGUUGGAUUUUUAAUCUUGGUGGAGGAGCUAUUUCAUGGGGUUCAAAGAAGUAAACUUGUAUAGCAGACUCCACCAUGGCUGCAGAAUUUGUAGCGUUGGCUUCAUGUUGCAAGGAAGCUGAAUGGUUAAGGAAUUUGCUUAUAGAAAUUCCUAUUUGGCCUAAACCAAUGCCUCCUGUAUCUAUUCACUGUGAUAGUGAGGCAACUUUAUCAAGAGCAUAUAGUCAAAUCUAUAAUGGAAAGUCUAGGCACAUUGGUCUGAGACAUAGUUAUGUAAGACAAUUACUUACAGAUGGAGUAAUCACAAUUGACUUUGUGAAAUCAUGCCAAAAUUUGGCAGACCCCUUAACUAAAGGUCUUGCAAGGGAUAUUGUAUUUAAAACUUCUAAGGGGAUGGGACUGAAGCCAACAUCAUCUUAUCACCAAUGAUGGAAACUCAACCCAACACUUGAAAUAUCAAGAUCUUGGGUUCAAUGAGCAAAAGUACAUCAUAUGUUGUGAUAGGAAGCACUAUAAUAUUUUUAGAUGCGUCCCAAAGGUUAGUGCUUGAUACUUGUAACAUAUGGGAAAGGUUAAGCUACUUAGCUUUUAAUGGACUUAUAAAUGUUUUAGUUACAGGGACAUUCUAGAUAAGUCUACCUAUGUGAGUGUAUGAGGUGGUGCCGCUUCCUAUGUAACUUGGCUGGUUACUAAAGCGCUAAUGAAAACAGGAUAUAGACACAGGGCCAAUCCACGUGUCGGCUAAGGAAUACUUGAGAAUUUGAAAACUUAUGUGUGAGGUAUAUCCGGUUAGUCGAUUAAGGUCGCUGGUUCAAAGCUUGCCUACCAUGCCACCUUGAUUAACUUUGAUGUAUUGUCACUAAGUGAAGGUUCAAGUCCACAAGACACCUUCAUCUAUGCAUAAGUUUUCCAAGCCUGUGUAAGAUAAUUUUUCAAAAUUCAUUUAUUUUGAAAAUGGUGGGGGAUUGUUGGAACAUUUUCAAAAUAAAUGUGUCUUAUGGUAAAGACAUGUCCUAUUAAUUGUGCCUUAUAGAAAAUGUACCUUUCACUAAAGACAUGUCUAAUUAAAUGAUGUUUUGUUGUAAGGACAUGUCCAUUUAAUUGUGUCUUGUAGAAAAGGUAUCUUUUUACUAAAUGAUGUAACUUUUCAUGACAACAUUUCACUUAGAGAUGCAUCAUUUCAUGGUGACAUUUCAUUUGAAAUGGUGAUGAUUCAAUUUGGACCAUUGAUUAAAAUCAAAUCUAGAUCCAAUGGCCAUGAAUGAAGGGGUAUCAUGAAAGAUGACAACCCAAAUGAGGGGGCACAAAUAUAUCUAUAAAUAGGGAUCAUGUUUAAGCCAUUUAGACAUGAAAUAAAUGAUCCUACACCACUCUUUUCUUAGCAUUCUUUUCUAGUACGAAUUUCAACACAAAACACCCAUUUCUUUUGUGCAUUCACAUUCCAAUAUAUUGUUUUCUGCAGGAACAAUAUAUUGUUUCUUGGCAGGCUUGCAACAUUCAAGAGUAUUCUGGUUUGCUUUCGUCGAUGCACAACGCAAGCAAACAAACAAGUGUUUCAUUGUAUCCUGGAGGCGUAUUUGCUUAACCUAUGUGCAUCACUCAAUUAGUGGGGGCAAAUAACGUCUUAAGGAAAUCGACAUUUGUAACGUGCCUUGAAGCACACAAAAUUUCUGCAGUUUCUUCCUAUAUACAGAGUUAGUUGUAAACACAUUACUUUACAUAAUAAAGUUCCACCAUUAUUGUUGUAUUUUUCUACAUUUGCCAUUCCCCACAAAUUUUACCACCAACAGGCAAUAGACUUAACAGAUUUUGACAGUGAUAUGCUCUUAGAAUUUCAAGAUGUUGAAAAAUGAAGUCCGGCUGUUUGGAAUCGUGUUUCCACAGUUGCUGUAGAUGAUUAAGUCUUGUCAGGUGUAACUCUUUUAUCAGUGCUAGCUUCCUCGCAUGUGUCUCCAAAUACCACUUCGUACGAACAAUCCGACAGGUGGAGAAAUUCCAGAUUGUGAAACCUCUCAAGUAAACCAAGUGGAAAGAAAGCUAAGUCAUCAUCCUCAACCUGUAGUCGUUUGAGACUGCCAAAGAUGUGUUGGGGGAAAUGGCCUUGCAAAAUCAUCGUGAUAUCUUUUCCACUUAAUGCCAGUUCCUCCAAGUUGGGUAAGAUCUGAUCAUCAUCGAGCUCAAAUUAUUAACUCAGCACAUUGAUCCAUAAUUCAAGACUGGCAAAAUUCAUUAUGUAAUCAAAGUUUUCAAUGAUUAUAUAUAUAUAUAUAUAGUGCUUUCGUUGGAAUUAAUUAUUAAAAGCUUUAAUCAAACAAUGUUUGGAUUGGGUCGGCCUAUCCAACUUUUAAAUAAGAUUACCAACUUUAAAUUAAAAUUGCUUUAGAUCGCGGUUGGUCAGGUUUUAGUGGAGGUACGUGGCGUUGUAUCUAGAUCGAUGCAGAGCCAAGUCUGUCCUUUGGAACCAGAUCUGACUUAGGACAGAUCAAUAUUCCGCACGCUCUAGUUUCCAGCCGAUAUACCAAUAUUAUUUACCAAAUAUUUAUUAAGUUCUUUAGUCAAGCCUAGCAACAACAUUCAUCUAAAGGCUUGGGUGCAUACACAGUACUAUUUCCUUCUGGUAUCAGAGCCAAGGGGAGGAUAGUGUAAUACAGUUUAGAGUUUUGUGUUUAAAGACUUGUGUUUUAUUUUGAAGUUUUGUUGUGUGGUGAAUUUUUACUGGUAGUAAGUCCCGUCCAAGGAUAAGUUUUUCGUUUAGGGCUGUAAAACCAUACCUGUAGCCAUUCUGACCAAACCAUAAAUAGACCAUAGGUUUGUAACCAUGGAUCCUCUACUCUGUAGAACAUCGUCCUUUUCUAGCUCUUCUUCCGGGAAGACUAGUGAUUCAAAGCAUGUUGUGAGUUCAGAAGAAUUCGUUAUUGAGAACUUUGAUAAAGCAAUUGAUUGUUGGGAACUUCCAAAAGUUUCUAAAGAAAAGAUUUACAAAACAAAAAAGCUUGAUUUUCUAAAAAAUGAUUAUGUAAUAAAGACUGAAGAAAGAGACAUAACUCUCUCAGAACCUUUUGAAACAAUUCAUUUGUUUUCAGAAAAAUCUUUAAAGAAAUUAAGAGAAAAGAAUUAUAAUUAUAUUCACAUUGGUUUAAUCCAAGUUGGAAUAAAACCUUUGACCAAAGAAGGCUUGGAUACUUCUAUCCUUACUGUCCUUAGAGAUGGGCGAUUCAUCUCUUUUGAUGAUUCUUUGCUAAGUAGCAUCGAAUCCAGUCUUUGUAAAUGUCCGAUCUCUUUUGAUUGUUAUCCAAACAUAACAAUUUCUCUUAAAGAUAAAAACAUUUUGAAAAACAUGAUCUUACAAAUCAAAACGCAUAAUUAUAAUAUGAUUAAGGGAUCUGUCCCAGUUGCCUUAAUUUUCAAAAUUUCUUAUAAAGCCAUGAUCUUUGCGUUCAGUACGCAACACAAAUUCCAGUCAGAAAGAGAUGAAACUCUUCUCUUGCAGACUGAUAUGUCUAAAGCCAAUACUGUCAUUCCAAAACCAAUCUAGUGGAAAGAUGUCAAUCUUCCAGAAGAAUGGAUUCUUGAAGGAGCUGCUCCACCAGCAAUUCCAAAACAACUUGAACCUAAUACGGAGUUGCAAAAAGUGACUCAGUAUUCUGAUGGUAGAGUUAAACUGUCUUUCAGGAGAUCUAACUCAACCAGAUUUUCUGAUAAAGAGUCGUGUUCAAGUAUUCCUUCAUUAGAAAGGAAAUUCACAAAAAUCCCUUCUGUCAUAAAUCUUCAUUUUCAAAGUCAACCUAGGUUUUCCACUUCGGCUAUACCUAGUUCUUCCAUUUGUUCUGUUGACUAUACUACAAACAUUCCUCAUCCUAUUUAUACUAGCAGUCAACAUGAACAAAGAUAGGAAGAGAAGUAACCUUCUCCUCCAACUUCCCCUACAUUCUCUGUUGUCACAGAAAAUGUAAUUAAUGUUAUUGAAAAAGAAUUUGAACUGGAUAAAACUCUCCUUCAUAAUGAUUUUUAUUCAGAUAAUAAUAAAGAAAAGAGACUUUGGUUUUUUAAACAUUUUUUAAAUCAAAGAAAAGAAAUCCAACAAUUUUAUUAUGAAUUUGUGAACCUUCACCAAGUUCAUAUAUUAUUUUUUGAUUGGUUCGAAAUACAUUCUUCUGAUAAUAACAUUUCUUACCCCUUCAAAGAGUCAAACCCUAUUACUAUUAGGAAGAAAACCACUGAAUGGAAACUUUCUGAUAGUGAUAAAACCAUAGAAUCUGAGCAUCCACCUCUUCGGAGCAUAACCGUUGAUCACGGCGAACCUCCUAUUCAAAUUAGAGCUUCACCUUAUAAAAUCCCUAAACCAAAUGAUUCUGAUGCAAAUUUAAGUAGUAUUAUUCAACAGAAUAAUUUCUGUAAUACUAACUUAAAUACAAUAGGAAAACAGUUGACUAGAAUAGAAAACCAAUUCCAACAGUCAACCAUAGCUAUUUCUCCUGUAGCAAAGCCAAUUCCUUCAAAAUCGGAUUCUGAUAAAAAGCUUAAGGAACCUAUUUUCAAACCUUUUCAGGUUUCGAAAACUAGCCAAAAGCUUGUCCAAGAAUCAAAAUCAGAUUUUGCUAAAGCCAUUAGGGAACAACUAGAUAGGAUAGAAGCUGUUUCUUCCUCAUCUAACAGAGUCCAAAUAGCCCCUGAUACUCCCUAAUCUAGCAAGAUUGGAGUAUUAGAACAAGACCAGGUUUUUAUUGCCUCUUCCAAUCUAGAAGCCUUUACAGAAGAACCUAUUCCUAAAGCCAAUAAAAUCCAUUGGGAUUUAGCUCUCCCAACUGUCAAGUCUCCACCUGAUUUGGCCAUAGACAAUAGGCCUAGUGCAUUAAACCAAUCACGUUUUAAUGCAUCCUCUGUCUAUGAGUGGAACAUUGAUGGUAUGUCAGAAUAUAACAUCUUAGGAUUGUUGCAACAGAUGACCAUGGCAGCCAAUGCCUAUAAAACCCAAUCGGGAACUUCUGACAAGGCCAUUGCAGAAAUUCUUAUUGCGGGUUUUACUGGUCAACUUAAAGGAUGGUGGGAUCAUCUUCUUACCAAACCGCAACAAUUAGAUAUCCUAAACUCCAUACAAAUAGAUGAGAAUGGUGCCCCCAUUCUUGAUGAGUUCAAUAGUCCUAUUCAGGAUGCUGUUGCUACCCUGAUUUUGACUAUAUCCCUCCAUUUCAUAGGUGACCCUGCUCACCUUAGAGACAAAAACGCCGAGUUACUAUACAAUUUGAGGUGUAGAAAACUUAGUGAAUUCCAAAGCUAUAAAACCUCUUUCUUCACUAGACUUUUCCUUAAGGAUGAUGCUAAUCAUACAACUUGGAAGGAGAAAUUCCUUGCAGGUUUACCAACCUUACUAGGAGAAAAGGUUAGAAAUUCCAUUAAAGCCCUUUAUGACAACCGUAUUCCUUAUGAUGAGCUCACCUAUGGUGAACUUGUCAGUUUCGUCAAUAAGGAAGGCUUAAAGAUCUGUCAAGAUUUGAAAUUACAGAAACGACUUAAAUGGGAGCUUAAAAAGUCUAAGCAAGAAUUGGGCAGUUUCUGUAAACAAUUCAAUUACGACCCCUUUAAGACUUCUACCUCCAAAGAUUGUAAUGGUAAGUGUUCUACAAAACCUUACAAGAAACAUUACAAGUCUAGAUUCCGUAAAAAACCCUUUCAAGACUUUAGAGAACUUCAUUAUAAGAAACCUUCGAGGCCUUAAAAGAAACCGAGUUCUUCUAAAAAGAAAGAGUUUAAAGCCAAACCAAAAACUCCGUACAAAACCCUAUUCAAUUACAGAGAAGCCAUAUGUCACAAAUGUGGUAUGAAAGGUCAUACUGCAAAAUAUUGCAGAAUGAGCAGAAAGCUCCAUGAGCUAGACCUAGAUGAGGAAACCCUCUCCAAAAUUACCUCUCUGCUCAUAGAGUCUUCUGACUCUGAGUCUUCCAUGUCGGGAGAUAGUGACCCUCUUCAAGUUGAUGAGAUAAUUGACUCAGAUGAUUCUGCAUCUAGCAGUAUUGAUUCUGAAUCAGAUCCUUAUUUAAAGAAAAUCAAUGUUUUAACUAAAGACCAAGAAAUUUUUCUUGAACUUGUAAAACAUAUUUCCGAUCCGAAUCUUCAAAAGGAAUACCUAGACAAACUUUUGAAAACUCUGGAUUCUAACAAAGCAGAAACUUCUAAAGUUCCAAUUGUUAAAAAGAAUUCUUACGAUCUCACUGAAAUUUUGGAUAAAAAGAAAACAAAAAAGUUAAUUCCUAAUAUCCAAGAUCUUCAUAAAGAAAUCAAAGAUAUCAAAAUUGAGAUUAAAGAAUUAAAAGAAAAACAAAAGAAAGAUUCUGAAACCAUCCAACUUCUUAUACAAAAACAAUUAGAAGAAAACUCAGAAAAAGAAGUUGAAUCUGAAAGCGAUAACAAUCAAAAUGUUGACAACAUUGAAUCUGUACCUAAUGAUUUUCUGUUUGUCCUAAAACAAAUCACCACUAGAAAAUACUUAAUUAAAAUAACUUUGAUUUUUUCCAAAGACUUUGCUAUUGACGCCAUUGCCCUUUUCGAUACUGGUGCCGAUUUAAAUUGUAUAAGAGAAGACAUUGUCCCCAAAAGAUUUCAUGAAAAAACAAGGGAAAGGCUUUCCACCGCCAACAAUUCAAAACUUAAAGUCAAUUCUAAAGUGGAAGCCUCAAUACAUAACAAUGGAUUCGAAUUUAAAACUUCAUUUCUUCUUACAAAUGACAUUCACCAUACUGUCAUUUUAGGAACCCCGUUCAUAAAUUUAAUUACCCCAUAUACUGUCAAUUAUGAUAGUAUAUCUUUCAAAGCAAAAUCUAAAAAACUUGUUUUCCCUUUUAUUGAGAAACCAAAAACAAGAAAUCUAAAUAUUGUUAAAGCCUGUUCUGUUUACCAAAAUCAAAUCAACGCCAUACUUAAAUCCAAACAAAAUGACUUGUUUUGUUUAAAAAAGAAUUUAAGUCUACAACGAAUUGAAAACCAAUUACAAAAUGAUUUUAUCCAAAGAAAAAUCAAUGAUUUUAGAGACCUCAUUGAAAAAGAAAUAUGUGCUGAUUUACCAUCUGCUUUUUGGAACAGAAAACAACAUUUGGUAGAUUUGCCCUAUGAAAAUUCUUUCGAUGAAAAAAAAAUACCCACUAAAGCCCGUCCAAUCCAAAUGAACAUGGAAUUGGAAAAACAUUGUAAAGAUGAGAUACAAGAUUUAGAAUCUAAAGGAUUAAUUACAAAAUCUAGAUCUCCAUGGUCUUGUGCCGCUUUUUAUGUAAACAAAAAUUCUGAGAUUGAAAGAGGAACACCGAGACUUGUAAUAAUUUACAAACCCUUAAAUAAAGCAUUAAAGUGGAUUAGGUAUCUCAUACCUAACAAAAAAGAUUUACUCCAAAAAUUGUGUUCCGCCUUUAUUUUUUCAAAAUUUGAUAUGAAAUCUGAAUUUUGGCAAAUUCAAAUCCAUCCUAAAGACCGUUACAAAACUGCUUUUACUGUUCCAUUCGGACAGUAUGAAUGGACUGUUAUGCCAUUCGGUUUGAAAAAUGCACCCUCAGAAUUUCAAAGAAUUAUGAAUGAUAUUUAUAAUCCUUAUUCUGAUUUUUGCAUUGUCUAUAUAGAUGAUGUUUUGAUUUUUUCUCAAACCAUCGACCAGCAUUUCAAACAUUUAAAGACUCUCUAUUUUGCCACUAGGAAGGCUGGCUUAGCCAUUUCUAGUUCAAAAAUUUCUCUAUUUCAAACUAAAGUCUGGUUCCUUGGUCAUUAUAUUUCUAGAGGAACUAUUACCCCAAUUGAAAGAUCUCUUGCAUUUGCUGAUAAAUUUCCUGAUAAAAUUCUUGAUAAAACUCAAUUGCAGAGAUUUCUUGGUAGUUUAAAUUAUGUUCUUGACUUCUGCCCUAAUAUCAAUAGGAUGUCUAAACCUCUGCAUGAUCGGUUAAAAAAGAAACCUGUUGCAUGGACAGAUGAACACACUAAAGCUAUUCGAUUAAUAAAAAAUUCUGUAAAGAAUAUUCCUUGUUUAUUUUUAGCCAAUCCUGCAUUACCUAAAAUAGUUGAAACUGAUGCAUCUGAUUUAGGUUUUGGAGGUAUUUUGAAACAAAAGGAAAAUGAUAAAGAACAGAUAGUACAAUAUGUUUCUGCACAUUAGAAUGAUUGCCAGAAAAACUAUUCUACUAUCAAAAAAGAAAUUCUUUCUAUUGUCUUAUGCAUAUCUAAAUUCCAAAGUGAUUUAUUAAAUCAAAAAUUUUUGCUUAGAAUUGAUUGCAAAGCUGCAAAACAUGUUUUAGAAAAAGAUGUUCAAAACAUUGCAUCAAAACAAAUUUUUGCACGAUGGCAAGCCAUUUUAAGUGUUUUUGAUUUCGAUAUUGAAUUUAUUAAAGGUGACACAAAUUCUGUUCCUGAUUUUCUAACCAGAGAAUUUUUACAAAACAGAUAAUGCCGCCAAGAAAGAAUAACAAAGGUAAAGUUGUUCUUAAAGAUACUGAGUCCCAAGCCACCUCUAAAGAACCUCAACCAACUCCCUCUAAAGAAAAACUACUUUCUUCUGCCAUGCCCAUCAAGUCCUGGAUUGAAAUGGUUGAAGAACAUGAAGCCCAAUACAAAACUAUUUCUUCUGAUGACCAAGUAAAGGAAUGGAUGAGUUCCAUUACAAAAUCGCCUGAGCUUAUGCUCGCCCUCCAAAGCUUUUCUCAAAGUCAAAUUUCUCCUAAAGAAGAAAUUGAAAAAGAAAAACCUAAGUCCAAAGAAAUGACAAAACCUUCUUCUCAAAACGUUGUUGUCUCCGGUGAAAGCUCAUCUUCUCAAAUUGUGCUUUCCCAACCAACACUUUCAAAGAAAUCAUCCGAUUGGUUUGAUAAAACCCAUUUUCAAAACAUUUUAUCUAUAGAAGAUGGAUUUUACCAUACUGAUCCUUUUCAAGCAAUUUCAAAGUUUUUCCCCAAAUGCUGGUUUUUUAAACCAUGUUAUUUAACAAAACCCCAGUCUUACUAUCAAAGCAUUUUAGAAAUUACUGAGUCAGUUAAAUUCAAACAUUUCUUUCUCAGUGAUACCCAUUCAGAGCCAGCCUAUUCCACGGCUACUAUUUUAAAAGUCCUGAGCCCAAACCAGUGGGGGGAUCUGCUCCACAAUUUUAAAACCUUCCCUUUAAACUUUCAAACACGUUUACCACAUUGUCGGACUUAUUCCUACUGGGAUUACCAAUAAGCCUGGUAUAACACAUUUUUUAUCCAAAACCCCAAAAAAUCCCACUCUUGGUUAUUUUUCUUCAAUUAAAAAAUAACCGUCCAAAGCCUCCCAAACUGGUUUCAUCAUUGGUGGAAUUCUUUUGGCCCAAUACCUCAAAUCCUAACUCCAAAUGCUACCCAAUGUUUAAACUUCUUUAAAGCCCACUACAUUCCUUCUGAAUCUGAGAAAAGGUUUCCACCCUUUCUCUGUUUCUGUACAAAUUUCUUCCUUCCAUGGGUAUGGAUGUGGAACCUCAGACUUCAUACCCAAGAUGCCCAGCUUAUCUUACAAAGAACAUUCAAAGUAAAAUGGUGGUCAAAAUUUGACGAACAAACCAAACUUACUGAUACCCUCAUCAGAAAUUGGCUUUGUUCCAAAGGCUUCCUCCAACCAACCAUUAAGGGAUCCAAAGCCCAACAAACCUUCCUUACUCAAAAGUCCAAAGCCCAAUCUCUUCUGGCAAGUGCCAAAACCGAAAAAGAAUACUUCAAAGCUAUGGAACAACUCCUCGCCUCCAGGUCAAAGUCAUCAGUGGCAGAUUCCUCUGAAGAUGAAGACAAUGAAGAAGAGGAAGAGCCGUUUAUCUCUCUUGGAGAUGAAAAUGAAGACGACUAUUUCAGAAUUUUCUCUCCUGUAAAGCAUUGUAAAUAAUUAUUGUUUAAUUAAUGUAAAAAAAAAGUAAAUACUCAUUUUUUUUAUUUAUAUCAUUCGGGUGGUCCCUUGGACACAAGUGAGAGCGCACAUGUCUCUUCACCCGUAUUGUAUGUCUACAAAGUCACUAUUUCAACAUACGCUCCAAAAGCUUAUUGUUACAUACGAUCCAAAGCUUACUGUUUGCUUCAACCCCGUUACAGUGAACAGUGCAGAGUUCCAAAGAUUACUGUAUGCUACAGCUCCGCUACAGUCUACAGUUUAAAAUUUCAUUUUGUAUAUAAUCUGAAGGAAGACUCAGACUCCUCAGAUUUUUUGAAUCUCCUCUCUCUCUAAUUUUCAUUUUCUCUCUCUCCUCCCUGGGAAUCAGGAAUCCGAAGGCACUAAGGAAAUUUUUCUGUUUACAGAAUAGUUCCUUACCUUCAGGAUUAAUUUCCCUUUUCUUUUCUACAAAGAAAAAGCAAUUGAUGUAAGCAUUUUAAUUUUCAGUAUUAUUUCAAAGCAUUUGUAAAUUUUAUUUAAGGCUUUCCAUGUAUGUUUAAAUUUCUGUACUUUAAUUUUCGCAAUUUACUUUAAAGCAUUUUUAAAUUUUUAUGCAGACUGAUCUCUAUCAGAUCUGCCAUAAAACUGCUACGUUCCUCUGAGGCAACGAGACCAGAUCUCAAUCCUCAGUUGUAUUCUUUCUCUUCUCCCUCCAUUCCUUUAGAGCACUAUUUCCGGGAACCGGAUCUAGUACUGUGUAUGCACCCAAGCCUUUAGACGAAUGUUGUUGCUAGGCUUGACAAAAGAACUUAAUAAAUAUUUGGUAAAUAAUAUUGGUAUAUCGGCUGGAAACUAGAGCGUGCAGAAUAUUGAUCUGUCCUAAGUCAGAUCUGGUUCCAAAGGCAGACUUGGCUCUGCAUCGAUCUAGAUACAACGCCACGUACCUCCACUAAAACCUGACCAACCGUGAUCUAAAGCAAUUUUAAUUUAAAGUUGGUAAUCUUAUUUAAAAGUUGGAUAGGCCGACCCAAUCCAAACAUUGUUUGAUUAAAGCUUUUAAUAAUUAAUUCCAACGAAAGCACAUCCAUCCUUCGAUCCUAUUUCCUUCUGGUAUCAGAGCCCAAUAAUUAAUUCCUUCAGAUUAAAUCAGAUGCAUCAGUUUCAACUAUUUUAGGUAAUGCGGGAUUGGCUAAAAUAAACAAGGAAUAUUCUUUACAGAAUUUUUUAUUAAUCGAAUAGCUUUAGUGUGUUCAUCUGUCCAUGCAACAGGUUUCUUUUUUAACCGAUCAUGCAGAGGUUUAGACAUCCUAUUGAUAUUAGGGCAGAAGUCAAGAACAUAAUUUAAACUACCAAGAAAUCUCUGCAAUUGAGUUUUAUCAAGAAUUUUAUCAGGAAAUUUAUCAGCAAAUGCAAGAGAUCUUUCAAUUGGGGUAAUAGUUCCUCUAGAAAUAUAAUGACCAAGGAACCGGACUUUAGUUUGAAAUAGAGAAAUUUUUGAACUAGAAAUGGCUAAGCCAGCCUUCCUAGUGGCAAAAUAGAAAGUCUUUAAAUGUUUGAAAUGCUGGUCGAUGGUUUGAGAAAAAAUCAAAACAUCAUCUAUAUAGACAAUGCAAAAAUCAGAAUAAGGAUUAUAAAUAUCAUUCAUAAUUCUUUGAAAUUCUGAGGGUGCAUUUUUCAAACCGAAUGGCAUAACAGUCCAUUCAUACUGUCCGAAUGGAACAGUAAAAGCAGUUUUGUAACGGUCUUUAUGAUGGAUUUGAAUUUGCCAAAAUCCAGAUUUCAUAUCAAAUUUUGAAAAAAUAAAGGCGGAACACAAUUUUUGGAGUAAAUCUUUUUUGUUAGGUAUGAGAUACCUAAUCCACUUUAAUGCUUUAUUUAAGGGUUUGUAAAUUAUUACAAGUCUCGGUGUUCCUCUUUCAAUCUCAGAAUUUUUGUUUACAUAAAAAGCGGCACAAGACUAUGGAGAUCUAGAUUUUGUAAUUAAUCCUUUAGAUUCCAAAUCUUGUAUCUCAUCUUUACAAUGUUUUUCCAAUUCCAUGUUCAUNNNNNNNNNNNNNNNNNNNNNNNNNNNNNNNNNNNNNNNNNNNNNNNNNNNNNNNNNNNNNNNNNNNNNNNNNNNNNNNNNNNNNNNNNNNNNNNNNNNNCGUUGGUCUCUAAUAGGAUGAGGAAUGUUUGUAGUAUAGUCAACAGAAUGAAUGGAAGAACUAGGUAGAGCCGAAGUGGAAAACCUAGGUUGACUUUGAAAAGAAAGAUUUAUGACAGAAGGGAUUUUUGUGAAUUUCCUUUCUAAUGAAGGAAUACUUGAACACGACUCUUUAUCAGAAAAUCUGGUUAAGUUAGAUCUCCUGAAAGACAGUUUAACUCUACCAUCAGAAUACUGAGUCACAUUUUGCAACUCCGUAUUAGGUUCAAGUUGUUUUGGAAUUGCUGGUGGAGCAGCUCCUUCAAGAAUCCAUUCUUCUGGAAGAUUGACAUCUUUCCACUGGAUUGGUUUUGGAAUGAAAGUAUUGGCUUUAGACAUAUCAGUCUGUAAGAGAAGAGUUUCAUCUCUUUUUGACUGGAAUUUGUGUUGCGUACUGAACGCAGAGAUCAUGGUUUUAUAAGAAAUUUUGAAAAUUAAGGCAACUGGGACAGAUCCCUUAAUCAUAUUAUAAUUAUGCGUUUUGAUUUGUAAGAUCAUGCUUUUCAAAAUGUUUUUAUCUUUAAGAGAAAUUGUUAUGUUUGAAUAACAAUCAAAAGAGAUCGGACCUUUACAAAGACUGGAUUCGAUGCUACUUAGCAAAGAAUCAUCAAAAGAGAUGAAUCGCCCAUCUCUAAGGACAGCAAGGAUAGAAGUAUCCAAGCCUUCUUUGGUCAAAGGUUUUAUUCCAACUUGGAUUAAACCAAUGUGAAUAUAAUUAUAAUUCUUUUCUCUUAAUUUCUUUAAAGAUUUUUCUGAAAACAAAUGAAUUGUUUCAAAAGGUUCUGAGAGAGUUAUGUCUCUUUCUUCAGUCUUUAUUACAUAAUCAUUUUUUAGAAAAUCAAGCUUUUUUGUUUUGUAAAUCUUUUCUUUAGAAACUUUUGGAAGUUCCCAACAAUCAAUUGCUUUAUCAAAGUUCUCAAUACCGAAUUCUUCUGAACUCACAACAUGUUUUGAAUCACUAGUCUUCCCGGAAGAAGAGCUAGAAAAGGACGAUGUUCUACAGAGUAGAGGAUCCAUGGUUAAAAACCUAUGGUCUAUUUAUGGUUUGGUCAGAAUGGCUACAGGUAUGGUUUUACAGCCCUAAACGGAAAACUUAUCCUUGGACGGGACUUACUACCAGUAAAAAUUCACCACACAACAAAACUUCAAAAUAAAACACAAGUCUUUAAACACAAAACUCUAAACUGUAUUACAGUAGUUUUCUGGUCAGGGAAUUUAAAGUGCGGGAAAGUCCGGGAAAGCUUUAAAACCACACGGCUUUAAAGGCUUACAAUUUUAAGCCUUUAAAACCAUGCGGUUUUAAAGGUUUCCCGUACUUUCCUGCACUUUAAAAUUCCUGACUGGAACAUUUCUAUAUAUAUAUAUAUAUAUAUAUAUAUAUAUAUAUAUAUAUAUAUGUAUGUAUAUUUCUUCUCUAGUGCGGACGCCCUCAUUUUCUUUUUCAUGCGGACCAGUUUUUAGACCCCAUGGUUUAAAAGACUUAGUUUUUAACUCUCUAAAACCGCAUGACUUUAUAAUUCAUUUAAAAACUAACUAUCUUAAACCGCACGGUUUAAAAGUGUGUCCCCAUUAAAAAAAAUGCGGACCCCCACACCUAAGAAUGAUUAUAUAUACAUACACGCUCUUAAACCGUGGGACUUGAAAGCUUCUCCGCAUGAAAAAAGUAAAAAAUGAGAGCAUUCCCACUAGAAAAAAACUCCAUAUAGGUAUUUAUUAAACCUCCUAAUCUGUGAGUGAGGAACAACAAAGAUAAUUGAUAAAAAAAAUCUAAAAUUUGGUUUCAUACCUUCUUGAACGAGAGCAGGGGCUGUUGUACCGGAAUACCAAAUUGAUCAUUCUCGUUAUUCUGGGACAACGUUAUUUUAUCACAAUUACAGGCUUCCAAUUUUUUUAGUGCUGGCCAUUCUGAAGUAUGCAUUCCAGGGUAUAAACAUCUGAGUUCUGGCUUUUGGAAAGACAAAAUAUGGGGUCACUUGAUCUGCUGUGUCUUUGGAGAUGAUCUCUUGUAAACCCAUACAUAUCCGUAUCUCCAGGUGUUGGAGGUGCUUAAGGCUUUGGAUCAUAGAAGCUGAAAAUAUGUAUUUUAAUUUGUCACAGCCCCACACUAUCAAUCUUGUCAAGCUUUGAAAGCAAGUAAUCAUGGCCGUAAGUUGAUUGUCAUGCCAAAUCUCGUCGACAUUAAUAGCAUUCAGCUCCAAAGCCUCCAAAUUUGGCAACACUACCUAAAGAUAAUUUUCUCUUUAGAUCCAAUAUCAGUAUGAAAAGCACUUGUUUUGACACAAUAUCCAUAUGAGAAGCACUUAAUUAAGAGCUUAAUUAGCGAGUGUAUCAGACUUUUUUUUUUCAAAUGCGAGUGCAUGAUAGAACUAAAAAAAAAAGAAGAAGCAUUGGCCUACGUACCUUCUUGUUGAAAAGCAGAGUUGACGUUUCGGAACUGAUCUCGUUGGAACUGGCUGUCAAUUCCUCUUGCGACUCUUGUCUGUUUGGUGAUGUGGAAGGAGUCUUCACUUCACCGCAAAACCUUGUAACCUUUGGAAGCUUUCCCAGACUCAAAGAUCUUAAUUGACCAAACUCUAUCUUCUCAUCAACAUCAACAUCAGCUUCUCCUCCAGUUGCAAAAAUCUCUUCCAUGCUGCUGCAAUUGAUAACUGCAAUCCUCUCCAGUCUUGGAAGGCAUUUUGUACUACUAGAGAGCCAGAAGAUAUUACUCAACUCAUCACAAUUUUCUACUUUUAUGGUUUUGAGUUCAUUGAAGGACUCUAUUUUGAGUCGAUCAAUACAUAUCCUCUCCGUAUUGAUCAAAUUGUGAAGAGUAAGGGACUCCAAAAGAGGAAAGGCGACACAAGGUUCUCUCUUCAUUGAAUCGACGAUACACAGGAUGUCUGGAUUAUUUUGAACAUGGAGAUGCUUCAAUUGUGAAAAUCCCUCGGUGUCCAAUUCUAAAACAACAUUCUUGAUUCCUUGCAACUUAUCCAAACAUAAGUAUUCAACGUUAUUGAUGCCCUGCAACUUCUUGGAGGAAAUGGCCAUAGAAUCAAGCUUGAGCUUCAAUGUUCUUAAACUCUCAAGAUUACUGAUCAUAAAGUGCGGCCGACUUUGAAACCAGUCUUUUCCAAAUAACCAUGGUAGAGUCGAAAGAUCCAUCUCCUAUUGAUAUAUCAAACCUUUCCAGCUUUUUGGUAAAAAAGCCAUCUGGUAAAAUGCUAUCAUCUUUAACAUCUAUUUUUAAGGCGGUCAGUCGCUGCAAAUGCAUCAAUUCAUCGAGGCUGGCAUUACUUCUUUCACUAUUGGCUUUUCUCACUUCCCAUUCAAUAGAGCAGUUACUCAUAUACAGUUCUUCCAAUCGAGUGAAGCUUGAUAAGAUAUUGGGCACAAUAAAUUUUAGUUGCAAGCAAUCUGUUAAAUCUAGCAUCCUUAACUUAGUCAGUUGACCUAGUUCGUCAGGCAACCGUACAAUAUCAGACUUUAAAAAGCUAAGGAUUUCUAGAUUCUUCAACUUUCCAACUAUGGCUAUGUCUCCCAACAUGCUUUGAUCAAGACACAGUGUUUGAAGAUUUGCUAGAAGACCGAUUGAAGAUGGCAAUGAAAAUAAUCGUACCCUUGUCAAAUCUACGACUCGAAGCUUUUUCAUCCCUUUGAAAAAGUUGUUAGGAAUAUUGACCUCGACAAAAGAGUCUUCGGGAUCAAUAUGUAAAAAUUCAAGUUGCGGACAUUCGAAUUCCUCGGAAACUUCAUGAAUGCUACUAUUUAGUAAAGGGAUUGCAUAGCAUUUUUUAAGUGCAUCCUCAUCUGGCCACUCCCACACAGCGUCAUUUCUCACCAAUGAAGCAUGUUGGUCUCGACAUGCAAUUGAUAUGGCAACAUCGCAGACAACAUCAUGCAUAGAGAAUUGUUCAGUACUAUCACCCUCAAGCAACAAACAACAGUCUCUAAGUUCAUGGACCAGUGCAUAUAAUUUGUUUCGUGCAUCUUCCAUCUUAUUGACUCCAUGAAAUAUUCCUAAACCCAUAGAGUAUUUAAGCAAGUCUAAAAGACAAAAACUGUUGCCUAUUAGACUGCAGAGCAGAAAAAUUUUCUUGAGUUGCUCACCUUUUAAAUACUUGAAACUCAGUUCAAUACUUGAAUAAGUCUCUGCAGGCACACCUUCGAAGUUUACCACUGAAGGCGUUUGGAGUUCUCGCAAGGCAUUCUUCCACUCAUGCAGACUCUUGUUUCUCAGUGCCCUCGCUACUGUAGUCAGGGCAAUGGGCAAACCUCCACAUGCCUGGGCUACAUUAAUUGCUGUAGACUUGAACUUACAAUUUUCAACAUCAUCACCAUUCAUUAUCUUAAACAAUCUCCAAGCUUCUUCUUCAUUUAGAUUGCCAAUCAAGAAGUUAUCUUUGGAGCCCAUACUUAAUAGCACAUUAUUGUCUCUUGCUGUCAGCAGUAGUCUACAUCCUUUAUGAUCAUUUCCGAUGGGAAUUCCAACCGUCUCCAAAUCAACAUGUUUCCAGAUAUUAUCUAGAAUCACAAGAAUCUUAUUCUCAUUCUUCAGUCGUUCAUACAGCCUGCUAGCUCUUCUAUAUUCAGCUUCAUCGGACAACUCCAGACCUAACUUCUCUGCAAUUUCCCCUUGAAUCUUUUUUAUGUCUGGAGUUUGUGAAACCUCUGAAAAAACCACCCGAUCAAACAACUUGUCUUCCCUGGCUUGCGUAGCAAACUCCUUCACCAGUGUCGUCUUUCCAAUGCCGCCCAUGCCGUACACCCCAAUAAUGCUGACAUUCACAUCAGUCAACGCAUUUUGUAUAGACUUCAAAGUAGAAACUCUUGAUUCGAAGGCCUUGUAACCUUUGUUAGACUUAAGCCAUAUCUCCUCCGGAAUGGUACGAUGGGAAACGAUAUCAAACUUCUUAACUCCUUCUCCAAGUUCAACAAGGGCCUUCACCUCUGUCUCUGCUUUCUUGCUAAGCUGAUAGCGGGUCUUCAAAUUAGGACACAAGCCCUUGAGACAGCGCUUGUUUGUUGACUCCUCAUCUUCAAUGAAUUUGGCUGCCUGGUCAAUGAUGCCGUUUGCACUGACCAGCCACUUCUCAACCUUCUCUUCAAUCUCUUCCCCUUUUUCUUUCGCCUUUGAAACUCUGCGCUGAAUGCUCGUACGUUCAACCUCAACUUCUCCAUUUCCGCCUUGAGAUUCUCAAGGUUGGCAUUGUAGUUCCGCUUGCGCAAAUAAACAAGUUGGCGUUCUGUCGGAGGAGCCAGGCAUUUUACAAGUUCCAAAACGAGAGUAACAAUGAUUUCCAGCAUCUUGAAUCCUGACAGCAAUGUAGAAGUGAAGAAGGCCAAAGGACAGUAAAAACAGAGAGACAACGAUACGACAAGCAGUUAUAGAGCUACAAAUAAAUAACAAACAAACAGAAGCAAAGUGUUCUUCGAAUGAGAAGAAGGAAGCAAGAAAAGGGUUUCUAUUUAGAUUAAGAAUAAAUGUAAAGAGCUAAAAAAGCUGAUGGGUACAGAAUAAGAAAUGAUUAAGAGAAUGGGGGAGCUAACAAGACUGUGGAGUGAGCAGGCGUAAAUAAACUUUUCUUAACCUUUUGUCAUACGUGUAUAUAAAAUAAUAUAAUUAAUUUUAUAUUUUUAUUCAAUAACUAUUAAUUAUAUUUUUUUCAAAAUUAAUAAAAAGAAUAAUUAAGUACUGAAUCCAAAUCCUAUCCUAAAUGGUUAGAUAAAAAUAAGGGAAUGAAAAGAGUAAUGGUAGAUUAAUGAGAAGGUGAUUGAUUAAUUUAUGAGGCCAAUUAACGAAACGACAGAUCUGGUUUCCAUGUUUGUAGUUUAAGUGUAUGAGUACGAGGUGAACCGAAGCUUUGUCGAGUCAGGCAAAUAGAAAGAGAAAUUACUAAAACAAGAACCAGCAACUUUUACUCACACAUGAGCUAAUAAUGUAUUGAGAUUGUGCAGAGUAAUAUAAAAGAUUAAAACUAGUAUAAUCAAUUUGUCAUCAAGUUUUAGCCUUCUUCUUCAACCAAUUACAGCACGAUCUUGAGCUCUGUGUUUCUUUUUUUAAAUCAUUCAAAAGAUCUCUGUCAUUAAUUUUUCAAUGAUAAAAAUUAUAUUUUUGUCUCAUAAAAUAUAAAAUAUAAAAAAAUCAAACAUAUAUUAUAAGUCCGUUUGAGAUUAUUUUUAAAUAAAGUAUACAAAUCUCUAAAUUAACUUCGUCCCCUUGAAAUUCAGCAUAAAUAUAAAUAGAAUUAUAGAAAUCUUACUACCUUUUAUGAGAAAUCCAACUUAUAUAUUUGAGACUUCUCUCUCUAAACACACGCUUCCUCUCUCUGUACACUUUCCACCUUUAAAUUCUCCUUCAUUAAGUCUACCUAAAUGAAUUUAGCAUUCUCUCAGUUUCUUCAGCAUUUUUCUCCGUGAAAAUAGGUGAAAAAGAGAAAGUGAUUUGAUUAUUUUAAUGUACGACAGAUCUGAUUUCCAUCUCUGUAAUUUAAGUGUAUCAAAACGAGGUCAACAACUCUUGGUCGAGUCAGUCAAAUAUAAAAGACAAAUUACUAAACCAAGCAGAGCCACAAAAAAAAAAAAAAAUCCAAUUAAAUAAUCAUCAAGUCUUUUUCAAUUAAAAUAGGGGGUGCAGAACAACUGUCAAGAGAUAAUCAUUGUUUAUUAUAUUUUCGAUUAAAAUAGUUGCGCGUGAACGAUUGUCCGAAUUCGUAUAAAUUGUUGUAAGGUCUAUUAUAAUUAACAAGUGGAAUGGCCAAUGGAUGAAGAACCACUGUAAUUUCGUUUAUGAAUUUAAAAUGCUAAAGAAACUGGACACCAACGCUAAACGUGAGUCUGCCCAAUCUAGAUAAAUAGGAUAAAAAAUUAUCCGUCGGCUAUCUGAUCUUUUAGCCAUUAUAAAAAAUAUUAAAAAAAUAUACAAACAAUUUUUUUUUUUUUUCAACAAUCCAUCUGAUAUUUAUGAAGUGCAUUAGUGCUCCACUACUAUCAUAACCCUUUAAAAAUAUCGCUUAAACACAAGAACGUAUUGCCUAAAAUUAUUUUUCAAGCAAAUGUAACGACAUAUUUGGUUUUGAUCUUCGUGACUUUUUAAGUGUACAAGAACAAGAUGUAUGACCCUUUGUCGAGUUGAAGAAUUAAAAUAAAUCAGUUACAAAUCCAGAACAAACUUACGGGUGACAUUUUAGUAUUAAGCAAACUAUAAUUGAUCAUCCAAUGAUAGGCUUAUUUUCAAUUAAAUUAGAGUAAAUAUAGACAUUCCAAAUUUUUUCUCUCAAAUUUAAUCCUAGAUAAUGUGUUAUUAAUUGAGUGCUUGGUAAUUCUUUCAAGAUCUAAGUGAAUUAAUUAUAUUAUCUCUCCAACCAAUUGAUGAAUAUUAUAUUAUUAAAUAAUCAUCAAGUAAUACGACACUUCUCAUGUUCCGUUAACAUUUCAGUUAUAUUAUUAAUUAUCAUUUUAAUUUGGAUAGUAUUUUUGUUUAGGAGAAUAUAUCAAUUAUGAAAUUUUUAAUUUUGAAAAUUAAAGAAAUAAUUGAACUGAUUUUUUCUUAUUAAUUGAUAGCUUAGAUGCAUUUUGUUACAUGUUAAAAAAUUAUGAAUACAUAUCCUUUUUGGUAAUUUAAUUACACAAAAGCACUUUUAGUUUUGCACAACCAAACCGUUUAAUGGUUCAAAAGUACUUUUUUAAUUGACAACCAAACACCCAAUGACUUUUUUGUCCAAAAACUCUAUUGGUAUAAGCUCUACUUCUAUAAGCUCUACUGCUAUAAGCUCUAUUUAAUAAGUUGUACCAAACGGAGCCUUAAAAUCUAAGUGAAUUAAUUAUAUUAUCUCUCCAACCAAUUGAUGAAUAUUAUAUUAUUUGAGUUUUUUUUUUGUCUCAAAUCCCAGCAAAGAAAACAGAACAAACGGAGCAAAAAUAUUUUUACAAACCUAAAAUAACAAAAAAAGAACUUUUUCUUGUUUUUCUUAUUUUCCACUGUUAAACUUCAAAAUGAACAACUUUAUUCUACCAUCUCUCAAAUAAUAAUAAUAAUAACAACAAUGUCAUCAUCAUCAAUAAUAAUAAUAAUAAUAUAUUAACUUUGUAGGAUGGAGCUCUCGCAAAUCUUCAAGACACAAAAUGUGCUUGACCCCAUUGUUGUUAAUAUAAUUUCAAAAUCAUAUGUAUUAUAUAAUAUUAGAGAAUAUGACAUAGCAAAAUUGAUGGUACAUAUGCUGCAAUAUACUUGUUCAUGUGGCGACACAUUGAAGUAAAGCACAAGCAGAACAACGAAAAAUGUAACGGGAGAGCUCUCAUUAUGUAGAUUUUCAAUAGAAGUAAUGCAAAUUUCACAAGGGCAAUGGCCUUAUUUCGAAUGCUGCACCUGAGGAAUGACUUGAAUCUUCUUUAGAACUCAGGCAUUCUAUAAUCAUAGAGUAUAGCAUUUCAACAAAAAUAUUAUAUAAACAAAAAUAUUAUAUAGGUGGUUCCUUUAUAUAUUUUCUGGGUACACCUACAAAAAUAUUAUUUUAGGUACAUUUCUUGCAAUAAAACCUGCCCAAUCUAGCGUUUUCGUAAGUUGGGUUUCUCAUUUACAUUUUUUUCCAUUGGUUAAUUAUCACAAACCUCCACUGAGAUUUAGCAUGUUUUUAGUUUGAUAGAUUGUAUUCGCAUAUUCUCAAAUACCUUUUAGUUUACCACUUCGUAUAAAUUAAGUUGGUGAGGAUAAAAUCGUAAAAGUACACAUUAAUGAUAAAAAAAUUCAAGUAAACUUGAAAUUUUCAAGGAUUAAUUUUUCGGGACCUCCCUUGAGGUUCGGUGUAUUAAAAGUCUCAUAGAAUGUAUUCAUGUAAUUAUAAGAACCUCCCCUGGCGUUAGUACACAGUUAACUUGACUGUUAGUGGACUGAUAAAAAGUCAAAAAUGCCCUUGGCUACAAAAAUGAGUGCAACAAUUUGGAGCUAAAUAGUAAACACCACACUGGAGCACUAAAAAGUCUACAAUAAUCAUGGAAAACAAAUCAUUGACAUUUACAUAAUAUAAAAAAAAAAAGUAAAAUAUAAAUUAAGAAAAUCAACAAAAUUGUCAACGUAUUGAAUAUUUACAGCAGCAGUGGCUAUAAAUACAACCAUCGUCAAAUUAAAAUAUCACCAUUAGUAAACUACUUCAAUAAGACAAUAAACCAUGAUUCAAUCUUCAAUGCAUUCAAAAUACACAACCCGCACAAUAGAAUCACAUACGCACACCUGCUAAUGAAAUAUAAGAACAAACGGGAAAUUGAACUGACAUGGCUAAGAUACUCCUUCCCGAUAUCUAUUAGAAAGAUAAUGAGCGAUUUAUGAAUCAUGAUGCUUGCUUUACUUUCUGGCAGUGUUAACUUCAAAUUCAAUGAUAGUAAAUGAACAAUGGUUCAUUCAUUAUGAAAGUAAUUGUAAAGCUAGGAAUUUAUAAUAUUCAGAUGUUGGAAUUAGAAAAAUAUUUCUUAAUCGUUUCAAUUGAAGCCAAGGAAGAAAAAGAAAUGAGUCUUCUUUUUUCAGGCCACAAGCCAUAUGAAGAAGGCAGACCAGAGCAUAAGAACGAAUGCUAUUGCCACAGUAAAAGCCUGGAUCAAUGGGUAAUGGCACCUGCCAUGUCAAUUUCAUGACAAACAAAAAUCAAUUAUCAUCCCCAGACCACAACACCACCAAACCAACCUUUUGCAUCUAAAAUAACAAGUUAAUAAAUCAAAGAUUUCAAUUCAUUUAAGUUUGAAAUCAACUAAAAUAGAAAAAAAAAAACCCAAUUUCUUUUUUGUUCAAUAUAACUCAUUCAGCAUCUUCUUCAACACAUUUUUAUCAUUCUUCAUCAUCACAACAAUAAAAAGAACAAAAAACUUUGAGUUCAACAUGCAAUUCUUUUUUUUUGGGAAACUAACCUUUUUUAGGUUCCAAUUCUAGUAGUCUUAAACAGUAGCCGCCGAUGAAAUUCGCUUGGCAACACCCUUUUGCCACCAUUGCAGCUUGUCAUGUUCAUACUCAACUUAAAAUUACUUGAAGGCAGCAGGGAUUUUAUAGUUACAAAAGUUUCUUCAGAGCUUUUCAAGCUUGAAAAUGGAGUUUUCAUUCAUCUUAGAUAAAUUGAAGAUAAUUUGCAUUGUGGGUAAUAAAUUGAUUAUCAGUGUCUAAAUCUGGGUCAUCGACGCAACAUUGGAUUUUGUUUUGAUUUUCUUUGAUUUUUUUUAUGAAACCACUAAUUUACCCUCAUAUACUAACAAUAUACGAAAUGGUAUACUAACGUCAGUUACGUCAGGGAGCUCCCUAUAAUUACAUGAAUACUUUUCAUGAGACUGUCAAUACACAAAACCUCAGGGGAGGUACCUAAACAUUACCCAAUGGUAUCAUUUCUUGUAUGGAUAAUGGAUGAUUAGAUUUUGUUUUUUUGUUAUCCGACGAAGGAUAUUCAGUUGUUCUUUAUGUGUUCAUAGGCAAGAGCAUGAGCAUAUGCAUGAUUUGAUAUAUGCUUCUUGCAUUUUCUAAUUAAGUGUUCUCUUUCCUUGCCUUCUUAGUUUUGAAAGAAAGAUGUGAAGCAAGACAAACCCAGUGAAAUACACAGAGCAACAGAACCAUCAGAGGAAAAACUAAAUAACAGAACUACAAUUAAACCAAACAAAAUCAAAUAAACCGACGCAACAGAUGCCCUGAAUCAGGCAUUCCUUUUUCUCGAAAGAAAAUAUGUUUGCAUGGGUGGGAACCCAGUAUUUACUCAAGAGUUGAGGAGUUGGAAAGAUUUGGUAUUCAUAUCUUCUCAAUUCAUAUGCUUUAAUGCAGAAUCGACAGCUUUAUAUUAUUUUAUACACUUGCACUUGCUUGAGUAUUUGUGCCGACAUUUUCAUAUGUGAUGCUACUUCUUAGCCAGUAGAUAUGUUGAAGUACUACAAAACAGAGUAUUUGAUGAAGUUUUGCUACUUUCGUAUCCCCUUUUUUGUUGAAUUCUUUAUAAACAAAAAUUAGAAAGCUACAAAUAAUACAGUAGCUUGAAUUUAUAUGCUUUUAUGAUUAUUUGAUAGUUUAGUGCUGAUCAUAUGUGAUGAUAAACUUAGCUAGUAGUUUUAUAUUUAUUUUCAUAGUUUCCUUAGCGUUCACAUUUUGAUGAGUAAAUUAAGGAUUUCCAGAUGAAGUACAUAAUUAGAUGAAUGCUAAGGAACUGAAGUUUGAUUAAUUGAAAACAAAAAUAAUAAUGAACGUAAUUACGAAAAUGAACAAUGCAGAAGUAGUCCCUAUAGUAUUUCUAUAUUUUCUCUUGGUGUUUCUUAGUAUUCCUCAAUAUUUUUAAAAAAUGACAUGACGAUCUUUGAGUUGACAAAUCUUGGCCUGCUGCUUAGUACCCUUCCAACAUAUAAAGUACUAGAUGUUUUACUGAGAAAAUGACAAGAUCAUUUUUCAAAUUUCUUGCGCAUAUAUACGUAUGUACACGAGAAAUGAGAAUCAGUGAUUAUAAGACCUUGCAAUGAGACAAUAAUACAUCAUCAAAUCUAAAAAUACACAAGAAAUUCGGGACAUAUAAAUAACAAAAGACCUCUCAUUGAGUCAUCCAUAUUGAGAAUAAAAUGUCAAAAUGCAUACAAAGAGCUUAUACAGAAAAUGAAUGUACACAUAUUUAGAAUAAACUGUCUUUGAACUUUCGAUGGUCAAACAAAAGAAACAGACAGGAUAUAACACACACUAUCAUAGAUGUAGCGACACGGUGAAGUAAAUCACAUGAAGAUGGAAACGGAAACCCUUCACAACAUAAAAUUUGAAUAGAGGGGGAAAAAAAGGCUUCAUUUCGAAUGUUGCACGAAAGAAGAGUGACUUGAAUCUCCAUCAGUAUCCAAACAUUCUGCAAACAUAGUGCUGAGAAUUUUAACAAGAAUAACAGACAAAAUAUUGUGCUUCUAUACUUGUCAAAAAACUAGACAAAAAUAGUUCCCUUUUUGGUUUGUGAAAACUUGAUAUUUUUGAAAAUUCUAUCCAAUGCUUUCAAACAAUAUUUCCAUAAUAUAGUUGUUCAUAGCUAACCUUUGAUGGUGUAAGGAUUUGUUGUAGGCAUAAUGGGCUAAUUAUAUAUAUAUAUAUAUAUUUUUUUUUUUUUUUUUUUUACCCGCUGAAUGAUAUUCAGCUUCUUAAUUAUGUGUUCAUAGGCAGGAGCAUUUUCUUAAGUACUUUCGUUGCCUUCCAAGUUUCCAAUGAACAAACAGAGCACAAACAAAUUUAACGGAACAGUAACGAUGACAAUAAAUAAUUGGCAAGGAAAGAAAGAAAAAAGUUUGCAUGAUUUCAGGGAAUUAUAAAAUCUGAACACUUUCAACAUGCAAGUGUUGCCCCUCUUAAUGAAAUUUCAUCAUAAAAUGCUUGCAAGGAAUUAUAAAAUUUUAGAGAACAAGGGAACUCUCAAAACAAAAUACUCAAAUUAAAUUACAAUAGGCCAAAAGACGCUCAAUGACGCAAAUCUGCCCAUAAAAGCUUGAACGAAUCAUGAAAAGUGCAUUCCAUAUUGAUAGUAAACCAAGUGACCCAUUCUAAACAAUUGAGAUGAAAUUGUGAAACAACCCACGAGAUCAAAUAAAUAAAAUAAGAAUUAAUUACCAGCUGGGACUUUCUUCUUCAAAUUCGUAACUCCAAGUCAUAAGAAGCCUAUGAAAUUAGUCGUAAUCCACAGAGUAUGACGACGACCCCGCCAACAGCUGAAAAUAAAAUUCUUAUUCAUCAAUUUAAACUAACUUUAUAACAAAUAUCUUAUCGAUAUUUUAUUUAAAAAGAAAAAGCAAAUUUUGUAAAAUUUUUCCAUGGGAGAUAGAGAAUAACAUGUAUAUCCGUACCUUCUCAGCAUGUAAUUGUUGUAUGGUCGUCUUAAGAUCAUUACUAGCCCAACGCCGUUGAUUCGAUGUCUCUCCAUACCAAACGUUUACUCUUGGAGGCGUGCUUGAUUCUCCUGUAGUGAAAAUCUUCAAUUUGGGACAACCAAUCACAGAUAGAUCUUGCAAAGAUGGGAAUUUGAAGGUGUAAUUGGCAGAGCAAAAACUUGUGAGGCUAUCUAAAUCAAACAGUUCCAACCUCUUCAAUUUGCGGAAAACAAUCUCUUCUUUUUCAACCCCGUCUUUGUCAUUUAUUACCACCUCUGUCAUUGCUCUGCAUCCGUAUACACAAAGUGAUACGAGUUGCACUAGAGUUUUUGCUGUGGAGGAUGUUACCAAGUGUAUCAAUUCCUUGCAACCGAUAGCUACAAGUUUUGUUAGGUUCCGAAAAGAUACCGAUGAUGAUGGCAAUAGAAUUAACAGACUUUGACAAUGAUGUACUUUUAGAAUUUCAAGAUACUGAAAAAUGGGGCCAAGUUUGGAAUCUUGUUUGCACACCUGCUUCAGAUGAUAGUGCCGGUACAGCUUUAAUUCUUUUAUCAUUGCCAACUUCCCCACAUGUUUCUCUAAGCAUCCUUCCUUCGAAAAUACCUCUUCGUCGAAUGAAAAAAAAAACAGUGAGAGUAUUUCGAGAUUGUGAAAUCUCUCAAGUACGUUCCAGAUUGGAAAACCAGCUGAGUCAUCUUCAGCAAUCACUAGUCGUUUAAGACUGCCAAAAACGUGUUGUGGGAAAUCGGCCUGCAAAAUCAUCUUCGCGUCUUUUCCGCUUAGUGAUAGUUCCGUCAAGUUGGGUAGGAUCUGAUCAUCAUCAAUCAUAAUAACUGAUAAGGUCAAUUGGUGUUUUCUCAAAUGAUUUUAAGUAAUCCAAUCACAUGCAGUGACUUUAUAGUAUUUGUUUUAUAUUAUAUUUUACAAAAAAAAAAUUGAAUUAUUGAUAAAAUUUAUUAAAUGAUUUUUUAUAUAUUAAUUUUAGAGGUAAAAAAGAAAUUAGGGAAAAAAAGAAAUUAUUUUAUUGGUAAUUAAGUGUUUGGUAAAUUUUGUUUCAAGAAGUACUGUAAAUUUUGAAAACAAUUAUGGUCGUUUGGUAAAUUUUACUGUUAAACUGCUGAGAGAAAAUAAAUGACUAAAAUAUCCAUAAUAUAAGAUAAAAUUUACUUAUAUAUCUCCUAAAAGCAAUCCCAAACGGGCCCUAAGGAUUCUUUUAUAAAUGUUAUACCUAAAAAAGUUCAUAUAAUUAUUAAUCUACCACAUUGAUCCCUUAGUCUAGACUAGCAAAGAUUAUUGUAUAAUAAAAGUUUUCAAUUUAUUGAGUAUUAAUUUAUCAUUGCUUUGUCAUAUUUUUCAAAGUUAAAAAUAUGCUAUUGAUAAAAAAAUCUAGAAAAUGGCUUCAUACCUUUUCCAACGGCAAUGGGGGCUGUUGUGCAGGAAUACCAAGUUGAUCAUUCUCAUUAUUCUGCGAUAAAUCUGCAGCGAAUAUCUUUAAUUUGUCACAACGAUACACUAAAAGCAUUUCUAGCGCGAGCCAUUCCAAAGUAUGCAUUCCAGGGCACAAACAUCUAAGUUUUGGUAGAUCUUGGAGUCUCAGAGUGGUGAGCUGUGGAAAGACAGAAUAAGAAUUUGUCACUUGAUCUGCUCUGUUUUCAGAAAUAAUCUCCUGUAAAUCCUCACAGUCUCGUAUAUCUAGGUGUUGGAGCUGCUUGAGGCUUCCGAUCAUAGACGCUGCAAAUAUGUAUUUUAAUUUGUGACAACGCCACACAAUCAAUCGUGUUAAACUUUGAAAGUGAGGAAACACGGCCACCAGAAUUUGAUUGUAGUGCCAAAUCUUGUCGACAUUAAUUUCAGAUAUCUCCAAAGCCUCCAAGUUAGGCAACGCAACCUAAAAAAAUAAGAAUUUCUCGUUAGAUCCAAUAUCCAUAUGGGAAGCACUUGUUGAAAUUUUCUUCUUUGAUUACAAAUUAAUGCAAGUCUGAAUCAAUUUCCAACUGACAGCUGAGUAUGCAUUCUAAUUCAUACUACUUGUUAAGAGCUCAAUUAGUGAGUGCGUGAGAUUCUUUUUAUCCUUUUUUUCCAUUUUCUUUCACUUCUUUAAAUGAUUUAAUUAUUUUCCACGUAUGACAUCAAAAGAGAACGCAUGAUAGAAUAAAAUGUGUUAUACAUUAAAGAAAAUGUUAGCCUACGCACCUUCUCGUUGAAAAGCAGAGUUGAAAUACCCAAAGUGAUUUCGCUGGAGCAAUACAUAGUCGUCGAUUCCUCUUGCGACGCUCGUCUGUUCGGUGAUGCUGAAGGAGUCUCCACCUCACAGCAAAAACUUGUAACCUCUGGAAGAUUCCCCAGACUCAAAGAUCUUAAUUGAGCAAACUCUAUCUUCUCAAUUGCAUUAUCAACUUCUUCCCCAAUUGCAAAAAUCUCUUUCAUCUUGCUGCAAUUAAUAACAGCAAUUCUCUCAAGUCUUGGAAGGCAUUUUGUAGUAGAGAGCCAAAAGAUAUUACUCAACGUAUCACAACUAUAUGCUUCUAUGGUUUUGAGUUUGUUGAAAGACUCUACUUUGAGCCGAUCAACACAUAUCCUCUCCAUGUUGAUCAAAUUGUGAAGGAUAAGUGACUCCAAAAGAGGAAAGGCAUCACAAGCGACCAUCUCCCUUGAAUCGACGAUACAAAAGAUGUCAGGAUUAUUUUGAACCCAGAGAAGCUUCAAUUGUGAAAAGCCCUCCGUGUCCAAAUUGAAAAGAACAUUCUCGAUGCCUUGCAGCUUGUCCAACCAUAAGCAUUCAACGUUGGUGAUGCCCUGCAAUUUCAUGGAGCAAAUGUCCAUAAAAUCAAGCUUGAGCUUCAAUGUUCUUAAACUCUUGCGUUUACUGUUGAUCCAAAAGUGCGGCUGACUUUGGAACCAAUGUUGUCUAACACACUUGGGAGGCGUGAAUGACUCAUUUCCAAUAGAUAUUUUGAACCUUUCGAGCUUUCUGGCCAAAAAACCUUCUGGUAAAAUACUGUCAUUUUUAACGUCAAUUUCUAGAGUGGUUAGCCGAGGUAAAUGCAUCAAUUCGUCAAGGCUAGCAUUACUUCUUUUGCUGCUGGCUCUUUCAACCUCCCAUUCAAUGAAGCAAUUACCCAUAUACAGCUCUUCUAAUCGAGUUAAGCUUGAUAUGAGAUUGGGCGCAAUAACUUUCAGAUGGAAACAAUUGGUUAAAUCUAACAAUCUCAACUUAUUCAAUUGACCUAGUUCUUCUGGCAACUGCAUAAUAUCAGACAUCAGAAAGCUUAGGACUUCUAGAUUCUUCAACUUCCCAAUGAUUGCUAUGUCCCCCAACGCACUUUGAUCCAGACAUAGUGUGUGAAGAUUUACUAGAAGAUCAAUUGAAGAUGGAAAUGAAGAAAACUGCAUUCGAGUAAAAUCUAGAACUCUAAGCUUUUUCAUCCCUACAAAAAAGUUCUCAGGAAUAUUGAUUUCAAGAGAAGAAUCUUUGGGAGAGAUAAAUAAAAAUUCAAGGUUUGGGCAUUCUAAUCCUUCAGGAAAUUCACGAUUACUAUAAUUUCUUAAAGAGAUAGCAUUGCAUUUUCGAAGUGCAUCCUCUUCUGGCCAGUCCCACACAUCCUCAUUCCUCACCGAAAACACAUGUUGGUGGCGGCAUGCAAUCGAUAUUGCGACAUCGCGAACAACAUCAUGCAUUGAAAAUUCUUCAUUGCUAUCAUCCUCAAGCAACAAACAAGAGUCUCUAAGUUCAUGGACCAAUGCAUAUAAUUUGUCUCGUGCAUCUUCCAUCUUAUUGACUCCUUUAAAUAUACCCAAACCCAUGGAGUACUUAAACAAGUCCAAAGUAACAAUACGGUUAUUCAUUAGACUACAGAGCAGAAAAAUUUUCUUGAGUUGCUCACCUCUUAAAUGGUUGAAACUCAGCUCAAUACAUGAAUAAGUCUCUGCAGACACUCCUUCGAAGUUUACCAUUGAAGGCGUUCGGAGUUCUCGCAAGGAAUUCUUCCAUUCAUGCAGACUCUUGCUUCUCAGUGCCAUUGCCACUGUAGUCAAGGCAAUGGGCAAACCUCCACAUGCCCUGGCGACGUCUAUUGCUGUAGAUUUCAACUCACGAUUUUCAACAUCAUCACCGGCCAUCAUCUUAAACAAUCUCCAGGCUUCUUCUUCAUUUAAGUUGUUUAUCAAAAAGUUGUCUUUAGAUCCCAUUUUUAAGAGGACACUACGAUCUCUUGCUGUCAGCAGUAGUUUGCAUCCUUUAUGAUCUUCUCCAAAAGGAAUUNNNNNNNNNNNNNNNNNNNNNNNNNNNNNNNNNNNNNNNNNNNNNNNNNNNNNNNNNNNNNNNNNNNNNNNNNNNNNNNNNNNNNNNNNNNNNNNNNNNNNNNNNNNNNNNNNNNNNNNNNNNNNNNNNNNNNNNNNNNNNNNNNNNNNNNNNNNNNNNNNNNNNNNNNNNNNNNNNNNNNNNNNNNNNNNNNNNNNNNNNNNNNNNNNNNNGGCUUCCAUAGCUUGCCUGGCGACCUCCUUCAUCAAUGUCGUCUUUCCAAUGCCGCCAUGCCGUACACCCCAAUGAUGCUGACAUUAGCAUCGAUCAAUGCGUUUUUUAUGGCCUCCAAAGUAGAACGUCUUGAUUCGAAGGCCUCGCAGUCUUUGUUAGACUUGAGCCAUAUAUCCUCCGGAAUGGUAGGGUCGGAAAUUCUAUCAUCAAAUCUCCCAGCUUCUUCUCGGAGUUUAAAAAGGGCCUCCUUCUCUGUUUCUGCUUUCUUUCCACGCCGAUAGCGAGCAAACCAAUCAGGAAACAGCCCCAUGAGACAUCGACCGUCAUUUGCUGUCUCUUCGUCUUGAAUGAAUUUGGCUGCCUGCUCAAUGCUCUUGUUCGCAUUAACCAGCCAUUUCUCAACCUUCUCUACAAUCUUUUCACUUUUUCUUUCAGCCUCAGAAACUCUGCGCUGAAUCCUUUCUCUUUCAACCCUCAGCCUAUCGAGUUCUGCCUUGAGAUUCUCAAAGUUGGCAGCGGAGUUAUACCAAUAACUAAAUUCGCGUUGUGCGUGGGGAGACAAGCAGUUUACAACUCCUGGAGCAAUGCUUUUCAAAAUGUCCAUUUUUUUUUUUUUAUGGGGAAGUGAACGAAAUGGAAAUAGAACAGGGUCAACGACCGCGCAAUUGAUAAUCAAGUAGAAGCAAAACAAGCCAAAAUGGAAAAAGAAAUGAUAUUUGUACAAAACAAGGGGAAAAUCAGUGUAACAGAAGAGAAUCAAAGUGUUUUUGAGAUCAGAAAAUUGAACCAAGAAAAGGGUUGCUUGAUCCAAUGAAAAUGCAAAAAGCUGAUGGCAAAAGGGAACAAAGCUAAAUAAGAAAACGGCUAGCACGAGCAGUGACCACGAUCAACAGAAGCAAAGUGUGUAUGAGAUCAAAAGACGAAAAUGAGGAGAGGUUUUCUUGAUUGAGAAUUGAAGGCAAAGAGUAGGAGCUGACGAAUACGGGGAUCAAGAGGGAAAAACUGCUUGCUUGUAAAACUACUUUCAAGCGAAUCUGAUAAAAUUAUUUCAGUACUAGUGGGCGACUCCUUUUUAAACUGCAGAAGGGAAAAAAAAAAGUUCUGAAUUUCAAUAUAUUAAUCUCGUAAUCAAUGAUUAAUUAGUAGAUAAUCUUUCUAACAAAUAUGUGUUGAAUAGAUAUAUUUCUUGAUUAUUAGUAGGUUCGAUAUACUUUAGUAUAGGAAUGAAAGUACAAGUUGUGUCGUAUUAGAAUAAAAAUUGGACCUAAAAAUAUUGUUCUAUGGCCUUUUAAUUAUUUGUCAGCUAAUAAUGAAGUCAUAUAAAAAAAUUAAUAAUCUGAAUUAGUCUUUAGUAUUAUAAAUGUUUUUAGAUUUUUAAUUAUAAUAUCAUUAUUUAAAAAUAAUUGCUUGACUUACAUUCGUAACAUUACGAUUGUCAUAAAACAUGUGAUCCUCAUCCAAAGGCCAGGUGAACAACUCUUUGUCAAGUCAGUCAAAUAUAAACGACAAAUUCUUUUCAAUUAAAUAAUCAUCAAGAAAUAAUCUUCUAUUUCAGUACAAAUGGCGAGUGCAGAACAGCUGUCAAGAGAUAAUCAUUGUUUACGGAGCCAUAUAUAUUUUCUAUUAAAAUAGUUGCGUCACUUGCGUGAACAAUUGCCAGAAUCCGUAAAAAUUGUUGAAAGGUCUAUUAGUUUCGAGUAGAAUAUUUUCGAUUAAAAUAGUUGCGUGAACAAUUAUCAUAGAUAGUGUUUAUAUUUUGGAUUGAAGUGAGAAUUUUGAGAAAUAAAAAUCUAAGAUUGAGAGUGUAGAGUGGAAGUGAGUGUAAGUUAUUUACUUACACUGAAAAAUAAGCAUGGAAUGGAGAUCAUAAUCCAAUUUAUGUGUUUAUUUUAUCUUCAAUUGAGAAUAAAUAGUUUCAAAUUACAAUUUUACCUUUAUUUAAAGAAUUAUAUAUAUUUAAUGAAUAAACAUUUAUUUUAUUAUAUUUGUAAAUUUAUAAUAAUUGUUAAUAUUCUUAAUUAUGUACAUCAUAAUUUUUUAUUAAUUUUAAUUUUAAUUAUAUAAAUUAAAAAUUAUUGAUAAGAGCAAUAUAAAUGAAACAUUUUUACUAUUAACAUAGUACAAAAUUAAUAUUUUCUUAUAAUUAACUAUUUAUUAUUACUAAUUAUUGAUAUUAAAUAAAUAUAAUACUAUUAUUUUUAAAUAAAUAUAAUAAUAUUAUAUUUUCAAAUAAAGAUAGUAUAUAGUAAUAUUAUUAAUUCUCUAUUAAUAUAAUAAUAAUAUUUAAAUAAAUAAAAUAUUUUUUAUUUUAUUUUAUUAAUAUAUAAUUAUAGUAAAUUUAAUAAAAGGGGGUUAAAAAAGGAAGGUAAAUAUAAAAUGAAAUAUUAUUUUAUUUAAUUAUAUUAAAUUUAUUAUUAUAUAAAUAAUAAUAUAAUAUUAUUUAGUAUAAAAUUAAUAUUUUCUUAGAAUAAACUAUUUAUUAUUAUUAAUUAUUAAUAUUAAAUAAAUAUAAUACUAUAUAUUUAAAUAAAUAUAAUAAUAUUAUAUCUUCAAAUAAAGAUAACAUAUAGUAAUAUUAUUAAUUCUCUAUUAAUAUAAUAAUAUUAUUUAUUUUAUUUUAUUAAAUAUUAAAUAUUAAAUUUAAUUAAAUAAGGUAGAAAAUGGAGAGGUGGGAAUGGGUUUCCCAUGGGAGUCCCACUCCCACUCCCACUCCCCACUCCAAAAAUGGGUGGAGUUUAUGGAGUGAGAUUCCCAAUUCCUCCUUAAAAUGGUAAAGUAAAUAUUGAAGUGGGAGGAAUUCACACUGCUCACACCCACUCUAGAAAAUAAACACCGAAAAGGCCAAAGGAUGAAGAACCACUAUAAGUUCUUUUAUGAAUUUAAAAUGCUAAAGAAACUUGAUUUUGAUGAUAACAAACUACAUAGGGUACAAUGGUAAAUUUAUUUCUCACAAUCUCACAAGUUUUUGAAGGGCAAAAAUCAUUCAAGUGAGAUCAAGAUCAAGAUACUCAAUGGACAAUGACAAUCAAGGACGAAUACUAAGGGUACUAGUUUAAGCAAUCUUUAUUGUUAAAUUUAUUGUAAAGCCAGUAUAAUUUAAUGUGUGCAUGAUUUAACAUUUAAAAGCUCAAGAUAUUUUUCAUGACAUUUUCAAAUUAAAUCAUCAUUUUCUAUAAUAUAAAAGUUUUAACGAUUUUAUAAAAUUAGUUGCUUUUUCCAAAUUUAUGGACUAACUUGAAAAGUUUUGAGAACUUGGAAAUCAACCAAUAAUGUUUUAAAUCCUAGAAAUUGACAUAUUUGUAAAUAUUUCAAACAUUUUGGGUUGUAAUAUAAUUUCAAAAAAAUUAGGUCUAAUCUAUAAAUCCUGGAACAAUAGUGGCUAAUCGCUUAACCAAUAGCGGCUAACUACUUCAAGUCCAAAAACAUAGCAGCUAACCGCUUAAAUCAAGUGGAAUCCGCUUGAACCAAAGUUUUCAAAUUUGAUUUGCAACUGUAACUUACCAUAUCAACAUAGUGGCUAACCGCCUCAUUUUAACGGCGAUCCAGCAAGUCCCUAGAAAAGCCAAUAAUUGCUAGUUUGAUUGUUUAAACUAUAAAAUUCAAAUUAAACUCAAAUCUAACAAUUUUUUUCAAUCUCAAUUAAGCUAAAACUUAUUCAUAUAUCUUGAGGUUUCAUUUUGCUUAUCUACAUACAUUAAUCAUUAUAGGGCUAUCAUUUGCUUAUACACUCUUAUAGAGUGUAAUCUUUGUAAUCUUCAAUUAAAUAUCAAAAUUGAGUGAGUAUAAGUGUGGGAAACACUUGGGAAAAGAGGCGUGUGUAUACAUAACUACUUGUAAAGGUUUAUUGACACCUUAGAAGUCAAUUGUAAAAUCUUGGAGUCUUGGAAGGUUUAGAUAGUAGAAUUCUCAAGUUUGGAUUGCUUGGAGGCGUAGUCAUAGGCGGGUUUGCCGAACCACAUAAAAAUUCAUGUGUUUGUUAUCUUCUCCCUUAUCUUUUUAAUUUCACGCAUUGUUAAAUUUACCAUUAUUAAAUUUCUUGAAGCAUUUGUUUAAUUUGUAUUGUGUUUUUGUUAGUAUAAUUUUUAAUACCUAAUUCACCCUCUCUUGGGUUGCUUAGCUAGAAUUUUAUUUGGUAUCAGAGGAAGUUCUCUUAUUAUAACUUAACCAUCUAGAGUAAAAGAUCUAUAGUAAUCCAAAAUGAUCCCAGAUUUGGGAAAGGUUAAUCCCUUACUAGAUCACCAUUCUUUGAUGGGAAUGAUUAUCCAUGUUGGAAAAUUAUGAUAAGAAUUUAUUUGCAAGCAUUAUAUUAUGAAAUAUAGGAAGUUGAUUGUGAUGGUCCAUUCAUGCCUACUACUAAAAAUGAAGAAGGGAAAGAAAUUCUAAAACUUUCACAAGAAUGGAAUGUGUCAGAAAAGAGAAAAAAUUCUCUUAAUUUCAAAGUCAUGAAUGCUUUGUUUUGUGCCUUAAGGUUGUUCCAAUGCUUAUGAAAUUUGGAAAAAAACAUAAACUCGUUUAUAAAGCUACAAAUCAAGUUAAAUAGUCUAAAAUUAGUAGAUAUACUAGGCAAUACGAAUUGCUAUAAAUGGAACAAAAUGAGAGUGUUAAUUCCAUAUACACUAGAUUUACAAACAUUAUAAACACUUUAGAAGCUCUUAGAAAGGCCUUUUCAAAUAGCGAGAAGGUAAAAAAAAUCAGUAGGUCUUUACCAAAAGAAUAGAGACCUAAGAAAAUUGCCAUUGAGGAAGACAAUGAUACUUUAUCUAUUGAUGAUUUAAUUAGUUCAUUUAUUUCUUAUGAAAAGGAUUUGACAACUUGAAAAGGCAAUGAAGACGAGAAGAAGAAGAGUAUUUCCUUAAAAGCAUCAAGAUCUAAAAGUGACAACGAAAGUGAGAUCGAAAAUGAAGACAUGGCUAUGAUAGCUGGAAAAUUCAAAAAAAAUUUCAAGAAAUCCAUCGAGCGAAGGAAUUCAAAAAUCAGAAAGAAAAGGAGGCAAUUAUUUGCUUUAAAUGCAGGAAGCCUAGACACAUAACACUAGCAUGUCCUUUUCUCAAUAAAGUAAAGAAGAAAGCUAUGGUAGCAACACGGGAUGAUAGUGAUAAGGAGACUAUAGAUGAAGAGUAGUCUCAUGAAGUGUCAAAUUUGGCACUUAUAGUUAUAGGAGAUGAUUAUAGGAGAUGAACUUGAUGAGGUAAACCUCUUAGGAUGAGUUGUUUGAAGUAUUCUCUAAAUUGCAUAAAGAUUUAAAGAAGAUUGGAAUGUAAAAUGUUUCUCUUGGAAAGAAAAAAGUAGAACUUUUAUAUGAGAAUGACACUUUGAAUAAAAAGAUUAAGUGCCUAGAAUUAUUUGUGAAGAAAUUGCAUCUUUUAAAGAAAAAACAAAGUGUUUCAUCUAAGAAUAAAGGUUUACCUGUAAAUGAUUUGAAAAAGAAAAAUAAAAGAUAUUGCUUUAGAAUUUGCUUAGUAUUAGUCAAUUGUGUGAUAAAGGUUACAAAGUUAUUUUUAUGUGAUAAAGGCUAUAGAGUUAUUUUUUUAUAAAACAAAAUGUGUUAUUAAAAAUGCACGUGAUGGCAAAGUUUUAUUUGUUAGAUAAAGAUAUGUUAAUGUAUACACCAUUGAUAUAGAUUGUGUAUCAACUCAUAAUAAAUGUUUUUUUCACAUUACAUGAUGAUAGUUGAUAUGGCAUGGAAGACUAGGUCAUGCGAGCAUGGAUUUUAUUUCAAAAUUUUUUUAAAAUGAUUUGGUUAUAGGUCUUCCAAAAAUUGGUUCUAAAAUAGAUAGAAUUUGUGAAGUUUGCCAAUUUAGAAAACAAAUAAAAUGUCCUUUAAAAAUAAAAUUCAUAUUUCUACUUCAAAACCACUUUAACUUUUUCACAUGGAUUUGUUUGAAUUUUCUAAAUAUGCUAGUCUAAGUGGUAAAUAUUAUGCAUUUAUAAUUAUAGAUGAUUAUUCUAUAUACACAUGGUAUUACUCUUAACUAAUAAAGAUGACACCUUUAAUGCUUUCAAAAUUUCUAUAAAAAGGUUCAAAAUGAAAAAUGAUAUGUUAUUUCUUGCAUUAGAAGUGAUCAUGGUGGAGAAUUUAAAAAUUGUAAUUUUGAAAAUUUUUACAAUAACUUUGGCAUUGAGCAUCAAUUCUUGUCACCAAGAACUCCACAAUAAAAUGGAGUAGUUGAGAGAAAGAAUUAGUCUAUCCAAGAAAUGACUAGGACCAUGUUAAAUAAAAAUGCUUUACUAGAAUAUUUUUAGGUUGGAGCCGUCAAUAUUGUUUGUUAUGUUUUAAAUCGUGCAUUGAUUAGACCUUACUUCAAUAAAACUCCUUAUGAGCUUUGGAAAAAUAGAAAAACAUUGACUAUUUCAAAGUUUUUGGUUGCAAAUGUUUUCUAUUGAAUACAAAAGAUAAUCUUGGUAAAUUUGAUCUAAAAUCUGAUGUUGAUAUUUUUUCUUGGGUAUUCAAAUACAAGCAGAACUUAUAGAGUGUAUAAUAAAAGAACCUUGGUCGCUAAAGAAUCUAUACAUGUUGUGUUUGAUUAAAUCUAACUUUUCUUCUACGAAGAAAGUUGUUGUUGAUAAUGAUGCAUAUGAAGAGUUACAAAAAAAAAAGUCUUUAAAAGACAAACAAGAUGAUUUACUAGGAAAAAAUCAAGAUGAGCAACAAGAAGAACCAGUUAAAUAUAUUCAAAAUGAAGGUAAUUCACAAACACUCUCUAAGGAGCUAAGGUAUGUCUCUUCAGACCCUAAAGACUUAAUCUUAGGAGAUCCUUCAUGAGGUGUAACUACUAGAUAAUCACUUAGAAAUACAUGUGAACAUACUGUAUUCGUAUCUCAAGUUGAACCAAAAUCCUUUUCAGAUGUGGAAAAUUAUGAAUCUUGGAUCAUAGCAAUACAAGAAGAGUUAAAUCAAUUUGAAUGAAACAAUGUAUGGAAACUUGUUCAUAAACCAGAACAUCAAUCUGUAAUAGGCAGUAAAUGGGUGUUUAGGAAUAAAAUUGAUGAAUCUGGUGUGGUUGUAAGGAAUAAAGCUAGAUUAGUAGCUCAAUGAUGCAACCAAGAAAAAGAAAUUGAUUUUGAUGAAACCUUUGCACAUGUAGCUAGAUUAGAAUCCAUUACAUGCUUUUAUCAUUUGCAUAUCAUAAUGAUUUUAUUUUAUAUUAAAUGGAUGCUAAAAGUGCCUUUCUAAAUAGUUGUAUUAUAAAGGAAGCUUAAGUGAAACAAUCCCCUCGUUUUAAAAACGAAAAAUAUUUUUGGAUCAUGUUUACAAGUUGUCCAAAGUUUUAUAUAGUUUAAAGUAAGCAUCUAGAGCAUGACAUGGUAUACUUAGUAAAUUUCUUGUAGAAAAUAGUUUUUCAAUGGGUAAAGCGAAUACUACUCUAUUUGUUAAAUACAAGGAUCAAGGUAUACUUGUUCAAAUUUAUAUUGAUGAUAUUAUCUUUAGUUCUACUAAUGAGUUUCUGUGUAAGGAAUUUUCAUCUUGUAUGAGUAGAGAAUUUGAGAUGAGCAUGAUGAGAGAAUUGAAGUACUUUCUUGGACUUAAAAUUUAAAAAAAAAAUCAUUAAUCAAGCCAAGUAUUUUAGAGAUCUACUCAAAAGAUUUUGCAUUCAGGACUAAAGACACUCCAAUGAGUACUACAAUCAAGAUCGAUAAGGAUAAAAAAAGUAAAGAUGUUGUAUCAAAAGAUAUCGAGGUAUGAUCAUAUCUUUACUUUACUUUACUGCUAGUAGACAUUACUUUAGUGUAUGUUUGUGUGCAUGAUUUCAACCAUAUCUCAAAGAAUCUCAUUUGCUUGCGGUUAAAAGAAUUUUUCAUUAUUUAUGAGGAACAAUUGAUCUUGGUCUAAGGGAACUCAUAUAGAUUAGUAGCUCAAUAAAUUUGUCAAAGAAUCCCAUUCAACAUUUUAGGACCAAACAUAUUGAAAUUAGGCAUUAUUUCUCACGUGAUCAUGUUUAAAUGAGAGAUAUUGCUUUAGAAUUUGUUUCUAUGGAAAAAUAACUUGCUCAUAUUUUUACAAAGCCUUUUUGUGAAGAAUAGUUUUCAAAGAUUUGGCUUGAGUUUGGAAUGAUGACAUUUUCACAUCAAUAUUUCAUUACAUGAUAUUGAGACUACAAAUUUGCUUGAUUUUCUAUCUUGAUUGAUUGUAUGAUAAAAACUUGAUUUUAAUGUGUUAUAUGCUUGAAUUUACUUCUUUGAAUGUUUAUCAUCAUAUCUUAUGCAUUAAAAAUGGCUUUUGAAAUACUUCGGGAUCACAAAAUGGUCUCAAAAUUAAUUAAAUUUUGGCCAAAAAGCAAAAUCGUGCAAAAUUCAGGGGAACUAGCUAACCGUUAACCACAAGCGACUAGCCAAUUGUGAGGCAGAAACUAGCUGGCCAGCCGGCUUAAAGCAAACGGUUAAUUGCUUGGUUUCUAAAAAUGAAACGGUUAACCGCUUUCUUCAAGUGGCUAGCUGGCUUCACGUUUUCAAAUGUUGUUCAUCUUCUUUUUCCCACUUUCAGUUGUUACCCUCUCUCUAUCACUGUCAUCUCUCAUUUCUUUUACUCUCUCUCUAAAAUCUUCCAUUUUUACAUCACUUUUGUGUCAAAUUAAACUUUCCAAAUCAUUUCCCAUCAAUUAAUCUUCACUCAUUCGCUUUUAAAACACAAUCUAAUCACUCUUUUCUCAAAAUCUUAAAGCCUAAGUCACCAGUUUCAACAUUCUCAAAUUUGAACCAUUAUUUGACCAUUUUCGACCAAAAUAAACCCAUACAUUCCUUAGAUAUUCUCAAAGAAUAUUUUAACAUUUUAAUCGGUUCAAAAUCAUCUAUUUCUUUAAAAACUUACUAAACUCAAAUUUGUGCAAUUUUGGACACAUUUUGAUAAUUUCUUAAUGGCUAGUGGUGAGAAGUCCAAGGGUUAGCAUAUGCCUAAAAUGUAAAAAAAAGAUUCAUAAAGACAUUAUGAAAUUUAUUUCCACCCACUUUCCAAAUCCACCUCAAUAGAAUGAUUCUAUGAUCGAUUUAUGACAAGGUCAGUCCUCCCAUCCUAUAUAUGUUAAUCUUGAUUAAUUAGAAAAUUUGUCAAGUUGUAGCAAAACUUUUAGAACUUUACUUGCUGAAUUGGGUUGGACAAAUGUCUUAGUUCUUAAGGAACAUAUUUGUCCUAAUUUGGUACGAUUAUUUUAUUCGAACAUGCUUAUUUAUACAAUUACUGCCAAUAUGAUUAUUACUAAUGUUGCUGGGAUUCCUAUUAAGUUUACAGUAGAAGAUUUAAACAUGAAUCUCAGGACUAGGAAUGAUAGGUUGCAUUUGUAUACAUCUAGGACUAAAAUUGAUUAUCCCUGGUAUUCAGGACUAGGAAUGAUAGGUUGCAUUUGUAUACAUCUAGGACUAAAAUUGAUUAUCCCUGGUAUUUAGUUGUAGAUGAUGUUUGAAACAUAGAUGUUCGAAAAAUAUGUAGGUGAUCUGAUCUAUCCAUGGAGCUUUUUAAUUCCUCUCUUAGAUCACAAAUGUUGCCUCUUCAAGUUCGGAUCCUACAUAGUGUUCUUCAGCUUGCGAUCAGUCCUCGCAAGGGACAUGGUGCUAAGGUUACACGCUUAGAUGUUACUUUAUUAGAUAGCAUCCUUGAGGGUAAAAGCUAAAUGUGCGAAUAUUAUCAUUCAGCACAUGCUUAAUACACUGAGUAUAGGAAACCGAUCCUUUUCAGUUGAUAGUGUCAUUACCCAUAUCCUUCAAUAUUUUUGGGUCCCUAUAGCUGAACCAUCUCAUGAUGAACCCAAGGAGUUAGGGGAUGAGGUCAUUGCUAGCUUAGGAUUUGGGUGGGUAGAUGACCAAUAGGUUAAGAAUCAGAACUUGUUGAGCAAACCCACAAAGCUGGCUCUUUUUUAUCAUUGCAUCUUUAACGAUGUGCUUCCCAUUACUGGGUUCUUGAUCUUAGCUCUUCCCUGAGGUCACAAGCUCUACAUUGGCCUUCUGAUGCUCCACCACCAUCAUCUUCAGCCAUUCCCAAUAACCCAAUCCAGCAGUUGUUGAAUAAAGUGUGUUCCAUAUCCGAGUAGUAGAGCAAACUUAAGAUACCGUUCGCAGCAUUCCAGGAUCAUUUUCUUUCUGAGCAGCAGCGUCUCUUUCUUCAACAAUAACAAAUUCUAGACCAUCAGCAGCUUAUUUUCAUUGCUCUCAAAUUUUUGCCACCAUCCUUGUUAUCAUGUUUGCCGCCUCAUCAGUGAUUUUCUUUUAUCUCUUUUGCUUCCUUGUUUUAUGCACCGACAUUAUUUAUCAUAUGCAUUUUCGUUUUUAGCAUUAUGGAUACUUGAUGGAUGUUAUUUUACUUAUGCAUUAUAGAUACUUGAGUUAAUAUGGAUUAUCUUUAUGCAUUCUAGUUAUUGAUCGUGGUAUCUUUAUUAGUUAUCUUUAUGGAUUAUCUUUAUUGAUUAUGGAUUAUGUAUAUGGAUACUUGAUUAAUGGUCAUGUGUGGAUUCUUGAUUGAUGAUCUUUGUGGGGGAUAAUUAUUGAUAAUAUUUGUAUAAUAGAGGAGUGAUUUUUCAUGAUGAAGGGAGAGAAGAUAUUGACAUGUAUUUUGAAGUGUUUUGACAUGUUUUUGGCUCAUGGGGGUUGAUUGAGUGUUUGUAGUAUUUUAGUUACUUUAUGAGUCACUCAAGGAGAGUUUACAAAUGUUGUACAAUUAUAUGGAUCAUGUACUUAGAGGGAGUGAGUUUAUAUAUUUGGUUAUAUUUUUUGAAUUAUGUCAUAUAUUCAGGGGCAAUAGAAAUGUCAAAAUACAUAGAGUGUUUGUCAUCAUAAAAAAAGUAGAGAUUGUUGGGGUAAACGACUAUAUGAUCCUUAAUUUUGAUGAUAACAAACCACAUAAGGUAAAAUGGUAAAUUUAUUUCUCACAAUCUGACAAGUUCUUAAAGGACAAAAAUCACUCAAGUGAGAUCAAGUUCAAGUCACUCAAUGGACAACAACAAUCAAUGAUGAAUGCUAAAGGUACUAGCUUAAGCAAUCUUCAUAGUUAUAUUUCUUGUAAAGCUAAUAUGAUUUAAUGUAUGCAUGAUUUAGUAUUUAAGAGUUCAAGAUAUUUUUCAUACAAUUUUCAAAUUAAAUCAUCAUUUUCUAUAAUAUAAAAGUUUUAAACGUAAAUAAAAAUGAUUUUAUAAAAUUAGUUGUUUUCAAAUUUAUGGACUAAAUUGAAAAGUUUUGAGAACUUUGAAAUCAACUAGUAAUGUAUUAAAUUCUUGAAGUGGACCUAUUUAUAAAUAUUUCAAAAUUUUUAGGCCAUAGUAUAAUUUUAGGAACUUUUAGUUUAAAUCUAUAAAUUUUGAAACAGUAGCGACUAACUGCUUAACGAAUAGUGGCUAACUGCUUCAGGUCCAAAAACAUAGCUGCUAACCAUUUAAAUCAGGCGACAAUUCGCUUAGGCAAAAAAGUUUUUAAAUUUUAUUUGUAACGGUAACUUACCACAUCAAUAUAGCGACUAACUUCUUUAUUUUAACAGCAAUCCGGUAGGUCCUCAGAAAGUCAAUUACGACUAGUUUGAUUGUUUAAACUAGAAGAACCCAAAUCAAACUCAAAUCUAACAACUUUUUCAAUCUCAAUUAAGUUAAACUUGUUCAUACAACUAAUCCUGAGCUUUCAUUUUACUUAUCUACAUGCAUUAAAUCAUUAUUGAGUUAUCAUUUGCUUAUACACUCUUAUAGAGAUUAAUCUUUGUAAUCUUCAAUUAAAUAUCAAAAUUUUGUGAGUAUAAGUGUGGGAAACACUUGGGGAAAGAGGUAUGUGUAAACAUCACUACUUAUAAAGGUUUAUUGACACAUUACAAGUCAAUUGUAAAAUCUUAGAGCCUGAGAAGGCUUGGAUAGUGGAAUCCUCAAACUUAGUUUGCUCGGCAGCAUAAACAUAGGCGGGUUUUGCCGAAACAUGUAAAAAUUCGUUUGUCUGUUAUCUUUUCCUUUAUUUUUUUAAUUGCAUUCAUUGUUAAAUUUACUGUUAUAAAUUUCUUAAAGCAUUUGUUCAAUUUGUUUUGUAUUUUUGUAAGUAUAAUUUUAAUACCCAAUUCACCACCCUCUUAGGUUGUGUAGAUAGAAUUUCACAUUUGUUGUACAACAACAACAACAGCAAUAACAAUAAUAAUUGUUAUAAUGGUUGUAACAAUUACUAUUGAAAAAAAUUUAUUGUUAAUAAUAGUAGAAAAUAAGAAAAAAAAAGGAAAUUAUCCACUAACCAUGUAGUCUUUGGGACUUUUUCAAAAAUACACAAAAAAAAACUUUCUUUGUAGAAAUCCACCUAGAGUUUAUUAAUUAUUCAUUGUCAUCUUAGCUCAUUAGAUUCUUGUUGAUGUCAUAAGAUUAAAAUUAUCAUUUUACUUGAACACCUAAGAUUAAAAUUAUCCUUUAGAGUUUCUUUCGCUGGGGCUGGUGACCUUAGUGGUUAGAUUUGCUAGAUAUGGUCGUGAGAAACUCGACAAUGACCGAGGAUUGGCUGGAUUCACGGUGGUUUGGUCAAAAAUCUGACUUGAAUUGGCAUUUGUGGUGCUUCAUUCAUGUUGGAGAUUUUGAUUGCGAUUUGGAUAUCGACAAUGAGAAAGUGGCAUUUGCGGUGGCGCUAGGUGAAGCCCGGGUUUUGGGUUAGCGUUGUGGCGAUUUAUGGCGGUGAUCAUUGUUGGGUUUUGUCAAGUUAUGACCAGUGGAAUGUAGCAAGUUUAGUGGUGGUGUUGGUUGACAGUGAAGAUGGUUGGUUUCACGGUGGCAGCUGGUGGAUGCUCCCAGUUUUAGGUCUAGAUGAUUUAUAGUAGGUACAAGCGGCGAUUGAUGGCAGGAGUGGCUAAGGCUUGGUCAGUAGUGGCUAAUGAGUUUGGUAGAGGGAUUAGCCAAUGGUGAACUAUUAGUGAAGAGUGGCAGUGGCGGUGGGCGGCUGCUAAGGUUUUGUAAUUUUGUAAUAUUUUUUUGUUGGAUAAACAGUUAUGAAUUUGGUGGGGAUGGAUAUGGGUAGCCAGGAAAACUGUGCAAUUGGCAUUGAACCACUCUAAUACAAACUAACAAAUUGGAAUAGCGGAAGUGGAAUUGAUAGAGUAGGAAAUAUUAGCUAUCAUUCUAAUACUGGCUAAGGUAAUGUGGAUAGUUUACGUCCUAAUCGAAACGUGAGUAGAUCUCAUUCUAACAAUGGCUCAAUGAGAUUUUAAUAACGCAUAAAGCAAGAUUAGACGACGUUCUAAUCCAAAUAACUUUGUAAGAGAGAUUUUGAUAAAUAAUUUUAGAGAGAAUUAUUAAAAAGGGCUUUAUUAGUUGAUCAAUAGUUGAAGUUACAAUAAUAAGAUUUUGAUUUAUAAUAUAAUAAACCUACUUCACUAAGUUAACUUAAAAAGAAAAACUAAAUCACAAUUUUAAUAGAAAUAAAAAACUAAGACAUAUACCAUAGUUGACUAUAAUUAAAAUAGAAAACAAUAAAAUAAUAAAAAUUAUAGAAUCCUAAAAUAAUGUCUACAUCGUAUCCUCACUAAAAUAAAAAUAUAAAAGUAAAGCAAAUUGUGGUAUAACAGACUUUAAUUCUAUCACUCUUCAAUUUUUUUGUUUAUUAAUUAAUAUUGGUGUCUAUGGUUAAAUUUGUUAUUUUUUAUAACAAUUUUAUUUGUUAAUUGAAAUAUUUAGUCUAUGUAAACAAAAAAAAAAUGGUUGGAAAGAAUGAGAGACGAAGGGGGAGAGAGAGAGAGAGAACAAAGUCAAACAAAUAAUUUAUUGAAUUAUAUUUUAAAAUUAAAUUUUAAUUUGAUUAAAUAAAUGAUGUAGUGAGAAAAUGAGUAGGUUCAAAUAGCUUUACUUAUAUUUAUUUCAUUAAUGGCUCAAAAUUUAAUGAAAAUAAAUGGUUUUAAAAAAAUUGCAUUUAAGUUGCAUAAUUCAAUGAGUAGUGCCACACAUCCUAAAUCUUUUAUCUUAAAAAAUUAUCUCAAAUGAUAUGGUAUUCAUCAAUAGAUUGAAGAGAUAAUACAAUUAAUUCACUCAAAUCUUGAAAGAAUUACCUACUAUUCAAGUAAUGACACACCAUUUGGGAUAAAAAAAAUUUGGAAUAUCUAUCAUUACUCUAAUUAAAAAUAAACCUAUCACUGGAUGAUUAAUUAUAGUAGGUUGCUUAAUACUAAAAUGUCACUCAUAAAUUUUGUUUUGGAUUUGUAAUUGAUUUAUCUUAAUUCUUCAACUUGACAUAAGGUCGUUCUCCUCGUUUCUGUACACUUAAAAGUCACCAAGAUCAAAACUAGAUCUGUCGUUGCAUUUGCUUGAAAAAUAAUUUACAAGCACUAGGUUCUCCUGAUUAAGCAACAUUUUUAAAGGGUUAUGAUAGUAGUGGAGCACUUUGUAAAUAUUAGAUGGAUUGUUGAAAACAAUAAAAAAUGUUUGUGUGUUUUUUAUAAAGGCUAAAAGAUGAAGUGGUCUAUGGAUAAUUACUUAUUUUUUCCCUUUUUAUCUUAAUCAUAUUUGAACGACAUCCUUUUAUAGUUCCCAGGCAUUCUGCAACUAUAAUAGACAAUUUUAAUAGGAACUACAGAGAAAAUAUUAAUAUUUUUAUACUUAUUUACUUACCUGAUGGAUAGCUAGAUAAGUGUUACUUUUCACACAACUAGACCAAAUUAGUACCCUUUUUGGUUGGUGAAAACGUGAUUUUUAUGAAUAUGCUAUAGAUGCUUUCAAACGUUUCCACAGUUUACGAAUUUACGCAUUAAACGAAAACCUCCAACUAUCAAACAAAAAGGUGAAAAUUCAAUAGAAUCGACAACUUCUCAGACUCACGUAGGUGGUGGUUCAAGUUUCUAAACUACUAUUAUUAUUAACAGUUUUGAAAAGCAAAUAGUAACUUCAUUUCACAGCAUCUGCUUUUGAGAAAGCUCAGAUGUAAUCAAAAUUCCAAAACCACUCUAAAUAUGUUAGGGAUAUGACCAUAAAUAGAAGUUAAAUAUGAUAGGAUAUAUAGUUGUUCAUAGCUAACAUUUGAUGGUUUAAUUAUUUGUUCUAGGGAUUAUGCGCUGAUUAGUGUUUUUUGUUAUCCACUGAAUGAUAUUCAGUUUUUCUUACAUGUUCAUAGGCAAGAGCAUUUUCUAAGUACUUUCCUUCCCUUAAAAUUUUGAAAGAAAGAUAGAUAUGAUAUGUGAAGCAAGCCCAAUGAAAUAAGCAAAUAAAAUAGAAUAAACGAAGCAAAAAUAUUUCUAGAAACAAGAAAUGACAAAGGAAACACGAAUACAACUUUUUUCUUGUUUUCCUUAUUUUCCACUGUUAAGCUCCAAAAUGAAUAACUUUAUUCUACCAUCUCUCAAAUAAUAAAAACAUCAACAGCACAUCAUCGUCAUCAAUAAUAAUAAUAAUAAUAAUAAUAAUAAUAAUAAUAAUAAUAAUAAUAACAACAAUAAUAAUUUAACUUUGUAGUAUGGAGCUCUCGCAAAUCUUCAAGACACAAAAUGUGCCUGACCCCGUUGUUGUUAUUAUAAUUUCAAAAUGAUUUGUAUUAUAUAAAAUUAGGGAAUAAGACAUAGCAAAAUUGAUGGUACAUAUGUUGCAAUAUACUUGUUCAUGUAGCGACACAUUAAAGUAAAGCAAAAGCGAAACAACGAAAAAUGUAACGGGAGAGCUCUUAUUAUGUAGAUUUUCAAUAGAAGUAAUGCAAAUUUCACAAGGGCAAUGGCCUUAUUUCGAAUGUUGCACCGGAGGAAUGACAUGAACCUUCGAUACGUCACAAAUGUAUCAUGAAAGUGUGAUAGAUUUGUGACAUAUAUUUAUUUAUUUAUUUAUUUUUUGGUCUUAACCACGAGGUAUUCUGGGGAGGGCUCCAACUGUGGAAAACAUCUUUAAGCCCGUACCACAACUCAGACUACAAGUUUCCGCUCGAACCGGGAGGCAUAAGUUCUCCCAACAAAAGCGACUUUCCUACAACUCGAACUAGGGAGCAAACCCAGUCAAGCCACUUAAGGGGACUCCAUUGCCAGUGGAGCCAACACUUUGUUGGUGUGGCAUAUAUUUAUAUGUUCAGAGUUUAUGACAUAUUCAUGACUUAUAACUUAACUAACAUAAAUAAAUGAUAGAUAUAAGUGAUGCUCAAGUUUUGUGGAUUUAUAAUAUCAUAAAAUGAUGACUAUUUAAACGACGUCGUUUUUAUGAAACUUAAAACAUACCAACACUUCAGCCAAAUAUCGACAAGUGUUGAAUAAACCCCUCUCUCGCUGCAACCUAAAAUCAAUGAACUUUGAGCCAUUCUCAACAACAUUGUGUAGAACCCUAGCCCUAACCCUCACUUCCACCACCGAUAAAGCUAAGAAAGUUUUCCGUAUAUCAGAACCAUGGCGAAUUGCCUUCAGCUCUUAGGACCCAUAAUAAAUCUUGUAUUCCCUCGCUUUCACUUUGCUAAUUUUUUGUAUUAUUCCAUCUCUUUCACUUUAAUAACCCAAAAUCUUUCUCUGUUUCAAUCGAAAGAAGACCCUAGCUUAAAUUAAGCUGAAAUUUACAUAUCAAAGCUCUCGCUCAGCUUCCCUCCUUCAAUUGAAACAAAACGAAGCCAUAAGACCCCAAUAUGCCACGCCCUUUUGUCUCAGGCCAACAUUCAUUUAAACCCUACCUUUCGGUUCAAUGCCAUUUAAUGCGAUUGCAGAUGCCGUUUCAACUCAUUAUUUAGUUAACGCCAUUCAGUUCUUUGCGGUAAGCCUUAACCCUAAUAACUAAUCAACUGUGGUAGCACGUUGCUGACUGGGGUGGGAAUACAUUAAUUGAAUAUAUGAAUUGGGUGAUGUCAGUGAUUCAUCCCCCUAUUUGCCGUUAAUGGAGAUUUGUGUAUAAUGUUUGUAAGAUUGUUAAAAAUUUCAUGUUCCAGUCGAAUUUCUUGCUUGUGGAAGAUAAAACAAAAGUUUAAUCUAUAUAUAUAUAUAUAUAUAUAUUAGCUUCUUUAUAGUCAGGCUCUGGCUUUGCUGCUAUGCUUAGUGCAGUUUAUGGUUUCAAGAUUAAAUUAGGUUUAUUUGACGACAUUGAUAUCUUAUCUAGCUCCGCUUGAAAAUGAAAAUGUUGUACUAGUAAUCAUAGACUUUGUUUAUUCAGUUGAUAUUUUAAUUAUACAUAUAAGAAUGAAGGUUUAUUUGGGAAAAAAAGAAAUAAAGAAAUAGGCUCUGUUGAAGCUAAUUAAUACUUCAUUCUUUCUAUACGUGCGACCUGUGGUGGAAACAUGAUAUGAAAAUGUGUUACUGGUGAGGUUGCUGCUUGAGAUGAGAAUGAUGAGAAUGCCUUCUAUUCGGAAAUCCUUGGUAGGUAUUAUAUAAUUAUAUUUGAUGGAAUAUUAAAUAGCUAAAGAAUCUGUGAUAUUGUCUUUGUUCAAUUGUUACUGUAGUAGUGUUUGUUGGUCUUUUUCUGGUUGGCGUUUGGAUGUUAAUGUCAUCAUCAGUUGUACUGGUGUGGGAUCCAGGAUGUUGUCCUCUUAAGAGCCUAUAAGCAAAGUGAAACAGAGAGUAUCUGAGAUUUUUCUGGGCCUUUCGUAGAAAAUCAAGGUGAUGAAUGACAGGAUUCAACAAAUGGGGAUGGGGAUGAUGUUCCUGUUGAAAAGUUAGAGAAUAGAGUGGAAGAUAAUCACGAAGAGAUGAAUAUGUAUGAGGGUGAUGGUGAGACGAGUGAAUCUAAGAAUAUGGUUAAUCAAAACCAGGAAGAGAAUUUAGUGAAGGAGAGUUUUGAUGAGAAUACUGAGUCUGAAGAGGAAUCUAGGGCGGUGUCUAAAAAUUAUGAUGUUAGAAAAAAGGAAGAUAAGGAAUCUAAAAGUGAAGGUGGAGAUUUGAAUUAAGAAGCUGGAGAAACAGAAGGCGGCGAAUUGAAUAAAAUUGAGCAAAUUGAAUCAGAGAAGAGCUUGGAUGAAAAUAAAUGGAUCAGGCUAGUCAGAUUGAAAAGGAGAAGGAUUCUCAAGAUCAAGAUAAUGACACUGAGAGUCGUUGAAAGGAUCAGGCUUCAACUGAGAUUUUUCCUUUUGGUGACUAGUCAGAAAUUCUGAAGGAAACUAAUGCUCAGAAUGGGGCUUGCUCAACUCAACCUAUUGAGUCAUAGAAUCAGAAAAUAUCACAACAAUCUUCUAUAUCUAAGGACCAGUAUGGUCGUCGCUGGAAAGUGUGUAAUGCCACUGCUAGGCCAGAUUGCAUCCCUUGCCUGGAUAAUUUGCAAGCAAUUAGAAUGCUUUCCAGCACAAAAGCAUUAUGAACAUCGAGAGAGGUAUUGCCCUGAAGAAGCUUGUACCUGUAUUGCUCCUUUACCGGAAGGAUACAAACACUCAAUUAAGUGGCCCCAAAGCAGGGAUAGGGUAUGAUCUUAUAUUAUGCAUUAUAAAAUAUAUACUUGACUACUUUUAAUUCACUUGGGCUAAGAUUUGUUCUCAUGCUGUGUGGGAUAGAUUUGGUAUUAUAAUUUUCCCCACACAAAGCUUGCAGAAGUUAAGGGUUAGCAAAAUGGGGUUAAAGUUACUGGUGAAUACCACAUUUUUCCAGGUGGCAGAACUGAAUUUGAGAAUGGUGCUCUUCAUUACAUUGACUUCAUUCUGAAGGUGAGCAUUUUUCAUUUAUCAUUUUAUGUCUGUUGUUAGCUUCAAUUAAUAGGUGGCUUAUUCUUUUCUUUGUAUGAACCAUGGGCGGUCCAUUUCAUCUUAUAAGCUAUUUCUUGGGUUUUAGCAAGACAACUUAUGGAGGGUAUACAGAGGCUCAAGAGCUCGAUUGCCAUUCAUUUUACACUUGGCUGGGCUAUAGUAUACCAACUAGUGAUUAAUAAAGAGAAGGUAUGAAGGUCCUGUUGCUGGUGGUAUUAUCAAUCAGAAUUGUUAUUUUACUUAGUCAUACUUACCAUGUAUACUAUUCGUAGGCUUUUUCAUUUUCAUGCAUUCGCAUCAUCUUCUGGUUAAGCUACAGAUGGUUGAUUUGUGUACUCAUUUGUAUCACUUGUAGCUCUUGAGGAAUAAAAUUUAAAAUUAUGUUGCAUCCCUUGUACUAAAUAGUAAUUUUGUUGGCUUUAUGCAUGGGAAAUGGUUUGUUGUCUUAUUUCUUUGAUGUGUAUGGUGUUACACUGUCUAAAGUUAAGAAGUAUUUCUAUCACUUGUGUAAAAAACAACCUACUUUUUUCAUUCUUCUUAUAUUGAAUAAAAGAGGGACACCAAGAUUGAACGAAAUUUGAUUCAGAAAGCAUAGCAAUUAGGCCAGUUCAAAACAGCUUCCUUCUGAUUCUUUGAUAUUUGACUUAAAUCUUUUGUUUGUUUCAUUUAUCAAAGUCAUUUUGGAAAGUAACGGGGGUGAUUUGAUAUUUUCAUUGCAUUCACAUCCCUUAGGCACCAAAACAAGCAUGCUGGUACUAACCAACAAUUUUUUAUUUUCAGUAUACAAAUUAUUUUUUUCUAAAUUAGGGGUAUUAAGAAAAGGUAUACUAGCACCAGGGGAGGUAUUUGAGAAUACACAAAUACAAUCUAUUAAACUAAGAAUAUGUCAAACUUCAGGGGAGGUUUCUGAUAAAUCUCUUUUACUUUUUCCUCCAUUCACCAUAGGUUCAAUUUAGAACAGUUGACCAAACCGAAGGUUUAGGUUGGUAAACGCACUAGUGUUAAUGUCAACAACCCAAGGGGCUUCAUGGUCCUCUGGGCUGAAAUAGCGUAAUUAUUAAUUCUCCUCCAGUGAAAAUCUUCAUCUUGGGACAAAUAAUUACAAAUUGACAUUAUGGCUAUGCAAAUUUUGAGGUGUAAUAACCGGAAAAAUAAAAAUCUUAAGAGACUUUUUAAAUAAAAAAGAUACAACACCUUUAAUUUGCUAAAAGUAAUGAUAUCAUUACUUGUAUGGAAAAUGGAUGAUUAGAUUUUCUUUUUUGUUAUCCGACGAAGGAUAUUCAGUUGUUCUUUAUUUGUUCAUAGGCAAGAGCAUGAGCAUAUGCAUGAUUUGAUAUAUGCUUCUUGCAUUUUCUAAUUAAGUGCUCUCUUUCCUUGCCUUCUUAGUUUUGAAAGAAAGAUGUGAAGCAAAGCAAACCCAGUGAAAUACACAGAGCAACAGAACCAUCAGAGGAAAAACUAAAUAACAGAACUACAAUUGAACCAAACAAAAUCAAAUAAACGGACGCAACAGAUGCCCUGAACCUAGUAAUUACUCAAGAGUUGAGGAGUUGGAAUGAUUUGGUAUUCAUAUCUUCACAAAUCAUAUGCUUUAAUGCAGAAUCGACAGCUUUAUAUUAUUUUAUUCAAAAAACGAUAAAGCAGGAAAACCACAAUAAUCCACCAACUUUUGAUACUUGUAGGAAUUUUUUUUAGUCAAAUUAAGUUUCAUGAUAACACAAGUGGCUCGUCCACACACUUGCACUUGCUUGAAUAUUUGUGCCGACAUUUUCAUAUGUGAUGGUACUUCUUAGCCAGUAGAUAUGUUGAAGUACUACAAAACAGAGUAUUUGAUGAAGUUUUGCUACUUUCGUAUCCCAUUUUGUUGCAUAACUAAAUUCUUUAUAAACACAAAUUAGAAAGCUACAAAUAAUACAGUAGCUUGAAUUUAUAUGCUUUUAUGAUUAUUUGAUAAUCUAGUGCUGACAAUAUGUGAUGAUAAACUUAGCUAGUAGUUUUAUAUUUAUUUUCGUAGUUUCUUUAGCAUUCACAUUUUGAUGAGUAAAUUAAGGAUUUCCAGAUGAAGUACAUAAUCAGAUUAAUGCUAAGGAACUGAAGUUUGAUUAAUUGAAAACAAAAAUAAUAAUGAAGGUAAUUACGAAAAUGAACAAUGCAGAAGUAGUCCCUAUAGUAUUUCUAAAUUUUCUCUUGGGGUUCCUUAGUAUUCCUUAAUAUUUUUAAAAGAUGACAUGACGAUCUUUGAGUUGACAAAUCUAGGCCUGCUGCUUAGUACCCUUCCAACAUUUCAAGUACUAGAUGUUUUACUGAGAAAAUGACAAGAUCAUUUAUCAAAUUUCUUGCGCAUAUAUACAUAUGCAUACAAGAAAUGGGAAUCAGAGUGAUUAUAAGACCUUGCAAUGAGACAAUAAUACAUCAUCAAAUUUAAAAAUACACAAGAAAUUUGUGACGUAUAUAUAACAAAAGACCUCUCAUUGAGUUAUACAUAUUGAGAAUAAAAUGUCAAAAUGCAGACAAAGAGCUUAUACAGAAAAUGAAUAAACCGUCUUUGAACUUCCGAUGGUCAAACAAAGGAAACAGGCAGGAUAUAACACACACUAUCAUAGAUGUAGCGACACGAUGAAGUAAAUCACAUGAAGAUGGAAAGGGGAACCCCUCACAGCAUAAAAUUUGAAUAGAAGGGGGAAAAAGGCUUCAUUUCAAAUGUUGCACAGAAGAAGAGUGACUUGAAUCUCCAUCAGUAUCCAGACAUUCUGCAAACACAGUGCUGAGAAUUUUAACAAGAAUAACAGACAAAAUAUUGUGCUCUCUAUACUUUCACAAAACUAGACCAAAUUAGUUCCCUUUUUGGUUUGUGAAAACUUGAUAUUUUUUAAAAUUCUAUCCAAUGCUUUCAAACAAUAUUUCCACAAUAUAGUUGUUCAUAGCUAACCUUUGAUGGUUUAAGGAUUUGUUGUAGGCAUAAUGGGCUAAUUAGAUUUUUUUUUUUAUCCGAUGAAUGCUAUUCAGCUGUUCUUAAUUAUGUGUUCAUAGGCAAGACCAUUUUCUUAAGUACUUUCGUUGCCUUCCAAGUUUCCAAAGAACAAACAGAGCACAAACAAAUAUAACGGAACAGCAAUGAUGGCAAUAAAUAAUUGGCAAAGAAAGAAAGAAAAAAGUUUGCAUGAUUUCAAGGAAUUGUAAAAUCUGAAGACUUUCAACAGGAAUUAUAAAAUCUGAAGACUUUCAACAUGCAAGUGUUGCCCCUUUUGAUGAAAUUUCAUCAUAAAAUGCUUGCAAAGAAUUAUAAAAUUUUAGAGAACAAGCGAACUCUCAAACAAAAUACUCAAAUUAAAUUAAAUUAGACCAAAAGACACUCAAUGACGCAAAAUCUGCCCAUAAAAGCCUGAACAAAUCAUGAAAAGUGCAUUCCAUAUUGACAGUAAACCAAGUGACCGAUUCUAAAUAAUUGAGAUGAAAUUGUGAAACAACCCACGAGAUCAAAUAAAUAAAAUAAGAAUUAAUUACCAGCUUUGACUUUCUUCUCCAAAUUCGCAACUCCAAGACAUAAGAAGCCAAUGAAAUUAGUCGUAACCCAUAAAGUACGACGACGACCCCGCCAAUAGCUGAAAAUAAAAUACUUAUUCAUCAAUUUAAACUAACUUUAUAACAAAUAUCUUAUCGAUAUUUUAUUUAAAAAAAGCAAAUUUGUAAAAUUUUUCCAUGGGAGAUAGAGAGUAAUAUGUAUAUCCGUACCUUUUCAGCAUGUAAUUGUUGUAUGGUUGUGUUAAGAUCAUUAUUUGCCCAACGGCGUUGAUCCUCUUACUCUCCAUACGAGACGUUUACUCUCGGAGGCGUGUUUGAUUCUCCUGAAGUGAAAGUCUUCAUCUUGGGACAACCAAUCACUUCUAGAUAUUCCAGAGAUGGGAAUUUGAAGGUGUAAUUGGCAGAGCAGAAACUUGUGAGACUGUCUAAAUCGCACAGAAUCAACGCCUUCAAUUUGCUGAAAACAAUCUCUUCUAUGUCAACUCCUUCUUUGUCAUUUAUUACCACCUCUGUCAUUGCUCUGCAUCCAUAUACUUGCACUGAUACGAGUCGCACCAGAGUUUUUGCUGUGGAGGAUGUUACGAAGUGUAUCAAUUCCUUGCAACCGACAGCUACCAGUUUUGUUAGGUUCCGAAAAGAUACCGAUGAUGAUGGCAAUAGACUUAACAGAUUUUGACAAUGAUAUACUUUUAGAAUUUCAAGAUAUUGAAAAAUGGAGUCAAGUUUGGAGUCUUGUUUACAUAGCUGCUUCAGAUGAUUAAGGUGGCCCAGCUCUAUACAUUUUAUCAUUGCCAACUUCCUCAAACGUUUCUCUAAGCAUCCUUCCGUUGAAAAUAGCUCUUCGUAUGAACAAUGAUACAGUAAGAGUAAUUCGAGAUUGUGAAAUCUCUCAAGUACAUUCCUGAUUGGAAAACAAGCCGAGUCAUCAUAAGUUAUGUCUAGUUUUUUAAGACUGCCAAAAAGGUGUUGAGGGAAAUCGGCGUCCAAAAUCAUCUUCACAUCUUUUCCGCUUAACGCCAGUGACUCCAAGUUGGGUAAGAUCUGAUCAUUAUCAAUCACGUAGUAACUAAUCAGUCAGUUGAUGUUCUCUCCAAUAAUUUUGAGUAAUCCAAUCAUAUGCAGCGACCUUAUAGUACUUGUUGUAGAUUAUAUAUAUUUUACCAAAAAAAAAAAAAAAAGAAAGGAAAAAUUGAAUUAGUGAUAAAAUUCAUUCUAGGGGCCGUUGAAUUAGUGAUAAAAUUGAAUUAGUGAUAAAAUUCGGUUAUAUUUUUCAAAGUCAAAAGUCGCUAAUGAUCUAAUUGAUAAGAAAUCUAGAAAGCGGCUUCAUACCUUUUUGAACAAGAAUAGGGGCCGUUGUGCAGGAAUACCAAGUUGAUCAUCCUCAUUAUUUUGUGAUGAAUCUGCAGCGAAUGUCUUCAAUUUGUCACAACCAGACACCACUAAAAUUUUUAGUGCAGGCCAUUCCGAAGUAAGCAUUCCAUGGUAUAAACAUUUAAGUUCUGGUAGCUCUUGGAGUAUAAGAGUGGUCACCCGUUGAAAGACAAAACGAGGGGUCACAUGAUCUACUCUGUCUUCCGAAAUGAUCUCUUGCAAACCCCUACAAUUCACUAUCUCUACUUGUUGGAGAUGCUCAAAGCUUUGAAUCAUAGAAACUAAAAAUAUGUAUUUCAAUUUGUUACAGUGGCACACAAUCAAUCGUGUUAAACUUUGAAAGCGAGGAAGCAUGACCGGACGAUGAUUGUAAUGCCAAAUCUUGUCGACAUUAAUUUCAGAUAUCUCCAAAGCCUCCAAGUUAGGCAAGCCUACCUAAAAAAAUAUUAAUUUCUUGUUAGAUCCAACAUCCAUAUGAGAAGGACUUAUUGAAAUUUUCUUCUUUGAUUGCAGAUUAAUAAUUCAAGUCAAAAUCAAUUUCCAACUGACAGCUGAGUAUGCAUUCUAAUUCAUAUUACUUGUUAAGAGCUCAAUUAGUGAGUGCGUGAGAUUCUUUUUAUCUUUUUUUUUUCACUUUCUUUCAAUUCUUUAAAUGAUUUAAUUAUUUUCCACGUAUGACAUCAAAAGAGAAUGCACAAUAGCAUAAAGAAAGUGUUAGCCUACGCACCUUGCCGUUGAAAAGCAGGGUUUCCAAAUUGAUUUCGUUGGAGCAAGAACUUGUCAAUUCCUCUUGCAGCCCUUGUCUGUUUAGUGAUGCUGAAGGAGUCUUCAAUUUACGGAAAAAAGUUGUAACCUCUGGAAGAUUUCCUAAACUCAAAGAUCUUAAUUGAGCCAACUCUAUCUUCUCAGUAGCAUUAUUGUUGUCAACAUCAGCUUCUCCCCCAGUUGCAAAAAUCUCUUUCAUCUUGCUGCAAUUAAUAACUGCAAUUCUCUCAAGUCUUGGAAGGCAUUUUGCAGUGGAGAGCCAGAAGAUAUUACUCAACUCAUUACAAUUUUCUACUUUUAUUGUUUUGAGUUUAUUGAAAGACUCUACUUUGAGUCGAUCAAUGCAUAUCCUCUCCAUGUUGAUCAAAUUGUGAAGAGUCAGCGACUCCAAAAGAGGAAAGGCAUCACAAGCGACCAUCUCCAUUGAGUCGACAAUACAAAAGAAGUCAGGAUUAUUUUGAACCCAGAGAAGCUUCAAUUGUGGUACGCCCUUUGUGUCCAAAUCGAAAAGAACAUUUUUGACACCUUGUAGCUUGUCCAACAAUAAGUAUUCAACGUUAUUGAUGGCCUGCAAUUUCAUGGAGCAAAUGUCCAUAAAAUCAAGCUUGAGCUUCAACUCUCUUAAACGCUCAUGAUUAUUGUUGAUCAAAAAGUGCGACCGACUGCGAAACCAAUCUUUUGUAACAGGCAAGGAAGCCAUGAAUGACUUAUUUCCAAUAGAUAUUUUGAACCUUUUGAGCUUUCUGGCCAAAAAGCCUUCCGGUAAAAUACUGUCAUUUUUAACAUCAACACUUCGGGAAUGUCAUUAAUAAUACUAUCUUUUAAAAAAAUUGCAGGAUAUUUUUUUAAUGCAUCUGCAUCUGGCCAUUUCCACAAAUGCAAUUUUGUCACGACAUGCAAUUGAAAUGGCAACAUCGCGAACAACAUCAUGCAUGGAAAAUAAUUUACUGCUACCAUCCUUAAGCAACAAACAAGAGUCUCUUAGUUGAUUGACCCAUGCAUCUAAUUUGUUAUGUGCAUCUUCUAGUUUAUGGACACUUUCAAAUGCACCCAAGCCCACGCUAUAUUUGAACAAGUCCAUAAUUGAAGUUGGUGUAAUUAGACUACACAGUAAAAAAGUUUUCUUGAGUUGCUCACCUCUUAAGUACUUGUAACUCAGCUCAAUUGUUGAGUAUGCCUCUACUGGUACUCCUCCGUCGAAGCUUGCCUCUGAAGGCGUUUGGAGUUCUUGCAAGGCGUUUUUCCACACAGGCAGCUCUUUGUUUCUCAGUGCCUUUGCUACUGUGGUUAGGGCAAUAGGCAAACCUCCACAUGCCUUGGCUACACUUGUUGCUGUAGAUUUUAACUCACGAUUUUCAACAUAAUUACCAGCCAUUAUCUUGAACAAUCUCCAAGCUUCUUGCUCAUUUAGAAUGCAAAUCAAGAAGUUAUUUUCAUAUCCCAUACUUAACGAGACAUUACGAUCCUUUGCUGUUAAUAAUAAUUUGCAUCCUCUAUGAUCAUCGCCAAAAGGAAUUCCAACAGUCUCUAAAUCAAGAUAUUUCCAGAUUUUGUCCAGAAUCACAAGGAUCUUCUUAUGAUUCUUCAAUCGUUCAUAAAGUUUACUAGCUCUUCUAGAUUCAGCCUCCUCGGACAACUCCAGACCUAGUUUCUCUGCAAUUUCCCCUUGAAUCUUUUUUAUGUCUGGAGUUUGGGAAACCUCUGAAAAAACCACCUGAUCAAAGAGUUUCUCUUCACUGGCUUGCCUUGCAAACUCCUUCACCAGUGUUGUCUUUCCAAUGCCGCCCAUGCCGUAUACCCCAACGAUGCUGACAUUGACAUCAGUCAAUGCAUCUUGUAUAGACUUCAGAGUAGAAAGUCUUGAUUUAAAGGCCUCAUAACCUUUGUUAGACUUUAGCCAUACCUCCUCCACAAUGGUACGGUAGAAAAUUUGAUCAUCAAAUCUCCUAGCUUCUUCUUUGAGUUCAACAAGGGCCUUCACCUCUGUUUCUGCUUUCUUGCUAAGCUGAUAGCGGGUCUUCAAAUUAGGACACAAGCCCUUGAAACAUCGCUUACUUGUUGUCUCCCCAUCUUCAAUGAAUUUGGAUGCCUGCUCAAUGGUGUUGUUCGCACUAACCAGCUAGUUCUCAACCUUCUCUUCAAUCUUUUCUCCUUUUCUUUCAGCCUUAGAAACUCUGUGCUGAAUGCUCUUACUUUCAUCCUUGAGCUUGUCUAUUUCUGCCUUGAGAUUCUCAAAGUUGGCUUUAUAGUUACGCAAAUAACCAAGUUGGUGUUCUGUUGGAGGAGCGAAGCAUUUCACAACUUCUAACAGAACAGUAACAAUGCUUUCCACCAUCUUCGAUCCUCUUUUUUUCAAAGUUCCGAAAUGAAAAUAAACGACGAGCGAAACACAGAGAGAAAGAGAGGCAAAAAAAAAAAAAAAAAAAAAAAGAAAAUGAAACAACAAAGAUGACAAGUGUAUCUGUUUGUGGAAGCGGAGAAAUCAAAGAAAGCUUAAAAACUGUUGUGAAUCUGGUGAGAAGAUGGAAACAAGGAAAAGGUUUCUAGUUCAAAAGUGAUUGAAUUGAUAUAAGGAAUGAUUUAGAUAAUAGAGGAAAAGUGAAUCAGUCAAAAUAACUUAUGUAUUGACCAGAAGAAAGAUGCAAACAAUAUUGGAGACAACAACAACGCUAUGUGUUGUGCGCAGAAUGCGGAAACAAGUGCACUGAAUAAUCACAGAAAAAUAAAGGACACAAGAAUUACAUGGUUCGGCAAUAUGCCUACGUCCAUGGGAACAAGAGAAAAAUAAUUGUAUUAUUAACAAUUAUAGUACAAAUUUGAGUAAAGAAAUCUCACUUUCCCAUAACCCAAAUACACCAGUACUCUCACACACACUCUCCAAUUGCUCACACUCUCACAACUCUCAAAACCUUAGAAACUUAUACGCUUAACAAUUUAGGGAUGAUUUACAAAUGAAGAAUGCAUCUAUAUUUAUAGCAAAAAACGUUGCACUAUUGCACCAUCCGCUUUGCAAUUUGUCAAUUCUCCUAUCUGUCAAUUUGACAAAUUUUACUAACCUUUUUCAUUUUUCUUCAUUUGGUGCAGGAUUGUCAAAAGUCAUAUAUUCUACAGCUUGCAAUUUUGGUGCCGACUUUGAAAAACAAAAGCAAUGCAUGUGGCUCACUUUUAUUUUUCAACCAAUUUGAAAAAAACUCUUUGACUUUUCAACAAUUCUCCACCUCGGCGAAGAUUUGUUCAAAUCUGAGCCGACUACCAACCAAUCAUCAUCCCCAAAGUGGCUGCAUCUCUGUGACUGCCUACGUACCCAAAAUUUGGGAUCAAGCCAACCGUAGUUUAAAAUUUCCGAAGGACAUAUCUUAACACAAUCGAAGGAUUUGAAUUAGUUUCAAGCAAUGUUGAAACUUAACUCCAGAAACUACCUUCGUCAACAUAUCUGAUGGAUUAUCUUUGGUAUCGAUCUUUCUCAACAACACAACACCGCUCUCGAUAAUCUCUCUCACAUAAUGAUAUUUCACAUCUAUGUGUUUCGUCCGAGCGUGAUAUGUUUGAUUCUUCGCAAGGAAUAUCGCACUUUGAUUAUCACAGAAGACCGCAAUGUUCUCUUGGAUUACUCCUAAAUCACCUAACAAGCCUUUCAACCAGAGAGCUUCUUUUACAGCUUCAGUUACUGCCAUAUACUCUGCUUCCAUAGUGGACAAAGCAAUUAUCGAUUGUAGAAUCGACCUCCAGCUAACCGGACCUCCACCCAAUGUGAAUACGUAGCCCGUUGUUGAUCUUCGCUUGUCAAGGUCUCCAGCGAAAUCAGAAUCACAAUACCCAACACAUUGUUGACCACAAUCAUUCUUGAACAAUAACCCAACAUCAACUGUCCCAUACAGAUAUCGGAGAAUCCACUUUACUGCAAGCCAUUGAUUUAUACCCGGAUUGUGCAUGUAUCUACUAACCAUGCUCACUGCUUGAGAUAUAUCAGGCCUUGUACAUACCAUAGCAUAUAUAAGACUACCCACAGCACUAGCAUAUGGAACACGAGCCAUAUAAUCGCGCUCCUCUUGAGAUCUAGGACAUAAAGAAGAGCUUAAUUUGAAAUGAGGAGCUAAAGAUGUACAUACUGGUUUAGUUUUGUCAUCCAUGCCUAAUCUUUUUAGCACUUUCUUCAAAUAAGACUUUUGAGUCAACCAUACGCUCCCAUUCUUCUUGUCUCUACGAAUCUCCAUCCCAAGUAUUCUCUGUGCAUCACCCAAGUCUUUCAUCUUGAACUCAGAAGCUAGCUGCUUCUUUAAUCUUUCGAUCUCAUCUCUAUUCUUCGAAGAUAUAAGCAUAUCGUUGACAUAGAGUAACAAAUAGAUAAAAGCUUUAUCUAGUAGUCUUCUAAAGUAAACACAAUGAUCGUGUUCGCUUCUAGUGAAUUUCUGCCCUUGUAUAAAUUGAUCAAAUCUUUUGUACCACUGCCUUGGCGAUUGCUUCAGUCCGUACAAAGAUUUAAUCAACCUACACACAUGAUUCUCCUUUCCAGCAACUUUGAAACCACAAGGCUGAAUCAUAUAGAUUUCCUCCACUAAAUCUCCAUGUAAGAACGUCGUCUUAACAUCCAAUUGAGCCAACUCUAACUCAUAUUCUGCAAGUAAGGUAAGUAGGAUACGAAUGGAAGUAUAUUUUACAACUGGAGAGAAAACUUCAUUAUAUUCAAUACCUUCCUUUUGAGCAAAACCUUUCGCCACGAGCCUUGCCUUGUAUCGAGGAAUUGAUUGCUUCAGAGAUCCUUUCUUCUUGGUGUAGACCCAUUUAUUCCCAAUAGCCUUUUUUCCUUUUGGUAACUUUACAAGUUCCUAUGUCUGGUAACUUUACAAGUUCCCAUGUCUGGUUUUGAUGGAGAGAUUUCAUCUCUUUUUCCAUGGCUAACUUCCAUUGAUCACUUUCACUGCCGCGUAAUGCUUCACUGAAAGUGUUGGGGAUGUCAUCAUCAAUAACUAGAAGUGCAUAGGCUACCACCAUGUAUUUAGUAAGCCAUCCGGGUUUCUUUAUCUCCCUUCUUGGCCUCCUUAUUGCUAUAAAAUCAUCAUUAUCUACAUCAUAAAUUGUUUCUUCAUUUUGUGGGACAUCAGAAGAAACAACCUCUUCUUCAACUGUAGGUGUCACCUCCAUAGUUGAACCCUUCUUUGAUGUAGAAUUAACUGGUACAUAUGAAGUUGCAUCAAACUUCACCCGCUGCAAUACCUCUUUGGUCUUGUUCUCCACCUACUGAGAACUUGAAGCUUUCAUCAUUAAAGCUUCAUCAAAUGUGACAUCUCUGCUACACACAAACUUUUUGUCUUCGAGAUUCCAAAGCUUGAAGCCCUUUACUCCAUCUUUGAAUCCCACAAAGAUAGCUUUUCUAGCACGAGGAUCCAGUUUACCAUCUUUGACAUGAUAAUAAGCUGGACACCUGAAUAUACGAAGGAAAUCAUAGUCUUGUGCAUGCUUUCCAGACCACAUUUCCAUAGGAGUUUUACCUCUAAUUACAGUAGAAGGAACUCGGUUUAUCAAGUGACUUGCAUAGCUCACAGCUUCAGCCCAAAACUUUUUAUCUAAACCAGCAUUAGAUAAUAUACACCGUACUUUCUCCAGUAAAGUACGAUUCAUGCGCUCAGCCACACCGUUCUGUUGCGGAGUAUGUCUCACCAUGAAAUAUCUUUUAAUACCCUCGUUCUGGCAUACUUGCAAGAAUGGAUCAGAAGUAUAUUCACCCCCAUUAUCAUAUCGUAAUACUUUGAUCUUUCUGCCAGUUUAAGUCUCUACCAAUUUCUUCCAUUUCACGAAAAUCUCUAGAACAUCAUCCUUUGCUCGCAUGGUGUACACCCACACACGUCUAGAGAAAUCAUCAACAAAUGUAACAAAAUAAUGGCUUCCACCAAUUGAUGCAGUCUUGGUUGGUCCCCAUACAUCACUAUGAACAUAUGCAAGGAUCUCACGAGUAUCGUGAUUAGCCGUACCAAACUUGACCCUUGUUUUCUUGCCUACUACACAAUGCUCACAGAAAUUUAAUUUACAGGUUUUGGGACCUUUUAAGAGUCCGUGCCUCAUCAGAGUUUGCAAGGACUUCUCUCCAGCAGUCACAGUCGUACAUGCCAUAGCUUGGUGGUGUCACUGUGCGCCUCAACAACAUUUGCUUCAUCAAUUGUACCUCCCUUCAAAUAGUACAGAUUAUGACGCCGAACCCCUUGUAGAAUCACCAUAGCCCCAUGUGUAAACUUCAUUAUACCAUCUUUAAUGGUAACCUUGUAGCCUUUACCUUCCAAAGUACCCACAGAAAUUAGAUUUUUCUUGAAAACUGGAAUAAAUCUAACCUUUUUGAGUUCUCUGACCGUUCCAUCAAACAUUUUGAGCUGAAUUAUUCCUAUCCCCAUUGUGCGACAAGGUUGAUCAUUCCCCAUCACAACUGCACCAGAUUCCAGAUUACGAAAACCCGUAAAUCAUUCCUUAAUAAGACACAAAUGAUAGGUUGCUCCAGUAUCAAGUAUCCACUCGCUCGAAUUAGCUACAUAUACUACAGGAGUAAUACUUAGUGAAUAAUCAGAGUCUUCAUCUUUCCAUGCCAUGUUUGCUGGUGCUGGUUUCUUCCCAUCUCUCUUUUGAACCUUUGGCCAAUCUUUCCUCCAAUGGCCAUUUUCAUGACAAAAUGCACACUCAUCUCGAGCUAUAUUUCUGCUUCUCAAUUUGGAUCGAGAAUUUUUUCCACCAAGCUUUUUCUUUUUCUCCAUCACCCAAUCUUUACUCACCAAAGCUUCAAACGAUACUCGUUCAGAAUUUUUAUCAUUAUUCUGCAUCUCCAAGUUAGUCAAUGUUGUGCAAACAUCUUUGAAGACGAUCACACUCUUCCCGUAUAUCAAGGUAGUCACAAAAUGACUAUAUUCCUCUGGUAGUGAGUGUAACAAAAUUAUAGCUUUGACUUCAUCCUUAAUAUCUUCAUCGAGAUUCUUCAAAUCAGCAGGUAACUUUUCAAAUCUUGAGAUAUGAUCGUGCAUUGACACCCCAUGCUUCAUUCGAAAGCCAUAUACUUGGCUCAUUGUAUAAAGACGAUUUUCAGGACUUUUCAGCAGGUACUUCUCCUCCAAUGUACGCCACAAAGUCACCGCACACUCCUCAUCUUUCACCAAGUAUUUCACCUCCUUGGUCAAACAAGAUCUGAUCUGACCACAAGCUUUCUCGUUCAUACGAUCCCAAAUUUCUUCAUCAUACAAGUGUCUUUUAUUUUUCAGAACAACAUCGAGAUCGAUUUGAAUAAGGACAUCCAUAACUUCGCGCCUCCACAUGCCGAAGUUGAUUUUCCCAUCAAAUUUUUCAACAUCGAUCUUCUGGCCUCCUAUAACAGGUGCUGAGUAGGGAUUUGACAAAUCUCGCCUCCCACUUGAACUGUCUCCUGAAAUAGUCUCGGUAGAUCUCUCCUUACUUCUGGAAGUUUCACCUUCUACCAUUUUCUCAACGAACUAUUUCCACUUGAAAAACAGCCUCUGUGAUGUUAAUUUCGCAUGAAUAAAUGCACCAGGAAAGUUCCCAGGAAACUGGAUGGGAACUCGGUCCCAAUUAAAAACCAAAAUCCUUAGACGCUUAUUGCCUUGUUGACAGAACUUUCCUAGACAUGCAAAAAGACACACUACUUACAAUAGACUGUCUCCUAAAUACAAAUGGCCGUCUCAACCGUAUUCGUGAACAGUACCGUAUGUGAACAAUACCGUAUACAAGAAUAGUACCAUAUGUGUGAAUAGUAUUGUAUAUGUGAACACUUCCGUAUAUUAGAAUAGUAUCGUUUACGUGAACAGUACCGUAUCCCCCCAAGUACGAACCUUCGGCUCUGAUACAACUUGUUGUGCGCGGAAUGCGGAAACAAGCGCACCAAAUAAUCACAAAAAAAUAAAGGACACAAGAAUUACGUAGUUCGGCAAUAUGCCUACGUCCACGGGAGCAAGAGAAAAAUAAUUGUAUUAUUAAUAAUUAUUUAAGUACAAAUUUGAGUAAAGAAAUCUCAUUUUCCCAGAACCCAAAUACACCCAGUACUCUCACACACACUCUCCAAUUACCCACACUCUCAUAACUCUCAAAAGUUUAGAACUUAUAAGCUUAACAAUUUAGGGAUGAUUUACAAAUGAAGAAUGCAUAUCUAUUUAUAGCAAAAAACAUUGCACUAUUGCACCAUCCGCUUUGCAAUUUGUCCAUUCUCCUAUCUAUCAAUUUGACAAAUUUUGCUAACUUUUUUCAUUUUUCUUCAUUUGGUGCAGGAUUGUCAAAAGUCAUAUAUUCUACAGCUUGUAAUUUUGGUGCCGACUUUGAAAAACAAAAGCAAUGCAUGUGGCUCACUUUUCUUUUUCAACCAAUUUGAAAAAACUCUUUGACUUUAAUUUCAACAAAUAGAGAUGGAGAAAAAGAAAUAUCUUCACACGGUGGAAGUACAAAGGGUAGAUAUGGAACCAAACAGAGACAACAACAGGCCACAACUAGAUUGGGAAUGGAGAGAAACAAAUUAACAAAGACUGGAGAUUACAACAGAACAGAUGCCAAGAGAAAAGGGUUUCUUCAUCCAGUGAAAUUCAAGUGAGUUGACAGCAAAAGGGAGCAUAUGUGUUUCUUGAUUGAGAACGAGUGCAAAGGAUGACUUUUUAAUGAGGUUCUGAAGCUGACGGAUAACGAUUUGCUAAAAUUUUGAGAAAGUUAUAUAUUUCGUAACUUCAACAAGUGAAGAAUAAAAGAAUAAUAGUUCGUCAUCUUCACAAUGAAGAUCAUGGCCGAGAUUAAAAGCUAAAACUAGUCCAUUUGAAAAGCCAAAGUUCAAGUUCCUUGGCUAAGUUCAGAAGUGAAGCAAAGAAUAAAUAAAUAAAGAUCAAGGGAUGGGAAUAAAGUCACCCCCAGACAGUUGCAGAAAGAUUAUUAUUUGGUAAGUGUAGUUGAUUAUUAGUACAAAACAGAGUAGGUGAAACACAUCCUUUCUAUUUAGACUGAUCAGCAUCUAAAAUUUUAUGAAUUAUGAGUUGCAUUUUACUUUGUACAUUAUGUUAACACAUUUUAAUUUAGCCAAUUUUGCAAUAAAUGUUAUUGAUGUAUUAAAUAGAAAAUGAAUUGAAUUCCACUCAUCGUCAUCUUGGCAAAUCAAGUCAAAAAAUAAAAAUCCAUAUGCUUUUGUUAAAGUUAAAAGCUACAUAAAUAAUAUCACAGAAGCUUCUGCUAAGGUUCAUGUGAAGUCACAGCUUUGAUACUUGUAAUACAAGGAGCACGGAGAAACCAUAAACUUCAGUUUAGGUAUAUACAUUGCUUGUCUUUCAAACUUGAAUUGAUAAGGGGGAAAAAAUAAUACUAAAGCAAACAGAAGGAUCAUUUAGUUGACAAAAUUAUUAGCUGAUAUGCAUUAACAACUCCUAUCCUAUACUAUCAGCCAGUAGGUUGUUGCUGCUUCCCGAUUUUUAAUGAUGCGAACAUCUCAUACUUAGAAAUAAGGGCGGAGCCUGGAGAUUGAUUUAUAAGAUAAGAAGCAACAUUGUGUACAAUAUCAGAUUUCCAAUGUGAGAAAAAUAAAAUUGCGUUAUAAAAUUAAUCCCACUAAGAAAGUGGUCUACGAAAUUGCCACAUUAAAAGAAAUUUUUUCCAUAAAUUAAAAUAAAAUUAAAUGAAAACUAUUUUUCAGUAAAGUCAAUUGCCCACGCUAGGCUAAGGCGUUUGUUUUUUUGUUUUUUUUUUUUUAAAUCUGAAUAGGUAUAAAUUUUUCGUAAGCAUGAAUGGGCUGAGUACAAAUAUAUGAAUGACAUAUUUAUUUUUAUUUUUCUUAAUACCCGAAUAUAAGUGACAUCUUAUUUAUCUUAAAUAUGGUUAUUUGAUAUUUAUAUUUUUACAAAUCAAAAUAAAAAAAAAAAAGUAGUUAGAUUUUAUAGUUUAAGAAAUAAAUAUAUUUUAUAAAAAAAAAUUUAGAAUAUAUAUUUACUUCUUAUUCAGACUUUUUUCUAUUCAAUAAAAUUCACAAAAGUUACUUUUUCUAUUCAAAUGUAAAUGCUUAAAAAUCAUAUAUAAGUUACAAAAAAAAAUUUGGAAAAAGUCAUAAAUUAAUAAAAUUUCAGAUUUUAUAUAUUUAACUCCCAAUGCAGAUCCGUCCCUAUUAGUGUUAGGAAAUUGACUGGUGAAUGUUGAGUGUUAGAAAAUAGGAGAAAAUCGUCAUUUUACACUUCAAGUUUUACUAACAUCCUUACUUUUACGUAUUUAACCUUCUUGUGAUUUAAUUACGUGUUUUUUUAUUUUAAUUAAGUAUUUUAUGUAUUUUAGUGGCAUUAUAGUCAUUUCACAAUGAACGAGAGAUCAGACGGCAAAACGGACAUCACUUUUGAACUCAGGACGGUCGAAAACCUUAGGAGGAGCAUAAAAGGAAAAAUGACACUGUUCAUAUGUACGGUACUAUUUACAUGUACAGUACUGUCUACGUUACUGUUCACGACACUGUUCACAUAGACGGAUCGAUGAUGUGGCAUUGACCGAUGAUAUGGCAUUGACUGAUGAGGUGUCACGAUCUUGUUGGACUAAAAUUCUUAUGCACUGUUGAUUGGUGACGUGGCAGCAUGUUAGUGGACCAAAAAUUGCGCGUACGGUACAUGCAUAUACACAGGAUUAUUUUCAACCAAACCGCGUUACUGUUCAAGCCGGGUCAAACCGUGUUACUGUUCAAACCGCGUGGUCAAACCGCGUACUGUUGACUGAUGACGUGGCGCAAUCCUAAACGUCCAAACUGUUUUUAAUCCGAUGGCCAUGAUUUACUCAAUGUAUCUAUAAACAAGAUCCUUGUUUAUGGCUCUGAUACCAUAAAUCUUGUUGGUACGUGGCGUUGUUUUACCAUAAACAAGGAUCUUGUUGGUACGUGGCGUUGUUUUACCAGAUCAAUGCAAAAGUUAAUCUGCCUUAGGGACCAGAUCUGACUUAGAACAGAUCAAUAUCCCGCAUGUUCGGGUUUUCAGCCGAUAUACCACAAAGGCUCAACGAUAGUACUAGAUCUGGAUCCCAGAAAUAGUACUCUGAUUGAAUGGAGGGAGAAGAGAAAUACAACUAAGGUCAGAGAUCCGGUCUCUAUGCCUUAGAGGAUAUGUAACAGUUUAUAAAGAAAUUUAAAUAGACGUAAAAUAAAUUACAAAAUUUAAAACAUACAUGCUUUAUAAAAUUAAAAUAUUAAACUUACAUAUUAUUCUUGCUUGAAUCCAAGAAACCUUUACGUUACAAUAUAGUUUUACAGAAUAGGAAAGAUGAGAAAGUUCGGAGACAGGAAAAUUUCCUCCAAGUCUCUGAUUUCUUUCCAGAGGAGAAUACAAGAAGAAGUAAAAAAGAGAAGUGUCCUCCCCUUCUGCUCGAGGCCUCGAUUUAUAGAAUCAGAAGUGCCUUGGUAGCUGCAUCAGACCACUACUUGGAGAAACGUGCUUGUGGAGACAGCAUCGUCUGCUUUAUCACGUGGAGACAGCAUCUUCUGCUUUAUCACGCGGAGACAACAUCUUUUGCUUUAUCACGUGGAGACAGACAUCUUUUGCUUUAUCACGUGGAGACAGCAUCUUCUGCUUUUUGAAAAGCGUUGACGUGGACCAAAAAGUGAAAAUGAAAAUACAAGGAAAAAUACAUAAAUACAAAUUAUUUACAUAAUACUAAAUGAACAAUACAUAUGAUAAUUACUUUUUUUUUUAAAUGGUAACUUUAAAAGUGCUUUAUGGGAGAAAGAAUCCCGAAACAAUCAUCUUUAUUGUCGUCUCCCAGGGAAAUGAAUGGUUCAGCUUCUUCAUCGGUAGAACCUGCUGCAGAUGGUUCAGAUCUUGAGGCAAGGAGGUGUUCUAUAACUUGAAAAUAUUCGUUUUCAGUCUUUGCACUGGCCAAAAGAGAUUGGGCUUUUGACCGUUGGGCUAAGAAAGUACUCUGGGUUUUAACAUCUUGAAUGCUUGGCGCGAGAAGGCCUUUUGAGGAGAGCCAUUUCUGAACUGUGGCUACAGACAGCUUUGACUGUUCAUCAAACUUUGACCACCAUUUGACUUUAAAGGUUCUUUGUAGAAUGAAUUGGGCUUCCUGUUUGUGGUAUUGGAAAUUCCACAUCCAGACCCAAGGAAGGAAAAAGUUUGUACAGAAACAAAGAAAAGGAGGAAACCUUUUCUCGGACUCUGAAGGAACAUAAUGGGCUUUAAAAAUGUUUAAACAGUGAAUGGCAUUUGGAGUUAAAAUAUCGGGGCAUGGCCCAAAAUAAUUCCACCACUGUUGGAACCAGUUUGGAAGACUCUGAACGGUUAUUUUUGAAUUAAAGAAAAAUAACCAAGAAUGGGUCUUUUUUGGGUUUUGAAUAAAGAAUGUGUUAAAUCAGGCCUGUUGAUAGUCCCAGUAAGAGAAAAAUAAACAGUGGUUUAAACUCCGUUGGAAAUUGGCAGGAAAGGUUUUUAGUUUGUGAAGUUCAUCACCCCACUGUUUUGGACUCAAGACUUGUAAUAUGGUGGCUGUGGAAUAGGCGGGUCUUUAUGGGAUUCACUGAGGAAGAAAUGUUUGAAUUUUACAGACUCAGUGUAUUCCAGAAUGCUUUGGUAGAAAGACUGGGGUUUUGUCAAAUCCCAAGGUUUGAAAAACCAGCCUUUCGGAAAAAUCUUUGAAAUGGCUUGAAAUGGAUCAGAGUGAUAAAAUCCAUCUUCUAUAGAUAAAACAUUUUGAUGAUGGGUUUUAUUAAACCAAUCCGAAGAUUUUUUAGGAAGAUUUUGUUGUGAAACAAUAAUUUGAGAACUGGAACUUUCUCCAGAAAGAACUAUAUUUGAAGAGGAUUUUGAAAUAUCUUUAGAAAUAGUCUUUGAAACAGUUUUUUCUUCUUCAGGAUUUUUAGAAAAAGCUUUAUUUUGAGAAAUGCUUUGAAGAGCUAAUAAGAGUUCAGGAGAAUUGGAAAUGGAGUUCAUCCAUUCUUUUACCUGUACUUCCGAGGCGAUAGCUUUAGAAUGAGCUUCAUGCUCCUCAACCAUAUCAAUCCAAGAUUUAAUAGGCAUGGCUGAGGAUAAAAUUUUGUCUUUAGGAGGAGUUGAUAAAGAUUCUUUAGAAGCGGGUUGAGGUGGAGGGUCUUUGAGGACACCUUUUCCUUUGUCUUUUUUGGGCGGCAUUAUCUGUUUUGAAGAAAUUCCCUAGUUAGAAAGUCAGGGAUAGAAUUUGUAUCUCCUUUAAUAAAGUCAAUAUCAAAGUCAAAAACACUUAAAAUAGUUUGCCAUCGUGCAAAAAUUUGUUUUGAUGCAAUGUUUUGAACACCUUUUUCUAAAACAUGUUUUGCAGCUUUGCAAUCUAUCCUAAGUAAAAAAUUUUGAUUUAAUAAAUCACUUUGAAAUUUGGAUAUGCAUAAAACAAUGGAUAAAAUUUCUUUUUUAAUAGUAGAAUAAUUUUUCUGACAUUCAUUCCAAUGAGCAGAAACAUAUUGAACUAUUUGUUCUUUAGUACCAUUCUUUUGUUUUAAUAUUCCUCCAUAACCUAAAUCUGAAGCAUUGGUUUCAACAAUUUUAGGUAAUACAGGAUUUGCAAGAAACAAACAAGGGAUUUCUUUGACUGUAAGUUUUAUUAAUUUAACAACUUUAGUGUGUUCAUCAGUCCAAACAACAGGGUGUUUCUUUAAUCUAUCAUGCAACGGUUUUGAAAUCCUAUUAAUGUUAGGACAGAAAUCAAGAACAUAAUUCAAACUACCUAAAAAUCUAUGUAGUUGAGUUUUAUCAAGAAUUUUAUCAGGGAAUUUGUCGGCAAAUGCAAGAGAUCUUUCUAUAGGUGUUAUAGUACCUUUAGAAAUAUAAUGACCAAGAAAUCUAAUUUUGGUCUGAAAUAAAGAAACUUUAGAAUUAGAAAUAGCUAAGCCAGCUUUUCUAGUCGCAAACUAGAAAGUCUUUAAAUGUUUGAAAUGUUGAUCAAUAGACUGAGAAAAGAUUAAUACAUCAUCAAUAUAAACAAUGCAAAAUUCUGAAAAAGGAUUAUAAAUAUCAUUCAUUAUCCUUUGAAAUUCGGAAGGUGCAUUUUUUAAUCCGAAUGGCAUUACUGUCCAUUCAUACUGUCCAAAAGGAACAGUAAAAGCAGUUUUGUAUCUAUCUUUAGGAUGGAUUUGAAUUUGCCAAAAUCCUGAUUUCAUAUCAAAUUUUGAGAAAAUGAAAGCAGAGUGCAGUUUUUGGAGUAAAUCUUUUUUAUUAGGUAUGGGAUCCCUAAUCCAUUUUAAUGCUUUAUUAAGAGGUUUGUAAUUAAUAACUAAUCUAGGUGUUCCUCUUUCUAUUUCAGAAUUCUUAUUGACAUAGAAAGCGGCACAAGACCAAGGAGACCUAGAUUUGACAAUGAGUCCUUUAGACUCUAAAUCUUUGAUUUCGUUUUUACAGUGUUGUUCUAAGUCCAUGUUCAUUUGGAUUGGACGAGCUUUAGUGGGAAUUUGUCUUUCAUCAAAGGAAUUUUCAUAAGGCAAAUCAACCAAAUGUUGUUUUCUAUUCCAAAAGGCAGAAGGCAAAUCAGCACAUAUUUCUUUUUCAACUAGGGUUUUAUAUUCAGAAAUUUUUCUCUUUGAAAAAUCAUUUUGCAAUUGGCUUUCAAUUUUUUGUAAAUUCAAGUCUUUUGUAAACAAACCAAGUCAUUUUGUCUAGACUUGAGUAAAAUAUUGAUUUGGUUCUGAUAAACAGAACAUGCUUUUACAAUAUUCAAAUUUCUUGUUUUAGGUUUUUCAAUAAAAGGAAAAAAUAAUUUUUUGUUUUUUGCGUUAAAAGAUAUACUAUCAUAAUUGACAGUAUAAGGAGUAAUAAGGUUAAUGAAAGGAGUUCCUAAAAUAACAGUGUGAUGUAUGUCAUUUGUUAGGACGAAGGAAGUCCUAAAUUCAAAACCAUUAUUAUAAAUUGAGGCAUCAACUUUAGAUUUGACUUUUAACUUCGAGUUAUUGGCGACAGAAAGUCUUUCAUUGGUUUUCUCAUGAAAUCCUUUAGGGACAAUAUCUUCUCUAAUGCAAUUUAAAUCGGCACCUGUAUCAAAAAGGGCAAUUGUGUCAAUCUCAAAAUCUUUAGAAAGAAUUAAGGUGAUUUUAAUCAAAUAUUUUCUAGUGGUGAUCUGUUUUAAAACAAAAAGGAAAUCCUUGGGUAAAGAUUCAAUGUUUUCAAGGUUUUGUCCUUCAUUAUCACCAUCGGAUUCUGAUUCUUUAUUAUAAUUAUCUUGUAAUUGUUUUUGUAACAGAAGUUGGAUGGUUUCAGAAUCACUUUUCUGUUUUUCUUUCAAGUUUUUUAUCUCAAGUUUGAUUUCUUUUAUCUCUUUUUGGAGAUCUUGGAUAUUUGGUAUUGUUUUCUUUAUUUUCUUAUUGUCAAGGAUUUUUGUAAGAUCAUAAGUAUUCUUUUUAAUAGUAGGGGCUUUAGAGGUUUCUGCUUUAUCUCCUAAAUCUAAAGUUUUUAGGAGUUUAUCAAGGUACUCUUUUUGAAGAGUAUGGUCAGAAAUGUGUUUAACUAACUCAAGAAAAGUUUCUUGAUCUUUAGUUAACACAUUAACUUUCUUAAAAUAGGAAUCUGUUUCAGCAUCACUAUUACUAGUUACAGAUGUAUCUGAGUCAAGUAAUUCAUCAAUCUAUAAGGGCUCACUAUCUCCCGUCAUGGAAGAUUUAGAAUCAGAAGAUUCUACAAGUAAAGGGGCAACUUUAGAAAGUGUCUCUUCAUCAAGACCAAGUUCGUGAAGUUUUGUAUUUACUCUACAAAAUUUCUUGGUGUGGCAUUUUCUUCCACAUUUAAAACAUGUGGCUUCUUUGUAAUUGAAAGGAGGUUUUGUUGUGGCCUUAGGAUCCUUUCGUUUAGAGAAGCGAGGCUUCCUAUAAAAUUUCGAAGGUUUUUUAUAGGAAGAUUCCCUAAAAUCCGGAAAAGCUUUUUUACGAUUCUUAGAAUUGUAAUGUUUUUUGUAAGGUUUUGUAGAACAUUUACCAUUACAAUCCCUGGAAGUAGAGGCUUUAAAAGGAUCAUAGUUAAACUGUUUACAGAAACUGCCUAAUUCUUGCUUAGAUUGUCUAAGCUCCCAUUUUAGACGCUUCUGUAAUUUCAUAUCUUGGCAAAUCUUUAAUCCUUCUUUAUUGACAAAACUGACCAAUUCACCAUAGGUGAGUUCAUCAUAUGGAAUACGGUUGUCAUAAAGAGCUUUAAUGGAAUUCCUAACUUUUUCUCCUAAGAGAGUGGGUAAACCAGCAAGGAAUUUUUCUUUCCAAGUAACAUGGUUUGCAUCAUCUCGGAGAAAAAGUCUAGUGAAGAAAGUGGUUUUAUAACUUUGGAAUUCACUAAGUUUCCUACAUCUUAAGUUGUGUAGUAACUCAGCAUUUUUAUCUCUAAGGUGUGAAGGAUCACCUAUGAAGUGUAGAGAAAUAGUAAGGAUCAGGGUAGCUACAGCAUCUUGAAUAGGGCUAUUGAAUUCAUCACAGAUAGGUGCUCCAUUUUCAUCUGUUUAAAUAGCAUUAAGAAUAUCUAAUUGUUGUUGUUUGGUGAGAAGAUGAUCCCACCAGCCUUUAAGUUGACCAGUAAAACCAGCAAUGAGGAUCUCUGCAAUAGCUUUGUCAGAGGUUCCUGACUGGGUUUUAUAAGCAUUAGCUGCCAUGGUCAUCUGUUGCAACAAUCCUAAAAUAUUAUAUUCGGACAUACUAUCAAUGUUCCACUCAUAGACAGAGGAGGCAUUAAAUCGUGAUUGGUUUAAUGCGCUUGGUCUGUUGUCUAUGGCUAAGUCAGGAGGAGAAUUGAUAGUAGGAAGGGCUAAUUCCCAAUGAAUUUUAUUGGCGUUAUGAAUAGGUUCAUUUGUAAAGGCUUCUAUAUCUAAAGAGGCUAUAGACACUUGGUCUUGUUCAAGUACACCAAUUUUGCUAGAUUGGGCACUAUCAGGAGCUAUUUGUAUCUUACUAGAUGCAGAAGAAGAAGCUUCGAUCCUAUCUAGUUGUUCUCUAAUGGCUUUAGCAAAAUCUGAUUUUGACUCAUGGGCAAGCUUUUGACUAGUUUUCGAAACUUGGAAGGGUUUGAAAAUAGGCUCUUUAAGCCUUUUGUCAAUAUCCGAUUUUGAUGAACUAAUAGGGGAAACAACUAUUGUUGACUUUUGGAAUUGGUUUUCUAUUCUAGUCAACUGCUUUCCUAUUGUAUUUAGGUUAGUAUUACAGAAAUUAUUCUGUUGGAUAAUGUUACCUAAAUUAGUCUCUGGAUCAUUAGUUUUAUGGAUUUUAUAAGGUGAGGCUUUAAUUUGGACAGGAGGUUCACCAUGGUCAAUGGUCAGACUCCUAAGAGGUGGAUGCUCAGAUUCUAUAGUUCUGUCACUGUCAGAAAGAUUCCACUCAGUGAUCUUUUUUCUAACUGUGAUCGGGUUAGAUUCUUUAAAAGGAUAUGUAAUGUUAUUAUCAGAAGCAUACAUAGUCAACAGAAUGUAUAGAAGAGCUAGGUAUAUCCGAUGUGGAAAACCUAGGUUGACUUUUUACAGGUUGGAAAGGAAGAUUUAUAACAGAGGGAAGUUUUGAGAAUUUUCUCUCUAAAGAGGCGAUACUAGAACUUGAAUCUUUAUCAGAAAACCUAGAUGAUGUGGACCUUCUAAAAUAUAGUUUGACUUUACCAUCAGAAUAUUGAGUCACAUUUUGUAACACUGUAUUUGGUUCAAGUUGUUUUGGAAUCACUGGUUCAGUGGCUCCUUCAAGAAUCCAUUCUUCUGGAAGAUUGACAUCUUUCCAUUGGAUUGGUUUGGGAACAACAGUGUUGGCUUUAGACAGGUCAGUCUGCAAGAGAAGAGUCUCAUCUCUUUUUGACUGAAAUUUAUGUUGUGUAUUAAACGCAGAAUUCAUGGCUUUGUAUGAAAUUUUGAUAAUUAAGGCAACUGGGACAGAUCCCUCAAUCAUGUGAUAAUUAUGGGUUUUGAUUUGUAAAAUCAUGCUUUUCAAAAUGUUUUUGUCUUUUAAAGAAAUUGUUAUGUUCGGGUAACAGCUAAAUGAGAUGGGACCUUUACAAAGACUUGAUUCUAUACUACUUAAUAAAGAAUCAUCAAAAGAGAUGAAUCGCCCAUCUCUUAGGAUAGCAAGAAUAGAGGUAUUAAGACCUUCUUUAGUUAAGGGUUUUAUGCCAACUUGUAUUAAGCCGAUGUGAACAUAAUUAAAGUUCUUUUCUUUUAGUUUCUUUAAAGAGUGUUAUGAAAACAGGUGAAUUGUUUCAAAUGGCUUUGAAAGGGUUAUGUCACGUUCUUCAGUUUUUAUAACAAAAUCAGUCUUUAAAAAAUCAAGCUUUUUUAUUUUGUAAAUCAUGUCUUUAGAAAUCUUUGGUAAUUCCCAAUUAUCAAUUGCUUUAUUAAAGUCUUCAAUAAAAAAUUCUUCUGAAUUUACAACAUUCUUAGAAUCACUAGUCCUUCCAGAAGAAGAGCUAGAGAAAGAUGAUGCUCUACAGAGUAGAGAAUCCAUAUAAGCUGGAACCUAUAAAUGAUCUAGUUUUACAGGAAUGGAAAAUCAAUCCUAGGCUAAGAGUUGGUUUUACUGCCCUUCAACCAAAUCGGGACUUACGACCAAAUACUACCAAGGCACCCAAAGGUAACACCCUUUACCACUCAAGCAAAAGUUUAAUCACAUACAACUUCAGCCUACACAAAAACUCUAAACGAUAAAACACGACCCCCCUGGCUCUGAUACCAUAAAUCUUGUUUAUGGUAUAUAUAUAUAUAUAUAUAUAUAUAUCUUUUUAAUAUAUUCCAUUACUUUAAUAAUCAAUUUAAAAUAGUUUGUGAUAUUUUCAGCUAUUUACUUAUCUACUUUUAGCUAGUUAUUUACACCGAAUGAAGUGCUAGGGUCCAAAUUUUAGUAUCCUUCUCAGCUGUUUGGGGUUAGUAAAUACUAAUUAGCAUAUUCGUCCCGAACAGCUGUGUAAAUGCUGUUAGAUUUCGGAGAGAUGCUGAGGAUGGUACAAGAUUUAUCAAAUUGUGGCGACAUUUUUAUACCUUUAGAAUUUCAAGAUUUUGAAGAAAUAAAUGGGAUCUGUUUUCCAUAAGUGCUCCACUAUCCACCAGGAGGAAUUCUAAAAUACAUUACAGAUUAGUGAUUUCUCAGAAUAAAUAAACACAUAUUAUAACAUUAUUUACUUAUUGUAUGACUGAUAUGAUAUUUCUGAGAUAUUUUAGAAUUUUUAACGCACCAAAGUUCAUUUUUAGCUUUAAAGGUUUUUAUGUGUGAGCCUCUCAGCAUGUUCCCCAACCUCCUCACGUGAAAAUAUUUCUAUGUACGGUUACAAGCUUUUCCAGAUUGUGAGUAUUCCGAAGCAAUCCAACUUGAAAAACAGCUGGUUCGUAGAAAAUGACAGUUUACGAAGCUGGCCCUGCUGCCAUACAUAUGAUGAUGAAGACCAUUUGGCUUUAUGUCAAUUCCUCCAAGUUGAAAUCUUUCUCGGUCUGGGACACUUCCAACACAUAAAGUACUACUAGGCUAGAUGAUUUUAAAAAAUGUCCAGGUCCUUUAUCAAAUUUCAUUUGCAUUCAAGACCAAUCCCCUUUGAUGAAAAUCAAUAAUUAAAGGCUUUCCAAUGAGAAAUUAUUACGUCUUCAAAUCUCAAAAAACGCCAGAAUAUUAAUUCGCUACAUAUAAUCAAGAUAUCUCAUUGAGACGCAUUAAUAAAAAAUGUCAAAAUGCAUAGAAAGAGCAGACACACGGAUGAUGAAUUUACUCAUCUUUAGUAGUAUUUGAACUUGAGAGACAGAAUGAAGUACAUGUCAAGAAUAUCAUAAAGAUGGAAACCGGAAGUCCUCCGCACAUAAACUUUGAAGAAACUGGAAAACGACUUUANNNNNNNNNNNNNNNNNNNNNNNNNNNNNNNNNNNNNNNNNNNNNNNNNNNNNNNNNNNNNNNNNNNNNNNNNNNNNNNNNNNNNNNNNNNNNNNNNNNNNNNNNNNNNNNNNNNNNNNNNNNNNNNNNNNNNNNNNNNNNNNNNNNNNNNNNNNNNNNNNNNNNNNNNNNNNNNCCAUUUGGAGUCUUGUUUCCACAAUUGCUUCAGAUGAUUAAAUUUGUGCAGAUCUAAAUGUUUUAUCAUUGUAAACUUCCUCACUUGUUUCUUCAAGUAUCCUCCAUUCGAAAAUACCUCUUCGCAUGAACAACGACGCCGUAUGAGAGUUUCCAGAUUAUGAAAUCUCUCAAGUAAAUCAAGUGGAAAACAAGUUGAUUCAUCAUCCACUGUUUGUAGUAGUUUAAGACUGCCAAAGUCAUCCUCGAGUAUUUUCCACUUAAUGCCAGUUCCUUCUAAGUUGGGUAAGCUCUGAUCAUCAUCAAUCACGUAAUAACUUAUUAAGUCAAUUCAUAUUCUCUCAAAUAACUUUUAAUAAUCCAAUCAUACACAGUGACUUUAAUAUAAAUGCAUAAUAUUUUACAAACAAGAAGAAAAAAUCGAAUUAGAGGUAAAAGUUAUUCUACGAUUUUAUUUUUUAUAUAUAUCUUGCAUGCUAUUCCCAAAAGCAAUCCCAAACGGCCUUUAAAGCAAUUUUACAAAAGCGGCCUGCACAUAUAUUGCCAACUUUGUUGGGAAUGGCAAUGGGGAGAGGAGGGGAAGAGACCGAACUCCCCGUACCCAUUCAUGAUAUUCUGCAUAUAUCCUCGUCCUCUCCUCAUUUCUCACAAAAUUGCUUUAGGAAAUCCCCCUCCCCUCCCCAAAUAAUAAUAGGGGAUCCUUGAAGGCCCUCGAUCCUCGAAUAACUGAUACGUUUUUUGUUUUAAAUUUUAAUUUAAUCAUAUUAAAAUAAAAAAUAAAAAUAAAAAUAAAGUUUGACGAUAUAUCUUAUAUUAACAUUAAUCUAUUACAAAAGUCACAUUACAAAGUAUAAAUCACCAUAAUAAUUAUCUUCGGCAAUCUUCAAAAUCAUAUAAUAAAAAAAAGAAAUUACUUUUAUAUCAACAAUGAGAUAAAUGAAAUGAAUAUAGAUACUUAAUCAAUAUUUCUAAUAAAAGUAUUUACCUCUGCGUCUCCUACUCUUCUUGUUCUUCCUCGAGGAAUGUGACAAAUUGAGAGAUAGCCUCAGAUUUCAAAUUUAAAACAAUAAAAAUGAUAUAAGUAAUGUAAAUUCUAAUUAAAAUAAACUCAUACUGCCAUUGUAAGCUUGUGGUCAACUUUGACAACAUAUUAAAGCCUCCAAUGUGCUUGAAUAAAGCGUGUUACGGUACUCUACCACUGGUGCUAAAAGCUAAUUCAGAAGCAACAUUUGUAAUUAGAAUUGCCAAAAUAUCUCUAGGUGCCAAUAUAGGAUAUCUAUAGACAUUUAUUUUACAAAAACUCAAAAUAUUAAAAUCUUUCAUCCUAAGCAUAACUUUCUCAUCCAAAUAUUAAUGUAGUCAAUUAGGCCUAAAUUUUAAUAAUAUAAUUUUUUUAAUUUUUUUAUUUAUACUAAUAUUUAAUAUUUUAUUAUUUAUUUACAAAUAAUUUUAAAAAAAUUAAAAUUAAAUCAAAAAAUUAGAAGGGGAUAGGGAUUCCGCCGCAUCCCCGUUCUUUCUCUGAAUAAGAAAUUGAGUAAAAAAACUAUCUCCGUCCACUUUCCAAAUAAAAAAUUAAGUAAAAAAUUAUGUACCCUCCUGAAUUGGGAAAAUCUCGAGGGUCAUGUCCCCGCGGCAAUAUCUGCCAUUCCUAAACUUGUAACAGCCAGUUGCUUUUGUGACUGUUUAUGUGACGGCUAGACUGCUCUCACUUAUGUUACUAACCACGUGACGGUAGAGAGCCAAUUGGCAUACUAUUUUGACGGUAGAGUUAUAAAUUUGUUUCUAAAUAGAAAACUAUUUGCUGAAGUCAAUAUUUUGAAAACCAAAGUCCCAAAUUCUCUCUCGUGCGUGCCUGGUCAUCCUAAACCUUACUGGUAGCCGGAGAAUGGCGUAAAACGGCAGCGAUCUUCUUCUUCAUCUUAUUCUCUCUCUCAUCGUUUCAGGUAAGCUUGUGAUUAUGAGUUUCUUCUCUUUCUUAGCUUGUAAUUAUAGGUUUUGAUUUCUUUAAUUCGUAUUGUAGCCAUUAAUGUCAAUUUUUGUCCCACCGGCAAUUUUUUUUUGUUCCUAGAAGUUGAAGCCCUUCUGUUCUUGUGCCAUUGGUGAGUUUGCUCACUCAAAUUAAUUUUGUUCUGCGGAGUUUACAAAGUUCAAAUGGAUUCAUUUGGAUUACUAUUGAAUUUAGCUUUAAUUCCAACAUCCAUUCUAAUGUUUUGCUAUUAGAUUUACUUUAAUUUUAUGUUUAAAGCUUCUACAAUGAAUAGCGGAGCUUGGGUUUUAGUUUCAUUUUCUCAUUAACUUCUUUUAGUUUAUCUUAUAUGCUCGCCAAGUGCUUGUUAUAUUGUCUGAUAAGUUAUAUAACAUUGCUGAUUCUAUAUUAGUAAUGUCAUGUUCCAUUUUCGGAAAUUAUAACACAAAAGUUUUUACAAUGGCUUGCAUCUGCAAACUGAAUUGACUUGUAGAGUAAGAGCUUGGAUUAGUGUUAUGUUCUUGAAUAAAUGAAAGUUCAUAUUGUGUAAGAGCAUGUAGAUGUAAAGCAUCACUACCAUUUCUACAAACUGCUUUCAUUUUGUUCAGAUGCUCCUCUUGAACUUUGAAAGGUGCCUCAUUCAAGUCCUAGCUAUAACUACUAGCUCUGAUUGCUUAAGUUCCUGUGCUAGCUGAAACAGAUUUAUUUAAUUAAUUUAUUGUGUAUGUACUAAUUAUAUUGAAAGUAUAUGAAGAAAUUGUUUAACAUGAAUGACUUCUAAAUGACUUAAAAGCCUAAAGGAUAUGUGAAAUAAUGCUCAUUUCACUUGAACGAGCCUAUUAAUACUUGUAUGUCUAUGAUUGUCAAUCUUGCUUAAGUGUUUCAGUUAAGUGGUUUACCAAACAGGGAAAAAAAUUUAAUGGAAAACUUUAGAGUUCUAACAGAAAUAUAGUUGACUGCAGAUAUAGUUAUUUUAUGGUACAUAAAUCAUAUUGUCCUAUUCUCAAUGUCCUACGACCUAUUUUAUUUUAUAUGGUCAUUCAUUUUUGCGAUGGUUUUUUGUGCUUAUGAGUAUGGAAAUAGUGGGAUUUGGUGUGGCAAACAAAAAUAUACAUAUAAUCAAGUUUCUUAAUCAUUGUGCUUAUGAGUAUGGAAAUAGUGGGAUUUGGUGUGGCAAACAAAAAUAUACAUAUAAUCAAGUUUCUUAAUCAUGUAUAUUGGUUUUGGGUAUGAAUGUUUUCCUAUUCUAGUUCUAGGCAAAGUUUCUUCAUUUUGGUCUUCAGAUUUCCAGUAGGUUAAAGUUAAGCAACUAUCAUAACUAGCUAGCUAGUUAUUUGCCUUGCCUUUGUCGCCAUUACUGACGCCAUUUACAUUGCAUGGCAUAAGGAAUAGUAACUAGGUGAUUAUUGGUGAUUCCUUGAGUUUAUUAUUGGCCAAACAAACAUAUUNNNNNNNNNNNNNNNNNNNNNNNNNNNNNNNNNNNNNNNNNNNNNNNNNNNNNNNNNNNNNNNNNNNNNNNNNNNNNNNNNNNNNNNNNNNNNNNNNNNNNNNNNNNNNNNNNNNNNNNNNNNNNNNNNNNNNNNNNNNNNNNNNNNNNNNNNNNNNNNNNNNNNNNNNNNNNNNNNNNNNNNNNNNNNNNNNNNNNNNNNNNNNNNNNNNNNNNNNNNNNNNNNNNNNNNNNNNNNNNNNNNNNNNNNNNNNNNNNNNNNNNNNNNNNNNNNNNNNNNNNNNNNNNNNNNNNNNNNNNNNNNNNNNNNNNNNNNNNNNNNNNNNNNNNNNNNNNNNNNNNNNNNNNNNNNNNNNNNNNNNNNNNNNNNNNNNNNNNNNNNNNNNNNNNNNNNNNNNNNNNNNNNNNNNNNNNNNNNNNNNNNNNNNNNNNNNNNNNNNNNNNNNNNNNNNNNNNNNNNNNNNNNNNNNNNNNNNNNNNNNNNNNNNNNNNNNNNNNNNNNNNNNNNNNNNNNNNNNNNNNNNNNNNNNNNNNNNNNNNNNNNNNNNNNNNNNNNNNNNNNNNNNNNNNNNNNNNNNNNNNNNNNNNNNNNNNNNNNNNNNNNNNNNNNNNNNNNNNNNNNNNNNNNNNNNNNNNNNNNNNNNNNNNNNNNNNNNNNNNNNNNNNNNNNNNNNNNNNNNNNNNNNNNNNNNNNNNNNNNNNNNNNNNNNNNNNNNNNNNNNNNNNNNNNNNNNNNNNNNNNNNNNNNNNNNNNNNNNNNNNNNNNNNNNNNNNNNNNNNNNNNNNNNNNNNNNNNNNNNNNNNNNNNNNNNNNNNNNNNNNNNNNNNNNNNNNNNNNNNNNNNNNNNNNNNNNNNNNNNNNNNNNNNNNNNNNNNNNNNNNNNNNNNNNNNNNNNNNNNNNNNNNNNNNNNNNNNNNNNNNNNNNNNNNNNNNNNNNNNNNNNNNNNNNNNNNNNNNNNNNNNNNNNNNNNNNNNNNNNNNNNNNNNNNNNNNNNNNNNNNNNNNNNNNNNNNNNNNNNNNNNNNNNNNNNNNNNNNNNNNNNNNNNNNNNNNNNNNNNNNNNNNNNNNNNNNNNNNNNNNNNNNNNNNNNNNNNNNNNNNNNNNNNNNNNNNNNNNNNNNNNNNNNNNNNNNNNNNNNNNNNNNNNNNNNNNNNNNNNNNNNNNNNNNNNNNNNNNNNNNNNNNNNNNNNNNNNNNNNNNNNNNNNNNNNNNNNNNNNNNNNNNNNNNNNNNNNNNNNNNNNNNNNNNNNNNNNNNNNNNNNNNNNNNNNNNNNNNNNNNNNNNNNNNNNNNNNNNNNNNNNNNNNNNNNNNNNNNNNNNNNNNNNNNNNNNNNNNNNNNNNNNNNNNNNNNNNNNNNNNNNNNNNNNNNNNNNNNNNNNNNNNNNNNNNNNNNNNNNNNNNNNNNNNNNNNNNNNNNNNNNNNNNNNNNNNNNNNNNNNNNNNNNNNNNNNNNNNNNNNNNNNNNNNNNNNNNNNNNNNNNNNNNNNNNNNNNNNNNNNNNNNNNNNNNNNNNNNNNNNNNNNNNNNNNNNNNNNNNNNNNNNNNNNNNNNNNNNNNNNNNNNNNNNNNNNNNNNNNNNNNNNNNNNNNNNNNNNNNNNNNNNNNNNNNNNNNNNNNNNNNNNNNNNNNNNNNNNNNNNNNNNNNNNNNNNNNNNNNNNNNNNNNNNNNNNNNNNNNNNNNNNNNNNNNNNNNNNNNNNNNNNNNNNNNNNNNNNNNNNNNNNNNNNNNNNNNNNNNNNNNNNNNNNNNNNNNNNNNNNNNNNNNNNNNNNNNNNNNNNNNNNNNNNNNNNNNNNNNNNNNNNNNNNNNNNNNNNNNNNNNNNNNNNNNNNNNNNNNNNNNNNNNNNNNNNNNNNNNNNNNNNNNNNNNNNNNNNNNNNNNNNNNNNNNNNNNNNNNNNNNNNNNNNNNNNNNNNNNNNNNNNNNNNNNNNNNNNNNNNNNNNNNNNNNNNNNNNNNNNNNNNNNNNNNNNNNNNNNNNNNNNNNNNNNNNNNNNNNNNNNNNNNNNNNNNNNNNNNNNNNNNNNNNNNNNNNNNNNNNNNNNNNNNNNNNNNNNNNNNNNNNNNNNNNNNNNNNNNNNNNNNNNNNNNNNNNNNNNNNNNNNNNNNNNNNNNNNNNNNNNNNNNNNNNNNNNNNNNNNNNNNNNNNNNNNNNNNNNNNNNNNNNNNNNNNNNNNNNNNNNNNNNNNNNNNNNNNNNNNNNNNNNNNNNNNNNNNNNNNNNNNNNNNNNNNNNNNNNNNNNNNNNNNNNNNNNNNNNNNNNNNNNNNNNNNNNNNNNNNNNNNNNNNNNNNNNNNNNNNNNNNNNNNNNNNNNNNNNNNNNNNNNNNNNNNNNNNNNNNNNNNNNNNNNNNNNNNNNNNNNNNNNNNNNNNNNNNNNNNNNNNNNNNNNNNNNNNNNNNNNNNNNNNNNNNNNNNNNNNNNNNNNNNNNNNNNNNNNNNNNNNNNNNNNNNNNNNNNNNNNNNNNNNNNNNNNNNNNNNNNNNNNNNNNNNNNNNNNNNNNNNNNNNNNNNNNNNNNNNNNNNNNNNNNNNNNNNNNNNNNNNNNNNNNNNNNNNNNNNNNNNNNNNNNNNNNNNNNNNNNNNNNNNNNNNNNNNNNNNNNNNNNNNNNNNNCCCCCCCCCCCCACCACCAAAAAAAAAAACAAAACAAAUAGGAAGACUUUGCAAGAUUCACAACCAGGUUACAUUUAAUUUAUUAAUUGUGUGUACGUACUAGUUAUUUGUUGAUAGAAUAGGAAGAAGUAUUUUAAUAUGAAUGACUUAAAACUUAUUGCUCAGUAAACAUAAUGUGCAUCAGUGCUAGAAAAUGUAUUUAUUGUUUGUAAUUUUUUAUGGUUUUGCUUAAGAAAUGAAAUGUGAAAAAAUGCUACAUUGUAUUAGGAAUAAAAUGAAGAGAUUUAUGAUUUUUAUGUGUUAUUCAAGUUUCAGAUUCAAUUUUAAACUUUUGAUACAUGCAUUGAAAGCUUAAACUCCUUUAAGAAAUUAUUAAUAGACACAUGUUUUAUUAGUGUCAUCUUCUGGAUGAUAGUGAGGAUCUUAUGUCUAUUAAUAAUUCUUGAAUUAUCUAGGCUUGGACAGUUUGGUAAUGCAUAGUUUUCUAUGUUAGCUAGUGCCUGAAAUUUUUUUCCCACGUAAAAAUGGGGUUUUCAGCAGCUGCUCCUCAUGUUCUCUGGGUGCAUACUAGACAAAUGGGUGUCAUGUGUUGUUUUGGCAUAACACAUAAACACUCAUAUAUCUAUGUCGUGUACUUGAAGAACUAUAGGGAGAUGCUUCCGAAGUUUCUAUAAACGUAGAGGAAAACUUUAGAUACUUAAGAUUGAAGAAACUUAUGCAUUCUUGAGUGGGAUAUAUAGGACCACUUACCUUUUGUAAAUAUGAAGGGAAUGUUGGAUAUAUUGAUGGGAGUGGAGGAGCUGAGUGGGAUGAAUGUAAUCGGUUAUGAUUUUGCUGAGUCGACUUGGUUUUGAGUCUUGUAAUUUUUUUUAUAAAUGGAGUACUAUCUCCAAUGUUGGUUUAUAAAUAUGUUUCAGCUGGCUGACCUAAUUUUUUGUUUCUAGGUAACAGGCUUUAUAUAUCUGUAAUUGAUAGCCAAGUGAAGUUCUCAGCAGUGGGUGAGGAUAUUUCUUUACAGAAGGUAUUGCAAACUGUUUUUUAGAUUAAUUAUUAUUGUAUAUAUACUUUAAUUUUCACAUCUUUUUCUCUGAUUCUUGUGGCUUUGCUUGCUUCCAUAUAUAUAAAACCAUAAAAUUGUAUAAUAAUUUUUUUUAUUAUAUUGCGAAACUGCGCACACAUGAAAAUAUCUUGUUUAGUAGUAGAAAUGAAGAAUUAAAGUGAUUUAUUUAACUAAUUUUUCUAGUGCAAUAAAAGGAGAUAGUCAUGGACCAGAGUUGGGUUGGUUUGCCAAAUAGAUAUCCAAUUCAUAUACUGAUGGGGGUCAAAAAAUUUAUAGAUUUUGCAUUUGAGAAUGUUGUUGGUGAUAAAAGAAUUUAUUGUCCUUCUAAGAGGUGUUGUAAUAUCGAUAUUUCAUUAUAAGGAAAGUGGCAAGAGACCAUAUCAUUAUAAAUGGCUAUUGGUUAAAGUAUUAAAACUGGAUAUUGGAGGGUGAGCCAUCUUCAUCUUUGAAAUCUAACUAAGAAACAGGUUAGUCAUGACUCGGGUAGUGAUGCUAGUAUGGUUGGAAUGAUGCAUAAUGCAUCACGUAAUCAAAUGUUCAAGUCACACGCAGCAUUGUUAUGGACUAUCUCCGACUUUCUAGCAUAUGCCAACUUGUUUGGGUGGAGUAUUAAAGGUAAAUAAGCAUUUCUUGUUUGCCAACAAAACACUAGAUCUAAUUGGUUGAUACAUAGUAGAAAAUUGUCACGUGGGUCACUGUCGAUUUUUACCAACAAAUCAUAGGUUCCGAAAAUAUAGUGCCAUCUGAUAAAACUGGAGAGUGGGGACAAGCACCUUCUCGGUUGUCUGGAGCUGAGGUGAAAAAGCAGUUCAAUAAUGUACUUACUGAGUAUAAGAUUGAAGAUUUGAAAAGAGGAGAAUGAAUAAAAUGAAAGAAAUGAUAAGAUUACUUGGAAGAAGAAAAGCAUUUUUAAUGAACUAACGUAUUGGGAGUUCAAUUUGAUUCAUCAUAAUCUUGAUGUCAUACACCGUUUUUAUUUUUGUUAUGAACUCAGAUCAAAAGUUUAAUGUGAUCAAAAUUUCUUAAAAAUAGUGAAAAAGACUCCUAAUAAUAUGGAAGAUGGCUAUAAAAGAUAAUUUCUUAAAAGUUUAAUGUGAUCAAAAUUGCUUGUGAACGCAAGGGUUUUAGUUACACUGUCAACGCUGUCAAUGUAGUGAUACAAUGAAGAUGAAGUAAAGCAUUAGUAGAAUAAUGAAGUUGACCAGUAACACAGUAAAGCAUAUUUUAUUCCAGAGCAUGAAAACUUUUAAACAGUAACACAGCUCUUAUUCCAGAGGCUGCACACGAGUGACCUGAAUCUUCUUCAGAACUUUCAAAUUUUAUCAAGCAAAGAUUUCAAAAUCCUUGCCUUCCUAAGUUGGGAAAAAUAGAUGUGGAGCAAACCAAAUGAAAUAAAUGGGUAAACAGAACAAGCAGGGCAAAAAUUAAAAAUGAUAGCAAUUAACAAAUUAAUAGCAAUGUUACAUUUGACUCUUUAGCCCUUUGUUCCUUCUCUUAGCAUUCUUCAAAGUUUUUGAAAAUAGGAUGUGAAGCAAACAAAAUAAAAUAAAUUUAGACAACACAUGCCCUGUAUUCAGCAUCAUAUAUAUCUCGAAUAUCUAACAUAAUAAAUUUCACAUCUAAAAUACUAGAAUUUCAAACAGUACUAGUAGUGAAAAAAUGAUGACAACAACAAAAAUAGAAAAUUACAAGACUGCUGAUAAAAUUUCAUUUGCAUGCAUGUCUGACAAAAUUUCCGUGAUUUAAUGUGCUUUCAUGAACGCAAGUCCUAACGUUUCUGUGAUCACAAAAUGAAACUGAAGAUAAAACAGAACAACUACCAAACCUUUCAAGCUUGACGAAGCCAUGAGAAUUGAUAGCUCAGGCUCUGAUACCAAGUAAAAGUUUCUAAUCUGUUUGGUAAGUAAGAAAAUGAGAGAAAAUGAAAGAAAGAACAGAGAUCAUCUAAGAGCUGGAUUUGAUAAGUAAAUAUGAAUCAUCCAUUCAUUAGCUGAUUGCAAAUGUAUUUAUACAAGUGAUGGUUGUCGAAGCCAACAAAAAUAAAUUCCUACUAUAAAUAAAUUGUGUAUAGUGAUUGAGCAGGGUCGUGUCCACAGAGAUCGGUAAUUAUUUAAAUCCUUUUGAAACGUAAAACGUAAAAUGGGGGAAUUGUUGACAAUAAUAAAAAUCAAAUUAAAAUAACAAGAAUACAAAUUAAAGUUGUAAUUCAAAUUGGAGAAAGCUCUGGUUGAAGGAAUUAACUCAGCUUGAUUCGACUACUGAUCAUUGAUUCAAAUAUAGAUUAUUAUUACUUAUGAAUAGACCGGUUAUAGCUACUGAGACCCUCUAAUAGCCAAUCUCUCCUUAACUAGUCGAUAACCAAGGUAUGACCGUUGGUUAUUUCCCUAAUCAAUAGACAACCCUAGAUACGAUCAUAGGAUUUAAUCAAUUGACAACCUGAAAGACCAGAGAGACCCAAAUCCUAAUCAACACAUACGAUGAUUCAUUUAAAUUAGAUUGUUUAUUCUCAUAACACAACUCACUGCUAUGUUAUUCGUCACAAACAUUAAAAGCUUCAUACGAUGAAUCCUUUAAUUAACAAUAGAUUAAGUUGAUAAUUAAAUAGUGGCCAAUUACCUAAUUAACAAACAUAAUCAUGAAAAUAAUUCAGAGAAUAAACAAAUACCCAAAAAGUAAUAAAACAAUUAAAGUAUAAAAUAGAUCUCACAGUAGUGAUGAAUCAAAACUUCAUUAUCCUUCAACCAGAAAAAUAAGUUUAGUUCUUCAUAGAGAGAAGAGAAAAGUUUAGAUCUAGGGUUUCUCUCUUUUUCUCCAAUCCCCAUUUUUCACAAUAGAUUCCUCCCUUAAAUACUCUCUCUCUCUUCUCUUUUAGAAUUCUAUUUAAAAUAAAAUACUAAUAUCUGAAAUAUUAAAUUCGUAAUUACAAAAAUAACCAAAAAUACAAAACACGUUAAACUAAAAACUGCAGGUCCGCAGUUGACAGCACGUGCCCACGCCUUAUCAACAAAGUUCUUCUGACGCUCAUAAUUUCUCCAAGAGAACAAUCAUCCUUAAACAUCAUCUUGUAACUCAAUUUUAUCACCAAUCAAUAGAAUUGCACCUACAAAAGUAAAACACAAGUAAAUCACUAUUAUUAAGUGCAAAACAUCGAUAUUAAGGGAAGUAAACAAUGCAAAACUAGUGCAUAAAUUGCACUCUAACAACAAGGUUCCUGAACAUUUCAGAUUCUAUAUGCUCGAGCUAAGCACCUGAGAGUUGAGCAGUGUGCACUAACAAACUGCUAACAAAAUAACUAACUCAUGCCAGCUCAGCUAACACGUCAGUAACUCUAACUAUCUUGCUUAACAAACUGAAACAAUAACUAACCAUUUUAACUAUCUUAACAAUCCCAAUAAUUUCUCCAUUUGUGUACUUUUUUGAAUCAUAAUCAAAUGGAUAAAUGUUGCAACUAUUUUUUUAGAUAUUUUCACUUUAGGAUGUCAGCCCGAGGAAGUACGGGGGUCUGAGUUAUUCAACUGAAAAUGUCGGCCAAGUUCUUGCCAUCUCAAGUGCAAAACUGAAAAUGUUACUCGUUCUUCUUAACUUGUUUUCUCAUGCAUCAACCCCACAAAACUGCUCAUUGAAGGGGUAAAAUUUUGAACACACCAUGUGGCAUUUAGACCAUUUGAUAGUUUGUUUCAAACAUAUUUGUUUAUAAAAUACUUUUCUUCAUGGAUUUGGUUACGUAAUUGUCUAUGUAUGUACAGGUUUUAUCGAUACCUCUUUUGACAAGUUACAUAGCAAUGUUAUCUGGGUUCAGCCGUGCCUUAUUGAUAAACUGUGCUUCUGUAAUGAAGAAUGUUUUAUCUGUAAGUGGAUAUCCUAAUCGUUGAUCCAUAUCCAUAAGCAAGUAUGUAUAAAAUUAUUUUAUGUCUUUUUUAUUAGAAAUGUUGUAAUUCUUUUUUACUCUUCCUGAAUUAUAACAGCAGGUGUCUAUAAUAACUGGAUUGUUCCUUCUGCAAAACAGAGCAGUGGUAAAUAUUUUUUUCUUUUGUUUGUCUAGUACAUUUCCAUGAUUUCAGCUUUUUCAAAUUUUGUAUGUGUCAAAGUUUAAAUUUAAUUUGUUGGUUUAUGGCAACAACAGGAACAGAAUCAAAGAGGAGCUGCCAAUGGACUGCUAUGACUGUAGAGUCGCUUACCAAAACUGCUGGUUCAGCUGUAGGAGGUGCUAUGUAGGCGUCCUAUUGAUUUUGUAAAAUUAUAUGUAAAUGAUGUCAUAAUUUUUAUUGUCUCCCCCACCCCCUCUCCCCAAAAAAAAAAAAAAAUUAAAAAAUUAAAAACUAAGGCAUGAUUAAAUUGAUCAUUUGUUUGGUAACAACUUGAUUAAUCGGGUUCUGGCAGAUUUUCUUGGUCACAAAAGCGUCAAGAUGCUGGUUUCCUCCCAGGUAUGAUGAUUUACUAAUGAAAUUUAUCACUAGUAUGUGAAUUACUUGGUGCUAAUUAACUUAAUCAGCUGCUUAAAUUAAAGUGCAGGUAACCUUAUUUUUUUUUUCUUUUUACAAUAAUACUCUUGGAAUAAUAUUUCUGGGAAUAUUAAUGAAAAAUGGUAAUUCAUCCAGCCAGCCUUAAACAAAAUAAAUAUUAAUAAAAACUUUUAUGUUAUUAUUUUAGUUUUAGGACUAAUUUCGUAAAUUAAAUUUUUUAUGCAUUUAUUAGUAAGACUGCUUUAAGAAUAUUAAACAUUACUUUAAGUUGGCUGAUAUUAAUUUAUUUAUAAAUAAUUAUUAGCAAGAUUGUUGUAAAAGUACAAAAAAUACUAGUUAUUUCAUAUUGAUAUUUAUUGAUUAAUUUGGCAAUUAACUUUUUUAUAAAUAAAUUAAUUAAUUUAAGAAUAUUAUUGCCAAGAAAUUAUUGUAAAAGUAAAUAAAAUUUAAGGAAAAAAUGCAACAUAUUUAAUAUCAAGGUAUAUUGAGGUAUUUUUCAAAAUAUAAAGACAAAACAAGCACUGAAAUUAAAAUACAGAUACCAAACAAGCAUUUUCUCUCUUAGAAAAUUUUAUAUUUUAUUAAUGAAAGUCUAAAUAACAAAAUUAGGGUUUUGGACUCCUUUUAAACUAAGCCUAAAUAUCACGAAUUUACCAAUAUAGUAAACCUAAAAUAUUACUGCAUAAUAACAUUCUCCUAACUGAAAUAAGAUAAAUACUACUUCAAUUCUAUAUCUAAAUGAAAAAAAGAUAAAAAUCUUGAAAACAAUAGGAAAAUAGAACUUAAACUUGUAAACUAAUAUGAAAUAAAUAGAAUUCUCAAUCGAACCACGAGGCUAAUGCGGUGCUACAGUAUUAGAUUAGAUUUCCCUCAUUGCUAACUUCGAAAUGGUAUAUUAUACACCCUAUAUAGGUACUUAUAGCUAAGGGUGGGCAUGUGUUGGUUUGGGUUAGGUUUUAAGUCAAUCCAAACCAAACCAUAAAAUUUUGGGUUCAACCCAAAUUAACCCAAAUAUUUUUAACCCAACCCAAACCAACCCAUUUGGGUUUGGUUUGAAUUUUAUAAUUAAAAUAUUUUUUAUUUUAAUAAAUUUAACUAUAUCAAAUUAUAAUACUUAUUAAUUAAUAUUAAUUAUUAAAUUAAUAUUAAAAUACGAAAAAAUGUAGUGGAUAAAAAUUAUGAAUAAUGGAUUUUACAAUAACUUUGUUCUUAAAUAUUAACCAUAUUACAACAUAAAUUCUACCAAUGUCAAUACAAAUUAAAGUAAGAUAAGAUAUCUCAACUCAAGUAUCAAAGCAAUCCAUCAAAAUUAAAUUAUUUAAUUUUAUAAAUUUAAAUCUUCCGAGAAAUAAAUCUAAAAUUUAUUGUAAUUAGAAAAAAUGCCAAAAUUUUAAAUGCAGUAAGAAAAAUUAGACAUGAAAUCUAAUUAGGUUUAAAUUUAAUUAAAAAAUAACAAUAGAAUCAUAUUUUAUUUGAUAAAAUCUUAUAAUCAAUUACAUUUUUAAUUUUAGUAAGUUACAAUACAAAUAGGAUUAUAAAAUUAUAUUAGAGGAUUUCAUAAAAAUAUUGUUUGAGUAAUUUAUUAAAAUGUUAAUUUAGUCUUUUAACUCAAGUUGAGACCGUAAAAAAUUGUUAUAUAAUAGUGUAUUGUACAACCAAUUGCAUAUGUAUUUGCCCUAUGCAGCACUUCUAUUAUUAUUAUAUAAUAAUAAUUAGUAGUAGUAUAAUUACUAUAUAAUAAUAAUUAUUAGUAGUAUAAUUAUUAUAUAAUAAUAAUUUUAAUAAAAAAUUAUUAUUAAAAUAUUGAUUUAUCCUUUUAUUUUGUUUAAUUUAUUUUUCAUUAAUAUGUUAUUUUGAAUUUGUUCAUGACCCAUGGGUAAACCAUACCCAAGCCAUUGUAAAAUAAUUUCUUUCAUAAAAAUCCAAAUUUAACUCAUUUCAUGAUUUAUCCAACCCAAACCAUUUUAUUUGGUUUGGGUUUGGGUAAACCCAUGGGUUGUGGGUUUAUGCCCACCCCUACUUAUAGCUCAAGUUAUUACCUUAGAGAGAUACCCUACGCAUCCUACACAACCAUCCACUGCAUCAAAGUCGUUCCAAAACAGUAGUUCACAGUUGGUACUGCACAUGAUACUUGUUUCUCCUUUUGCAUCUACUUUUGUUGUUAACAUUAAUUUCAAUAGCAGCUCAUUAUGUAUGCAACAUUUCAAAAUUAAUCCAAAAAAACAAAAAUUAGUUCAGCUGACCAAAUUUGAAAGCAUGGAUUUGCUGUCGAUUAAAAAUCGUUUUGUAGGGAAAAUUUUUGGAUUGCAAUUCUCAUACAAUACAUAGAAUUAUCAUAAUCUAUAAAUUGUAUUUUUGCUUUUCUACGGUAGUAAGUCAAGAAUCCUACUUGUAUUUUUGCUUUUCUACGGUAGUAAGUCAAGAAUCCUUAGUGACAAUUUAAAUUGAAAAAAUAAAAUCAUAAAUAAGAAUUAUUUGAUAAGAAUUAAAAUAAUUGAUAAAUAUUUGAGAGGAGCAAUUUUGGAAGACUCGAUUUCUAAUAGGAGGGGAAUUUGAAUUUUACAACCUUCCGUGAGGAAUCCAAAAUGCACAAUUUGAUGAAAAUUAAAUUUCAAUAGAAAUUGAAUUCCCAUACAUUAGUGAAAACCAAACAACAGAAAAGUGAAAGGAAUUUGAAUUCAUUUCCUUCCCGUCUCAUCCCUCCAACUAAAUACCAUCGAUACCCAAAGGUAUGUGAUUGGGAUUCCAUACUGAUCAGAAUGGGAUUUGUCCAUAUUAUUAGGACCAAUUUUAAAAGCAGUCGGAGUUUAAAAUUGAAAUUAAUCCCAAUUUUUUAUUUGGGACUAGAUAAGAAUUUAUAUUGGAACUCCAAUUCUCCCAAUUAUUUUAGUUGAUAAUAUGUUUAACAUUAUUAAUUGCAUAUUAUUUAAUUAUCAGUAUAUAAUAUUCUUUAAUUUUCCAAUUUUAUAGGAUUAGACACAAAAUUGAUUAUGCCUUCUGAAAUUUAAGGGUUAUGUCAAUUGAACAGAAAACUUGGAGUUGAACUUUUGGAUGUUUUUGUUGAUUAUCAAUUUAUGCAUGAAUUUUUGUACGUUUACUUUGGUUUAUUAUUGUUACUUUUAGACAUUUUUAUUGGUUUGAUUUAGGGUCAUUUUGGUAAUCUUGUAAUUUUUAAAAUAGUUACAGUUAGCUAUGCUAUAGAAAUUGAUAAAUCGUGAAGAGAAUCAGCUGAACAUUUAGUAAAAUUUAUUUUUAAAAGUACUUUAGUUUUAAAAGCAGUUGUAUGUGUUUCGUAAAUCUUAUUUUUAAACAGGUGCAAGAAUAUAAAUAACUAAAUUGGACAUAAUGCUAAAUAAAAUUUAUUUACACAUUUACAAACAUGUAUAUAAAAUAUUUUUAUUAUGUACAUAUAAUUAUUGAUAACUAAAAUAAAUAUUUUAUAUUAUUAAAUUUUAUUCUUUAUUUUGUUAUCUCAAUAUAAUUGGUAAUAAUAAUAAUCUCUUAAAGUUAAUGAUUUUAUUUCUUAAUUAAUAAAGAUAAUUCUGGAUUUUUAUUAUAGAAUGAGGAUAUAUAUAUAUAUAUAUAUAUAUAUAUAUAUAUAUAUAGAAUUGGAUUAAGUAUAAAAGUGAUUUUCAAAAUCAAAUUUUGAAAAACUAUUCCUUCCAUACUUCUCAAAAUCCUCUGUAUGAUGAGAUGAUUUUUCCAAAAGUAAUUGCUAAAAAAUUAUAAAACACUAAAAAUUAGGUUUUAGUUUUUAAAAUCACUUUUGAGCUUCCCAAAAACAAGCCUAACGGGCCUUUAUUUGGGUGGUGUAGGAACUUAUAACUUUUGGAUCAUUUAGUUUUUAUUGGUUUGAUACAAUUGUUACACUAAAAAUUGAAUGUAUCUUAAACCCCAAACUUCUUCUUCUUCUUUUUUGAUUGCACAAAAUUAAAAACAAUAGUGAACGCAUUCUUUAAUAAACAAUAAGUAAUUACUAAAAUUGUGUUAAAGAAUUUAGUUGAAACAUAAAUUGAUUUCAAUGUUGUAUAUGCUAAAUUUCUUAAAAAUUUUCUUUCACGGUCUGCUGAAUAGUUUUAUUAGUAUUUUUAUUAUAUAAAAAUAAUUGAUUUAAUUUUUUAAAGAAAUUUAUUAGGUUCAUGUAAAUACGUUUUUGUUAUUUAAAAAGUGUACAAAGUAAAACUUAAUUUUUUAAAUUUAUUAGAUGAGUGGAUAAAAUAAUUGAGUGUUCAUAGUAAAUUUUAAGUAUAGAUAGUCAGACCCUAAUAUUUUUAAUAUAUGGAAAAUUUGAAAAUAUGUUAAUGAGAAUUAAAAUGAUAAUUAAGGGAGGCAUUCGAGACAUUCAGGAUUGUUAGGAUAGGACAUGAUUGUGAGCGGUUUGAGAUUGGCCCUAAUUUUGAUCACAAAUAUAUAAGCAGGAUGUUUAUCCAUACUUACAUUCCAUUUGAUAAUUAAGAUGAGAGUGGAAUUGUCAAAUCCCAAAUUAUCCCGGACCAUUGCCACCAAAGGUACUCUCACUAAUAAUAUCUAAAGAAAAAUCUACAUCUAUUUCAUACUUUUUUUUUAAACGGAAAGAGCCCUUAUGGGGCUUGAAAUAGUAUCCUAAAUAAUAUUCAGAAUAUCAGGCCAUGACUGGGUUUGUAACAAACAAAUAUUACAUAGUUGGGAUACGUAGUUACUAGUGUCCCAAUUUAUGUAGUAUCUAUCAUUUAGUACACAUAUAAAGUGUUUGGGACAUGAAAUAGGGUGACCAAGAUAAGGUGUUUGCUCAUACAAUAUCGUGCUCUUCUCAAAGUAAAAAGUGAAAAAAUAGUUGAUAGGCUACUAGGAGUUUAUUUGGUCACCUCGAGCACAUCAUCUCGACCAGGAUAUUAUUUGGUGAUCUCGAGCACAUCAUCUUGACUAAGAGAUUAUUUGGUCACCUUGAGUAUAUCACCUCGACCAGGAGAUUAUUUGGUGACCUCGAGUAGAUCAUCUUGAUCAGGAGGUUACCAGGAAGCACGACUCAGUCAAAACAAAUCUCACUUAUUUUCUUCGAAAUAUUAGGGAUCAUAUUCUUAGUGGGCUGAAAAUUAGUGAUUUUCUUAAGAGUUUUAGGUGAGAGGAUAAAAACCGCUAUAAUUUGCUAUAAAAACCCUGGGAAGGGAGGGAAAUAGGGAGAUUCUUUUUAUCUCUCUCUCUUUGGGUGACUGAACCCAUGGGAUCUUUUUCUCUCUACCACUGGGAAACUUCUCUUUCUCUCAUGAUUUAUUUUUCUUUAAGAUUGGUUAUUUUUUAUUCUUUUCCCAUAAAUUUACUUAAAAGCUUUUUGUUUAAAGUAUUCAUAAUUAAGCCGCGUGAAUUGUGGUACAAAUUUUUCCAAGUAGACCUAAAUCGCUGACUUGAGCGUCGGAGGAUUUUCUUUAAGAUUGAUUAUUGUUUCCAUAAAUUUGAACCAAGAAGGAUGACGCGAUAAAAUUUGUUUUUUAUUGUAUGGUUGAUUUCAUAUCUCAUGCACUCAUUUCUUAAGAUAAUUAGAUUUCAUCUUUUGCAAAUGUGGAAAUAUCAAUAAUGAUCAAUCAAAACGAUCUCAAAACCUUUCAACGCGACAUAUUUAUAAUACAAUAUUGUGAAAAUUACACCAAAAAUUUAAUUUAUGAUAUAUUAUUAUCCCACCAGCACACAGAAAUGAAUUCGUACAAAUCUAAAAUACUUAGCAAUUUUCAAAUAGAAUUUUAAAUUUAUUUCCAGUUAGAAAACUAUUCGCUGGACUCCGUAUUACUAGCCACCAUCGUAAGCCUAACCGGUUGCCGGCGAACGGCGUAAAACACCAGCCAUCUUCUUCUUCAUCAUAUUCUCCUUUCAUCUUUUGAGUUAAGCCUGUGAUUAUGAGUUUCUUCUCUUACUUAGCUUGUAAUUAUAGAUUUUGAUUCUUUUUAAUUCGUAUUGUAGCCGUUAUUGUCAAUUUUUGUCCCGCCAGCAAUAUUUUUUUAUUCCUACAAGUUGAAAAUGGAUUCAUUUGAAUUACGAUUGAAUUUAGCUUUAAUUUCAAUAUCCAUUCUAAUGUUUUGCUAUUAGAUUUACUUUAAUUUUAUGUUUAAAGCUUCUACAAUGACUAGCGGAGCUUGGGUUUUAGUUUCAUUUUCUGUAACUUGUUUUAGUUUAUCUUGUAUGCUCACCAAGUGCUUGUUAUAUUGUCUGAUAAUUUAUAUACAUUGCUGAUUCUAUAUUAAUAAUGUUAUGUUCUAUUUUCAGAAAUUAUAAUACAAAAUUUUUUACAAUGGCGUGCAUCUACAAACUGGAUUGACUCGUAGAAUAAGAGCUUGGAGUAGUGUUAUGUUCUUGAAUAAAUGAAAGUUCAUAUUGUGUAAGAGCAUGUAGAUGUAAAGCAUCAUUACCAUUUCUAUAAAGGACUUUCAUUCUGUUCAGAUGCUCUUCUUGAACAUUGAAAGGUGCCUCGUUCAAGUCCUAGCUAUAACUACUAGCUUUGAUUAAUUAAGUUCCUAUACUAGCUGAAACAGAUUUAUUUAAUUAAUUAAUUGUGUAUGUACUGAUUAUAUUGAAAGUAUAUGAAUUUUUUUUUUUUAACAUGAAUGACUUAAAAACCUAAAGGAUAUGUGAAAUUAUGCUCAUUUCACCUGAAUGAGCCUAUUAAUACUUUUAUGUCUAUGAUUCUCAAUAUUGGCUUAAGCAUUUCAGUUCAGUGGUUUACCUAACAGAGAAAAAAAUUUAAUAGAAAACUUCAGAGUUCUAACAGAAAUAUAGUUCACUAUGCAGAUAUAGUUAUUUUAUUUUAUAUAGUCAUUAAUUUUUGCCAUGGUUUUUUGUGUUUAUGAGUUUGAAAUAGUGGGAUUUGGUGUACCUUAGCAUCUUUUGAAAAUUCUCUUUAAGUGUGGCCAACAGAAAUAUACAUAUAAUCAAGUUUCUUAAUCCUGUAUAUUAGUUUUGGGUAUGAAUGUUCCUAUUCUAGUUCUAGGCAAAGCUUCUUUGUUUUGGUCUUCAGAUUUCCAGUAGGUUAAGUUAAUCAACUAUCAUAACUGGCUAGCUAGUUAUUGUCUGCCCUGGCGCCAUUACCCAGGCCAUUAUAUUGCAUAGCAUAAGGAAUAGUGAUUAGGUGAUUAUUAGUGAUUUGUUGAGCUUAUUAUUGACCAAACAAAUGUAUUCGCCUUUGGCCACAACUUAGUUUGAUUAGUUAUUAGACCAUAAAGAGCCUUGAUCUAUUCAUUGGCUUUAUUAUUUUUAUUUGGUUUUUCUUUCAACAACAUUGUUGAUAUCUUAUAAAAAUAUUCAGUGGUUUUUAAACACCUAAUCAUUGGCUAUAUUAAGCUAAUUAAAACUGAGGCUUUGGAUCAAUUUCUUCUAACAAGAUACAAAUGAGCAAAACCUUUCUCCUCUAAGUAAAUUUUUUUAAUAUCCCUUGAAUUGUAAGGAUCUGGAGGCGUGAAUCCUCUUGAUUUUUUUUAACACUGUCAAUGUUCUUUUUAUUCUGAGAAGGAAAUAAAAGGUUUUAUCUUUCAUACCCGAAUAGUAAGCUGGCCUUGUCUUAACAUGGCCUCCCGAGGACUUGCAAGAUUCAUAGUGUCCCCCACCCCAAAAAAAAUAUAAAAAACACAAAUAGGAAGAUUUUGCAAGAUUCACCACCAGGUUUUUUUUAAUUUAUUAAUUGUGUGUACGUGCUAGUUAUAUGUUGAAAGAAUAGGAAGAAGUAUUUCAACAUGAAUGACUUAAAACUUAUUGCUCAGUAAACAUAAUCUGCAUCAGUGCGAAAAUGUAUUUAUCGUUUGUAUUUUUUAUGGUUUUGCUAAAGAAAUGAUAUGUGAAAUAAUGCUACAUUGCAUCAGGAAUAAAUUGAAGAGACUUAUGAUAUUUAUGUGUUAUUCAAAUUUCAGAUUCAAUUUUAAACUUUUGAUACGUGCAUUGAAAGCUUAGACUUGUUUAAGAAAUUAUUAAUAGACACAUGUUUUAUUAGUGUCAUCUUUGGAUGAUAGUGAGGAUCAUAUGUCUAUUAAUAAUUCUUGAAUUGUCCAGGCUUGGACAGUUUGGGAAUGCAUAGUUCACUCUGGUAGUUAGUAGCUGAAGUUUUUUCCCACGUAAAAAUGGGUUUUUCGGUAGCUGCUCCUCGUGUUCUCUGGGUACGUACUAGGUGAAUGGGUGUCAUGUGUUGUUUUGGCAUAACGCAUAAACACUUAUAUAGCUAUGUCGUGUGCUUGGAGAAUUAUAGGGAGAUGGUGCCGAAAUUUUUAUAAACGUGGAAGAAAACUUUAGGUACUUGAGAUUGAAGAAACUUAUGCAUUCUUGAGUGGGAUAUGUAGGAUUACUUACCUUUUGUAAAUAUGAAGGGAAUGUUGGAUAUAUUGGGGAUAGUGUAGGAGCUGAGUUGGAUGAAUGUAAUUGGUGAUGAUUUUGCUGAGCUGACCUUGGUCUUGAGCUUGUAAUUUUGUUUGUAAAUGGAGUGCUAUCUCCAAUGUUGGUUUAUAAAAAUGUUUCAGGACUUGCUGAUCUAAUUUUUUGUUUCUAGGUUACAGGCUUUAUAUAUCUGUAAUUGAUAGCCAAGUGAAGUUCUCAGCACUUGGCAAGGAUAUUUCUUUACAGAAGGUAUUGGAAACUGUUUUUUACAUUAAUUAUCGUUGUUUAUAUACUUUGAUUGUCACAUCUUUUUCUCUGAUUCUUGUGGCUUUGCUUGCUUUCAUAUAUGUAAAUUCUAAUGAAAUUAACCAUAAAAUUGUAAAAUGAUCUUUUUAUUAUAUUGCAAAACUGUGCACACACGAAAAUAUCUUGUUUAGUAGUGGAAAUGAAGAACUAAUUUUUGUCGCGCAUUAAAAGGAGAUAGUCAUGGACAAGUGUUGGGUUGGUUUGCCAAAUAGAUAUCCAAGUCAUAUACUGAUGGCGUUGAAAAAAUUAUAGAUUUUGUAUUUGAGAAUGUUGUUGGUGGUACAAGAAUUUAUUGUCCUUCUUGAUAAGUUUUGUAAUCUAUAUUUCGUUAUAAGGGAAGUGGCUGAUGAUGAUAUGGUUGGAAUGAUACAGUGCAUCACGUAAUCAAAUGUUCAAGUUACACGCAGCAUUGUUAUGAACUAUCAGUGGCAACUUGUCUGGGUGGAGUAUUAAAGGUAAAUAAGCAUGUCUUGUUUGCCAACAAAGCACUGGAUCUAAUUGGUUGAUACAUAGUAGAAAAUUUUGUCACGUGGGUCACCGUCGAUUUUUCCCAACAAAUCAUAGGUUUCGAAAAUAUAGUGUCUUUGAAUAAAACUAGAGAGUAGGGACAAGCACCUUCUCAGUUGUCUGGAACUGAAGUGAAAAAGCAGUUUAAUAUAUUUACUGAGUAUAAGAUUGAAGACUUGAAAAGAGAAGAACGAAUAAAAUGAGAGAAAUGAUAAGAUUACUUGGAAGAAGAACUGCAUUUCUUAAGAUUACUUGGAAGAGAAAUGAUGUGGAAGAUGGCUAUAAAAGAUAAAAGGAAAGGCUUAAAAAGAAAAGCCAUGCCUGUCAAAAACAAAAAAACAAUUGCAGCGUCAAAUUUAUAACACAAAUCAAAACGGUGCGUUUGAGAGUGUAUAAAAUACAUUUAGAGUGGGAGUUGUGUUGUUGCUUGAAGGCAGAAUGUUUGUGAGAUAUUUGUCGACGAAGCCGAAACCAAAGAUGAAGCCCAUCAAAAGCAUUUAUAGUGUAAAAAGUAUAUUGUGGAAAUGUCUGGUCGGUAAUACAACUAUUUCUUGUAGUGUAAAUGAUACACUAAUUUGAAUUUAUAUGCUUUUAUGAUUAUUUGAUUAUCAAGUGGUGAUCAUAUGUGAUGAUAAACUUAGGUCGUACCUUUAUAUUUAUUGCCUUAGUUUUCUAAGCGUUCACAUUUUGAUGAGUAAAUUAAGGAUUUCAAGAUGAAGUACAUAAUUAGAUUAAUGCUAAGAAACUGAAGUUUGAUCGAUUGAAAACGAAAAUAAUAAUAAAGGUAAUUAAGAAAAUGAACAAUAUAUGCAGAAGCGGUCCUUAUUAGUACUUCUAGAUUUUCUCUUGGGCUUUCCUUAUUAUUGUUAAAAAAUGACACGAAGAACUUUGAGUUUAAAAAUCUGGCCCUGAUGCCUGGUAGCCCUUCAACAUAUGAAGAACCAGAUGUUUUGAUGAGAAAAUGACAAGACCAUUUAUCAAAUUUCUUGUGGAUAUAAAUACAUACACAUAGACGAGGCCAACCUCCUCAAAUGAGAAUCAGAGUGAUUACAAGACCUUGCAAUGAGACAAUGAUACACCAUCAAAUGUCAAAAUACAAUAGAAAUUCACGACAUAUAUAUAAUAAAAGACCUCUCAUUGAGUCAUAUAUAUUGAGAAUAAAAAUGUUAUAAUACAUACACAGAGCUUAGUUAGAAUAAAAUGUCUUUGAACUUGCGAUGAUCAAACAAAGGAAACAGACAGGUUGUAACUCACACUAUCACAGAUGUAGCGACACGAUGCAGUGAAUCACAAGAAGAUCACGAAGAUGGAAACGGGAACCCCUCAGAAUGUAAACUUUGAAUAGAGGAAAAAAGAAAAACGUCCUUAUUUCAAAUUGUGCACAGAAGAAGAGUGACUUAAAUCUUCAUCAGUAUCCAGGCAUUCUGCAAUCAUAAAGUAGAAAAAUUUUAACAGUAACAGCAGAGAAAAUAUUAUGAAUAUGCUAGACCAAAUUAGUCCCUUUUUUGGUUUGUGAAAACUUUAUUUUUUAUGAAUACGCUAUCCAAUAUUUUCAAUCAAUAUUUCCACAAUAUAGUUGUUCAUAGCUAACGUUUGAUGGUUUAACGAUUUGUUCCAAGAAUAAUGAGCUGAUUACGUUUUGUUUUAUUUUUAUUUUAUUUUUUUUAAUCCGAUGAAGGAUAUUCAGCUGUGUCUUUAAUUAUGCAUUCAUAGGGAAGAACAUUUUCUAAGUACUUUCCUUGCCUUCUAACUUUCCAAGGAAAGAUAGGUGUGAAGAAAAGCAAACCCAAUGAACAAACAGAGCACAAACUAAAAUAAUUAGCAAAUAAAGAAAGGAAAAAGUAUGCACGUUUUCAAGGAUUUAAAAAAUACGAAGGCUUUUAAUGAAAUUUUAUCAUAAAAAAGUAUGCAAGGAGUUAUAAAAUUUUAGAAGACGAGGGGAGCUCGCAAAAAAAAAAAAGAAAAAAAAAAGAAAAAGACUCAAAUUAAACUAGACUAAAAAGACAUUCAAUUACGCAAAAUCUGUCCAUAAAAGUCUGAAAGGAUCAUUAAAAUUGCAUUGCAAAUUUAACAGUAAACUGAGGAACCCAUUCUAAAUAAUUCAGAUGAAAUUGCGAAACAAACCAUGGGAUUAAAUAAAUUAAAUAAAAAUUAAUUACCAGUUGAGACUUUCUUCUAAAAAUUCGCAACUCCAAGUCAUAAGAAGCCUAUGAAAUUAGUAGUACAGCGUAGAGUAUGACGACGACACCGCCAACAGCUGAAAGUAAAAUUCUUAUUCAUCAAUUUAAACUUACUUUAUAACAAAUAUCUUAUCUAUAUUGUAUUUAAGAAAACAAAUUUUGUAAAAAUUUAUCAUGGGAGAUAGAGAGUAAUAUGUACAUACGUACCUUCUCAGCAUGUAAUUGUUGUAUGGUUGUGUUUAGAUCAUUAUUAGCCCAGCGCCGUUGAUCCGCUGUCUCUCCAUAGCAGACGUUUACUCUUAGAGGCGUGAUUGAUUCUCCUGUAGUGAAAAUCUUCAUCUUGGGACAACCAAUCACCCACAACUCUUGCAAAGAUGGGAAUUUGAAGGUGUAAUUGGCAGAGCAGAAACUUGUGAGGCUGUCUAAAUCACGCAGUUCCAACGUCUUCAAUUUGCGGAAAACAAUCUCUUCUUUUUCAACCCCGUCUUUGUCAUUUAUUACCACCUCUGUCAUUGCUCUGCAUCCAUAUAUACUCACUUUGACGAGUUGCACUAGAGUUUUUGCUGUGGAGGAUGUUACCAAGUGUAUCAAUUCCUUGCAACCGAAAGCUACAAGUUCUGUUAGGUUCCGAAAAGAUACCGAUGAUGAUGGCAAUAGAAUUAACAGACUUUGACAAUGAUAUACUUUUAGAAUUUCAAGAUACUGAAAAAUGGGGCCAAGUUUGGAGUCUUGUUUGCACAGCUGCUUCAGAUGAUAGUGCCGGUGCAGCUUUAAUUCUUUUAUCAUUGCCAACUUCCCCACAUGUUUCUCUAAGCAUCCUUCCAUCGAAAAUACCUCUUCGUGGAAUGAAAAAUUAAGCAGUGUGAGUAUUUCGAGAUUGUGAAAUCUCUCCAGUACGUUCCAGAUUGGAAAACAAGCUGCGUCAUCUCCAACAAUCUCUAGUUGUUUAAGACUGCCAAAAAGGUGUUGUGGGAAAUCGGCCUGCAAAAUCAUCUUCACAUCUUUUCCACUUAGUGAUAGCUCCUUCAAGUUGGGUACGAUCUGAUCAUCAUCAAUCGUAAUAACUAAUGAGGUCAAUUGAUGAUCUACGGUCACAGGCAGUGACUUUAUAGUAUUUGUUUUAUAUUAUAUUUUUAAAAAAAUUGAAUUAUUGAUAAAAUUUAUUUUAUAUGUUAAUUUUAGAGGUAAAAAAGAAAUUAGGGAAAAAGGUUGAUUUAUACUGGCUCGAAAUUAUUUUAUUGCACAAUAAUAAAUUACUAAUUUAUUUUGUAAGUUCUUCUAUAUGGAAAGACUAAGGAUUCUUUUAUAAAUGUUAUACCAAAAAAAGUUCAUAUAAUUAUUAAUCUACCCCAUUGAUCUCUUAAUCUAGACUAGCAAAGAUUAUUGUAUAAUAAAAGUUUUCAAUUUAUUGAGUAUUAAUUUAUCGAUGCUUUGCCAUAUUUUUCAAAGUUAAAAAUAAGCUAUAGACAAAAAAUCUAGAAAAUGGCUUCAUACCUUUUCCAACGGCAAUGGGGGCUGUUGUGCAGGAAUGCCAAGUUGAUCAUUCUCAUUAUUCUGCAAUAAAUCUGCAGUGAAUAUCUUUAAUUUGUCACAACAAUGCACUGAAAGAACUUCUAGCGCGGGCCAUUCCGAAGUAUGCAUUCCAGGGUACAAACAUCUAAGUUUUGGUAGACCUUGGAGUCUCAAAGUGGUGAGCUGUGGAAAGACAAAAUAAGGGAUCACUUCAUCUGCUCUAUUCUCAGAAAUGAUCUCCUGUAAAUCCUCACAGAAGCGAACUUCUAGGUGUUGGAGCUGCUUAAGGCUUCCGAUCAUAGACGCUGAAAAUAUGUAUUUUAAUUUGUGACAACGCCACACAAUCAAUCGUGUUAAAUUUUGAAAGCGAGGAAACGUGACAGGAAAAUGAUUGUAGUGCCAAAUCUUGUCGACAUUAAUUUCAGAUAUCUCCAAAGCCUCCAAGUUAGGCAACGCAACCUAAAAGAAUAAGAAUUUCUGGUUAGAUCCAAUAUCCAUAUGGGAAGCACUUGUUGAAAUUUUCUUCUUUGAUUGCAAAUUCAUGCAAGUCAGAAUCAAUUUCCAACUGACAGCUGAGUAUGCAUUCUAAUUCAUACUACUUGUUAAGAGCUCAAUUAGUGAGCGCGUGAGAUUCUUUUUAUCCUUUUUUCCGUUUUCUUUCAAUUCUUUAAAUGAUUUAAUUAUUUUCCACGUAUGAUAUCAAAAGAGAACGCAUGAUAGAAUAAAGAAAAUGUUAGCCUACGCACCUUCUCGUUGAAAAGCAGAGUUGAAAUAUCCAAAGUGAUUUCGCUGGAGCAAUACAUAGUCGUCGAUUCCUCUUGCGACACUUGUCUGUUCGGUGAUGCUGAAGGAGUCUCCACCUCACGGCGGCAAAAACUUGUAACCUCAGGAAGAUUCCCCAGACUCAAAGAUCUUAAUUGAGCAAACUCUAUCUUCUCAAUUGCAUUAUCAACUUCUUCCCCAAUUGCAAAAAUCUCUGUUAUCUUGCUGCAAUUAACAACUGCAAUUCUCUCAAGUCUUGGAAGGCAUUUUGUAGUAGAGAGCCAAAAGAUAUUACUCAACUUAUCACAAUUAUAUGCUUCUACGGUUUUGAGUUCGUUGAAAGACUCUACUUUGAGCCGAUCAACACAUAUCCUCUCCAUGUUGAUCAAAUUGUGAAUGGUAAGUGACUCCAAAAGAGGAAAGGCAUCACAAGCGACCAUCUCCCUUGAAUCGACGAUACAAAAGAAGUCAGGAUUAUUUUGAACCCAGAGAAGCUUCAAUUGUGAAAAGCCCUCCUUGCAGCUUGUCCAACCAUAAGUAUUCAACGUUAUUGAUGCCCUGCAAUUUCAUGGAGCAAAUGUCCAUAAAAUCAAGCUUGAGCUUCAAUGAUCUUAAACUCUUGCGAUCACUGUUGAUCGAAAAGCGGGGCCGACUUUUAAACCAAUGUUGUCCAACACUCAUGGGAUGCAUGAAUAACCCAUUUCCAAUAGAUAUUUUGAACCUUUCGAGCUUUCUGGCCAAAAAACCUUCUGGUAAAAUAUUGUCACUUUUAACGUCAAUUUCUAGAGUGGUUAGCCGAGGUAAAUGCAUCAAUUCGUCAAGGCUAGCAUUACUUCUUUUGCUGUUGGCUCUUUCAACCUCCCAUUCAAUGAAGCAAUUACCCAUAUACAGCUCUUCUAAUCGAGUUAAGCUUGAUAUGAGAUUAGGCGCAAUAACUUUUAGAUGGAAACAAUUGGUUAAAUCUAACAAUCUCAACUUAUUCAAUUGACCUAGUUCUUCUGGCAACUGCAUAAUCUCAGACUUCAAAAAGCUAAGGACUUCUAGAUUCUUCAACUUCCCAAUGAUUGCUAUGUCCCCCAACGCACUUUGAUCCAGACAUAGUGUGUGAAGAUUUUGUAGAAGAUCAAUUGAAGAUGGAAAAGAAGAAAACUGCAUUCGAGUAAAAUCUAGAACUCUAAGCUUUUUCAUCCCUACAAAAAAGUUCUCAGGAAUAUUGAUUUCAAGAGAAGAAUCUUUGAGAGAGAUAAAUAAAAAUUCAAGGUUUGGGCAUUCUAAUCCUUCAGGAAAUUCACGAUUACUAUUAUUUCUUAAAGAGAUCGCAUUGCAUUUUCGAAGUGCAUCCUCAUCUGGCCAGUCCCACACAUCCUUAUUUCUCACCAAAAACACAUGUUGGUGGCGGCAUGCAAUUGAUAUUGCGACAUCACGAACAACAUCAUGCAUUGAAAAUUGUUCAUUGCUCUCACCCUCAAGCAACAAACAAGAGUGUCUAAGUUCAUGGACCAAUGCAUAUAAUUUGUCUCGUGCAUCUUCCAUCUUAUUGACUCCUUUAAAUAUACCCAAACCCAUGGAGUACUUAAACAAGUCCGAAGUAAGAAUACGGUUAUCCAUUAGACUACAGAGCAGAAAAAUUUUCUUGAGUUGCUCACCUUUUAAAUGGUUGAAACUCAGCUCAAUACUUGAAUAAGUCUCUGCAGAUACUCCUUCGAAGUUUACCAUUGAAGGCGUUCGGAGUUCUCGCAAGGAAUUCUUCCAUUCAUACUCUUGCUUCUCAGUGCCUUUGCCACUGUAGUCAAGGCAAUGGGCAAACCUCCACAUGCCCUGGCGACGUCUAUUGCUGUGGAUUUCAACUCACGAUUUUCAACAUCAUCUCCGGCCAUCAUCUUAAACAAUCUCCAGGCUUCUUCUUCAUUUAAAUUGUUUAUCAAAAAGUUGUCUUUAGAUCCCAUUUUUAAGAGGAGACUACGAUCUCUUGCUGUCAGCAGUAGUUUGCAGCCUUUAUGAUUUUCUCCAAAAGGAAUUGCAGUAGUCCCCAAAUCAAGAGGUUUCCAGAUGUUAUCCAGAAUCACAAGGAUCUUCUCAUUCUCCAAUCUUUCAUAUAGUCUACUAGCUCUUCUAGACUCAGCUUCCUCGCGCAACUCCAAGCCCAACUUCUCGGCAAUUUCCUGUUGAAUCUGUUUUAUGUCUGGAGUUUGCGAAACCUCUGAAAAGACCACCAUAUCAAAGUGCUUGUCUUCCAUAGCUUGCCUGGCGACCUUCUUCACCAGUGUCGUCUUUCCAAUGCCGCCCAUGCCGUACACCCCAAUGAUGCUGACAUCAACAUCGAUCAAUGCGUUUUUUAUAGCCUCCAAAGUAGAACGUCUUGAUUCGAAGGCCUCGUAGCCUUUGUGAGACUUGAGCCAAAUCUCCUCCGGAAUGGUACGGUAGGAAAUUCUAUCAUCAAAUCUCCCAGCUUCUUCUCGGAGUUUAAAAAGGGCCUCCUUCUCUGUUUCUGCUUUCUUUCCAUGCUGAUAGCGAGUAAUCCAAUUAGGAAACAGCCCCAUGAGACAUCGUUCAUUUGCUUUCUCUUCGUCUAGAAUGAAUUUGGCUGCCUGCUCAAUGCUCUUGUUCGCAUUAACCAGCCAUUUCUCAACCUUCUUUUCAAUCUUUUCACUUUUUCUUUCAGCCUCCGAAACUCUGUGCUGAAUGCUUUCUCUUUCAUCCUUGAGCCUAUCGAGUUCUGCCUUGAAAUUCUGAAAGUUGGCAGCGGAGUUGUACCAAUAACUAAAUUCGCGUUGUGCGUGAGGAGACAAACAGUUUACAACUCCUGGAACAAUGCUUUUCAAAAUGUCCAUUUUUUUUUCUUUUUUGGGGAAGUGAACGAAAUAGAAAUAGAACAGGGUCAACGGCCGCGCAAUUGAUAAUCAAGUAGAAGCAAAACAAGGCAAAGUUGAAAAAAGAAAUGAUAUUUGUACAAAACAAGGGAAAUCAGUGUAACAGAAGAGAAUCAAAGUGUUUAUGAGAUCAGAAAAUUGAAUCAAGAAAAGGGUUGCUUGAUCCAAUGAAAAUGCAAAGAGCUGAUGGAAAAAGGGGACAAAGAUAAAUAAGAAAACGGCUAGCACGAGCAGUGACCACGAUAAACAGAAGCAAAGUGUGUAUGAGAUCAAAAGACGAAAAUCAGGAGAGGUUUUCUUGACCGAGAAUUGAAGGCAAUUAGUAGGAGCUGACGAAUACGGGGAUCAAGAGGGAAAAAUUGCUUUUAAGCGAAUCUGAUAAAAUUAUUUCAAUACUCGUGGGCGACUCCUUUUUAAACUGCAGAAGGAAAAAAAAAAUUCUGAAUUUCAAUAUAUUAUUUUUUAUCCUAAUUUAUGUUAGGACUCGUAAUCUCGUCUCAAAUAAUUAAUUAGUAGAUAAUUUUUCUAACAAAUAUGUGUUGAAUAGAUAUAUUUCUUGACUAUGAGCAGGCUAGAGAUAUUUUAGCAUAGGAAUGAAAGUACAAGUUGUGUCAUAUUAUAAUUAUCAAUUGACCUAAAAAUGUUGUUGUGAAUUGAAAUUAUUUCUGUAAAAUAAAAGGAUUUGGGUCAUUGUUCGUUAUUUUCUGGCAAUAUUGUCUGGUCGUGACUCUUUGUUAAAUAUUAAAAAAAUAAAUUUAUAUUUAUUAAGUAUAAAAAAUAAAUAAACAAACAAAAAUAAAAGGAAAAGUUUAUACAUUACGUAAAAUAAUAAGAACAAUAUCAAUAUUUCACACUCUAUAAUUGAGUGAUGUGUUAUCCAACUGCCAUACAUUGGUCCCAAACAGAGACUUAAAUAUUAAAGUCCAAAGUUAUUGUGAUGAUGACUUAUAAUUGCCAAACUUGACAUACGGGUAAUCAUGCAUUAUAAGGUGCUGAUUUCUUCCGAUCGGAACCUUAUUUUUCAUUUACAAAUAAAUAAAUGAUGUGACUUCACGGUUGGCGGGGUCCUUUGUGUCAUUUGGGCAUUUCACUAAAUGAUUGAUUGUAGCAGGGAGAUUCCUGGAAGUUGCCAUUUGCCAAUGCUACUAACAUUUUCAAACUUGGAAAACCCUUCAAUCAAUCUUUUAGUGGUAGGCUCCGGUAGCUUGGUUUGAUUAUGACAUAUGAUUAUUUGAUAAUGAAGCUAGAGGAUGUAUUAAUAUAAAAUUUGUUUAUUGGUGUUGAAGUUAAUUAUCUCAUUAAUAUUAGUAUAAAAAGUUAAUUACUAAGAAACACAUAGCAGUAGUUAAUUGGUGUCAUAUUAUUAGGAUUCUGGGAUAUAAUUUUAUAUCAUAACUUUGUAAGUGUAUACUUACUCAUCAAACUAAUAAAAUUAUUUAAAAAUUUCAGUUGGAAAAAAUAAAUUAUAUUAUUUUCAUUUCAAAUAAUCUAUAAGUUAACUCAAAACAUAAUCAAGCUGAGAAUUAAAAUAAUGCUACUGUAUGAGAGGAUUUUUAUUUUUUCCCGAAGUUUCACUAGGAAAUUAUUGAUACAUAGCUUUAUUCGGAUCAUCUCAGUUCAAACGACAAAUAAUUGAAAGACUAAGCUAAAUAGACCAGCCAACAACUUUGUACAAGAGAGUUCAAAAAUUAAGGUCAUGGUAUUAAGGUGUUCUAUCUUGAAAAGUAUAGCGUAGUAAUAAAAUAAAAACUAAUAGUCUUUGGUAAGAUAUGACAUUUAAAUAAUAAUUUUCACAAAAAUACAAAGAAUAUUUAUAAAGUACUUCUAUAGUGAGGAGACCCUCACUUUGUUAAAGUGAAAAUAUCAAUAAUAUACAAAAGACAUAUAUUUUAACACAUUAAAAAUUGUAUUUUUUUUAUCUAUUGGUGUAUUUGAAUAUGUGUUAUUUAGUUUGUUAGUGAUAUCAUUACUUUGUUAAAAUGAGAAUGUCGUUACUAGAGAAUCAUUAUAUAUACAUAUAUAAAGUGCUUCUGCCCAAGACCUAGACUUUAUUAAAAUUUAAGAAAGCAAGUAUAUUUUAUAUGGUAUAAUAGUGUAAUAACAUCACACUAUUAUAUCAUAUAGAGUAAUAGUUUUUCAAACUUUAAUAAAGUUCAAGAUUAUAGAAUGAAUGAUUUUUAUAUAUUAUAAAUUUUUUUAUCAUAAAUGGAGGACAAAAUUAACAUAUUUUCAAAUUAUAAUAAGUAUUUAUCAAAUAAUUUAACAUUGCAAUUUCUCCUAACUAGUAUAGUAAAUAAUACGACCUAGGAGAUACAUUCAAAGCAUUUCAUAAGUUAGUUGUUAAUAAUAAAUGAUAUAUGCAGCUCCAAUCAUCAUUGUACGGUGAGUAAUUUCCAGUUAUAAAUAGAUAUUACUCCCUUCCCAGCAAUUUUUGAUGACUUAAUUUAGUGAGAUCAAAAUCAACAUUGAAUUUUUGACCAGCUGCCAACAACUUGUGAGCAGUUCACAGUGGGUACUGCACAUGAUGCCUGUUUCUCCUUUUGCAUCUAUUUUGUUGUUAACAUUAAUUUCAAUAGCAGCUCGUUAAUCCCAAUUGUUGAUUUGGGACUAGAUAAGAGUUUAUCUUGGAACUCCAAUUCUCCCAAUUAUUUUAGUUGACAAUAUAUUUAACAUUAUUUUUUUAACAUUAUUAAUUGCAUAUUAUUUAAUUAUCAGUAUAUAAUAUUCUUUAAUUUUCUAAUUUUAUAGGAUUAGACACAAAAUUGAUUAUGCCUUUUGAAAUUUAAGGGUUAUGUCAAUUGAAUAGAAAACUUGGAGGUAAACUUGUGGAUGUUUUUGUUGAUUAUCAAUUUAUGCAUGAAUUUUUGUACGUUUACUCUGGUUUAUAAUUAUUACUUUUAAACAUUUUUAUUGGUUUGAUUUAGGGUCAAUUUAGUAAUCAUGUAGCUUUUAAAAUAAUUACAAUUAGCUAUGCUGUAGAAAUUGAUCAAUCGUCAAGAGAAUCAGCUGAACAUUUAGUAAAAUUUAUUUUUAAAAGUACUUUUAGUUUUAAAAGCGUUGUAUGAAUAAAACUGUUACACUAAAAAUUAAAUGUAUUGCCCACUUGGGUAAAUAAAGCUAUAUAUUACAACUGUUACACUAAAAAUUAAAUGUAUCUUAAACCCAAACUUCUUCUUCUUCUUUUUGACUAACAAAAUUAAAAACAAUAGUGAACACAUUCUUUAAUAAACAAUAAGUAAUAAAUAAAAUCGUGUUAAAUUGCUUAAAAACUUUCUUUCACGGUUUGCUAAAUAUUUGUAUUAGUAUUUUAAAUAAAUAAAAAUAGUUGAUUUAAUUUUUUUAAAUAAACUUAUUAGGUUCAUGUAAAGAUGUUUUUGUUAUUUUAAAAAGUGUAGAAAGUACUCCUAAAAAAAAGCGUAGAAAGUAAAACUUAAUUUUUUAAAUUUAUCAGCUGAGUGCAUAAAUAAUUGAGUGUUCAUAAUGAUUUUUAAAGUAUAGAUAGUCGGACCCUAAUUUAAUAUAUGCAAAUUUUGCUAAUAUGUUAAUGAGAAUUAAAAAGAUAAUUAAGGGAGGCAAUCGAGACAUUCAGGAUAGUUAGGAUGGGACAUGAUUGUGAGUGGUUAGAUAUUGGUCCUAAUUUUGAUCACAAAUAUAUAAACAGGACGAGUUUAUCUCUACUUACAUUCCAUUUGAUAAUUAAGAUGAGAGUGGAAUUGUCAAAUCCCAAAUCAUCCCGGAUCACUGCCACCAAGGGUACUCUCACUAAUAAUAUCUAAAGAAAAAUCUACAUCUAUUUCAUACUUUUUUUUAAUGGAAAGAGCCCUCAUGGGGCUUGAAAUGGUAUCCUAAAUAAUAUUCAGAAUAUCAGGUCAUGAUUGGGUUUGUGACAAACAAAUAUUACAUAGUUGGGAUACGUAGUUAUAGUGUCCCAAUUUAUGUAGUAUCUAUCAUUUAGUGCACAUAUAAAAUAUUAAUCAGCUUAAUUAAUUUAUAAAAUUUAAAUCUAAUUAAUAAGUGAUACAUAAAUGCCAAGUGCAGUACUGUAUAUGCAAAUCAUGUUUGUGGAUCAUUACAAAACUGGCUCUUGAAAACAAGCAAGAAAGCUUAAUUAAGAACUUAAAACAAAAAGAAUUAGAUUGAGAAUAGUCGAGCCUUAUUUUUUCAAGAAUGGAGCUUAUAAAUCUUCAAGUACCAACAUACGCUUGGCCCAAUUGUUGUUACUAAAAUUUCAAUAUACAUAUAUAAGUAUGAUAUAGCAAAAAUUUGAUGGUACAUAUGUCGGAAUAUACUAGUUCAUGGGUGCAUUUGAUUAUUGUUUCCAUAAAUUUGAACCAGGAAGGAUGACACGAUAAAAUUUGAUUUUAUAGUAUGGUUGAUUUCAUAUCUCAUGCACUCAUUUCUUAAGAUAAUCAAAUUUUCUCUGGCAUCUUUUGCAACUGUCGAAAUAUCAAUUAUGAUCAAUCAAAACGAUUUCAAAACCUUUCAACGAGAUAUAUUUCUAAUACAAUAUUGUGAAAAUUACACUAAAAAUUUAAUUUAUUAUAUAUUAUUAUCCAACGAGCACACAAAAAUGAUUUCGUACAAAUCUAAAAUACUGAGCAAUUUUCAAAUAGAAUUUACUAUGUACUACAAGAAAAUAGGGUAUAUGUGACCCCUAAUAUGAAUGCAAAAGCAGCCAUUACGCAUAUCACUAACUUCUAACUUUGUAACUCCGAGUUGCUUUUGUUACCCUUUAUGUGACGGCCACACUGCUGUCACAUAUGUUACGAACCGCGUGACGGCGAAGAGCCGUUCGGUAUACUAAUAUUUUAGAAUUUUAAAUUUAUUUCCAGUUAGAAAACUAUUCGCUGGACUCCGUGUUGCUGGCCACCAUCGUAAACGUAACUGGUUGCCAGCGAACGGCGUAAAACGCCGGCCAUCUUCUUCUUCAUCGUAUUCUCCCUUCAUCUUUUGAGGUAAGCUUGUAAUUAUAGAUUUUGAUUUUUUUUAUUUUGUAUUGUAGCCGUUAUUGUCAAUUUUUGUCCCGCCAGCAAUAUUUUUUUAUUCCUACAAGUUGAAGCCCCUGUGUUCUUGUUCCAUUGGUGAGUUUGCUCACUCAAAUUAAUUUUGUUCUGCGGAAUUUACAAAGUUCAAAUGGAUUCAUUUGAAUUACUAUUGAAUUUAGCUUUAAUUUCAACAUCCAUUCUAAUGUUUUGCAAUUAGAUUUAAUUUAAUUUUAUGUUUAAAGCUUCUACAAUGAAUAGCGGAGCUUGGGUUUUAGUUUCAUUUUCUGGAUAACUUGUUUUAGUUUAUCUUGUAUGCUCACCAAGUGCUUGUUAUAUUGUCUGAUAAGUUAUAUACAUUGCUGAUUCUAUAUUAAUAAUGUUACGUUCUAUUUUCAGAAAUUAUAAUACAAAAGUUUUUACAAUGGCGUGCAUCUACAAACUGAAUUGACUUGUAGAAUAAGAGCUUGGAGUAAAUGAAAGUUCAUAUUGUGUAAGAGCAUGUAGAUGUAAAGCAUCAUUACCAUUUCUACAAAGUGCUUUCAUUCUUGAACUUUGAAAGGUGCCUCGUUCAAGUCCUAGCUAUAACUACUAGCUUUGAUUAAUUACGUUCCUAUACUAGCUGAAACAGAUUUAUUUAAUUAAUUAAUUGUGUAUGUACUAAUUAUAUUGAAAGUAUAUGAAUUUUUUUUUUAACAUGAAUGACUCCUAAAUGACUUAAAAACCUAAAGGAUGUGUGAAAUAAUGCUCAUUUCACUUGAAUGAGCCCAUUAAUACUUUUAUGUCUAUGAUUUUCAAUAUUGGCUAAAGCAUUUCGGUUAAGUGGUUUACCUAACAGAGAAAAAAAUUUAAUAGAAAACUUCAGAGUUCUAACAGAAAUAUAGUUUACUAUGCAGAUAUAGUUAUUUUACGGUAUACAAAUCAAGUCGUCCUAAUCUCAAUGUCCUAUGACCGAUUUUAUAUUAUAUAGUCAUUAAUUUUUUCCUUGGUUUUUUGUGUUUGUGAGUAUGAAAUAGUGGGAUUUGGUGUACCUUAGCAUCUCUUGAAAAUUCUCUUUCAGUGUGGCCAACAGAAAUAUACAUAUAAUCAAGUUUCUUAAUCCUGUAUAUUAGUUUUGGGUAUGAAUGUUCCUAUUCUAGUUCUAGGCAAAGCUUCUUCAUUUUGGUCUUCAGAUUUCCAGUAGGUUAAGUUAAUCAACUAUCAUAACUGGCUAGCUAGUUAUUGUCUGCCUUGGCGCCAUUACCCAGGCCAUUAUAUUGCAUAGCAUAAGGAAUAGUGAUUAGGUGAUUAUUAGUGAUUUGUUGAGCUUAUUAUCGACCAAACAAACAUAUUCGCCUUUGCCCACAACUUAGUUUGAUUAGUUAUUAGACCAUAAAGAGCCUUGAUCUAUUCAUUGGCUUUAUUAUUUUUAUUUGGUUUUUCUUUCAACAAUAUUGUUGAUUUCUUAUAAAAAUAUUCAUUGGUUUUUAAACACCUAAUCAUUGGCUAUAUGAAGCUAAUUAAAACUGAGGCUUUGGAUCAAUUUCUUCUAACAAGAUACAAAUGAGCAUAACCUAUCUCCUCUGAGUAAAUUUUUUUAAUAUCCUUGAUUUGUAAGGAUCUGGAGGCCUGAAAUCCUCUAGAUUUUUUUUAAUACUGUCAAUGUUCUUUUUAUUCUGAAAAGGAACUAAAAGGUUUUAUCUUUCAUACCCUAAUAGUAAGCUGGCCUUGUCUUAACAUGGCUUCCCGAGGAUUUGGAAGAUUCAUAGGCCCCCCCCCCCCCCCCCCCCCCCACACACACACACACAAAAAGGAAGAUUUUGCAAGAUUCACCACCAGGUUAUUUAUUUAUUUAUGAAUUGUGUGUACAUACUAGUUAUAUGUUGAAAGAAUAGGAAGAAGUAUUUCAACAUGAAUGACUUAAAACUUAUUGCUCAGUAAACAUAAUAUGCAUCAGUGCGAAAAUGUAUUUAUCAUUUGUAUUUUUUAUGGUUUUGCUUAAGAAAUGAUAUGUGAAAUAAUGCUACAUGCCUACAUUGUAUCAGGAAUAACUUGAAAAGAUUUAUGAUAUUUAUGUGUUAUUCAAAUUUCAGAUUCAAUUUUAAACUUUUGAUACGUGCAUUAAAAGUUUAGACUUGUUUAAGAAAUUAUUAAUAGACACAUGUUUUAUUAGUGUCAUAUUUGGAUGAUAGUGAGGAUCAUAUGUCUAUUAAUAAUUCUUGAAUUGUCCGGGCUUGGACAGUUUGGGAAUGCAUACUUCUCUCUGGUAGCUAGUAGCCGAAGUUUUCUUCCCACGUAAAAAUGGGUUUUUCGGUAGCUGCUCCUCAUGUUCUCUGGGUACGUACUAGGUGAAUGGGUGUCGUGUUGUUUUGGCAUAACGCAUAAACACUUAUAUAGCUAUGUCGUGUGCUUGGAGAAUUAUAGGGAGAUGGUGCUGAAAUUUUUAUAAACGUAGAAGAAAACUUUAGGUACUUGAGAUUGAAAAAACUUACACAUUCUUGAGUGGGAUAUGUAGGAUUACUUACCUUUGGUAAAUAUGAAGGGAAUGUUGGAUAUAUUGAGGGUAGUGUAGGAGCUGAGUUGGAUGAAUGUAAUUGGUGAUGAUUUUGCUGAGCUGACAUUGGUUUUGAGCUUGUAAUUUUGUUUGUAAAUGGAGUGCUAUCUCCAAUGUUGGUUUAUAAAUAUGUUUCAGGACUUGCUGACCUAAUUUUUUGUUUCUAGGUUACAGGCUUUAUAUAUCUGUAAUUGAUGGCGAAGUGAAGUUCCCAGCACUUGGCGAGGAUGUUGGUUUAUAAACUGUUUUUUAUAUAUACUUUGAUUUUCACAUCUUUUUCUCUGAUUCUUGUGGCUUUGCUUGCUUUCAUAUAUGUAAAUUCUAAUGAAAUUAAACAUAAAAUUGUAAAAUGAUCUUUUUAUUAUAUUGCAAAACUGUGCACACACGAAAAUAUCUUGUUUAGUAGUAGAAAUGAAGAACUAAAAUGAUUUAUUUAACUAAUAUUUGUAGCGCAUUAAAAGGAGAUAGUCAUGGACAAGUGUUGGGUUGGUUUGCCAAAUAGAUAUCCAAGUCAUAUACUGACGGGGAUGAAAAAUUUAUAGAUUUUGCAUUUGAGAAUGUUGUUGGUGGUACAAGAAUUUAAUGUCCUUUUAAGAAGUGUUGUAAUCUAUAUUUCGUUAUAAGGAAAGUGGCUGAUGAUGAUAUGGUUGGAAUGAUACAAUGCAUCACGUAAUCAAAUGUUCAAGUUACACUCAACAUUGUUAUGGACUAUCAGUGACUUUCUAGCAUUGCCAACUUGUUUGGGUGGAGCAUUAAAGGUAAAUAAGCACGUCUUGUUUGCCAACAAAACACUAGAUCUAAUUGGUUGAUACAUGGUAGAAAAUUUUGUCACGUGGGUCACCGUCGAUUUUUACCGACAAAUCAUAGGUUUCGAAAAUAUAGUGUCUUUUGAUAAAACUAGAGAGUAGGGACAAGCACCUUCUCGGUUGUCUGGAACUGAAGUGAAAAAGCAGUUUAAUAUACUUACUGAGUAUAAGAUUGAAGACUUGAAAAGAGGAGAACGAAUAAAAUGAGAGAAAUGAUAAGAUUACUUGGAAGAAGAACAGCAUUUUUUAUGAGAACUACCGUAUUCAUCAUGAUCUUGUUGUCAUGCACUGCUUUGAUUUUUGUUAUGAACUCAGAUCAAAAGUUUAAUGUGAUCAAACUUUCUUAAAAAAAGUGAAAACGACUCCUAGUAAUAUGCUUUGAUUUUUGUUAUGAACUCAGAUCAAAAGUUUAAUGUGAUCAAACUUUCUUAAAAAAAGUGAAAACGACUCCUAGUAAUAUGGAAGAUGGCUAUAAAAGAUAAAAGGAAAGGCUUAAAAAGAAAAGCCAUGCCUGUCAAAAAAUAAAAAAAUAAAAAUGGCAGCGUCAAAUUUAUAACAAAAAUAAAAACGGUGCGUUUGAGAGUGUAAAAAAUACAUUUAGUGGGAGUUAUGUUGUUGCUUGAAGGCAGAUUGUUUGUGAGAUUUUUGUCGACGAAGCCAAAACCAAAGAUGAAUUACGAGGGUUAUGUUUGCCAUAGUCAAGGAACACGGUCCUCUCACCUUUGCCGAAACUUGGGAACGCGUCAAGGUGUGUGUAUCUAUUAAAUUGAAUUUCAACCGUUUGAUCUGUAAUUAUAAUUAAUCCAAUCAAUCUGACAGUGAUCGCUGACCAUAAUACUAGUAGUUGUUUUACAUUUUCAGCAAGCUGGAGCGAGUGGAUUGACGGGCAAAAGCCACAUGAAGAUUGUGUUGAGAUGGAUGAGGGAGAGACAAAAGCUCAGGCUCGUCUGAAAUCACGUGGGCCCUCAUAAGCAAAUCCUGUACACAACAACUUGAAGCAGCCAAAGUCAGGGAAUGAUCCUUCUCCGUCACAACCCUAGCUGCCUUAAAGUGAGACUGUGAAGAUGAAGUAAAGCACCAGUUGAACAAUGAAGAUGGAAACCCCUCAGCAUGUAAACUUUUCAACAGUGACACAGCUCUUAUUCCAGAGGCUGCACAGAAGAGCGACCUGAAUCCUCUUCAAGACUUUCAAAUUUUUAUCAAGUAAAGCUUCCAAAAUUUCUCAACAAAUUGAUUAUUUGGUGUGGUUGACACAUUUUGUGUAAUAACAGAAAAUUGAUUAUUUGGUGUAACAACAGAAAAUUACAAGAUCGCUGACAAAAUGACAAAAUGACAAAAUGACAAAAUGAAACUGAAGAUAAAUCAGAACAACUACCAAACCUUUGACUGAAAAUUCAAAAGAAUUUAUAUUCAAAAUGUCAAAAUAAACUGGAAAUUUAUUGCAUAUAUUACAAGAAGCAGUACACACCAAUUGUAAAUUGAUACAUCGUUUUUGAAAUUAAGAUAGUCAAAUGAAAGAAACACAACGGAGGGUUAAUGUAACACUUUCAAAGCUGCAUUAGUGAUACAGUAGAGUGAAUACCCUCAGCAUGUAAACUUAACUUCAAAGGACGGAGCACAAGUUUCACAGAAAAGUAGCUCUUAUUCCUGAUGCUGCAAACACAGAGGAGUGACCUCAAUCUUCUUCAUAACUUGGGAAUUCUGCAAUUAUAGAGCACGACAUUGAGCAUGAACUAGAAAAAAUAUUUAUUUUGUACAAUUUUCAUGUAACCUGACUAACCAAGAUUAAUUUGGUGGUAAUGCAUUGGGUCAUUACUUUAUAUGUUUUUACUGUCAUCACUUUAGAAAAAACUAAUUUCUCAAUGUGAAAUGGCCCACAAAAGUAUUAUCGUUUAAAAACUAAAGAUUAAAGCCCCCGGGGGGGGGGGGGUGUCUGAAGGCUUUUUACAUGAAAAUGUUGUCACUUUGAAUGAUAUUUUCAAGGAAUUUUAUUCUAAAAAUAAAAUACGUGGGACCUUAUUCUUCAAAUUGACAGCUCGCCAAGUACUAAAGGCGUAUGAGAUCAGUACUGCGGCGAGUAAGGAGACGACCCCUCCAACAGCUGAAAAUAAAAUUAGCAUUCAUCAAUUUAAAUUAAAAUUCAUAUUAUGAAAUAAAAACUAAUGAUUAAUGAAUUUCCGAGGAAUUUCAUAAGAUUCUCAUAUAAAAACGUGAUAAAAAACUCACUCAUCAAUAACAAAUAUUCUAACAGUUACCCGUACCUUUUCUUGAUGUAAUUGUUGUAUGAUUGUGUUAAGGUCAUUAUUAGACCAACGCAGUUUGUCUUCACUCCUUCCGUACCAGACGUUUACUCUCGGAGGCGUGGUUGAUUCUCCUUUGGUGAAAAUCUUCAUCUUGGGACAACCAAUCACCGACAAAUCUUGCAAAGAUGGGAAUUUGAAGGUGUAAUUGGCAGAGGAGAAGCUUGUGAGACUAUCUAAAUCAAGCAGGGACAAUGUAAUCAAUUUGCUGAAAACAAUCUCUUCUUUUAUAUUUGCUGUUUCAUCUUCGUCACAUACUACGACUUCUGUCAUUGCUGUGCAUCCAAAUACCUUCAAUGAUAAGAGUCGCUCCAGACUUUUUGCUGUGGAGCAUGUUAGUAAGUUCAUCAAUUUCUUGCAAGCAAAAGCUUGCAGGCGUGUGAGAUUCCGAAAAGAUACCGAUGAUGAUGGCAAUAGACUUAACAGAUUUUGACAGUGAUAUGCUCUUAUAAUUUCAAGAUGUUGGAAAAUGAAGUCCAGCUGUUUGGAGUCAUGUUUCCACAGUUGCUGCAGACGAUUAAGUCUGGUCAGGUUUAACCUUUUUAUCAGUGCCAACUUCCUCCCAUGUUUCUCCAAAUAUCCUUCAUUUGAAAAUACCACUUCAUACGAACAAUCCGACAGGAAGAGAAGUUCCAGAUUGUUAAACCUCUCAAGUAAACCAAGUUGAAAGCAAGCUAAGUCAUCAUCCCGAACCAGUAGUAGUUUAAGACUGCCAAAGAGGUGUUGUGUUGAACCUCGCAAAACCACCAGGGCUAGGAAGCCUAAUCCAAAGUAUCUGGCAUUUCUGGAUGUGAGCAAUACUAAUGACGUGGGGGCUAAAAGGCUUGGUCAAGUGUUGGAUGCAUAAAGGACCGAGUCUUGUGCUGGAAAAUCUCUAUAUCUUGUUAGUAGCUUCAGUAGUUGAGUUAAAAUAGGAGUUAGCCGUUGCCUUGCUUCAUUAUUUAAUAAGUUGUAAAACAAGUAGUUGGGGGAGAAAAAAAUAAGAUUUGUCAUUGUGGUUUACUCCAAACCCGAAUUGGAGAACUUUGAAAUAACAGAAGAAUUAUCAAAUUUAUUAAUUCUUGUUGCUGAGAUAAGAAUCUUCUUUCAUUCUAACUUGAGUUCUAACAUGUUGUGGAAAAUCGCCUUGCAAAAUCAUCGUGAUGUCUUUUCCACUUAAUGCCAGUUCCUCCAAGUUGGGUAAGAUCUGAUCAUCAUCGAGCUCAAAUUAUUAACUUAGCACAUUGAUCCAUAAUUCAAGACUGGCAAAAUUCAUUGUGUAAUCAAAGUUUUCAAUGAUCCAACUAAUAUAUAUAUAUAUAUAUAUAUAUUCCUUCUCUAGUGCGGACAUCCUCAUUUUUUUUCAUGUGGACCAGUUUUUAGACCCUAUGGUUUAAAAGAGUUAGUUUUUAACUCUCUAAAACCGCAUGGCUUCAUAAUUCAUUUAAAAACUAACUCUCUUAAACCGCACGGUUUAAAAGUAUGUCUACAUUAAAAAAAAUGCGGACCCCCACACUUGAGAAUGAUUAUAUAUAUAUAUAUAGAGAGAGAGAGACACACACACACACACGCUCUUAAACCGUGGGAUUUGAAAGUUUCUCCGCAUGAAAAAAGUAAAAAAUAAGGGCAUUCCCACUAGAAAAAAACACCAUAUAGGUAUUUAUUAAACCUCCGGAUCUGUGAGUGAGGAACAACAAAGAUAAUUGAUAAAAAAAAUCUAAAAUUUGGUUUCAUACCUUCUUGAACGAGAGUAGGGGUUGUUGUGCCGGAAUACCAAAUUGAUCAUUCUCAUUAUUCUGGGACAACGUUAUUUUAUCACAAUUACAGGCCUCCAAUUUUUUUAGUGCUGGCCAUUCUGAAGUAUGCAUUCCAGGGUAUAAACAUCUGAGUUCUGGUAGACCUUCGAGAUUCAGAGUGGUCACUUGUGGAAAGACAAAAUAUGGGGUCACUUGAUCUGCUCUGUCUUUGGAGAUGAUCUCUUGUAAACCCAUACAUAUCCGUAUCUCCAGGUGUUGGAGGUGCUUAAGGCUUUGGAUCAUAGAAGCUGAAAAUAUGUAUUUUAAUUUGUCACAGCCCCACACUAUCAAUCGUGUCAAACUUUGAAAGCAAGGAAUCAUGGCCGUAAGUUGAUUGUAAUGCCAAAUCUCGUCGACAUUAAUAGCAUUCAGCUCCAAAGCCUCCAAAUUUGGCAACACUACCUAAAGAUAAUUUUCUCUUUAGAUCCAAUAUCCGUAUGGAAAGCACUUGUUUUGACACAAUGUCCAUAUAAGCACUUAAUUAAGAGCUUAAUUAGCCUACGUACCUUCUCGUUGAAAAGCAGAGUUGACGUUUCCGAACUGAUCUCGUUGGAACUGGCUGUCAAUUCCUCUUGCGACUCUUGUCUGUUUGGUGAUGUGGAAGGAGUCUUCACUUCACCGCAAAACCUUGUAACCUUUGGAAGCUUUCCCAGACUCAAAGAUCUUAAUUGACCAAACUCUAUCUUCUCAUCAACAUCAACAUCAGCUUCUCCUCCAGUUGCAAAAAUCUCUUCCAUGCUGCUGCAAUUGAUAACUGCAAUCCUCUCCAGUCUUGGAAGGCAUUUUGUACUACUAGAGAGCCAGAAGAUAUUACUCAACUCAUCACAAUUUUCCACUUUUAUGGUUUUGAGUUCUUUGAAGGACUCUAUUUUGAGUCGAUCAAUACAUAUCCUCUCCAUAUUGAUCAAAUUGUGAAGAGUAAGGGACUCCAAAAGAGGAAAGGCGACACAUGGUUCUCUCUCCAUUGAAUCGACGAUACACAGGAAGUCCGGAUUAUUUUGAACAUGGAGAUGCUUCAAUUGUGAAAAGCCCUCAGUGUCCAAUUCUAAAACAACAUUCUUGAUUCCUUGCAACUUAUCCAAACAUAAGUAUUCAACGUUAUUGAUGCCCUGCAACUUCUCGGAGCAAAUGGCCAUAGAAUCAAGCUUGAGCUUCAAUGUUCUUAAACUCUCAUGAUUACUGAUCAUAAAGUGCUGCCGACUUUCAAACCAAUCAUUCUCAAUAACCAGGGUAGAGUCGAAUGAUGCAUCUCCUAUUGAUAUAUCAAACCUUUCCAGCUUUUUGGAAAAAAAGCCAUCCGGUAAAAUGGUAUCAUUUUUAACAUCUAUUUCUAAAGUGGUCAAUCGCCUCAAAUGCAUCAAUUCGUCGAGGGUGGCAUUACUUCUUUCACUAUUGGCCUUUUCAACUUCCCAUUCAAUAGGGGAAUUACCCAUAUACAGUUCUUCCAAUCGAGUGAAGCUUGAUAAGACGUUGGGCACAAUAAAUUUUAGUUGCAAACAAUCUGUUAAAUCUAACAGCCUUAACUUAGUCAGUUGACCUAGUUCGCCAGGCCACCGUACAAUAUCAGAAUUUAAAAAGCUAAGGAUUUCUAGAUUCUUCUACUUUCCAAUUAUGGCUGUGUCUCCCAACAUGCUUUGAUCUAGACAGAGUGUUUGAAGAUUUGCUAGAAGACCGAUUGAAGAUGGCAAUGAAAAUAAUCGCAUUCGUGUCAAAUCUAUAACUCGAAGCUUUUUCAUCCCUUUGAAAAUGUUGUCAGGAAUAUUGACCUCGACAAAAUAGUCUUUGGGAUGCAUAUGUAAAAAUUCAAGUUGCGGACAUUCAAAUUCCUCAGAAACUUCAUGAAUGCGACUAUUUAGUAAAGAGAUUGCAGAGCAUUUUUUAAGUGCAUCCUCAUCUGGCCACUCCCACACAGCCUCAUUUCUCACCAAGAAAGCAUGUUGGUCUCGACAUGCAAUUGAUACGGCAACAUCGCAGACAACAUCAUGCAUGGAAAAUUGUUCACUGCUAUCACCCUCAAGCAAUAAACAAGAGUCUCUAAGUUCAUGGACCAAUGCAUAUAAUUUGUUUCGUGCAUCUACCAUCCUGUUGACUCCUUGAAAUAUGCCCAAACCCAUGGAGUAUUUAAACAAGUCUGUAAACCAAAAACUGUUACCUAUUAGACUACAGAGCAGAAAAAUUUUCUUGAGUUGCUCACCUUUUAAAUACUUGAAACUCAGUUCAAUACUUGAAUAAGUCUCUGCAGGCACACCUUCGAAGUUUAUCACUGAAGGCGUUUGGAGUUCUCGCAAGGCAUUCUUCCACUCAUGCAGACACUUGUUUCUCAGUGCCCUCGCAACUGUAGUCAGGGCAAUGGGCAAACCUCCACAUGCCUGGGCUACAUUAAUUGCUGUAGACUUGAACUUACAAUUUUCAACAUCAUCACCAUUCAUUAUCUUAAACAAUCUCCAAGCUUCUUCUUCAUUUAGAUUGCCAAUCAAGAAGUUAUCUUUGGAGCCCAUACUUAAUAGCACAUUAUUGUCUCUUGCUGUCAGCAGUAGUCUACAUCCUUUAUGAUCAUUUCCGAAGGGAAUUCCAACCGUCUCCAAAUCAAGAUGUUUCCAGAUAUUAUCUAGAAUCACAAGAAUCUUAUUCUCAUUCUUCAGUCGUUCAUACAGCCUGCUAGCUCUUCUAUAUUCAGCUUCAUCGGACAACUCCAGACCUAACUUCUCUGCAAUUUCCCCUUGAAUCUUUUUUAUGUCUGGAGUUUGUGAAACCUCUGAAAAAACCACCCGAUCAAACAGCUUGUCUUCCCUGGCUUGCCUAGCAAACUCCUUCACCAGUGUCGUCUUUCCAAUGCCGCCCAUGCCGUACACCCCAAUAAUGCUGACAUUCACAUCAGUCAACGCAUUUUGUAUAGACUUCAAAGUAGAAACUCUUGAUUCGAAGGCCUCGUAACCUUUGUUAGACUUAAGCCAUAUCUCCUCCGGAGUGGUACGGUGGGAAACGAUAUCAAACUUCUUAACUUCUUCUCCAAGUUCAACAAGGGCCUUCACCUCUGUCUCUGCUUUCUUGCUAAGCUGAUAGCGGGUCUUCAAAUUACGACACAAGCCCUUGAGACAGCGCUUAUUUGUUGACUCUUCAUCUUCAACGAAUUUGGCUGCCCGGUCAAUGAUGCCGUUAACACUAACCAGCCACUUCUCAACCUUCUCUUCAAUCUCUUCCCCUUUUUCUUUCGCCUCUGAAACUCUGCGCUGAAUGCUCGUACGUUCAACCUUCAACUUCUCCAUUUCCGCCUUGAGAUUCUCAAGGUUGGCAUUGUGGUUCCGCCAUCGCAAAUAAACAACUUGGCGUUCUGUUGGAGGAGCCAAGCAUUUUACAAGUUCCAAAACGAGAGUAACAAUGAUUUCCAGCAUCUUGAAUCCUGACAACAAUGUAGAAGUGAAGAAGGCCAAAGGACAGUCAAAACAGAGAGACAGCGUUACGACAAGCAGUUAUGAAGCUAAAAAUAAAUAACAAACAAACAGAAGCAAAGUGUUUUUCGAAUGAGAAGAAGGAAGCAAGAAAAGGGUUUCUGUUUUAGAUUAAGGAUAAGAAAUGAUUAAGAGAGUGGGGGAGCUAAUAAGAGAGUGGAUUGAGCAAACGUAAAUAAAUUUUUCUUAACCUUUUGUCACACGCGUGUGACAAAUAAUAUAAUUAAUUUUAUAUUUUUAUUCAAUAACUAUUAAUUAUAAUUUUUAAAAAUUAUUAAAAAGAAUAAUUAAGUACUGAAUUCAAAUCCUAUCCUAAAUGGUUAGAUAAAAAUAAGUGAAUGAAAAGAGUAAUGGUAGAUUAAUGAGAAAGUGAUUGAUUAAUUUAUGAGGCCAAUUAACGAAACGACAGAUCUGGUUUCCAUGUUUGUAAUUUAAGUGUAUCAGUACGAGGUACACCGACUCUCCCAGUUUCUUUAGCAUUUCUCUCCGUGGAAAUAAGUGAAAAGCCAAAGUGAUUUGAUUAUUUUUAUGGCCAACUAAUGUAUGACAGAUCUGGUUUCAAUCUCUGCAAUGUAAGUGUAUCAAAACGAGGUCAACAACUCUUUGUCGAGUCAGUCAAAUACGCAAGCAGAGCGAACAAAUUUUUUUUCCAAUUAAGUAAUCAUCAAGUGAUAACCUUCUUUUUCUAUUAAAAUAAGGAGUGCAGAACAACUGUCAAGAGAUAAUCAUUGUUUAUUAUAUUUUCGAUUAAAAUAGUUGCGCGUGAACGAUUGCCCGAAUUCGUAUAAAUUGUUGUCAGGUCUAUUAUAAUUAACAAGUGGAAUGGCCAAUGGAUGAAGAACCACUGCAAUUUCGUUUAUGAAUUUAAAAUGCUAAAGAAACUGGACACCAACGCUAAACGUGAGUUUGAGGCCCUUGCCUCAGUGUCUUUCAGGCGUUACUCGGGGUAGUUGAUAUACUGACGGCCCCGUUAUCAAUUAAUCAUCGAAAUAGAUUAAAAUAUGAAUGGAUUGGAAUGGAAUGAGUUGGAAUUAAAAUAUGAAAUGAUAGUCAGAUUAAUUUAUUUUUUUUUAAAUUAGAAAAUUAGAAUAAAAAUAAAUUAUAUUAUUAUUGAUGCAUUUGCUUUAUCUUAAAAUUACGAUGAGUUAUUACAAGUUACUAAUAUGCCUUUGAUUUUUUAUUAUAAUUAUAGUUAUUUAUUAUAACAUUUGUCAUAUAAUAAUAAUAAUAAUAAUAAUAAUAAUAAUAAUAAUAAUUGUAACAAUUAAUAUUGAAAAAAAAUUUAUUGUUAAUAAUAAAUAGGCAAUUAUCCAUCGACCAUGUGAUCUUUCGAACUUUUUCAAAAAUAGAUAAACACUUUUUUCUUUGCAGAAAUCCACCUGAAAUUUACAAAGCGUUUCAAUUGUUUAUUGUCAUCUUAACUCUGUUAGAAUUUUGUUGAUGUCAUAAGGACAAAAUUAUCAUUUUCACCUAAAUAUCCAAAAAGGGUAUCUUUCAAACAUGAUUAAGAUAAAAAAGUAAAAUAAAUUAUCCAUUGACUAUAUAAUUUUUUAACCUUUAUAAAAAAUAUUAAAAAAAUAUAUGAACAUUUGUUUUUAUUUUUCAACAAUCUAUCGGAUAUUUGUGAAGUGCAUUAGUGCUCCACUACUAUCAUAACCCUUUAAAAAUAUCGCUUAAACACGAGAACCUAUUGCCUAAAAUUAUUUUUCAAGCAAAUGCAACGACAUAUCUGGUUUUGAUCUUCGUGACUUUUAAGUGUGCAAGAACAAGAUGAAUGACCCUUUGUCGAGUUGAAGAAUUAAGAUGAAUCAAUUACAAAUCUAGAACAAACUUACAUGUGACAUUUUAGAAUUAAGCAAACUAUAAUUGAUCAUCCAGUGAUAGGCUUAUUUUCAAUUAAAUUAGAGUAAAGAUAUACAUUCCAAAUUUUUUAUCUCAAAAUUAAUCUUAGAUGAUGUCAUUAAUUGAGUACUUGGUAAUUCUUUCAAGAUCUAAGUGAAUUAAUUAUAUUAUCUCUCUAACCAAUUGAUGAAUAUCAUAUUAUUUUGGAUAAUUUUUUAUCUCAAAUCCUAGAAAAGAAAACAAAAGAAAGGGAGCAAAAAUAUUUUUAGAAACGUAAAAUAACCAAAAAAACACCUUUUCUUGUUUUUCUUAUUUUCCACUAUUAAGCUUCAAAAUGAACAACUUUAUUCUACAAUCUCUCAAAUAAUAUUAAUAACAACAACGUCGUCAUCAUCAAUAAUAAUAAUAAUAGAUUAAUUUUGUAGGAUGGAACUCUCUCAAAUCUUCAAGACACAAAAUGUGCUUGACCCCAUUGUUGUUAUUAUAAUUUCAAAAUCAUAUGUAUUAUAUAAUAUUAGGGAAUAUAACAUAGCAAAAUUGAUGGUACAUAUGUUGCAAUAUACUUGCUCAUGUGGCGACACAUUGACGUAAAGUACAAGCAGAACAACGAAAAAUGUAACGGGAGAGCUCUCAUUAUGUAGAUUUUCAAUAGAAGUAAUGCAUAUUUCACAAGGGCAAUGGCCUUAUUUCAAAUGCUGCACCUGAGGAAUGACUUGAAUCUUCUAUAGAACUCAGGCAUUCUGUAAUCAUAGAGUAUAUCAUUUCAACAAAAAUAUUAUAUAGGUCGUUCCUUAUAUAUUUUAUGGGUACACAUACAGAAAUAUUACUUUGGGUACAUUUUUUGCAAUAAAGCCUGCCCAAUCCAGCGUUUUCAUAAGUUGGGUUUCUCAUUUACUUGUUUUUUCCAUUGGUUAAUUAUCACAAACCUCCACUGAGAUUUAGCAUAUUUUUAGUUUAAUAGAUUGUAUUCGCGCAAAUAUCUUUUCAGACAUUAGUUUACCACUUCGUAUAAAUUAAGUUGGUGAGGAUAAAAUCGUAAAAGUACACAUUAAUGAUAAAAAAAUUCAAGUAAACAUGAAAUUUUCACGUUGUGUUCUGAAAUUGGUCUCAACUUUUUAAAUGUCCAUUAGGUAAAGAACAGAAGCAAGCUUUACCCAGCACACAAAAGCAAGCUUUGCGCAGCACGCAUUAACGCCCGCAAAAAUGAAAAAGGAAAAAUGGUCAUCUCUUUCCUCCAUUCGAAUUGAAGCCAUGAAACGCAACAUCCCUUUCAUCUUCUCUCUAAUGCUUUGAUUAAAAAACUUGCUUACGAACGGGAGACCAUGACACUGAAUCCGGAGACGGCAAUACCAGAGACGAUUGAUCGAUUUGGAAGAAUACCAACCAGUGACUUUCGCCGUCGACCCACAAACAGUCCCAGUGUUUUCGAGCCGUGAAUGAGGUAUGAAUCAGAUUAUUUCCGUGCAUGUCAGUUUUGUUAGGUGAUUUGGUUUAAAAAAAGAAUAAUGGGUCUCGAAAAUUUUUUGAGAGUAUUUCUGUUGCUUACAUUUUUUUUCCAUUGAUUAAUGUUAGUUGUAGGUGAAUGAUUGUUUCAAAUGCAUGUUCGCGUGUGACUGAUUGAAAAUGGCUUGUGAUUUGUCAUGCUGCCGUAUGACUGAUUGAAAAUGGCUCUAAAAUUUUUUUUAUUUGUUUAAGCUACUGAUUCUGAUUAUUGAACAGGAAUUCAUGCUAGCUUUUGUGAAAUUAAAGAUGAGACUAUUUUUUAAGAGAUCUGCCAAACCUUCUCUACUAUAGAUUUGGCUUCUGACAUACCUGGUUGGCUGGAGAUAAUUGUUUAUAUAGUCAUUGUUGCCCGUAUUAUUUAGGAAUAUUGAUUAGCAAUGUACUGGAUUAGAGAUUGGUAUAAUUUUGGAAAAUUAGUCGUAGAUGCAACCUGAUUAUGGUCUCAAAUAGUGUGAUCUGUCAAUUUCGUCUGCUAUGGCCUAACAACCUUGAAUCUGAGCUAUGCUACUAUACAAAGUCCUGACCUAAUCAAGCUUGUUAGCCAAUGUCCAAAAUUGCAGUGUCUUUAGAUAAGUCCCAUCUUAUUUGUUUGAAUUAUAAAUGAAAAUUGCAGUGUCUUUGGAUAAUCACGCUGAAUGUUCAAGUUAUUGACAAGAAGGGACCCCCAGAUUCAAGGCCGGAGCUCCCUGUUGAGAAGCUUUAUAUAUAUAGGAUUGUCGCUGGGUGGAGGAUCGAUAUGCCCGGUUUUGUUUGGAAUAAGGAUGAAGAUUUUGCAUUGAGGCUUUCUUGACAGAUCAUUCUGCAAAUCAAGCUCCAUGUACCUAUCUUCAAACUCUAGGAUAUGUAUAAAGCAAGUGCAUGCUCUAUAUGUCACUUAUUGUAUCCCGAUUAUUUUUCUAUUACUUAAUAUAAUUGCAGUCCUUGAUGAAGUUGGAGACAACUUAUGGAGGGUAUCCAGGAGCUCGAGAGCUCGAUUGCCAUUCAUUUUACACUUGGCUGAGCUAUAGAAUACCAACUAGUGAUUAAUAAAGAGAAGGUAUGAAGGUCCUAUUGCUGGUGGUAUUAUCAAUCAGAAUUGUUAUUUUACUUGGUCAUAGUUACCAUGUAUACUAUUCAUAGACUUUUUGCAUGUUUAUGUAUUUGCGUUCAUCGUUUUGUUAAGCUAGAGAUGGUUGAUUUGUGUACUCAUUUGUAUCACUUGUAGCCCUUGAGGAAUAAAAUUUAAAAUUUUGUUGCAUCUCCUGUACUAAAUACUAAUUUUGUUGGCUUUAUGUAUGUGAAAUGGUUCAUUAUGUUAUUUCUUUGAUGUGUGUAUAGUGUUACGCUGUCUAAAGUCGAAAAGUAUUUCUAUCACUUGUGUAAAAAACAACCUACUUUUUUUCACUCUUCUUAUAUUGAAUAAAAGAGGAACACCAAGAUCUUCACCAAGAUUGAACGAAAUUUGAUGCAAAAUGCAUAGCAAUUAGGCCAGUGCAAAACAACUUCCUUCUGAUUCUCUGAUAUUUGACUUAAAUCUUUUGUUUGUUUCAUUCAUCAAAGUCAUUUUGGAAAGUAGCAGGGGUGAUUUGAUAUUUUCAUUGUAUUCACAUCCCUUGGCACCAAAACAAACAUGCUGGUACUAACCAACAAUUUUUUUUAAUUUUCAGUAUACAAAUUAUCUUUUUUUUUCUAAAUUAGGGGUAUUAAGAAAAGGUAUACUAGCAUCGGGGGAGGUAUUUGAGAAUACACAAAUACAGGCUAUCAAACUGAGAAUACGCCAAAUCUCAGGGGAGGUUUCUGAUAAAUCUUUUUUUUUCCUUUUCCUCCAUUUACUAUAGGUUCAAUUUAGACAUUGUUGACCAAACAGAAGGUUUAGGUUGGUAAACGCACUAGUGUUAAUGUCAACAACCCAAGGGGCUUCAUGGUCCUCUGGGCCGAAAUAGCGUAAUUAUUAAUUCUCCUCCAGUGAAAAUCUUCAUCUCGAGACAAAUAAAUACGAAUUGACAUUAUAGCUGUGCAAAUUUGGAGGUGUAAUAACCGGAAAAGUAAAAAUCUUUAGAGACAUUUCAAAUAAAAAAGAUACAACACCUUCAAUUUGCUAAAAGUAAUGGUAUCAUUUCUUGUACGGAUAAUGGAUGAUUAGAUUUUGUUUUUUGUUAUCCGACGAAGGAUAUUCAGUUGUUCUUUAUGUGUUCACAGGCAAGAGCAUGAGCAUGUUUAUGAUUUGAUAUAUGCUUCUUGCAUUUUUUAAUUAAGUACUCUCUUUCCUUACUGUGAAGCCGAAAUUAGUUAUAAUCUGUUAUGGACAUGCUGAGGUGGCAGGUGAGCUGGCAUAAGUGGGAUCCAAAUCAAGAGUUGGUUAGUUAGUUAAAUAACAGACUGACUCAUUGCAAGUGGAAACACACGUGAGAAGCAUACAUUUAUAAGCUGUCUCUAAGCUAGCUAAACAUACAUAGAAUCAUAGAGAAUUUACAGAGAGGAAACACUCGAUAGGUUUUAAUCUGUAAUUGGUGACUCAGUUGUAAACCAUCUUCUUCUUGUUGUUCAAUAAAGCCUCUGCCCUUGCUGGUUUUACAGCCGUGGAUGUAGGUUCCUUUGUGGAGCUUAACCACGUUAGUUUCUUGGUGUGUUGUGAAUCUUUGAUUGCUUGGUUCUUCUUUGUUCUUUUCUUAAUGUUGUUUCUGUAAACUCUGGUUUUGUGGGUUGCUUAAUUCUUGUUCAAGUAAGCGAAGUAAACACGUUUGCCAUAACAAACUGGUAUCAGAGCCUGGUAUUGGUUGGGAUCAGACUCAAAGAUGGCAAGCACCAGAGUUGAUCUUGAAAAGUUCAAUGGAGAUAAUGAUUUUUAUCUCUGGAGUUUGAAGAUGAGAGCAAUACUUAUUCAAUAAGGGCUUGACAGUGCCCUCGAUGAUGGAGAAGAUCCGAUGGCCAAGAAAGAAAAGGCAGAAGGCUCUUCAAGCCUUGGUGCAGAUCAGAGGAUCAUAAACAAUAAGGCCCAUAGCACCAUUAUCUUGCAUCUCUCUGAUGAAGUCUUGAGAGAAGUAUCCAAAGAAAGAACUGCAGCUGGUUUAUGGGCAAAACUAGAAGAAAUGUUUCUGAAGAAAUCAUUGGCAAAGAGGAUGUACAUGAAGAGGAGAUUGUACACAUUCUCAAUGAAAGAUGGAGUAGCCAUGAAAGAUCACGUGGAUGAGUUUAAUAAACUCAUUCUUGAUCUCGAGAAUGUCAACAUAAUUCUUGAAGAUGAAGACAAGGCACUCAUCCUCUUAAGUUCUCUUCCAGAAUCUUAUGAACAUUUUGUAGAUACCCUCAUCUAUGGCAGACAAACCCUCUCUUUGAAAGAUGUCAAAGAUGCUCUGAAAUCCAAGGAUUUGAAGAAAAGAUCAGACAUGAAAGAUCAAAACAAUGCAGAAGGUUUGGUUGCCAAAGGAAAGCCAGAAAAGAAACACAAUAAGCAGAAAAAGAACAACAGCCAGAAAGAUAAAGCUGAAAAGAAGAAGAAGAAGAAGAGAAAGUGUUACUUCUGUCAGAAAGAGGGACACUACAUUAAAGAUUGCUUUGAGAAAAAGAAACUAGAAGAACUGCAAAAGAAAUCAAAUGGGAAGACUGCUGUUGCCUCUGAAGAUGAAUGUGACUACGAUGAAGCAGAUGUCUUGGUGGCUGCAGAAAGGCACCCAACUGGUGAGUGGAUUCUGGACUCUGGUUGCUCAUUCCACAUGUGUCCAAAUAAAAGUUUCUUUAAGACCUUUGAAAGUGUAAAUGGUGGAAAGGUAUUGUUGGGAAAUAACCUAGCUUGCAAGGUGGCUGGAAUAGGAACCAUUAGCUUAAAAUUGCAUGAUGGUGUCACUAGAGACUUGCACCAAGUAAGAUUUGUCCUUGAACUGAAAAGAAACUUGAUAUCUCUAGGAAUGGUUGACCAAUCAGGGUGUACUAUUAAGGCUAAAAAUGGAGAGAUACAGGUCUUGGAUCAGGGUAAAAUUGUAAUGAAAGGGGUUAGGAAAAAUGGGCUGUACAUACUAGUUGGAUCCUCACUUGUGCAAGGGAUCUCAGCAAGUGUGACCAGAGAUAAAACCAAGCUCUGGCACAUGAGACUAGCUCAUAUCAGUGAGAGAGGUCUCAAGGAGCUAAGCAAUCAAGGUUUGCUUGGUGAUGACAAAGUUACUUCCUUAAAAUUCUGUGAGAAAUGUGUGUUUGGGAAGGCCACAAGACUAAAAUUCAGUUUAGGGAGAAAAGAAACCAAACAGACUCUAGAUUACAUCCACUCAAACCUUUGGGGGCCAUCACAAGUUCCAUCUUUAGGUGGAGCUAGGUACUUUGAGUCCUUAAUAGAUGACUACUCUAGGAAGGUUUGGAUCUAUGUGUUGAAACACAAAAGUGAAGCACUAGGGAAGUUCAAAGAGUGGAUUACUCUCAUUGAAAACCAAACUGAUAAGAAAAUAAAGAGGCUCAGAACAGACAAUGGGCUGGAGUAUUGCAGCAAAGAGUUUGAAGAUUUCUCCAAAUAUAAGGGCAUUACAAGGCAUAGAACUGUCACCUACACUCCACAGCAAAAUGGGUUGGCAGAAAGAAUGAACAGAACCAUAAUAGAGAGGGUAAGAUGCAUGCUGCUGAAUGCAAACCUAUCCAAAGGUUUUUGGGCAGAAGCAGUCACCACAACUGCCUACUUGAUAAACAGAAGCCCAUCCUCAGCUCUAGGUUUCAAGACACCUCAGGAGCUUUGGUCUGGAAAGCCACAAGACUUGAGCAAUUUGAGGAUCUUUGGAUGUCCAGCUUAUGCACACUUAAAGCAAGGUAAGCUUGAACCAAGGGCUGUUAAAGGGUAUUUCUUGGGCUAUCCUGAGGGCAUUAAGGGAUACAAGAUAUGGACCCUCAAUGGCAAACCAUCUAGGAUAUUAAUCAGUAGGGAUGUCACCUUUGAUGAAGAGCAAAUGCUUCAGUCAAAGGUAGAAACUGAGAUUGAAGCUGCUGAAAUAGAGGAAGAAGAAAGUGCUGGACAGAUGGUAAAGCAUUCUGAUAGUUGUAAGCCUUCUGAACAACCAUAAGACCAGACCAAGGAAAGAAAACAACCAUCAGAACUGGAAACAUAUCAGCUUGCUAGGGACAGAGAGAGGAGAGCCAUCAAAAUGCCAAAGAAGUAUGGCAUAGCUGACCUCAUUUCCUAUGCACUGACAGUAGCUGAUGAAGUAAAUGGUGGAGAGCCUUUGAGCUAUAAAGAAGCUAUGAGAUGUGAGGAUAAGCUGAAAUGGUAUGCUACAAUGCAGGAUGAAAUAGUCUCUUUAAAGAAGAAUAAUACCUGGAUCUUAGUGGACAGACCAUCUAAUAAGAAACUAGUUGGCAGCAAGUGGAUUUUCAAGUUGAAGGCUGGAGCUUCAGAGAAUGAACCACCAAGACAUAAAGCCAGACUUGUGGCAAAGGGAUUCACACAAAGAGAGGGAGUUGACUUCAAUGAAGUGUUCUCACCUGUAGUCAAAUACAGCUCAAUUAGGUUGCUGUUGGCCUUCUCUGCAUAUCAUGACCUGGAGCUGGAGCAGACGGAUGUUAAAACUGCCUUCUUACAUGGCAGUCUUGAUGAAGAGAUUUUCAUGGCACAGCCAGAAGGGUUCAUUGAGAAAGGAUCAGAGGACAAAGUGUGCUUAUUAAAGAAGAGCUUGUAUGACCUCAAGCAAUCUCCAAGGCAAUGGUAUUUAAAGUUUGAUGAGUUUAUGCUAAGCCAUGGAUACUGCAGAAGCAGAUUUGAUAAUUGUGUGUAUUAUAAAUUCCUGUCAAAUGGUGGUGGCAUCUACUUACUUAUGUAUGUGGAUGACAUGCUUAUUGCAUGUAAACAAAAUGAAAAGUAAAGAAGCUUAAGGUGGAGCUCAGCACUGAAUUUGAAAUGAAGGAUUUGGGUGCAGCUACAAAGAUUCUGGGAAUGCAGAUAAAGAGAGAUAGAGAGUCCAAAGUUUUGUAUCUGUCUUAGGAGGAUUAUGUGAAGAUGGUGUUAACCAGGUUCAAUAUGAAAGAUUCAAAGCCUGUUUCAACACCUCUGUCAGCUCACUUCCAGUUAUCUAAGUCACUGGAACCUACAACUGAUGAUGAUUUUAACUACAUGAGGGAGAUACCUUGCUCCAGUGCAGUUGGCAGCAUCAUGUAUGCCAUGGUGUGCACCAGACCUGACUUGGCUCAUGGAGUUGGAGUCAUCAGUAGGUUUAUAGGGAAUUCAGGGAAGGGUCACUGGAAUGCAGUGAAAUGGGUACUAAGAUAUCUUAAAGGGUCUGCUGUCACUGCCAUCAUGUUUGGUAAAAUAAGUGGAGCAUCACCUGUAGUGGCUGGAUUUGUGGACUCAGACUAUGCAGCAGACAAAGAUAGAAGGAGGUCCAUCACAGGUUUUGUGUUUACUAUAUGUGGAGGUGCUAUAAGUUGGAAAUCUUCCCUGCAGUCAGUGGUUGCCCUCUCAACAACAGAAGCUGAAUAUAUUGCACUUACAGAAGCUGUCAAAGAGGCAAUAUGGCUGAGAGGGCUGGUCUCUGAAUUGGGGUUUAAACAAGAAGUUGUUGUAGUUGGCUGUGAUAGCUUAAGUGCUAUUCAGCUAAGUAAAAAUCCUAAGUAUCAUGAGAGAACUAAACAUAUUGAUGUUAGAAUGCAUUUAAUUAGGGAUGAAAUCAGCAAAGGAGUAGUGAAUGUGGUUAAGGUGCCAUCUGAAGUAAAUCCAGCUGACAUGUUAACCAAGCCUUUGCCAUCAGUCAGGUUCAGGGACUUACUGAAUCUGAUUGGAAGUGUUAGCUUGUGAAACAAGCUUACUGGUGCUGUGUUGCAGUGAAGGGAGAAGCAUAAACAGAUUAGAACUAAGGUGGAGAUUUGUGAAGCCGAAAUUAGUUAUAAUCUGUUAUGGACAUGCUGAGGUGGCAAGUGAGCUGGCAUAAGUGGGAUCCAAAUCAAGAGUUGGUUAGUUAGUUAAAUAACAGACUGACUCAUUGCAAGUGGAAACACAUGUGAGAAGCAUACAUUUAUAAGCUGUCUCUAAGCUAGCUAAACAUACAUAGAAUCAUAGAGAAUUUACAGAGAGGAAACACUCGAUAGGUUUUAAUCUGUAAUUGGUGACUCAUUUGUAAACCAUCUUCUUCUUGUUGUUCAAUAAAGCCUCUGCCCUUGCUGGUUUUACAGCCGUGGAUGUAGGUUCCUUUGUGGAGCUGAACCACGUUAGUUUCUUGGUGUGUUGUGAAUCUUUGAUUGCUUGGUUCUUCUUUGUUCUUUUCUUAAUGUUGUUUCUGUAAACUCUGGUUUUGUGGGUUGCUUAAUUCUUGUUCAAGUAAGCGAAGUAAACACGUUUGCCAUAACACUUGCCUUCUUAGUUUUGAAAGAAAGAUGUGAAGCAAAGCAAACCCAGUGAAAUAUACAGAGAAGCAGAACCAUCAGAGGAAAAACUAAAUAACAGAACUACAAUUGAACCAAACAAAAUCAAAUAAACCGAGGCAACAGAUGCCCUGAAUCAGGCAUCGCUUUUCCUCGAAAGAAAAUAUGUUUGCAUGGGUGGGAACCUAGUAAUUACUCAAGAGUUGAGGAGUUGGAAAGAUUUGGUAUUCAUAUCUUCACAAUUCAUAUGCUUUAAUGCAGAAUCGACAGCUUUAUAUUAUUUUAUUCAACCAAAAACGAUAAAGCAGUAAAACCACAAUAAUCCACCAACUUUUGAUACUUUUAGGAAUUUUUUUAGUCAAAUUAAGUUUCAUGAUAAAACAAGUGGCUCCUCCACACACUUGCACUUGCUUGAAUAUUCGUGCCGACAUUUUCAUAUGUGAUGGUACUUCUUAGCCAGUAGAUAUGUUGAAGUACUACAAAACAGAGUAUUUGAUGAAGUUUUGCUACUUUCGUAUCCCUUUUUUUGUUGCAUAACUAAAUUCUUUAUAAACACAAAUUAGAAAGAUACAAAUAAUACAGUAGCUUGAAUUUAUAUGCUUUUAUGAUUAUUUGAUAAUCUAGUGCUGAUCAUAUGUGAUGAUAAACUUAGCUAGUAGUUUUAUAUUUGUUUUCGUAGUUUCCUUAGCGUUCACAUUUUGAUGAGUAAAUUAAGGAUUUCCAGAUGAAGUACAUAAUUUGAUGAAUGCUAAGGAACUGAAGUUUGAUUAAUUGAAAACAAAAAUAAUAAUGCAGGUAAUUGCGAAAAUGAGCAAUGCAGAAGUAGUCCCUAUAGUAUUUCUAAAUUUUCUCUUGGGGUUCCUUAGUAUUCCUUAAUAUUUUUUAAAAAUGACAUGACGAUCUUUGAGUUGACGAAUCUUGGCCUGCUGCUUAGUACCCUUCCAACAUAUAAAGUACUAGAUGUUUUACUGAGAAAAUGACUAGAUCAUUUACCAAAUUUCUUGCGCAUAUAUACGUAUGCAUACGAGAAAUGGGAAUCAAUGAUUAUAAGACCUUGCAAUGAGACAAUAAUACAUCAUCAAAUCUAAAAAUACACAAGAAAUUCGGGACAUAUAUAUAACAAAAGACCUCUCAUUGAGUCAUACAUAUUGAGAAUAAAAUGUCAAAAUGCAUACAAAGAGCUUAUACAGAAAAUGAAUUUACACAUAUUUAGAAUAAACUGUCUUUGAACUUUCGAUGGUCAAAUAAAGGAAACAGACAGGAUAUUGUUAACAUAUAUGUUUCCAUAAUGUUGAUUUUGAUGAUAACAAACAUGAUUAAGAAUAAUUAAUCUUUUAAGCUCAAAUUAUUUUCUUUUUAAAUAAAUCAUUAUUUUCACAUUUUAAAGGUUUUAUAUUUAAUGGAAAAAUGAUUUUAAGAAAUUGAUUGUUUUUAUUCUUUUUAAAUAAAUCAUUAUUUUCACAUUAUAAAUGUUUCAUAUUUAAUGGAAAAAUGAUUUUAUGCAAUUGGUUGUUUUUCAAGUUUAUGGUUUAUUUGAAAGAGUUUUGAAAACUUUGAAAUCAACAAGUAUUGCUUGAAAUUUUGGAGAAGGAUUUAUUUGAAAAGUAUUCAUAGCAUUUUGGGCUAUAUUAUAAUUUCAUAAAGUUUUGGAAAUAGUAAGUAUUAUUUAGAAAUUCUGAAAUUGGACUUAUUUGCAAAGUUUCAUAACAUUUUGGGCCGUAAUACAGUUUUAUAAAGUUUUGGGGUCAAACGAUAAUUUUAGAAAAUAUGUCACUGUAGCAGUUACUGUAGAAAACGGCGAUCCGACAUCUUGAUAACGGCUCGCCGACAUCUAACAGAAUUGAAGAUUAGUCUCUGGACCUAAACGGCGAACCGACAUGUGUGAUAAACGGCUCGCCGAUAUCAACCAGUAGCCUCUGGACCUAAACGGCGAUCCGACAUAUAGUUAACGGCGAGCCGACAAUUUGAAAAAUCAGCCCAACGGUCAUAUUGACCAGUCAAACGGCGAUCCGACAUCUAGCUAACGGCGAUCCGACAGUGUGCAGAAAGUCAAUAACGGCUAGUUUUCAGCUCUAACUAUAAAUAAGCUCAAUCCAAUUCAAACAAGGAGUGAUCCAAGAGUUAUCAUUGAGCUUGCCAUUGAGCAUAAAAUUAUUAUUGAGCUUUGAACUUGUUUUUGUUUCUUUGAUUCACACAUUGAGCAUUCAUUUGUAAUCAAACACAUUGUGUGAGAGAAAAUUCAUUUGUAAUAUUUAUCCUUGAGAGGUUGUAAGUGUUGGGAUACACUUGGGUUAAGAGAUUGGAGAUAAUCUCUUGUUGUAAAGGUCCAUUGACACCUUGAAAGUCAAUUGUAAGCGUUUGAAGCAUUGGGAGGCUAGCUUAGUGAAAUCCUCAAGCCCGGUGAGCUUGGAGGCGUGGACGUAGGCGGAGAUUGCCGAACCACGUAAAAAUCAUUGUGUUUGUUUUCUCUUCCCUUACUCUUUUAUAUUGUGAUUGAUUUAUUUGUUAUUGCUUUAAAUUAGUUUUGGAUUUUCAUUGUGUUUUGUUUUAGAAUUGAAUAAUUUUUUAAUAUCCCAAUUCACCCCCCCUCUUGGGUUGCAUAACUAGAAUUUCAGAUAUAACACACACUAUCAUAGAUGUAGCGACACGGUGAAGUAAAUCACAUGAAGAUGGAAACGGAAACCCUUCACAACAUAAAAUUUGAAUGGAGGGGGGAAAAAAGGCUUCAUUUCGAAUGUUGUACAGAAGAAGAGUGACUUGAAUCUCUAUCAGUAUCCAGACAUUCUACAAACACAGAGUUGAGAAUUUUAACAAGAAUAACAGACAAAAUAUUGUACUUCUAUACUUGUAACAAAACUAGACCAAAUUAGUUCCCUUUUUGGUUUGUGAAAACUUGAUAUUUUUUAAAAUUCUAUCGAAUGCUUUCAAACAAUAUUUCCAUAAUAUAUUUGUUCAUAGCUAACCUUUGAUGGUUUAAGCAUUUGUUGUAGGCAUGACGGGCUAAUUAGAUUUUUUUUUUUUUAUCCGAUGAAUGAUAUUCAGCUGUUCUUAAUUAUGUGUUAAUAGGCAAGAACAUUUUCUUAAGUACUUUCAUUGCCUUCCAAGUUUCCAAUGAACAAACAGAGCACAAACAAAUUUAACGGAACAGUAACGAUGACAAUAAAUAAUUGGCAAGGAAAGAAAGAAAAAAGUUUGCAUGAUUUCAAGGAAUUAUAAAAUCUGAACACUUUCAACAUGCAAGUGUUGCCCCUCUUAUUGAAAUUUCAUCAUAAAAUGCUUGCAAGGAAUUAUAAAAUUUUAGAGAACAAGGGAACUCUCAAAACAAAAUACUCAAAUUAAAUUAAAUUAGACCAAAAGACGCUCAAUGACGCAAAAUCUGCCCAUAAAAGCCUGAACGAAUCAUGAAAAGUGCAUUCCAUAUUGACAGUAAACCAAGUGACCCAUUCUAAACAAUUGAGAUGAAAUUGUGAAACAACCCACGAGAUCAAAUAAAUAAAAUAAGAAUUAAUUACCAGCUGGGACUUGCUUCUUCAAAUUCGUAACUCCAAGUCAUAAGAAGCCAAUGAAAUUAGUCGUAAUCCACAGAGUAUAACGACGACCCCGCCAACAGCUGAAAAUAAAAUUCUUAUUCAUCAAUUUAAACUAACUUUAUAACAAAUAUCUUAUCGAUAUUUUAUUUAAAAAGAAAAAGCAAAUUUUGUAAAAUUUUUCCAUGGGAGAUAGAGAGUAACACGUAUAUCCGUACCUUCUCAGCAUGUAAUUGUUGUAUGGUCGUGUUAAGAUCAUUACUAGCCCAACGCCGUUGAUUCGAUGUCUCUCCAUACCAGACGUUUACUCUCGGAGGCGUGCUUGAUUCUCCUGUAGUGAAAAUCUUGAAUUUGGGACAACCAAUCACAGAUAGAUCUUGCAAAGAUGGGAAUUUGAAGGUGUAAUUGGCAGAGCAGAAACUUGUGAGGCUGUCUAAAUCACGCAGUUCCAACCUCUUCAAUUUGCGGGAAACAAUCUCUUCUUUUUCAACCCCGUCUUUGUCAUUUAUUACCACCUCUGUCAUUGCUCUGCAUCCGUAUACACAAAGUGAUACGAGUCGCACUAGAGUUUUUGCUGUGGAGGAUGUUACUAAGUGUAUCAAUUUCUUGCAAUCGAAAGCUACAAGUUUUGUUAGGUUCCCAAAAGAUACCGAUGAUGAUUGCAAUAGAAUUAACAGACUUUGACAAUGAUAUACUCUUAGAAUUUCAAGAUACUGAAAAAUGGGGCCAAGUUUGGAGUCUUGUUUGCACAGCUGCUUCAGAUGAUAGUGCCGGUACAGCUCUAAUUCUUUUAUCAUUGCCAACUUCCCCACAUGUUUCUCUAAGCAUCCUUCCAUCGAAAAUACCUCUUCGUGGAAUGAAAAAUAACACAGUACGAGCAUUUCGAGAUUGUGAAAUCUCUCCAGUACAUUCCAGAUUGGAAAACAAGCUGAGUCAUCUCCAACAAUCUCUAGUUGUUUGAGACUGCCAAAAAGGUGUUGUGGGAAAUCGGCCUGCAAAAUCAUCUUCACGUAUUUUCCGCAUAGUGAUAGUUCCGUCAAGUUGGGUAAGAUCUGAUCAUCAUCAAUCAUAAUAACUAAUAAGGUCAAUUGAUGUUCUCUCAAAUGAUUUUGAGUAAUCCAAUCAGACGCAGUGAGUUUAUAGUAUUUGUUUUAUAUUAUAUUUUAAAAAAAAUUGAAUUAUUGAUAAAAUUUAUUAAAUGAUUUUUUAUAUGUUAAUUUUAGAGGUAAAAAAGAAAUUAGGGAAAAAAGGUUGAUUUAUACUGACUCGAAAUUAUUUUAUUGCACAAUAAUAAAUUACUAAUUUAUUUUGUAAGUUCUUCUAUAUGGAAAGACUCAAGAUUCUUUUACAAAUGCUAUACCUAAAAAAGUUUAUAUAAUUAUUAAUCUACCACAUUGAUCCCUUAAUCUAGACUAGCAAAGAUUAUUGUAUAAUAAAAGUUUUUAAUUUAUUAAGCAUUAAUUUAUCGAUACUUUGUCAUAUUUUUCAAAGUUAAAAAUAAGCUAUAGAUAAAAAAUCUAGAAAAUGGCUUCAUACCUUUUCCAGCGGCAAUAAGGGCUGUUGUGCAGGAAUACCAAGUUGAUCAUUCCCAUUAUUCUGCGAUAAAUCUGCAGCGAAUAUCUUUAAUUUGUCACAACGAUACACUAAAAGAAUUUCUAGGGCGGGCCAUUCCGAAGUAUGCAUUCCAGGGUACAAACAUCUAAGUUUUGGUAGAUCAUGGAGUAUCAAAGUGGUGAGCUGUGGAAAGACAAAAUAAGGGAUCACUUGAUCUGCUCUGUUUUCAGAAAUGACCUCCUGUAAAUCCUCACAAGAGCGUAUUUCUAGGCGUUGGAGCUGCUUAAGGCUUCCGAUCAUGGACGCUGAAAAUAUUUAUUUUAAUUUGUGACAACCCCACACAAUCAAUCGUGUUAAACUUUGAAAGUGAGGAAACACGGCCGCUGGAAUUUGAUUGUAGUGCCAAAUCUUGUCGACAUUAAUUUCAGAUAUCUCCAAAGCCUCCAAGUUAGGCAACGCAACCUAAAAAGAUAAGAAUUUCUUGUUGAAAAUUUCUCUUUGAUUACAAAUUAAUGCAAGUCAGAAUCAAUUUCCAACUGACAGCUGAGUAUGCAUUCUAAUUCAUACUACCUGUUAAGAGCUCAAUUAGUGAGUGCGUGAGAUUAUUUUUUUCCCCAUUGUUUUCAUUUUCUUUCAAUUCUCUAAAUGAUUUAAUUAUUUUCCACGUUUGACAUAAGAGAACGCAUGAUAGAAUAAACUCUGUUAUAUAUAUAUAUGAAUAAAAUGUUAGCCUACGCACCUUCUCAUUGAAAAGCAAAGUUGAAAUAUCCAAAGUGAUUUCGCUGGAGCAAUACAUAGUCGUCGAUUCCUCUUGCGACACUUGUCUGUUCGGUGAUGCUGAAGGAGUCUCCACCUCACGGCAAAAACUUGUAACCUCUGGAAGAUUCCCCAGACUCAAAGAUCUUAAUUGAGCAAACUCUAUCUUCUCAAUUGCAUUAUCAACUUCUUCCCCAACUGCAAAAAUCUCUUUCAUCUUGCUGCAAUUAAUAACUGCAAUCCUCUCAAGUCUUGGAAGGCAUUUUGUAGUAGAGAGCCAAAAGAUAUUACUCAACUUAUUACAACUAUAAGCUUCUAUGGUUUUGAGUUUGUUGAAAGACUCUACUUUGAGCCGAUCAAUACAUAUCCUCUCCAUGUUGAUCAAAUUGUGAAGGGCCAGUGACUCCAAAAGAGGAAAGGCAUCACAAGCGACCAUCUCCCUUGAAUCGACGAUACAAAAGAAGUCAGGAUUAUUUUGAAUGCAGAGGACCUUCAAUUGUGAAAAGCCCUCCGUGUCCAAAUUGAAAAGAACAUUCUCGAUGCCUUGCAGCUUGUCCAACCGUAAGUAUUCAACGUUAUUGAUGCCCUGCAAUUUCAUGGAGCAAAUGUCCAUAAAAUCAAGCUUGAGCUCCAAUUCUCUUGAAAUCUUGCGAUCACUGUUGAUCGAAAAGCGCGGCCGACUUUUAAACCAAUGUUGUCCAACACUCAUGGGAUGCAUGAAUAACCCAUUUCCAAUAGAUAUUUUGAACCUUUCGAGCUUUCUGGCCAAAAAACCUUCUGGUAAAAUAUUGUCACUUUUAACGUCAAUUUCUAGAGAGGUUAGCCGAGGUAAAUGCAUCAAUUCGUCAAGGCUAGCAUUACUUCUUUUGCUGUUGGCUCUUUCAACCUCCCAUUCAAUGAAGCAAUUACCCAUAUACAAUUCUUCUAAUCGGAUUAAGCUUGAUAUGACAUUUGGGGCAAUAACUUUCAGACGGAAACAGUCUGUUAAAUCUAACAGCCUUAGCUUAGUCAGUUGACCCAGUGCUUUAGGCAACUCUACAAUAUCAGAUUGCAAAAAGCUAAGGAUUUCUAGAUUUUCCAACUUUCCAAUAAUGGCUAUGUCUAUGCCUCCGAAAAUGCUUUGAUUAAGACAAAGUGUCUGAAGAUUUACUAGAAGACCAAUUGAAGAUGGCAAUGACAAUAACCGCAUUCUAGUCAAAUCCAAAACCCGAAGCUUUUUCGUCCUUUUGAAUAAGUUCUCAGGAAUAUUAGGCACAGCAAAAGAGUUCUUGGGAGACAUGACUAGAAGUUCAAGUUGUAGAGAUUCGGACCCUUCAGGAAUGUCAUUAACAAUACUAUCUUUAAAAGAAAUUGCAAAAUAUUUUUUAAUUCAUCUGCAUUUGGCCAUUUCCAAUCAUCCUCAUUUCUCACCACAAAUGCAUUCAUGUCACGAAAUGCAAUUGAAAUGGCAACAUCGUGAACAACAUCGUGCAUAGAAAUGUAUUUACUGCCACCAUCCUCAAGCAACAAACAAGAGUCUCUUAGUUGACUGACCCAUGCAUCUAAUUUGUUAUGUGCAUCUUCUAGCUUAUGGACACUUUUAAAUACACCCAAGCCCAUGCUGUAUUUGAACAAAUCCAUAAUUGGUGCUGGCGUAAUAAGACUACACAGUAAAAAAGUUUUCUUGAGUUGCUCACCUCUUAAGUACUUGUAACUCAGCUCAAUUGUUGAGUAUGCCUCUGCUCGUACUCCUUCGUCGAAGCUUGCCUCUGAAGGCGUUUGGAGUUCUUGCAAGGCAUUCUUCCACACAGGCAGCUCUUUUUUUCUCAGUGCCUUUGCUACUGUGGUUAGGGCAAUAGGCAAACCUCCGCAUGCCUUGGCUACACUGGUUGCUGUAGAUUUUAACUAACGAUUUUCAACAUAAUCACCAGCCAUUAUCUUGAACAAUCUCCAGGCUUCUUGUUCAUUUAAAAUGCCAAUCGAGAAGUUUUUUUCAGAUCCCAUCCUUAACAGCACAUCAAGAUCUCUUGUUGUGAAUAAUAAUUUACAUCCUCUGUGCUCAACUCCAAAAGGAAUGCCAAUAGUCCCCAAAUCAAGAGGUUUCCAGAUGUUAUCGAGAAUCACAAGGAUCUUCUUCUCAUUCUUCAAUCUUUCAUAUAGUCUACUAGCUCUUCUAGACUCAGCUUCCUCGGACAACUCUAGGCCUAACGUUUCCGCAAUUUCCUCUUGGAUCUUUCUUAUGUCUGGACAUUGGGUAACCUCCGAAAAAACCACCAUAUCGUAAAGCUUGUCUUCAAUGGCUCGCCUUGCAAACUCCUUCACCAGUGUCGUCUUUCCAAUGCCGCCCAUGCCGUAGACCCCAAUGAUGCUGACAUCAACAUCGAUCAAUGCAUUUUGUAUGGCCUUCAAAGUAGAAAGUCUUGAAUCGAAGGCUUCGUAGCCUUUGUGAGACUUGAGCCAUAUAUCCUCCGGAAUGGUACGGUAGGAAAUUCCAUCAACAAAUCUCCCAGCUUCUUCUCGGAGUUUAACAAUGGCCUUCACCUUUGUUUCUGCUUUCUUGCUAAGCUGAUAGCGGGUCUUCAAAUUAGGACACAAGCCCAUGAGACAUCGUUUAUUUGUUGUCUUCUCAUCAUCAAUGAAUUUGGCUGCCUGCUCAAUGAUGAUGUUCGCACUAACCAGCCACUUCUCAACCUUCUCUUCAAUAUUUUCCCCUUUUCUUUCAGCCUCAGAAACCCUGUGCUGAAUGCUUCUCCUUUCAUCCUUGAGCUUGUCUAUUUCUGCCUUGAGUUUCUCAACGUUGGCUUUAUAGUUACGCAAAUAACCAAGUCGGCGUUCUGUUGGAGGAGCCAAGCAUUUCACAAAUUCUAAAACACUAGUAACAAUGCUUUCCACCAUCCUGGAUCCCUUUUCUUUUUUUCGAAGUUUCUGACAAGAAAAUAAACAAUGAGCGAAACACAGAGAGAGUGAGGAGAAAAAGAAAAAGAAACGCAAAGAUGGACAGUUUAUCUGGUUGUGGAAGCGGAGAAAUGAAAGAAAUCGUAAUAGCUGUUAUGGAUAUGCUGAGAAGAUGGAAACAAGGAAAAGGUUUCUAGUUCAACAACUGGAUUGCGAGCGGAGAGACUAAUUAACAAAGACUGGAGAUUACAACAAAGCAGAUGCCAAGAGAAAAGUUGAUCCAGUGAAAUUCAAGAGAGUUGACAGCAAAAGGGAGCAAAGAUUAAUAACAAAACAGCAGUGACUACAAUGAACAAAAGCAUAUGCGUUUCUUGAUUGAGAAUGAGUGCAAAGAAUGAUCCUUAAUCAAUAAAAUAUCUGACAAUAUCUUCACCGAAAGUUUGAGACAUGUGAUCCUUAUUCCACUGCGUCAAUUACACUCCAGACCAAUGCUGCCGUCAUUAUCGAACGGUCGAUAUCCAACACUUGCACGAAGAUUCCAAGAAGUUGCGUGGCUGCCGACUUUUAGAUGCAAAGCCUCAUUGUGUCGAUGUUACACAAAAGAGAGCAGUCCGGGUAAUUGCCAAAACUUAGAACUAAACAGUAGCUUAGUCAGAAAAUCAAACGCCAGUACCGGUAAAAUGACCGAUAAAAAUAUAAAGAAAUAAAAAUUUUAAAGUUUUACUUCAUUGCUUUUUUAAUCUUAUUACUAUUUCUCCUUGCACUUCUAAAGAAACCAAAGCUUUAAAAGAAAUCAGCCAAAUCAAGAAGAUUGAAAAGUAAAUCUAUGGUUUUAGAUUUUUAUUUUAUUUUUUUAGAUAAUAGAUAUUGUUGAGUAAUGAAAAGUACCAGCUCCGCUAUCCCCUCUUUCCUCACCCUGGGGCGAAUUUCCCCAUAUGAAUGGCACGAGCAGAUUCCUGGUAAUACAUCCUGUACAAGGCAUAUGCCGACUAGAAACGAAUACCGACCAGAUGUACAUACCGACCAAGUACUCAUUAUUCAAAGAAAGAGGACACGAUCUCACAAACUCACGACAAUUUUGUCAUGCCCCAAACUGUUGGGGAGAACAUGACGCCCCACGUUUACCCACGAUUCGGUGGUUGGAAACCCAUGAAGGUCCGUCAUCACCCGAAAAUGAGGGGCAUGAAUAAUACUCAGAAAACAUGGGAUGAUUGCCUAUAAAAGGCCAAGAAAUCGAUGAAAAAGGGGAGACAAAAAUUGAGAGUAAAGGGGAAACUCUGUCAAAUUAUAAUCAGAAAUUCAUAUAUCAAAAUCCUUGAUACAUUUGGUAUUGAGAAUAUUGCAACUAAUAUGUACAACACAAAUCAUUCACUUUUCUCGUAAACACCUUGUACUAAAUUAAGUAUUGAAGGGUUUAUGCCCGAAAAACCACUGGCGUCUCUGAUUUGUUUCUGUGAACGCAGGCCUGGAAGGAAGAAGACGGGUGAUUUGGGUCCCAGAAGCUCGGGAAAUUGCUGAAGCUGAUGGAUCGCAGCCUCCGUUCCUUUGUCGAUACAAGCGUUGGUGAACCAAUCUAGUCGGUCCAAAGGCGACCAGAUUUUAGCAUCAACAUAUAUUAUUUUGAUGAAUUUUUUAAUAUGAGAAUAAUGUUAGGAAUUCCAAUAGUAAAAUUCUAAUUGAGACCCAAUUGUUAUGUGUUAUUUUUUUAUUGAAUAAUGAAUUUCACAACUAAUAAAAUUUAUAUUUCCAUCAUCUAAUAAAUGACUACCAUAUCAGUUGGGACUCAAUUAUUAGGAUCCUUAACAUUGCUCUUAGUAUUAAAUUGGACAUCUUAGCUAAAUCAGAUUAAAAAUCAAAUUAGAUUUUAGGCUUUUAUUCAACAUCUCUUUUUUUUUUUUGGUCUAUUGGAAGUGAACGAAAUAAAAAUACAACAGGGUCAACGACUGGGCAAUUGGUAGUCAAGUAGAAGCAAAUCAAGGCUAAAUGGGAAAGAGAAACGAUGUUUGUGCAAAACAAGGAGAAAAUCCAUGUAACAGAAGAGAAUCAAAGUGCUUUUGAGAUCAAAAAUUGAAACAAGAAAAAGGUCGCUUGAUCCAAUGAAAAUGCAAAGAGUUGAUGGCAAAAGGGAACAAAGUUAAAUACGAAAACAGCUAGCGCUAGCAGCGACCACAAUAAACAGAAAAUUUGAGAUGGAUUUACAAUAUUUCUGCCUUUCUUUAUGCUUUAACAAAUAUUGCUCUAUCAAAAAAAAUAUUGAACAUUUUUAUUAUUGGAGUCACAAAAGACCUACACAAUAUAGCAAGUGACUAGGAAUAAAUAAGAAUAUAUAACUCUCUCUCUAAUUCUCACUCUGGCUUUUAAUUGUCACUCAAAACCCAGAAUUCAUCCUUAAAGUGUAGGCAAAUCAGAGAUGACAUCGUUUGGUUGUCAUACGUGCCUUUUAGUUUUCGGAUGACAUGGCGUACACUUCUUCUGUAAACCCAACACGACAUGUCGUACUCUUUUGUUUUGAGAUCCUAUUUCAAACUUUUCAUGCUAUGAAUGAAAGAUAAACUCCAAUCAUCAAAAUAUUUAGUGUUUGUUUGGUAAUGUAAUGUCAUUGUUGUUGUGAAUUGAAAUUAUUUCUGUAAAAUAAAAGGAUUUGGGUCAUUGUUUGUUAUUUUCUGACAAUAUUUAUUAAAUAUUAAAAAAUAAAUUUAUAUUUAUUAGUUAUUAAAAAUAAAUAAACAAACAAAAAUAAAAGGAAAAGUUUAUACAUUACGUAAAAUAAUGACAAUAUCAAUAUUUCGCACUCUAUAAUUGAGUGAUGUGUUGUCCAACUAGCAUACUUUGGUCCCAAACGGAGACUUAAAUAUCAAAGUCCAAAGUUAUUGUGAUGAUGACUUAUAAUCGCCAAACUUGACAUACGGGUAAUCAUGCAUUAUAAGGUGCUGAUUUCUUCCGAUCGGAACCUUAUUUUUCAUUUACAAAUAAAUAAAUGAUGUGACUUCACGGUUGGCGGGGUCCUUUGUGUCAUUUGGGCAUUUCACUAAAUGAUUGAUUGUAGCAGGAAGAUUCUUGGAAGUUGCCAUUUGCCAAUGCUACUAACAUUUUCAAACUUGGAAACCCCUUCAAUCAAUCUUAUAGUGUUAGGCUCUGGUAGCUUGGUUUGAUUAUGACAUAUGAUUAUUUGAUAAUAAAACUAGAGGAUGUAUUAAUAUAAAUCUUGUUUAUUGGUGUUGAAAUUAAUUAUCUCAUUGAUAAUAGUAUAAAAAGUUAAUUACUAAGAAACACAAAGCAGUAGUUAAUUGGUGUCAUAUUAUUGAGAUUCUAGGAUAUAAUUUUAUAUCAUAACUUUGUAAGUGUAUAAUUACUCAUUAAAUUAACAAAAUUAUUUAAAAAUAUUUAGUUGGAAAAAAUAAAUUAUAGCCUUUUUAUUUCAAAUAAUCUAUAAGUUAACUCAAAACAUAAUCAAGCUGAGAAUUAAAAUAAUGCUACUGUAUGAGAGGAUUUUUAUUUUUUCCCAAAGUUUCACUAGGAAAUUAUUGAUAUAUAGCUUUAUUCGGAUCAUCUCAGUUCAAACCACAAAUAAUUGAAAGACUAAACUAAAUAGACCAGCCAACAACCUUGUACAAGAGAGUUCAAAAAUUAAGGUCAUGGUAUUGAGGUGUUCUUUCUUGAAAAGUACAGCAUAGUAAUAAAAUAAAAACUAUUAGUCUUUGGUAAGAUAUAAUUUUUAAAUAAUAAUUUUCACAAAAAUACAAAAAUAUUUAUAAAGUACUUCUAUAGUGAGGAGACCCUCACUUUGUUAAAGUGAAAAUAUCAAUAAUAAACAAAAGAAAUAUAUUUUAGCACAUUAAAAACUGUAUUUUUUUUAUCUAUUGGCGUAUUAAAAUAUGUGUUAUUUAGUUUGUUAAUGAUAUCACCACUUUGUUAAAAUGAGGAUGUCCGUCUCUAGAGAAUCAUUAUAUAUAUAUAUAUAUAUAUAUAUAUAUGUAUGUAUAUAUAUAAAGUGUUUCUCUCCAAGGCCUAGACUUUAUUAAAAUUUAAGAAAGCAAAUAUAUUUUAUAUGGUAUAAUAGUGUAAUAACAUCACACUAUUAUAUCAUAUAGAGUAAUAGUUUUUCGAACUUUAAUAAAGCUUAAGAUUAUAGAAUGAAUGAUUUAUACACAUUAUAAUUGUUUUUAAUCAUAAAGUGGAGGAUAAAAUUAAUAUAUUUUUUAAAUUAUAAUAAAUAUUUAUCAAAUAAUUUAACAUUGUAGUAUCUCCUAAUUAGUAUAGUAAAUACGACCUAGGAGGUACAUUAAAGUAGUUGUUAAUAAUAAAUGAUAUAUGCAGCUCCAAUCAUCAUUGUACGAUGAGUAAUUAUAUAUGAAUCUUCACUUAUAGGUGAAAGCACUUUGUCAGACAUCAAAUCUCUGCAAAAGAUACCCGUCUUUAUUCGCUCAUUAUCCACACACACACAUAUUUAAUCUCACCUUUUUUUUUCCAAUCAAACCGAACAGAAAAAGAAAAAAAAUAAUUUUUCUUUUAAAAAAAAUGUAAAUUGAGGUUAUGUGAUUGUAAAGGCUGAUGUUACAAUACCUGCAUGUAUCAGAUACAUGCAGGUUUUAUGGCCGUUGGAUUCAUUGUAUUGAAUCCAACGGCCAUAAAUGAAUUUAAACAAUAAAUAAUUAAAAAAAUAAAAAAAACUUGAAACCUAUAGAAUCGGUCUCAACACACACCAAACCCCCUCAACACACAUCAAACCCAGGCAAAUAUAUUUGUUGGGAAAAAAAACAAACAAAAGGCUCUCACCUCACGCGGGAAAUCAAUUUGUUCUUCCCUCCAUCCUCACUCACGGCUCACGACUCCUGAUAACUCUAUGAAAUGAGAGUUAUCAUAGCACUUUUAGACUUAAAUUAAUAUUACUUAGAGAGUAAAUGAUGUGAUUCUAUUGCAUUUUUGUUACAUUUUGCAUAAAUAUUCAUUUGAGUUUAGUCUUAAUGAGUUUUGCUUGAUUUAAAGUAAUUUGUGCUCAAAUUGUGUACAUAAUUGUAGGUUUCCAGAAGCUUAUAAUUCAUGGAAGGAAUGCUAUGCAAUAGGCUUGCAAAAUAAAAUCCACUGGAAAAAUAAAUUUAUCCACCUUCACCAACACAUCUUCAAUCUUCCCUUCUGGAUAUGCAUGAGAUCUGUCAGCAAGUUGUAAAGUCACUGUUGUUGGUCUACAUUCACCAACUCCCAAUUGCUUAAACACUGAUAAAGGCAUGAGAUUGAUGCUAGCCCCUAAAUCACAAAGUGCUUUGCCACUGUAUUCAGUGCCUAUGGAGCAUGGAAUUGUGAAGCUUCCUAGAUCCUUCAUCUUCUGUGGUAUCUUACUCUGAAGCAUUCGGCUGCACUCUUGUGUUAAAGCAACUGUCUCAAAUUCUCCAAGUCUUCUUUUCUUUGACAAGAUAUCCUUAAAAAUUUUUGCAUAAUUUGGCAUUUGCUCUAGAGCUUCCACAAAAGGGAUAUUGAUAUGUAGCUGUUUCAGCACCCCCAAAAUUUUGCUGAACUGCUUGUCUUAUUGUUGCUUCUGAAAUCUUUGAGGGAAUGGUGGUGGGUGUCUAAACUGCUGUGCUGCAGCAGGUUGUACAGACUGCUUCUCUUUUGCUCUACUCAGGUCUGUUACUAUUGGUGUUGUAGCUUCCUUACCACCAGAUGCUGGAUCAUAACUUUCUGUAAAUGUUGUAGCAGAGCUGUGUUGAUUUGCAUUCCGAAAAGUGGAAGACUGUGACUCAUUCUCUACUUGAGUGUCUUCUUGGCCUUUGUUGGACUCAAUUUUUCUUUUUGGUACACCAACGGGACUAUGAACAUCUUUUCCAGAUCUCAAGUUAAUUACUUUGCAGUGCUCUUUCCCUUCUCUUCUUGGGUCCUCUGUAUUAAUGGGUAAACUACCGUGAGGUCUGUUGCUUACUGCUGUAGCAAGCUGUCCAAUUUGAUUUUCCAAGUUUUUCAAAGAUGCAGCAUGACUUUGGACAACCACUUCAUUUUUCACAAUAUAAUCCUUAAUCAAACCUUCAAGGGAGCUAAGUUGAUCAUUGUUGAUACUUCUUUGCUCUUGAUUUUACUGAUAAAAUCCAGGUGGUUGAGCAAGUCUGUUAUGUCCACUGGGUGCUGCAGUAGUCUGGUUCUGAUAACUCCAUGAAAAGUUCGGGUGCUGUCUCCAUCCAGGGUUGUAAGUGUUUGAAUAUGGAUUGUCCUGGUUCUGUCUAUUAAAGCUGCCCAUAUAGUUAACCAAAGCUGGAUUACCAGGACAAUUGUCAAAUAAAUGCCCUUCUCCACAAUAAACGCAAGACAUAUCAGAAAUUUGGUUAACAGUUGCUGGAGCAGUAGUCAUAGCCUUUACCAUCCUUGUUAAUGAAGUUACUUGGGCUGACAAUGUUCUCAAGGCAUCUACGUUAUGAACUCCUGCAGUUCCUCUUGCUGCAGCUUGUUUGGUUGAUGGCCACUGAUAAUUGUUGUUAGCAAUCCUCUCUAAAAUUUCAUAAGCCUCAUUGUAAGACUUAGAUAACAAAGCCCCAUUUGCUGAAGCGUCCACCAUCAAUCUAGUGCUUGGGUUGAGACCAUUAUAGAAAGUUUCCAACUGUAUGCAUCAAGGAAUACCAUGAUGAGGACAUCUCCUAAGUAACUCCUUAAAUCUUUCCCAUGCAUCACCAAGCUCUCAUCUUCAAGUUGAUGGAAAGAUGUGAUCUCGUUCCUCAACUUUGCAUUCUUGGUUGGCGGGAAGUAUUUCAACAAAAAUUUGUCAGCCAAGUCACUUCAUGUAGUGAUAGAAUCUGGUGGUAGAGAAUUCAACCAUGCUCUUGCUCGAUCUCUCAAAGAAAACGGGAAAAGUCCGAGUCUCAAUGCUUCCUGCGAUGCUCCAGCAAUCUUGAAAGCAUCACUUACUUCCAAAAAUAACUUAAGGUGUAAAUGAGGAUCUUCGGAUGGCAAACCAUUAAAUUGCCCCACUGUUUAAAGCAUCUGAAACAUCACGAGUUUGAGUUCAAAAUUGUCAGCUUGAACGUCGGGUCUAACUAUUCCUGGAUGUAUGGCUUGAGGAGUCAACACUGCGUAAUCUCAAAUGGCUCUAUCUCUAUCGUUCACCAUGUGAAUAAUGUCGUUGUUCCCUGGUGGAUAAAUUUAUUUUUCCAGUGGAUUUUAUUAUGCUAGACUUUGAGGCAGACAAAGAAGUGCCAAUCAUUCUAGGGAGACCUUUCUUAGCUACGGGAAAGACUUUAAUUGAUGUUCAAAAAGGAGAAUUAACCAUGAGGGUGAAUAACCAGCAAGUUACAUUCAAUGUGCUGGAUGCCAUGAAGAGUCCCGAUGAGAUUGAAGAUUUUAAUUUUAUCAGUGCUGUGGACUUUGUUGUAACUGAGAGAUUACACAGUUGCUGCUGUAAGGAAGAAAUCAAUGCUGUAACAAUUGAAGGACUUGAUGAUGAAGAUCAUGGAGCAGCUAACAUAGCAUGGUUAAGGAAGAAGCAACCAUUCAGAAUUGACGAGCAAAUCCAGCAAAGGGAACUCACUCCAGAACAACAAGAAUUCAAGGUUAAUGGGCCAAGAGUAAAGCACUAUAUGGGAGAUGGUGUGAAUAGCCUAAAGAGGGAUCGGUUCUUGAAAGAUCUAGGUUGAGGAAACAAGAAAGGUCAGGCUGAAGGACCUAAAAUCAAGCGCUAAUUGGGAGGCAACCCAAUAAGGGAAGUUGUUUCAAGUUUUUAUGGCAUUGAAUUUAGCUUUUAAAUUAUUUAAUUUGUCUUUUUGUUAUUUUAAGUGUGCAUCUAAUUUUUUAUGUCUUUAUGUUACAUUGUAGCAAGUACAAAAAAAAAUGUGGGCAAAAAGAGCAGGAGGGAAUUGCUGCAGCAUCACUUACAGCAUGACAUAUAACAGAAGAUUCUCAAACAAUAGAGACAUUUCUUGCUUUUGCAGCAGCAAAUGGAUUGAUCAUAUUUUAUGAUAAGGAGCGUUUGAGAAGUGGAUCAAAGAAGAAGUGACCCUUUACAGCCUGUGCUACAGCAGUGCUUCCAGCAACAGGGCAGUGCCCCUAACCGCUAGUUUAUUUUACUUCUUGCUGUAAAACUUUUCUUUCAUUUAGUUUUAAUUUUCUAAUUCAUUUUGCAUGUCAUUUUAUUUAGUGUAUGCAUGUCUGGUUUAUGUGGUUUUGUUUUGUGUGCUUGUGAGGACACAGCACCACUCAAGUUUGGGGGGGUUGUGUUUAUGAGUGCAUGUGUUUAUGCUUGUGUUGUGUGAAGCUCUGUUAUCUAAUAUUUGUGUAUGGAUUUGAAAACCUAAUGAAGAUAAAUUGAGUGUUAUUCAGUAUUUAUGAGAAAGCCAAGUAGAGAUAGUUAUAGAUGGAGGUUGAACUUCAGUCCCGACACUUAGACUUUGGUUGAGUUUUAUGAGAAUGUUGUAGCAGAGCCAUGAAAACCAAAAAAAGAGUAGAAAAUAUCUCAAGUUUGGGGAAAACUUUUUGUUGGACUGUGCUUGUUAUGAAAUAAAUUCUGCUCCAAUGGUUUAAGUUGCUGAGUAACCAGGGUUGAGUAUGCACCCCAUAUGCAAACUUGAGUCCAAAGGCAACACGAGCUACGAGCAGUGCUGCAGCAAUUAUAAAAAAAAGAGAAAUGAUGAUAAAGUGGUCCGCUACCUAGAAUACUGAGUAACCUGGUCUGUUCAUGAGCCCCAUGUUCAGCCUUGAGUCAAAGGCGUCCAAAGGUAUGACCUAGAUAUAACAUCCUGAAUGCGUUGCUGUAGCAACUCUGACAUGUACUUUGAAUGAGUAAUUGGGUGUCGUCAUUACAAGUGAUAGGCAUUCACAUGAAAGCUCAAUGUUGCAUUGAAGGGUUUAACUGAAAAAAAAAUUAUUAUUGUUGUAGCACAGUUUGAAUAUAAUUGUGAGUUCUGAUCCCCCAUAUGUGAAUAUAUUUGUGUUCUACCUCUGAAUUGUAUACAAAGUUUGUGCAAUGCUGUAGCACCUCUGGAAUUUGAUCAAAGUGGAACAUACACACUUUGGACAGAAUGAACCCUAAGUCUAGAACUGAACUACUAUGGCUAUUUUGUAUGAUUAAGAGUGUGAUCUGAGGGUGGAAGAAUCCUUGCAAAUUUGAUGACAGAGCUAAGUUAUUUGUUGCAUGAUUGUGUGAUUGAAGUGUGAAUGUUGUUGUCAUUACUUGAGGACAAGUAAUGGUUUAAGUUUGGGGGUGUAAUAACUCUAUGAAAUGAGAGUUAUCAUAGCACUUUUAGACUUAAAUUAAUAUUACUUAGAGAGUAAAUGAUGUGAUUCUAUUGCAUUUUUGUUACAUUUUGCAUAAAUAUUCAUUUUAGUUUAGUCUUAAUGAGUUUUGCUUGAUUUAAAGUAAUUUGUGCUCAAAUUGUGUGCAUAAUUGUAGGUUUCCAGAAGCUUAUAAUUCAUGGAAGGAAUGUUAUGCAAUAAGCUUACAAAAAUGAGGAAGAACAUGGCUAUAAAAGAAUUGAAACAAAUCUGGAACAGUUCAGUUGCUGUAGCCAUUGCUGUAGAAAUCUUGGAACAACGACAGAAAAAAUUCCGUGCGGGAUACUUGCAGAAUUGCGAUCUGCAGUUUCCUAAUCUGACUUAUGCGCGACAAAGGCUUCCGUUUACCCUAAUUUUCAACUAUAAAAGAAGCACACAUCAUAAGGAAAAGGGAGAGCCGUCACCCAAGGAGAAAAACACAAAGAAACAUAAGAAAUACAAGAUUCAAGAGAGAGAUUAAGGGCUGCACAAGAGGAGAAUUUGCAGAAAUCAAUUGGGAGCUCAAUCCUUCUUAUUCUUCUCUUGUUUUCUCGUUUUCUAUUUAUUUAUGGGGAUGUGUUUCAUGGCUGAAACUUUGUUCUUUAUUUUUCUUUUGCAAACCACGAACUAAAUUUAUUUGUGGUUGAGUGAUAAACAAUCUUGAUGGUUUAUUGACUGAAUUUAUGUGUUGCUACAUGUUUGCUGUAGCAGUUUGUUUUGAUAGUAUAUAUUUUUAUUCAUUAUUUUGGUUGAUCACCCAUUUAAUGAUACAAGUUAGGAGAGAGCCGUAAAAGGGCCUAUCUUAGUGGAGCAUAUCAUAACAAUACUUGAUCUUAAAUUGAGUUUCCCGGAUUGAGUUUUACUUGAGUCCCAAAAAGGCCAUGCUUGAUUUAAGAUUAGUGAUGAACUAGACAUAAGGAUUCACCUUGUAGGGUAAAUAGAACCUAAGCAUGUAAUGCUAUAUCUUAUGUUGGCAUAGCAACUGAUCACUGUUAGGUUGCAUAUAGAUAUAAGAUAUCCAACAUGCGACGGUUGAGGAUAUAUAAGGAUUCUGCCCAGUGCUGUAGCAAAUACUAUAGCAACCGAGCCAACCAUUAGAAAAUAGUCAAGACCAUUAGGAGAGUUUAUUCACUCAACUACUAUAUACUCCCAUUAGUUUUAUCCUUGAGCUUGACGUAAUAGUUUACUUUAUUGCAUUUAUUUAUUGCGUUUUUAUUUUAAUUAGUACAUUAGUUUCAUUAAUUGUUUAUUUUAUUUUAGCACAAAAUCUGCACUGUUAAGAUUGUUGUAGCAAAUCUAAUAACAUCAAUCCCUGUGGAGACGAUCUUGAAUACUCAUCACUUUAUUACUUGUUGUGUACACUUGCACAUUGACACCAAUAGCAUUAGUAUUUAUACACCAACAACUCCUUCUCCCUCUCCCUCUUCACUCACCCUCACGGCUCCCUCUCUCUCUCCCUCUCCCUCUUCACUCACCCUCACGGCUCCCUCUCUCUCUCCCUCUCCCUCUUCACUCAUCCUCACGGCUCCCUCUCCCUCUCCCUCUCCCUCUCCCUCAUCAUUCACUCUCUCGCCUGCAGUCCCUCACGAGACGCCUCAUCAGGGCCACCAACGACGGCGCUAUCCGGCGAAGACACGCGGAGGUUGAUCUCUAUUGCCGGCAAGGAUUUGCAGUUACAGAUUCACAACCCACUCAGUUCCCGUCAGCCCAUUCUGAGUCGUUGUCAGGCCAUAUCUGCAGUCCACCUACGGUAAUGAGACAUGGGUAUCAUGGGUUUUGUUUGGUAUCAUUAUAUUUGUUGAUUGAGUGUUUUAUUUGAUGUGGUAAGAAGAAUCAUUCGCCUCUCAUAUUUAAAAAUUACAGGUUUUAUCAUGUAAGUUUAUUAGUGCGUAUUGUUGGGUAAUGUAAUAAUUUACAUGGAUUUAGAAUUCGCGGAGAGAGUUUGAUGACAUUAUCUGUGUGUAUUGACAGGGGACAUAAUUUUUAGUGUACACAGUAUAAUGGGUAAGCGUAAGGCCAAUGUCGCAGAUGACAUUAAUAUUCAGUCUGAAGCUGGAUCCUCCGAGGCCGGGCAAGCAUUCGUACAUAUACUACUUGUAAGAAACUAAUUCAUUGUUGAAUUUUAUUAUUGACAUUCUGUAGUCAUUUCAGUUUAAUAGUGCAAUAAUUUUAAUUGACAUAUAAAGAACUGAUAUUUCAUAUUAUUUUUCUAUCUACAGCAAGAUAGAAUCCCAAAAGUUAAAGGAGGAAUGUGUGAAGGUGGAUGAAACGGUUUGUAGACAACUUUUCUAUGUUGCAACCUACUAACUAAUAGUUUGGUUAAUGAUUGGCCAAUGAAUAUAUAUAUUUUUUUAGUGUAGGUUAAGGGGCGUAUACGUGACAAAUGGUUGAAACUCAGCGCGAAAGAUAAAGUCGAAUUCAUCAACAGUUAUAAUGAAAAGGCUGAAAUGAACUCGAGAUUGGCCAGUGGAUUGUUAAGUGAACCGAUUCCAACAGUGGAGAACAAUUCUGAUAAGGGUAAUCACCUAUCUCGAUGUAGUGUUUUACGGUUCUCCAACAUUGUUUCUUCGUUAUCUAUUGAACAGCAAGAUGCCGUGAGAGAAAUUGGUUUCGGAAGCUUGUUAGGUUUAAAAUGUGGGCGACUUAGGCAAGAUUUAUGUAGAUUGUUAGUUAAGCAAUGUAACGUAGAUAAGCGGUCGAUAACAGUCCAUGGAAUGGAAUACAAGCUUACUCCGAAAACUUUUACAAGCGUGAUGGGUGUUGGUGACGGAGGAACACCGAUUGUGCUUGGUGGUGAAGAUAGUGAAAUUACUGACUUACGAGCCAAGUAUUGCUCAGGAAAGAAAGGCAUCCCAAUAGGUAGUUUAGAUGAAAAAUUAAAGACAAAUAGUUGUGCAGAUGAAGAUUUCUGUAUUCUAUUUAGUCUAUUUGUGAUUGAAACUAUUUUGUGUCCAACUACAGCUACAUACAUCAACCCAUCAUACCUUUAUGCUUUAAAAGACGUGAAUAACAUUCGCGAUAAAAAUUGGGCCAACUGGUCUUUCAAUUUUUUAUGGGAAGAAGUUUCAAAGUUCAACGAAAAUAAAAUUUCCUCGAUGAGCGGAUGCGUUAUAUUUUUAAUGGUAUGAUUUAUUUAGUAAUUUGUAUUCUCGUUAGUUAAACGAUUAUGGUAUUAUCGAUCAUUAUUUCCGUAUUAACUAAUUUGUUGUUGUUUGCAACUGUUCUACAUGUCAUCAACUAAGUUUCAACUUUCUUCUGUUGCGGAGAAUGGAUGUCCUCUUAGUGCAUGGAUUGAUAGUGAAAUAAAAAGAUUCCUCAAGUGGUGACAAAAGUAUGGUGACUUUGAGAGCAAUGCGGUUUGUUCCCUUCCAUAAUUGUAUAGUGUUUUGUAGUUAUGUUAUUAAAUUGAAUAGAUUAUUUAUGGAUAUUUGUAGUUAAUGCAGGUUUCGAUGCGAGAAAUCAGUUGCAGCUCAUCAGGUGCUCAAAGUGAAGAACAAAUUGACGAUGUUGACACUGCAAGGCAGCAUCCAUUUCAUGCUAUAUUAGCAGUAAUGGAUAGAAUGGAGGAACAUAUGAGAAGAAAUAAUGAUUUACUAUAAAGAAUGGGCUUGAAAAUGGAUUCUCUUACUGAAAAGGUUGAAAAGUUGGAACGAGCAUAUUUUCGUCAAGAAGGAGCGAAUGUCGCUGAUGAUAGUCAAUCACCUCCUACAUGUACUGGUGCCGAGGCAACUGAUGGUCCAAUCUUUUCCUCUCCGAAUAUGAAGAUGCACCCACCUAUCCCAGAGUUGUCACGCUUUUAGAUCUAGUACAGGAAAAGCGUACGCCCAUCGAAGUUAAAGAACGAAAAGCUGUGUACCUCAGCACAUCCACUGAUGAAGAGGCUAUCCUAAAAGAAAAGUUGGCAGAAGUAUUGCAAGACGCGAUGAAGCCUAAAUUGGUGCCGGAACUUCAAGAUGAGGUAUACAUAGAGUAAUAAUUUGUUAACUUUUGUCUAAACUAUAUAUGAUUUAGUCUAAUCGAAACAAGAGAAGAAAUGUCAACAGCCGUAAGAUUUUAAUCCGCUGUCUUUAGGCCCUCCUCGGCCAUACAGAAAUCGAAAGCCGGGGCGGUACCAGUUGUCCCCGUAUGAUCAAGUCUCACGCGGUCCAAAGCCAAAAUAUCGAGCGGGCCCUUUUUUAGUGAAUGAGCCGGUGACCCUCGAUCAAUUGAAAAUGCUCUAGUAUGGAUUUGACAAAAGCACUAGCCUAGAGUAACAAUACCUUCAUGGCCACUCAUCAAGCUCUUUUCGUUUAAUAUGUUGUCAUAGUUGUUUGAUUUUGUUAAUAUAUCAUGUGAUUAACAUACAGUGAAAUAAUUGUGCGAUCAAGUCAUGAGGAUAUCACUCGGCGAGGCUUGUUAUCACUUUUGCCCGAUGCAUCACUUGACGAGGAGGUUUAUUCGUAAUUUGACUUUAAUGAUAAAAUUGUAGUUAAUAAAACCAAUUAUAAUUGUUCUUGUGUUUAGAUUAUUUGCAUGAUGAGUGAUUACCUUACACGACGUGAGUCGUGCAAAAGCCACGGGCAACCAAUCAGUUGGUUCCUACCAACAAGAUAUGCAGUUACUGAUCCGUUCCUGUUUUUUUUUUUUUCAUAUCCUUUUUUUCAUCAUUAACUAUGGUAAUUUCAGUUGUGUUCUAUAUGAAUUUGAUGUGAUGAAUAUGUAGCAAUUUGCUACAAUGCCAAAUGCACAUUUAGAUGGUUUCAAGGCUGCCUCCCAAUACCGCAAACGUUACAUGUAUGACCUGCACCGGUGCCAUCAGGUAGCGUGUGUGUUUGUUGAAAUGAUUUUUCGUUAUGAUCGAUAUUAUGUAUGGUAAAAGUGACCCUAAGUUGUUCUUGAAUAGAUCAUUGUUCCCAUGCAUGAUGGUGGCCACCAUUGGUUUAUGCUGUUGGUUAAAAUUAAAGACAAACAAGCAGAGAUCUGGGAUCCACUAUCGGAUGCACAACGGACACGAGAUCGAGAAAUCCAAGUGAAUAGUAUUGUAAGUCCAACUAAUUUUUUUAUAAAAACGAUGAGUUUAGUUUUCUAGGUAUUGUGUUAUUAAUACAUGUGAUGUAUUUUUGCACUUGAAAAUAGUUACACUCGUUGGAUGCUAUACUUCAUGGCGUUGUGGAUGCUACAUAUUCAGUAUCUUGGAGUUUCUUGUCAUUUGUAGUGACCCAUGGGGAAGGAGUUCCACGGCAACCUAACGGUUUUGAUUGUGGAGUUUACGUCAUCAAAUUUAUGGAUACUCCUGGAAUCAUCACCAACAAAUCGUAUGUGGUACGCUCCCUUAUUCGCCUUAUGUGGUUUUUUGGUUGAUUUUACUACUGUUGUUGGGCCACUGACAUGAUGAAAGUGCAUGAUUAUUUCUGCAGCAUGACUCACAGAAUGUUCGGGCGUAACUUGCGUUACAACUUAUAGACUCUCCGUUCAACAAACAACGCGAUCAAUUAUUGACGUUGGCUAAUGCACACUACAGUAACGCUGCAACGUACAUAAAUGAAUCGAAUCGAAGCUUGCAUCAACAGUGAAGCCUCGUAAUGUGUCCACCAAAAAAGGUCAUAAGAAUAGUUCCACAAAACGUCAUUUCAGGCGGAAGGUCUAAGAUUGUUGUGAAUAUAGAUUAUGAUAAUUUUUUGCUGACUUCAUUCACAACCCUAAACUUUUGCUAAAUUUACCUUGUAACUGGCGUUGACGUACGAGUCAUGUAAAUUGUUUUGGUGAUCCAAAGACGUAGAGGGAUUAAUGGGGCAAUUAUGAUUUUUUCCUUCGGCAACCGGUUGUCUUAAUUAAUAUAUGUUGAAAGGAAGAUAAUUGUUGUAAAUGUUGCUAUUAUCACUAAGUAUGCAAAAUAUAUUAUUACAUUGCCAUUGUUCACUUCUUACAUGAUAAUAUAACUCAAUGAUUUCCAAAAAGUUCAUUCUACCCCUCAGUUCAGAUCCAAAAAUUGUAUCAUUAGCGAUCAUCCUCCAUCCUCCAAGUAUGUGUACCGUCCUCAACUAAGCAUAAUGUUACUGCUGUCGUAAUGGUCGUCAAUUCCUUCUGAGAUGUUAAGCCUCCAAGGACAAGUUGUCUCGAACGUAAAUGUUGGGGAACUUGGCGAGCUUGAUUCCAUUGAAACAGGCGGUGUUAACACAUUAUAAGAACAAUGCCUUGGAUGAUCGUCAGUCGAAACACAACCAAUACCGCUAACGCUGCAAUGAAGGUCAUUGGGCUGUAUGUCCUUUGGCAGAUAUAGCGGGCAAGUCCGUUUAGUAUGGCCAGGCUGAAAACACUGACUGCAUUUGCGAUUUUUAGCCCCAUCGUGUUUAACGGUUUUAGAGCAACCUUUACUAUUAACCGUAACCGGGUCUUUCAACUUCAUACCUGCUUGAAGUACACAAUUCCUGGCUCGUUUAGCUGAUUCAUCAUCCGCAACCAUCUGUUCAACGCGAAGCGUCAGCCGUUGAAUCUCAUCUAUCGCUAUCAUAUAACUUUGUUCAUUCUUUGCGGCAAAAAGACAAAGAUUAGUACAUGCCGCUGAAAGUGAGGCAAACUUUGCUGUUUCUAACACUCCUUUAUCGAGGUGUGACGCUGCAGCGGUUAUUUUCAUCACUUUACUCACCUUCGCUGAUUUGGUCCAGCGACCAAGAAUCAAUAGUGGUGGUAUGCGAACUAGUUGCUCGAACUUCAUGACGUGAAAUAUAUCCCUACAUGGAAUACCUGCUGAUUCCAUCAUCUUACAUGAACAAGUAAUUGCAACUUCUUUACUAUAAAAUACCACUGUCCAUUUUUGUUCUGGAUGCUGAAAUUUCAUUAAAGUAUAGAUAUUGGAAUUAGCUGUCUUGGCACACUCAAGCAUAAUUAGCGUGGCUUCUCCGAGGAUCUCCAUCCGAACCCACUUCAAUACAUUCCUUGUAUAUAUUUCGGACGCAUGUUUUUCAAUGCUUAGCAGAUGUGUUGUAAGAACUGGGGCUGUGUGGUUUGUCUCAUACUCAUCUUGGACUUCUUUGUGCCGUAUGCAAUACAUUGCACGAUGAAUUUGUCUAAUGAAAUCAUACAGUUUUAACUUCUUCUCAACAAAGCGACGCAAGUAAGAAUUCAAGCUCUCACACCUUUAUGUGGUUCGCAUUCCGGCGAAAAAGGUUCCUUUCAAAUAAGCCACUGCCCAUUUUCUACGCUUUGCAUACAUUUUUUCCACCCAAGAAUUUUGUUCCAGUCCCAGAUCAUAGAGAACCAAUCUCGAUCAAACUCCUCCAUGGUCAUUGGAUUCAACAUUAACUGCCGAAACUUCGACGUGAACUUAUUUCUCUUCACAUUUGCUUGUGCAUUCCGCUCAAGAUGCCAGCAGCAGAGUCGAUGUACACAUCCAGGCAUAACAGUUUUAAUCGCUUUCGACAUAGCUUUAUCACCAUCUGUUAUGACACUUAUGGGUUUUUUUUGUUUCAUUGCCGAUAAGAAAGUCUGUAGCAGCCACACAUAUGAUUCAACAGUUUCGUCAAUCAGUAUCGUAAAUCCAAAAACAGUAGUUCUUUUAUGAUGAUUUACACCAACAAAUGCGACCAAAGGUUUGUUGUAUGCAUUUUUCUUGUACGUUGCAUCAAAACCUAAAACAUCUCCAAAUUGUUCAUAGUCGUACCGAGCAACAGUGUCGGUCCAGAACAAGUUUCGCAGUCGAUUUUCCUCAUCAAGAGUAUACUCGAAGUACACUCCAGCAUCAUAAUCAACCCUUGCAGAUAAGUACGCAAUGGUAGCCUUUGUGUCGGUGUCAAUAAUUUGUGCAUGGUGAUCUGCGUCUAUUCUAUUCCGCAUGUCCUUACCCAUAUACCCAACAUGAUGGAACCCUCCUGCUUGAUCAGACUUGUAGUUCAUGAGCUGGCACACUUUCACCCCAACUUGUCGCAAUGCCUUUGCGUGAGCCAAAUCAGCUUCGUUGACAAGUCUAUGCAAACGAAGAAAUUGUGUCUCGUGCGGUUCAACCAAGCGAUGAGUGUGCUCAAAAACGAAUUUAGUUACCACGUACUUCCCUUUAAACUUAUCAUAGUUCACGCGAAGUUCCGCCUUGCACCCGUUACGAGUAAUGCCCCUCGGUUCCCUGAUUCUGUCUGUUUUCUCCAUCCAUUUUUUUAGCUUGUAUCCCUGUCCUGAGCAAACCCAUCGCCGACUUGCUACUUCACCACUUUUGCCGUCACAACGAAGUUCAUCUUUUCUCACAGAGAAUCCAACCGACUUAGCAUACUUUUUAUACCAUAUGUGGGCAUCAUUGACAUUUUCAAAACAGGAUCCGACACCCACUUCAAUGAGUUCACUUUUUUUAGGCAAACUGUAGGUCGUAUGACUAGAUGAUCUUGUAGCAGAUUUGUCCCCAAAAUAAUCACUGAUUUCGCUAGUUUGUGGCGGUAAUGACGUACCUGCACUUGCACAAAUUUCCAUCCCAUUAUCAUAUGACGGGUUGUCGGGGGGUCCACUUAUUUUCUGUUCUGAUGGCUGGUUAUCAUUGAGGUCUAACACCCAUGCAGAAAUGCUUCCCACGUCUAAAGAUGUUGUCAUGCUCUCUGGUUAUCUUCUCUCAAGAUUCUAGCAUUUGAAGACCAUCAAAAGGACCUAGUUGAAGACUUAAAAGAGUACUGCGUGGGUUAUGUUUGUUGGCAUUCAAUGUCUUCAUUAAAUGAUGGGGUUUGGUUGGUGCUUGGGUUGGUGGAUACAACAUUUAAACGCCUAGCCUAUUACCUAUAAAAGGUUAGCCGGUUUCGCAUUUGUGCUCUCUGGACAUUAAACGGCAAGCCUUUUAAACUCAUGCGGCUAGCCUUUUUCGAAUUGAUGCUAACUGGAGGGGAAACGACUGGCCUCUAAAAUUUAAGAGGCUAGCCUUUUUCGCGUUGGGGCUCAUUGGAGGGGAAACAGCUAGCCUCGAAAAUUUAAGAGGCUAGCCUUUUUCGCGUUGGGGCUCACUGGAGGGGAAACAGCUAGCCUCAAAAAUUUAAGAGGCUAGCCUUUUUCGCGUUGGGGCUCACUGGAGAGGAAACGGCUAGCCUCGAAAAUUUAAUAGGCUAGCCUUUUUCGCAUUUGUGUAUGGGAUGCUCACCAUUAGCGAAAACGGCUAACCUUUAAAAUUUAGAGGCUAGCCGUUUUCGCUUUUGGUGCUCUCUGGACAUUAAACGGCUAGCCUCUAAAAAUAAAAGGCUAGCCGUUUUUUCUUACUAGAGUUUCUGGAACAUGAACGGUCACCCUAUUAAUUUGUAAAAGGUUAGCCGGGUUCAAAGGAAUCAAACUGUUUCGUCUUCACAAAACUGGUCAGCCGCUUCUAUCUCUAAAAGUCGAAUCCUCUCUCCUACGUUCUCAGCCGAAAGAUCCACCGUUUAUAAUCAGUUCAUAGCCCAAAUUCAACCUUAGAAAUCAUUUCCCACCAUUUGCUCUUGCUAAAUUUAACCCUCGAAACCGAAAAACCCUAAGUUGUAAACCCCUUUGACUUCGGUAAAUGUUUGCCGAAAUUGAACUCACAUAUCCCUUUUAAGCAUCAUUAUCUUCCAUUUAAUCGGUUUAUUCCUCUUCAAAUCGCUGAAAAAUCAUAAUGUCAACUUCAAGGCCACGUAGAGCGAAAGACAACGGGAAAGAUGCGAUUCCACCACCCAAACGGAAACGGAAGGACGGCGGCCCUGUAGAACAACCUGAUUUUGAAUCAAGACACUUCCCGGACAAGCGUUUGGCCACCCGUUUUUGCCAAAGAUUCAUGACCCGUAAGGUACUUGAUACAUUCUAUAUUGUGUCUGAUUGGCUUCGUAGCCUUAGUAUCAGUAAUGGAAAUUUGUUGCAAUUGUUGGAGGAAGUUGGUUGGAUUAAUGCCCUUACGAUUAAUGAGAAUGUGUAUCCUGACUUGGUGAAAGUAUUUUACUCGAAUAUGGAUACUUCCACGGAGAAAGAGAAUCGAGUAAUCACCAACGUUAGAGGAGUUUUGAUUGAAUUUGAUGAUACUAAUUUGAAUUCUAUCCUAGGAACCUCCGAAGAUGGGUUAGAAAUAUAUUCUGCUAGGAAAGUUCCUACGAUUGAUAACUUUGUUCAUGUUGAUGCCGUUAGAAACAUUUGUAGGCGCAUUGAUCUUUCUGAUGAGGUCUGUACAAUCGAUUUUCGUGCUCAAUGUCUAUGCCUUCAAUCGCGUAUUUUACAUCGUAUAAUUCAGAAUAUUGUCCUUCCUAGGUCGAGCCACUUAGAUGAUGUUACCCACAUGGAUGUUGCUUUGAUUGAUUCUAUCCUCAGGCAUCGUCCGGUUAGCCUCGGAUACACUAUUAUACGCACCAUGCUUUCCAUACCUAACUUGAUCAGUCGUGCUCUUCCAUACGGAAAUUUCAUCACGCAGAUCCUUAAAUACUUUAGGGUGCCCAUAAACGAACCGUCUUGUAAACCCUGUAGGAGUAUAGGAGAUGAGGCCGUGUAUGCCUUAGGAUUUUUGUGGCGUAAUGGAGCAUGGGUGAAGUAUACUGAAGCUAAGUACACAAUGCUUGCUCCGAAUGAUGAUCGUCCUUUGAAUUUUGUAGUUCCUGCUAAUCAGCUGCCUAAUUUUUCACUUCCUUUCUAGGGUCAACGUAGACGUGAGGACCCUCCUACAUGUGAACCUGAUCAUGAUGCUUCUGCAUCUGCUGUACCACCUGUAGAGCCACAUGACUCCAGCGAAGUUACUCUUCAAUAACUUAUGGACGAGGUGAGGACACUUUAUGUACAGCAGACCAGCUUUCAGCAGCACGUUUUGGAGGAGCACCGGCAUCUGUCACAGCAGCAUCAGUAGUUCCUUCACGGACAACGCCUCAUGUUCGAGCACUUUGGCAUUCCUUAUCCGUUUCCACCUCCACCACCACCAUCCCCACCGCCUCAGUAGUUUCCAUUUCUUUAUUCCAUUAUGUAUGUUUGGAUGUUAGUUUUAUGUUCAGAUGAUUGUUUUAUAUGUUCAGAUGGUUGUUUUAUAUGUUCGGAAGUUUGUUUGACAAGUUCGUUUAUAUGUUCGGAAAUUUGUUUUAUAUGUUUGGAUGGUUGUUUUACGUGUUCGGAUAUGGAUUUAAAGAGUUCGGAAGUUUGUUUAACAUGUUCGGAAGUUUAUUUUAUAUGUUUGGAUGGCUGCUGCUUAUUGUAGCAAUAACAUCAGCUGUCGGGUGCUUAUGACAGCAACUGUUAUUGCUGUUGCUGUCAUAAGGCAGCAGCUGCUGCUGGCAGCUAGCAGCAGCAGCAAGAAUUCGCAGCAAUUGUGUUUGCUGCUGCAACUACUUAUGCAGCAACAGCUACUGCUAGAAUGCCAGCAGCAGCUGGUAUAAUGCACACUACAGCUGCUUAUGCAGCAACAGCAGUUGGUGCCUGAAAAAGCAGCAGCUACCGUUGCUGGUUCUGCACUUGCCUGUUGCAGCAUAACCAGCAGCUGCUGGCAGCUAGCAGCAGCAGCAUCUGCUGCUGGUGUUGUUGCUGCUGCAUCUGCUUAUGCAGCAACAGCUGCUGGCAUUCCAACAACAGCUAGUGCCUGUAAAAGCAGCAGCUUCUCUAUCCAUUAUGUCUGCUGCUGGUGUUGUUACUGCUGUUGGUGCUUAUGCAGCAACAACUGCUGGCUACUUUUACAGCAGCAGCAGCUGGUGGAUGCAUAAGCACCAGUUACUGGCUACUGCAGUUGCUGGUUCUGCAGCUGGUGGCUGCUGCUGCUGUUGAUUCUACAGCUGCUGCAGCUACUGGCUGCAGCUGCUGGCUGCUUUUGCAGCAGCAGCAGCUGGUGGAUGCAUAAGCACCAUCUGCUGGCUACUGUUGUUGCUGGUUCUGCAGCUGGUGGCUGCUGCUGUUGUUGGUUCUGCAGCUGCUGGCUGCUUAUGCCAACAGCAACAGCAACUGAAAUCCCCAAAAUAAGCAUUAGCAGUAGGGCCAUUAGUAGCUGCCACUGCUGGCUGCUUAUGUCAACUCCUCAUUCACUUCUUAUUGCUGAAAUUACUCACGCACAUUGAUUUCAAACCAGUUUGCAUGCUAUUUAAUCGAUUCAUAUUCACCUAAAACACAAUAUUUGUUAUUCAGCGGAAGCAAAGGAAACUAAAGGAACAUUAAAUCAUUAACUUCAAACAUGUGAUCAUUAACUUGCACUAUGGAAAUCAUGCAGAUAAAAAUGAACUCAGGACUAUUAACUUGAUACCGGGACCAUUAAACUUGAAACCGAAGGAACCUGAAACUUAGGGCAACAAACAUGAAAUAGGAUCUCAUUAACGUGCAACCUUAAAAAUUAUAUAUUUAAUGGACCAAUAAACAUGAAACCAUCACCAUUAACUUGAUAUCGAAACCAUUAAACAUUAAACCAGUGAACUUGAAACAUAGGCCAAUAAACCUGAAAUAUGAGAUCAUUAAAUUGCAACCAUAAAAAUAAUUAAAUUAAUGAACUUGAAACUUAGGGCAAUGAACAUGAAACAUCGGAUCAUUAACUUGCAACCUUCAAAAUUAUAUAAUUAAUGGACCAAUAAACAUGAAAUCAUGACCAUUAAUGUGAUACCUAAACCAAUAAACUUGAAACUAAUGAACUUGAAACUUAAGGCAAUAAACCUGAAAUAUGAGAUCAUUAACUUGCAACCAUAAAAAUGAUUAAAUUAAUGAACUUGAAACUUAGGGCAAUGAACAUGAAACAUAUGAUCAUUAACUUGCAACCCAAAAAAUUAUAUAAUUAAUGGACCAAUAAACAUGAAAUCAUGACCAUUAACGUGAUACCUAAACCAAUAAACUUGAAACCAGUAAACUUGAAAUUUAAGGCAAUAAACCUGAAAUAUGAGAUCAUUAACUUGAAACCAUAAAAAUGAUUAAAUUAAUGAACUUUAAAUUUAGGGCAAUGAACAUGAAACAUCUGAUCAUUAACUUGCAACCAAAAAAAUUAUGUAAUUAAUGGACCAAUAAACAUGAAAUCAUGACCAUUAACGUGAUACCUAAAUCAAUAAACUUGAAACCAGUGAACUUGAAACUUAAGGCAAUAAACCUGAAAUAUGUGAUCAUUAACUUGCAACCAAAAAAUGAUUAAAUUAAUGAACUUGAAACUUAGGGCAAUGAACAUGAAACAUCUGAUCAUUAACUUGCAACCGAAAAAAUUAUGUAAUUAAUGGACCAAUAAACAUAAAAUCAUGACCAUUAACGUGAUACCUAAAUCAAUAAACUUGAAACCAGCGGACUUGAAACUUAAGGCAAUAAACUUGAAAUAUGAGAUCAUUAACUUGCAACCAUAAAAAUGAUUAAAUUAAUGAACUUGAAACUUAGGACAAUGAACAUGAAACAUCUGAUCAUUAACUUGCAACCGAAAAAAUUAUGUAAUUAAUGGACCAAUAAACAUGAAAUCAUGACCAUUAACGUGAUACCUAAAUCAAUAAAUUUGAAACCAAUGGACUUGAAACUUAAGGCAAUAAACCUGAAAUAUGAGAUCAUUAACUUACAACCAAGAAAAUUAUUUAAUUAAUAGACCAAUAAACAUGAAACCAUAAUCAUUAACUUGAUACCCGAACCAUUAAACAUGAAACCAAAGGAACAUGAAACGGAAGGCAAUAAACAUGAAAUAUGUUAUCAUUAACUUACAACUAUGAAAAUCAUUAAAUUAAUGAACCAAUAAACAUGAAACCGUGAUCAUUAAGUUGAUACCUUGACCAUUAAACUUGAAACUCCUUUUUUAUUAUUAUAAAAUUAAUUUUUUUGUUAUGUCCUUUACUAUUAAAAUAGUGAUUAUUUUAUUAUUAUUUAAUUUAUUUAAGGGGCAACCGGUUGCAAAAACCGGUUGCUCCCAUUUAUUUUUUUUAGGGAAAUUAUCACUGGUAUACCCUUAAAUGUCACCGGUAUCAAACGUAUUAUAACACUUUUUGCUUAUAUCACUCGUAUACCCUAAAUUGACAAAAGAGUUCUGGCGUCCACCUUUCUGUUUACUACCGUUAAGAACUUAACAAAAUUUGAGCAAAAUGACUAUUUUACCCUUUAAACUCAAAAUGAUGUAAAAAAACAAAUUUGCCUUGAAAAUUAAAGUAAAUUUUCAAUACACAAUUUUUUUAAUUUUGUUAUUAACAAUACAUUUUUUUAUUAAAAAAAUGAAUUAUUAAUGGUACAUAUUAUUAACAAUUAUCCAUAAAAAAAUAUUCAUCUUAUACCAUAAAAAAUUAUUAACAACAUAUUAUUUAUAAUUAUACAUAUUAUACCAUAAAAAAAAUAAUGAUGCUUGGAGGAGUAGAUCUUCAAUAAUUUAGGUUAAAUUUGGAGGAGUAGAUUCAGUUGUAAAGUAGCUUUUUUUUUUUUAGCAAUUAUUAACAAUUAUCCGAUAAAUGGGAUGACAUGUCAUUUUUAUCAAAAUAUAUCAUAUGACAUAUCGUUUUUUACUAGGUAAAUGGGAUGACAUGUCGUUUUUUUAAAAAGACUAAAUUACCCUUAUGAUGUCAGUGUUGUGCAAAUUUUAAUGUACUCGCAAGCGCACGAAUCUAUUGUAGUAUAGAUCAUGGUGACGAGUGUCGAUCCCACGAGGAGGUGGAUUUUAAUUGUGUGUAGAAUUAAUUUUGUAAAUGGGUGAUUGGAUUUGUGGUGGAAAUGGUUUGGAAUAUGCUAAAACUUAAAUUAAAAUGGCGAGAAUAAAUUCUAAAAUUGGAAUUGCAAUGGCGAGAAUAAAUUGAAGAUAAUUCUAUUGAAAUGACGUACUUGGGUAUUCGGAUCCGUAUCAACAUGCAUCAUGGGCUAAAUAAUCCUUAUUAAUGCCAAUUAAAUCAUGAGGGGGGAAUCCACACCUCAUGAACCACGCUCUAAUCAAUAUGGUGCUAAGGGCUUAUCGUGCCAAAUAAUAAUAACCUUGUACUAGAGAGCCGGUGUAACCAAGGCGGUAUCUAGACAAGAUUAUUAUUAUUUGUCGACGAAAAGUCAAAUCAUCCACAAAAACUAGAGGGGAAGAGAAAAUAAAUUUACCAAAUAAAGCCCAUGACACAUGUUGAGACUUCACCUUCAACCCAAGCUUGAAAGAAAAUUAGCCACUCAUAAUUGAACUAAGGGCAAAAUGGGAAUUUAUUAAAAUAUGUAGAAAAUACAAGAUGGAGAGAGAAUUACAGAAAAUGGAGUCCAAAAAUGGAUUCAGAGAUAUCAAAUUACAGUAGCGCGGUUUGGUUGAAAAUAAUCCUGUGUGAUGCAUGUACCGUACGCGAGAUUUUUCGUCCACUGAUAUGCUGCCACGUCACCAUCAACAGUACAUAAGAAUUUUAGCCUAACAGGAUCGUGACACCUCAUCAGUCAAUGCCACAUCAUCGGUCAAUGCCACGUCAUCGAUCCGUCUAUAUGAACAGUGUCGUGAACAGUAACGUAGACAGUACCGUACACGUGAAUAGUACCGUACAUGUGAAUAGUGUCAUUUUUCCUUUUAUGCUCCUCCUAAGGUUUUCGACCGUCCUGAGUUCAAAAAUGAUGUUCGUUUUGCCGUCUGAUCUCUCCUUUAUUGUGAAAUGACUAUAAUGCCCCUAAAAUACAUAAAAUACUUAAUUAAAAUAAAACACACGUAAUUAAAUCACAAGAAGUUUAAAUACAUAAAAGUAAGGGUUGUUAGUAAGACUUGAAAUGUAAAAUGACGGUUUUCUCCUUUAUAAAUAUACAUUUUCUAACACUCAAUACACCCCCCAACCAGCUUAUUGCUAGUCCCUAGCAAAUAAAGCGAAAACAAAAUUCAAAUUCAAAAUGAUUUUUUUUAUUUAUUUUUAGAAACACUCGUGUUUAUUCAAUCAGAUUAAUGAUAGCAAUCAAAUAAAAGUAUAAGUAUUAUCUCCAGUCUAAAGCAACAUCACACCCACAUCAACCAUCCACAUGAAUUAGCCCAGUAGACUUUGUUAUAGCUACUUUCAAGAAUGACAUGUCAAACCCCAAAAUCUCACUAGAAGUAGUGACACUCUCACAAAGAAAUUAAAACCAAUAAAAAUAGUCACUCCAAUGAAUGGUAAUUGAGAGAGAAAAUAAUAAAGAAGUGAUAUCACAUGCUCUCACCAAGAUGAAAUAAAUAUGCCCUCAGCUUAGAAAUAAUACGAUCUCAAGUCAAACAAAAAUGCUAGUCAACCCAAUUUAUUUAUCUUUUUUUUUCUUUUAUUUAUUUAUUUAUUUUUAUUAUGCACCACUACAUCUUUUUAGCCCACAUAACUAGCUUCUACUUCAAACUAUAGUUCCCUAAAAUCAAGAAGGACUUUUAUUAGGACGUAACGUAGGCUAGGGAUAUGGCUAACAAAGAAAGGAAAUAAGGAAAACAAAGUGUAUGUUUGAGAAAAAUGCAGGGAAAUUUUUUUUUUUUUUUUUGGAAGUUGCAAGGUAGAUUUCACCUAUUAUUGUUAUUUUUAUUCUUUUGAAACAACAACUUUUUUUUUCUUUUUGUUUGUUUUUUUUUUUUUGCUUUUAUUUGGCAUAACUUCACUGAACAACAUAAUUAUUUACAUUUUCUCAAACAUAAAUAGGUAAUGGAACUUAUAAGACAUCGGGUAAUACUCCAAAUCGGAGUGGGUCAAGAUGAUAAGUUGACAAAGAAAAGGUUUUUUUUUUUUUUUUAAAGGCUCAAAAGGGUUAACUAUAGAUAUUUAAUAAAAGGGAUGGCUAGAAAGGCUCAAACGGAUCAAAGAUGGCCUUUCCAUCGUCUUUUAGGGCUCUAAAUAAUCAUCCAUAUCUACUAGUUAGACGGGCCUCCCAAUGUAGCAACACACAUUUUUUUUUCUUUUUCUUCUUUUUUUUUUUUUAAUUUUACCAUUUUUUUUAAGGGUUAACUCAAAAGAAAUCUAGAGAUCGUGUAUAAAAUAAUAAACUGCUAAGCUGUAUGAAAAAUGGGCAAAAGAGUUAUUCUCCAAGAAAAAUAAUAGGCUCAAAAACUCACUUGGUACUUAUUACGACAUGUUCAUUCCUUCAAGCAACUCAUAUUUGUCUUCGACAUCAACAUGUAAAGUAGCAAACAUGACGUAACAUCACUUAAGACCAAAGAUAAUACAAAUACUAAAAUUUGAAAUUCAUCAUGUCAUCCAAUGUUAAAACAAAUCACACAUUUUUUUUUUCAAACAACAUUCUACCCCCCAACCUAUUCUAAACAUGAAAGGAAAAUAUGAAUGCAGAAAUGUGAAAAUGAUGUAGAAAAACUAAUUAGAAACGUUACACUUAAAAUGAUAGAAAAAGAAAAUGAUUUUUUUUUUUAAGAAGAUGUGUUUCUAGAGGCACUACACUCCAUAUUCAGCCAUCUUCGACUCAAAAGUUGGGAAAUGUAUAUUUAUAGAGGAGAAAUUAAAAAGAAGAAGAAAAAUGAACAUCAAAACUUAAUUAAGAAAAAGAAAAUGUCUGAAUUUUUUAUUAUUAUUAUUAUUUUUUAUUAUUUUAUUUAUUUAUUAUUUUUUUUAAACGAAGAAGAUGCGUUUCUAGAGUCACUACACUCCAUAUUCAGCCAUCUUCAACACAAAAAGUUAGCAACAGUUAGUUUCUACAACAAAAAAUCAGUAAAAACUUAACCAAGAUUCCACAAUUGUCGACUAUUCCCUCCCCCCAACCAGAACGAAACAUUGUCCUCAAUGUUUUAAAGGAAAGAAGUAGAGUUUAGAAGACAUCACCUGGGUGGUGCAACACAAAAGAAAAUAUUUACAGGCGGAGAGUUAAAUCUAAUUUGUACUUCUUAUUGCUGCUACUGUUACCAUCAUUAUUUGGUCUCUCCAACACAAAGGUCCAGGGGUUUGGCUCCGGUCUAUAAGCUUGUAACAGAUCAAGUAGCUCAUUAGCAGUGUGAGCACAAAUAAAAAGUUUUUUCGCAUGGGAAGGAAUGAAGUAGUUUUUUAUUGCAUGGUUAAGAAAUGCGAUAAAGCCAUCAUAAAAGUUAUUGACAUUUAACAAACCGAUGGGUUUUUGGUGGAUGUGCAGAUGGGCCCAAGAUGCUAGUGUGAUAAGUGCCUCUAGUGUUGCAAGAUCUCCUGGAAUGAAAAUAAAAGCAUCAGCAUGAUUAAGCAUUUCAGUUAUUCUUUCUUGCAUACCUGAGACGACUAACUCUUCUCCAGUUGAUGAGUCAGACGAACUGCCCAAUGGUUUUAAGACUCUUGGGAUGAUGCCUAACACUUGACUUUCUCUGAUAAAAGCUGCUUCUGAGACCAUUUUUUAUAACCCUCGGUUACCUCCUCCAUACACCAAGUGUAAUUUUCUCGCUGCUAUGCUUCGACCAAGAUCUAUGGCUGCCUCCACAAACUCUUUAUGUUUGCCAUAGUUAAAUCCAGAAAGCACACAAAUGUUCUUGAAUUAUCUAUUGGGAGUAGCUGCCAUUGUGAUACUUCUCAAAAACAAUUUGUGAGUGCUUGACAAAAAAGAAAUCACAUUUAAGAGUCUUGGUGACAGUGGGUCACAAUUGUGUAGGAGGUAACAUGUCAGUGUCAAAUAACGCGUAAAGCACGUGGCUCGCGAGUCAAAAAGGAAACAGUAAAAAGGAAAAAGCAAAUAGUAAUAAGGAAAAAAGCAAACAGUAAUAAAAUUAUUAAAGACAAUAAUGCACACAAUAAAACAACAGUGAAAUGAAAUAAAAUAACAGUAAAGUAAAAUGAUAUUUACACAUAGUUGCGACUGUGGCUCACAUCUUCCUCUGGUUUUACGUCCAGAAACGGCUUGAACGCCCUCUAUAGGUCGAGGAUAGGCUUCCUAUCCAGUUUUCUUAUAAACUGGCAAACAGGGUCGUUUAUAGUCAGAUUCCCGAGACUAUAUCGUGCAUGCUCUUUCUGGAAUAAUGGUCAUAACUGGAGAAUCGCUCCUUGCACAUAUCCACUGGGAUGCGUUUCAAGAGACAGAAGGAUAUCAUCCAAUGACUCCUUAUUCAAGCCAUCCCUAAUGAAUUGAAUCUUAUCUUCCCUGUUAUCAGACACCAUUCCUAAAGAACAUGGGUUUUUAUUGCAACUCAUUCUGGCACACUUAUGACAAGCAACAGAAAUUCUUCGAGCUCGUCGUUUUCUUGCAUAAUUUCCUUUACCACAACCAGGCAUGUAUGCAAUAAAUUUUGGAGGUAACUCACCUGCCGAUCGUACUUUAGCCUCGAUUGACCAACGGAUGUCAGCAGGUAUGUUAUUCAUCAUGAGUAAUCGCAUGCGUUCGGACCGAGCUUUAUAGAUCGUAAGGAGGGCAUUCUGAGGAAGUGAAGGGAAUCGCUUGUGAAGUUUCGCUAGAAUCUCGUUUCUGUCCAUACCUUCGCCUCAGAAUAUCAAUUAUUAUGCGAAACUGAAGUAACCGACUUGAUUGUCACGGAGUACCGUUAUCCGCCACUUCACCGGGGUAACAAACUAAAGCACACAAACAGAAAAACAAAUUAAACACACAAAGAAAAUUAAAAUCGUCCUCUUAUGGAAUUUACCUCAAGCUCCAACUGGAUGUCGUAAACACUUCUCUCAAUGUCUCUGAGUUGGCGUUCUAAACCCUCAACAUAGGCUACUAACUCUGGUGGUUGUAGAGCCCAAAUGCAAUGUGUUUUACAAAAUUGAAUCUGCCUUUUGAGAUGAGUUUUGACACGUUGAAGUGGUUUAAGAAUGUUCAGGAGGAACGGUCUUAGUAAGGUACUCAUGAUUAAAAAUGAUAAAAGAAAACUUAAUAGUUAAACAAACACACUUAUGCAAAAAUAAUUUCAAUUAGCAGAAGAAUAACAUAAAGAAAGAAAAAAAUCAAAUCAACGAAAAGAAAAAAAAGUCAAUUCAAAUCUGGUGGGUCACUCAAAUUUAUUUCGGUGUCUUCUCCAUGUGGUUGGUACUCUAGAUAUGGCUUUAAUCUUUGACCAUUAACUUUAAACGUGACACCGUUCUUGGGGUCCUUAAUUUCAAUUGUCCCAUGUGGAAAAACAGUAUGAACAAUAAAGGGACCAGACCAUCGAGAGCGUAACUUACCUGGGAAUAGGUGCAAGCGAGAAUUGCAUAAAAGCACUUUCUGACCUGGAGUGAACGAUUUUCUCAUAAUUUGCUUAUCAUGGAAGACUUUCAUUCGUUGCUUGUAAAUCUUGGCAUUUUCGUAUGCGUCAUUGCGAAUUUCUUCAAGUUCUGCCAGUUGUAAUCUUCUUUCUGAGCUGGCUUGCUGCAUGUCAAAGUUGAAUUUCUUGAUGGCCCAAUACGCACGAUGCUCGAGUUCCACAGGUAGGUGGCAAGCUUUUCCAUACACUAGCAUGUAGGGUGACAUCCCAAUCGGGGUCUUGAAAGUCGUUCUAUAUGCCCAUAAUGCAUCAUCAAGUCUUAAUGACCAAUCUUUUCUGUCCGGCCUCACCGUCUUUUCUAAUAUGUGCUUUAUUUCUCGAUUGGAGAUCUCAACUUGGCCACUGGUUUGCGGAUGACACGGGGUCGCCACUUUGUGUGUGAUUGAAUACUUUGUCAAAAGAGCUUUGAAUGCUUUGUUACAAAAGUGGGCACCACCAUCACUGAUUAUUGCUCGAGGGAAUCCAAAGCGCGAAACAAUGUUGCUUUUAAAAAAUCCUAUCACCACCUUGUGAUCAGUGGUUCUACAUGGAAUUGCUUCUACCCAUUUUGAGACAUAGUCAACAGCAACCAAUAUGUAUUGAUGGCCAAAAGAAGUGGGAAAUGGUCCCAUGAAGUCGAUACCCCAUACAUAAAAAAUCUCAACCACUAAAAUUGGAUUUAGUGGCAUCAUGUUCCUUCGUGUAAUGCUCCCCAUUCGUUGACACUUAUCACAUGAAGAACAAAAAGUGUAAGCAUCUCGAAAUAUAGUUGGCCAAUAAAAACCACAUUGUAAAACUUUAGUUGCUGUUUUCUUAGCACUGAAAUGGCCUCCACAAGCUUAUUCAUGGCAGAAUGAAAGAAUAUUCUGAAUUUCAAUUUCUGGGACACAUCGUCUAACAAUUUGAUCAGCACAAUACUUGAACAAAUACGGGUCAUCCCAAAAGAAAUUCUUUAUCUCUGCAAAGAAUUUAGCCUUGUCUUGCUUGGUCCAAUGCUCUGGAAGUUUACCUGUAACAAGAUAAUUAACUAUAUCAGCAUACCAAGGUAAUACUUCCACAUUCAUUAAUUGUUCAUCUGGAAAUGACUCAUUCAAUAUUAAUGGCUCUGUAAUUGUGUCAAAAUGGAGACGAGAGAGAUGGUCCGCCACAACAUUUUCAGUGCCUUUCUUAUCUUUGAAUUCCAAGUCAAAUUCCUGCAAAAGUAACACCCAACGAAUUAAUCUAGCUUUUGCAUCUUUCUUUGUGAGAAGAUAUUUAAGAGCAGCAUGAUCUGUGAAUACAAUUAUUUUACAACCAAUGAGAUAAGAUCGAAAUUUUUCUAAUGCAAACACUAUGCUAGCAUUUCUUUUUCAGUAGUUGAAUAGUUCAACUGUGCAUCAUUCAAUGUCAUACUAGCAUAGUAAAUAACAUGGGGAACUCGAUCAACUCUUUGUCCUAAUACUGCUCCUAUUGCAUAAUCAGAUGCAUCACACAUGAGCUCAAAUGGUAAACUCCAAUUUGGGGGCUGAAUGAUGGGUGAUGAUGUCAACAACUGCUUUAAUUUUCCAAAUGCCACAAGACAUGAAUCAUCAAAGACAAAAGGUACAUCCUUAGCAAGUAGAUUGCAUAAGGGUCUAGAAACUUUGCUAAAAUCUUUAAUGAAACGUCUAUAAAAACCAGCAUGCCCAAGGAAAGAUCUUACUUCUCUGACUGUUUUAGGUGGAGGAAGAUUAGAAAUGAGAUCCACCUUGGCUUUGUCAACCUCAAUACCUUUGCUUGAAAUGAUGUGACCGAGAACAAUACCUUGUUUUACCAUAAAAUGGCACUUCUCCCAAUUUAAGACUAAAUUCUUCUCGAUACAUCUCUGCAGAACUAGCGUUAGAUGAUGUAAACAUUGAUCAAACGAAUCACCAAAGACAGAAAAGUCAUCCAUAAAGACUUCAAGAAAUCGUUCAACCAUAUCAGAAAAAAUGCUCAACAUGCAUCGUUGAAAUGUAGCAGGUGCAUUACAUAAUCCAAAUGGCAUUCUCCUAUAUGCAAAAGUGCCAAAAGGGCAAGUGAAAGUAGUUUUCUCUUGAUCUUUUGGUGCUAUGGGGAUCUGAUUGUAUCCUGAGUAGCCAUCUAGAAAGCAAUAAAAUUCAUGGCCUACUAAUCUAUCAAGCAUUUGAUCGAUAAAUGGUAAAGGAAAAUGGUAUUUACGUGUGACAGAAUUCAACUUUCUAUAAUCAAUGCAUACACGCCAUCCUGUAGUCACUCUAGUGGGUAUCAAUUCAUUAUCAGCAUUCGUAACUACUGUGACUCCUAACUUUUUGGGGACAACUUGUACAGGACUGACCCAUGAACUAUCAGAAAUUGGGUAAAUGAUACCUGCGUCUAAUAGCUUAAGGACUUCAGUUCUAACAACUUCUUUCAUAUUAGGAUUUAAUCGCCGUUGCAUUUCCCUAGUAGAUUUAGUAUUUUCAUCAAGGUGAAUGUAAUGCAUGCAGUCUACUGGGUUUAUACCUUUUAUGUCUGCUAUGGUCCAUCCUAAUGCUCCUUUGUGCUCUUUUAAAACAUCCAACAACUUACCUUUUUGUUCGUCAUUUAGGGAUGAUGAGAUGAUUACCGGUAGAGUACUUUCUUCUCCCAAAAAUGCAUAUUCCAAUGUGUUGGGUAAUGGUUUGAGCUCGAGUUUUGGUGGUGAUUCUGAUGAUGGGAUGAGUUUCUUUUCUGAUGGUGCUAGUUGUUCAACUCUUGACUUCCAUUUAUUAGUGUCCAUAGAUGGUGCUGAGUCAAGUAGGGCGUUGACCUCAUCGACUGAUCUGUCAAUAUCAAAAUCCAAACCAAAGUGAGUUAAACAUGUUUGUAAAGGAUCAUCACUAAGGUUUGAAAGAAAAGUAUUAUCAACUAUUGUUUCUAUUAAAUCCACAUCAACAAUUCCAUCAUCUGCACUGUGAGGUUGUUUGGCAAUGUUGAAAAUAUUUAGCUCCAUAGUCAUGUUGCCGAAGGACAACUGCAUAUUUCCAGUCCUGCAUUGAAUGUGAGCAUCCGCAGUUGCCAAGAAAGGUCGGCCUAAGAUAAUGGGGAUAUGCUUCCUUGAAUCCUGUAUUGGUUGAGUGUCAAUUACAAUGAAAUCAACAGGAAAAUAAAACUUAUCUACCUGGAUAAGCACGUCCUCCACAAUGCCACGAGGUAUUUUCGUGGACCGAUCUGCAAGCUGUAACACCACUGGAGUUGGGUGUAAUUCUCCAAGUCCAAGUUUCAAAAAUACUGAGUAAGGCAACAGAUUUACACUAGCUUCUAAAUUCAACAAAGCAUUCUCAAUUGUGUGGUUCCCUAUGCUACAUGAGAUAGUGGGGGAGCCUGGGUCUUUGCAUUUUAAAGGAAUUUUGUGUUGGAGUAUAGAACUAAUGUUUCUGUUAAAAAUGCCUUCUUUUGAACAUGCAUAUUUCUUUUUUUAGUACAAAGGUCUUUAAGAAACUUGGCAUAAGAUGGAACUUGCUUUAUAGCAUCAAGUAAAGGGAUGUUAACACUUACCUGUUUGAAGAUUUCAAGAAUCUCACCUGUGGAUUUUCCCUUCUUUCCUUUCGCUAACCUCUGAGGAAAUGGAGCUUUCGGAAUGUAUUCUCGUGGGUUGGUUUCUUCUUUCUCCUCCGGUGAUGAGUCCUCAACACUUACAGGUACAAUUUGAUUUUCUUUUGCCACCGGCAUCUCCACUUUGUUGUCGACUUCUUUUCCUUUUCGCAAAGUCAUGACUGCUUUGACUUCUCCAUGCUGCUGUGGUGAACUGGUACUUGCUUCAUGCACUCCUUUAGGAUUAGGCACUGGUUGACUUGGAAACUUACCUUUCUCAACGGUCAUUGCCAAGGUCUGAACUGAAGAAGCAAGUUGUCCCACCAUCUUCUCGAGGCUUGAAACUGAUUGAGCUUGUGAGUUGAAGCCUGCUCUCAACUCAUUUCGUAGUCCAUCAAUGGUGCGGUUUUGUUGCUCAAUCAUGGAGUGAGUAAGAUUCUUGAGAUUCUGGAAUGAAUCCUCCCAUGGUAUGGGUUGAGAGUAGUUCUGGUUCUGAUUGUAUGGUCUAAAUGGUGGCUGGGAGGCUUGAGGAACUUGAGGAAUUUGUUGCAUUGGUGGAGUUGGAGCUUCUGGUCCAUUCUGUUGGAAUCCUUGAGACCAUGAAAAAUUGGGGUGGUCUCUCCAUCCAAGGUUAUAUGUGUUGGAGUAUGGGUUGUAAUUUGAUGGUUUUCUCAUUACACCUAUGGCAUUGGCUUGAUCUGAGUAUGAGUCAAGGUCAUGUGGUUCAGUUGAUUUAGCAGUCGAUAACGAUGCUAUUUGUCGAGCAAGACCUUCAACCAUCUCCUUGACUUCUUUGAUUCCCGAAGUUGACUCGCCAAUGUGAACCUCAUUCACUCCUUUAAUUCUUUUAGUAUUCCUGAGUGAUCGACUCCGUUGUUGGGAAUUAUCUGCUUGUCGCUGGAAGAAUUCUCAAAUUUCUGAUGCACUUUUUGACAUUAGCUCUCCUCCACUUGUUGCCAUUAGCCAUUCUUGCACAUUCGGCAAUAAUCCCUCCAAAUAGUAUUGGCAUUGGUGCCAUUUCUCGUACCCAUGAUGUGGACACUUCAAGAGUAGCCCAUUGAAUCGCUCCCAUGUUUCGAAAAAUUGCUCGUCCUCUCUCUGGGUAAACUCCGAGAUUUCCCUGCGAAUAGCAUUGGUUUUAUGCACUGGGAAAUAUUUAUUCAAAAAUUUUGUUACCAUUUGUUCCCAUGAUGAAAUGCUAUUAGCAGGUAAUGUAUUAAGCCAUGAACGAGCUCUAUCCUUUAAAGAAAAUGGGAAUAAUCUGAGUUUAACAUCAUCGUCUGAAAAAUUUUCGUAUUUAAAAGUUUGACAAAUAGCAUGAAAAUCAUUCAGAUGAUUAUAUGGAUCCUCAUUUUCUAAGCCAUAGAAUGUGGGGAGACAAUUUAGCACACUAGGUUUUAACUCAAAGCUCCUAGCAGCUACAUUUGGGUAUCUUAUGCAUGAUGUGCUCAAAUUAGCUAAGGGACUAAAAUAGUCCUUAAAUGGCCUCUCCUGUGGUUGCAAAUCCAUUUUAUUUUUAAUUUGUUUGUGUGUGCGAAGUGUUUUUCCUAAUUCAAGGUCUAUAGGUUCAAGAUUAGGAAAUAAUGACCUACGACCAUGCAUGCAAAACAAAUAAAAUAAAAAUAAAGAUGGGAACAAAACAAAUAAAAAUAAAGAAGAGGGAGAAAUUACGAUACUAACCUUAUUGCGCUAUUACAACCUUACUAUAAAAAUACACAAAAAAAAUACGUGAAAUAAAUUAACUAAAAAUAAAUUAAUAAGAUAAACAAAAAAAAAUUACAAAGAAAAAUAAAUUAAAAAUUAAAUUACAGAAUUUUAAAGAAGAGAAAAAGAAAAGAAAUACUAACCUUUAAAUGUAGAUUCACUUUUUUUUUUAAUAAGAAAAAACAAAUACAAGAAAACAAAUAAAAGAAAUUAUUCACAAAAAUUAAUUCUAUGAAUUAAAAUUACUUACCUCCCCGGCAACGGCGCCAAAAACUUGUUGUGCAAAUUUUAAUGUACUCACAAGCGCACGAAUCUAUUGUAGUAUAGAUCAAUGGUGACGAGUGUCGAUCCCACGAAGAGGUGGAUUUUAAUUGUGUGUAGAAUUAAUUUCGUAAAUGGGUGAUUGGAUUUAUGGUGGAAAUGGUUUAGAAUAUGCUAAAACUUAAAUUAAAAUGGCGAGAAUAAAUUCUAAAAUUGGAAUUGCAAUGGCGAGAAUAAAUUGAAGAUAAUUCUAUUGAAAUGACGUACUUGGGUAUUCGGAUCCGUAUCAACAUGCAUCAUGGGCUAAAUAAUCCUUAUUAAUGCCAAUUAAAUCAUGAGGGGGGAAUCCACACCUCAUGAACCACGCUCUAAUCAAUAUGGUGCUAAGGGCUUAUCGUGCCAAAUAAUAAUAACCUUGUACUAGAGAGCCGGUGUAACUAAGGCGGUAUCUAGACAAGAUUAUUAUUAUUUGUCGACGAAAAGUCAAAUCAUCCACAAAAACUAGAGGGGAAGAGAAAAUAAAUUUACCAAAUAAAGCCUAUGACACAUGUUGAGACUUCACCUUCAACCCAAGCUUGAAAGAAAAUUAGCCACUCAUAAUUGAACUAAGGGCAAAAUGGAAAUUUAUUAAAAUACAUAGAAAAUACAAGAUGGAGAGGGAAUUACAGAAAAUGGAGUCCAAAAAUGGAUUCAGAGAUAUCAAAUUAGGGGGGAGAGGCCCCCUUUUUAUAGAUACAUGGAGUAAAUCAUGACCAUCGGAUUAAAAACAGUUUGGACGCUCAGGAUUGCACCACGUCAUCAGUCAACAGUACGCGGUUUGACCAUGUGGAUGAACAGUAACACGGUUUGACCCGGAUGAACAGUAAUGCGGUUUGGUUGAAAAUAAUCCUGUGUGAUUCAUGUACCGUACGCGAGAUUUUUCGUCCACUGAUAUGCUGCCACGUCACCAUAAACAGUACAUAAGAAUUUUAGCCCAACAGGAUCGUGACACCUCAUCAGUCAAUGCCACAUCAUCGGUCAAUGCCACGUCAUCGAUCCGUCUAUAUGAACAGUGUCGUGAACAGUAACGUAGACAGUACCGUACACAUGAAUAGUACCGUACAUGUGAAUAGUGUUAUUUUUCCUUUUAUGCUCCUCCUAAGGUUUUCGACCGUCCUGAGUUCAAAAAUGAUGUCCGUUUUGCCGUCUGAUCUCUCCUUUAUUAUGAAAUGACUAUAAUGCCCCUAAAAUACAUAAAAUACUUAAUUAAAAUAAAACACACGUAAUUAAAUCACAAGAAGAUUAAAUACAUAAAAGUAAGGGUUGUUAGUAAGACUUGAAAUAUAAAAUGACGGUUUUCUCCUUUAUAAAUAUACAUUUUCUAACACUCAACAGUCAGCGCUCGCAAACGGCAGUUAACGGAUCGGUGGACGGCAGAAGUGUUUUGUCAACUUAGGGUAUACGAGUGAUACACUUGAAAAAUAUUGUAGCACGUUUGAUACUGGUGUCAUUUAAGAGUAUACGGCUGAUAAUUUCCCUUUUUUUUAUUGCUUGCAUGUAUCAUAUACAUGUAUAUACUGUAGCCGUCCCCUAUUGUGAAAGGUUGUUAUUCUUUAGUCUUUACUACACAAAUAGUAGUUUUUUUUUCCUUCUUUUUUCAAAUUUUGGGUUUUCUUUUACGGCUUCUGAGAGAAGUACCUGCGAAUGGAUCAAAACAAGGGAAUUUCAAUUUAAUGAUUUGACUCUUCUGCCAUGCUUUGCUUUUCAAAUCAUUUGAUAUGGAGCGGAGCAGUGAUGAGCUACAGAAAAUUCUUGACUCUGAGUGCGAGGAGAGGGAGAUGUGUGUGUCACUGUUUGUAAUUUUUUUGUAUUACCAAUGAAAUAUAUUUAGCAUGAGUGUGAUAAAUAUAUGUGGGUCCAGUUACCUUGCAACAAUUGCAAUACACCAUUUAUUUUUGUCUUAUGUGACGUUACAUUUCAUUUAACACCUUGUUUUUUUUCUUAUUUACAUUUUAUUUAUAAGUUUAUAUGUUUUAACUAGUGAACUUUUAAAAUGUAAACUUAUUUUUUUAAUAUUAUUUAUUUUUUUACAUUUAUUUAUAAUUUGUAUGCUUUAGCUGGUAACUUUUAUAAAAUGUAAUUUUAUUUUAUUUAACAUUAUUUAUCUUUAAAAAAAAAGAAUAAAUAUAAUAAUAAGCCUAUGACUAAAUAAUAUUAAAUAAAAUAAAUAAUAUUAAAUAAAUUAAAUUAAAUAAAUAAUAUUAAAAUUUUAACUUAAAUAAAAUAAAUAAUAUUAAAAAUGAUAUUAUUUUUAAGACACUAUUGAUUUUUUAAUGUUAUUCAGUUUUUAAAGAAUAAAUAUAAUAAUAAGCCAAUGAUUAAAUAAUAUUAAAUAAAACAAAAAUAAAAAUAUUAAAAAUAAUAUUUAUUUUUAAAGCUCCCUAAUGAUUAUUUUAUUUUAUUUAAUGUUAUUUAGUUUUUUGAAAGAAUAAAUAUAAUAAUAAGUAUAUGACUAAAUAAUAUUAAAUAAAAUGGAAUAAAUAAUAGUUAUUUAUUCUUUUAAAUAAAAUAUAUAAUAUUAAAAAUAAAAUUUAUUUUUUAAUACUCACUACUAAUUAAACAAUAUAAAUUGUAAACAAUCCGGACUUAUGUGCUAAAAUUUUUAACUCUUUAAUUUGUUUGUGUCUUUAAUAAAUAUCAGGGAGUGCAAUGUUAAUAUUUAAAUGAACAAAUCUCUACCAUUGAAACAACCUUUUCACUAAAUCCAACGUUUUGUCUAAAACUACCUUUUCACUAAACUACCUUUUGUCUGAAAUCAAGAAAAGACAAAACUUGAGGGUACCUUGCAACUGUUGUAAGGUAGCUGAGUCCAAUAUAUAUUGCCAUAAAACGAAAUAUCAUAUCCAAAAUAAUAAUAAUAAUAAGUGUGUCAGAUGACACAAACAGCUGAAAAACGAGGAAACGUCUUCUUCUAACAAAGUUUGUAAUUAAAAAUUUAUAAACGAAUACAUACAUAUAUAUGAAAGGAAAGAUGAUGAUGAUAAUGAUAAAGAGAAUAGGGUUGAAUUUGGCGAGAGGGGUCCCCCUAUUUGUUGAAUUUCAUAUUAAAUAAAUAUCCGUUUGUCUCUUUAAUGGCCAAACAGACCAGCUGCCAACAACUUAUUCCAAUGUGAGUAGAUCACAGUGGGUACUGCACAUGAUGCUUGUUUCUCCUUUUGCAUCUAUUUUUGUUGUUAAUAUUAAUUUCAAUAGCAGCUCGUUAUUAUGUAUGCAACAUUUCAAAAUUAAUCCAAAAAAAACAAAAAUUAGUUCAGCUGACUAAAUUUGAAAGCAUGGAUUUGCUGUCGAUUAAAAAUCGUUUUGUAGGGAAAAUUUUUGGAUUGCAAUUCUCAUACAAUACAUAGAAUUAUCAUAAUCUAUAAAUUGUAUUUUUGCUUUUCACUUAUAUUUAGAUAGUUCAACAUUUUUAUUGGUUUGAUUUAGGGUUAGUUUGGUAACGUUAGUUUAAUACUCUGAUUAUUAUUAUUCGAUUCGUUUACUUUGAUUAUUAUUAUUUUUUAAUAGAGAAUAAAUUAUUCGAUUAAAAAAGUGAUUUUUUCUCUAUUAACAAGUGAUUUUUCUCUAUUAAAAAAUAAUAAUAAUCAAAGUAAACGAAUCGAAUAAAAAAAUAAUAAUAAUCAAAGUUCACAUAAUCUAUAAAUAUCAUGUUUAUUUAUUUAAGAUAGUUCAAAAUUUUUAUUGGUUUGAUUUAGGGUUAGUUUGGUAAUCCUGUAGCUUUAAAAUUAAUUACAGUUAGCUAUGCUGUAGAAAUUGAUCAAUCGUAAAAAGAAUCAACCGAACAUUUAGUAAAUUUUAUUUUUAAAAGUACUUUUAGUUUUAAAAGCAGUCGUGUGUGUUUCAUAAAUCUUAUUAUUAAACUGGUGAAAAAAUAUAAAUGACUGAAUUGAACAUAAUGCUAAAUAAAAUUUAUUUACACAUUUACAAACAUGCAUAUAAAAUAUUUUUAUUACGUACAUAUAAUUAUUGAUAACUAAAAUAAAUAUUUUAUAUUAUUAAAUUUUAUUCUCUAUUUUGUUAUCUCAAUGUAAUUGAUAAUAAUAAUAAUAAUCUAUUUUAAGUUAAUGAUUUUAUUUCUUAAUUCAUAAAGAUAAUUUUAGAUUUUUAUUAUAUAAUGGGGAUAUAUAUAGAAUUGGAUUGAGUAUAAAAGUGAUUCUCAAAAUCAAAUUUUGAAAAACUAUUCAUUCACUACUUUUCAAAAUCUACUGUAUUAUGAGAUGAUUUUACCAAAGUAAUUACUAAAAAAAUUUAUAAAACACUAAAACUUAGCUUUUAUGGUGUGUUUACUUCAUGGAAUGGGGAAUGGGAAUAAAAUGUGUGGGUCUCACACAAUUUGGGAAUAAGGAAUGAGAAUCCCAUGCCCAUGAGUGGUUGGGAAUAAAAGUGAGGGAAUGAGAAUGGAAUAUAUAUUUACUUUUGUAUCCCUCUAAUUUUUUCAUAUUUUCCAAAUUACCCUCAUUCAAAUCACAAUUAAUUUUAUUAUUUAAAAUGUCAUUAAUAAUAAUAAUAUUAUUAUUAUUAAAUUUUAUUAACUUUAUUAUUUUAGUUAUUAUUAAUUAUUUUUAUUAAUAUUAUUAUUAUUAACAAUAAAAAUAAUAAUUGAUAAAAAAUAAUUAAUUUAUCAUUAUUAACAAUAUUAUCAUUAUUUUUGUUAUUAUUAUUAUUAUUAAAAAUAAAAAUAACAAUAAUUAAUAAUAACUAAAAUAAUAAAGUUAAUAAAAUUUAAUAAUAAUAAGUUAAUAAUGAUAAUUUUAAUAAAAAUAAUAUUAACAAUAAUUAGUAAUAACUAAAAUAAUAAAGUUAAUAAUAUUUAAUAAUAAUAUCUAAUAUUAUUAUUAUUAAAUAUUAUUAACUUUAUUAUUUCAGGUAUUACUAAUUAUUGUUAAUAUUAUUUUUAAUAAUAAUAAUAGUAAUAAUAACAACAAUAAUGAUAAAUUAAUUAUUAAUACUAUGGGUAUUUUGGUAAAUUGAUUCUCAUUCUCAUUCCUCAUUCUCAUUUAUUUUGCCAAGUAAACAUAUCAAUAGCAUUCCAGCACAUUCUCAUUCCCAUUUAUUUUUGUCAAGUAAACAUUGAAAUCUCAUUCAUAUUUCUCAUUUCCAUUCCAGUCCAUUCUCAUUCCCAAUCCACUCACAUUCCACCCCAUUCCACUUCCAUGAAGUAAAUGCACCAUUAAUUUUUAAAAUCAAUUUUGAGCUUCCCAAAAACAAUCCAAACAUGCCUUUAUUUGGGUGGUGUUAGAACUGUUAGCCUAAAGGACUAUACAUAAUGUGAUUUUGAUGAUAACAAACAUAUGUAUUAAGUGAUUUAAUAAAUAUUGUAUUUCACAUUUUCACUAGUUUUUGAAGGAUAAUAUUUAUGCAAGUGAAUCAAGUGAAAUCAAGAUUGAAGACACUCAACGGACAACGGUGACAUCAAGAAUAGUCUAGAGCUCCACGAACAAAUUAGUGCGAUAAAUUCUUGUAAAGCCGGUAUGAUUUAAUUGAUGUAUGAUUUAGCAUUUGAGAAGCUCAAGAGAUUAAUUUAAUUAAAUACUUUUCAUAAACUAAAAGUUUUAUUUUUAUAAAGUAAAGUAUUUUGUGGAUUUAAGUAAUUUGGACUUAAAUGCUAAUAUUUGAAAUCUUUGAUUUUAAAUAAGUAUUAAAUUUCAGAGUUGGACGUUUUUACAAAUAUUUGAAAUGUUUUGGGCCAUACUAUAAUUUAUGAAUAUGUUGGACUAAAGUGAAAGGUUUUGAGAACUUUGAAAAAUAUGGGUAUUAUGUUGAAAAGGACCUUUGUGCGAAAUAAUAAAAUCUUUGGGGCCAUAUCAUAAUUUUAGAAAGUUUGGGAAAGACGACUAUUCUUAGGAAGUUCUGAAAUUGGAUCUAUUUGUAAAGUUUUAUGACAUUUUGAGCCAUAGUAUAAUUAUAGAAAGUUUUGGGUCAAAGUAUAAAUUUAGUGAACAGAGUUACUGUAGUAAAUUCAAAAAUAACGGUAAUAUCACUGUUCCUGAGCGGCUAGCCGGAUAAUCAAGCGGCUAACCGCUUGGGCGCGGGAAUUUACCUAUAACGGCUAGUUUUCGGGCUUUCACUAUUAAAACUCAACUCAAACUUCAUUCCUUAAACGAAUGCAAGGAAAAACAAGAUCAUAUAACAUAUAUUGAGCUUCCAUUUCGCAAAUCAUCAUUGAUUGAAUGAUCAUUGAGCUAUAAUUUGUUAUCUACUCUUAAAGAGAGUUUCAUUGUUGUGAUUUUCAUUUCUCAUCAAAUUGUGAGUGUACAAGUGUGAGAAACACUUGGGGUGAAGAGAUUGGGGAGAUAAUCUCUUGUUGUAAAGGUUCAUUGACACCUUAGAAGUCAAUUGUAAACAUUUGAAGCCUUGGGAGGUUUGGAUAGUGAAAUCCUCAAGCCAGGUGUGCUUGGAGGCGUGGACGUAGGCAGGGAUAGCCGAACCACGUAAAAAUCCUUGUGUUUGUUUUAUCUUCCCUUACUCUUUUAAUAUUGUGCUUGAUUGAAUUUAUUAUUUUUUUAUUUGAUUAAGGCAAUAGAUUCAAUUGUUGUGCGAAUUGUAUUGCAUAAUUUUAAAAACCCAAUUCACCCCCCUCUUGGGUUGCAUAACUUGCAUUUCAUUUGGUAUCAGAGCGAGGUGCUCUUGUGUAGACUUAACCGUCUAGAGUAAAAGAUCCAUGGCAACCCAUAAUGAUUCAACCUUUAGGGAAGGACAAUCCACAAUUAGACCACCGUUCUUUGACGAUAAUGACUACCCAUAUUGGAAAACUAGGAUGAGAAUUUAUUUACAAGCUUUAGAUUAUGAAAUUUGGGAAAUUGUUUGUGAUGGUCCAUUUAUGCCUUUGACUAAAAACGAAGUCGGGGAAGAUAUUCCAAAACCUUCACGGGAAUGGAAUGAAUUGGAAAAGAGAAAAGCUUCUCUAAAUUCCAAAGCCAUGAAUGCCUUGUUUUGUGCACUUGAUAAGAAAGAGUUUCAUAGAGUGUCAAGUUGUGAAAGUGCUAAUAAAAUUUGGCACAAACUUGAAGUUGUUUAUGAAGGCACGAAUCAAGUGAAAGAGUCUAAAAUUAGUAGGUACACUCGACAAUAUGAAUUGUUUCAAAUGGAACAAAAUGAGAGUGUGUAUUCUAUGUAUACUAGAUUUACGGACAUAGUGAACACUCUAUGAGCCCUAGGAAAGACCUUUUCAAAUAGCGAGAAAGUUAAGAAAAUCAUUAGGUCUCUACCUAAGGAAUGGAGACAAAAAAAGACUGCCAUUGAGGAAGCCAAAGAUUUAAAUAUUUUACCUAUUGAUGAUUUAAUUGGUUCUCUUAUUUCUUAUGAGGAAGACUUGGCAGCUGAAAGAAGCAAUGAGGAGAAGAAGAAAAGUAUUGCUCUCAAAGCCUCGAAACACGAGAGUGAUGAGGAAAGCGAGCUGGAUGAGGAGGAGAUGGAUAUGCUGGCGAGGAGGUUUAGAAAACUUUUUAAGAAAUCCGGUGAGCGAAGAAAAUUUAGAGACCUCAAGAAAUGAAAGGAGAAGAAUGAAGUAAUCAAAUGUUAUGAGUGCAAAAAGCCUGGCCAUAUAAGAACGGAUUGCCCUCUUCUCAACAAACUCAAGAAGAAAGCAAUGGUAGCCACAUGAGAUGAUAGCGAUGAGGAAACAAGUGAUGAUAAAGAGCAUCAAGAAAUGACAAAUCUAGCUCUCAUGGCAAUUGGAGAUGAAUCGGAUGAUGAACUUGAUGAGGUAAAUGAUAUUUCUACUCAUGAUGAAUUAUAUGAUGCUUUUAAAGAAUUGCAUGAUAAUUGGAUAAAAAUUGGUAAAAAGAAUGCAUGUUUUAAAAAGAAAAUGGUAAAGCUCACAAAUGAAAAUGAAUCUCUAAGUGCAAAGAUUACAUGCCUAGAAUUAGAGAAUAAAACAUUACAUGAUAGAGUUGUAUUAUCAAAUGAGAAACCUAGCACUUCACAUGAGCAUCUAGAAUCAUAUGUAGAUGACUUGAAAAAUGAAAAUGAUGCUUUACAAAAAUGCAAUGAUUCAUUAAAUGAAAAGCUUAAAGGACUAGAGUUAGAUAAUAAAAUGUUGCAUGAUAGAAUUGUAUCAUUUAAAUGCAAACAAAGUACUUCAUAUGAGCAUGAGAAAUCACAUGUUGGUGAAUUAAUGAAAGAAAAUGAAGUGCUUAAGAAGAAGAGUAAUGAACUAAAUCAAAUUGUGUUAAAAUUCACAAAUUGGCAAAAGAUGUUGGAUAACUUGCUUAAUUCACAAAAAUGUGUGUUUGAUAAAGGAGGUAUUGGUUAUAAGCCAAAUUUGAAACAAAAAUAUUAUAAGAGUUAUUUUGUUAAAACUACCUCCAUUAAUGAUCAAAUUGUAUGUCAUUAUUGCAAUCAAAAUGGUCACAUAAAGAAUAGAUGUCCAGUUAAAAUAAAUGCAUAUUAUGGAGCAAAAUGUAUUUGGGUUCCAAAAGGAACCAUUACUAACACUCAGGGACCCAAGAAUAUUUGGGUACCAAAGUACACAACUUGAAUAAUUUUUGUAGGUACCACAAACAAGGAAGGGUGGAGAGUUCCUUGAUGAAACUUGUGAGGAUAAUCACUUGAUCAUGGUCUAGGCAAAAAUAAUGAGGCAAGAUGGUUUAAUUGUUUUGGUAACAAUUAUUGCCUUAUUGAUUAUAAGUUACGGUCUUUUAAUCUUAGUAAAUAUUUCAUAUUUCAUUAUAUCAUUAAGUGCUUUAUCAUGAUGGAUUUGUUUGAUUUUAAUGAUUAUGUAAUGCCUAAGUAUGAUAAAUGAGUAAUAUGCUUGAAUUAUUAAUCUUUGAAUGCUUAUAUGUUUCAUGAUUGAGUAAAAUAUAUACAUGAUGGAUGAAUUAUAUGUGUGAAUUAAUCAUGUCUUAAAUGUUUAUAAUUUCAACCAUAAAGGUUAUUGUAUCUCAUAAUUGUGAUGGAUAUGCAUGAUGAAUAUGUUAUAAAUUUGAGUUUUAUGAUUUUUUGGAUGUUAAUUAUAUUGAUCCAUGCAUUAAAAUGGUUUUUGAAAAUGUUUGGAUCACGAAAUGGUCUUAAAAUCGAUCAAAAAUAGCCAGAGAGCAAAAAUUGGUGCAGAUGGGCAGCCAUGAGGUAGCUAGCCGCCUGCCCCAAGCGGCUAGCCGCUUUGUCACGGGUUGGAGUAAUUGUUUUUGCUUCUUCUUCUUCCUUCGUUAUUUUUCUGCACUUGUUCCUCUCUCUCUCAAAACCGUGAGCCACCCUCUUCCAUUUCCAAUCAAUUUCUCUUUAUUUCUCAACCAUUUUUAUGCCAAAAUUAAUCAUUCAAACCAAUACCCAUGCAUUUCACUCUCAUUAAACACUUCCCAAUCAUCAUUUCUUCACUUGUUCUUGAUCAUUUCAUCAUCAUCUCUCACGCGUGAACAGUACCUCUCCAUUUCUCUCUCAAAUUUCUUCAUCUUUCACUCAUUCUCUUGCCAAAAUCAAUCAUCCAACUCAUUAUUCAUCCAUUACUCCUUCAAUUUUCACUCUCAAAACAUGAUUUCAUUAUCUCUCCACAUAAAACCCAAAAUCAAAAACCUAACUUACCCAUUUCUUUCUCUUCCAAUUUAAGCUCUUUUUAGUCCACUUUUGAUCCAAUCAACACCAUCCAUUAUCUUAAAUCAUCUCUUGGAUCAAUAUAAUCAGUUUAAAAUAAUCCAUUUCACUCAUUAUUUUACAAAACCGAGUUUGUGCAUUUUGGGUAUUUUAAAUUACCAUGGUUCCUUAUUAUAUUAUGCACCUACAUUUUCAUAUGCAUAAUUGUUUUAAUUGUAGAUUACGGAUGAUGGUUGUUUAAUAUUUGGAUAACUUAUAUUUGGAUGAUAUUUUCUGAAUUCUUAGAAUGAAUAUGACUCUUUAGUUAAUUGAAUGCUUAAUUUUUAUAUGUUUCUUGAUUAAUCAUUGAGAUAUUCUUUUUGGUAUAAGCAUAGAUUUAUAGUACUUUUGAUGAUUGAUGAUUAUAUGUGUGUUGCUUGAUGAAUUAAUGGAGUUGUUAGUUUGUUAUAAUUGUUUCAGCUUAUAUGGAAGUGUUUUUAACCAUGUUGUAUAUUUAAGGAUUUGUUCAUUUUAAGGGGAGAUUCUGCCGAAAUUUUUGCUCGCACAAAAUUGGUAAUAUCUUUAUCGAAUUAUUUUUGAUGCUCUUGUUUCGAUUGCAUCUAUCUAUUUUUUAUGAAGGGGAAGAUAAAUAUGAUAUGUUUUUGGAUAAUAUCAUUUUGGUUAAAUUUUUUAAUUGGCCAUAUAUUUAGGGGGAGCAUACAAUAUGAUUUUGGAUAAUAUGCAUUUUGAGCAUUCUUUUGAUGGGUUGAUGGUUCAUGAUCAUUUUAUGGUUAAUUGGAUGUUUGGUUAUUAUAUGUUUCUUGAUUAACCAUUGACAUAUUAUCGAUCUUCACAUGAAUUUCUAGUAAUUUUGAUGAUGAAGGGGGAGAAGUCAUGUAUUUUGAAUAUGAAGACAUAUAAUACGUAUUUUGUAUUUCAAGUAUUUAUGCAUGGUUUUGAAAUAUUAAGGGGGAGCUUACAAAUUAUCAUAAAUCAAAUAUUCAGGGGGAGUUUUUGUUUUGAAUUUGAUUUAUAUGUUUAAUUAUAUAUGCCAUGUAUUAAGGGGGAGUACAAAUGUCAAAAUACAUGAGAUGUUUGUCAUCAUCAAAAAGGGGGAGAUUGUUAGCCUAAAGGGCUAUACAUAAUAUAAUUUUGAUGAUAACAAACAUAUGUAUUAAGUGAUUUAAUAAAUAUUGUAUUUCACAUUUUCACUAGUUUUUGAAGGAUAAUAUUUAUGCAAGUGAAUCAAGUGAAAUCAAGAUUGAAGACACUCAACGGACAACGGCGACAUCAAGAAUAGUCUGGAGCUCAACGAAUAAAUUAGUGCGAUAAAUUCUUGUAAAGCCGGUAUGAUUUAAUUGAUGCAUGAUUUAGAAUUUGAGAAGCUCAAGAGAUUAAUUUAAUUAAAUACUUUUCAUAAACUAAAAGUUUUAUUUUUAUAAAGUAAAGUAUUUUGUGGAUUUAAGUAAUUUGGACUUAAAUGCUAAGAUUUGAAAUCUUUGAUUUUAAAUAAGUAUUAAAUUUUGGAGUUGGACGUUUUUACAAAUAUUUGAAAUGUUUUGGGCCAUACUAUAAUUUAUGAAUAUGUUGGACUAAAGUGAAAGGUUUUGAGAACUUUGAAAAAUAUGGGUAUUAUGUUGAAAAGGACCUUUGUACGAAAUAAUAAAAUCAUUGGGGCCAUAUCAUAAUUUUAGAAAGUUUGGGAAAGACGACUAUUCUUAGGAAGUUCUGAAAUUGGAUCUAUUUGUAAAGUUUUAUGACAUUUUGAGCCAUAGUAUAAUUAUAGAAAGUUUUGGGUCAAAGUAUAAAUUUAGUGAACAGAGUUACUGUAGCAAAUUCAAAAAUAACGGUAAUAUCACUGUUCCUGAGCGGCUAGCCGGAUAAUCAAGCGGCUAACCGCUUGGGCGCGGGAAUUUACCUAUAACGGCUAGUUUUCGGGCUUUCACUAUUAAAACUCAACUCAAACUUCAUUCCUUAAACGAAUGCAAGGAAAAACAAGAUCAUAUAACAUAUAUUGAGCUUCCAUUUCGCAAAUCAUCAUUGAUUGAAUGAUCAUUGAGCUAUAAUUUGUUAUCUACUCUUAAAGAGAGUUUCAUUGUUGUGAUUUUCAUUUCUCAUCAAAUUGUGAGUGUACAAGUGUGAGAAACAAUUGGGGUGAAGAGAUUGGGGAGAUAAUCUCUUGUUGUAAAGGUUCAUUGACACCUUAGAAGUCAAUUGUAAACAUUUGAAGCCUUGGGAGGUUUGGAUAGUGAAAUCCUCAAGCCAGGUGUGCUUGGAGGCGUGGACGUAGGCAGGGAUAGCCGAACCACGUAAAAAUCCUUGUGUUUGUUUUCUCUUCCCUUACUCUUUUAAUAUUGUGCUUGAUUGAAUUUAUUAUUUUUUGAUUUGAUUAAGGCAAUAGAUUAAAUUGUUGUGCGAAUUGUAUUGCAUAAUUUUAAAAACCCAAUUCACCCCCCCUCUUGGGUUGCAUAACUUGCAUUUCAAGAACUUGUAACUUUUGGAUCUUUUAGUUUUUAUUGGUUGGAUACAAUAUUAUGACUUGAGCGUCGGAAGGUUUUCACCGAAAUAACUUCCAGCACCCCCUGACUGUUCUUUGUGCUUGCAUGCUCGCGGGUUAUUUGCUCAUGGAUCAUCUGCUCAUAGAACAUCUGCUCACGGUGCUCACUGAUCAGCAGCUCGUGGAUUAUCUGCUCAUGGUGCUCACUGAUCAGCAGCUCAUAGAUUAUCGGCUCAUGGAUUAUCUGUUCAUGGUUAGAGGAUUUUCUUGGAGAUUAAUAAGUCGCUUCUCCACCAAACAAAUUUAUUGCUGAUGCGGGGAUGUGGUAUUGAGUCAACAACUGACUCGACUUUAUUUCUGCAUCAAUAUAAAGUAUUAAUCAGCUUAAUUAAUUUAUAAAAUUUAAAUCUAAUUAAUAAGUGACACAUAAAUGCCAAGUGCAAUAUAUGCAAAUCCUGUUUGUCGAUCAUUACAAAACUGGCUCUUGAAAACAAGCAAGAAAGCUUAAUUAAGAACUUAAAACAAAAAGUAUUAGAUUGAGGAUAGUCAAGCCUUAUUUUUUCAAGGAUGGAGCUUAUAAAUCUUCAAGUACCAACAUAUGCUUGGCCCAAUUGUUGUUUUUAAAAUUUCAAAAUAUAAGUAUGACAUAGCAAAAAUUUGAUGGUACAUGUGUCGGAAUAUACUAGCUAGUUCAUGGAUGCAUUUGAUUACUAUUUCCAUAAAUUUGAACUAAGAAGAAUGACACGAGAAAAUUUGAUUUUAUUAUAUGGUUGAUUUCAUAUCUCAUGCACUCAUUUCUUAAGAUAAUUAGAUUUUCUCUGGCAUCUUUUGCAAAUGUGGAAAUAUCAAUUAUGAUCAAUCAAAACGAUCUCAAAACUUUUUAACGAGACAUAUUUAUAAUACAAUAUUAUGAAAAUUACACCAAAAAUUUGAUUUAUUAUAUAUUAUUAUCCAACGAGCACACAAAAAUGAAUUCAUACAAAUCUAUAAUACUUAGCAAUUUUCAAAUAGAAUUUACCAUGUACUAUAAGAAAAUAUGGUAUAUGUGACCCCUAUUGUGAAUGCAAAAGCAGCCAUUACGUAUAUCACUAACUUCUAACUUUGUAACCCUGAGUUGCUUUUGUUACCCUUUAUGUGACGGCCAUACUGCUGUCACAUAUGUUACUAACCACGUGACGGUAAAGAGCCGUUCCGUAUACUACUAUUUUAGAAUUUUAAAUUUAUUUCCAGUUGGAAAACUAUUCGCUGGAUUACGAGUUUAAAUGCUGUCACCAUCGUAAACCUAACUGGUUGCCGGCGAACGGCGUAAAACACCGGCCAUCUUCUUCUUCAUCGUAUUCGCCCUUCAUCUUUUGAGUUAAGCUUGUGAUUAUGAGUUUCUUCUCUUACUUAGCUUGUAAUUAUAGAUUUUGAUUCUUUUUAAUUCGUAUUGUAGUCGUUAUUGUCAAUUUUUGUCCCGCCAGCAAUUUUUUUUAUUCCUACAAGUUGAAGCCCCUGUGUUCUUGUUCCAUUGGUGUGUUUGCUCACUCAAAUUAAUUUUGUUCUACAAAGUUCAAAUGGAUUCAUUUGAAUCACUAUUGAAUUCAGCUUUAAUUCCAACAACCAUUCUAAUGUUUUGUUAUUAGAUUUACUUUAAUUUUAUGUUUAAAGCUUCUACAAUGAAUAGCGGAGCUUGGGUUUUAGUUUCAUUUUCUAGAUAACUUGUUUUUCUUGUAUGCUCACCAAGUGCUUGUUAUAUUGUCUGAUAAGUUAAUAUAUUGCUGAUUCUAUAUUAAUAAUGUUACGUUCUAUUUUCAGAAAUUAUAAUAUAAACUGAAUUAACUUGUAGAAUAAGAGCUUGGAGUAGUGUUAUGUUCUUGAAUAAAUGAAAGUCCAUAUUGUGUAAGAGCAUGUAGAUGUAAAGCGCAUUGCCAUUUCUAUAAAGGACUUUCAUUCUGUUCAGAUGCUCCUCUUGAACUCUGAAAGGUGCCUCAUUCAAGUCCUAGCUAUAACUACUAGCUUUGAUUAAUUAAUUUCCUGUACUAGCAGAAACAGAUUUAUUUAUUUAAAUAAUUGUCUAUGUACUAAUUAUAAUGAAAGUAUAUGAAGAAAUUUUUUAACAUGAAUGACUUCUAAAUGACUUAAAAACCUAAAGGAUAUGAGAAAUAAUGCUCAUUUCACUUGAACGAGCCUAUUAAUACUUGUAUGUCUAUGAUUCUUAAUAUUGGCUUAAGCAUUUCAGUAAAUGGUUUACAUAACAGAGAAAAAAAUUUAAAUGAAAACUUUAGAGUUCUAACAGAAAUAUAAUUGACUAUGCAGAUAUAGUUAUUUUAUGGUAUACAAAUCAUGUUGCCUUAAUCUCAAUGUCCUAUGACCUAUUUUAUUUUAUAUAGUCGUUCAUUUUUGCCAUCGCUUUUUGUGUUUAUGAGUAUGGAAGUAGUGGGAUUUGGUGUAUCUUAGCAUCUUUGGAAAAUUCUCUUUAAAUGUGGCAAACAAAAAUAUACAUAUAAUCAAGUUUCUUAAUCAACUAUCAUAACUGGCUAGCUAGUUCUUGCCUGCCUUGCUGCCAUUACCCAGGCCAUUACAUUGCAUAGCAUAAGGAAUAGUGAUUAGGUGCUUAUUAGUGAUUCGUUGAGCUUAUUAUUGACCAAACAAACAUAUUCGCCUUUACCCACAACUUAGUUUGAUUAGUUAUUAGACCAUAAAGAGCGUUAAUCUGUUCAUUGGCUUUGUUAUUUUUAUUUGGUUUUUCUUCCAACAAUACUGUUGAUUUCUUAUAAAAAUACUCAUUGGUUUUUAGUUAUUAGACCAUAAAGAGCAUUAGUCUGUUCAUUGGCUUUGUUAUUUUUAUUUGGUUUUUCUUCCGACAAUACGGUUGAUUUCUUAUAAAAAUAUUCAUUGGUUUUUAAACACCUAAUCAUUGGCUAUAAUGAAGCUAAUUGAAACUGAGGCUUAUCAAUUUCUUCCUACAAGAUACAAUUGAGCAUAAACUAUAUCCUCAGUAAAUUUUUCUAAUAUCCUUGAUUUGUUAGGAUAUGGAGGCCUGAAAUCCUCUAGAUUUUUUUAACACUGUCAAUGUUCUUUUUACUCUGAAAAGGGAAAAAAAAGGUAUAUCUUUCAUACCCUAAUAGUAAGUAGGCCUUGACUUAACAUGCCUUCCCGAGGAUUUGCAAGAUUCACAAGCAGCUCACCCCCCCCCCCCCUCCCCCAACCCAAAAAAAAAAAAGAAAAACAAAUAGGAAGAUUUUGCGAGAUUCACAACCAGGUUAUAUUUAAUUUAUUAAUUGUGUGCACGUACUAGUUAUAUGUUGAAAGAAUAGGAAAGUAUUUUAACAUGAAUGACUUAAAACUUAUUGCUUAGUAAACAUAAUCUGCAUCAGUGCUAGAAAAUGUAUUUAUUGUUUGUAUUUUUUAUGGAUUUGCUUAAGAAAUGAUACGGGUAAUAAUGCUACAUUGUAUUAGGAACAAAUUGAAGAGAUUUAUGAUAUUUAUGUGUUAUUCAAAUUUCAGAUUGAAUUUUAAACUUUCAAUACAUGCAUUGAAAGCUUAGAUCGUUUAAGAAAUUAUAAAUAGACACAUGUUUUAUUAGUGCCAUCUUUGGAUGAUAGUGAGGAUCAUAUGCCUAUUAAUAAUUCUUGAAUUGUCUAGGCUUGAACUGUUUGGGAAUGCAUAGUUUUCUAUGGUAGCUAGUAGCUGAAGUUUUUUUCCCACAUAAAAAUGGGUUUUUCGCUAGCUGCUUCUCAUCUUCUUUGGGUGCAUACUAGAUAACACAUAAACACUCUUAUAUCUAUGUCGUUGCUUGGAGAACUAAAGGGAGAUGCUGCCGAAAUUUCUAUAAACGUAGAAGAAAACUUUAAAGUACUUGAGAUUGAAGAAACUUAUGCAUUCUUGAGAGGGAUAUAUGGGACCACUUACCUUUUGUAAAUAUGAAGGGAGUGUUGGACAUAUUGAUGGGAGUGGAGGAGCUGAGUUGGAUGGAUGUAAUCGGUUAUAGUUUUGCUGAGUUAACUUGGUUUUGAGCUUGUAAUUUUGUUUAUAAAUGGAGUACUAUCUCCAAUGUUGGUUUAUAAAUAUGUUUCAGCUGGCUGACCUUAUUUUUUGUUUCUAGGUAACAUGCUUUGUAUCUGUAAUUGAUAGCCAACUGAAGUUCUCAGCUGUGGGUGAGGAUAUUUCUUUACAGAAGGUAUUGGAAACUGUUUUUUACAUUAAUUAUUGUUGUAUAUAUACUUUAAUUUUCACAUCUUUUUCUCUGAUUCUUGUCACUUUACUUGCUUUCAUAUACAUAAAUUCUAAUGAAAUUAACCAUAAAAUUGUAUAAUGAUUUUUUAAUUAUAUUGCAAAACUGUGCACACACGAAAAUAUCUUGGUCAGUAGUAGAAAUGAAAAACUAAAAUGAUUUAUCUAACUAAUUUUUGUAGUGCAUUAAAAGGAGACGGUAAUGGAGAAGAGUUGGGUUGGUUUGGCAAAUAGAUAUCUAAGUUAUAGAUUUUGCAUUUGAGAAUGUUGUUGGUGAUGCAAGAAUUUAUUAUCCUUGUAAGAAGUGUCGAAUAUUUCGUUUUAAGGGAAGUAGCAAGAGACCAUAUCAUUAUAAAUGGUUUUUGGUUAAAGUUUUAAAACUGGAUAUUGCAUGGUGAGCCAUCUUCAUCUUUGGAAUCUAACCAAGAAACAGGUUAGUCAUGACUCGGGUGCUGAUGAUGAUAUGGUUGGAAUGAUACAUGAUACAUCACGUAAUCAAAUGUUCAAUUCACAGACAGCAUUGUUAUGGACUAUCAGUGACUUUCUAGCACAUGCCAACUUGUCUGAGUGGAGUAUUAAAGGUAAAUAAGCAUUUCUUGUUUGCCAACAAAACACCAGAUCGAAUUGGUUAAUACAUAGUAGAAAAUUGUCACGUCGGUAACGUCGAUUUUUACCGACGAAUCAUAGGUUUCGAAAAUAUAGUGCCUUUCGAAAAUCUGGAGCUGAAGUGAAAAAGCAGUUGAAUAAUAUCCUUACUGAGUUUAAGAUUGAAGACUUGAAAAGUGGAGAAUGAAUAAAAUGAGAGAAAUGACAAGAUUACUUGGAAGAAGAAAAGCAUAUUUUAUGAACUACCGUGUUGGGAGUUCAAUUUGAUUCAUCAUAAAAUGUGAGACAUGAGGGAGAGACAAAAGCUCAGGCUUGUCUGCAACCAUGUGGGCCCUCAUAAGCAAUUCGUGUACACAACUUGGUUCACCAAGCCCAACAACUUGAAGCAGGCAAAAUCCGGGAACGAUCCUUCUCCUUCGCAACCCUAGCUGCCUUAACCUUGUAUUUCUGAUAUUUAGUUAAAGAGUAAGAAGAUUGCUCCUCUGUCAAUUACCUUCGAGAGAGACUUUCUUUUUCAUUCAUCGAUGCUUGCUUGUGAAAGCAAGGGUUUUAGUUACACUUUCAACGCUGUCAAUGUAGUGAAGUAAAGCAUUCGUAGAAUAAUGAAGAUGGAAGCCCCACAGCAUGAAAACUUUUAAACAGUAACACAGCUCUUAUUCCAGAGGCUGCACGCGAGUGACCUGAAUCUUCUUCAGAACUUUCAAAUUUUAUCAGGCAAAGCUUUCAAAAUUUCUCAACAAAUUGAUUAUUUGGUGUGGUUGCCACAUUUUGAGUAACUGCUAUUUGUUCUCAAGUACAAAAUCCUUGCCUUCCUAAGUUAGGAAAUAUAGAUGAGAAGCAAACCAAAUGAAAUAAAUGGGUAAACAGAACAAACAGUGCAAAAAUUAAAAAUGAUGGCAAUUAACAAAUUAAUAGCAAUGUUACAUUUGACUCUUUAGCCCUUUGCUCCUUCUCUUAACAUUCUUCAAAGCUUUUGAAAAUUGGAUGUGAAGCAAACAAAAUAAAAUAAAUUUAGACAACACAUACCCUGUAUUCAGCAUCAUAUAUAUGUCGAAUAUCUAAUUUAAUAAAUUUCACAUCCAAAAUACUAAAAUUUUAUUUGCAUGCAUGUCUGUCAAAAUUUCCGUGAUUUAAUGUGCUUUCAUGCACGCAAGUUCUAACGUUUCUGUGAUCACAAAAUAAAACUGAAGAUAAAACAGAACAACUACCAAACCUUUCAAGCUUGACGAAGCCAUGAGAAUUGAUAGCUCAGGCUCUGAUACCAAGUUAAAGUUUCUAAUCUAUUUGAUAAGUAAGAAAAUGAGAGAAAAUGAAAGAAAGAACAGAGAUCAUCUAAGAGCUGGAUUUGAUGAAUAAAUCUGAAUCAUCCAUUCUUUAGCUGAUUACAAAUGUAUUUAUACAAGUUUUCUAAGCACCUGAGAGUUGAAUAACUUAUGCCAGCUCAGCUAACACGUCAGUAACUCUACCUAUCUUGCUUAACAAACUGAAACAAUAACUAACAAUUUUAACUAUCUUAACAAUCCCAAUAAUUUCUCCGUUUGUGUAUUUUUUUGAAUCAUAAUCAAAUGGGUAAAUGUUGCAACUAUUUUUUUAGACAUUUUCACUUUGGGAUGUCAGCCCGAGGAAGUUCGGGGGUCUGAGUUAUUCAACUGAAAAUGUCGGCCAAGUUCUCGCCAUCUCAGGUUCAAAACUGAUAAUCUUGCUCGUUGCUCCCCAUUUAUACUUAUUACGAAACUGAAAAAGUUACUCGUUCCUCUUAACUUGUUUUCUCAUGCAUCAACCCCACAAAACUGCUUAUUGCAGGGGGUAAAAUUUUGAACACAUCAUGUGGAAUUUGGACUAUUUGAUAGUUUGUUUCAAACAUAUCUGUUUAUAAAAUACUUUUCUUCAUGGUUUUGGUCCCAUAAUUUUCUAUGUAUGUACAGGUUUUAUCCAUACCUCUUUUGACAAGUUACACUUACAUAGCAAUGUUAUCUGGGUUCAGCCUUGCCUUUUUCAUAAACUGUGCUUCUGUGAUGAAGAAUGUUUUAUCUGUAAGUGGAUAUCCUAAUCAUUGAUCCAUAAACUUAGGUUAUAUUAUCCAUCAGCAAGUAUGUAUAAAAUUAUUUUAUGUCUUUUUUUAUUAGAAAUGUUGUAAUUCUAUUUUAAUCUUCCUGAAUUAUAACAUCAGGUGUCUAUAAUAACUGGAUUAUUCCUUCUGCAAAACAGAGCAGUGGUAAAUAUUUUUUUCUUUUGUUUGUUUAGUACAUUUACAUGCUUUCAGCUUUUUCAAAUUUUGUAUGUGUCAAAGUUUAAAUUUAAUUUGUUGGUUUAUGCCACAACAAAAGGAACAGCAUCAAAGAGGAGCUGCUAAUGGACUUGCUAUGACUGUAGUGUCGCUUACCAAAACUGCCGGUCCAGCUGUAGGAGGUGCUCUGUGAGUGUCCUGUUGAUUUUGUAAAAUUAUAUGUAAAUGAUGUUAUAAUAUUUUUUUUCAUUAAUUGGGGUUCUGGCAGAUUUUCUUGAUCACAAAAGCGUCAAGAUGCUGGUUUCCUCCCAGGUAUGAUGAUCUACUAAUGAAAUUAUAUUCUUUUUAUUUCAAAUAAUCUAUAAGUUAACUCAAAACAUAAUCAAGCUGAGAAUUAAAAUAAUGCCACUGUAUGAGAAGAUUUUUAUUUUUUUCCCGAAGUUUCACUAGGAAAUUAUUGAUAUAUAGCUUUAUUCGGAUCAUCUCAGUUCAAACGACAGCUAAUUGAAAGACUAAACUAAAUAGACCAGCCAACAACUUUGUACAGUAGAGUUAAAAAAAUAAAGUCAUGGUAUUGAGGUGUUCUGUCUUGAAAAGUACAGCAUAGUGAUAAAAUAAAAACUAUUAGUAUUUGGUAAGAUAUGACUUUUAAUUAAAAAAUUUCACAAAAAUAUAAAAAUAUUUAUAAAGUACUUCUGUAGUGCGGAGACCCUCACUUUGUUAAAGUGAAAAUAUCAACAAUAAACAAAAGACAUAUAUUUUAACACAUUAAAAACUGUAUUUUUUUAUCUAUUGGUGUAUUGAAAUAUGUGUUAUUUAGUUUGCUAAUGAUAUCAUCACUUUGUUAAAAUGAGGAUGUCAUCACUAGAGAAUCAUUAUAUAUACAUAUAUAUAAAGUGGUUCUCUCCAAGACCUAAACUUUAUUAAAAGUUUAGAAAGCAAAUAUAUUUUGUAUGGUAUAAUAGUGUAAUAACAUCACACUAUUAUAUCAUAUGAGUCCCAUAUAGAGUAAUAGUUUUUCGAACUUUAAUAAAGUUCAAGAUUAUAGAAUGAAUGAUUUAUAUAUAUUAUAAAUUUUUUAUUAUAUAGUGAAGGACAAAAUUAACAUAAUUUUCAAAUUAUAUUAAGUAUUUAUCAAAUAAUUUAACAUCAUAAUUUCUCCUAACUAGUAUAGUAAAUACGGCCUAGGAGGUACAUUCAAAGCAUUUCAUAGGUUCCUUGUUCGCUCCAGAUUCAGUCACAGACAAGGAGCCGUUUUUUGAGAAUAUUAAGCAUCAUCUUCAAAUGAAUUUUCUUGGCAAAGGUUUCAGAUCCAAAUUGUUGUUCCAGAUUAGUCCAAAGCUCAAGUAAGGUUUGAGAGUUUACCACAAGACUAAGGAUCUCGAUACUGAUGGAUGACAUUAACCAGCUCAACAACAAUUGAUCGUUUCUCUUCCACGAAGUUGAAUCUUCAAUUUCAGUAAAAAGAAAUUGGUUAGGACAGAGUUUUGAUCUAUCAAGUAGAUCUUCUAGUCCAUUGGCACGGACUGAAGACAAGACCUGUGAUUUCGAGAUCCUAUAAUUCGAUCGAUCCAGUUUGAUGGGUGAAGUGAAAGUAAACGAGGAAACAUAGGAGUUUGUAUUCUGAUUUGAGCUUGACGAAGCCAUGAGAAUUGAUAGCACAGGCUCGGAUAUCAAGUUAAAGUUUCUAAUCUGUUUGGUAAUUAAGAAAACCAGCGAAAAUGAAAGAAAGAACAGAGAUCAUCUAAGAGCUGGAUUUGAUGAAUAAAUCUGAAUCAUACAUUCUUUAGCUGAUUAAAAAUGUAUUUAUACAAGUUCCUGAAUAUUUUAGAUUCCAUAUGCUUGAGCUAAGCACCUGAGAGUUGAGCAGUGUGCACUAACAAACUGCUAACAAAAUAACUAACUUAUGCCAGCCCAGCUAACACAUCAGUAACUCUAACUAUCUUGCUUAACAAACUGAAACAAUAACUAACCAUUCCAAUAAUUUCUCCAUUUGUGUAUUUCUUGAAUCAUAAUCAAAUGGGUAAAUGUUGCAACUGUUCUUUUAGAUAUUUUCACUUUGGGCUGUCAGGCCGGGGAAGUGCGGGAGGUCUGAGUGACUCAACUGAAAAUGUCGGCCAAGUUCUUGCCAUCUCAGGUGUAAAACUGAUACUCUUGCUCCCCAUUUAUACUUACUACGAAACUGAAAAUGUUACUCGUUCCUCUUAACUUGUUUUCUCAUGCAUCAACCCCACAAAGCUGCUUAUUGCAGGGGUAAAAUUUUGAACACACCAUGUGGCAUUUAGACCAUUUGAUAGUUUGUUUCAAACAUAUUUGUUUAUAAAAUACUUUUCUUCAUGGAUUUGGUUACGUAAUUGUCUAUGUAUGUACAGGUUUUAUCGAUACCUCUUUUGACAAGUUACACUUCCAUAGCAAUGUUAUCUGGGUUCAGCCGUGCCUUAUUGAUAAAUCUGUAAUGAAGAAUGUUUUAUCUGUAAGUGGAUAUCCUAAUCAUUGAUCCAUAUCCAUAAGCAAGUAUGUAUAAAAUUAUUUUAUGUCUUUUUAUUAGGAUUGUUGUAAUUCUUUUUUACUUUUCCUGAAUUGUAACAUCAGGUGUCUAUAAUAACUGGAUUAUUCCUUCUGCAAAACAGAGCAGUGGUAAAUAUUUUUUUUCUUUUGUUUGUUUAGUACAUUUACAUGCUUUCAGCUUUUUCAAAUUUUGUAUGUGUCCAAGUUUAACUUUAAUUUGUUGGUUUAUCCCACAACAAAAGGAACAGCAUCAAAUUUUGUUGGUUUAUGCCAAAACUACCGGUCCAGCUGUAGGAGGUGCUCUGUGAGUGUCCUAUUGAUUUUGUAAAAUUAUAUGUAAAUGAUGUUAUGAUUUUUAUUGUCCCCCCCCCCCCCCCCCCAACACAAAAAAAAGCAUGAUUAAAUUGAUCAUUUGUUGGGUAACAACUUGAUUAACCGGUCCUGGCAGAUUUUCUUGGUCACAAAAGCGUCAAGAUGCUGUUUCCUCCCAGGUAUGAUGAUUUACUAAUGAAAUUUCUCACGAGUUGGUGAAUUACUUUGUGCUAAUUAGCUUAAUUAGCUGCUUAAACUAAAGUGCAGGUAACCAAAUGGUUUUUUUUUUCAUUCUGAAUUUGGUUGAGGCACUUGGAGUAAUAUUGACAUUCAAACCGUUUCUAACUCAACGCGCCCCGUGAGUUGAGAAAAGAUGCAUCUGUUGAAAUAUUCAAAUAUAUUUCAAGCAAAUUAAAGCUUUUCAAAAUCUAUCAACAAUAUGAUUAUUUGAUGUGGUUGCCACUUGCCAUAUUUUGUGUUACUGUUCUAAAGGGUUAAAUAUGAAAAUGGUUGUUGGUGCUCACACCAAUCGAUAGCUGGUAACAUUAACUCCUCAAUACUUAUACUUGUUCAUUUUCAGAACUACGACAAUUUAUCUUCACAAUGAUGCAAGCUAGAAAGAAUUUUUCAUGUUAAGUAAAACAUUGAAGCCAUAAAGAGUCUUAAUUGAGUACUAAGUUUUCUACCAUGCUUUCAACGGUAACAUAUUUGGAGCUCUUAUUCCAGGGGCUUCACAGUAGAGAGACCUGAUUUCGAUCUUCUUCAGAACUUGGGGAUUCCGUAAUAACAGAGGACAACAGUUAUAUAAGAAUAUUAUUUUGUACAAUUUUCGUAUAACCUGACCAAUGCAAGUAUAAUUUUAUGAUCUUAACUCAGAUCAAAAGACCUUCAAUGAUGUAAAUUUGCACAUAAAGCUGAGAUCCAAACAUUAGAACUUAUGAUGAAACGCAAACAAAAACGGUGAGAUUGAAAAGAUAGAGAAACACAAGCUUUUUAGUAGGAAUAAAUGCUCAUUUAGUCUCUAUAUUUUGACUCGAGCGCAUUUAGUUCUUAUAUUUUAAAAAGUGCCUCAACCUCAAGACACCCCCUAUUGUGAAAUAUAUUUUGUUUCUACCUUUUUUUUUUACAAUAAUACUCUUGGAAUAAUAUUUUUGGGAAUAUUAAUGAAAAUAAAAAAAUGGUAAUCAUCUAGCCAGCCUUAAACAAAAUAAAUAUUAAUAAAAACUUUUAUGUUAUUAUUUUAGUUUUAGGACUAAUUUCGUAAAUUAAAUUUUUUAUGCAUUUAUUAGUAAGAUUGCUUUAAGAAUAUUAAACAUUACUUUAAGAUGGCUGAUAUUAAUUUAUUUAUAAAGAAUUAUUAGCAAGAUUGUUGUGAAAGUACAAAAAAUACUGGUUAUUUCACAUUGAUAUUUAUUGAUUAAUUUGCCAAUUAACUUUUUUUAUAAAUAAAUUUAAGAAUAUUAUUGCCAAGAUAUUAUUGUAAAGGUAAAUAAAAUUUAAGGAAAAAAUGUAACGUAUUUAAUAUCAAGGUAUAUUGAGGUAUUUUUUAAAAUAUAAAAACUAAACGAGCAUUGAAAUUAAAGAGCAAUGAUAUAGCCACAAACUCUUGUACAAACUUAUUUUGUACAAACUGAUGUGGCAUGAUAAGAUUAGUUGAAUUAAAUAUCACUUUGCCCACAUGAUUUGUUUUUAUUAUUUUAUAUUUUCAUUCAACCAAUGAAUUAAUGCCACGUCAGUUUGUACAAAAUAAGUUUGUACAAGAGUUUGUGACUGUAUCAUUACUCGAAAUUAAAAUACAGGUACCAGACAAGUAUUUUCUCUUUUAGAAAGUUUUAUAUUUUAUUAAUGAAAGUCUGAAUAACAAAAUUAAGGUUUUGGACUUCUUUUAAACUAAACUUAAAUAUCACAAAUUUACCAAAAUAAGUAAACCUAAAAUAUUAAUACAUAAUAACAUUCUCCUAACUGAAAUAAAGAUAAAUGCUACUCAAAUUCUAUAUCUAGAAAAAAAAAAAGGUAAAAAUCCUGAAAACAAUAGGAAAAUAGAUCUUAAACUUGUAAAAUUAUAUGAAAUAAAUAUAAUUUUCAAUCGAACCACGAGACUAAUGUGGCGCUACAGUAUUAGAUUAGAUUCCCCUCGUUGCAAACUUCGAAAGGUAUAUUAUACACCCUAAAUACAUACUUAUAGCUCAAGUUGUUACCCUAGAGAGAUACUCUACUCAUCCUAUGCAACCAUCCGUUGCAUCAAAUUCGUUCCAAAAUUAAGAAUAAAUCAGCUGAUGCAUUCCAAAUAAUUUAGAUGAAACGAUAAAAUAAACCUAGAGAUCAAAUAAAAUGAAAUGAAAAUGAUAAUUACCUCGGACUAAAGCUCAUACAAAUUCAUUAUUUGACACCUCCAGCAAUUGUUGAAAUAAUAGUUAAUGAAAUAUAAAAUAAGACAAAAGUACAUAUUAAUGACACACCACUGUGAAUCGAUACAUCAACGUAAUACAUCAAUUGAAAUAUCAUACGAUAAAUUAGUCAGAGAAAGAAAUAAGUAAAUAAAUCAGCAAAGGAAACAUGCAUAAACAAAUUAAAAAAAAAACAAAGACAAAAGAAGGAAGAGUUGUCUGUGAGAAUCUUCUUCUAUGGUCAUUGAAGUCCCAAAACUAAUAAGGAUCGAUCAAUUGAACAGUUGCAAACUCAAUGGAAAUACAAUGGAACCUUAAAAAUGAACAGUGAAGGAAAAUGAAGAAAUCCGCAGGAAAUAAGGCGAGUAAGAGUGAAGAAUUAAUUACCACUGAGUAAAAUUGAGAGUUGUGAUCUAGAAGAGAUUCUUCUUCUCCGUAAUCCCCUUUUUUCUUUUAAUGUUGUUAUUAUUAUUAUUAUAUAUAUAUUUUCAAUUUCAUGAUUUCUUUUUUGUUUUAAACGGUAUUGGCAUAUUACAUUUAUUUAUGUUAAUUUUACAAUACCUCCCUUCAGAUUGCACAAAUUACAUAAAAAAAAAGCGCUUUAUGUAUAAAACUUUCAAACAAAUUGGGCCAAAAUCUAACUUUACCAAGUUUAGAGUAAUUUUGGGCUCGACAUUCCGUUUCCGACAAACGAAUUUUCUUUAUCACCAAGGUAUGAUACUUUUCAUAUUUAUCCAACGGCUCGUCAAUGACAAUACCUUUGUAAAAAGUACUUAUUUUGAAUAGUAUAUUGUGGAAAUGUCUGGUCGGUAAUACAACUAUUUCUUAUAGUGUAAAAAUGAUACACUAAGCGUUCACAUUUUGAUGAGUAAAUUAAGGAUUUCAAGAUGAAGUACAUAAUUAGAUUAAUGCUAAGAAACUGAAGUUUGAUCGAUUGAAAACGAAAAUAAUAAUGAAGGUAAUUAAGAAAAUGAACAAUAUAUGCGGAAGCGGUCCUUAUUAGUACUUCUAGAUUUUCUCUUGGGCUUUCCUUAUUAUUGUUAAAAAAUGACCCGAAGAACUUUGAGUUUAAAAAUCUGGCCCUGAUGCCUGGUAGCCCUUCAACACAUGAAGCACCAGAUGUUUUGAUGAGAAAAUGACAAGACCAUUUAUCAAAUUUCUUGUGGAUAUAAAUACAUACACAUAGACGAGACCAACCUCCUCAAAUGAGAAUCAGAGUGAUUACAAGACCUUGCAAUGAGACAAUGAUACACCAUCAAAUGUCAAAAUACAAUAGAAAUUCACGACAUAUAUAUAAUAAAAGACCUCUCAUUGAGUCAUAUAUAUUGAGAAUAAAAAUGUUAUAAUACAUACACAGAGCUUAGUUAGAAUAAAAUGUCUUUGAACUUACGAUGAUCAAACAAAGGAAACAGACAGGUUGUAACUCACACUAUCACAAGAAGAUCACGAAGAUGGAAAUGGGAACCCCUCAGAAUGGAAACUUUGAAUAGAGCAAAAAAGAAAAAACGACCUUAUUCACAGAAGAAGAGUGAUACAACUUGGCCAAUUGUUGUGAAUCAGAUCGAGCACAAUGAGACAGCAAGGGAAGAGACCCAGCCUGCAGAAAUAGAAGAAGUCCAACCCUUGAAUGAGACACAAGCUAAAGAGCAGCUCAAGACAGGUCCAGCUCGCGCGAGAAAGAAACCAGGAUGGCUCAAAGACUUUGUCAUUUGAGGAAUGUUCGAGAAUGCUUGAGAUAUCAUAAUAACGAAUAUUGUUCUGUUUUCAAUUAUUGUUUUGUUGUUAUCAAUUUUAUUCUAUUUAGUUAGUUAAGGGUGCGUGGCUGUUUUUGGAAGGGAGAAUAUAUUGUACUGUCAAGGGACCCAUGAGGGCAUGAAAAGAAAGGAUAUCAUUUUGUCUUUUUUCAGCUUCGUCUUCUUUCUCUUCUCUGUAACUCCCCUGUCCCAUUUCUCUUUCUUCAAAUUAUUUUCUCCACGAAUUGGAGCUUGCACUCGCUCAAAGAGUGUCGUAUCAACUGGUGCUUUCAUUGCAUUUAAUCUCUUUACACAAAACAAAAAAAAAAUGUCUCUCACAGAACCAACGACUGAUUCAGCAGUUCUCUCCACCAUGAAGACGCUCAUUGAAAAUCAAAUGCUUGCUGUUCAUCAGACCUUAUAGCAAUAUAUGUCCACGGUGGAUUCUCGAUUUGAGGAGCUACGUUCCCAAAUCAAUGGUUCCGUCGGAGGGUCAGUGGGUUCUUCCCGCCCAAUGGCGCCAGAACCAGCGUCUUCGACUGUACUGUCAGGUGUUACUGAUAUCUCUCCUCUGUUGCGUUCUAUGAAAAUGAAUGUCCCAAAAUUUGAUGGCACUGAUCCGAAUGGUUGGGAUUUUUGAAUCAAUGAGUUCUUUGAUUUUCACGGCACCCCUGACCAUUUACGCCUUCGUAUUGUAUCUUUUCACAUGGAGGGAAAAGCAGCAGCAUGGUAUCAAUGGAUGAAGGCCAACAACUUGCUGAGCACUUGGCAGAAUUUUUUACUCAAUCUUAAGCAAAGAUUUGGUACAUCCUGUUGAAAAGUCAAAGAGGUUUGGUUGAAAAAGAAAAGUGAGUCACAUGCAUUGCUUUUGUUUUUCAAAGUCAGCACCAAAUUGCAAGCUGUAAAAUAUUUGGCAUUUGACAAUCCUGCACCAAAUGAAGAAAAAUGGAAAAGUAAGCAAAAUUUGUCAAAUUGACAGAGAUGGAGAUUGACAAAUUGCAGAGGGAUUAGGUGGAAUAGUGCAUGCUUGAAGCCUAUAAAUUGAAGCCAUUUUUUUUCAUUCUAAAUCAUCCCAAAAUUUGUUAAGCUUAUAAGUUUCUAAGCUUUUGAGAGUUCUGAAAGUGUGAGCAAUUGGAGAGUGUGUGUGAGAGUACUGGGUGUAUUUGGGUUCUGGAAAAGUGAGAUUUCUUUACUCAAAUUUGUACUCAAAUAAUUGUUAAUAAUACAAUUAUUUUUCUCUUGCUCCCAUGGACAUAGGCAUAUUGCCGAACCACGUAAAUUCUUGUGUCCUUUAUUUUUCUAUGAUUAUUCGGUGUGUUUGUUUCCGCAUUCCGCGCACAACAAGUGGUAUCAGAGCCGACGGUUCGUACUUGGGGGGAUACGGUACAAUUUACGUAUACGGUACUAUUCAUGUAUACGGUACUGUUCACGAAUACGGUGGAGACGGCCAUUUGUACUUAGGAGACAGUCUAUUGUAAGUAGUGUGUAUUUUUGCAUGUCUAGGAAAGUUCUGUCAACAAAGGCGAUAAGAGUCUAAGGAUUCUGGUUUUUAAUUGGGACCAAGUUCCUGUCCAGUUUCCUGGAAACUUUCCUGGUGCAUUUAUUCACGCGAAAUUAACAUCAUAGAGACUGUUUUUCAAGUGAAAAUAGUUCGUUGAGAAAAUGGUAGAAGGUGAAACUUCCAGAAUUGGGGAGAGAUCUGCCGAGACUAUUUCAGGAGACACUUCAGGUAGGAGGCGAGAUUUGUCAAAUCGCUAUUCAGCACCUGUUAUAGGAGGCCAGAAGAUCGAUAUUGAAAAGUUUGAUGGGAAAAUCAACUUCGGCAUGUGGAAGCGCGAAGUUAUGGAUGCCCUUAUUCAAAUCGAUCUCGAUGUUGUUCUGAAAAAUAAAAGACACUUGUAUGAUGAAGAAAUUUAGGAUCGUAUGAACGAGAAAGCUUGUGGUCAGAUUUGAUCUUGUUUGACUAAGGAGGUGAAAUACUUGGUGAAAGAUGAGGAGUGUGCGGUGACUUUGUGGCGUACAUUGGAGGAGAAGUACCUGCUAAAAAGUCCUGAAAAUCAUCUUUCGAAUGAAGCCUGGGGUGUCAAUGCACGAUCAUGUCUCAAGAUUUGAAAAGUUACUUGCUGAUUUGAAGAAUCUUGAUGAAGAUAUUAAGGAUGAAAUCAAGGCUAUGAUUCUGUUACACUCACUGCCAGAGGAAUAUAGCCAUUUUGUGACUACCUUGAUAUAUGGGAAGAAUGUGAUCGUCUUCAAAGAUGUUUGCACAACAUUGACUAACUUGGAGAUUCGGAAUAAUGAUAAAAAUUCUGAACGAGCAUCGUCUGAAGCUUUAGUGAGUAGAGAUUGGGUGAUGGAGAAAAAGAAAAAGCGUGGUGGAAAGAAUUCUCGAUCCAAAUCGAGAAGCAGAAAUCUAGCUCGAGAUGAGUGUGCCUUUUGACAUGAAAAGGGCCAUUGGAGGAAAGAUUGUCCAAAGGCUCAAAAGAGAGAUGGGAAGAAACCAGCAGCAGCAAACAUGGCACGGAAAGAUGAGGACUCUGAUUAUUCACUAAGUAUUACUCCUGCAGCAUACGUGGCUAGUUCGAGUGAGUGGAUACUUGAUACUGGAGCAACCUAUCAUUUGUGUCCCAUUAAUGAAUGGUUUACGAAUUUUCGUAAUCUGGAAUCCGGUGCAGUUGUGAUGGGGAAUGAUCAACCUUGUCGCACAAUGGGGAUAGGAACAAUUCGGCUCAAAAUGUUUGAUGGAAUGAUCAGAGAACUCAAAGAGGUUAGAUUUGUUCCAGCUUUAAAGAAAAAUCUAAUUUCUGUGGGUGCUUUGGAAGCUAAAGGCUACAAGGUUACCAUUGAAGAUGGCACAAUGAAAUUUACACAUGGGGCUAUGGUGAUUCUGCAAGGGGUUCGGCGUCACAAUCUGUACUAUUUGAAGGGAGGUACAACUGAUGAAGCAAAUAUUAUUGAGGCGCACAGUAACACCACCAAGCUAUGGCAUGUACGGCUGGGACAUACUGGCGAGAAGUCUUUGCAAACUCUGAUGAGGCACGGACUCUUAAAAGGUACCAAAACCUGUAAAUUAAAUUUCUGUGAGCAUUGUGUAGUAGACAAGAAAACAAGGGUCAAGUUUGGUACAGCCAAUCACGAUACUCGUGAGAUCCUUGAAUAUGUUCAUAGUGAUGUAUAGGGAUCAACCAAGAUUGCAUCAAUUGGUGGAAGCCAUUAUUUUGUUACGUUUGUUGAUGAUUUCUCUAGAUGUGUGUGGGUGUACACCAUGCGAGCAAAGGAUGAGGUUCUAGAGAUUUUCGUGAAAUGGAAGAAAUUGGUGGUGACUCAAACUGGCAGAAAGAUCAAAGUAUUACGAUUUGAUAAUGGAGGUGAAUAUACUUCUGAUCCAUUCUUGCAAGUAUGCCAGAACGAGGGUAUUAAAAGACAUUUCACGGUGAGACAUACUCCGCAACAGAACGGUGUGGCUGAGCGUAUGAAUCGUACUUUACUGGAGAAGGUACGGUGUAUGUUAUCUAAUGCUGGUUUAGAUAAAAAAUUUUGGGCUAAAGCUAUGAGCUACGCAAGUCACUUGGUAAACCAGUUGCCUUCUGCUGCAAUUAGAGGUAAAACUCCUAUGGAAAUGUGGUCUGGAAAGCAUGCACAAGACUAUGAUUCUCUUCGUAUAUUCGGGUGUCCAGCUUAUUAUCAUGUCAAAGAUGGUAAACUGGAUCUUCGUGCUAGAAAAGCUAUCUUUAUGGGAUUCAAAUGUGGAGUAAAGGGCUUCAAGCUUUGGGAUCUCGAAGACAAAAAGUUUGUGUGUAGCAGAGAUGUCACAUUUGAUGAAGCUUCAAUGAUGAAAGCUUCAAGUUCUCAGCAGGUGGAGAACAAGACCAAAGAGGUAUUGCAGCGGGUGGAGUUUGAUGCAACUUCAUAUGUACCAGUUAGUUCUACAUCAAAGAAUGGUUCAACUAUGGAGGUGACACUUAGAGUUGAAGAAUAUGUUAUUUCUUCUGAUGUCCCACAAAAUGAAGAAACAAUUGAUGAUGUAGAUAAUUAUGAUUUUAUAGCAACAAGGAGACCAAAAAGAGAGAUAAAGAAACUCGAAUGGCUUACUAAAGAUAUGGUGGUAGCCUAUGCACUUUCAGUUAUUGAUGAUGACAUCCCCAACACUUUCGGUGAAGCAUUACGCAACAGUGAAAGUGAUCAGUGGAAGUUAGCCAUGGAGGAAGAGAUGAAAUCUCUCCAUCAAAACCAGACUUGGGAACUUGUAAAGUUACCAAAGGGGAAAAGGGCUAUUGGCAAUAAAUGGGUCUACACCAAAAAGCAAGGAUUUCCGAAUCAAACAACUCCUCGAUAUAAGGCAAGGCUCGUGGCAAAAUGUUUUGCUCAAAAGGAAGGUAUUGACUACAAUGAAGUUUUCUCUCCAGUUGUAAAACAUACUUUCAUUCGUAUCCUACUUGCCUUAGUUGCAGAAUAUGAGUUAGAGUUGGCUCAAUUGGAUGUUAAGACAGCGUUCUUACAUGGAGAGUUGGAGGAGGAAAUCUAUAUAAUUCAGCCUUGUGGUUUCAGAGUUGCUGGAAAGGAGAAUCAUGUGUGUAGAUUGAUUAAAUCUUUGUACGGACUGAAGCAAUCAUCAAGGCAGUGGUACAAAAGAUUUGAUCAAUUUAUACAAGGGAAGAAAUUCACCAGAAGUGAACACGAUCAUUGUGUUUACUUUAGAAGACUACUAGAUGGAGCUUUCAUCUAUUUGUUACUCUAUGUCGACGAUAUGCUUAUAGCUUCAAAGAAUAGAGAUGAGAUCGAAAGAUUAAAGAAGCAGCUGGCUUCUGAGUUUGAGAUGAAAGAUUUGGGUGAUGCACAGAGAAUACUUGGGAUGGAGAUUCAUAGAGACAAGAAGAAUGGGAGCGUAUGGUUGACUGAAAAGUCUUAUUUGAAGAAAAUGCUAGAAAGAUUCGGUAUGGAUGACAAAACUAAACCGGUAUGUACACCUCUAGCUCCUCAUUUCAAAUUAAACUCUUCUUCAUGUCCUAAAUCUCAAGAGGAGCGCGAUUACAUGGCUCGUGUUCCAUAUGCUAGUGUUGUGGGUAGUCUUAUGUAUGCUAUGGUAUGCACAAGGCACGAUAUAUCUCAAGCAGUGAGCAUGGUUAGUAGAUACAUGCACAAUCCGGGUAAAAAUCAAUAGCUUGCGGUAAAGUGGAUUCUCCGAUAUCUGUAUGGGACAGUUGAUGUUGGGUUAUUGUUCAAGAAGGAUUGUGGUCAACAAUGUGUUGGGUAUUGUGAUUCUAAUUUCGCUGGAGACCUUGACAAGCGAAGAUCAACAACAGGCUGCGUAUUCACAUUGGGUGAAGGUCCGGUUAGCUGGAGGUCGAUUCUACAAUUGACAAUUACUCUAUCCAGUACGGAAGCAGAGUAUAUGGCAGCAACUGAAGCUGUAAAAAAAGCUAUCUGGUUGAAAGGCUUGUUAAGUGAUUUGGGAGUAAUCCAGGAAAACAUUACGGUCUUCUGUGAUAAUCAAAGUGCGAUAUUCCUUGCGAAGAAUCAAACAUAUCACGCUCGGACGAAGCACAUAGAUGUGAAAUAUCAUUAUGUGAGGGAGAUUAUCAAGAGCGGUGUUGUGUUGUUGAAAAAGAUCGAUACCAAAGAUAAUCCAUCAGAUAUGUUGACGAAGGUAGUUUCUGGAGUUAAGUUUCAACAUUGCUUGAAACUAAUUCAAAUCCUUCGAUUGUGUUAAGUUAUGUCCUUCGAUAAUUUUGAACUACGGUUGGCUUGAUCCCAAAUUUUGGGUACGUAGGCAGUCACAUAGAUGUAACCACUUUGGGGAUGAUGAUUGGUUGGUAGUCGGCUCAGAUUUGAACAAAUCUUCGCCGAGGUGGAGAAUUAUUGAAAAGUCGCCGAGGUGGAGAAUUGUUGAAAAGUCAAAGAGAUUUGGUUGAAAAAGAAAAGUGAGUCACAUGCAUUGCUUUUGUUUUUCAAAGUCGGCACCAAAUUGCAAGCUGUAAAAUAUUUGGCAUUUGACAAUCCUGCACCAAAUGAAGAAAAAUGGAAAAGUAAGCAAAAUUUGUCAAAUUGACAGAGAUGGAGAUUGACAAAUUGCAGAGGGAUUAUGUGGAAUAGUGCAUGCUUGAAGCCUAUAAAUUGAAGCCAUUUUUUCAUUUUUUCUUACUUUUCCAUUUUUUAUGCAGAGGGAUUAGGUGGAAUAGUGCAUGCUUGAAGCCUAUAAAUUGAAGCCAUUUUUUUCAUUCUAAAUCAUCCCAAAAUUUGUUAAGCUUAUAAGUUUCUAAGCUUUUGAGAGUUCUGAAAGUGUGAGCAAUUGGAGAGUGUGUGUGAGAGUACUAGGUGUAUUUGGGUUCUGGAAAAGUGAGAUUUCUUUACUCAAAUUUGUACUCAAAUAAUUGUUAAUAAUACAAUUAUUUUUCUCUUGCUCCCAUGGACGUAGGCAUAUUGCCGAACCACGUAAAUUCUUGUGUCCUUUAUUUUUCUGUGAUUAUUCGGUGCGUUUGUUUCCGCAUUCUGCGCACAACACAUCCAUGUAUGAAGAUCAUCCAGGUAACCUCUCCAAGCUCUCCCAAACGUCGACUGUUGCUGAUUUUCAGUCUGCCUUUGAGGAUUUGAUGAACAAGGUCACGGGCAUCUCCGAGCCAUUGUUGGUUAAUUUCUUUAUCACGGGCUUAAAACCCGAUAUCAGGCGAGAAUUAUUAUUUGCAAGACCCACAUCUCUCAUGGAGGCUUUUGCUUUAGCCAUAGCUUAUGAGGCACGAUCGGAAGAAAUCAAGACCUCUAGCCGUUCUUGGACAAAGUGGACACCCUCAUCUACUUACACCCACCAAUCCACCAUUACUGCCUCCCCACAUCCUGCAUCAUAUAAAACCCCAACAACAACUACUCUUCCGAGUUUGUUAGCCACUAAACAGCCACCUCAACCCCCAUUAUUGCCUACUCCCACCUUGCCUAUUCAUCGAUUAACUCCAACAGAAUUAAGAGAGAAAAGAGAAAAAAGGGCUCUGUUACAACUGUGACAAAAAAUAUAGCGCCACACAUCGCUGUCGUAGCAAGUUUUUGUUAUUAAUGGGUACGGAUGAUGAAGAUGAUGAGCCAAGUGAGGACGCUUUUAUUCAUGCACAACCAGACGAAGUAGUCACAGCGGACAUAUCUAGUUUGCAUGCCUUGGCUGGGCAAACUAAUCCACGAUCUUUAAGGGUGAUGGGCACCGUUGUCAACUAUCAGUUUCAGGUGUUAAUUGACAGUGGCAGUACCCACAAUUUUCUUAAGCCGCCAUUGGCUAAACGCCUUGGCCUUUCCGUUCAAGCUAUAACUCCUUUUCGAGUUUACAUUGGCAAUGGCAAUUUUCUUACUUGUCGAUUUCUCUGCCCUAAAGUGCCUAUCAAUAUGCAGGGGCAUGAAUUUCUUUUGGAUUUCUUCCUUUUGCCAAUCGAAGGCCCUGAUGCUUUCCUUGGGAUUCAAUGGUUACAAAGCUUGGGAAGAAUUUCUACGGAUUAUUCCGAGAUGACGAUGGAGUUUCAGUAGGAGGGAAAAUCUGUCAUUUUACGAGGAGACCCAAUUCCAAAUCCGAAUUUAAUCUCUUUUAACCAGUUUCAUGCCUUGCUAUCCAACUCCAAAAUCGACAACGUAUUUGAACUUCAUUCUUUACCAACUGAACCAUCAACAACUCACACAUCUACCAACACAUUGCCGGAUAAUGACUUAGAAUUUCCGAGGUCGUUGCCUGAACCUAUUACUACUCUCCUUCAAAAAUUUAAGGCAUUAUUUGCUCCACCCACUGGUCUUCCCCCUCAACGGCUAUUUGAUCACAAAAUACACCUUAUUCCCAAUUCCAAACCAGUCAACGUUCGCCCAUAUCGGUAUCUUUAUUUUCAGAAAACCGAAAUGGAGAAAUUGGUGAGAGAAAUGUUAAAUCAAGGCAUCAUAAAACCCAGCCAAAGCCCAUUUUCUUCACCGGUAAUGCUAGUAAAGAAAAAGGAUGGCUCCUACAGAUUCUGUGUGGAUUACCGCGCUGUGAAUACGGUGACAGUGAAGGACAAAUUUCCCAUCCCCACUAUUGAUGAAUUGUUUGACGAACUUGGCGGUGCUAGGAUUUUCAGCAAACUUGAUCUAAGAGCCGGUUAUCACCAGAUAAGAGUUCACAAGAGGGAUACUUAUAAAACAGCGUUUCGCACGCAUGAUGGACACUACGAGUUUCUUGUUAUGCCGUUCGGUUUGACCAACGCGCCGUCCACUUUUCAAGCAACAAUGAACCAAUUAUUUGCUUCCUUUUUACGUAAAUUUGUUAUUGUCUUUUUUGAUGAUAUAUUGGUCUAUAGUGCAUCAUUGGCUGAUCAUGUGUAUCAUUUGGAGCAGGUUAUGAGUUGUUUAUACACAUAUCAAUUUUAUGUCAAAUUCUCCAAAUGUUUGUUUUGCCAGGAAUCAAUUGAUUAUUUGGGCCAUAUUGUGUCGGCUCGAGGAGUGCACGCUAAUCCGCAAAAGAUCACAGCCAUGGUAGAUUGGCCCUUGCCUAAAUCGGUGAAGCAACUGAGAGGGUUCUUGGGGCUGACAGGGUACUACUGACGUUUUAUUCAAGGCUAUGCAACCAUCGCAGCUUCUCUCACUGAGUUGCUUUGUAAGGAGGCUUUUUAUUGGAAUCUGGCAGCUACUCAAGCUUUUCAAGCAUUAAAGAAGGCUCUUGUGGAAGCCCCUGUACUUCACUUGCCGAAUUUUGCCUUGGAGUUUGUCAUUGAGACCGAUGCUUCUAAUGUCGGGAUCGGUGCUGUGCUAAUGCAAGUCGGGCAUCCUCUAUCUUAUUUUAGCAAAAAGUUGGGUCCUCGAAUGCGUGCAUCCUCGACAUAUUUGAAGGAAUUAUAUGCUAUUGUAGCUGCGGUUCAAAAAUGGCGUCAAUACCUCCUUGGUCGAUUUUUCCUUAUACGCACUGACCAUAAAAGCAUAAAGGAACAGUUUCAACAAGUUAUUCACACCCCAAAGCAGUAAUUUUACAUUCGCAAGUUGAUGGGUUAUCAAUACAGAAUCGAUUAUAAAGCUAGUAACUUCAAUAAAGUUGCUGAUGCUUUAUCGCGAAUUCAUGGGGACAACGUGACUGAAGAACCCAAACCAACAGCACUCUGUUUGUCAUUUGUAAGCCAACCUUCUAGUGAACUAUUGACAGCUCUGCACAAGGAAAAUUGCACUCUUCCUGAUAUGAAAUAACUCCAUCAGAGGUAUGCAGCCGGUUCACUUUCUUCUGACUUCUCGGUUCCUGCUAUUUCGACAUCGAUAUUACCUCAGCCCCAACUCAUCAUUAAAAGCCGUGCUACUCAAAGAGUUUCACGAGACACCUAUGGCAGGACAUGCUGGUAUUAAAAAGACAUUGGUACGUCUUUCAUCGACUUUUUUUUGGCCUAAGAUGAGGAAAGAUGUUGAGCAAUAUGUAGCCGCUUGCCUUGUUUGCCAGCAAAUUAAAUACUCAACUCAAGCGCUGGCGGGUCUGUUACAACCUUUGCCCGUCCCUUCAUUAGUUUGGGAUGAGUUAACCAUGGAUUUCAUUACAGGGCUGCCACUUUUGAGAGGAUUUGAAGCAAUUCUGGUUGUUGUGGAUCGUUUAUCAAAGUCAGCUCACUUUGGAGCCUUGCCUUCUCAAUUUACUGCCAUCAAAACAGCAGCUUUAUUUGCUGACAUGGUUGUAAAAUUACAUGGAUUUCCUAGCUCUAUAAUUUCAUAUCGUGAUCCUAUAUUCAUGAGCAACUUUUGGCAAAAAUUGUUUGAUUUAAGUGGGACAUAGUUAUGCCACAGCACGGCUUAUCACCCUCAAACGGAUGGCUAAUCCGAAGUAGUUAACCGAGGGCUUGAGCAAUAUUUACGAGCCUUCGCACAAGACAAGCCACAGACAUGGUCUUCAUUUUUAGGCUGGGCUGAAUUUUACUACAAUACCAGUUAUCACAGCAGCUUGCGUAUGACUCCCUUUCAAGCCCUUUAUGGACGUCUUCCUCCCACAAUUCCAAGUUACUCAAGGGGCUCUACUUCAAUCCAAGCGUUAGAAGACAUGUUAAUUGAGAGGGAUGCCAUGCUUUGCUCAUUGAAAGAGAACUUACGACAAGCUCAGCAUCGAAUGGCUCAAAAGGCUAAUUUACAUCGCCGAGAAAUUCAAUUGCAGGUAGGUGAUAAAGUGCUGGUACACCUUCAACCAUAUCGCUAGACAUCAGUUGCUAAGCGCUCAUCUCACAAGCUGGCAAGGCACUAUUAUGGACCAUUCACAGUGGUAAAGCGUAUUGGACCCGUUGCUUACAAGUUAGAGUUACCCACAAAUUGUAGAAUUCACUCGGUGUUCCAUAUUUCCUUACUAAAACCUUAUGUGGGAAACUUCCUCAUUGAUGUUUAUUCACUGCCUCCAGGAAGUGUGGAUAACAAGCCCCUGUCAUCGCAAAUUGCAGUAUGUGCUGAGCGAAAGAUACUUCAACAAGGCAAAGUAAUUCCACAAAUUUUGGUGCAAUGGUCUGAUAGCUCACCAGAAAAUUCGACUUGGGAGGACUUUGAGGAAUUUCGUAAACUCUACCCUGCACUACACCUUGAGGACAAGGUAAGCUUUCAAGGAAUGGGGAAUGAUACAACUUGGCCAAUUGUUGUGAAUCAGAUCGAGCACAAUGAGACAGCAAGGGAAGAGACCCAGCCUGCAGAAAUAGAAAAAGUCCAACCCUUGAAUGAGACACAAGCUAGAGAGCAGCUCAAGACAGGUCCAACUUGCGCGAGAAAGAAACCAGGAUGGCUCAAAGACUUUGUCAUUUGAGGAAUGUUCGAGAAUGCUUGAGAUAUCAUAAUAACGAAUAUUGUUCUGUUUUCAAUUAGUGUUUUGUUGUUAUCAAUUUUAUUCUAUUUAGUUAGUUAAGGGUGCGUGGCUGUUUUUGGAAGGGAGAAUAUAUUGUACUGUCAAGGGACCCGUGAGGGCAUGAAAAGAAAGGAUAUCAUUUUGUCUUUUUUCAGCUUCGUCUUCUUUCUCUUCUCUGCAACUCCCCUGUCCCAUUUCUCUUUCUUCAAAUUCUUUUCUCCACGGAUUGGAGUUUGCACUCGCUCAAAGAGUGUCGUAUCAAAGAGUGACUUAAAUUUUCAUCAGUAUCCAGACAUUCUGCAAUCAUAGAGUAGAGAAAUUUUAACAGGAACAGCAGAGAAAAUAUUAUGAAUAUGCUAUAGACCAAUAUACUUGUUCAUAGCUAACGUUUGAUGGUUUAAGGAUUUGUUCUAGGAAUAAUGGGUUGAUUACUUUUUUUAUUUUAAUUUUUUUUAAUCCAAUGAAUGAUAUUCAGCUGUUAAUUAUGUGUUCAUAGGGAAGAACAUUUUCUAAGUACUUUCCUUGCCUUCUAACUUUCCGAAAAGCAAACCCAAUGAACAAACAGAGCACAAACUAAAAUAAAAGAACAGCAAUGAUGACAAUAAAUAAUUGGAAAAGAAAAAAAGGAAAAAGUAUGCACGUUUUCAAGGAAUUAUAAAAUACGAAGGCUUUUAAUGAAAUUUUAUCAUAAAAACGUAUGCAAGGAGUUAUAAAAUUUUAGAAGACGAGGGGAGCUCCCAAAAAAAAAAAAAAAAGAAAAAGACUCAAAUUAAACUAGACUAAAAAGACAUUCAAUUAUGCAAAAUCUGUCCAUAAAAGUCUGAAAGGAUCAUUAAAAUUGCAUUGCAAAUUUAACAGUAAACUGAGGGACCCAUUCUAAAUAAUUCAGUUGAAAUUGCGAAACAAGCCAUGGGAUUAAAUAAAUGAAAUAAAAAUUAAUUACCAGUUGAGACUUUCUUCUAAAAAUUCGCAACUCCAAGUCAUAAGAAGCCUAUGAAAUUAGUCGUAAUACGUAGAGUAUAUCGACGACACCGCCAACAGCUGAAAGUAAAAUUCUUAUUCAUCAAUGUAAACUUACUUUAUAACAAAUAUCUUAUCUAUAUUGUAUUUAAGAAAGCAAAUUUUGUAAAAAUUUAUCAUGGGAGAUAGAGAGUAAUAUGUAUAUCCGUACCUUCUCAGCAGGUAAUUGUUGUAUGGUUGUGUUUAGAUCAUUAUUAGCCCAGCGCCGUUGAUCCGCUGUCUCUCCAUACCAGACAUUUACUCUUGGAGGCGUGAUUGCUUCUCCUGUAGUGAAAAUCUUCAUCUUGGGACAACCAAUCACCCACAAAUCUUGCAAAGAUGGCAAUUUGAAGGUGUAAUUGGGAGAGCAGAAACUUGUGAGGCUAUCUAAAUCAAACAGUUCCAACGUCUUCAAUUUGCGGAAAACAAUCUCUUCUUUUUCAACUCCAUCUUUGUCAUUUAUUACCACCUCUGUCAUUGCUCUGCAUCCAUAUAUUUCUAUUGCUACGAGUCGCACCAGAGUUUUUGCUGUGGAGGAUGUUACCAUGUGUAACAAUUUCUUGCAACCGAAAGCCACCAGAGCUGUUAGGUUCUGAAAAGAUACCGAUGAUGAUGGCAAUAGAAUUAACAGACUUUGACAAUGAUAUGCUUUUAGAAUUUCAAGAUACUGAAAAAUGGGGCCAAGUUUGGAGUCUUGUUUGCACAGCUGCUUCAGAUGAUAGUGCCAGCGCAGCUCUAAUGUUUUUAUCAUUGCCAACUUCCCCACAUGUUUCUCUAAGCUUCCUUCCUCCGAAAAUACCUCUUCGUGGAAUGAAAAUUGAAACAGUGAGAGUAUUUCGAGAUUGUGAAAUCUCUCAAGUACAUUCCAGAUUGGAAAACAAGCUGAGUUAUCUUCGGCAAUCUCUAGUUGUUUAAGACUGCCAAAAAGGUGUUGUGGGAAAUCGGCCUGCAAAAUCAUCUUCACGUCUUUUCCAUUCAAUGAUAGGUCCUUCAAGUUGGGUAAGAUCUGAUCAUCAUAAAUCAUAAUAACUAAUGAGGUCAAUUGAUGUUCUCUCAAAUGAUUUUGAGUAAUCCAAUUACCAGCAGUGACUUUAUAGUAUCUGUUUUAUAUUAAUUUUACCCCCAAAAAAAAUUUAAUUAGUGAUAAAAUUCAUUAUAUGAUUUUUUAUAUGUUAAUUUUAGAGGUAAAAAAGAAAUUAGGGAAAAAGGGUUGAUUUAUAUUUGCAUGAAUUUCACAACAAUAAAUUAUUAAUUUAUUUUGUAAGUCGUUGUAUAAAGAAAAACUAAGGAUUCUUUACCUAAAAAAGUUCAUAUAAUUAUUAAUCUCCCACAUUGAUCCCUUUGUCAAGACUAGCAAAGAUUAUUAUGUAAUAAAAAUUUUCAAUUUAUUAAGUAUUAAUUUAUCAAUGUUUUGUUACAUUUUUCAAAGUCAAAAGACGUCAAUGAGAUAUUGAAAAAAAUAUCUAGAAAAUGACUUCAUACCUUUUCCAAUGGCAAUAGGGGCUGUUGUGCAGGAAUACCAAGUUGAUCAUUCCCAUUAUUCUGCGAUAAAUCUGCAGCGAAUAUUUUUAAUUUGUCACAACGACACACUGCAAAAUUUUCUAGUGCUGGCCAUUCCGAAGUAUGCAUUCCUGGGUAUAAACAUCUAAGUUUUGGUAGACCUUGGAGUAUCAGAACGGUGAGCUGUGGAAAGACAAAAUAAGGGAUCACUUCAUCUGCUCUGUUUUCAGAAAUGAUCUCCUGUAAAUCCUUACAGUCUCGUAUAUCUAGGUGUUGGAGCUGCUUAAGGCUUCCGAUCAUAGACGCUGAAAAUAUGUAUUUCAGUUUGUCACAGUACCACACAACUAAUCGUGUUAAACUUUGAAAGUGAGGAAACACGGCCGCCGGAAUUUGAUUGUAGUGCCAAAUCUUGUCGACAUUAAUUGCAGAUAUCUCCAAAGCCUCCAAGUUAGGCAACGCAACCUAAAAAAAAUAAGAAUUUCUCGUUAGAUCCAAUAUCCAUAUGGGAAGCACUUGUUGAAAUUUUCUUCUUUGAUUACAAAUUAAUGCAAGUCAGAAUCAAUUUUCAACUGACAGCUGAGUUUGAUGCAUUCUAAUUCAUACUACUUGUUAAGAGCUCAAUUAGUGAGCGUGUGAGAUUCUUUUUAUCCUUUUUUCCAUUUUCUUUCAAUUCUUUAAAUGAUUUAAUUAUUUUCCACGUAUGACAUCAAAAGAGAACGCAUGAUAGAAUAAAAUCUGUUAUAUAUAUAUAUAUGAAGAAAAUGUUAGCCUACGCACCUUCUUGUUGAAAAGCAGAGUUGAAGUAUCCUCUUGCGACGAUGGUCUGUUUAGUGAUGCUGAAGGAGUCUUUACUUCACGGCAGACAUUUGUAACCUCUGGAAGAUUCCCCAGACUCAAAGAUCUUAAUUGAGCAAACUCUAUCUUCUCAAUUGCAUUAUCAACUUCUUCCCCAAUUGCAAAAAUCUCUUUCAUCUUGCUGCAAUUAACAACUGCAAUUCUCUCAAGUCUUGGAAGGCAUUUUGUAGUAGAGAGCCAAAAGAUAUUACUCAAUUUAUCACAAUUAUAUGCUUCUACGGUUUUGAGUUAGUUGAAAGACUCUACUUUGAGCCGAUCAACACAUAUCCUCUCCAUGUUGAUCAAAUUGUGAAGGAUAAGUGACUCCAAAAGAGGAAAGGCUUCACAAGCUACCAUCUCCAUUGAGUCCACGAUACACAGGAAGUUAGGAUUAUUUUGAACAUGGAGAUGCUUCAAUUGUGAAAAGCCUUCUGUGUCCAAAUAAAAAAGAACAUUCUUGACACCUUGCAGCUUGUCCAACCAUAGGUAUUCAACGUUAUUGAUGCCCUGCAAUUUCAUGGAGCAAAUGUCCAUAAAAUCAAGCUUGAGCUUCAAUUCUCUUAAACUCUCACGAUUACUCUUGAUCAAAAAGUGCGGCCGGCUUUGAAACCGUUCUCUUGUAACAUUCUUGGGAGGCAUGAAUGACUCAUUUCCAAUGGAUAUAUUGAACCUUUCGAGCUUUCUGGCCAAAAAGCCUUCCGAUAAAAUACUGUCAUUUUUAACAUCAAUUUCUAGAGUGGUUAGCCAAGGUAAAAGCAUCAAUUCAUCAAGGCUAGCAUUACUUCUUUCACUGUUGGCUCUUUCAACCUCCCAUUCAACGGAGCAAUUACCCAUAUACAAUUAUUCUAAUCGGAUUAAGCUUGAUAUGACAUUUGGGGCAAUAACUUUCAGACGGAAACAGUCUGUUAAAUCUAACAGCCUUAGCUUAGUCAGUUGCCCUAGUGCUUUAGGUAACUGUACAAUAUCAGACCGCACAAAGCUAAGGAUUUCUAGAUUUUCCAACUUUCCAAUAAUGGCUAUGUCCAUGUCUCCCAAAAUGCUUUGAUUAAGACAAAGUGUCCGAAGAUUUACUUGAAGAUCAAUUGAAGAUGGCAAUGACAAUAACCGCAUUCUAGUCAAAUCCAAAACCCGAAGCUUUUUCGUCCUUUUGAAGAAGUUCUCAGGAACAUUGGGCCCAACAAAAGAGUUAUUGGGUGACAUGAAUUAAAAUUCAAGUUGUGUAGAUUCCAACACUUCAGGAAUGUCAUUAAUAAUACUAUCUUUUAAACAAAUUGCAAAAUAUUUUUUUAGUGCAUCUGCAUCUGGCCAGUUCCACACACCCUCAUUUCUCACCGCAAAUGCAAUUUUGUCACGACGUGCUAUUGAAAUGGCAACAUCGCGAACAACAUCAUGCAUGGAAAAGAAUUUACUGCUACCAUCCUCAUGCAACAAACAAGACUCUCUUAGUUGAUGGACCCAUGCAUGUAAUUUGUUUGUUAUGUGCAUCUUCUAGCUUAUGGACACUUUCAAAUGCACCCAAGCCCAUGCUAUAUUUGAACAAGUCCAUAAUUGAAGUUGGUGUAAUUAGACUACACAGUAAAAAAGUUUUCUUGAGUUGCUCACCUCUUAAAUACUUGUAACUUAGCUCAAUUGUUGAGUAUGCCUCUACUGGUACUCCUUCAUCGAAGCUUGCCUCUGAAGGCGUUUGGAGUUCUUGCAAGGCAUUCUUCCACACAGGCAGCUCUUUGUUUCUCAGUGCCUUUGCUACUGUGGUUAGGGCAAUAGGCAAACCUCCACAUGCCUUGGCUACAUUUGUUGCUGUAGAUUUUAACUCACGAUUUUCAACAUAAUUACCAGCCAUUAUCUUGAACAACCUCCAAGCUUCUUGCUCAUUUAGAAUGCCAAUCAAGAAGUUAUUUUCAGAUCCCAUACUUAACAAGACAUUACGAUCCCUUGAUGUUAAUAAUAAUUUGCAUCCUCUAUGAUCAUCGCCAAAAGGAAUUCCGACAGUCUCUAAAUCAAGAUAUUUCCAGAUGUUAUCCAGAAUCACAAGGAUCAUCUUCUCUUUCUUCAAUCGUUCAUAAAGUCUACUAGCUCUUCUAGAUUCAGCCUCCUCGGACAACUCCAGACCUAGUUUCUCUGCAAUUUCCCCUUGAAUCUUUUUUAUGUCUGGAGUUUGGGAAACCUCUGAAAAAACCACCUGAUCAAAGAGUUUCUCUUCACUGGCUUGCCUUGCAAACUCCUUCACCAGUGUUGUCUUUCCAAUGCCGCCCAUGCCGUAUACCCCAACGAUGCUGACAUUGACAUCAGUCAAUGCAUCUUGUAUAGACUUCAGAGUAGAAAGUCUUGAUUUAAAGGCCUCGUAACCUUUGUUAGACUUUAGCCAUACCUCCUCCGCAAUGGUACGGUAGAAAAUUCUAUCAUCAAAUCUCCUAGCUUCUUCUUUGAGUUCAACAAGGGCCUUCACCUCUGUUUCUGCUUUCUUGCUAAGCUGAUAGCGGGUCUUCAAAUUAGGACACAAGCCCUUGAAACAUCGCUUACUUGUUGUCUCCCCAUCUUCAAUGAAUUUGGCUGCCUGCUCAAUGGUGUUGUUCGCACUAACCAUCCACUUCUCAACCUUCUCUUCAAUCUUUUCUCCUUUUCUUUCAGCCUCAGAAACUCUGUGCUGAAUGCUCUUACUUUCAUCCUUGAGCUUGUCUAUUUCUGCCUUGAGAUUCUCAAAGUUGUCUUUAUAGUUACGCAAAUAACCAAGUUGGCGUUCUGUUGGAGGAGCGAAGCAUUUCACAACUUCUAACAGAACAGUAACAAUGCUUUCCACCAUCUUCGAUCCUAUUUUUUUCAAAGUUCCGAAAUGAAAAUAAACGACGAGCGAAACACAGAGAGAGAGAGAGAGGCAAAAAAAAGAAAAACGAAAAAAAGAAAAUGAAACAACAAAGAUGACAAGUGUAUAUGGUUGUGGAAGUGGAGAAAUCAAUGAAAGCUUAAAAACUGCUGUGAAUCUGGUGAGAAGAUGGAAACAAGGAAAAGGUUUCUAGUUCAAAAGUGAUUGAAUUGAUAUAAGGAAUGAUUUAGAUAAUAGAGGAAAAGUGAAUCAGUCAAAACAACUUAUGUAUUGACCAGAAGAAAGAUGCAAACAAUAUUAGAGACAACAACCGCGCUAUUGACUGGUAAUAGAGAUGGAGAAAAAGAAAUAUCUUCACACGGUGGAAGUACAAAGGGUAGAUAUGGAACCAAACAGAGACAACAACAUGCCACAACUAGAUUGGGAAUGGAGAGAAACAAAUUAACAAAGACUGGAGAUUACAACAGAACAGAUGCCAAGAGAAAAGGGUUUCUUCAUCCAGUGAAAUUCAAGAGAGUUGACAGCAAAAGGGAGCAUAUGUGUUUCUUGAUUGAGAACGAGUGCAAAGGAUGACUUUUUAAUGAGGUUCUGAAGCUGACGAAUAACGAUUUGCUAAAAUUUUGAGAAAGUUAUAUAUUCCGUAACUUCAACAAGUGAAGAAUAAAAGAAUAAUAGUUCGUCAUCUUCACAAUGAAGAUCAUGGAUGAGAUUAAAAGCUAAAACUAGUUUUCAAAAUAAUUCCUUAUGAANNNNNNNNNNNNNNNNNNNNNNNNNNNNNNNNNNNNNNNNNNNNNNNNNNNNNNNNNNNNNNNNNNNNNNNNNNNNNNNNNNNNNNNNNNNNNNNNNNNNUCUUUUUUCUUUAAUACACGAAUAUACGCGACAUCUUAUUUAUCUUAAUAUGGUUAUUUGAUAUUUAUAUUUUCACAAAUCAAAACAAAAAAAAAGUAGUUAGAUUUUAUAGUUUAAGAAAUAAAUAUAUUUUAUAAAAAUAUUUUUAGAAUAUAUAUUUACUUCUUAUUCAAACUUUUUUCUAUUCAAUAAAAGUCACAAAAGUUACUUUUUCUAUUCAAAUGUAAAUGCUUAAAAAUCAGAUAUAAGUUACAAAAAAUGUUUUUAGAAAAAGUCAUAAAUUAAUAAAAUUUCAGAUUUUAUAUAUUUAACUCCCAAUGCAGAUCCGCCCCUAUUAGUGUUAGGAAAUUGACCGGUGAAGUAGGUCCACAACUAAAAUGAAAUUGAAAGAAAAUGAAGAACAAGCACACAGAGAACACCAAAAAUUACAUGGUUCGACUUUUAGCCUACGUCUACAGGUAAAGACAGAAGGAUAAAACUUUACUGGUGAAAUGAGGAUUACUAGUAUUAUAAUAUUUUGUUUCACUUCCCAGAACCUCAAUCCACUCAAUCUCUUAAAACACUAAUCACUCAAGAGCAUUAAAACUCUUAGUCUCUCACUCUAGAAUUGAAGAAGAAAAGAAUGAAAUGCGGGGGUGAACCCCUCAUUUAUAGUUAAAAAUUUGGGCACUAUUUAUAUAUUUAUAUAUUUUUUUUUAAAUUCAAAGUUUGAACUUGACAUUCAAACUUUGAAUAUCAAAAGGUAUUGGUCGCUCUUCUAGAAAAGCGAUAUUGACUUUGACAUUCUCCCACUUAGAAAUUUAAUUGAGAAUCAAUCAAUCUCCACACCAUCCUUUCUACUUCGCCGCUAUCAUGUUGCUUAUGUCUCUACUAGGCCAUAAAAUGAUCUACUCCAAACAAAUUUAUCAACAUUGAUAGGCUUGGGCAAAACAUUUGUUAGGUUCUCCUUGGUAUCCACUCUUGUAUCUUUCACUACUUCAUGAAGAAGUGAUAUUGUACUCCUAUAUUCUUUGUCCUGGAAUGAAAGGUUGGAUUCCUUGCAUCCUAACUAUCACAAGCCAUAAAAAAUUUUAUGCCCAAGCUCCUUCAGUAACCUUUGUAUCCAAAUAGCCCUUCCAAGCUUGUGUAGCUGCUAUGUAAUCUACUUCUGUUGUUGAUAAAACCACAACGGUCUGCAAUUUUGAAAUCCAACUAACAAUUUCUCCUUCUGGUGUAAAUACUUAGCCAGUAGUGGAUUUCCUUUUAUUAAGAUUUUCUGUAAAAUCUAAAUGCACAUAGCCCUUGACAGUAAAUUCUAAUCCUUCGUAACAUAAUGCAACAUCUAAUGUUCCUCUGAUAUAUCUCAGAAUCCUCUUAAUAGUCUUCCAAUGUUCUUUGCAAGGAUUCGCUAUGUAUCGACUAACCGCUCCCACUACUUGUACAAAUCAUAGUGAACCUUAAAUUUUCCACUGCUGAUGCAUACAGUGCUCAAGACAUCUCUUCUUCUCUACUUCAUUACCAGAUGAAUACUUAAGAAUAACUUAAAAUUAAUAGGAGGCGGGGUAGAAAGCCAAAUCUUCUUGCUAUUACUAUCUCGGUGAAUUUGCAUCCCUAAAAUCUUGUUUACUAGUUCUAAGUCUUUUAUUUCAAACUCCCUAGUUAACUGUGCCUUCGGUUCUUGGACUCGGUCUUUGUUGGGGUCUGCUACCAAUAUGUAAUCCACAUACCACAAUAAAAUGAUGAAAUCAUUAUUAUCAAACUUGUUGUAAUAUGUACAACAAUCUGAACUGAUUCUAUUGUAUCCAAUGUUUAUGAUGAAGGGAUUAAAAUCUCUUAUUUCAACAUUUCGGUGCACGUUUGAGAUCGUAUAGAGAUUUGUUCAACUUGCAAACCAAGUGUCCCUUUUUAGUAAAAUCUUCUAGUUAGAACAUAUAAAUCUUUGUUUCAAGUUCUCCAUGAAGAAAUGAAAUUUUCACAUCUAACUGCUCCAAAUAUAGGUCAAAUGUAGCACACAUUGACAAGACCACUCUGACUGUCCUAGGUCAAAUCACUGGAGAAAAUAUGUCAUUGAAGUUAAUACAUUCUUUCUAAGCAUAUUCUUUCACCACCAAUCUUUCACGAUACCGCUCCACUAAGUUAUUACCAUCACAUUUGAUCUUGUGGACCCAUUUGCAACCAAUGGUUUUUUUUUUUUCAUAUGGUAGUAGUACGAGUUCCUAUGUCAUAUUCUUGUGUAGAGCCUUAAUUUCUUCCUGCAUUGCUAUCAUUCACAAAGUAACAUCUGAGCUGUUUAAAGUUUCAUGGAAAGUUGAUGGCUUUCCAUUCUCUGUUAAAAGACAGUAUGCAAAAUUGAUAUCUAUGACAUAAUCCAAAUGCCACACUGACAGUUAUCUAUCACGAGUUGACCAACAAACUUUUGGGGCCUCAGACUCGAUUGGUUCUUGUUCUCAUACUUUGGUGUUGCUUCAAAAAAAUAUGAAUCUUCAUUUUCCAGAUUAUUUUCAACAUAUAUUAGCACAAUCUCUGAAUUUUUAUAGUGCUAUCAUCCAUAUCUCUCUUUUGCAUUUGAUCUUCUACAAAGAUAAUAUCUUUGCUGAUAACGAUCUUGUGAGCAUUGAGGUCCCAUAGAUAAUACCCUUUCACUCCAUCAAUAUAUCCUAAGAAGAUACAUCUCUAGGAUUUUGGAUCCAUCUUUAAUCUCACUUGGGUAUUGUAUAUCACGUAAAAGGACAUCAAAAUGCCUGAGAUGAGAGUAAUCAAUUGGCUUUCCUGUCCAUUUUUCCAUUGGAAUCUUCAACCUGAUUGCCUUGAAUGAUGACCCAUUUACCACAUAACAAGUAGUUUUUGCUACUUCCGCCUAGAAUGAGUUGAUAGACCAGCAGUUCUCAACAUAACUCUUAUUUUUUCUAUAAGAGUCCUGUUCUUUCACUCUACUACUCUAUUUUAUUGAGGAGUGUAUGCCACCGUGAACUAUCUCUAGAUACUUUCUUGCUUACAUAUGCAAGAAACAUGUUAUCUGUAUACUCUCCACCAUUGUUUGUCCUCAGGCACUUGAUCCCUUGCCCUGAUUUAAGUUCAAUCUACGCUUUGAAUUCUUUGAACAAUAGAAAUACAUUUGACCUUUUCUUGAUUGGAUACACCAAAUAUCUCCUAGAAUAAUCAUCAAUAAAAGUCACCAAGUACUUUGCACCUCCUAUAGAUAUAUCAAGUUAUUCCCAAACAUUAGAAUGAAUCAAGUCUAAAUACAUUUACUUUUGAAAGUGGAUCUGCUAAACUUUCAUCUAUGAUGCUUCCUUGUUUCGACAUGUGGCCAAGUUUAAGAUACCACAUCAUCGUUGAAUUUUCUCUAUUUGAUGUGACACACAUAAAAGCUUUCUGUAGUGUUUCCCUUUAAGUAUGAAUAGAUUAGCACCGAUCUUUUCCACUUUCAUUAAUGCAAGUGCGCCUUUGACUAUCUUUAUGAUCCCAUUUUCUACAUGAGUUUUGCGCGCAAGACUAUUUAUUUGUCCUAAAGAUAAGAGAUAUUUUUCAAGUCUUUGACAUGUCUUACCUUCUCAAUUGUGUGAACCGUACUAUUAAACAUAUUUAUUUUGACAGUACCAAUAUCAGUAAUCUCAAAGGCAUGAUCAUUACCUAUGUAUACAAAUUCUCUUGAAAUAGGUUCAUAUUUGUGAAAUCAUUCUCUUGGAGAGAUCAUGUGCCAGGCAACUAUUAAGUCUAUAAGCCAGACGUCAUAUAGUGGUUUUCUGCCUUUUGAAGUAGUUGUUGCCUUACUGUAGAGAAUUUUGCCCUCAUACGAGGUACUUACUACAUACCCUUGAGCAUUUGAUGACUUAGGAUCUUUACCCUCUCUUCUCUUCUAGUUGUUCCAAUACUCUUCCUUGCCACGCCCUUUCUUGCCACAAUUGUUGCAUUUGACAUUCUUCUUACUUCUUGAUUUUGAUCUACCGUGAUUGUGGCUCUCACUAGGGCCACGUUCCAUGGAUCUUCCUUUCAUCACCAAUAGUGCUUCUACUUGUUGCGAACUCGUUUGUCUAUCUUUUUUAUUUUUUGCUACUCUCCUCAUUUAAUACGGAGGCUGCCAUAUUGUCAAAGACUAACUUGUCUGCUCGAUUGUUAUUAGUUAGAUUAAUGACGAAUUGAUCAUACGAAUCUGGUAAACCUUGAAGUAGAAGCUCCACAUGUUCAUUUUCCUCUAUUUUAUGACCUAACGUUGUAAGUUAUGAAAAUAAAGUCUUUAAAGUGUUGAUAUGGUCGAUCACUGAUGUAGAUUCCGCCAUUCGAAGAGUAUAAAGCCUCCUCUUUAAAAAGAUUUUAUUUUGUAGUGAUUUGACCUCGUAUAGUCUUGUGAGAGUAAACCAUAUUUCCUUUGCUUUCUUUUACUCUACCAUAUUGAAUAAUACCCUAUCUGAAAGUGGGAAGUGUAGAUCUGCAAUGGCAUUAUUGUCUAUUUGAAAGUGGUAAGUGUAGAUCUGAAAUGGCAUAAUACCACUAUUAGAAAAUUGAUUGGUGAAGUAGGGUCACGAUUAAAAUAAAAUUGUAAGAAAAUGAAGAACAAGAACACAGAGGACAUCAUCAAUUAUUUAGUUCGGCUUUUAACUUAUGCCCAUAGGCAAGGACAAAAGGAUAAAACUUUACUAGUGAAAUGAGGAUUAUAAGUAUUUUAGUAUUUUGUUUCACUUCUCAAAACCUUAAUACACCCAAUCUCUCUAAACACUCUUAAUCACUCAUUAUAGAACUAAAGAAGAAAAGAAUGGAAUGAAUGAAAUGAGGGGGUGAACCCCUCUAUUUACAGCUAAAAAUUUGGGCAUUUUUAUAUUUAUUAUUAUUAUUAUUAUUUCUAAAUUUAAAGUUUGAACUUGAUAAUCAAACUUUGAAUAUCAAAAGAUAACGGCACCAACCUUGACUCUUAGGCUGACCUUUAGAGCUUUAAAUAAAGAAAAAGCUUUUAAAAAUGUCAUGUGUACUUGAUUAUACAAAAAUCUCCACCACAUAGAAUGAUUUGAUAAAAGAAAAUUUUUAUUUUUAAUUUUACUUUUAUCAGGCACAGUGCAUUUCCCCUUGGGCUCAUAUGUAAGGAUGUCAAUAAGAAGGGAAGGAGAGGGGAUUGAUUUCCCCAUACUCAUCUUUAAUACUCUGUCUAUCUCUUUGUACUCUAGACAUUUCCUUCAAAAUUACUUGAAAUGAGGGGAUGGAUGUUUCUAAAUAAUACAAAGGGAUCUCCGAUGGUAUCCGAUCGCUGAUUAUUUAAUUUCUUUUUUUUUCUUAAUUUAAUCAUCUUAAAGUAAAAAUAUAAAAUCAUAUUAACACAAAAAUAUCAAAUUAACUAAAGUGAUUAAAAUCAUUUCCAUCAAAUUAAGUCAAUGUCAUCAAAUUAGAACAUAAUCUUUGAACUAAUUAAGCAAAAGUAAAUCUUCAAAGUUGAACUCAUCCAUAAAUGUCAUAUAGUAUAAACCAUCAAUUAAAUUAUCUUUGUCAAUUUUAAAUUGUUUAUAUUUACUUUAUAUUGGCUGUUAUUUAUAUUAUUUUUAUAAAUGUAUUAUAAUAUUUUUUAUUUACAUCACACUAUUACAAUUGAAAUUUUAAAUGUAUUUACUAUAAAUUUGAAAAAAAUGAAUUAAAAAUAGAAACUAAAGAUAGAAAUAGAAAAAUGUGGAGCCAAAUAAAAUAUUAGGGCAAACACCAAGUUAUAUUUCAUGUAACUUACACCCACACAUAUUAAUUUAUCAGAUUCUUGUCUCCACAUAGAAAAAUUAGAUCUAAAAUUAUCAAACUCCCGAAUGAGGAAGAUCCCUCGGGGCCAUCGUCCCUGUGGAAAUUUCUGCAUCCCUGCAGUCUACAACGCCUAAUAAUGAAUUGAACGGUUGAAAUCCCUCUAAAUUUUUGAUAAUUUCUAAUCGCCCCUCCGUAUUUGAUUGAACAUCAAAACUAUUGAGUCCAAAUUUAUAACUUUGAUUUAUCUUCCAUUCCAUAGUUUUCAAGUUCUCUCUCUCUCUCUCUCUCUCUCUCUCUUAAUCCUUUUUACUGCAACCACCAUCAAAGCCUAGUAGUUAAUAUGUAUGCUGCUUUGCUUUCAAAAUCGGACACUACUGCUAUUUAUGGUUUUUAUUCUUUAUUUGACACAAAAUUUGGUGAUAUCUCCGUGGAAAAACACUACUGGUGUAUUCAAUUUUAUCCGGUAAUGGUUAAAUUGAUUAGUUAUAUGAACGGUAACUUCGCCAAGACGAAAAUACAUAUUAAGUUAUAAAGUGUUGGCACUCAUUAUUUUUCGCAAAAAGUUUCGCCCAAAAUACAUAUAUUUUUUUAUUGUUUUAUUUGACACAAAAUAUUGACAAAUUUUUCUGUGAAAAAACACUACUAUUAUAUUCAAUUUUAUCAUUAAAGUUGUUAGUUACAUGAACCUUAAAUUUGUUGGAUCAUAAACUUGAUCCAAGAUGAAUAAAUUCAAGCCCAAUUCAUGGAAGAUUCCAUGAGUAGGUAUGGUUGGUGAAGUAGGUGAGUGGUAGGUUUUAAUAAAUGGUGAUGAUUUAUGUAGUAGUUGAAUAAAUGAAUAGUUGUGAUUAGUUUGUAUCAUGUAUAAAUACCCCCUCUCCCCUUUGGUUUAAGCAUCAAGUGAAGUAACAAAAUCUCUAAGGUGUAGAGAAUGAAAAAUAAGAGUUGUAAUUGGUAAGGAGUGUUGUUGAAGAAAUAAAAUAGUGUGAUUUGUGUGUUUUAUUUGUUAAUUCUCCAACAAAAUUAACACGAACCGUAACUUAGCCAAGCCCAUAAUACAUAUUUCAUAUUUGUAUGAACUUUAAAGUUUUUCCACUUAUUAUUUUUCGCUAAAAGUUUCUAAAUUGUAUUGUAGUUUGAACUUGCCCAUCAUUCAAUUUUUUAACUCCACAAUUAUUUGACCUUACCAAGCUUGAAAAUAUCCUUCCAUACAUAUUUAAUUUUCUCCAAGUAUGAUCAAGAUUUAAUCAAGAGCCUCCGGGAUCUUAAAGUAUAAGAAAGGUCCGGAAAAUCUUUAAAACCCCACUGUUUAAAGUUUUUUUGGACUUUCCUGUACUUUAAAAUCUUGAAUUGAUAUAUAUAUAUAUAUAUAUUAUCAUUGUUAGGUGCUAGUACCCUCAUUUUUUUUUUUAAUGCAAACACCCUCUUAAGCAGUAGGGUUUAAUAGGAUUAUUGUUGAAUAAACUAUAAAGUCGUGCAUCUUAAUAACAUUAAAAACUAACUUUCAACUAGCUCUCUUAAAUUGUACGGCUUAAAAGCAUGUCCGCAUGAAAAAAUAAACAUGCCUGCACCAAAAAAGGACUAUAUAUAUUAUUUAUUUUAUAUAUACAUACGUGUGCACGCUCGUGUAUAUAUAUAUAUAUAUAUAUAUCUUUUUAAUAUAUUCGAUUACUUUAAUAAUCAAUUUAAAAUAGUUUGUGAUAUUUUCAGCUAUUUAUUUAUCUACUUUUAGUUAGUUAUUUACACCGAAUGAAGUGCUAGGGUCCAAAUUUUAGUAUCCUUCUCAGUUGUUUGGGAUUAGUAAAUACUAAUUAGCUUAUUCGUCCCGAACAGGCGCGUAAAUGCUGUUAGAUUUCGGAGAGAUCGAUGCUGAGGAUGGUACAAGAUUUAUCAAAUUGUGGCGACAUUUUUAUACCUUUAGAAUUUCAAGAUUUUGAAGAAAUAAAUGGAAUCUGUUUUCCAUAAGUGCUCCACUAUCCACCAGGAGGAAUUCUAAAACACAUUACAUAUUCGUGAUUUCUCAUAAUAAAUAAACACAUGUUAUAACAUUAUUUACUUAUCGUAUGACUGAUAUGAUACUUUGGAUUGCAAUUCUCAUACAAUACAUAGAAUUAUCAUAAUCUAUAAAUUGUAUUUUUGCUUUUCUACGGUAGUAAGUCAAGAAUCCUUAGUGACAAUUUAAAUUGAAAAAAUAAAAUCAUAAAUAAGAAUUAUUUGAUAAGAAUUAAAAUAAUUGAUAAAUAUUUGAGAGGAGCAAUUUUGGAAGACUCGAUUUCUAAUAGGAGGGGAAUUUGAAUUUUACAACUUUCGGUGAGGAAUCCAAAAUGCACAAUUUGAUGAAAAUUAAAUUUCAAUAGAAAUUGAAUUCCCAUAUGUUAGUGAAAACCAAACAACAGAAAAGUGAAAGGAAUUUGAAUUCAUUUCCUUCCCGUCUCAUCCCUCCAACUAAACACCAUCGAGACCCAAAGAUAUGGGUUUGGAAUUCCAUACUGAUCACAAUGGGAUUUGUCCAUAUUAUUAGGACCAAUUUUAAAAGCAGUCGGAGUUUAAAAUUGAAAUUAAUCCUAAUUUUUUAUUUGGGACUAGAUAAGAAUUUAUAUUGUAACUCCAAUUCUCCCAAUUAUUUUAGUUGAUAAUAUGUUUAACAUUAUUAAUUGCAUAUUAUUUAAUUAUCAGUAUAUAAUAUUCUUUAAUUUUCCAAUUUUAUAGGAUUAGACACAAAAUUGAUUAUGCUAAUAUUCUUUAAUUUUCCAAUUUUAUAGGAUUAGACACAAAAUUGAUUAUGCCUUCUGAAAUUUAAGGGUUAUGUCAAUUGAACAGAAAACUUGGAGUUGAACUUUUGGAUGUUUUUGUUGAUUAUCAAUUUAUGCAUGAAUUUUUGUACGUUUACUUUGGUUUAUUAUUGUUACUUUUAGACAUUUUUAUUGGUUUGAUUUAGGGUCAUUUUGGUAAUCUUGUAAUUUUUAAAGUAGUUACAGUUAGCUAUGCUGUAGAAAUUGAUCAAUUGUGAAGAGAAUCAGCUGAACAUUUAGUAAAAUUUAUUUUUAAAAGUACUUUAGUUUUAAAAGCAGUUGUAUGUGUUUCGUAAAUCUUAUUUUUAAACAGGUGCAAGAAUAUAAAUAACUAAAUUGGACAUAAUGCUAAAUAAAAUUUAUUUACACAUUUACAAACAUGUAUAUAAAAUAUUUUUAUUAUGUACAUAUAAUUAUUGAUAACUAAAAUAAAAAUUUUAUAUUAUUAAAUUUUAUUCUUUAUUUUGUUAUCCCAAUAUAAUUGGUAAUAAUAAUAAUCUCUUAAAGUUAAUGAUUUUAUUUCUUAAUUAAUAAAGAUAAUUCUGGAUUUUUAUUAUAUAAUGAGGAUAUAUAUAUAUAUAUAUAUAUAGAAUUGGAUUAAGUAUAAAAGUGAUUUUCAAAAUCAAAUUUUGAAAAACUAUUCCUUCCAUACUUUUCAAAAUCCACUGUAUGAUGAGAUGAUUUUUCCAAAAAUAAUUGCUAAAAAAUUAUAAAACACUAAAAAUUAGGUUUUAGUUUUUAAAAUCACUUUUGAGCUUCCCAAAAACAAUCCUAACAGGCCUUUAUUUAGGUGGUGUUGGAACUUGUAACUUUUGGAUCAUUUGGUUUUUAUUGGUUUGAUACAACUGUUACACUAAAAAUUGAAUGUAUCUUAAACCCCACACUUCUUCUUCUUCUUUUUUGAUUGCACAAAAUUAAAAACAAUAGUGAACGCAUUCUUUAAUAAACAAUAAGUAAUUACUAAAAUUGUGUUAAAGAAUUUAGUUGAAACAUAAAUUGAUUUCAAUGUUGUAUAUGCUAAAUUUCUUAAAAAUUUCUUUCACGGUUUGCUGAAUAGUUUUAUUAGUAUUUUGAAUAAAUAAAAAUAAUUGAUUUAAUUUUUUAAAGAAAUUUAUUAGGUUCAUGUAAAUACGUUUUUGUUAUUUUAAAAGUGUACAAAGUAAAACUUAAUUUUUUAAAUUUAUUAGAUGAGUGGAUAAAAUAAUUGAGUGUUCAUAGUAAAUUUUAAAGUAUAGAUAGUGAGACCCUAAUAUUUUUAAUAUAUGGAAAUUUUGAAAAUAUGUUAAUGGGAAUUAAAAUGAUAAUUAAGGGAGGCAUUCGAGACAUUCAGGAUUGUUAGGAUAGGACAUGAUUGUGAGCGGUUUGAGAUUGGCCCUAAUUUUGAUCACAAAUAUAUAAGCAGGAUGAGUUUAUCCAUUCUUACAUUCCAUUUGAUAAUUAAGAUGAGAGUGGAAUUGUCAAAUCCCAAAUUAUCCCGGACCAUUGCCACCAAAGGUACUCUCACUAAUAAUAUCUAAAGAAAAAUCUACAUCUAUUUCAUACCUUUUUUUUAAACGGAAAGAGCCCUUAUGGGGCUUGAAAUGGUAUCCUAAAUAAUAUUCAAAAUAUCAGGCCAUGACUGGGUUUGUAACAAACAAAUAUUACAUAGUUGGGAUACGUAGUUACUAGUGUCCCAAUUUAUGUAGUAUCUAUCAUUUAGUGCACAUAUAAAGUGUUUGGGAAAUGAAAUAGGGUGACCAAGAUAAGGUGUUUGCUCAUACAUUAUCGUGCUCUCCUCAAAGUAAAAAGUGAAAAAAUAGUUGAUAGGCUACUAGGAGUUUAUUUGGUCACCUCGAGCACAUCACCUCGACCAGGAUAUUAUUUGGUGAUCUCGAGCACAUCAUCUUGACUAAGAGAUUAUUUGGUCACCUUGAGUAUAUCACCUCGACCAGGAGAUUAUUUGGUGACCUCCAGUAGAUCAUCUUGACCAGGAGGUUACCAGGAAGCACGACUCAGUCGAAACAAAUCUCACUUAUUUUCUUCGAAAUAUUAGGGACCAUAUUCUUAGUGGGCUGAAAAUUGGUGGUUUUCUUGAGAGUUUUAGGUGAGAGGAUAAAAAUCACUAUAAUUUGCUAUAAAAACCCUGGGAAAGGGAGGGAAAUAGGGAGAUUCUUUUUAUCUCUCUCUCUUUGGGUGACUGAACCCAUGGGAUCUUUUUCUUUCUACCACUGGGAACCUUCUCUUUCUCUCAUGAUUUAUUUUUCUUUAAGAUUGGUUAUUUUUUAUUCUUUUCCCAUAAAUUUACUUAAAAGCUUUUUGUUUAAAGUAUUCAUAAUUAAGCCGCGUGAAUUGUGGUACGGAUUUUUCCAAGUAGACCCAAAUCGCUGACUUGAGCAUCGGAGGAUUUUCUUUAAGAUUGAUUAUUGUUUCCAUAAAUUUGAACCAAGAAGGAUGACGCGAUAAAAUUUGUUUUUAUUGUAUGGUUGAUUUCAUAUCUCAUGCACUCAUUUCUUAAGAUAAUUAGAUUUCAUCUUUUGCAAAUGUGGAAAUAUCAAUUAUGGUCAAUCAAAACGAUCUCAAAACCUUUCAACGAGACAUAUUUAUAAUACAAUAUUGUGAAAAUUACACCAAAAAAUUAAUUUAUGAUAUAUUAUUAUCCCACCAGCACACAAAAAUGAAUUCGUACAAAUCUAAAAUACUUAGCAAUUUUCAAAUAGAAUUUUAAAUUUAUUUCCAGUUAGAAAACUAUUCGCUGGACUCCAUAUUACUAGCCACCAUCGUAAGCCUAACCGGUUGCCGGCGAACGGCGUAAAACACCAGCCAUCUUCUUCUUCAUCAUAUUCUCCUUUCAUCUUUUGAGUUAAGCCUGUGAUUAUGAGUUUCUUCUCUUACUUAGCUUGUAAUUAUAGAUUUUGAUUCUUUUUAAUUCAUAUUGUAGCCGUUAUUGUCAAUUUUUGUCCCGCCAGCAAUAUUUUUUUAUUCCUACAAGUUGAAAAUGGAUUCAUUUGAAUUACUAUUGAAUUUAGCUUUAAUUUCAAUAUCCAUUCUAAUGUUUUGCUAUUAGAUUUGCUUUAAUUUUAUGUUUAAAGCUUCUACAAUGAAUAGCGGAGCUUGGGUUUUAGUUUCAUUUUCUGUAACUUGUUUUAGUUUAUCUUGUAUGCUCACCAAGUGCUUGUUAUAUUGUCUGAUAAGUUCUAUACAUUGCUGAUUCUAUAUUAAUAAUGUUAUGUUCUAUUUUCAGAAAUUAUAAUACAAAAGUUUUUACAAUGGCGUGCAUCUACAAACUGAAUUGACUUGUAGAAUAAGAGCUUGGAGUAGUGUUAUGUUCUUGAAUAAAUGAAAGUUCAUAUUGUGUAAGAGCAUGUAGAUGUAAAGCGUCAUUACCAUUUCUAUAAAGGACUUUCAUUCUGUUCAGAUGCUCUUCUUGAACAUUGAAAGGUGCCUCGUUCAAGUCCUAGCUAUAACUACUAGCUUUGAUUAAUUAAGUUCCUAUACUAGCUGAAACAGAUUUAUUUAAUUAAUUAAUUGUGUAUGUACUGAUUAUAUUGAAAGUAUAUGAAUUUUUUUUUUUUUUAACAUGAAUGACUUCUAAAUGACUUAAAAACCUAAAGGAUAUGUGAAAUUAUGCUCAUUUCACAUGAAUGAGCCUAUUAAUACUUUUAUGUCUAUGAUUGUCAAUAUUGGCUUAAGCAUUUCAGUUAAGUGGUUUACCUAACAGAGAAAAAAAUUUAAUAGAAAACUUCAGAGUUCUAACAGAAAUAUAGUUCACUAUGCAGAUAUAGUUAUUUUACGGUAUACAAAUCAAGUUGUCCUAAUCUCAAUGUCCUAUGACCAAUUUUAUUUUAUAUAGUCAUUAAUUUUUGCCAUGGUUUUUUGUGUUUAUGAGUUUGAAAUAGUGGGAUUUGGUGUACCUUAGCAUCUUUUGAAAAUUCUCUUUAAGUGUGGCCAACAGAAAUAUACAUAUAAUCAAGUUUCUUAAUCCUGUAUAUUAGUUUUGGGUAUGAAUGGUCCUAUUCUAGCUCUAGGCAAAGCUUCUUUGUUUUGGGCUUCAGAUUUCCAGUAGGUUAAGUUAAUCAACUAUCAUAACUGGCUAGCUAGUUAUUUGUUUGCCUUGCGGCCAUUACCCAGGGCAUUAUAUUUGCAUAGGCAUAAGGGAAUAGUGAUUAUUAGUGAUUUGUUGAGCUUAUUAUUGACGAAACAAAUGUAUUUCGCCUUUGCCCACAACUUAUUUGAUUAGGUAUUAGACCAUAAGGAGCCUGGAUCUAUUCAUUGGCUUUAUUAUUUUUAUUUGGUUUUUCUUUCAACAAUAUUGUUGAUUUCUUAUAAAAAUAUUCAUUGGCUUUUAAACACCUAAUCAUUGGCUAUAUGAAGCUAAUUAAAACUGAGGCUUUGGAUCAAUUUCUUCUAACAAGAUACAAAUGAGCAAAACCUUUCUCCUCUAAGUUAAUUUUUUUAAUAUCCCUUGAUUUGUAAGGAUCUGGAGGCCUGAAUCCUCUUGAUUUUUUUUAACACUGUCAAUGUUCUUUUUAUUCUGAGAAGGAAAUAAAAGGUUUUAUCUUUCAUACCCGAAUAGUAAGCUGGCCUUGUCUUAACAUGGCCUCCCGAGGACUUGCAAGAUUCAUAGUGCCCCCCACCCCAAAAAAAAACAUAAAAAACACAAAUAGGAAGAUUUUGCAAGAUUCACCACCAGGUUUUUUUUAAUUUAUUAAUUGUGUGUACGUGCUAGUUAUAUGUUGAAAGAAUAGGAAGAAGUAUUUCAACAUGAAUGACUUAAAACUUAUUGCUCAGUAAACAUAAUCUGCAUCAGUGCGAAAAUGUAUUUAUCGUUUGUAUUUUUUAUGGUUUUGCUAAAGAAAUGAUAUGUGAAAUAAUGCUACAUUGCAUCAGGAAUAAAUUGAAGAGAUUUAUGAUAUUUAUGUGUUAUUCAAAUUUCAGAUUCAAUUUUAAACUUUUGAUACGUGCAUUGAAAGCUUAGACUUGUUUAAGAAAUCAUUAAUAGACACAUGUUUUAUUAGUGUCAUCUUUGGAUGAUAGUGAGGAUCAUAUGUCUAUUAAUAAUUCUUGAAUUGUCCAGGCUUGGACAGUUUGGGAAUGCAUAGUUCACUCUGGUAGCUAGUAGCUGAAGUUUUUUCCCACGUAAAAAUGGGUUUUUCGGUAGCUGCUCCUCGUGUUCUCUGGGUACGUACUAGGUGAAUGGGUGUCAUGUGCUGUUUUGGCAUAACGCAUAAACACUUAUAUAGCUAUGUCGUGUGCUUGGAGAAUUAUAGGGAGAUGGUGCCGAAAUUUUUAUAAACGUGGAAGAAAACUUUAGGUACUUGAGAUUGAAGAAACUAAUGCAUUCUUGAGUGGGAUAUGUAGGAUUAGUUGCCUUUUGUAAAUAUGAAGGGAAUGUUGGAUAUAUUGGGGAUAGUGUAGGAGCUGAGUUGGAUGAAUGUAAUUGGUGAUGAUUUUGCUGAGCUGACCUUGGUUUUGAGCUUGUAAUUUUGUUUGUAAAUGGAGUGCUAUCUCCAAUGUUGGUUUAUAAAAAUGUUUCAGGACUUGCUGACCUAAUUUUUUGUUUCUAGGUUACAGGCUUUAUAUAUCUGUAAUUGAUAGCCAAGUGAAGUUCUCAGCACUUGGCAAGGAUAUUUCUUUACAGAAGGUACUGGAAACUGUUUUUUACAUUAAUUAUCGUUGUUUAUAUACUUUGAUUGUCACAUCUUUUUCUCUGAUUCUUGUGGCUUUGCUUGCUUUCAUAUAUGUAAAUUCUAAUGAAAUUAACCAUAAAAUUGUAAAAUGAUUUUUUUAUUAUAUUGCAAAACUGUGCACACACGAAAAUAUCUUGUUUAGUAGUAGAAAUGAAGAAAUAAUUUUUGUAGCGCAUUAAAAGGAGAUAGUCAUGGACAAGUGUUGGGUUGGUUUGCCAAAUAGAUAUCCAAGUCAUAUACUGAUGGCGUUGAAAAAUUUAUAGAUUUUGUAUUUGAGAAUGUUGUUGGUGGUACAAGAAUUUAUUGUCCUUCUUGAUAAGUGUUGUAAUCUAUAUUUCGUUAUAAGGGAAGUGGCUGAUGAUGAUAUGGUUGGAAUGAUACAGUGCAUCACGUAAUCAAAUGUUCAAGUUACACGCAGCAUUGUUAUGAGUGGCAACUUGUCUGGGUGGAGUAUUAAAGGUAAAUAAGCAUGUCUUGUUUGCCAACAAAGCACUGGAUCUAAUUCGUUGAUACAUAGUAGAAAAUUUUGUCACGUGGGUCACCGUCGAUUUUUCCCAACAAAUCAUAGGUUUCGAAAAUAUAGUGUCUUUGAAUAAAACUAGAGAGUAGGGACAAGCACCUUCUCAGUUGUCUGCAACUGAAGUGAAAAAGCAGUUUAAUGUAUUUACUGAGUAUAAGAUUGAAGACUUGAAAAGAGAAGAACGAAUGAGAAAUGAUAAGAUUACUUGGAAGAACAACAGCAUUUCUUAAGAUUACUUGGAUGAGAAAUGAUGUGGAAGAUGGCUAUAAAAGAUAAAAGGAAAGGCUUAAAAAGAAAAGCCACGCCUGUCAAAAACAAAAAUCAAUGGCAGCGUCAAAUUUAUAACAAAAAUCAAAACGGUGCGUUUGAGAGUGUAUAAAAUACAUUUAGAGUGGGAGUUGUGUUGUUGCUUGAAGGCAGAAUGUUUGUGAGAUAUUUGUCGACGAAGCCGAAACCAAAGAUGAAGCCCAUCGAAAGUAUUUAUAGUGUAAAAAGUAUAUUGUGGAAAUGUCUGGUCGGUAAUACAACUAUUUCUUGUAGUGUAAAUGAUACACUAAUUUGAAUUUAUAUGCUUUUAUGAUUAUUUGAUUAUCAAGUGGUGAUCAUAUGUGAUGAUAAACUUAGGUCGUACCUUUAUAUUUAUAGCCUUAGUUUUCUAAGCGUUCACAUUUUGAUGAGUAAAUUAAGGAUUUCUAGAUGAAGUACAUAAUUAGAUUAAUGCUAAGGAACUGAAGUUUGAUCAACUGAAAACGAAAAUAAUAAUGAAGGUAAUUAAGAAAAUGAACAAUGCAGAAGCGGUCCUUAUUAGGACUUCUAGAUUUUCUCUUGGGCUUCCUUAUUAUUGUUAAAAAAUGACACGAAGAACUGAGUUUAAAAAUCUGGCCCUGAUGCCUGGUAGCCCUCCAACAUAUGAAGCACUAGAUGUUUUAAUGAGAAAAUGACAAGACCAUUUAUCAAAUUUCUUGUGGAUAUAAAUACAUACACAUAGACGAGACCAACCUCCUCAAAUGAGAAUCAGAGUGAUUACAAGACCUUGCAAUGGGACGAUAACACACCAUCAAAUCUCAAAAUACAAUAGAAAUUCAUGACAUAUGUAUAAUAAAAGAUCUCUCAUUGAGUCAUAUAUAUUGAGAAUAAAAAUGUUAUAAUACAUACAAAGAGCUUAGCUAGAAUAAAAUGUCUUUGAACUUGCGAUGAUCAAACAAAGGAAACAGACAGGUUGUAACUCACACUAUCACAGAUGUAGCGACACGAUGCAGUGAAUCACAAGAAGAUCACGAAGAUGGAAACGGGAACCCCUCAGAAUGUAAACUUUGAAUAGAGGAAAAAAGAAAAACGUCCUUAUUUCAAAUUGUGCACAGAAGAAGAGUGACUUAAAUCUUCAUCAGUAUCCAGGCAUUCUGCAAUCAUAAAGUAGAGAAAUUUUAACAGGAACAACAGAGAAAAUAUUAUGAAUAUGCUAGACCAAAUUAGUCCCUUUUUUGGUUUGUGAAAACUUUAUUUUUUAUGAAUACGCUAUCCAAUAUUUUCAAUCAAUAUUUCCACAAUAUAGUUGUUCAUAGCUAACGUUUGAUGGUUUAACGAUUUGUUCCAAGAAUAAUGGGCUGAUUACGUUUUGUUUUAUUUUUAUUUUAUUUUUUUUAAUCCGAUGAAGGAUAUUCAGCUGUCUUUAAUUAUGCAUUCAUAGGGAAGAACAUUUUCUAAGUACUUUCCUUGCCUUCUAACUUUCCAAGGAAAGAUAGGUGUAAAGAAAAGCAAACCCAAUGAACAAACAGAGCACAAACUAAAAUAAAAGAACAGCAAUGAUGAGGAUAAAUAAUUAGCAAAUAAAGAAAGGAAAAAGUAUGCACGUUUUCAAGGAUUUAAAAAAUACGAAGGCUUUUAAUGAAAUUUUAACAUAAAAAAGUAUGCAAGGAGUUAUAAAAUUUUAGAAGACGAGGGGAGCUCGCAAAAAAAAAAGAAAAAGACUCAAAUUAAACUACACUAAAAAGACAUUCAAUUAUGCAAAAUCUGUCCAUAAAAGUCUGAAAGGAUCAUUAAAAUUGCAUUGCAAAUUUAACAGUAAACUGAGGAACCCAUUCUAAAUAAUUCAGAUGAAAUUGCGAAACAAGCUAUGGGAUUAAAUAAAUUAAAUAAAAACUAAUUACCAGUUGAGACUUUCUUCUAAAACUUCGCAACUCCAAGUCAUAAGAAGCCUAUGAAAUUAGUCGUACAGCGUAGAGUAUGACGACGACACCGCCAACAGCUGAAAGUAAAAUUCUUAUUCAUCAAUUUAAACUUACUUUAUAACAAAUAUCUUAUCUAUAUUGUAUUUAAGAAAGCAAAUAUUGUAAAAAUUUAUCAUGGGAGAUAGAGAGUAAUAUGUACAUACGUACCUUCUCAGCAUGUAAUUGUUGUAUGGUUGUGUUUAGAUCAUUAUUAGCCCAGCGCCGUUGAUCCGCUGUCUCUCCAUAGCAGACGUUUACUCUUAGAGGCGUGAUUGAUUCUCCUGUAGUGAAAAUCUUCAUCUUGGGACAACCAAUCACCCACAACUCUUGCAAAGAUGGGAAUUUGAAGGUGUAAUUGGCAGGGCAGAAAUUUGUGAGGCUAUCUAAAUCAAACAGUUGCAACGACUUCAAUUUGCAGAAAACAAUCUCUUCUUUUUCAACUCUAUCUUUGUCAUUUAUUACCACCUCUGUCAUUGCUCUGCAUCCAUAUACUUGCACUUUGACCAGUCGCACUAGAGUUUUUGCUGUGGAGGAUGUUACUAAGUGUAUCAAUUCCUUGCAACCGAAAGCUACAAGUUUUGUUAGGUUCCGAAAAGAUACCGAUGAUGAUGGCAAUAGAAUUAACAGACUUUGACAAUGAUAUACUCCUAGAAUUUCAAGAUACUGAAAAAUGGGGCCAAGUUUGGAAUCGUGUUUGCACAGCUGCUUCAGAUGAUAGGGCCGGUACAGCUUUAAUUCUUUUAUCAUUGCCAACUUCCCCACAUGUUUCUCUAAGCAUCCUUCCAUCGAAAAUACGUCUUCGUCGAAUGAAAAAAAAGACAGUGUGAGUAUUUCGAGAUUGUGAAAUCUCUCCAGUACGUUCCAGAUUGGAAAACAAGCUGAGUCAUCUGCAGCAAUCUCUAGUUCUCUAAGACUGCCAAAAAGGUGUUGUGGGAAAUCGGCCUGCAAAAUCAUCUUCACAUCUUUUCCACUUAGUGAUAGUUCCAUCAAGUUGGGUACGAUCUGAUCAUCAUCAAUCAUAAUAACUAAUGAGGUCAAUUGAUGAUCUACGGUCACACGCAGUGACUUUAUAGUAUUUGUUUUAUAUUAUAUUUUAAAAAAAAUUGAAUUAUUGAUAAAAUUUAUUAAAUGAUUUUUUAUAUGUUAAUUUUAGAGGUAAAAAAGAAAUUAGGGAAAAAGGUUGAUUUAUACUGGCUCGAAAUUAUUUUAUUGCACAAUAAUAAAUUACUAAUUUAUUUUGUAAGUUCUUCUAUAUGGAAACACUAAGGAUUCUUUUAGAAAUGCUAUACAAAAAAAAGUUCAUAUAAUUAUUAAUCUACCACAUUGAUCUCUUAAUCUAGACUAGCAAAGAUUAUUGUAUAAUAAAAGUUUUCAAUUUAUUGAGUAUUAAUUUAUUGAUGCUUUGCCAUAUUUUUCAAAGUUAAAAAUAAGCUAUAGACAAAAAAUCUAGAAAAUGGCUUCAUACCUUUUCCAACGGCAAUGGGGGCUGUUGUGCAGGAAUGCCAAGUUGAUCAUUCUGCGAUAAAUCUGCAGUGAAUAUCUUUAAUUUGUCACAACAAUGCACUGAAAGAAUUUCUAGCGCGGGCCAUUCCAAAGUAUGCAUUCCAGGGUACAAACAUCUAAGUUUUGGUAGACCUUGGAGUCUCAAAGUGGUGAGCUGUGGAAAGACAAAAUAAGGGAUCACUUCAUCUGCUCUAUUCUCAAAAAUGAUCUCCUGUAAAUCCUCACAGAAGCGAACUUCUAGGUGUUGGAGCUGCUUAAGGCUUCUGAUCAUAGACGCUGAAAAUAUGUAUUUUAAUUUGUGACAACGCCACACAAUCAAUCGUGUUAAAUUUUGAAAGCGAGGAAACGUGACCGGAAGAUGAUUGUAGUGCCAAAUCUUGUCGACAUUAAUUUCAGAUAUCUCCAAAGCCUCCAAGUUAGGCAACGCAACCUAAAAGAAUAAGAAUUUCUGGUUAGAUCCAAUAUCCAUAUGGGAAGCACUUGUUGAAAUUUUCUUCUUUGAUUGCAAAUUCAUGCAAGUCAGAAUCAAUUUCCAACUGACAGCUGAGUAUGCAUUCUAAUUCAUACUACUUGUUAAGAGCUCAAUUAGUGAGCGCGUGAGAUUCUUUUUAUCCUUUUUUCCGUUUUUUUUCAAUUCUUCAAAUGAUUUAAUUAUUUUCCACGUAUGAUAUCAAAAGAGAACGCAUAAUAGAAUAAAGAAAAUGUUAGCCUACGCACCUUCUCGUUGAAAAGCAGAGUUGAAAUAUCCAAAGUGAUUUCGCUGGAGCAAUACAUAGUCGUCGAUUCCUCUUGCGACACUUGUCUGUUCGGUGAUGCUGAAGGAGUCUCCACCUCACGGCGGCAAAAACUUGUAACCUCAGGAAGAUUCCCCAGACUCAAAGAUCUUAAUUGAGCAAACUCUAUCUUCUCAAUUGCAUUAUCAACUUCUUCCCCAAUUGCAAAAAUCUCUUUCAUCUUGCUGCAAUUAACAACUGCAAUUCUCUCAAGUCUUGGAAGGCAUUUUGUAGUAGAGAGCCAAAAGAUAUUACUCAACUUAUCACAAUUAUAUGCUUCUACGGUUUUGAGUUCGUUGAAAGACUCUACUUUGAGCCGAUCAACACAUAUCCUCUCCAUGUUGAUCAAAUUGUGAAUGGUAAGUGACUCCAAAAGAGGAAAGGCAUCACAAGCGACCAUCUCCCUUGAAUCGACGAUACAAAAGAAGUCAGGAUUAUUUUGAACCCAGAGAAGCUUCAAUUGUGAAAAGCCCUCCGUGUCCAAAUUGAAAAGAACAUUCUCGAUGCCUUGCAGCUUGUCCAACCAUAAGUAUUCAACGUUAUUGAUGCCCUGCAAUUUCAUGGAGCAAAUGUCCAUAAAAUCAAGCUUGAGCUUCAAUGAUAUUAAACUCUUGCGAUCACUGUUGAUCGAAAAGCGAGGCCGACUUUUAAACCAAUGUUGGCCAACACUCAUGGGAUGCAUGAAUAACCCAUUUCCAAUAGAUAUUUUGAACCUUUCGAGCUUUCUGGCCAAAAAACCUUCUGGUAAAAUAUUGUCACUUUUAACGUCAAUUUCUAGAGUGGUUAGCCGAGGUAAAUGCAUCAAUUCGUCAAGGCUAGCAUUACUUCUUUUGCUGUUGGCUCUUUCAACCUCCCAUUCAAUGAAGCAAUUACCCAUAUACAGCUCUUCUAAUCGAGUUAAGCUUGAUAUGAGAUUAGGCGCAAUAACUUUUAGAUGGAAACAAUUGGUUAAAUCUAACAAUCUCAACUUAUUCAAUUGACCUAGUUCUCCGGGCAACUGCAUAAUAUCAGACUUCAAAAAGCUAAGGACUUCUAGAUUCUUCAACUUCCCAAUGAUUGCUAUGUCCCCCAACGCACUUUGAUCCAGACAUAGUGUGUGAAGAUUUGGUAGAAGAUCAAUUGAAGAUGGAAAAGAAGAAAACUGCAUUCGAGUAAAAUCUAGAACUCUAAGCUUUUUCAUCCCUACAAAAAAGUUCUCAGGAAUAUUGAUUUCAAGAGAAGAAUCUUUGAGAGAGACAAAUAAAAAUUCAAGGUUUGGGCAUUCUAAUCCUUCAGGAAAUUCACGAUUACUAUUAUUUCUUAAAGAGAUCGCAUUGCAUUUUCGAAGUGCAUCCUCAUCUGGCCAGUCCCACACAUCCUUAUUUCUCACCAAAAACACAUGUUGGUGGCGGCAUGCAAUUGAUAUUGCGACAUCACGAACAACAUCAUGCAUUGAAAAUUGUUCAUUGCUCUCACCCUCAAGCAACAAACAAGAGUGUCUAAGUUCAUGGACCAAUGCAAAUAAUUUGUCUCGUGCAUCUUCCAUCUUAUUGACUCCUUUAAAUAUACCCAAACCCAUGGAGUACUUAAACAAGUCCGAAGUAAGAAUACGGUUAUCCAUUAGACUACAGAGCAGAAAAAUUUUCUUGAGUUGCUCACCUUUUAAAUGGUUGAAACUCAGCUCAAUACUUGAAUAAGUCUCUGCAGAUACUCCUUCGAAGUUUACCAUUGAAGGCGUUCGGAGUUCUCGCAAGGAAUUCUUCCAUUCAUGAAGACUCUUGCUUCUCAGUGCCUUUGCCACUGUAGUCAAGGCAAUGGGCAAACCUCCACAUGCCCUGGCGACGUCUAUUGCUGUAGAUUUCAACUCACGAUUUUCAACAUCAUCUCCGGCCAUCAUCUUAAACAAUCUCCAGGCUUCUUCUUCAUUUAAAUUGUUUAUCAAAAAGUUGUCUUUAGAUCCCAUUUUUAAGAGGACACUACGAUCUCUUGCUGUCAGCAGUAGUUUGCAGCCUUUAUGAUCUUCUCCAAAAGGAAUUGCAAUAGUCCCCAAAUCAAGAGGUUUCCAGAUGUUAUCCAGAAUCACAAGGAUCUUCUUCUCAUUCUCCAAUCUUUCAUAUAGUCUACUAGCUCUUCUAGACUCAGCUUCCUCGCGCAACUCCAAGCCCAACUUCUCGGCAAUUUCCUGUUGAAUCUGUUUUAUGUCUGGAGUUUGCGAAACCUCUGAAAAGACCACCAUAUCAAAGUGCUUGUCUUCCAUAGCUUGCCUGGCGACCUUCUUCACCAGUGUCGUCUUUCCAAUGCCGCCCAUGCCGUACACCCCAAUGAUGCUGACAUCAACAUCGAUCAAUGCGUUUUUUAUAGCCUCCAAAGUAGAACGUCUUGAUUCGAAGGCCUCGUAGCCUUUGUGAGACUUGAGCCAAAUCUCCUCCGGAAUGGUACGGUAGGAAAUUCUAUCAUCAAAUCUCUCAGCUUCUUCUCGGAGUUUAAAAAGGGCCUCCUUCUCUGUUUCUGCUUUCUUUCCAUGCUGAUAGCGAAUAAUCCAAUUAGGAAACAGCCCCAUGAGACAUCGUUCAUUUGCUUUCUCUUCGUCUUGAAUGAAUUUGGCUGCCUGCUCAAUGCUCUUGUUCGCACUAAACAGCCAUUUCUCAACCUUCUCUUCAAUCUUUUCACUUUUUCUUUCAGCCUCAGAAACUCUGCGCUGAAUGCUUUCUCUUUCAUCCUUGAGCCUAUCGAGUUCUGCCUUGAGAUUCUCAAAGUUGGCAGCGGAGUUAUACCAAUAACUAAAUUCGCGUUGUGCGUGAGGAGACAAGCAGUUUACAACUCCUGGAACAAUGCUUUUCAAAAUGUCCAUUUUUUUUUUCUUUUUUGGGGAAGUGAACGAAAUAGAAAUAGAACAGAGUCAACGACCGCGCAAUUGAUAAUUAAGUAGAAAACAAGGCAAAAUUGAAAAAAGAAAUUAUAUUUGUACAAAACAAGGGGAAAAUCAGUGUAACAGAAGAGAAUCAAAGUGUUUUUGAGAUCAGAAAAUUGAACCAAGAAAAGGGUUGCUUGAUCCAAUGAAAAUGCAAAGAGCUGAUGGCAAAAGGAAACAAAGCUAAAUAAGAAAACGGUUAGCACGAGCAGUGACCACGAUCAACAGAAGCAAAGUGUGUAUGAGAUCAAAAGACGAAAAUGAGGAGAGGUUUUCUUGAUGGAGAAUUGAAGGCAAAGAGUAGGAGCUGACGAAUACGGGGAUCAAGAGGGAAAAACUGCUUGCUUGUAAAACUACUUUCAAGCGAAUCUGAUAAAAUUAUUUCAGUACUCGUGGGCGACUCCUUUUUAAACUGCAGAAGGGGGAAAAAAAAAGUCUGAAUUUCAAUAUAUUAAUCUCGUAAUCAAUGAUUAAUUAGUAGAUAAUCUUUCUAACAAAUAUGUGUUGAAUAGAUAUAUUUCUUGAUUAGUAGUAGGUUCGAUAUACUUUACUAUAGGAAUGAAAGUACAAAUUGUGUCAUAUUAGAAUACAAAUGGGACCUAAAAAUCCCGUUUUAUGGCCUUUUAAUUAUUUGUCAGCUAAUAAUGAAGUCAUAUACAAAAAUUAUUAAUCUGACCUAGUCUUUAAGUCUUAUAAAUGUUUCUAGAUUUUUAAUUAUAAUAUCAUUAUUUAAAAAAUAUUGCUUGACUUACAUUAGUAACAUUACGAUUGUUCAUAAAACAUGUGAUCCUCAUCCAAAGGCCAGGUGAACAAAUAUAAACGACAAAUUCUUUUCAAUUAAAUAAUCAUCAAGAGAUAAUCUUCUAUUUCAGUACAAAUAGCGAGUGCAGAACAGCUGUCAAGAGAUAAUCAUUGUUUAUGGAGCCAUAUAUAUUUUCUAUUAAAAUAGUUCGUGAACAAUUGCCAGAAUCCGUAAAAAUUGUUGAAAGGUCUAUUAUUUUCGAUUAAAAUUGUUGAAAGGUCUAUUAGUUUCGAUUAAAAUAUUUUCGAUUAAAAUAGUUGCGUGAAUAAUUACCAUAGAUAGUGUUUACAUUUUGGAUUGGACUGAAAAUCUUGAAAAGUAGAAAUCUUGGGAUUGAGAGUAUGGAGUAAAAGUGGGUGUAAGUUGUUUACUUACACUGGAAUAUCAGCAUGGAAUAAAGAUUAUAAUCCAAUUUAUGUGUUUACUUUAUCUUGGAUUGGGAGUAAAUAGUUUCAAAUUAUAAUUUUAUCUUUAUUUAAAGAAUUAUAGUUUUUAAUUACAAAGUUAAUAAAAAAAUAUAUUUAAUGAAUAAAAAUUUAUUUUAUUAUAUUUGUAAAUUUAUAAUAAUUAUUAAUAUUCUUAAUUAUGUACAUCAUAAUUUUUUAUUAAUUUUAAUUUUAAUUAUAUAAAUUAAAAAUUAUUGAUAAGAGCAAUGUAAAUGAAACAUUUUUACUAUUAACAUAGUACAAAAUUAAUAUUUUCUUAUAAUUAACUAUUUAUUAUUACUAAUUAUUGAUAUUAAAUAAAUAUAAUACUAUUAUUUUUAAAUAAAUAUAAUAAUAUUAUAUUUUCAAAUAAAGAUAGUAUAUAGUAAUAUUAUUAAUUCUCUAUUAAUAUAAUAAUAUUAUUUUUAAGUAAUUUAAACUUAGAAUCAAACCAAAUUAUUAUUUAGUUAAAUAUAAUAAUAUUAUUUAAAUAAAUAAAAUAUUAUUUAUUUUAUUUUAUUAAAUAUAAUUAUAGUAAAUUUAAUAAAAGGGGGUUAAAAAAGGAAGGUAAAUAUAAAAUGAAAUAUUUUUUAUUUAAUUAUAUUAAAUUUAUUAUUAUAUAAAUAAUAAUAUAAUAUUAUUUAGUAUAAAAUUAAUAUUUUCUUAGAAUAAACUAUUUAUUAUUAUUAAUUAGUAAUAUUAAAUAAAUAUAAUACUAUUAUUUUUAAAUAAAUAUAAUAAUAUGAUAUCUUCAAAUAAAGAUAGCAUAUAGUAAUAUUAUCAAUUCUCUAUUAAUAUAAUAAUAUUAUUUAUUUUAUUUUAUUUUAUUAAAUAUUAAAUAUUAAAUUUAAUUAAAUAAAGGUAGAAAAGGGAGAGGUAGGAGUGGGUUUCCCAUGGGAGUCCCACUCACACUCCCCACUCCAAAAAUGGGUGGGGUCCACGGAGUGGGAUUCCCAAUCCCUCCUUAAAAUAGUGAAGAAAACACUGAAGUUAGAGGAAUUCACACUGCGCACACUCACUCCAGAAAGUAAACAUCGAAAAAGCCAAAGGAUGAAGAACCACUAUAAGUUCUUUUAUGAAUUUAAAAUGCUAAAGAAACUUGACACCAACGCUAAGCUAACAAGUGCAUAUUUUUCUGUGGCCCUUGCCUCAAUGUCUUUCGGGCAUUGCUCGGGGGUAGUUGAUAUACUGAUUAAAAUAUGAAUGAAUUGGAAUGGAAUGAGUUGGAAUUAAAAUAUGGAAUGAUAAUUAAUUAAUUUAUUUAAAUUGUAAAAAUUAAAAUUAAAAUAAAUUAUAUCAUCAUUGAUAUAUUUAUUUUAUUUUAAAAUCACGAUGAGUUGUUACAAAUUACAAAAUAUCUUUAAUUUUUUAUCAUAAUAAUUAUUAUUUAUUAUAAUAUUUUGUUGGCCUAAAUGGUUAUAUAAUCCUUGAUUUUGAUGAUAACAAACUACAUAGAGUACAAUGGUAAAUUUAUUUCUCACAAUUUCACAAGUUUUUGAAGGGCAAAAAUCAUUCAAGUGAGAUCAAGAUCAAGAUACUCAAUAGACAAUGACAAUCAAGGAUGACUACUAAGGGUACUAGUUUACGCAAUCUUUAUUGUUAAAUUUCUUGUAAAGCUAGUAUAAUUUAACGUGUGCAUGAUGUAACAUUUAAAAGCUCAAGAUAUUUUUCAUGACAUUUUCAAAUUAAAUCAUCAUUUUCUAUAAUAUAAAAGUUUUAACGAUUUUAUAAAAUUAGUUGCUUUUUCCAAAUUUAUGGACUAAAUUGAAAAGUUUUGAGAACUUUGAAAUCAACUAAUAAUGUUUUAAAUCAUAGAAAUUGACAUAUUUGUAAAUAUUUCAAACGUUUUGGGUCGUAAUAUAAUUUCAAAAAAUUAGGUCUAAUCUAUAAAUCCUGGAACAAUAGUGGCUAAUCGCUUAACCAAUAGCGGCUAACUACUUCAAGUCCAAAAACAUAGCAGCUAACCGCUUAAAUCAAGUGGUAAUCCACUUGAACCAAAGUUUUCAAAUUUGAUUUGCAACUGUAACUUACCAUAUCAACAUAGUGGCUAAUCGCCUCAUUUUAACGGCGAUCCAGCAAGUCCCUAGAAAAACCAAUAAUUGCUAGUUUGAUUGUUUAAACUAUAAAAUUCAAAUCUAACAAUUUUUUUCAAUCUCAAUUAAGCUAAAACUUAUUCAUAUAUCUUGAGCUUUCAUUUUGCUUAUCUACAUACAUUAAUCAUUAUAGAGCUAUCAUUUGCUUAUACACUCUUAUAGAGUGUAAUCUUUGUAAUCUUCAAUUAAUAUCAAAAUUGAGUGAGUACAAGUGUGGGAAACACUUGGAAAAAGAGGUGUGUGUAUACAUAAUUACUUGUAAAGGUUUAUUAACACCGUAUAAGUCAAUUGUAAAAUUUUAGAGCCUUGGAAGGUUUGGAUAGUAGAAUUCUCAAGUUUGGAUUACUUGGAGGCGUAGUCAUAGGCGGGUUUGCCGAACUACAUAAAAAUUCAUCUGUUUGUUAUCUUCUCCCUUAUCUUUUUAAUUUCACGCAUAGUUAAAUUUACCAUUAUUAAAUUUCUUGAAGCAUUUGUUUAAUUUGUAUUGUGUUUUUGUUAGUAUAAUUUUUAAUACCUAAUUCACCCCCUCUUGGGUUGCUUAGCUAGAAUUUCAUUUGGUAUCAAAGGAAGUUCUCUUGUUAGGACUUAACCAUCUAGAGUAAAAGAUCCAUAGUAAUCCAAAAUGAUCCCAGAUUUGGGGAAGGUUAAUCCCUUCUAGAUCACCAUUCUUUGAUGGGAAUGAUUAUCCAUGUUGGAAAAUUAUGAUAAGAAUUUAUUUGCAAGCAUUAUAUUAUGAAAUAUAGGAAGUUGAUUGUGAUGGUCCAUUCAUGCCUACUGCUAAAAAUGAAGAAGGGAAAGAAAUUCUAAAACCUUCACAAGAAUGGAAUGAGUUGGAAAAGAGAAAAGAUUCUCUUAAUUUCAAAGUCAUGAAUGCUUUGUUUUGUGCCUUAGAUAAAAAAAAAUUCUAUAGAGUUUAAGGUUGUUCCAAUGCUUAUGAAAUUUGGAAAAAACAUAAAGUCAUUUAUAAAGCUACAAAUCAAGUCAAAUAAUAUAAAAUUAGUAAAUAUAGUAGGCAAUACGAAUUGCUAUAAAUGGAACAAAAUGAGAGUGUUAAUCCCAUAUACACUAGAUUAACAGACAUUAUAAACACUUUAGGAACUCUUAGAAAGACCUUUUCAAACAGCGAGAAGGUAAAAAAAAUCAGAAGGUCUUUACCAAAAGAAUGGAGACCUAAGAAAAUUGCCAUUAAGGAAGCCAAUGAUACUUUAUUUAUUGAUGAUUUAAUUAGUUCAUUUAUUUCUUAUGAAAAGGAUUUGACAACUGAAAAAUAUAUUGAAGACUAGAAGAAGAAGAGUAUUUCCUUAAAAGCAUCAAGAUCUAAAAGUGACAACGAAAGUGAGAUCGAAAAUGAAGACAUGGCUAUGAUAGCUGGAAAAAUCAAAAUAAUUUUCAAGAAAUCCAUCGAGCGAAGGAAAUUCAAAAAUCAGAAAGAGAAGAAGGAGGCAAUUAUUUGCUUUAAAUGCAGGAAGCCUAGGCACAUAAAACUAGCAUGUCCUUUUCUCAAAAAAUUAAAGAAGAAAGCCAUGGUAGCAACACGGGAUGAUAGCGAUAAGGAGACUAUAGAUGAAGAGUAGUCCCAUGAAGUGUCAAAUUUGGCACUUAUGGUUAUAGGAGAUGAUUAUAGGAGAUGAACUUGAUGAGGUAAACCUCUUAGGAUGAGUUGUUUGAAGUAUUCUCUAAAUUGCAUAAAGAUUUAAAGAAGAUUGAAAUGUAAAAUGUUUCUCUUGGAAAGAAAAAAGUAGAACUUUUAAAUGAGAAUGACACUUUGAAUAAAAAGAUUAAGUGCCUAGAAGUAUUUGUGAAGAAAUUGCAUCUUUUAAAGAAAAAACAAAAUGUUUCAUCUAAGAAUAAAGGUUUACUUGUAAAUGAUUUGAAAAAGAAAAAUGAAAUAUAUUGCUUUAGAAUUUGCUUAGUAUUAGUAAAUUGUGUGAUAAAGGUUACAAAGUUAUUUUUAUGUGAUAAAGGCUAUAGAGUUAUUUUUUAUAAAACAAAAUGUAUUAUUAAAAAUGCAUGUGAUGACAAAGUUUUAUUUGUUAGAUAAAGAUGUGUUAAUGUAUACACCAUUGAUAUAGAUAGUGUAUCAACUUAUGAUAAAUAUUUUUUUCACAUUACAUGAUGAUAGUUGAUAUGGCAUGGAAGACUAGGUCAUGCGAGCAUGGAUUUGAUUUCAAAAUUUUUUUAAAAUGAUUUGGUUAUAGGUCUUCUAAAAAUUGGUUCUAAAAAAGAUAGAAUUUGUGAAGUUUGCCAAUUUAGAAAACAAAUAAAACGUCCUUUAAAAAUAAAAUUCAUAUUUCUACUUCAAAACCACUUUAACUUUUUCACAUGGAUUUGUUUGAAUUUUCUAAAUAUGCUAGUUUAAGUGGUAAAUAUUAUGCAUUUAUAAUUAUAGAUGAUUAUUCUAUAUACACAUGGUAUUACUCUCAACUAAUAAAGAUGACACCUUUAAUGCUUUCAAAAUUUCUAUAAAAAGAUUCAAAAUGAAAAAUGAUAUGUUAUUUCUUCCAUUAGAAGUGAUCAUGGUGGAGAAUUUGAAAAUUAUAUUUUGAAAAUUUUUACAAUAACUUUGGCAUUGAGCAUCAAUUCUUGUCACCAAGAACUCCACAAUAAAAUUGAGUAGUUGAGAGAAAGAAUAUGUCUAUCCAAGAAAUGGCUAGGACCAUGUUAAAUGAAAAUACUUUACUAGAAUAUUUUUGGGUUGGAGCCGUCAACAUUGUUUGUUAUAUUUUAAAUCAUGCAUUGAUUAGACCUUAUCUCAAUAAAACUCCUUAUGAGCUUUGGAAAAAUAGAAAAACAUUGACUAUUUCAAAGUUUUUGGUUGCAAAUGUUUUCUAUUGAAUACAAAAGACAAUCUUGGUAAAUUUAAUCUAAAAUCUUAUGUUGAUAUUUUUCUUGGGUAUUCAAAUACAAGCAAAACUUAUAGAGUGUAUAAUAAAAUAUCCUUGGUCGCUAAAGAAUCUAUACAUGUUAUGUUUGAUGAAUCUAACUUUUCUUCUAUGAAGAAAGUUGUUGUUGAUGAUGAUGCAUAUGAAGAGUUACAAAAACAAAAAGUCUUUAAAAGACAAACAAUAUGAUUUACCAGGUAAAAAUCAAGAUGAGCAACAAGAAGAACAAGUUAAACAGAUUCAAAAUAAAGGUAAUUCACAAACACUCUCUAAGGAGCUAAGGUAUGUCUCUUCACACCCUAAAGACUUAAUCUUAGGAGAUCCUUCAUGAGGUGUAACUACGAGAUAAUCACUUAGAAAUACAUGUGAACAUACUGUAUUCAUAUCUCAAGUUGAACCAAAAUCCUUUUCAGAUGUGGAAAAUGAUGAAUCUUGGAUUAUAGCAAUACAAGAAGAGUUAAAUCAAUUUGAAUGAAACAAUGUAUGGAAACUUAUUCAUAAACCAUAACAUCAAUCUGUAAUAGGCAGUAAAUGGGUAUUUAUGAAUAAAAUUGAUGAAUCUAGUGUGGUUGUAAGGAAUAAAGUUAGAUUAGUAGCUCAAUGAUGCAACCAAAAAGAAGAAAUUGAUUUUGAUGAAACCUUUGCACAUGUAUCUAGAUUAGAAUCCAUUACAUGCUUUUAUUAUUUGCAUAUCAUAAUGAUUUUAUUUUAUAUUAAAUGGAUGCUAAAAGCACCUUUCUAAAUAGUUGUAUUAUGAAGGAAGCUUAAGUGAAACAACCCCCUCAUUUUAAAAACGAAAAAUGUUUUUGGAUCAUGUUUACAAAUUGUCCAAAGUUUUAUAUAGUUUAAAGUAAGCAUCUAGAGCAUGAUAUGAUAGACUUAGUAAAUUUCUUUUAGAAAAUAGUUUUUCAAUGGGUAAAGCGAAUACUACUCUAUUUGUUAAAUACAAGGAUCAAGGUAUACUUGUUCAAAUUUAUAUUGAUGAUAUUAUCUUUAGUUCUACUAAUGAGUUUCUGUGUAAGGAAUUUUCAUCUUGCAUGAGUAGAGAAUUUGAGAUGAGCAUGAUGGAAGAAUUGAAGUACUUUCUUGGACUUAAAAUUUAAGAGAAAAAAAAGAAUUCAUUAAUCAAGCCAAGUAUUUCAGAGAUCUACUCAAAAGAUUUUGCAUUCAAGACUAAGGACACUCCAAUGAGUACUACAAUCAUGCUCGAUAAGGAUAAAAAAAGUAAAGAUGUUGUAUCAAACGAUAUCGAGGUAUGAUCAUAUCUUUACUUUACUUUACUGCUAGUAGACAUUACUUUAGUGUAUGUUUGUGUGCAUGAUUUCAACCAUAUCUCAAAGAAUCUCAUUUUCUUGCAGUUAAAAGAAUUUUUCAUUAUUUAUGAGGAACAAUUGAUCUUGGUCUAAGGGAACUCAUAUAAAUUAUUAGCUCAAUAAAUUUGUCAAAGAAUCUCAUUGAACAUUCUAGGACCAAACAUAUUGAAACUAGGCAUUAUUUCUCACGUGAUCAUGUUCAAAUGAGAGAUAUUGCUUUAGAAUUUGUUUCUAUGGAAAAAUAACUUGCUGAUAUUUUUACAAACCCUUUUUGUGAAGAAUAGUUUUCAAAGAUUUAGAUUGAGUUUGGAAUGAUGACAUUUUCACAUCAAUAUUUCAUUGCAUGAUAUUGAGACUACAAAUUUGCUUAAUUUUCUAUCUUGAUUGAUUGUACGAUAAAAACUUGAUUUUAAUGUGUUAUAUGCUUGAAUUUACUUCUUUGAAUGUUUAUCAUCAUAUCUUAUGCAUUAAAAAUGGCUUUUAAAAUACUUCAGGAUCACAAAAUGGUCUCAAAAUUAAUUAAAUUUUGGCCAAAAAGCAAAAUCGUGCAAAAUCUAGGGGAACUAGCUAACCGUUAACCACAAGCAACUAGCCAAUUGUGAGGCAGAAACUAGCUGGCCAGCCGGCUCAAAGCAAACGGUUAAUUGCUUGGUUUCUAAAAAUGAAACAGUUAACUGCUUUCUUCAAGAGGCUAGCUGGCUUCACGUUUUCAAAUGUUGUUCAUCUUCUUUUUCCCACUUUUAGUUGUUACCCUCUCUCUAUCACUGUCAUCUCUCAUUUCUUUUAACCUCUCUCUAAAAUCUUCCAUUUUUACAUCACUUUUGUGUCAAGUUAAACUUUCCAAAUCAUUUCCCAUCAAUUAAUCUUCACACAUUUGCUUUUAAAACACAAUCUAAUCACUCUUCUCUCAAAAUCUUAAAGCUUAAGUCACCAGUUUCAAUAUUCUCAAAUUUGAACCAUUAUUUGACCAUUUUCGACCAAAAUAAACCCAUACAUUCCUUAGAUCUUCUCAAAGAACAUUUUAAUCGGUUCAAAGUCAUCUAUUUCUUUAAAAACUUUGUGAACUCGAAUUUGUGCAAUUUUGGACACAUUUUGAUAAUUUCUUAAUGGCUAGUGGUGAGAAGUCCAAGGGUAAGCAUAUGCCUAAAAUGUAAAAAAAAAAAAGAUUCAUAAAGACAUUAUGAAAUUCAUUUCCACCCACUUCCCAAAUCCGCCUCAAUGGAAUGAUUCUCUGAUCGAUUUAUGACAAGGUCAGUCCUCCCAUACUAUAUAUGUUAAUCUUGAUUAAUUAGAAAAUUUGUCAUGUUGUAGCAAAACUCUUAGAACUUUACUUGCUGAAUUGGGUUGGACAAAUGUCUUAGUUCUUAAGGAACAUAUUUGUCCUAAUUUGGUACGAGUAUUUUAUUCGAACAUGCUUAUUUCUACAAAUACUGCCAAUAUGAUUAUUACUAAUGUUAUUGGGAUUCCUAUUAAGUUUACUGUAGAAGAUUUAAACAUGAAUCUCAUAUGAUAGGUUGCAUUUGUAUACAUCUAGGACUAAAAUUGAUUAUCCCUGGUAUUUAGUUGUAGAUGAUGUUUGAAACAUAGAUGUUCGAAACAUAUGUAGGUGAUCUGAUCUAUCCAUGGAGCUUUUUAACUCCUCUCUUAGAUCACAAGUGUUGCCUCUUCAAGUUCGGAUCCUACAUAGUGUCCUUCAGCUUGUGAUCAGUCCUCGCAAGGGACAUGGUGCUGAGGUUACACGCUUAGAUGUUACUUUAUUAGAUAGCAUCCUUGAGGGUAAAAGCUAAAUGUGCGAAUAUUAUCAUUCAGCACAUGCUUAAUACACUGAGUAUAGGAAACCGAUCCUUUUCGGUCUGUAGUGUCAUUACCCAUAUCCUUCAAUAUUUUUGGGUCCCUAUAGCUGAACCAUCUCAUGAUGAACCCAAGGAGUUAAGGGAUGAGGUCAUUGCUAGCUUAGGAUUUGGGUGGGUAGAUGACCAAUAGGUUAAAAAUCAGAACUUGUUGAGCAAACCCACAAAGCUGGCUCUUUUUUAUCAUUGCAUCUUUAACGAUGUGCUUCCCCUUACUGGGUUCUUGAUCUUAGUUCUUCCCUGAGGUCACAAGCUCUGCAUUGGCCUUCUGAUGCUCCACCAUCAUCAUCUUCAGCCAUUCCCAAUAACCCAAUCUAGCAGUUGUUGAAUAAAGUGUGUUCCAUAUCCGAACAGUAAAGCGAGCUUAAGAUAUCGUUCGCAGCAUUCCAGGAUCAUUUUCUUUCUGAGCAGCAACAUCUCUUUCUUCAACAAUAACAAAUUCUAGACCAUCACCAGCUUAUUUUCAUUGCUCUUAAAUUUUCACCACCAUCCUUAUUAUCAUGUUUGCUGCUUCAUCAGUGAUUUUCUUUUAUCUCUUUUGCUUCCUUGUUUUAUGCACCGACAUUAUUUAUCAUAUGCAUUUUCGUUUUUAGCAUUAUGGAUACUUGAUGGAUGUUAUUUUACUUAUGCAUUAUGGAUACUUGAGUUGAUAUGGAUUAUCUUUAUGCAUUCUAGUUAUUGAUUGUGGUAUCUUUAUUAAUUAUCUUUAUGGAUUAUCUUUAUUGAUUAUGGAUUAUGUAUAUGGAUACUUGAUUAAUGGUCAUGUGUGGAUUUUCGAUUGAUGAUAUUUGUGGGGGAUAAUUAUUGAUAAUAUUUGUAUAAUAGAGGAGUGAUUUUUCAUGAUGAAGGGAGAGAAGAUAUUGACAUGUAUUUUGAAGUGUUUUGACAUGUUUUUGGCUCAUGGGGGUUGAUUGAGUGUUUGUAGUAUUUUAGUUACUUUCUGAGUCACUCAAGGAGAGUUUACAAAUGUUGUACAAUUAUAUGGAUCAUGUACUUAGAGGGAGUGAGUUUAUAUAUUUGGUUAUAUUUUUUGAAUUAUGUCAUAUACUCAAGGGCAAUAGAAAUGUCAAAAUACAUAGGGUGUUUGUCAUCAUAAAAAAAGGAGAGAUUGUUGGGGUAAACGACUAUAUGAUCCUUAAUUUUGAUGAUAACAAACCACAUAAGGUAAAAUGAUAAAUUUAUUUCUCACAAUCUGACAAGUUCUUGAAGGACAAAAAUCAUUCAAGUGAGAUCAAUUUCAAGUCACUCAAUGGACAACAACAAUCAAGGAUGAAUACUAAAGGUACUAGCUUAAUUAAUCUUCAUAGCUAUAUUUCUUAUAAAGCUAAUAUGAUUUAAUGUAUGCAUGAUUUAGUAUUUAAGAGUUCAAGAUAUUUUUCAUACAAUUUUCAAAUUAAAUCAUCAUUUUCUAUAAUAUAAAAGUUUUAAACGUAAAUAAAAAUGAUUUUAUAAAAUUAAUUGUUUUCAAAUUUAUGGACUAAAUUGAAAAGUUUUGAGAACUUUGAAAUUAAUUAGUAAUGUAUUAAAUUCUUGAAGUGGACCUAUUUGUAAAUAUUUCAAAAUUUUAGGCCAUAGUAUAAUUUUAGGAACUUUUAGUUUAAAUCUAUAAAAUUUGAAACAGUAGUGACUAACCACUUAACGAAUAGUGGCUAACUGCUUCAGGUCCAAAAACAUAGCUGCUAACCAUUUAAAUCAAGCGACGAUUUGCUUAGGCAAAAAAGUUUUUAAAUUUUAUUUGUAACGGUAACUUGCCACAUCAAUAUAGCGACUAACUUCUUUAUUUUAGCAGCAAUCCGGUAGGUCCUCAGAAAGUCAAUUAUGACUAGUUUGAUUGUUUAAACUAGAAGAACCCAAAUCAAACUCAAAUCUAACAACUUUUUCAAUCCCAAUUAAGUUAAAACUUGUUCAUACAACUAAUCUUGAGCUUUCAUUUUACUUAUUUACAUGCAUUUAAUCAUUAUUGAGUUAUCAUUUGCUUAUACACUCUUAUAGAGAUUAAUCUUUGUAAUCUUCAAUUAAAUAUCAAAAUUUUGUGAGUAUAAGAGUGGGAAACACUUGGGGAAAGAGGUAUGUGUACACAUCACUACUAUAAAAGUUUAUUGACACAUUAAAAGCCAAUUGUAAAAUCUUGGAGCCUGAGAAGGCUUGGAUAGUGGAAUCCUCAAACUUAGUUUGCUCGAGGCAUAAACAUAGGCGAGUUUUGCCGAAACACGUAAAAAUUCAUUUGUUUGUUAUCUUCUCCCUUAUUUUUUUAAUUGCAUUCAUUGUUAAAUUUACUAUUAUAAAUUUCUUAAAGCAUUUGUUUAAUUUGUUUUGUAUUUUUGUAAGUAUAAUUUUAAUACCCAAUUCACCGCCCUCUUGGGUUGUGUAGAUAGAAUUUCACAUUUGUUGUACAACAACAACAACAACAACAAUAACAAUAACAAUAAUAAUUGUUAUAAUGGUUGGAACAAUUACUAUUGAAAAACUUUUAUUGUUAAUAAUAGUAGAAAAUAAGAACAAAAAAGGAAAUUAUCCAAUAACCAUGUAAUCUUUGGGUCUUUUUUAAAAAUACACAGAAACGUUUUUCUUUGUAGAAAUCCACCUAGAGUUUAUUAAUUAUUCACUGUCAUCUUAGCUCAUUAGAAUCUUGUUGAUGUCAUAAGAUUAAAAUUAUCAUUUUACUUGAACACCUAAGAUUAAAGUUAUCCUUUAGAGUUUCUUUCGCUGGGGCUGGUGACCUUAGUGGUUAGAUUUGCUAGAUAUGGUCGUGAGAAACUCGACAAUGGCCGAGGAUUGGCUGGAUUCACGGUGGUUUGGUCAAAAAGUUGACUUGAAUUGGCAUAUGUGGUGCUUCAUUCAUGUUAGAGAUUUCGAUUGCGAUUUGGAUAUCGACAAUGAGAAAGUGGCGUUUGCGGUGGCGCUAGGUGAGGCCCGGGUUUUGGGUUAGCAUUGUGGCGGUUUAUGGCGGUGAUCAUUGGUGGGUUUUGUCAAGUUAUGACCAGUGGAAUCUAGCAAGUUUAGUGGUGGUCUUGGUUGACAGUGAAGAUGGUUGGUUUCACGGUGGCAGCUGGUGGAUGCUCCCAGUUUUUAGGUCUAGAUGAUUUAUAGUAGGUACAAGCGGCGAUUGAUGGCAGGAGUGGCUAAGGUUUGGUAAGUAGUGGCUAAUGAGUUUGGUAGAGGGAUUAGCCAAUGAUGAACUAUUAGUGAAGAGUGGCAGUGGCGGUGGGCGGCUGCUAAGGUUUUGUAAUUUUGUAAUAUUUUUUUGUUGGAUAAACAAUGAUGGAUUUGGUGGGGAUGGAUAUGGGUAGCCAGGAAAACUGUGCAAUUGGCAUUGAACCACUCUAAUACAAACUAACAAAUUGGAAUAGCGGAAGUGGAAUUGAUAGGUCGGAAAUAUUAGCUAUUGUUAUAAUACUGGCUAAGGUAAUGUGGAUAGUUUACGUCCUAAUCGAAACGUGUAGAUCUCAUUCUAACAAUGGCUCAAUGAGAUUUUAAUAACGCAUAAAGCGAGAUUAGACGACGUUCUAAUCCAAAUAACUUUGCAAGAGAGAUUUUAAUAAAUAAUUUUAGAGGGAAUUAUUAAAAAGGGCUUUAUUAGUUGAUCAAUAGUUGAAGUUACAAUAAUAAGAUUUUGAUUUAUAAUAUAAUAAACCUACUUCACUAAGUUAACUUAAAAAGAAAAACUAAAUCACAAUUUUAAUAGAAAUAAAAAAACUAAGACAUAUACCAUAGUUGACUAUAAUUAAAAUAGAAAACGAUAAAAUAAUAAAAAUUAUAAAAUCCUAAAACAAUGUCUACAUCAUAUCCUCACUAAAAUAAAAAUAUAAAAGUAAAGCAAAUUGUGGUAUAACAGACUUUAAUUCUAUCACUCUUCAAUUUUUUUGUUUAUUAAUUAAUAUUGGUGUCUAUGGUUAAAUUUGUUAUUUUUUAUAACAAUUUUAUUUGUUAAUUGAAAUAUUUAGUCUAUGUAAACAAAAAAAAAUGGUUGGAGAGAAUGAGAGAGGAAGGGGGGGAGAGAGAGAGAACAAAGUCAAACAAAUAAUUUAAUGAAUUAUAUUUUUAAAAUUAAAUUUUAAUUUGAUUAAAUAAAUGAUGUAGUGAGAAAAUGAGUAGGUUCAAAUAGCUUUACUUAUAUUUAUUUCAUUAAUGGCUCAAAAUUUAAUGAAAAUAAAUGGUUUUAAAAAAUUGCAUUUAAGUUGCAUAAUUCAAUGAGUAGUGCCACACAUCCUAAAUCUUUUAUCUUAAAAAAUUAUCCCAAAUGAUAUAGUAUUCAUCAAUAGAUUGAAGAGAUAAUACAAUUAAUUCACUCAAAUCUUGAAAGAAUUACCUACUAUUCAAGUAAUGACACACCAUUUGGGAUAUCUAUCAUUACUCUAAUUGAAAAUAAACCUAUCACUGGAUGAUUAAUUAUGGUAGGUUUGCUUAAUACUAAAAUGCCACUCAUAAGUUUUGUUUGGAUUUGUAAUUGAUUUAUCUUAAUCCUUCAACUUGACAUAAGGUCGUUCUCCUCGUUUCUGUACACUUAAAAGUCACCCAGAUCAAAACUAGAUCUAUCGUUGCAUUUGCUUGAAAAAUAAUUUACAAGUAAUAAGUUCUCGUGAUUAAGCAACAUUUUUAAAGGGUUAUGAUAGUAGUGGAACCGUGAUACAAUUUGUAAAUAUUAGAUGGAUUGUUGAAAACAAUAAAAAAUGCUUGUAUGUUUUUUAUAAGGAUCUCCCUAUCUUACAUGCAUGUAAGAUAGGAAUUGCCUUUUUAUAAAGGCUAAAAGAUAAAGUGGUGCAUGGAUAAUUACUUUUUUUUUCCCUUUUUAUCUUAAUCAUGUUUGAACGACAUCCUUUUAUAGUUCCCAGACAUUCUGCAACUAUAAUAGACAAUUUUAAUAGGAACUACAGAGAAAAUAUUAAUAUUUUUAUACUUAUUCACUUACCUGAUGGAUAGUUAGAUAAGUGUUACUUUUCACACAACUAGACCAAAUUAGUACCCUUUUUGGUUUGUGAAAACGUGAUUUUUAUGAAUAUGCUAUAGAUGCUUUCAAAUGUUUCUACAGUUUACGAAUUUACGCAUUAAACGAAAACCUCCAACUAUCAAAUAAAAAGGUGAAAAUUCAAUAGAAUCGACAACUUCUCAGACUCACGUAGGUGGUGGUUCAAGUUUCUAAACUACUAUUAUUAUUAACAGUUUUGAAAAGCAAAUAGUAACUUCAUUUCACAGCAUCUGCUUUUGAGAAAGCUCAGAUGUAAUCAAAAUUCCAAAACCACUCUAAAUAUGUUAGGGAUAUGACCAUAAAUAGAAGUUAAAUAUGAUAGGAUAUAUAGUUGUUCAUAGCUAACAUUUGAUGGUUUAAUUAUUUGUUCUAGGGAUUAUGCGCUGAUUAGUGUUUUUUGUUAUCCGAUGAAUGAUAUUCAGUUUUUCUUACAUGCUCAUAGGCAAGAGCAUUUUCUAAGUACUUUCCUUGCCUUCAAAUUUUGAAAGAAAGAUAGAUAUGAUAUGUGACGCAAGCCCAAUGAAAUAAGCAAAUAAAAUAGAAUAAACGAAGCAAAAAUAUUUCUAGAAACAAGAAAUGACAAAGGAAACACGAAUACAACUUUUUUCUUGUUUUCCUUAUUUUCCUCUGUUAAGCUCCAAAAUGAAUAACUUUAUUCUACCAUCUCUCAAAUAAUAACAUCAACAGCACAUAAUCGUCAUCAAUAAUAAUAAUAAUAAUAACAAUAAUAAUUUAACUUUGUAGGAUGGAGCUCUCGCAAAUCUUCAAGACACAAAAUGUGCUUGACCCCGUUGUUGUUAUUAUAAUUUCAAAAUCAUUUGUAUUAUAUAAAAUUAGGGAAUAAAACAUAGCAAAAUUGAUGGUACAAAUGUUGCAAUAUAUUUUUUCAUGUAGCAACACAUUGAAGUAAAGAAAAGCAAAACAACGAAAAAUGUAACGGGAGAGCUCUCAUUAUGUAGAUUUUCAAUAGAAGUAAUGAAAAUUUCACAAGGACAAUGGCCUUAUUUCGAAUGCUACACCUGGGGAAUGGCUUGAAUCUUUUAUAGAACUCACACUAUUAUAAAAAACGCUAAACAAUGACAAAAAUUUUAUAACAUAUAUCGAUAUGUCAAAAUCAUUUGAUGGUACAUUUUAUAACAAAAAAUGAAAAAUGUAACGGGAGAGCUCUCAUUAUGUAGAUUUUCAAUAGAAGUAAUGAAAAUUUCACAAGGGCAAUGACCUUAUUUCGAAUGAUGCACCUGAGGAAUGACUUAAAUCUUUUAUAGAACUCACACUACUAAAAAAACGUUAAAUAAUGACAGAAAUUUUAUUACAUAUAUAGAUAUGUAACAAAUGUAUCAUGAAAGUGUGAUAGAUUUGUAACAUAUAUUCAUAUGUCUAGAGUUUAUGACAUAUUCAUGACUUAUAACUUAGGGAAAUUUACGAAAAUAACCAUUAAUAUUUUAUUAUUUUCGCAAUUAAUCCUGUCAACUUUUUUCUAUCAACAUUAGCCAAACACAAGCCUUUCUUCCCAAAUUACCCUUCUUUACAGAACAAAACCAACAUUGUUUCUCCCAUGUCGCCAAACCAAAAGCAGCUUGUCACUCUUGAAUCAUCAGCCAACGGCGACCACAAAAGACAACGAUAAAAGUGAUAUCCGAUCAUAAUCUAUCCGGAUCCAACACAAAUCGACAUCAUUUAGUGGUAUGAAUUAUUUUCUGAACUUACUGAACUGAGUUGGGUGAAUCUGAAUCUGCCGACAGGCUAAUGUCGCAGUAAAACUCGGUGCGACAGGCGCCUGUCGCACCGAGCAAGGUGCGACAGGCACCCUGUCGCACCAAGAUUCGGGCGACAGGUUGUCUGUCGCACCCACCCUGGAGAUUCAUUAAAACUGUAUUAUUUUAAUAGGACUGAAAUAAAUUUUUUUUUAUAAUUUCAGGCUUAAUGGAUUCAGUUGUACUUGAAUUGUGUUACGAUGGUUGGUGGGAGACAUUAGAGAAUGGUCGUAUGGAGCAUGUGAAUGGUAAAAAUCGAGCUUUUUUGGUUGGAAAAAAUUAUCUGUUUGAUCAGUUAUUGGCAAGAGUAUACGAGGUGUUACAAAUAAACCCUAAUGAUUAUAGUAUCACAAUGAAGAUAACUUUGAGGUCUAGUAACACAUUAUAUCGUAUAUGUGCAAUGCCCAUGGAUAUAUGUGAUGAUGAAAUGGUGAGGGUUGUGUUGCAUAUGGCAUUUGACGUAGCUAAUGUUGGAUGCAUUCCUAUAUUCGUGACCACAUCACCUUGAGUUCCGAGCGAAGGUAUUGAGCCACUUGUCGAUACAGAAACUUCGUUUAGAGCAAAUAUGUCUGGCCCCGAUAAUGAUGAAGAGGUGUUGCCAAGGACAAUAUCGUUGCAGCAAUAUUACUCUCCAAUCCACGAAAAUUAUGACAACAUUGAUGAUAAUGGCGUUACGUUACAGGAUGUUGGAGCAACGGUAUUUCCAAUAACAACGUCGUUGGAGCAACGAUAUUCUCCGUAUCACAACAAUGAUUUUCGGGACAAUGAUGAUUUUAAUAAUGAGACAGAGGGGGAUAAUGUUUGUGCAGAACCUUCUAAUAAUACGAGGCGGGGCACUCGUUUCAAUAAUGAUGGUGAUGAUAGAGGAGCCGGUCCUUCGAAUGUUCCGUCGUUUCAGCAUGAGGAUGAGUGUGAAGACAAUACUCCUGUGAAUAACAGAGGCAAUAGACCUAUUCCUUCUACGGUUCGAUCGAGAAGGAGAAUUGACCCCCUUACAAGUCUUGCUCCAACUUUGCCUUCGAACAUGGUUGCUCCAAGCUUUGUUAGCAAUUGUGACUCAGAUGAUAUCAGCGUGGGUAAGCUAUUUGCUGAGAAGAAUGAGCUUAUAUUACAACUACGCAAGGUGGCCUUUAGAGAUAAGUUUGAUUUCAAGAUUGCACAGUCUACUAUGACACGUUUCGAGGCUCACUGUUGUUCAGAAUCAUGUAAAUGGCGUAUUCGAGCAACUAGAAGUUCGAACGAGCAAAAUGUUCCUUGGGUGGUGAAGAGAAUUGAUAAUGUACACACUUGUCAUAAUGAGGUAUUGGUUGAUGGACGUCAUCAAGUAAGGAGCCGGGUUGUCGGUCAUAUUAUCGCAGAAAAAUAUAUUCAAGAUAAGAGGAUUUAUACUCCCAAUGACAUAAGAGCAGAUAUGCAACAGGAAUACGGUGUUCAGUUAACAUACCAGCAGGCAUAUAGGGCGAGAGAAGUUGGUCUUGAAAUAGUUCGCGACAACCCUGCAGAGUCAUACAACUUGCUCCCUAAAUACUCUCACGUACUAACUACAGCGAAUGAGGGUACAGUCACUCACCUCAAGCAAGAUGGAGAUGGUAAUUUCUUAUACUAUUUUGUAGCACUCGGAUCUUCCAUCAAGGGGUUUAUGCAGUACAUUCGGCCUGUCAUUGCUGUAGAUGGUACUCAUCUGAAGGGACUAUAUCGUGGAAGCAUGUUCGUGGCAACAUGUCUUGAUGGUAACAAUCAAUUGUAUCCGUUAGCUAUUGGGAUCAUGGAUUCAGAAAACAAUGAUGCUUGGGAAUGGUUUAUGAUGAAGUUACACGAAGUGAUUGGUGAUAGACCUGAGUUGGUAAUUAUCUCUAAUCGAUGCACUACCAUAAGGAGAGCCGUUCUUAAAGUAUUUCACAAUGCAACUCAUGGCGUUUGUUUUUACCACGUCAAAGGUAACAUUAAGUCACAAUUUAGAAUGUCCAAAGCUCUUUGGGAUGAAUUUGAGCCUGCCUUUAUUAAUGCAGCAAAAGCAUAUGGCCAUGAGGAAUUUAAGAGACAACUUGAGGGGUUGUGGAUGGAUCCACUCGGGUGCGGCUGAUUACCUAGAAAAUAAUGUCGGUACGUGUAAUUGGGCAAGGUCUCAGUUUGAAGGUAGGAGGUACAACAUUCUUACCACCAACAUCGCGGAGAGUGUUAAUGCUUUCAUGAGGGAACCUCAAAAAUUUCCUGUUACUCAUCUUGUUGAUCACUUUAGGAAAACAUUGCAGCAAUGGUUUUAUGAUAGAAAAAUUGUGGCUGAAUCAAUGACUACUCGGCUAACAACAUGGGCGGAUGAAAUAGUCACUGAGAGGAGAACUAUAGCUGAAAGAAUGAUAGUUCGGCCGGUGUCUCCGCAUCGCUUUCAAGUUAUAGGCGGUGGGCUUAAGGAAGGGUUGGUUGACUUGCAAAAGAGAAUUUGCUCCUGCAGAGUGUUUCAGCUUGAUCAGCUUGUGUGUGCUCAUGCAAUUGCGGCGUGUCUAACAUACCGGGUGGAUUUUAUUAACCUUUGUUCAGACUUUUACACUACAGAAUCGUUGGCGAUGGCUUAUGCACAACCAGUGGAGCCAGUUGGUGAUGUGGCUGAUUGGGAAGUUCCAGAUGAAAUUCAGGAGAUGCAAGUAUACCCACCAGUUGAGGCACCACCACCUGGCCGUCGUAAAGAGCUCAGAAUACCCUCGGCUGGCGAGGACGUUGACCGGCGGACUGUAAGAUGCUGCCGGUGUCAUGAACUAGGCCAUAAUAGUAAGCGAUGUAAGAAUCCUAUUGCGUCGACUCGAAGUUAGUUGUAUUUUGUGUGUUAUUCGGUGGUUAAAACUAUUAUUGUUUUUGUGUUUCGUUGGUUAAAACUGUUAUUGUUUUUUGUAUUUCGUUGCUUAAAACUGUUAUUGUUUUUUGUAUUUCGUUGCUUAAAACUGUUAUUGUUUUUUGUAUUUCGUUGGUUAAAACUGUUAUUGUUUUUUGUGUAUUGUACACUUAUAUUUCAUAAAACUUUAUUUUAUUUUAAAGUUCAAAAUGUGAGGCAUUAAAAUUAUAUAAACUUAAGUGCGCAAAUUAAAAAAAAAUUCAAAUUUCAACAUUAAAAUUACUACAUAGGUCUAUAAUAUAAUAUCGUCAUUAAAUAUAUCAACCGCAAUCUUCUUUCUAAAGUACUCGACAUGACUAGCGUUAAACUCCAAUCUAAGCCCAAACAUUAAAUACAUCGUAACCAUCAAUACAAAAACACCGCAAUCGCCAGUUCCGGGCUCUUGUUGCGGCGCGCUCUUAACUGCGAUAACUUUCCACGGGUCUUCACUCCGCAACUCAGGUCGGAUAUUGUAGAAGCCAACAUAUUCCAACCAGCGAGGGAAUAUAACUUCAAGUGGCUUGAAUUUCAACUUGUACCUUUUGUCGUCGCGAAAUGUGAGUAAUGAGUCAUAGAUCCAGACUUUAUUUUUCCGAAAGUCAACUCGUGCUAGUACCCAAUGCGCGCCGUCCAAGUUAACAGGGAUGAGUAAAUGCAUAUAAAAAUUGAAAAACAUGUUCGUUAUAUAUGCAAUUGAAAUACAACAAAGAAAAAGCAACAACUCGAAUAUUUUCAUUAUAGAACAUGUGAAAUGUAAUAAAAUACAUACCAUAUCGACAUCUGUCAUUGAUUUUGACAUUGUGUGCUGUCGCCCACAAAGAUAACUAUUUAAGCGGUCGUCGAAUACUAUUGAAUCGACUGCACAAUUCUCGUUAUUCCAUAACUGAUUCAAGAACACCUAGUACAUAGAUAACCAAGAAAUGCAUAAAUUAAUAAAACUUAAAGGCAAUAAUUAAAAAAAAAUUAAAUAGUAUUUAUAAGUUUUGUCGGCACGUUACCCAAAAAAAUGUGUCAGUAUGUGUGACACGUUGGAGUAAGGCAUUUGGAUACUGCCGUUGUUUCUCGCUAAUCAAGCGGAGAUACUCGUGAAUAUGCUGUAGAGAAACAGAAAUAUUACGAUUUAAAAAAAAUUAUACACAAAUCCACAAUAGAAUACACCACGAGGAAAAUAUAAAUACCUCAUCGCCUAGCCAUCCCAUCGAAGCUGUCCCCAAAAUUAUUUGAAAGAAUGACCGCGGGUGCUGGACUCUCCGGCGGACUCUGCUAUCACCAGUGAACCAUCGAUCAAACUCAGCAAACAAACUAGAGUCCUCCAAUUCUCUAAGUGGAUUUACAUCCACACUUGUACUCAUGUCAAUCGCAUGCUCCAUGAUUUGGGGUCGAGGUAAGGGCCGGACGUUCUGUCCUCGCCUGACCGGAGGAAUCAUGUAAGGACUGUUAUAAACAUAUGACGGUAUGUACGCGCGGCCGAACUUACUAAAGCCCGGAGGCACCUCUGUGAACACCUGCACGCUCUCCCCACUAACAUCCCCGUAGAAACUAUACAAUGACGUGGGCGUAGACAAAUUUUCAUUGCCCACGUCAGUAUACACUCCAUAGUCAUCCGGGGCCUAUACAUUCGCCAAAAAGAACAUAUUAAAUAACUAUCAAAUUAAAAGUUAAACGAACAUAAUUAUUAAAUUUAAAUUAGCUUACCGCAUACGAGCGUGCAGUGGGAGAAUCCUUAUUUGGACGUUUAGAAAAUGUGUCGAUGAAGCCAACAACGGUUUCUUUAAAAUCUUUUAAUUCGGACUUUAUUUCAUACACGUUACGAUCAAUCUUAUCCAGCCGUCGUUGUACAUAAUCAUUAAACUGCUUUGUCCUCGACUAUUACAAAAGAAAAAAAUAAAACUUUAGAAUAACAAUAAAAAAAUAAUAAUUUAUAAAGGAAAAAUAUCGUAUAUUAUUUCUAACCUCAGAAUCCCGUGUGUCAUCAGAGUUGUCUGUUUGCUGGUGGUGGUCAUCAACAGCCACCUCAUCCUCAAAAGUGUCAUGACCCACCUCAUCCUCAAAAGUGUCAUGACGCUGCUCUGGUAUUGGGUUUGGUAUGUCGUCAUGAUCGUCAUGCUCGUCUGAUUGCCUUGUAACCGACGGCAUCGCGUUGAUCGAGGGUUGGUGCUGUAUAAAGUAUCAUUUAAAAUUAGUAAAUGAAAAGCCAAAAAUUUCGAUUAACAAAUUUUUAGUACUUAGAGUAUACCGACCUUAUGAACCCAGUCUGGAAUGCUUGGCAAGUAAUUCUUCACAGAGAGCCAAUAUUUUCUGCUACUCUCCUUUGAAUUUGGCUCAAGAGUUUGUAAAAAGUCCCCCUGCCAUAAAUUCAAUUGAAAAUUUUAAGUAAGUAUACAUAACUUAAAUUUAGUAAAGUUAAAAAAAUAAGUAAUACAUAUUACUUACAAGACGAGAUUCGUCGUUGAAGAACGAAUAAACCUCCGCAAAGUUGAUUCUCGAAGACGCCAUGGGAUUCCAUUGCAGAAUGCGGGGAAUCUUAUUCUUCGUUUUGACGACCCAUGUUGAUGGCAACCCUCCGAUUGCUUCGUAAAUCCAAGCCUACAACAACCAAAGUGAAAAAUCAAAUAAAACAACUAUCAAAUAUUUAAUACUAUAAAACUUAUUAAUAAACAAAAAAAAAAAGCACCUGAACCCCAGACGUAAAGCCGUAAAGAUUGUAUAUUUCAAUAUUAUGAUUUGGAUUUUUCAACCGAGUCUUCUUAAAUUUCUCGUCUUUCUCGAACAGUGCAUUGUCAAGACUCUCGUAAAUCAUUUCCCACGACAAUAGACCCCAUGGACGUUUUCGGAAGUACUGUACAUCAUCAACUUGGUCAAGCCAAUCGAAAUUAAUUUGACAGUGAUUUUUUCUUGCAUUUAGUACUCUGUCCGUAAAAUAAAACAGCGUAAUCUUUAAUGCGUCCAUAUCGUCCAUUUCCUCGAAUUUCAACUUCUUAAAUACUGCAUCGAAUUGCUUCACAUUAAUCUUACGAUGCACACCACCAAAAUACGUAUUCCGUAGCCUCUGCUCCAUUUCAUCAUUUUUUUCAUUGGUAUCAACACCAAAUGAAAGUCCAGUAACCAAGCACCAUUCGACAAUUGACAAGCGAAUCAAACGCUUACCAAUUUGAAACCAUAACUGAUCCUCACGGCUAUCGUCUUCAUGGGCCACUUGCCGCAGUAAAAGAUUGUGCAAAAUUACCCCACUAAACGAAAAACUUCGACACUCCAAGAAAUGCUCAAAUAUAUCCUUUUUGAACAUACUCAACUGCCGCAUUGUUAAUUUUUCCUCGAUGGCUUUUACGACCGAAGAUAACAUACACAUGCUCGAAAUUCGACCAGGAAAGUGAUCAGCAUAACGAAAAUACAUCUUGCCUACUUCAAUAUCCGGUGAUUCUGAUUUCGCCAUGUAUCUGUAAUAUUUAUAAAAUUAUUACAUUACAUUUACAGAAAAAAUAUACUCGUUAAAAAAAAAUUAUAAUUUUUGGUCCAAAGCUGGUGCGACAAUGCCUGCUGUCGCACCAAAUCUGGUGCGACAGCGUGCCGCGCAUGGGUGCGCGCGCGCCCCCUGCCCCCCUCCCUCCCCACCCCCAAAAUUAAGCGCAAUCACUCCAAAAUCGAAAACAAUACUCCCAAACACCACCAACCACCACAAACAUCAUCACCACCACUAUUAUUCUCAAGCUAUAACUAUUAUUAUUCUAAAAUCUCAUUUUAAAUUAAUGAAAAUAAGAAAAAUGACUAACCUAGGUUUUGUUGAAGGUUGUAGAUCGUAGAUCGGAUGCCGGUGAGAGAUGGAGCCGCCGCCGACGAGGGUUGAUGUCGCCGCCGAUGAUGGGAGUUGGAUCGGUUUGGGAGAGAUGAGUGCAAGAGAGUGUUGGGGGAGAGAUGAGGGAGGGAUAUUUUGGUCUCAAAUGUUGUUUUAUGGCUAAUGUUGAUAGAAAUAUUUUUGGGGGGGUAAGAUGAAAAAAAGUAAAAUUUUUUUGGUUAUUACUGUAAAUUUCCCUAUAACUUAACUAACAUAAAUAAAUGAUAGAUAUGAGUAAUGUUCAAGUUUUGUGGAUUUAAUAUUUUAAAAUGAUGCCGUUUAAAUUAACGACGCCGUUUUUAUGAAACUUAAAACAUAUCAACACUUCAGCCAAUUAUCGACCAAGUGUUGAAUAAACCCCUCUCGCUGCAACCUAAAAUCAUUGAACUUUGAGCCACUCUUAACAACAUUGUGUGGAACCCUAACCCUAAGCCUCAUUUCCACCACCGAUAAAGCUAAGAAAGUUUCCCGUAUAUCAGAACUAUGGCGAAUUGCCUUCAGUCCUUAGGACCCAUAAAAAAUCUUGUAUUCCCUCGCUUUUACUUCGCUAAUUUUUUGUAUUAUUCCAUCUCUUUCACUUUAAUAACCCAAAAUCUCUCCUCUGUUUCAAUCGAAAGAAAACCCUAGCUUAAAUUAAGCUGAAAUUUACAUAUCAAAGCUCUCGCUCAACUUCCCUCCUUCAAUUGAAACAAAAUGCAGCCAUAAAACCCCAAUACGCCACACCCUUUUGUCUCAGGCCAACAUUCAUUUAAACCCCACCUUUCGGUUCAAUGCCAUUUAAUGCGAUUGCAGAUGCCGUUUCAACUCAUUAUUUAGUUAACGCCAUUCAGUUCUUUGCUGUCAGCCUUAACCCUAAUAACUAAUCGACUGUGGUAGCACGUUGCUGACUCGGGCUGAGGAUACAUGAAUUAAAUAUAUGAAUUGGGUGAUGUCAGUGAUUCAUCCUCCUAUUUGCCGUGAAUUGAGAUUUGUGUAUAAUGUUUGUAAGAUUGUUAAAAAUUUCAUGUUCCAGUCGAAUUUCUUGCUCUCUCUCUAUAUAUAUAUAUAUAUUAUCUUCUUUAUAGUCAGGCUCUGGCUUUGCUGCUAUGCUUAGUGCAGUAUAUGGUUUCAAGACUAAAUUAGGUUUAUUUGACGACAUCGAUAUCUUACCUAGCUCUGCUUGAAAAUGAAAAUGUUGUACUAGUAAUCAUAGACUUUGUUUAUUCAGUUGAUAUUUUAAUUAUAUGUAUAAGAAUGAAGCUUUAUUUGGGAAAAAAAGAAAUAAAGAAAUAGGCUCUGUUGAAGCUAAUUAAUACUUCAUUCUUUCUAUACGUGCGACCUGUGGUGGAAACAUGAUAUGAAAAUGUGUUACUGGUGAGGUUGCUGCUUGAGAUGAGAAUGAUGAGAAUGCCUUCUAUUCGGAAAUCCUUGGUAGGUAUUAUAUAAUUAUAUUUGAUGGAAUAUUAAAUAGCUAAAGAACCUCUGAUAUUGUCUUUGUUCAAUGGUUACUGUAGUAGUGUUUGUUGGUCUUUUUCUGGUUGGCGUUUGGAUGUUAAUGUCAUCAUCAGUUGUACUGGUGUGGGAUCCAGGAUGUUGUCCUCUUAAGAGCCUAUAAGCAAAGUGAAACAGAGAGUAUCUGAGUUUUGUCUGGGCCUUUCGUAGAAAAUCAAGGUGAUGAAUGACAGGAUUCAACAAUGGGGAUGGGGAUGAUGUUCCUGUUGAAAAGUUAGAGAAUAGAGUGGAAGAUAAUCACGAAGAGAUGAAUAUGUAUGAGGGUGAUGGUGAGACGAGUGAAUCUAAGAAUAUGGUUAAUCAAAACCAGGAAGAGAAUUUAGUGAAGGAGAGUUUUGAUGAGAAUACUGAGUCUGAAGAGGAAUCUAAGGCGGUGUCUAAAAAUUACGAUGUUAGAAAAAGGGAAGAUAAGGAAUCUAAAAGUGAAGGUGGAGAUUCGAAUUCAGAAGCUGGAGAAACAGAAGGCGGCGAAUUGAAUAAAAUUGAGCAAAUUGAAUCAGAGAAGAGCUUGGAUGAAAAUAAAUGGAUGAGGCUAGUCAGAUUGAAAAGGAGAAGGAUUCUCAAGAUCAAGAUAAUGACACUGAGAGUCGUUGAAAGGAUCAGGCUUCAACUGAGAUUUUUCCUUUUGGUGACUAGUCAGAAAUUCUGAAGGAAACUAAUGCUCAGAAUGGGGCUUGCUCAACUCAACCUAUUGAGUCAUAGAAUCAGAAAAUAUCACAACAAACUUCUAUAUCUAAGGACCCGUAUGGUCAUCGCUGGAAAGUGUGUAAUGCCACUGCUAGGCCAGAUUGCAUCCCUUGCCUGGACAAUUUGCAAGCAAUUAGAAUGCUUUCCAGCACAAAAGCAUUAUGAACAUCGAGAGAGGUAUUGCCCUGAAGAAGCUUGUACCUGUAUUGCUCCUUUACCGGAAGGAUACAAACACUCAAUUAAGUGGCCCCAAAGCAGGGAUAGGGUAUGAUCUUAUAUUAUGCAUUAUAAAAUAUAUACUUGAGUACUUUUAAUUCACUUGGGCUAAGAUUUGUUCUCAUGCUGUGUGGGAUAGAUUUGGUAUUAUAAUUUUCCCCACACAAAGCUUGCAGAAGUUAAGGGUUAGCAAAAUGGGGUUAAAGUUACUGGUGAAUACCACAUUUUUCCAGGUGGCAGAACUGAAUUUGAGCUCUUCAUUACAUUGACUUCAUUCUGAAGGUGAGCAUUUUUCAUUUAUCAUUUUAUGUCUGUUGUUAGCUUCAAUUAAUACGUGGCUUAUUCUUUUCUUUGUAUGAACCAUGGGCGGUCCAUUUCAUUUUAUAAGCUAUUUCUUGGGUUUUAGCAAGACAAAUAAUAAGAUUUGUGCUGUUUUUGUUUUAUGCGUCUAUAUAAAUUGUGUGUGCGCAUAUCAUACUAGGGGAGUAUUGCUUUAAUGCUAUAUACAGUCAAGGACACACGGUGGGUCACAUUCUGACUCGUUUCAAUGCUUAUUUUAUAAAUAUUUACUUGUAUAUAUUUUGUAGUACUUUUAGAGAUGUAUUCUGCACUGGAUUUUUUAAGUGCUUUUAAUGUAGACUACUGUCUUUGUCUUUAUCUCUCUUUCUGUGAAACUGAAAGGUUCAUAGAAUUUUUUAGAAACCAGUAAUCUUACAAAAAAUUUUAACCUGUUAAUUAAUGCGGUUUCAUUAUCUUGAAAAAUUUUCAAGCGUGCUUGCUUUUUUCUUUUUCUUUCUUCUGAAAUAAUUGUUGAUAUUCCCCUUCUCUUCUAUCAAGUUUCUGAUUCUCUAAAGCCCACAUUAUUUUUGUCUUUCUUUAUACAGGCCUUUAUCAUUUAUUGGCCAGCACCCUUUCCUCGGUUCUAUAUAAGAAUGUAAUUUCGUCCGAAUCUGCCAAAAACCGUGUGCUAUUGUCAACAACAAAUCAGAAUUCCAUCUCCACCUCCUGACAAACCAUGCGUCACCACCUGCUUAGGAAUCCAAAGCCUUUGCUGGUGUUGAUAGUAUGUUCUCUCUCUAUCUCUGUUUUUCCUCGGUUGAGAAUUUAAAACAACAUCAUACUCAUCAUAUACUCUGUUUGGAUUCCUUGAAAUAAUAUUUUUUUAAUUUUUAUUGUUAUUUUGAAUUGUUUCUACAUAUUUUGAAUCAGAGUUGUUUGAGUAAAAUUUAAAUAUCAAUAUUACUGAUACGUGUCUAAUCUGAACUUCUUACCUUAAUAGCUUACUCACCUGUGCUUUUUUUUCUCCCCCCUUUUAAGAAUUCAAAAGCUAUAUUAUGGAUUUUGUUUUUGUUGUUUAUUGUCAUGAAGUAGGAGUGGGCAGAAAAUUGAAGAACCGUAUCAGAUUCGGUUCGAUAUUUGAUUCGGUUGUGCAAUAACCUAAAUUGGACGGUUUCAUUUCGGUUGGGAUGAAUGAAAACCGAAACCGAACCAAUAAUAAAAUUAACAAGCAAACCAAAUGAAAGUCCCAAAACAGUAACAAAACAAACACAGGUUUCUUAUCAAAUUUCACAGCACGACAUGGUCGCUCUAUUUGGUAAAAAAAUAGAAAAAAGAAUAAUGGGUCUCGAAAAUUUUUUAGAGUAUUUCUGUCGCUUACAUUUUUUUCCAUCGAUUAAUGUUAGUUGUAGGUGAAUGAUUGUUGCAAAUCCAUGUUAGCUUGUGAUUGAUUGAAAAUGGCUUGUGAUUUGUUAUGCUGCCAUGUGACAGAUUGAAAAUGGCUCUGAAAUUUUUUUAUUUGUUUAAGGUAUUACUGCUGAUUAUUGAACAGAGAUUCAUGCUAGUUUUUGUUAAAUUGAAGAUGAGAUUUUUUUUAGGAGAUCUGCAAAACCUUCUCUACUAUAGAUUUGGCUUCUAGCAUACCUGGUUGGCUGGAAAUAAUUGUUUAUACAGUCAUUGCUGCCUAUAUUAAUCAGGAAUAUUGAUUAGCAAUGUACUGGGUUAGAGAUUGGUAUAAUUUUGGAAAAUUAGUUGUAGAUGCAACCUGAUUAUGGUCUCAAAUAGUGUGAUCUGUCAAUUUUGUUUGCUCUGGCCUAAUAACCUUGAAUAUGAGCUAUGCCACUAUACAAAGUCUUGACCUAAUCACACUUGUUAGCCAAUGUCCAAAAUUGCAGUGUCUUUAGAUAAGUCCUUUCUUAUUUGUUUCGGUUAUAAAUGAAAAUUGCAGUGUCUUUGGAAAAUCAUGCUGAAUGUUGAAGUUAUGGACGAGAGGAGACCCCCAGAUUCAAGGCCGGAGCUCCCUGUUAAGAAGCUUUACAAAUAUAGGAUUGUCGCCUGGCAGAGGAUUGCUAUGCCUGGUUUUGUUUGGAAUAUGGAUGAAGAUUUUGCAUUGAGGCUUUUUUGAUAGAUCAUUUGGCAAAUCAAGCUCCAUGUAUCUAUCUUCAGACUCUUGGAUAUUUAUAAAGCAGGUGCAUGCUCCAUAUGUUACUCAAUGUAUCACGAUUAUUUUUCUAUUGCUUAAUAUAUUUGCAGUCCUUGAUGAAGUUGACAACUUAUGGAGGGUAUACAGAGGCUCAAGAGCUCAAUCGCCAUUCAUUUUANNNNNNNNNNNNNNNNNNNNNNNNNNNNNNNNNNNNNNNNNNNNNNNNNNNNNNNNNNNNNNNNNNNNNNNNNNNNNNNNNNNNNNNNNNNNNNNNNNNNGGAUUUUGUUUUUGUUGUUUAUUGUCAUGAAGUAGGAGUGGGCAGAAAAUUGAAGAACCGUAUCAGAUUCGGUUCGAUAUUUGAUUCGGUUGUGCAAUAACCUAAAUUGGACGGUUUCAUUUCGGUUGGGAUGAAUGAAAACCGAAACCGAACCAAUAAUAAAAUUAACAAGCAAACCAAAUGAAAGUCCCAAAACAGUAACAAAACAAACACAGGUUUCUUAUCAAAUUUCACAGCACGACAUGGUCGCUCUAUUUGGUAAAAAAAUAGAAAAAAGAAUAAUGGGUCUCGAAAAUUUUUUAGAGUAUUUCUGUCGCUUACAUUUUUUUCCAUCGAUUAAUGUUAGUUGUAGGUGAAUGAUUGUUGCAAAUCCAUGUUAGCUUGUGAUUGAUUGAAAAUGGCUUGUGAUUUGUUAUGCUGCCAUGUGACAGAUUGAAAAUGGCUCUGAAAUUUUUUUAUUUGUUUAAGGUAUUACUGCUGAUUAUUGAACAGAGAUUCAUGCUAGUUUUUGUUAAAUUGAAGAUGAGAUUUUUUUUAGGAGAUCUGCAAAACCUUCUCUACUAUAGAUUUGGCUUCUAGCAUACCUGGUUGGCUGGAAAUAAUUGUUUAUACAGUCAUUGCUGCCUAUAUUAAUCAGGAAUAUUGAUUAGCAAUGUACUGGGUUAGAGAUUGGUAUAAUUUUGGAAAAUUAGUUGUAGAUGCAACCUGAUUAUGGUCUCAAAUAGUGUGAUCUGUCAAUUUUGUUUGCUCUGGCCUAAUAACCUUGAAUAUGAGCUAUGCCACUAUACAAAGUCUUGACCUAAUCACACUUGUUAGCCAAUGUCCAAAAUUGCAGUGUCUUUAGAUAAGUCCUUUCUUAUUUGUUUGAGUUAUAAAUGAAAAUUGCAGUGUCUUUGGGAAAUCAUGCUGAAUGUUGAAAUUAUGGGCGAGGGGAGACCCCCAGAAUUCAAGCCGGGAGCUCCCCGGUAAGGAAGCUUUCCAAAUAUAGGAUUGUCGCCUGGCAGAGGGUUGCUAUGCCUGGUUUUGUUUGGGAAUAUGGAUGAAGAUUUUGCAUUGAGGCUUUUUGGAUAGAUCAUUGGGCAAAUCAAGCUCCAUGUAUCUAUCUUCAGACUCUUGGAUAUUUAUAAAGCAGGUGCAUGCUCCAUAUGUUACUCAAUGUAUCACGAUUAUUUUUCUAUUGCUUAAUAUAUUUGCAGUCCUUGAUGAAGUUGACAACUUAUGGAGGGUAUACAGAGGCUCAAGAGCUCAAUCGCCAUUCAUUUUACACUUGGCUGGGCUAUAGCAUACCAACUAGUGAUUAAUAAAGAGAGGGUAUGAAGGUCCUGUUGCUGGUGGUAUUAUCAAUCAGAAUUGUUAUUUUACUUGGUCAUACUUACCAUGUAUACUAUUCGUAGGCUUUUUUCAUUUUCAUGCAUUCGCAUCAUCUUCUUGUUAAGCUACAGAUGGUUGAUUUGUGUACUCAUUUGUAUCACUUGUAGCUCUUGAGGAAUAAAAUUUAAAAUUAUGUUGCAUCUCUUGUACUAAAUAGUAAUUUUGUUGGCUUUAUGUAUGGGAAAUGGUUUGUUGUCUUAUUUCUUUGAUGUGUAUGGUGUUACACUGUCUAAAGUUCAGAAGUAUUUCUAUCACUUGUGUAAAAAACAACCUACUUUUUUCGUUCUUCUUAUAUUGAAUAAAAGAGGGACACCAAGAUUGAACGAAAUUUGAUUCAGACAGCAUAGCAAUUAGGCCAGCGCAAAACAGCUUCCUUCUGAUUCUUUGAUAUUUGACUUAAAUCUUUUGUUUGUUUCAUUUAUCAAAGUCAUUUUGGAAAGUAACGGGGGUGAUUUGAUAUUUUCAUUGCAUUCACAUCCCUUGGCACCAAAACAAACAUGCUGGUACUAACCAACAAUUUUUUAUUUUCAGUAUACAAAUUUUUUUUUUUCUAAAUUAAGGGUAUUAAGAAAAGGUAUACUAGCACCAGAGGAGGUAUUUGAGAAUACACAAAUAUAAUCUAUCAAAUUGAGAAUACGCCAAAUCUCCGGAGAGGUUUUUGAUAAAUCCUUUUUUUUCUUUUUCCUCCAUUCACUAUAGGUUCAAUUUAGGGUGGUUGUUAAGUUAUAUCAUUGUGUAACAUAGAUCAAUUCAACAGUUGUUACCAGUAACACAAAAGUAUAACGAACAAAAACUAAUUGUGUUACUGGUAGUAACUAUUAAAUUGAUGUAUGUUACAUAAUUAUGUAACUUAACAAGGUCUUCAAUUUAGACACGGUUGACCAAACUGAAGGUUUAGGUUGGUAAACGCACUAGUGUUAAUGUCAACAACCCAAGGGGCUUCAUGGUCCUCUAGGCCGAAAUAGCGUAAUUAUUAAUUCUCCUCCACUGAAAGUCUUUAUCAUCUUGGGACAAAUAAUUACAAAUUGACAUUAUAGCUGUGGAAAUUUGGAGGUGUAACAACCGGAAAAAUAAAAAUCUUAAGAGACUUUAAAUAAAAAAGAUAACACCUUCAAUUUGCUAAAAGUAAUGGUAUCAUUUCUUGUAUGGAUAAUGGAUGAUUAUAUUUUGUUUUUGGUUAUCUGACGAAGGAUAUUAAGUUGUUCUUUAUGUGUUCAUAGGCAAGAGCAUGAGCAUAUGCAUGAUUUGACAUAUGGUUCUUGCAUUUUCUAAUUAAGUGCUCUUUUUCCUUGCCUUCUUAGUUUGAAAGAAAGAUGUGAAGCAAAGCAAACCCAGUGAAAUGUACAGAGAAACAGAACCAUCAGAGGAAAAACUAAAUAACAGAACUACAAUUGAACCAAACAAAAUCAAAUAAACGGACGCAACAGAUGCCCUGAACCUAGUAAUUACUCAAGAGUUGAGGAGUUGGAAUGAUUUGGUAUUCAUAUCUUCACAAAUCAUAUGCUUUAAUGCAGAAUCGACAGCUUUAUAUUAUUUUAUUCAAAAAACGAUAAAGCAGGAAAACCACAAUAAUCCACCAACUUUUGAUACUUGUAGGAAUUUUUUUUAGUCAAAUUAAGUUUCAUGAUAACACAAGUGGCUCGUCCACACACUUGCACUUGCUUGAAUAUUUGUGCCGACAUUUUCGUAUGUGAUGGUACUUCUUAGCCAGUAGAUAUGUUGAAAUACUACAAAACAGAGUAUUUGAUGAAGUUUUGCUACUUUCGUAUCCCCUUUUUUUGUUGCAUAACUAAAUUCUUUAUAAACACAAAUUAGAAAGAUACAAAUAAUACAGUAGCUUGAAUUUAUAUGCUUUUAUGAUUAUUUGAUAAUCUAGUGCUGAUCAUAUGUGAUGAUAAACUUAGCUAGUAGUUUUAUAUUUGUUUUCGCAGUUUCCUUAGCGUUCACAUUUUGAUGAGUAAAUUAAGGAUUUCCAGAUGAAGUACAUAAUUAGAUGAAUGCAAAGGAACUGAAGUUUGAUUAAUUGAAAACAAAAAUAAUAAUGCAGGUAAUUGCGAAAAUGAGCAAUGCAGAAGUAGUCCCUAUAGUAUUUCUAAAUUUUCUCUUGGGGUUCCUUAGUAUUCCUUAAUAUUUUUAAAAAAUGACAUGACGAUCUUUGAGUUGACGAAUCUUGGCCUGCUGCUUAGUACCCUUCCAACAUAUAAAGUACUAGAUGUUUUACUGAGAAAAUGACGAGAUCAUUUACCAAAUUUCUUGCCCAUAUAUACGUAUGUAUACGAGAAAUGAGAAUCAGUGAUUAUAAGACCUUGCAAUGAGACAAUAAUACAUCAUCAAAUCUAAAAAUACACAAGAAAUUCGGGACAUAUAUAUAACAAAAGACCUCUCAUUGAGUCAUACAUAUUGAGAAUAAAAUGUCAAAAUGCAUACAAAGAGCUUAUACAAAAAAUGAAUUUACACAUAUUUAGAAUAAACUGUCUUUGAACUUUCGAUGGUCAAACAAAGGAAACAGACAGGAUAUAAUACACGCCGUCAUAGAUGUAGCGACACGGUGAAGUAAAUCACAUGAAGAUGGAAACGGAAACCCUUCACAACAUAAAAUUUGAAUAGAGGGGGAAAAAAGGCUUCAUUUCGAAUGUUGCACAAAACUAGAAUAACAGACAAAAUAUUGUGCUUCUAUACUUGUCACAAAACUAGACCAAAUUAGUUUCCUUUUUGGUUUGUGAAAACUUGAUAUUUUUGAAAAUUCUAUCCAAUGCUUUCAAACAAUAUUUCCAUAAUAUAGUUGUUCAUAGCUAACCUUUGAUGGUUUAAGCAUUUGUUGUAGGCAUGACGGGCUAAUUAGAUUAUUAUUUUUUUUAUCCGAUGAAUGAUAUUCAGCUGUUCUUAAUUAUGUGUUAAUAGGCAAGAGCAUUUUCUUAAGCACUUUCGUUGCCUUCCAAGUUUCCAAAGAACAAACAGAGCACAAACAAAUUUAACGGAACAGUAACGAUGACAAUAAAUAAUUGGCAAGGAAAGAAAGAAAAAAGUUUGCAUGAUUUCAAGGAAUUAUAAAAUCUGAACACUUUCAACAUGCAAGUGUUGCCCCUCUUAAUGAAAUUUCAUCAUAAAAUGCUUGCAAGGAAUUAUAAAAUUUUAGAGAACAAGCGAAUUAAAUUAAAUUAGACCAAAAGACGCUCAAUGACGCAAAAUCUGCCCAUAAAAGCCUGAACGAAUCAUGAAAAGUGCAUUCCAUAUUGACAGUAAACCAAGUGACCCAUUCUAAACAAUUGAGAUGAAAUUGUGAAACAACCCACGAGAUCAAAUAAAUAAAAUAAGAAUUAAUUACCAGCUGGGACUUUCUUCUUCAAAUUCGUAACUCCAAGUCAUAAGAAGCCUAUGAAAUUAGUCGUAAUCCACAGAGUAUGACGACGACCCCGCCAACAGCUGAAAAUAAAAUUCUUAUUCAUCAAUUUAAACUAACUUUAUAACAAAUAUCUUAUCGAUAUUUUAUUUAAAAAGAAAAAGAAAAUUUUGUAAAAAUUUAUCAUGGGAGAUAGAGAGUAAUAUGUACAUACGUACCUUCUCAGCAUGUAAUUGUUGUAUGGUCGUGUUAAGAUCAUUACCAGCCCAACGCCGUUGAUUCGAUGUCUCUCCAUACCAGACGUUUACUCUUGGAGGCGUGAUUGAUUCUCCUGUAGUGAAAAAAUUCAUCUUGGGACAACCAAUCACACACAACUCUUGCAAAGAUGGGAAUUCAAAGGUGUAAUUGGCAGAGCAGAAACUUGUGAGGCUGUCUAAAUCGCGCAGUUCCAACCUCUUCAAUUUGCGGAAAACAAUCUCUUCUUUUUCAACCCCGUCUUUGUCAUUUAUUACCACCUCUGUCAUUGCUCUGCAUCCAUAUAUACUCACUUUGACGAGUCGCACUAGAGUUUUUGCUGUGGAGGAUGUUACCAAGUGCAUCAAUCCCUUGCAACCGAAAGCUAAAAGUUUUGUUAGGUUCCGAAAAGAUACCGAUGAUGAUGGCAAUAGAAUUAACAGACUUUGACAAUGAUGUACUCCUAGAAUUUCAAGAUACUGAAAAAUGGGGCCAAGUUUGGAGUCUUGUUUGCACAGCUGCUUCAGAUGAUAGUGCCAGCGCAGCUCUAAUGCUUUUAUCAUUGCCAACUUCCCCACAUGUUUCUCUAAGCAUCCUUCCAUCGAAAAUAGCUCUUCGUGGGAUGAAAAAUUAAACAGAGUGAGUAUUUCGAUAUUGUGAAAUCUCUCCAGUACGUUCCAGAUUGGAAAACAAGCUGAGUCAUCUCCAAUAAUCUCUAGUUGUUUAAGACUGCCAAAAAGGUGUUGUGGGAAAUCGGCCUGCAAAAUCAUCUUCACAUCUUUUCCACUUAGUGAUAGUUUCUUCAAGUUGGGUACGAUCUGAUCAUCAUCAAUCAUAAUAACUAAUGAGGUCAAUGAUGAGCUUUUUUUCAUUUUUUAAAACAAAAAUAUAAAAGGUUUUUUAAAAUUUUUAAAAAAUAAUUUUUUAAGAANNNNNNNNNNNNNNNNNNNNNNNNNNNNNNNNNNNNNNNNNNNNNNNNNNNNNNNNNNNNNNNNNNNNNNNNNNNNNNNNNNNNNNNNNNNNNNNNNNNNGUUCAGCUGGCUGACCUAAUUUUUUGUUUCUAGGUAACAGGCUUUAUAUAUCUGUAAUUGAUAGCCAAGUGAAGUUCUCAGCUGUGGUGAGGAUAUUUCUUUACAGAAGGUAUUGCAAACUGUUUUUUAGAUUAAUUAUUAUUGUAUAUAUACUUUAAUUUUCACAUCUUUUUCUCUGAUUCUUGUGGCUUUGCUUGCUUCCAUAUAUAUAAAACCAUAAAAUUGUAUAAUAAUUUUUUUUAUUAUAUUGCGAAACUGCGCACACAUGAAAAUAUCUUGUUUAGUAGUAGAAAUGAAGAAUUAAAGUGAUUUAUUUAACUAAUUUUUCUAGUGCAAUAAAAGGAGAUAGUCAUGGACCAGAGUUGGGUUGGUUUGCCAAAUAGAUAUCCAAUUCAUAUACUGAUGGGGGUCAAAAAAUUUAUAGAUUUUGCAUUUGAGAAUGUUGUUGGUGAUAAAAGAAUUUAUUGUCCUUCUAAGAGGUGUUGUAAUAUCGAUAUUUCAUUAUAAGGAAAGUGGCAAGAGACCAUAUCAUUAUAAAUGGCUAUUGGUUAAAGUAUUAAAACUGGAUAUUGGAGGGUGAGCCAUCUUCAUCUUUGAAAUCUAACUAAGAAACAGGUUAGUCAUGACUCGGGUAGUGAUGCUAGUAUGGUUGGAAUGGUGCAUAAUGCAUCACGUAAUCAAAUGUUCAAGUCACACGCAGCAUUGUUAUGGACUAUCUCCGACUUUCUAGCAUAUGCCAACUUGUUUGGGUGGAGUAUUAAAGGUAAAUAAGCAUUUCUUGUUUGCCAACAAAACACUAGAUCUAAUUGGUUGAUACAUAGUAGAAAAUUGUCACGUGGGUCACCGUCGAUUUUUACCAACAAAUCAUAGGUUCCGAAAAUAUAGUGCCAUCUGAUAAAACUAGAGAGUGGGGACAAGCACCUUCUCGGUUGUCUGGAGCUGAGGUGAAAAAGCAGUUCAGUAAUGUACUUACUGAGUAUAAGAUUGAAGACUUGAAAAGAGGAGAAUGAAUAAAAUAAAAGAAAUGAUAAGAUUACUUGGAAGAAGAAAAGCAUUUUUUAUGAACUAACGUAUUGGGAGUUCAAUUUGAUUCAUCAUAAUCUUGAUGUCAUGCACCGUUUUGAUUUUUGUUAUGAACUCAGAUCAAAAGUUUAAUGUGAUCAAAAUUUCUUAAAAAUAGUGAAAACGACUCCUCCUAAUAAUAUGGAAGAUGGCUAUAAAAGAUAAUUUCUUAAAAGUUUAAUGUGAUCAAAAUUGCUUGUGAACGCAAGGGUUUUAGUCACACUGUCAACGCUGUCAAUGUAGUGAUACAAUGAAGAUGAAGUAAAGCAUUAGUAGAAUAAUGAAGUUGACCAGUAACACAGUAAAGCAAAUUUUAUUCCAGAGCAUGAAAACUUUUAAACAGUAACACAGCUCUUAUUCCAUAGGCUGCACACGAGUGACCUGAAUCUUCUUCAGAACUUUCAAAUUUUAUCAAGCAAAGCUUUCAAAAUCCUUGCCUUCCUAAGUUAGGAAAGAUAGAUGUGGAGCAACCCAAAUGAAAUAAAUGGGUAAACAGAACAAGCAGGGCAAAAAUUAAAAAUGAUGGCAAUUAACAAAUUAAUAGCAAUGUUACAUUUGACUCUUUAGCCAUUUGUUCCUUCUCUUAGCAUUCUUCAAAGGUUUUGAAAAUUGGAUGUGAAGCAAACAAAAUAAAAUAAAUUUAGACAACACAUACCCUGUAUUCAGCAUCAUAUAUAUGUCGAAUAUCUAAUAUAAUAAAUUUCACAUCCAAAAUACUAGAAUUUCAAACAGUACUAGUAGUAAAAAAAUGACGACAACAACAAAAAUAGAAAAUUACAAGACUGCUGAUAAAAUUUCAUUUGCGUGCAUGUCUGACAAAAUUUCCGUGGUUUAAUGUGCGUUCAUGCAGGCAAGUCCUAACGUUUCUGUGAUCACAAAAUGAAACUGAAGAUAAACCUUUCAAGCUUGACGAAGCCAUGAGAAUUCAUAGCUCAGGCUCUGAUACCAAGUUAAAGUUUCUAAUCUGUUUGAUAAGUAAGAAAAUGAGAGAAAAUGAAAGAAAGAACAGAGAUCAUCUAAGAGCUGGAUUUGAUGAAUAAAUCUGAAUCAUCCAUUCUUUAGCUGAUUACAAAUGUAUUUAUACAAGGUUUCUAAGCACCUGAGAGUUGAAUAACUUAUGCCAGCUCAGCUAACACGUCAGUAACUCUACCUAUCUUGCUUAACAAACUGAAACAAUAACUAACCAUUUUAACUAUCUUAACAAUCCCAAUAAUUUCUCCGUUUGUGUGUUUUUUUGAUUCAUAAUCAAAUGGGUAAAUGUUGCAACUAUUUUUUUUANNNNNNNNNNNNNNNNNNNNNNNNNNNNNNNNNNNNNNNNNNNNNNNNNNNNNNNNNNNNNNNNNNNNNNNNNNNNNNNNNNNNNNNNNNNNNNNNNNNNNNNNNNNNNNNNNACUAACUUGAAUUUAUAUGCUUUUAGGAUUAUUUGAUAAUCAAAUGGGUAAAUGACAGGAAGAACUUUGAGUUUAAAAAUCUGGGCCUGAUGCCUGGUAGCCCUCCAACCUAUGAAGCACUAGAUGUUUUAAUGAGAAAACGACAAGACCAUUUAUCAAAUUUCUUGUGGAUAUAAAUACAUACACAUAGACGAGACCAACCUCCUCAAAUGAGAAUCAGAGUGAUUACAAGACCUUGCAAUGAGACAAUAAUACACCAUCAAAUCUCAAAAUACAAUAGAAAUUCAUGACAUAUAUAUAAUAAAAGACCACUCAUUGAGUCAUAUAUAUUGAGAAUAAAAUUUUUUUAAUACAUACAAAGAGCUUAGCUAGAAUGAAAUGUCUUUGGACUUGCGAUGAUCAAACAAAGGAAACAGACAGGUUGCAACUCACACUAUCACAGAUGUAGCGACACGAUGCAGUGAAUCACAAGAAGAUCACGAAGAUGGAAACGGGAACCCCUCAUAAUGUAAACUUUGAAUAGAGGAAAAAAGAAAAACGACCUUAUUCACAGAAGAAGAGUGACUUAAAUCUUCAUCAGUAUCCAGACAUUCUGCAAUCAUAGAGUAGAGAAAUUUUAACAGGAACAACAGAGAAAAUAUUAUGAAUAUGCUACACCAAAUUAUCCCUUUUUUGGUUUGUGAAAACUUGAUUUUUUAUGAAAUAUUUUCAAUCAAUAUUUCCACAAUAUACUUGUUCAUAGCUAACAUUUGAUGGUUUAAGGAUUUGUUAUAGGAACAAUGCACUGAUUACGUUUUUUUUUUAAUUUUUUUAAUCCGAUUAAUGAUAUUCAGCUGUUCUUUAAUUAUGUGUUCAUAGGGAAGAACAUUUUCUAAGUACUUUCCUUGCCUUCUAACUUUCCAAGGAAAGAUAGGUGUGAAGAAAAGCAAACCCAAUGAACAAACAGAGCACAAACUAAAAUAAAAGAACAGCAAUGAUGAGAAUAAAUAAUUGGCAAAGAAAGAAUGGAAAAAGUAUGCACGUUUUCAAGGAAUUAUAAAAUACGAAGGCUUUUAAUGAAAUUUUAUCAUAAAACUUAUGCAAGGAGUUCUAAAAUUUUAGAAGACGAGGGGAGCUCGCAAAAAAAAAGAAAAAGACUCAAAUUAAACUAGACUAAAAAGACAUUCAAUUAUGCAAAAUCUGUCCAUAAAAGUCUGAAAGGAUCAUUAAAAUUGCACUGCAAAUUUAACAGUAAACCGAGGGACCCAUUCUAAAUAAUUCAGAUGAAAUUGCGAAACAAGCUAUGGGAUUAAAUAAAUGAAAUAAAAUUAAUUACCAGUUGAGACUUUCUUCUAAAAAUCGCAACUCCAAGUCAUAAGAAGCUAUGAAAUUAGUCGUACUGCAUAGAGUAUAUCGACGGCACCGCCAACAGCUGAAAAUAAAAUUCUUAUUCAUCAAUUUAAACUAACUUUAUAACAAAUAUCUUAUCGAUAUUUUAUUUAAAAAGAAAAAGAAAAUUUUGUAAAAAUUUAUCAUGGGAGAUAGAGAGUAAUAUGUACAUACGUACCUUCUCAGCAUGUAAUUGUUGUAUGGUCGUGUUAAGAUCAUUACCAGCCCAACGCCGUUGAUUCGAUGUCUCUCCAUACCAGACGUUUACUCUUGGAGGCGUGAUUGAUUCUCCUGUAGUGAAAAAAUUCAUCUUGGGACAACCAAUCACACACAACUCUUGCAAAGAUGGGAAUUCAAAGGUGUAAUUGGCAGAGCAGAAACUUGUGAGGCUGUCUAAAUCACGCAGUUCCAACCUCUUCAAUUUGCGGAAAACAAUCUCUUCUUUUUCAACCCCGUCUUUGUCAUUUUUUACCACCUCUGUCAUUGCUCUGCAUCCAUAUAUACUCACUGUGACGAGUCGCACCAGAGUUUUUGCUGUGGAGAAUGUUACCAUGUGUAACAAUUUCUUGCAACCGAAAGCCACCAGAGCUGUUAGGUUCUGAAAAGAUACCGAUGAUGAUGGCAAUAGAAUUAACAGACUUUGACAAUGAUAUACUUCUAGACUUUCAAGAUACUGAAAAAUGGGGCCAAGUUUGGAGUCUUGUUUGCACAGCUGCUUCAGAUGAUAGUGCCAGUACAGCUCUAAUUCUUUUAUCAUUGCCAACUUCCCCACAUGUUUCUCUAAGCAUCCUUCCAUCGAAAAUACCUCUUCGUGGGAUGGAAAAAAAAGCAGUGAGAGCAUUUCGAGAUUGUGAAAUCUCUCAAGUACGUUCCAGAUUGGAAAACAAGCUGAGUCAUCUCCAGCAAUCUGUAGAUGUCUAAGACUGCCAAAAAGGUGUUGUGGGAAAUCGGCCUGCAAAAUCAUCUUCACAUCUUUUCCACUUAGUGAUAGUUCCUUCAAGUUGGGUACGAUCUGAUCAUCAUUAAUCAUAAUAACUAAUGAGGUCAAUUGAUGAUCUACGGUCACACGCAGUGACUUUAUAGCAUUUGUUUUAUAUUAUAUUUUAAAAAAAUUGAAUUAUUGAUAAAAUUUAUUUUAUAUGUUAAUUUUAGAGGUAAAAAAGAAAUUAGAGAAAAAGGUUGAUUUAUACUGGCUCAAAAUUAUUUUAUUGCACAAUAAUAAAUUACUAAUUUAUUUUGUAAGUUCUUCUAAAUGGAAAGACUGAGGAUUCUUUUAUAAAUACUAUGCCUAAAAAAGUUCAUAUAAUUAUGAAUCUACCAUAUUGAUCCCUUAGUCUAGACUAGCAAAGAUUAUUGUAUAAUAAAAGUUUUCAAUUUAUUGAGCAUUAAUUUAUCGAUGCUUUGUCAUAUUUUUCAAAGUUAAAAAUAAGCUAUUGAUAAAAAAUCUAGAAAAUGGCUUCAUACCUUUCCCAACGGCAAUGGGAGCUGUUGUGCAGGAAUACCAAGUUGAUCAUUCUCAUUAUUCUGCGAUAAAUCUGCAGCGAAUAUCUUUAAUUUGUCACAACGAUACACUACAAGAAUUUCUAGCGCGGGCCAUUCCGAAGUAUGCUUUCCAGGGUACAAACAUCUAAGUUUUGGUAGAACUUGGAGUAUCAGAGUGGUGAGCUGUGGAAAGACAAAAUAAGGGAUCACUUGAUCUGCUCUGUUUUCAGAAAUGAUCUCCUGUAAAUUCUCACAGAACCAUACUUCUAGGCGUUGGAGCUGCUUAAGGCUUCUGAUCAUAGACGCUGAAAAUAUGUAUUUUAAUUUGUGACAAUGCCACACAAUCAAUCGUGUUAAAUUUUGAAAGCGAGGAAACGUGACCGGAAGAUGAUUGUAGUGCCAAAUCUGGUCGACAUUAAUUUCAGAUAUCUCCAAAACCUCCAAGUUAGGCAACGCAACCUAAAAAAAUAAGAAUUUCUCGUUAGAUCCAAUAUCCAUAUGGGAAGCACUUGUUGAAAUUUUCUUCUUUGAUUACAAAUUAAUGCAAGUCAGAAUCAAUUUCCAACUGACAGCUGAGUAUGCAUUCUAAUUGAUACUACUUGUUAAGAGCUCAAUUAGUGAGCGCGUGAGAUUCUUUUUAUCCUUUUUUCCAUUUUCUUUCCAUUCUUUAAAUGAUUUAAUUAUUUUCCACGUAUGACAUCAAAAGAGAACGCAUUAUAGAAUAAAGAAAAUGUUAGCCUACGCACCUUCUCGUUGAAAAGUAGAGUUGAAAUAUCCAAAGUGAUUUCGCUGGAGCAAUACAUAGCCGUCGAUUCCUCUUGCGACACUUGUCUGUUCGGUGAUGCUGAAGGAGUCUCCACCUCACAGCAAAAACUUGUAACCUCUGGAAGAUUCCCCAGACUCAAAGAUCUUAAUUGAGCAAACUCUAUCUUCUCAAUUGCAUUAUCAACUUCUUCCCCAAUUGAAAAAAUUUCUUUCAUCUUGCUGCAAUUAAUAACUGCAAUUCUCUCAAGUCUUGGAAGGCAUUUUGUAGUAGAGAACCAAAAGAUAUUGCUCAACUUAUCACAAUUAUAUGCUUCUAUGUUUUUGAGUUGGUUGAAAGACUCUACUUUGAGCCGAUCAAUACAUAACCUCUCCAUGUUGAUCAAAUUGUGAAGGAUAAGUGACUGCAAAAGAGGAAAGGCAUCACAACCGACCAUCUCCCUUGAAUCGACGAUACAAAAGAUGUCAGGAUUAUUUUGAACCCAGAGAAGCUUCAAUUGUGAAAAGCCCUCCGUGUCCAAAUUGAAAAGAACAUUCUCGAUGCCUUGCAGCUUGUCCAACCAUAAGCAUUCAACGUUAUUGAUGCCCUGCAAUUUCGUGGAGCAAAUGUCCAUAAAAUCAAGCUUGAGCUUCAAUUCUCUUAAACUCUCACGAUUACUGUUGAUCAAAAAGUGCGGCCGGCUUUGAAACCAUUCUCUUGUAAUACUCUUGGGAGGCAUGAAUGACUCAUUUCCAAUGGAUAUUUUGAACCUUUCGAGCUUUCUGGCCAAAAAACCUUCUGGUAAAAUACUGUCAUUUUUAACGUCAAUUUCUAGAGUGGUUAGCCGAGGUAAAUGCAUCAAUUCAUCAAGGCUAGCAUUACUUCUUUCCCUGUUGUCUCUUUCAACCUCCCAUUCAAUGCAGCAAUUACCCAUAUACAGCUCUUCUAAUCGAGUUAAGCUUGAUAUGAGAUUGGGCGCAAUAACUUUUAGAUGGAAACAAUUGGUUAAAUCUAACAAUCUCAACUUAUUCAAUUGACCUAGUUCUUCUGGCAACUGCAUAAUAUCAGACAUCAGAAAGCUAAGGACUUCUAGAUUCUUCAACUUCCCAAUGAUUUCUAUGUCCCCCAACGCACUUUGAUCCAGACAUAGUGUGUGAAGAUUUACUAGAAGAUCAAUUGAAGAUGGAAAUGAAGAAAACUGCAUUCGAGUAAAAUCUAGAACUCUAAGCUUUUUCAUCCCUACAAAAAAGUUCUCAGGAAUAUUGAUUUCAAGAGAAAAAUCUUUGAGAGAGAUAUAUAAAAAUUCAAGGUUUGGGCAUUCUAAUCCUUCAGGAAAUUCACGAUUACUAUUAUUUCUUAAAGAGACAGCAUUGCAUUUUCGAAGUGCAUCCUCAUCUGGCCAGUCCCACACAUCCUCAUUUCUCACCGAAAACACAUGUUGGUGGCGGCAUGCAAUUGAUAUUGCGACAUCGCGAACAACAUCAUGCAUUGAAAAUUCUUCAUUGCUAUCACCCUCAAGCAACAAACAAGAGUCUCUAAGUUCAUGGACCAAUGCAUAUAAUUUGUCUCGUGCAUCUUCCAUCUUAUUGACUCCUUUAAAUAUACCCAAACCCAUGGAGUACUUAAACAGGUCCAAAGUAUGAAUACGGUUACCCAUUAGACUACAGAGGAGAAAAAUUUUCUUGAGUUGCUCACCUUUUAAAUGGUUGAAACUCAGCUCAAUACUUGAAUAAGUCUCUGCAGAUACUCCUUCGAAGUUCACCAUUGAAGGCGUUCGGAGUUCUCGCAAGGAAUUCUUCCAUUCAUGCAGACUCUUGCUUCUCAGUGCCUUUGCUACUGUGGUCAAGGCAAUGGGCAAACCUCCACAUGCCCUGGCGACGUCUAUUGCUGUAGAUUUCAACUCACGAUUUUCAACAUCAUCACCGGCCAUCAUCUUAAACAAUCUCCAGGCUUCUUCUUCAUUUAAAUUGUUUAUCAAAAAGUUGUCUUUAGAACCCAUUUUUAAAAGGACACUACGAUCUCUUGCCGUCAGCAGUAGUUUGCAGCCUUUAUGGUCUUCUCCAAAAGGAAUUCCAACUGUCUCCAAAUCAAGGUGUUUCCAAAUGUUAUCUAAAACCACAAGGAUCUUCUUGUGAUUUCUCAAUCGCUCAAAUAGUCUACUUGCUCUUCUAGAUUCAACUUCCUCGUGCAACUCCAGGCCCAACUUCUCGGCAAUUUCCUGUUGAAUCUUUU
This 361303-nucleotide long non-coding RNA is filed under the name Citrus x clementina. RNAcentral's name for it is "Citrus clementina (C. clementina) long non-coding RNA (CCLE_LNC002732)". The stretch from base 225281 to 225386 matches the Rfam family "Plant small nucleolar RNA R71". Lineage: Eukaryota; Viridiplantae; Streptophyta; Magnoliopsida; Sapindales; Rutaceae. The record is from RNAcentral.